GACGACUGAGAAAACGGAGAGUCCCGUUCGGAGGACUUAAAAACACCGAACGCCUUGCCAAGAGGUAAAUUUGGUAGUUAUCCUUUUCCCUUCAAUUAUUUAAAAUAGUUUGCUUACUUAAUCAGGUUCAUACUAUCUUGAAAAGAAAAUAAAAAUGUUAAAAAUAGUAAGCCCCAUGUGAGUAGACUUGUGGUUUAAAAACCCAUAGGUAUAUUGACUAUGGUGGCAUAAAAUAAAUAUGUUUUCAUCUUACAAUAAAAAUAUAAAUAAUAAGUGCAUGAUCCUGCUAAAUAAAAUUUAUUAGGAGGAAGCUCAAUAUGAUAAAGGCAAAGAGAUUUUAUGCUAUCACUUAACCAGUUCCACAAAGCUUUGUUGUCUAUUUGAACUCCACAUAAUUCAUGGAUCAAAGAAGACUAGCAGAAAGAGGACAUCCUAAUCGUUGUCAGGGUGCUGCCGACAUUCAAAUACACCUCGGUCACCUGCUAGCUACAUCAGAAGAAAUUACGUCAAAAUGCAGCUUGGGGGAGAGCACCCCCAUUUAUCCAGCUAAGUGGUUCUACUCGCGUUUAUACUUUACUCAAAUAAUAAAAAGAUGAAAACCCAAAUAAAGAUUUUGUGCUUUUAUAUAUAUCCUUGCUUAGUUUGCUAAAUAAAUAAAGUUUGCUAUGAACCCUUAUGAUAAGCUCUCACAUGGAAAUGAUGAAUAGUUGCUCUGCCAUGACUAGUUCAUAAAAUUGAAAUCUCUCUCAAGUUUAGGCAUAACUUAUAAUUUAAAUCUGCUCUAAACCUGAACUUGUGGGAAGAGUACUUGAUCUCAAGUCUAAGUUGUUAACGGAUAUGAUAUGGGAAGGUUGAGCUGCUGUUUAUCUGUUCCUAGAGAUGCUAGAAUUCUGGAGAUUUUUGUCUUUAAAAAUAUUUAAAAUAACACAUGAUGAGUUCCUGUAUGAUGAGAGUUUAAAAUCCUACCACAGCCAUAUAUACAUGCUUAUUAGACUUUGAGCCACACAUUUACUUUUUACUGCUUAUGAGCAUUGAGUGUGGUCAAGCUGUGUAGACCCUUAGGAGCUUGUCAUGUGGUUAAAAUCAAGACUCACUUGCACAUUCAGUCGUAUAUGCUGCUUCUACUUUAGAAGUACGCAUCCACAUAUAUCCACUCAUUUCCAUCUCCAGAUUCACCCAAAAGUAUUCUACUCCUAAUAUAGGAGGGAAUAGCCAAAAAGAUUAUCCUAUCCCUGUUAUUCCCUAUAAAAAAAUGCUCGAGUUAUCUUGGUUACUAUCACUUGCUAUAUUAUUUCAGGAGAUGAGUGCUCUAAAAAAAAGAGGAUACGACGAAAUAAAAAGGGGCAAGUGCCCGAAACCUCGAAGAAAAGAAAAAGUGAGACGAGAGGUAAAAAUGGACAAGUGUCCGACAGUAGAAUUAGGGGUACAGGAUACCCACCUGAGAGGAAAGAAAAAAAAAUAUAGAGCAUCUCAUUCUCCUCAAAAAGCUUCAAAGUGCAAGAAAGGUAUGUAUCCCCUAAAAAUAGCAAAAGUAGAAUUAGACUUUCACCAUUGUUAUCACCAUCAUCACCAUACACCAUUCGCUCGCCACACAUGCACAUCUUGAUUUGACUUACUGAAUUGUUUCUCUGGAUCCAUGGUUUGACUAUGCAAUAAAUGUCUUGUAAGUAUGUAUUAUCUGUCUCCCACCUAUGAGCUCCAGAUAUCAAAACCUUAUUAGAGUAGGGUGAGAGAGAAGGCAAUAUCGCUAUGCCCCAUACCAAAAAUACCACAUACUUUGAGAGAAGGCAUAUAUCAUUACUGCCUUGGAAAGGAUCCAGAAAUACCACAAAAGAGAGAUUUGAGAAAGUCAUACAAGGAAUCUCUGAGUUUUAUUUGAAAAUCUGCAAAAACUCCAGAGCUAUAGCUGAUCAAAGAACAAGAGACAUGGCGCUUAACUUGACCGUUCUAUCUUUUAACUGCUCAAGACACAAGUGACGGUUACAAGCCCCAUGGUGAAAGGUAAAAUGAGUAAGCUUUAAGUCUUAACAGUUUACUCUAACUCAGAGAUGAGAUCUUACUUUUAAGGCAUGAAACCAUUGUAGAAACUCUUGAGUUCAUCCUUGCUCAGGGACGAGCAAGAGGUAAACUUGGGGGAGUUGUUGACGGUCCUUAAGUAUCAAAUAUAAUCAUCAAAUAAAUAAAGAAAAGGAUCCAAAUGCAACCAACACCCACACUUAGGGUUUUAUCUGACAGAAUUCCACGAGUUUUGGUGUUUGUCUAUUUCUGCAGGGGGUUAUCUGGAAAUACGGAAGAAAGGCCCACACGUCGGGAUUACAUAGAGAUAUUAACGUGCCGCGCAAUUUUCUAUCCUCUAGAAGACUCCAGAAGCCACGGGAACGAACGGGAGGCCGAACGGGCCCCUGGGCAGGGCGCCCGCCCUGACCUGGAUUCGAUUCAGAACUCUCUUCGCGGACCAAACUCCACCGACCUAAAGGAUCAAGGAUAACCGUCCAAUCAAUGUCGGUUUUUCUCCAAUGGCUCACGUUCACUUGAGGGGACUAUAAAACCAGACCCCCUGGCCCUGGAGGAGACAAGUUCAUCAUAGAGUUGAGAGGAGCCCUCGAAGGAAUACCUCUCCUCUAAAUAAAUAUUUAUUUUAGGCUUAGCAUCGAAUGUGAGUAGAAUUAGAUCUUCUAGUUUCUACUAGAUUGAGAGAUAUAGAGUGGAGGUGUAGAUCGGAGGAAGCCCGGCCUGUCGGUGUCUACUACGAGGUUGUACCUGUGGGAUCAAGUCUUCUAACCCGAGGCUUGCUCCUAGGAUUCUUCAGUAAUUUGACUUCUAAUUCUAGUAAGUUCUUGUUUUAGUGCUCUUUGGUUUAUGAGUUUACUUUAAUCUCUUCCAGUUAAGUAUUAGAGUAAUCAUUGCUAGCGUAAACAUGGUGUUUAGGCUAGGGUACUCAUAGAUAUCCCCUGACUAGCUGGACUGUGGUAGUAGCGAGGAACGUGACAUUUCCGAGUUACCUUUGCAUCCCACAUCUCGUUAGCAGGACGGGUAGGUUUAUAGGUGCGGGUCGAACAUCCUUUGUGGUGUCUAGAUUCCGUAAGCUUCCCCAAUAGAACAGUAGAUCAUCCUUACCAAGGUUAGAACGAGACUACGGUUGCAGUCUUCUCUAUACAUCGCUCACAUCGAGAAACAUUCUUCGUAGCCUAAAGGGAUAGUAGCAAUAGAUUUGGUUAGUCAGAUGCACCCUUUCUCCCAUUGGUAAAAAUAUAAAUACGAUACUCUGGAAAAGCUCCCGGGUGAAAUGCUCACCAAUAUCCGUGAGCUUGCGGAUCAUUUUCUAAUUGCGUUACCAAAUAUCAACAAUCAUGUGUGAUGCCAGCGAUUAUGCUGUUGGGGUGGUCCUCGGCCAAACCAAGGACAAAAAUCAUCAAGCGAUCGCUUAUGCUAGCAAGACUUUGACAGGACCUCAGCUUAACUAUGCCACUACUGAAAAAGAGUUCCUCGCUAUAGUCUUUGCUAUCGAUAAGUUUAGACCCUAUUUGGUGGGAGCAAAGAUAAUUGUUUAUACGGAUCAUGCUGCUCUCAAAUAUUUGCUCACCAAAAAGGAUGCUAAACCUCAUCUACUCCGAUGGAUCUUGUUGUUACAAGAGUUUGAUAUUGAGAUAAAAGAUAAGAAAGGAGUAGAAAAUACUGUUGCAGAUCAUCUUUCGUGUAUGCAAGUCACUAACAUGCAGAAACAGGAGAUUAACGACUUCCUACACGACGACAUGCUCCUGAUGAUCAACGACAAGAAACCAUGGUAUGCAAAUAUUGUUAACUUUAUGGUUUCAGGGUACGUACCCCAGGCAAAUCAAAGAAGAAGCUUGAAUAUGAAAGUCAACGCCACCUGUGGGACGACCCCUACUUGUGCUGAUGGACUGCUACGAAGAUGUGUGCCCACCUUAGAGGGUGCACAAAUCAUCGAGAUGUGUCACGCUUCACCAUAUGGAUGUCACUAUGGAGUAUUUUGCACAUAGUCCAAAAUUUCGACGUGCAGCGUCUACUAGCCUACAAUGUAUGAAGACACGAAGAAGUUCAUCCACAGAUGCCGUUAGUGCCAGCUAUAAGGCCCAGCUAUAAGGCAACAUCAGUGCAUGCAACGCCAUGCCACUUCACUUCCAUCUCCAAGUCGAAAUUUUUGACGUCUGGGAAAUUGACUUUAUGGGGCCAUUCAAGAAAUCAGGCGACUGCGAGCACAUCCUUGUAGCAGUUGACUACGUAUCAAAAUGGGUAGAAGAAUUAUCGUGUCGAGCAGUAGAUGCCAAGCAUGCAAGAAAGAUGUUUCACAAGAUCAUCUUUCCUCGUUUUGGGACACCAAUAAUGGUGAUAAGUGACGGAGGGUCGCACUUCAUUGAUAAAGCCUUCAGAACAUUUUUGCGAGAUUUGGGCAUCCGUCACAAUGUUGCUACUCCUUAUCAUCCCCAAACCAGUGGGCAGGCCGAAACUUCCAAUAAGUAGAUCAAGAACAUACUCCAAAAAACGGUGAACGAAAUGGGAACGGGUUAGAAAGAUAAGCUCCCUAAUGCACUCUGGGCAUACAGGAUAGCUUACUAAACUCCCAUCGGGAUGUCACCUUAUCAGUUGGUCUAUGGCAAAAGCUGUCAUUUGCCUAUUGAGCUUGAACAUAGAGCUCACUAGGCAAUCAAGACUUGGAAUAUGGACAUCAAGGCCGCUAGAAGAAACAGGCAAAGACAAGUCGUAGAAUUAGAAGAAUGCUGAGAAAAAGCCUAUCACAGUGCCAAGCUCUACAAAGAGAGAACAAAAAGAUGGCACGAUAAAAGAUCUUACAUAAAGAAUUCAAGAUCGGCGACAAAGUCCUGCUCUUCAACUCGAGAGUCCAAUUGUUCGGGAAAGGAAAGCUCAGGAGCAAAUGGGACGGACCUUACACAGUGAUUGAGGUGGCGCCGCAUGGAGCUGUCACAAUAAAGGACGAUAGUGGCAACAUCCAUAAGCUAAAUGGCAAACGUCUCAAGGUAUUUCUCGAACCCGAACCCCAUUCCUUUGAUGAAAUAAAUUUAGUUUCUUUUAAAGAAUACACAAAAGGAAUGUGUUAAAAAAAAGUAAUAUAAUAUCUUUUGUUGUUGUAUUUAUUUUACAUUAAAUAAAGCCUCUUGAUUUAUGCAUUUAUGUUUGACCCAAAAUGCCCCUAUGAUCUUGUAUAUCUUGUUUAAAAUCUGUUUUGAUCAUAGCAUCUUCUCAUCAUAAAUGGAUGAUAGUGCAAUCUCUUGAGUUUUAGAAAGUUUUAUUCAAAAUUCAAAAAAUAUUCUCUUUACCAUCCCGCCAAUACAUUGUGAAACAACAUUGAUCGUAAGUGGGAUCACGAUUAGGGAAACAAAUAACGCGAGCUGCCAAAAAACGGAGGCCGACUAGUGGCCCUAGGGGUUCAGACGCACCUGGGUGUGGCCUCACCCCUGGCCCAGCCAAUUGGCCCUAAUCUUUUUUCGUACCUCCCUCUGAUCCCUCCAGUAUGGUGUUACCGCCUACGAUCAAGUUUGAUUCCUUAUUUAGGUGCGCUGAAGAACCUACAUAAGCAGCCCCUAGGACUCUCAAUUCUUCACACCAAACCUUUCUCUUCUCCCUCUCACCAAGUGUGCUAAGCUCCCCCAAGAUCCAAGGCAUGAAUGUCUAGCUACGCCCUCUCCCUGAUCUAAGCCCCUGGCUCCUUCGCAAACCUAGACAUCGUCCCCUUUAUAGAGAGUUCCUUUGUGGAGGAAGAAGCACAGGCGGCAGUCGAGGCACCACUAGCCUAUCUCCCACGAAGCUAGGACUUUAGCCCAAGACUGAAGUCGACUGCCCACUACCGCACCAUCAAGGAUGGCGCACAGAAGAAGAAGCCCACUGAUGUUCGUCCAACCAUCGGUGCACUAGGACUGAAGAAGAAGACUCUUGGUGGUGGUGGACUUAGCAAUGGAGCUAUUGUCAUGCCUUCGUCUUCUGAAGAGCCGUCUCUGUCGUCUUCCGUUUAUGAUAAUCGCUCAUAUAUAAUUAGAGGGAUACGCAAACCCGACGGAUGGUAUGCGAAGGGGCUUUUAUGUAAGGACGAAGCUUCGGCUAGCAAAGUCGCGCCCCUUAGCAGAAACCUUAGGCACUAAACGCAAGUUCGUUAGGACUGUCAUCAGGGGACAGCCUAAAGGUUUCUUUAGCGAUAGUCAGGAUGAGCAGCUGCCCAAAGGGCCGACCAUCGCCUCACUCCGUGCAAGCAAUAGGAGCACCCACGCUAGUGUAGAGAGAGCUCAUGAUCGCAUAACCAAGGCUCAUCUUAGCGUCAAAGGACUUAAAGACGAAUUAGAUGAGAUGCGCCGUGGCUAUGUCGAUCAGCUGCAUAGGAUCGCGAAGGAAGCAGGGGUGGAGCAUGUUCUUAAAAGUUUCUAAGAACCCCCUGCAAAUAAAAUAGGCACGCUUUCCCUUUUUCAACCAUUUUCCCUUUUGAUGUAAAUGUGCCUAUUUAAGUUAUCAAUGAAAAUAUCUUUUCUUUUGAGCACUUGUUUUCUAGAAUGUAUAUUUUUUUGUGACUAAUCAAAGACAGGAAAGAAAACAAGUGUGGAGGAGAAGCACAUCAUCAUGAAAACUCGGUUUCUAUAAACGCUCCCCUCUUUUCAAUUUUAAAAACAGUUUUAUAAAUAAAAGUUUAAGAUAUUGUACCUUCAUUCUCCAUCAACUUGACUCCUUUGUUCAAAAUGUUUUGCAUCCCUUUUAUUUCUCGCUAAAAUUCCUGUGAAUUUAUGAACACUUUGUUAGGGACCACAUUUUAUCUAUGUAAUUGAUGGAUGUGAUAUAGUAGGAUGACAUGAUGCUUGCUAGUCUUUGCAAAGUACUUGGGUUUUUAUUUUACAAAGUUAAAAAUUCAUAUAGCAAAUUUCAUGAAUGAUUAAGCUUUUACCUACCAAUGGCCAAAUAUAUCUCUUUAUGCUGAACCUUCUACAUAUGCUUCUUACUCUGUGUUGAGUUUGAUCAAAUUUUUGGACCGCUGUCGAGAGAUGUUUUAUGCCUCCAAGAUCAGAAUUCACUUGGACCCACCAAAUAAAGCCAACUCUCACAGUGAGAAGUUGCGCACAACAUGUUUUUUUCAUCCACCCAAAAAUACGCUAACUCUUACACUCAAGAGUUGCACCCAUAUAUCCACCAAAUAAAAAUGCCAAUAUCUCACCCUGAGAAUUGCGCAUCCAGUUACAUUCCUUGCAUUCAUUACUAUGAGGCUCCAUUCCACUUGUUCUUCCGUCAGCAACAAAGGAAUGAGCUAUUAAAAAAAUGUAUAUAUAUAUGAGAAAAGCCAAAAGGCAAACGGGGAAAAUCCAUACCCGUUCAAAAAAAAUUUAUCACCCAUUUCCUUCUCAGUUCCUCAUAUCAUUCAAAUAAAAGAGAGUCAUGUUGCAAGGAGUGACCAAAAAUAUUUAGAACUAGGACUUCCAGCAAAAAUUCCACACAUGCACAUUCUGAUCUAAGGGUAUGACGCACUCCCUCCAGUAUGGUCCUAGGUUUGACUCGACAAUAUAUGUAGGGUAAGUAUGAUUCCACUAUUACCAUACCUACCCAAAACUCUAGAUAAGCCUUUAGAGGUAGGAUGAUCAAAGAGAAGGCAUAAAAUCCUUAUGCCUUGGUGAGGAACCACUUACAAAAUUUGCGCGAUUUGAGAAGAGUCAUUCAAGGAACAUAUGCUGUCUUUCUUUUCAAAAAUUUGCAAAACCCCAAGUUUCUGUGCAGGGACUGUGUAAGUAGAUUUGAAUUCAAGUUGUUCCAUCUUUUAAUGACCCAAGAUUAUUUGGUAGACACUUUGAAAUUCAUAAAUCUGGGUGAAGCUUGAAAUAACUUGUAUGCAAAUUUCUUUGACAAGGAUGAUGAACCCAUUUGGUCCAUAGCACUUUACUCGAGGACGAGCAAAGGACCAAGUGUGGGGGAGUUUGUUGGCACUUCUUAUCUUAUAAUUAUAAACAUAAUUUUUAUAAAUAAAAUAAAUAGAUGAUAGGGCUUUUAUCUAACCUUUCCAGAAGCUUUGUUGUAAAUAUCAAUUUCAGGUAUGACACAUGGAAAGGCGCAAAAGACAUGAGAAAGCGCACUUCAAGAAAGCAUUUCUAGAAAAGGCACAAAUCAAGAUUAAAUGGAAAAGCCCACCAAAACACCGAACUGGAUCCAUCCGUAACCACGGGAAGGAUCAGGGCCCAGAGACGAACCACCACGCGAAGGCGGUGGCCAGGUGGGCCCUCCAGUGGUGCGACCGCACCCUGGUGCGGGCGCACCCCCCGUGGUGGCAACUUGGUCCCACCUUUUCUAGGCGGUUGCAUGGUGGCAUGCAUAGGACGGUUUCACCUACUACCAAAUUCAGAUCGCCCCGAACCGUCUUAUGGAGCUAUAAAUUGAGACCCCCACUCCUCCAUUGAAAUAUAUCAAGGUACAAGAAAAUAGAAGAAGGAGUGGUGCUUUAUUUUUCCAUUAGUUUAGCUCCAGCUAUUCUAGUCUUAGGCUAGAGAGAGAGAGGCAAGAGUUGAAGUGUAGAAGCGGGGUCAAAGCAAGUUCUACUCUAGGGUGGAUGAAGUGCCAGACGAGUCGGCUAUCGCUCCUUCUUGAACCUCUACAUUUGUUCUUACUACUUGAAGUAAGAGGUUUGUGUUACAUUUCAGUUUUGAUUCAUUAAGUGAAUUACAUUCAUAAAGCUAUUUGCUUGUGGGAUCAUCACUCGUUCUUAGAACGGGUGCUCUAGUAAGCGGACUCCUGAUAAAGACGGAUAAUCCUGUGCAUCGCUAGAGCAGUAGUCACCUUCGUAGACGUGGUGUCUAAGUUGUGGGCUACCUUCGUAUGUGGUAUGGCUUUCGGACAGAGGGGUAGGUGUCCGUGUAGUGACAGCAUCUGGCAUCCGUAGUAAUCCGCCACGAUCAGUCGUAGCAUAGUGCUAAUACUAGGAUCGCCUAGUUACCUAGGACUCUCAGUGGGCCUGAAGCAAGCAAGCAGAGGGAAGGUCUUUCCACUUAGUGGUUCAUCACUUUAGUGUAUCCUCUCAGCCGUGUUCUCCUCCCUUCUAUCUUCUAGGGUGAUUAGUUUAGAGUCUAAGUGACGUUUUGCCGUUCCCUGUGGAUAAAUACGAUUCCCGGAAUACUUCCGGGUGAAGUGCUACAACAGUACUCCCGCGCGCUUGCGGAUUUCUCUGCUGUCGCUAAGAAGCACCAACAGCCACUAGGUGGGUCAGGCCGGCCCCACCCUAGGAGCGCAGCCCGGCUACCUAUAGCUAGGGUUUUGGCCCCCCUUCUGGAAACUUCCUCCACCACCUCUGAGGAGCCAUCUCGGCCGCUUGUUAAGUCGGAUUGAUCCAACGGUGCGUAUCCAUCCCACCAGGCUAUAAAUAGAAGGCUAGACCCCCCUGGAGGAGGCCGGAUCAAGAGAUGAAGAGUCAGAGCAUUAGAUAGAGAUCCACUAGAUCUAGGCUAUCAAUCAAGAUAGAGAUUAGAGAGAUAGAGUAGAGGAGUAGAGAUUCGGAGGAGUCCUGGCCUGUCGGAGCUUCCUCAGAAGUUGUAUUUGUCUGGAUUCGGCUCCGUCGCCCGGAGCUACGUUCUAUGGUACUUUUGUAUUUACCAUUCUGAUUCAUGUAAGCAAGUUAUUUUUAUUUGUUCUUUGGUUUGCAACUCAUAUUAUAUUGUGUACUAUGAUUUGGGUACCUCCUAGGUCGUAGUAGUGAUUCGUAGCAUAGACGUGGUGUGUGGGCUAUGGUUGCUUGUGAAUGUCCCCUAAUCAGCCGGACAGUGGUAGUUCACAUAGGUGACUUUAUAGCUAUGUUGAUUUCUUUGUAGUCCACUUCCCGUUGAUAGGAUCGGUAGGCUUAUAGGUGCCUCAUUGGAGAUUAUUUUGUUUCUUCUCCUAUUCGGGUUACUUGCCCGAUAAGACAAUAUUAUACAAAGUUUACCGUUUAUUAGAACUAGAGUACAUUAGCUAUUCCUCAUUCUCAAUAGUUUUCUAGAUUGAUUGUACCCCCUUAGAUUAAGAGAUAUAGGUGUUGACGGUCCUUAAGUAUCAAAUUUAGGGGGUGUUUGGCACUGCUCCACGAACUCUGCUCCACAAACUCCACUGUGGAGCAGCUCCACAAAAAACUAGAGUUCGUGGAGUACCUCUUUAGGUGCUCUCACAACUCCACCCUUUUUUCUCGAACUGAGUGCGUGGAGCCGAAAUCGUUUGGCUAAAAAACACGGAGCGGAGCUGGAAAAUGUGGAGCAGAGCAGUCCCAAACACCCCCUUAAUCAUCAAAUACACAAGGAAAAGGAUCCAUAUUCAAAUACCACCUAGAAUUAGGGUUUGAUCUGACAGAAUUCCACGAGUUUUGUUGUUUAUCUAUUUCUGCAGGAGGUUAUCAGGAAAUAUAGAGGAAAGGGCCACACAUCGGGUUUACAUAGAGAAAUUAACGUGUGCGCCAAUUUUCCUUGAUCUAAAACACUCUAGAAGCCACGAGAACGAGCGGGAGGCCGAGCGGGCCUAGGGGCAGGGCGCCCGCCCUAAACCCUAGGGCGCCUACCCAAGCUCAGCAACCAAUGAGGCUGAGUCUCGUGGAUUAUGCUCCACCACCUUUGAGCAUCAAGGAAAACUGUGCAAUUAAGGUCGGUUUGAUCCGACGGUCCACGUUAAUUUGGGAGGGCUAUAUAAGCAAGGCCCCUGGCCCCUAGAGGAAGGCAAUCCCAUUAUUCAUUUGCAUAUUUUCUAGAGAGGAUUCGUAGAGAGAGGUUACUCUAGGGUUCCAAUCUCCAGGGCUUAGCAUUCAAUGUGAGAUUAGAAUUUUUUCUUCUAGAUUGAGAGAGAUAGAGUGGAGGUGUAGAUUAGAGGAAACCUGACCUGUCGGUGUCUUCUCCAAGUUGUACCUAUAGGAUCAAGUGUCCUAACCCGAGGCUUGCUCCUAGGAUUCUUCGGUAUUUCGACUUCUAAAUUCUAGUAAGUUCUUUGUUCUUAUUGUUAUUUGGUUUGUGAGUUUACUUUACCCUCUUCACAUAGAGUUUAGAGUAAUCAUCGCUUGUGUGAACAUAGUGUUCGGGCUACGAUACUCAUAGAUACCCCCUGUCUAGCCGGACCGUGGUAGUAGCGAGGAACGUGCAAUUCCGUAGCUACCUUUGUAGCCCAUAAUCCCGUUAGCAUGAUUGGUAGGGUUUAUAGGUGUGGGUCGAACAUCCUUUGUGGUGUCUAGAUUUUGUAAGCCUCCCCAAUAGAGCAGUAGAUCAUCCUUACUAAGGUUAGAACGAGGGUGCAGUCGUAGUCUUCUCUAUACAUCGCUCACAUCAAAUCACUUUGGUUGUAGCCUAAAUGUUAGUAGCAAUAGAUUUGGUUAGUUAGAUGCACACUUUCUCCUAGUCGUAAAAUAUAAAUACGAUACUCUGGAUAUCCUCUCGGGUGAAGUGCUCACCGAUAUCCGUGUGCUUACGGAUCAAAUUCUGAUUGCGUUACCAAAUAUCAACAAGUAUUUCUCGCGCCGUUGCCAGGGAGAAAGAUGGUUUGCUGAGAUAACCUUGAGUCUUGCUACUAGCUUGUAUCUAUACUUUUAUCUUUUCUUAUCUUUUUAUUUUCUUUAUUUUUACCUUUUGGAAAACCAAAAUUCUAAAUCAAUCUACCAAUAUGCAACACCUUCGGAGACUGACCUUUUACCAUGGGAGUCAUCACAGCCCAUCCAAACAUCCCAGUACAGGUUAAGUCCACGGUUAAUUACCAAGAUUGAGAGCCUAUCUUUUUCGGGAAAGUAAGACGAAAACCCUUACCUUCACAUUAGAGAUUUUGAGCAAACAUGCGAUUGUCUUCGCAUAGAAGGCAUAUCUGAUAAAACUUUAUGUUGGAAGCUAUUUUCUUUUUCUUUAAGGGGAGAAACUAGACAAUGGUAUAAUCAGAAGCUAAGUCAACAAUGAGGUGAUUGGGGAGCUUUACAUGCCAACUUUAGCCUAGGUUUUUAUUCCCUCGACCGUAUCGCCGACCUUAGACUCAAAGUCUAACUUUUCAACAAAAAGAAAAUGAAACUUUGGCUAAAUCCUAGAAACGUUUUUUAGAGCUUUUAGAAUCCGGUCAAAAGCUUAAUCUUGAAGACCCUAUUCUUCUUCAACAUUUCUUUCGAGGUCUUCAUAAAGUUCAUAAACAAUUGCUACACACAAUGUCUAGAGGUUCUUUCUUUCGUAUCCCAACUGAUGAAGCUAGGGCGAUCUUAGAUAGAAUCCUAGAAGCUAAGAUAGAUAAUACCCUCCAUGAUGAAACUUAUGAAGCCGAAGUAGACACUCUGCCAAAUUUUUCAUCUGCUUUAGCUAUCCCAAGUUCUGAGCCACAAAAGGAAGAAAUUCCACCACCUGAUUUCAUAUUGGAUAUAGAAUAUGAUCUUUUUUCUGACUUUGGAAAUAUUUCAAAUUAGCAUUCUAUAGAUAAACCCCAAAGCGGCCAUUCUAUCAUUUGUUUACCGAACGAAUAUGAUUUGAGAGAGCUUUCCUCUGAAGUGAUCCAUUUGGAUACACCUCCUAUACCAAUACGAUGUGCUUAUAAUUCAAGUCAAUUUGAUGCUCUCUACAAUCCUGUUGUGGGGAUCAACAUCAUGUCUAAAUCUUUUGCACAUAAGUUAUUUGGAAAAUUAAUUUUAACCCCAAAACAAAUUUCAUAAAGGAUUCUUCGGGACAAUUAGUCCCCAAUUUUGGAAUUUUGAAUGUCCUACCCAUUAUGUUAGAAAGCUCCAUGGUUCAUUUCAACUUUUAUAUCUUUGAUACAUAGUACUUCGACUUGUUGAUAGGACAACAUUUUAGAAGACUCCUUUAUGAAGGUCAAACUAGAAAGCUACACAUUUCAUUUGGAAAAGAUUUUAAAUUCCCGAUAACAAUUUCUCAUUCUUUGAACAAUAAGACCGAAACAUAUCUUCUACCUGAACCUAUGGAAGAUGUAAAAGCUAUGUCUCUAGAGCUUUUAAAUGAACCAAAUUUAGAAGAAGAAGCCUCUUUCUUCAUAGAAGAGUAGGCUGAACCUUCUGAACCUGAACCCUUAGAUGAGUUUGCAGAAACACCCAGACCUCCCAUAGAGCUUAAACCUUUACCACCCGGUCUUGCCUAUGCUUUCUUGAAUAAUAAUCUAGAGUUUCCUAUAAUCAUCAGUGAUAAACUCACUCAGGAGCAAACUCUCUGAUUAAUGGCUAUUCUUGGAAAACAUCACUCAGUCUUUGGCUACUCACUCCAAGAUCUUACAACAAUGAGUCCUAUGAUUUGUACUCAUCAUAUUCCGACAGAUCCUUCUGUUUCACCUUCUUGAGAGCCUCAACAUAGACUUAACAACGCGAUGAGGGAAGUAGUUAAAAAGGAAGUUAUAAAGUUGAUGUAUGCAGUUAUUAUAUAUCCCGUGCCGCAUAGUGAAUGGGUGAGCCUAGUUCAAGUUGUGCCUAAGAAGGGAGGCAUGACUGUUGUUACGAAUGAAAAGAGUGAGCCAAUUCCGCAAUGCACCAUCAUAGGGUGGUGGAUGUGAAUAGACUAUAUAGAAAACUGAACAAAGCCACAAAAAAGUAUCACUUUCCUUUACCUUGUAUAGAUGAGAUGUUAGAGCGGUUAGCGAACCACUCGUUCUUUUGUUUCUUAGAUGGAUAUUCAGGGUAUCACCAGAUCCUGAUCCAUCGUGAUGAUCAAAGCAAAACCACUUUUACAUGGCCUUACAGGACGUAUGCUUAUCAUAGAAUGUCUUUUGGGCUAUGUAAUGCACCAGCUUCUUUUCAAAGAUGCAUGAUGUCUAUAUUUUUGGAUAUGAUUGAAGAGAUUAUGGAAGUUUUCAUGGAUGAUUUCUCUGUUUAUGGAAAAACUUUUGAUAGUUGUCUUGAAAACUUAGACAAGGUUUUGUAAAGAUGUGAUGAAAAGCACUUAGUCCUUAAUUGGGAAAAAUGUCAUUUUAUGGUUAGGAAGGAAUAGUGCUGGGACACCUAGUGUUUGAAACAGGUAUUGAGGUAGACAAAGCUAAAAUUGAAGUAAUUGAACAACUACCUCCACCUGUGAAUGUAAAAGGAAUUCAAAGCUUUCUUGGCCAUGCUGGUUUUUAUCGGAGAUUCAUAAAAGAUUUUUCAUUAAUUGCUAGACCACUUAAUCUUUUGCUAGCCAUGGAUGCUCCUUUCGAAUUUGAUGAUGCCUGUUUAACAGCUUUUGAAUUAUUAAAGAAUGCACUCAUCACUGCACCAAUCAUUCAACCCCCCUGAUUGGUCUUUACCUUUUGAAAUUAUGUGUGAUGCUAGUGAUUAUGCUGUGGGGGUAGUUUUGGGACAAACUAAAGACAAAAAGAAGCAUCAUGCAAUUGCUUAUACCAGUAAAACUUUGAUAGGAGCUCAACUUAAUUAUGCAACCACUGAAAAAGAGCUCCUGGCUGUAGUCUUUGCCAUUAAAAAAUUUAGAUCUUAUUUAGUUCGAGCUAAAAUAAUUGUUUAUACUCAUCAUGCUGCACUGAAAUAUCUAGUCACUAAGAAAGAUGCUAAACUUCGAUUAAUUAGAUGGAUCUUGUUACUCCAAGAAUUUGACUCAGAAAUAAAAGAUAAAAAGGAGUAGAGAAUUCUAUUGUUGAUCACUUGUCUAGAAUGCACUUUAAGAAUCCACAGGAACCACCCAUCAAUGAUUCACUCCGGGACGACAUGCUCUACGGAAUCAACAGGUCUGACCCCUGGUAUGUAGAUAUUGUUAAUUUUAUGGUUUCAGGGAAUGUACCACCACGAGCGAACAAGAAAAUGCUUAUUCAAGAAAGUUGUUCACACAUAUGGGAUGAGCCAUACCUCUUCCGUGUAUGCUCUGAUGGCAUACUCAGGAGUUGUGUGACCACUAAGGAAGGAUGGAAGAUCAUCGACAGAUGCCAUUCAUCGCCAUAUGGAGGUCAUUAUUGAACAUUCCGUACACAUUCAAAGAUCUGGUAGUGUGGAUUCUAUUAGCCUACAAUGUAUGAAGACACGAAGCAAUAUAUCCAAAGAUGUGGGCCAUGUCAAAGACACGGAAAUAUAAACACAAGGGAUGCCAUGCCACUCACCAACAAUCUUCAGAUAGAGCUCUUUGAUGUCUGGAGAAUUGACUAUAUGGGACCAUUUCCCCCAUCAAAGAAGUGUGAGUUCAUCUUGGUGGCGGUUGACUAUGUGUCCAAGUGGGUAGAGGCACUACCAUGCAAGCAUGCCGACAACAUAAGUUCAAAAAGUAUGUUUCAGGAAAUCAUAUUUCCAAGAUUUGGAGUCCCCAGAGUAGUGAUAAGUGAUGGAGGAUCGCAUUUCAUCGACAAACGGUUCGAGCAUUAUCUAUGAAGACAUGGAAUCCGCCACAACAUUGCUACCCCCUAUCAUCCUGAGACAAGUGGCUAGGUAGAGACUUCCAGCAAGCAAAUCAAGAACAUUCUUCAGAAAACAGUAAAUGAGAUGGGAACAACAUGGAAGGAAAAAUUAUGUGAUGCACUUUGUGCAUACUGGACAGCAUACAAGACCCCAAUUGGGAUGUCUCUAUACCAAUUGGUGUACGGGAAGACUCGCCACCUACCUGUUGAACUAGAGUUCAAACCACACUGGGCCAUAAGGAAAUGGAAUAUGGACCUAGAUGUUGUUGGAGAUCAUAGAAGGAUGCAAUUAUCAGAAUUGGAAGAGUGGCGAGAGAAAGCAUAUCACAAUUCAAAGAUCUACAAAGAUAGAGUCAAAAGAUGGCAUGACAAGAGAAUCAAGAAGAAGGAGUUCUCACCUAGAGAUAAGGUAUUACUUUUUAAUUCCAGGGUGAAACUCUUCGGGCAUGGAAAACUCUGGAGCAAAUGGGAAGGACCGUACAAGGUAAUCAAUUCAUCAUCCCACGGAGCAAUCACACUUCAAAAUGAUGAAGGUACGUUAUUCAAGGUAAAUGGUCAACAUCUUAAAUUAUUUUUAGAGCCCAAUAAAGAAUUAGAGGAAAUAGACAUGAUCCAUUUUUACCUUCAAUGGAGAAUUAAAGCCCGACCAUUUUAAUUUGACGUUUUUGGGCCACGUAUAUAUUUUUCGGGAUAUCAAACCUUCUAGAAACACACACGAGAGAUCGGGCCAGCGGAGGAUCCCAGGCCAGGGCAGGCGCCCUACCCUUGUCUCCUCUUGCCGCCACUUUUUUCGUUAGGAUCUCCAUGUCCAUCCCUAUCUAGAAAACCCUAUGAAUAGUGUCGGUGUUUUUCCCACGGGGGGUCACACCAACGAGUAAAUUUGUAUGCGUGCUCCCUUUCCCAGAUGGUGAUGCAAAAAGACACACAAGGAUUUAUCCUGGUUCGGGCAAGAGAAGGCCCUACGUCCAGCGGGGGGGGGGAGAGUUUGUAUUAUUUUGCACCUAAGUGCUUGUAUAGGGGUGAAUACAAGCGUGGUAUGGAGUGAAAUGGAGUAUGGGAGUUCUACUGCGUAUGGGUGUAGUGUUGCGUGGUCGUUUAUGUCUAUUCCCGGGUCUCCCCUUUUAUAGCUCCAAGGAGAGACCUAGAGUACAUGUAUUGGUGUCAGAGUAGGGGUCGAUAGAGGCAUGGCGCGCUGACCUACUCGAGGCCUCCGUACUGGCGUGGUCUCGAGCCGUCCCGUCUUGGCAGCUGGAUGAUGAUUACGCGUGCCCCCGUAUCCUGCUCUGCGCGCCGUCUCGGGCUGUUUCACCGGUCGCACGCCUGUACGGUAUAGCGACAGAUCCGGCGGGGUGGCUGCGGUGUUGUCAGUCGACGCCCAACUCUUCCCCAGGAAGGAAUCAUGUCUGGUCGAGGGUCAGACGCCGUGCAGUGCCUUGUUGUCCAAAGCGUUGACCUUGGGUGUCUCGAGGGAGUCCCGAUUGGAUGCUCCAUCCUUGCUUUCCGUUUCCUGGUACGCUCUGGGUUGUUUGGUGGGGAAAGCUGCAAAAAGAAUGAUGGGACGGGUGCCUGUUCCCUAUCACGCUUCCCGUGACCAGCGUGUUAGGUGGGAAAGCGACAAGCGCAUUAAAUGCCCUGUCUCCCGUGCGCGCGUCAGGCGGCGGACAGUGUCCUUGCGCUCGACGCCUCUCGAUUCGCUCUAGCCUAUUUCCGUAUUCGACGGUAAUUAGUGAUCGACCCCUGUGUGGUUCGCUCGACGUCCUUUCCGUCUUCGAGGCUGCGGCCGUCGAUGACCGCACGGCUUAUUAGAACGUCGAGUUGAGGGCCUCGAUCUGUGCAUGGGUAAUCUCGUCAGGGUACCCCUUACUGAUACCCUCGACAGUAGCCCCCGAGUCUCUAUUCGAGCGCUGGCGCUCGAGUGGAGGCUUUAUUUCGCGGUCGAAUUUCUGUGGGGACGCGCGAGCGACCCCACGGGGGUAGCCCCCGAGCCCUUGGUUGAGUUUUUGACUCCUUCGAGGGUUAUAUUACCUAAUUCUCAGAAGCGCUAUCGACACCGGUGGUGGAAGGUCCUGAUUGGCUUGUUUUGUGCGGGGGUUUUGACGUACUCUCGAUAGAGCGAGCGUCUUCCACCCCAAGUUGAGUUCCUAGCGGGUAGUCCAAGUGAGAACCUGUGCCCCUUUCGAGGGGGUCAGCUGUAGCCCGGAGGCGUUCUCAUAAAGCAGGGUCGACGUGGUCGGAGAUACUGGUCUCAUUCAAUAGAGUCCAGCGGCUCGAUGCCUCCCGUUGGGGGGAUUCCUCUCGACUGUCUCGACCCUACCUUGGACAUCCCCAAUGAGUCUUUGAGGCGGGCCUCGAUCUUCGACCACUCGCUGGGGAUCCCUGACUCUGGUGCUCGAGAUCGGCUGUCGAACCCUUUCGGUGGGCCAGCCUGCGACCUCUCGAGGCUUUCACGGGUACACUCCUUGGCUUACAAGGGAAGGACAAGAUCGUGGGCGACUCGCCUUCCUGCCCGUUGGGCGUGCCUUUUUAGGUAGGAGACGUUACGACACUGCGUCGGCGUGGAAUUCGGAGCGUCCCACCUGAGAGGAGGGAAAGGACCGUUAGAUGGCGCAUUUAUGGGUGGAGUUACCUCAUUUAUCGGAUCUGUCCGUUGGUGGACAGCUGCCUAUAAAUGUGCCCUGGCGUCGCCGCUGUUCUCCCUUCCGCCUUCCAUCUUCAUUCUCGCCUUAGCCCUCUCGCCGUCUCACGCGCCCGUGCCCCCCUCGAGCAUCAGCGAAUCCGCUAUCCUUCCGGCCAAGAUGCCUGUGAGACUUGUCGCCGCAGACGACUGGCGCCCGUCGUCGAUGACGGAGCGCCGGUUGCUAGAGCUUGAGAGGGAGGGACUCCUACGCCGCCGCACCUCGCUGUCAUCGAUGGAGUGGAACGCGCCGCUGGCGGACCACAGGGAGCCCAGGCAGCCCAAGGGCUAUGUGGUUUCGUUCGCCAAGUUCCACCGCCACGGCCUGGGCACUCCCCCGAGCCGCUUCAUGCGGGCGCUCUGCCACCAUUACGAGGUGGAGCUCCAGCACUUCUCCCCAAACGCCAUCACCGUCGCAGCGGUCUUCGCCGCGGUGUGUGAGAGCUAUUUGGGGAUGAUGCCCCACUAGGAGCUGUGGCUCCACCUCUACAGAGGCGAGCUCUUCAACGCCCCCACUGGGACCACCAGCGUGAGGAAACCUAAUGCUGAAGACGGAGAAGACGGAGAGGCCGCACGAGUACAUCCCGGUGGGACUGUCGACCAACCACGCCGGCUGGGAUUCCCAGUGGUUUUACUUGAGAAACGACGACGAUCUCCUGCCCGCCUACACCAGGCGUCUGAUCACGGAGCGUCCAGAGAAUUGGACAUACGGUGUCGUCCAAGUUCAUCAGUCUCGGCUCGACCCCCUCCUCAACGUCAUGAAGAAGCUGCGCUCGGAAGGCUUGACCGCCGCUCUCGUCCUCUCGGCCGUCCAUCACCGGAGAGUUCUCCCAUUGAUGUCUCGACCGCUGAGGAUGGAUGAGAUGGCCCCCGGCGCCUCAUCUCGGGACCUCGAGGCAUGCCGGAUGUCAAGCGAGGCUCCGGCGAACGACAAAGUUGCGGCCCGGGUCAGGGCCGCCAUUGCUGGUGACUUUAAGCCGGAGCAUGUUAACGGCUUCCCCAUGAGGCCUGAUGCGGGCUCGAUUGAUCUGGUUUGUUCUCUUGUCGUAUACAGUUUUGAUUCUAGACUUCCUUCUACCCCUUUUCUAAGUCUGCCUUUGUUUUGGCAGGGGCAGAUUGAUGUCCGGUCCUCGAGGCCUCCAGUAAAGGAGGACGAGGUUGACGAUGACGCGCGGCGCUGGUCCGCCGAGAAGCAGAAGUCUCCCAAGGACUCUGCAAAGAAAGGAGAGAAAAAGAAGAACCUUGACCGCCAAGCAUUAGAGGCGUGUCGAGCUAAAUCCAGGCAGAGGGGGGAGCCUGAGGAGGAAUCCCCCAGCGACGAUGAAGGUGGAGAUGGUGAUGAGGACAGCGACGAUUCCGAGGGGAUGGCGUCUCACCUCGACCGGAUCCUCGAGGGUCCGUCUCGAGGCGACGUCGAUGCCCCACGGAUGGAAACACCAAAGGAGGGACCGGGCGGAUCUCACCGCCCUCGCGCCGACACCCCCCCCCCCCCGUGCCCGUGACUGGUCAGGUCGCCUUGCGUCCUCCACCUGCGCCCAAGAUGAGCAGCCAUGCUAGGCCCCAGGCGACGGGGCCACUGACUCGCGGUCGCGCCGCGACCUCCGAGAAAGGAGAGACUGGCCGCAGGAGCGCGAGUCCCGGUGCUCGCCAAGCGGAAGUUACUGGGCCAAGGCCAGCGCCUUUCCUCGAGGGGUCUGGGACCUUGACGCGGGGUGGCUCGAGGCCCACCGGUCGGGGUACCGGCAGGCGAGUCGUUCUCCCCGUGGGGUAAGCUCUUCCACGCUGUUAUUCCCCGUGGUUCUUUGCGUUUUCUCGCGGUGCAGUCUCCUUUACGCCCGUUCUUCCUUCCUUAGGUUGAAACGGACGCUCGAGCAGGCCCAGCCUUCGAUGGCGAAGAAGCUCAAGGUGGGAGCGGCCUCCAAGGAACCAGGUCAGUAGCUUACUUCUGCGAUUUGUGUUGUUCUUCCGCUGGUCAUCAUAGUGACCGGCCUUUAUUCUUUGUCUUACAGGCUCCUCUGAUUAUCAACCCCCGGCCGACGCUGAGAGUGCCCCGCCUCAUUCUGAGUCUGCCUCGUCGCCACCGACACGGGCCGAGGUCCCCCAGACCCAAGGGCAAGAGGGAGCCCCCGAGCCUCCCCGAUCGGGGGUCGAGGGGGAUCCCAUUACCAUCAGUGAUACGUCUGGCGGCAACGAGACGUCGAGGGAUGCCCACCCUAUGGAGGAGGAUGCGUCGACCUCCCUCGUCGCGGGACGGACUCACUGGCCUGCUGGUCUUCGUGCCCUCGAGGAGCAGAAGAAAAAGGAGGAGGAGGAGGAGCGGGAGCGCGAGGCAAGGCGGCAGCCGCAGGAGCUCGAGGAGCUAUAGCAGUGGCAGCAGCAGCAGGAGGAGCAACAGCAGCACCAGCAGCAGCAGCCGCAGCAACAGCAACUGUAGCAGCAACUGCUCGAGCCUCCUCCUCACAGUCCGCCCCAACCAGUACGACCGGCGCCGUAAGAACCCGGAGACCAGGAGGAGGAUUUGCCGGUUUUUGGUCCUCCGACCCCGGCGUGGCUCCGCCCUGGGGCGCCCGCCGCGAUCCCGGCAGAGCGGGGGCGAGCGGACGGUGUGGUAGCGCUUGCCUGCAUGAUACGUACCCCCACCGACCUCGAGUCCGAGAUCAGGAGGACGAUCUACGGCAUGGACGGGAUCGCCCCAGGGUUCCUCCGGGAGCGCCGGGCAUGGGAGGACCACAUCCCUGCUGAGGAGGAUGAGGCCGGGACGUCAGGUAUCCAAGACGGCACCUGGAAGACGGUGGACGACGACGGGCGGUUCCCUUGCCUCGUCGACUUGUUCCUGCAUCAUGGGGGAUCCCUCGAGACCGUCGAGGACCUUAUUCGUGGCGUCAAGGCACGGGGCGACCGGGAGAUGGAGAACUGGUGCCCCGAUCGGAUCCGCAUCCGGGCUUCCACCGACCCGUCCGAGCCCAACAUCUUCCUGGAUGAUAGGAAGGAGGCGGAGAAAUGGGAACACAUCGAGGAGCUCCGCCUUUGGAUGAAGCACGUGGUGGGGCUCCUAUCAGACGUCAUCAACAAUGGGCUCAGGCCGGCCUACUUCGUAAGUAUUCUACGGUCCUUAAUCCUCAUAGGUCUAUCGGUUUUGUGUUUUAAUCGUCUGACCACCGGCUCGCAGGACAUGAAAGAGACCUCCCGCAUCAAGUCGAGCUUCAUUCAUGCCACAAGAGGCGGCUGGGAGCAGCUCCCCGCCCUCAAGGACCAACUCCUCGAGUCGCAGGAAGGCUUAUAAUGACCUCAUACCACUCGAGGAGGAGAAGAAGGCGAGGGAGGCUGCCUUGGUCGAGGCUCGAGAGGCCUCAAGGAAGGCGGUGGAGGAGACGACGCUGCUGCGGGAGCGGGCUCUAACGGUCGAGGAGGCUGUAACACCCUAGGUGUUAAGCAUGCACUUAGUCUCAUCAAGGUCAUGCAUAAGCAUUUCCAUCAAGCAUAAGCAUCAUGAGCAUGACACUCUUUUCAAAUUAUGAUUUUAUGUGCUUCAUUUCAUGUGCUUUAAUUAUGUUAAAAAUGUGAUGCUUGUUUCUAAAAUUGUGAAAUAUUCAAAUUAGGUUGCUUUAUGUGUAAGAAGAAUUAAGAACAUUUUUGUGCAAUUUUUGGAGCUAUGGAAAUUGAGAAAUGGAAUUUAUACAAAAUAUCCAAAAUAACUUUAUUUAAAAACCUAGAACUAAGUUUUAAUUUGUAAUUCAAAUUCUAUUUAGAAUUUGGUCUUACCUAUUGAAGCAAAGUUGUAGAGCUUUUACUUUGGCACCACUUUGCUUUUGGGUGAAGAUGGUGAAAAUAAUUUGAAAAUGGUCAAAAUGAAUUUAUGAGAGAAUUUGAGAAAAGAAAUUCAAAAAAAAAAUAGAAAAGGGAAAGGGGGCGCUAGCAGGCCGCGGCCUCGCUUCUGGCCCGCUGGCCGAAGCCGGCCUGGCCCGCCCGCGCCUUCCCCUUCCCCCUCCUCGAGCUGGCUACCGCGUCAACGCUCUGCGGUAUGAUCUCGCCGUGCCGCCGUGGCGCGCCGGCAGAGCCUGGCCGCCGCGUUGCGGGCAUGCGGCGGCGUGGAGACGCCCUGGUCGGCCACNNNNNNNNNNNNNNNNNNNNNNNNNNNNNNNNNNNNNNNNNNNNNNNNNNNNNNNNNNNNNNNNNNNNNNNNNNNNNNNNNNNNNNNNNNNNNNNNNNNNAGCUCCGGCCCUCUCCUUCCCCUUCGCGACCACCACCGGCUCCGCCUCGUCCUUCCGCGUCUCGUGCUUGCGCUCUUCCGCGCUCGGUAAGCCCUGCGUGCCCGCUAGAGCUCACCGGAGUUAGUCAGAGCUCCGGCGACAUCUCGGCUCGCACGGUUCUCCCUCUCCUCUCUGUCUCUGCUCGCGUUCAUAGGUGCUUUGGGUCCGCCUUGACCUCGCGCACCUUUUCCCGUCACUAGCUCACGCUGUACCGCCGUGAAACGGCCGGACCACGGCGAGCAGCGCCGCCACGUCCACCAUUCACGACGGCGAGGUAGUUCCGGUGCUCGUCCGGUGCCAAAGAGGGUACGGCUGGACUCGUCUCGUUCGCGCGAAGCCGUACGUGCUCACGGUGUCGCCGGAAACCUCACCGGCGGCGAGAUUCCGGCCGAUCUUUGGCCGCGGGGUCACGGGGUGGAUGACAGGUGGGGUCCCUUGACCCGCGUGUCCCGCCUGUCAGUGACUCCGAGGGUUUGAAUCCGGGUGCGCUUAGCAUUUUGGGUGACUUUCCGUUUUAAAAGUUUUUCCAGGAAAUGAUUUAAAUGUUCAAAAAUCCAUAUCUUGAUGAAUGGUGAAAUAAAUUUUGGUGUGUUCCUUAUUUCCAGAUCUAUAGCCUAAUAUGAUUGCAUGUCAUGUUUGAGUAACUUUCCUGUAAGAAUAUAAUUAAUCCAUGUUUUUCCUAAACUUGGAAAAUGCAUAGUAAAUAAAAUAGGGUUCAGAAAAAUGUAAAACUUGUUUUGCUGGCUCUGCAUUGUGUUUAACCACUGAAAAAAUAUUGUUACAUAUUAUUUGGUGUAUAAAUGAAUUUAUGGUAAUUUAAAUGCUUGCAUGGCAGCGCUUUAUGAUUUUUAAUAAUUAAAUGGGUCAUGCAAUAAAUCUGGAAAAUUUUGUGGGUGUUAGACUCUGAGGACGAGAUGGACGCGGAUCCCGAGAUAGGAGCAGCUGCUAGUGGUGAUGAAGAUGAGGAUGGCUCCGGCAUGGACAGUGACCACAACGAGUAGAUGCUAGGGUUUAGGGUUUAGGGUGAUUAAAAAUAUGAAAUCUGUUGUUUGACACUUAUAUCACAGUAGGGUGAUUAUACUUGCCUUAUCCAUUAAUCUUGUGAUUUUUGUGGCUCAAAAUAAGUAACCAAAAAUUAUGAAAAAUUUACAGUAGACUUUGUGAUUAGCUAGUAGUCUCCUGUAAUUUUUCUGGAAUUUAUUGAUGAACAGAAUUGCAUGUGAUUUUUAAUGGGCUUAGAAAUGAAUAAAGAAAAUUAUGAAUGGUUGUGUAUGUAGGUUGAAUGGACUAAGUUGGGUUUGGUGUAUCUUUGAAGCAUCAUGUAGGUUGCUGAUUUCAUUUGAAAAAUAUUUGUAGAAGAGAAUGCAAUAGAUGCUUAAUCCAAGUGCCUGUUCUUGGAUGAUGUUGCAUACAUUGUAAUGAACAUGACCAAGUGUAUCAUCCAUGCAUCAUGUCAUGGUCCUUUGGUACUUUCUCAUACAAGCAUCCACUCGGGCAUCUCGCACUCCACUCAUGAGCAUAUAUGCAUCAUACUGGCUCGCAGGAGAAUGAAGUGGGACCCGAGGAACCCGAGGAGAUACAGGAGCAGGAACCUCCGGAAACACAGGAAACCGGAGAGGAAUUGCAAGAGUGUCCGGAUCACCGACCCAGCACCUUUGAGAAAGGCAAGCCCCGGAGCAUUCUAAGUCUCCCUAUUCUCGCUAACUUAUAUAAAGUGCUAUACUUGUUCUACUGUAUUGCAUAUUAAGUGAUAGGAGUUGCCUGAUACCGUUGCUGCAUGCGUACUCCUUGUUAUUCCUACUCAUUCAACUACCUUGUCCUAUGUAGAUAGGCACGGAGUCUAUGCUUAGCUUGCUUAGUUCGGUAGAAGUCGGGUGAUUCCCUGUCACCUGCGAGAUAUAGGUGGAUACCUGCUUGAUUAAGCAUUGGUUGCUCGGGGAAAAGAAUAACCAAGUGUGGAAUGAAUUUGGAGACCGGGCAGAGACUUAUGGUGGGUUGACCAUAGUGCCCCUGCCUGUGUCAAUUAAGGACCGAUCGUUGACGGCCCUCUUGUCAUGUUGAACGCAUGCCCCACAUUUAGCUGGAAGGAUAAGUCGUUCCGACCGCGAAGCCUGAGCACUAUCCGGGCCGGGAAUCGGCCCGAUGUACGCGCUGUAUUGGUGAUGGUUGAGGAGAACAACGAGGGCGCGGCGCGCAACCUUGGUAUACCUUGGAUACCUCGGUCGCCGGAACGGUCCUCGGGUACGGGCGGUGCCUGUCGAACCCGCGAAUUGGUCCUGGAUAGUGCAACACGGUGACCUGUAGCUCACUUGAUCAGUGAGUGUGGUUUGUGUGGGGAAUAAACUCGCCAGCUGGUUAGAAAUCGAUUCGAAUCGCCAUCGCUCCUGGAUAGUGAGCACUUGACAUGAGCCCUGUCCUCGUAGUAAGGACUAUGGAACACUUGGGUUAUAAUGAUGAAUAGUUUUAAGAAAUGCUAUGAUGAGGUACUAUCAUAGUCUCAUACUUGCUUGUAAUAGUGCAGGUGCAAACCUAGAUAAUAGGUAAUGAUACUUUCAACUUGAGCAAAUUAAAAGAAGAAAAGAUUUAUGUAAGUUAGGGUAAUAAAACCUUGCGGUCUUUGCAAAAUGGUUGUCAGCUACCCCACUAAAUAGCCUUCAUAAUCCUUGAUGAGUCUUUAUUUUAAGUUUAUGACGGGUAAGUCUAGCUGAGUACCUUCUCGUACUCAGGGUUCUAUUCCCAUGUUGUUUUGCAGAUGGUCAAAUGUACUAUGGUUAUUGCAUCCUCUGUCUGUACCCAGCUAUGGGUGAUGACUAGACCAUGGGCGAUGGUCUCUCCGUCUCUUCUUUUGCUUUUGUGGGAAUGACCGAACUAUGGCACUGUAUCAGACUUAUCGUGUGUGUUGUAAUCUCAAACUAUGAAGCUUCCGCUACUUGAAGAACUUGGUUUGUAAUAACUUUAAGCACUCCGAUGUAUUUUAUGAAUGUUGUAAUCUGGAUGUACUUGUGGAUGGCGACCGCUAAACUUAUUACGAUCUUGGCUGUUAUGUGAUGUGUGGUUUGAAAUCCAUCGAGAUUUCACGGACUACCGGGAUUAUAUGUGCUUAAGCGUGAUAGUUCGACUAUGCAAAUGGUCACUAUUAGGCUUAAUCUCUUAUAAUUUGGUCGGUUCUGUUACAGCUGGCAUCGGAGCAAGGUUUAGCGAGUUACUGUUCAUAAGUACGUUCUAAACAAAAUCUAAACCGGUCUAAUGAAAGAUUUUAGUAAUUAAUAAAGAUCAAGGUGUUAAACUAAGUUUUGGAAAACUAUCUAAUGUGCCGUGGUCAUAUCCUUUAUGCCCAGUUAAGGACUCUAAGGUGGCUAGCUAUGUACUAACCUGGGGGUUAAUGCAUCAUAUUUUUGUUUCGUCGCUCAUACGGCGUGCAAUAGUAUGAGUGCCAUUCAUUUGAGUGGUAAUGUAUGGAUCAAUUCUUCCUCUACGUCAUGGUAAGUGGGAGUUGUGAGAGCAUGAUCGGAUACACUGCCGGUCUAGGGGGGUGUUGUCAGGUGCUGUGCUAUGCGCACAUGUUGGUGUGUCUUGGGAACAGUACCGCAUGCUGGGAAUUCCGUCCUGAGAGGCGAUGCUGUCAAUAGGGCGAUGAUGUGGGUAGUGACACAUCGCAUGCAUGGACGGGUGUCUGUGUAUGCGAAGUGCCUAGUUUUAAAUUCCUAUUCUGCACGAUCAUACUGUGGGUGGGCUGAAAUGAGUUUUCUGUAGGUACACUAACCAUGUUCUCGCUUAGAACGCUAGUUACGUUAUGAGAGAACGUUGUGUGCCACCGCAUAUACCGCUUAGUGCUAACCUUUGUUUCUAAGUUUGUGAGAUCGUAAGCUCGUGCAUACAUCAUGUUCAUUUCAUAUCAUUGCUUACUUUCCCCCUUAAUUUAAUCUGUCCCAAUUCUAAAUAAAAUAAUUAAAGGUAAUCCUCGCUCUUACCCAUGGUAUUCCAUUUGCAGCAGAUGGCACGCACUAGGCUCACCGCUCGCAAGUCCACUGGUGGGCGGGCCCCUCGCCGUCCGUUGGCAGCUAGGAGCUCGCGACAUAAGAGCAAGUUCCUAGAGGAGUUUGGGAUGCCCACUUUGCUUUGGAGGGUGCUCAGUUCGAUGGGGUAUCCCGAAGGAAGGGAGCCUCGCUACUAUUGGGAUAAGGAGCCGCUUGGGGAUGAGACCCUGGUGGGGAUCGAGGCAGUUGUCCCUACCAGUGGAGGAGACCCUGCUUGGGGCGGUUGGGUGUACGAGUCCCGAGGUGUCCCGAGGUGUCCCUACCAGGGCAGCUUUCGCAGUUUUGAGGGACCUCAUGGAGAGGUUUCCACAGGAGCUGGCCCACGCCUUCACUGGGGUGUUUCCCCGGGGUGACCCUUACACUUCGGUGUGGGAUCAGUCCGAGGUGAAUGCUCUAGAGAGGAGUGCGGACGAGGACCAGCACAGUGACAGUGCAGCUAUGAGUGCCAUGUACGCGUUGAUGAAGACCUAUGGAGGCCUGGAGCGUUGUUUGGGUCGCUUGUCCGGGUCUCUUCUCACCGUCCAGGAUGAGAAGCGCCAGUUGCAGCGUGAGUUGACUCUGAGGUUGAGAGGCUACAGGAAGAGUUGGCUCGUGUGACCCGAGAGAGAGACCAGGCAGUCCAGAAGAACAGUGAGCUGAGUCAGGACCUGCUUGCAGUGCGAGAGUAGAAGGACAGGGUGACUACUGCUCACAGGAACUGCGAGCGCAUGCUAGUCCAUGUGCUUGGACAGAGGAAUGAAGCCUGGCACGAGGAGGACACUUUGAGGGCCCGACAGCUAGAGCUAGAGCAGCAGCUAGCUAAUGCUGAGGAGUACAAUGAGAACUUGCAUGAGGAGAUCCACCAGCUGCAUAACCAGCUCCACCCUCACCACCUGCCUGGAGCAGCGGAGCUAGACUCUGAGGACGAGAUGGACGCGGAUCCCGAGAUAGGAGCAGCUGCUAGUGGUGAUGAAGAUGAGGAUGGCUCCGGCAUGGACAGUGACCACAACGAGUAGAUGCUAGGGUUUAGGGUUUAGGGUGAUUAAAAAUAUGAAAUCUGUUGUUUGACACUUAUAUCACAGUAGGGUGAUUAUACUUGCCUUAUCCAUUAAUCUUGUGAUUUUUGUGGCUCAAAAUAAGUAACCAAAAAUUAUGAAAAAUUUACAGACGACUUUGUGAUUAGCUAGUAGUCUCCUGUAAUUUUUCUGGAAUUUAUUGAUGAACAGAAUUGCAUGUGAUUUUUAAUGGGCUUAGAAAUGAAUAAAGAAAAUUAUGAAUGGUUGUGUAUGUAGGUUGAAUGGACUAAGUUGGGUUUGGUGUAUCUUUGAAGCAUCAUGUAGGUUGCUGAUUUCAUUUGAAAAAUAUUUGUAGAAGAGAAUGCAAUAGAUGCUUAAUCCAAGUGCCUGUUCUUGGAUGAUGUUGCAUACAUUGUAAUGAACAUGACCAAGUGUAUCAUCCAUGCAUCAUGUCAUGGUCCUUUGGUACUUUCUCAUACAAGCAUCCACUCGGGCAUCUCGCACUCCACUCAUGAGCAUAUAUGCAUCAUACAGGCUCGCAGGAGAACGAAGUGGGACCCGAGGAACCCGAGGAGAUACAGGAGCAGGAACCUCCGGAAACACAGGAAUCCGGAGAGGAAUUGCAAGAGUGUCCGGAUCACCGACCCAGCACCUUUGAGAAAGGCAAGCCCCGGAGCAUUCUAAGUCUCCCUAUUCUCGCUAACUUAUAUAAAGUGCUAUACUUGUUCUACUGUAUUGCAUAUUAAGUGAUAGGAGUUGCCUGAUACCGUUGCUGCAUGCGUACUCCUUGUUAUUACUACUCAUUCAACUACCUUGUCCUAUGUAGAUAGGCACGGAGUCUAUGCUUAGCUUGCUUAGUUCGGUAGAAGUCGGGUGAUUCCCUGUCACCUGCGAGAUAUAGGUGGAUACCUGCUUGAUUAAGCAUUGGUUGCUCGGGGAAAAGAAUAACCAAGUGUGGAAUGAAUUUGGAGACCGGGCAGAGACUUAUGGUGGGUUGACCAUAGUGCCCCUGCCUGUGUCAAUUAAGGACCGAUCGUUGACGGCCCUCUUGUCAUGUUGAACGCAUCCCCCACAUUUAGCUAGAAGGAUAAGUCGUUCCGACCGCGAAGCCUGAGCACUAUCCGGGCCGGGAAUCGGCCCGAUGUACGCGCUGUAUUGGUGAUGGUUGAGGAGAACGACGAGGGCGCGGCGCGCAACCUUGGUAUACCUUGGAUACCUCGGUCGCCGGAACGGUCCUCGGGUACGGGCGGUGCCUGUCGAACCCGCGAAUUGGUCCUGGAUAGUGCAACACGGUGACCUGUAGCUCACUUGAUCAGUGAGUGUGGUUUGUGUGGGGAAUAAACUCGCCAGCUGGUUAGAAAUCGAUUCGAAUCGCCAUCGCUCCUGGAUAGUGAGCACUUGACAUGAGCCCUGUCCUCGUAGUAAGGACUAUGGAACACUUGGGUUAUAAUGAUGAAUAGUUUUAAGAAAUGCUAUGAUGAGGUACUAUCAUAGUCUCAUACUUGCUUGUAAUAGUGCAGGUGCAAACCUAGAUAAUAGGUAAUGAUACUUUCAACUUGAGCAAAAUUAAAAGAAGAAAAGAUUUAUGUAAGUUAGGGUAAUAAAACCUUGCGGUCUUUGCAAAAUGGUUGUCAGCUACCCCACUAAAUAGCCUUCAUAAUCCUUGAUGAGUCUUUAUUUUAAGUUUAUGACGGGUAAGUCUAGCUGAGUACCUUCUCGUACUCAGGGUUCUAUUCCCAUGUUGUUUUGCAGAUGGUCAAAUGUACUAUGGUUAUUGCAUCCUCUGUCUGUACCCAGCUAUGGGUGAUGACUAGACCAUAGGCGAUGGUCACUCCGUCUCUUCUUUUGCUUUUGUGGGAAUGACCGAACUAUGGCACUGUAUUAGACUUAUCGUGUGUGUUGUAAUCUCAAACUAUGAAGCUUCCGCUACUUGAAGAACUUGGUUUGUAAUAACUUUAAGCACUCCGAUGUAUUUUAUGAAUGUUGUAAUCUGGAUGUACUUGUGGAUGGCGACCGCUAAACUUAUUACGAUCUUGGCUGUUAUGUGAUGUGUGGUUUGAAAUCCAUCGAGAUUUCACGGACUACCGGGAUUAUAUGGGCUUAAGCGUGAUAGUUCGACUAUGCAAAUGGUCACUAUUAGGCUUAAUCUCUUAUAAUUUGGUCGGUUCUGUUACAGCUGGCAUCGGAGCAAGGUUUAGCGAGUUACUGUUCAUAAGUACGUUCUAAACAAAAUCUAAACCGGUCUAAUGAAAGAUUUUAGUAAUUAAUAAAGAUCAAGGUGUUAAACUAAGUUUUGGAAAACUAUCUAAUGUGCCGUGGUCAUAUCCUUUUUGCCCAGUUAAGGACUCUAAGGUGGCUAGCUAAGUACUAACCUGGGGGUUAAUGCAUCAUAUUUUUGUUUCGUUGCUCAUACGGCGUGCAAUAGUAUGAGUGCCAUUCAUUUGAGUGGUAAUGUAUGGAUCAAUUCUUCCUCUACGUCAUGGUAAGUGGGAGUUGUGAGAGCAUGAUCGGAUACACUGCCGGUCUAGGGGGGUGUUGUCAGGUGCUGUGCCAUGCGCAUAUGUUGGUGUGUCUUGGGAACAGUACCGCAUGCAGGGAAUUCCGUCCUGAGAGGCGAUGCCGUCAAUAGGGCGAUGAUGUGGGUAGUGACACAUCGCAUGCAUGGACGGGUGUCUGUGUAUGCGAAGUGCCUAGUUUUAAAUUCCUAUUCUGCACGAUCAUACUGUGGGUGGGCUGAAAUGAGUUUUCUGUAGGUACACUAACCACGUUCUCGCUUAGAACGCUAGUUACGUUAUGAGAGAACGUUGUGUGCCACCGCAUAUACCGCUUAGUGCUAACCUUUGUUUCUAAGUUUGUGAGAUCGUAAGCUCGUGCAUACAUCAUGUUCAUUUCAUAUCAUUGCUUACUUUCCCCCUUAAUUUAAUCUGUCCCAAUUCUAAAUAAAAUAAUUAAAGGUAAUCCUCGCUCUUACCCACGGUAUUCCAUUUGCAGCAGAUGGCACGCACUAGGCUCACCGCUCGCAAGUCCACUGGUGGGCGGGCCCCUCGCCGUCCGUUGGCAGCUAGGAGCUCGCGACAUAAGAGCAAGUUCCUAGAGGAGUUUGGGAUGCCCACUUUGCUUUGGAGGGUGCUCAGUUCGAUGGGGUAUCCCGAAGGAAGGGAGCCUCGCUACUAUUGGGAUAAGGAGCCGCUUGGGGAUGAGACCCUGGUGGGGAUCGAGGCAGUUGUCCCUACCAGUGGAGGAGACCCUGCUUGGGGCGGUUGGGUGUACGAGUCCCGAGGAGUCCCGAGGUGUCCCUACCAGGGCAGCUUUCGCAGUUUUGAGGGACCUCAUGGAGAGGUUUCCACAGGAGCUGGCCCACGCCUUCGCUGGGGUGUUUCCCCGGGGUGAACCUUACACUUCGGUGUGGGAUCAGUCCGAGGUGAAUGCUCUAGAGAGGAGUGCGGACGAGGACCAGCACAGUGACAGUGCAGCUAUGAGUGCCAUGUACGCGUUGAUGAAGACCUAUGGAGGCCUGGAGCGUUGUUUGGGUCGCUUGUCCGGGUCUCUUCUCACCGUCCAGGAUGAGAAGCGUCAGUUGCAGCGUGAGUUGACUCUGAGGUUGAGAGGCUACAGGCAGAGUUGGCUCGUGUGACCCGAGAGAGAGACCAGGCAGUCCAGAAGAACAGUGAGCUGAGUCUGGACCUGCUUGCAGUGCGAGAGCAGAAGGACAGGGUGACUACUGCUCACAGGAACUGCGAGCGCAUGCUAGUCCAUGUGCUUGGACAGAGGAAUGAAGCCUGGCACGAGGAGGACACUUUGAGGGCCCGACAGCUAGAGCUAGAGCAGCAGCUAGCUAAUGCUGAGGAGUACAAUGAGAACUUGCAUGAGGAGAUCCACCAGCUGCAUAACCAACUCCACCCUCACCACCUGCCUGGAGCAGCGGAGCUAGACUCUGAGGACGAGAUGGACGCUGAUCCCGAGAUAGGAGCAGCUGCUAGUGGUGAUGAAGAUGAGGAUGGCUCCGGCAUGGACAGUGACCACAGCGAGUAGAUGCUAGGGCUCUAGGGCUAGUCUUUCCUCUUUUGUGAUGUAUGUUGCAUGGCAUGUCGUGUACUUUUGGAUCUGGGCUGUGUAAGACUUUAUGAGUUGAUGCUGAAAGUCCAGUGUAUGUAUACUGGCAAGUUGGAUGUACGCGAACCUUGUUGCGUGAAUGCUAAGUAAUCUGUUAGUGAUGUUGUGCGUGGAUGAUGAGUUGUUGUGCCUUUGUUUAUUGUGUGAAUUUAUUCCCUCAGUAAAUUCAGUAUGGCACGAUUUUACACAUUUUCCACCGGUUGAUGGCAACUCCUAACGAUUGCUUGUCAUUGGCGUAUGCAGAUGGUGCAAACACGCGGCGGGGGUAACAGCAAUCCGGGUCUUGGAGCAGGUACACCCGGAAAUGGGGCUCAACGGAAUGAGGACCGAGCGCCAACACCACCACCACCUCCCCCGUACACUGCGGAUGUGUUUUUCGCGUAGUUUCAGGGAAGCCAACGCAACAUGGAACAGAUGCAGCGCAACAUGGAAGAAGCUUUGCGCAACAUAGCUGACAACACCCGUCGUGGGGAUAAUCAGGGUGGCCGGGAGGUCAACCAGUACAGUUCGUUCAAGGACUUCAUGGAUACCAAGCCACCAAUCUUCAAAGAGGCUUUGGAACCCCUCGAGGCAGAUGAAUGGAUCAAUACCAUGGAGCAGAAGUUUCGUCUUCUUCGGAUGACAGAAGAACUCAAGGCUGAAUAUGCGGCACAUCAGUUACAAGGACCCGCUGGGAUUUGGUGGUCCCAUCACCGUACCACCUACCCAGAGGGGACACCAAUCACCUGGAACCGCUUCACCACCGCUUUCCGGGGAAAUUACAUCCCUCCUGGUGUGGUUGAAAUGAAGGUUGGGGAGUUCAUGAGGCUGUCCCAAGGGACGAAGUCUGUGAAGGAGUAUCUACACGCUUUCAACAAUCUCGCUCGCUAUGCCCCUGAGUUUGUAAACACGGAGGCCAAGAAGAUUGCUAGUUUCCAGAGGGGCUUGAAUCCAAAGAUGCUGAAGACCAUGGGUACAGGGGCCAGGGCUACUUUCAAUGCCUAUAUCAGCGACUGUCUGACCCAAGAGAACAAUAACAACAACUACAAUGCAUCCAAGUCUCGUAAGAGGGCUUUUGAAGCCGGAUCAUCUCAGUCCAGGGCACCAGUGGCAGGGCGACAGCAGUAUCGUCCUCCUGCCCUGGGUGCUAGGUUCCGACCGCCGCAGAGAAGGAACACCGGGCAUCCAACACAACAGAAGCCGUACAAGGUGGCGAUAGCCCCUGCCAAGCCAAAGGCAAUUCAAGCUGCAGCACCUGCCGUCAACAGUGCGCCCAAGGGUCCGUGCUAUAACUGCCACAAGAUGGGGCACUUUGCUAAGGAAUGUCCCUACCCCAAAAGGCAGCAGCCAACCUAUCCAGCUCGUGUGCACCAUACCUCGAUCGAGGAGAUUCCGAAAGGAGAACCGGUAACAGCUGGUAUGUUUCCUGUCAACCAACAUCUUGCAGUUGUUUUGUUUGAUUCUGGAUCAUCGCAUUCAUUCAUGAGCCAAGCAUUUACACAAAAGCAUGAUCAGCCAGUUACUGAGUUAGGUUAUGGCUAUCGCAUCAGCUCAGCCGGAGCCGAUGUGUUGACUAAUAAAACGGUAACAGGAGUUACCUUGGAUAUCAGUGGUCGGAGGUUCCGUGUAAACCUUGUGGUCAUGCCAGGACUGGUUUUGGAUGUCAUCAUUGGGAUGAACAAAAUGACAGAUUGGGGCGCGGUUAUAGAUACCGGGAAUAGAACUCUUUCCCUUAGAGACCCGCAAGGGAAGGGGGUGCUUCAGGUCAAGCUACCUAGACGGUUGGACUUCGCCAGUCUUUCAUGUGCAGUACAGGUAGUCCCUCUAGAACACAUACCCGUGGUAUGUGAGUUCCCUGAUGUGUUUCCUGAGGAUUUACCAGGACUUCCCCCAGAUAGGGAGGUAGAGUUUGCAAUCGAGUUGAUACCAGGUACAGCACCAAUAUCUAGAAGGCCGUAUCGGAUGCCCCCAAAUGAACUCGCUGAGUUGAAGAAUCAACUAAAAGAGUUGCUGGAUAAAGGGUUCAUCCGGCCAAGCUCGUCGGAAUGGGGUUGUCCAGCGUUGUUUGUGAAAAAGAAGGAUCAGUCGUUGCGCAUGUGCGUGGACUAUCGUCCACUCAAUGCAGUGACAAUCAAAAAUAAGUAUCCCUUGCCAAGGAUUGAUAUCCUGUUUGAUCAGUUAUCCAAGGCAAGAGUGUUUUCUAAGAUAGAUUUGAGAUCUGGGUAUCACCAAAUGAAGAUUCAUCCGCAAGAUAUCACGAAGACUGCUUUUUCCACUAGAUAUGGGUUGUAUGAGUAUCUAGUCAUGUCCUUUGGGUUGACAAAUGCUCCUGCGUACUUUAUGUAUCUAAUGAAUUCAGUCUUUAUGCCAGAAUUGGAUAAGUUUGUUGUGGUGUUUAUCGAUGAUAUUCUGGUAUAUUCAGAAAAUGAGCAAGAUCACGCCGAGCAUCUGAGAAUCGUGCUGACACGAUUACGAGAGCAUCAGUUAUAUGCCAAGUUCAGCAAGUGUGAGUUCUGGUUAAAGAAAGUUACUUUCCUAGGGCACAUUCUGUCUGAAGAAGGAAUUGUUGUGGAUCCAUCAAAAGUGCAGGAAGUCAUGGACUGGAAGGCACCAACUUCGGUCUCGAAAGUUAGAAGUUUUCUUGGUCUGGCCGGGUAUUAUCGUCGUUUUAUACCUGACUUCUCCAAGAUUGCUAAGCCAAUGACAAGUUUGCUACAAAAGGAUCAUAAGUUCGUCUGGACGGAAGGGUGUGAGUUAGCCUUCCGCACCUUGCGAAAGUUGCUAACCACUGCUCCCGUUCUGGCACAACCUAAUAUAGAGAAGCCUUUUGAUGUGUUUUGUGACGCAUCGAAGAGUGGCCUGGGGUGUGUGUUGAUGCAAGAUGGCAGGGUGAUAGCUUAUGCUUCCCGACAGCUGAGAAAGCACGAAAUCAAUUACCCAACGCACGACCUCGAGUUAGCAGCUGUGGUGCAUGCUUUGAAGAUCUGGAGACAUUAUCUGCUGGGAAAUAAGUGUCACAUUUAUACCGAUCAUAAGAGCUUGAAGUACAUCUUCACGCAGUCCGAGCUGAAUAUGAGGCAACGACGGUGGUUAGAGUUAAUCAAGGACUAUGACCUGGAAGUUCACUAUCAUCCAGGCAAGGCUAAUGUAGUAGCAGAUGCUCUAAGUCGUAAACCACACUGUCAAGUGGUUCAACCGUUGUUUGAAGAUGGGUUCAAUCUUAUGCAUCCUGAGGUCUUAUGUCAUAUACAACUCAGUUGUUCACUCGAGAGUCAAGUCAUUGAAGGUCAGAAAACGGACAAGGGUAUUUUCCACAUCAAAGAGAAGAUCAAAGAUGACCCAAAGACUCAGUUUUGGGUUGAUGAGAAGGGGGUACUGUGGUUUCAACAGCGGUUAGUGGUCCCGAAAGAUCGGGAGUUGAAGAAUCGCAUCAUGGAUGAAGCCCAUCUCUCUAAGCUUUCUAUUCGUCCUGGCAGCAGCAAAAUGUAUCAAGAUCUAAGGCCCCACUUUUGGUGGACCAAGAUGGAGAAAGAAAUAGCCGCUUAUGUGGCCCGUUGUGACAUGUGUUGCAGAGUUAAGGCCAUCCAUAUGAAACCUGCAGGUCUGUUGCAACCGUUAUCAGUUCCGGAGUGGAAAUGGGAAGAGGUCAGUAUGGACUUUAUCACAGGCCUACCAACCACAAGGAGGGGGAAUGACUCGAUUUGGGUAAUCAUAGAUCGAUUGACCAAAUCGGCCCAUUUCAUCCCUGUGAAGACUCGUUACCGACCUCCUGAGUAUGCCGAUAUAUAUAUGGCUGAGAUUGUCAAGUUGCAUGGUAUUCCCAAGACAAUCAUAUCAGAUAGAGGACCGCAGUUCACCGCUCACUUCUGGGAGCGCAUGCAUAAAAGUUUGGGGACCAGUUUGAUAAGAAGCACAGCCUAUCAUCCCCAGACUUCAGGCCAAACUGAGAGGCUAAAUCAAGUGUUAGAAGAUAUGCUGAGGGCCUGUGUGCUAUCAUCCAAGGGAUCAUGGGAAUCGUGGUUACCUUUGGCUGAGUUCUCAUACAAUAAUAGUUAUCAAGAGAGCAUCAAGAUGGCCCCGUUCGAAGCUUUGUACGGUCGAAAAUGUCGAACUCCAUUAAACUGGGUUGAACCUGGUGAAAGAAGAUACUAUGGUAUCGACUUUGUGAAUGAUGCCGAGAAAAAGGUGCAUAUCAUACAGCAGCAUAUGCAAGCGGCACAGUCACGACAAAAGAGUUAUGCGGACAAGAGGAGAAGGCCGCUUCAGUUCAAAGUAGGCGACUAUGUGUAUCUCAAGGUUACGCCAAUGAAGAAAGUUCAACGUUUCCGAGUUUGAAGCAAGCUCGAACCCAGAUAUGUGGGACCGUACCAAGUGCUAGAGAGGAAAGGCCCAGUGGCCUAUAAGAUUCAGUUACCUGAAGAGAUGAGCUCGAUCUUUCCGGUCUUCCAUGUGUCGCAACUACGGAAAUGUUUGAAAGUGCCUGAGCAAAGAAUUGAACCUCGAGGGAUCAAAAUAAAAGCAGACUUAGAGUAUAAAGAGCAGCCAGUGGGAAUUGUGGAUACCAAGGAGCGAGUAACCCGAAACAAAGUUGUCAGAACGUACAAAGUGGUGUGGAGUCAUCAUGACGAUAGGGAUGCCACUUGGGAAACAGAGGAUUACUUAAAAACAGUUUAUCCAAAAUUUCAUAAGAAAUGGUUAGUAACCCAAAAUCUCGGGACGAGAUUUCCCUAAGGGGGGAAGGGCUGUAACACCCUAGGUGUUAAGCAUGCACUUAGUCUCAUCAAGGUCAUGCAUAAGCAUUUCCAUCAAGCAUAAGCAUCAUGAGCAUGACACUCUUUUCAAAUUAUGAUUUUAUGUGCUUCAUUUCAUGUGCUUUAAUUAUGUUAAAAAUGUGAUGCUUGUUUCUAAAAUUGUGAAAUAUUCAAAUUAGGUUGCUUUAUGUGUAAGAAGAAUUAAGAACAUUUUUGUGCAAUUUUUGGAGCUAUGGAAAUUGAGAAAUGGAAUUUAUACAAAAUAUCCAAAAUAACUUUAUUUAAAAACCUAGAACUAAGUUUUAAUUUGUAAUUCAAAUUCUAUUUAGAAUUUGGUCUUACCUAUUAAAGCAAAGUUGUAGAGCUUUUAGUUUGGCACCACUUUGCUUUUGGGUGAAGAUGGUGAAAAUAAUUUGAAAAUGGUCAAAAUGAAUUUAUGAGAGAAUUUGAGAAAAGAAAUUCAAAAAAAAAUAGAAAAGGGAAAGGGGGCGCUAGCAGGCCGCGGCCUCGCUUCUGGCCCGCUGGCCGAAGCCGGCCUGGCCCGCCCGCGCCUUCCCCUUCCCCCUCCUCGCGCUCGCGCCCGCGUCCACGCGCGCAGACGGCCUCGCCGUGCCGCCGUGGCGCGCCGGCAGAGCCUGGCCGCCGCGUGGCGGGCAUGCGGCGGCGUGGAGACGCCCUGGUCGGCCACCAGGAGCCCCUGGACGGGCCCGCCGAAGCCCCCGCUCCCAUUUGCGCCCUCCACCGCUCGCUCUCGCCUCUCUGCUCGCCCUCGCGCAGCGCUCACCGCUCCGCCGCACGCCAUAGCCGCCGACGGCUCGGAGCUUCCCUCCCGGCCAGCUCCGGCCCUCUCCUUCCCCUUCGCGACCACCACCGGCUCCGCCUCGUCCUUCCGCGUCUCGUGCUUGCGCUCUUCCGCGCUCGGUAAGCCCUGCGUGCCCGCUAGGGCUCACCGGAGUUAGUCAGAGCUCCGGCGACCUCUCGGCUCGCACGGUUCUCCCUCUCCUCUCUGUCUCUGCUCGCGUUCAUAGGUGCUUUGGGUCCGCCUUGACCUCGCGCACCUUUUCCCGUCACUAGCUCACGCUCUACCGCCGUGAAACGGCCGGACCACGGCGAGCAGCGCCGCCGCGUCCGCCAUUCACGAUGGCGAGGUAGUUCCGGUGCUCGUCCGGUGCCAAAGAGGGUACGGCUGGACUCGUCUCGUUCGCGCGAAGCCGUAGGUGCUCACGGUGUCGCCGGAAACCUCACCGGCGGCGAGAUUCCGGCUGAUCUUUGGCCGCGGGGUCACAGGGUGGAUGACAGGUGGGGUCCCCUGACCCGCUUGUCCCGCCUGUCAGUGACUCCGAGGGUUUGAAUCCGGGUGCGCUUAGCGUUUUGGGUGACUUUCCGUUUUAAAAGUUUUUCCAGGAAAUGAUUUAAAUGUUCAAAAAUCCAUAUCUUGAUGAAUAUAGCUCCAAAAAUGGUGAAAUAAAUUUUGGUGUGUUCCUUAUUUCCAGAUCUAUAGCCUAAUAUGAUUGCAUGUCAUGUUUGAGUAACUUUCCUGUAAUAAUAUAAUUAAUCCAUGUUUUUCCUAAACUUGGAAAAUGCAUAGUAAAUAAAAUAGGGUUCAGAAAAAUGUAAAACUUGUUUUGUUGGCUCUGCAUGUGUGUUUAACCACUGAGAAAAUAUUGUUACAUAUUAUUUGGUGUAUAAAUGAAUUUAUGGUAAUUUAAAUGCUUGCAUGGCAGUGCUUUAUGAUUUUUAAUAAUUAAAUGGGUCAUGCAAUAAAUCUGGAAAAUUUUGUGGGUGUUUCUUAUGAUAUUAGAUGAAUUCUAAAAAUAUGAAAUCUGUUGUUUGACACUUAUAUCACAGUAGGGUGAUUAUACUUGCCUUAUCCAUUAAUCUUGUGAUUUUUGUGGCUCAAAAUAAGUAACCAAAAAUUAUGAAAAAUUUACAGUAGACUUUAUGAUUAGCUAGUAGUCUCCUGUAAUUGUUCUGGAAUUUAUUGAUGAACAGAAUUGCAUGUGAUUUUUAAUGGGCUUAGAAAUGAAUAAAGAAAAUUAUGAAUGGUUGUGUAUGUAGGUUGAAUGGACUAAGUUGGGUUUGGUGUAUCUUUGAAGCAUCACGUAGGUUGCUGAUUUCAUUUGAAAAAUAUUUGUAAAAGAGAAUGCAAUAGAUGCUUAAUCCAAGUGCCUGUUCUUGGAUGAUGUUGCAUACAUUGUAAUGAACAUGACCAAGUGUAUCAUCCAUGCAUCAUGUCAUGGUCCUUUGGUACUUUCUCAUACAAGCAUCCACUCGGGCAUCUCGCACUCCACUCAUGAGCAUAUAUGCAUCAUACAGGCUCGCAGGAGAACGAAGUGGGACCCGAGGAACCCGAGGAGAUACAGGAGCAGGAACCUCCGGAAACACAGGAAACCGGAGAGGAAUUGCAAGAGUGUCCGGAUCACCGACCCAGCACCUUUGAGAAAGGCAAGCCCCGGAGCAUUCUAAGUCUCCCUAUUCUCGCUAACUUAUAUAAAGUGCUAUACUUGUUCUACUGUAUUGCAUAUUAAGUGAUAGGAGUUGCCUAAUACCGUUGCUGCAUGCGUACUCCUUGUUAUUCCUACUCAUUCAACUACCUUGUCCUAUGUAGAUAGGCACGGAGUCUAUGCUUAGCUUGCUUAGUUCGGUAGAAGUCGGGUGAUUCCCUGUCACCUGCGAGAUAUAGGUGGAUACUUGCUUGAUUAAGCAUUGGUUGCUCGGGGAAAAGAAUAACCAAGUGUGGAAUGAAUUUGGAGACCGGGCAGAGACUUAUGGUGGGUUGACCAUAGUGCCCCUGCCUGUGUCAAUUAAGGACCGAUCGUUGACGGCCCUCUUGUCAUGUUGAACGCAUGCCCCACAUUUUGCUGGAAGGAUAAGUCGUUCCGACCGCGAAGCCUGAGCACUAUCCGGGCCGGGAAUCGGCCCGAUGUACGCGCUGUAUUGGUGAUGGUUGAGGAGAACGACGAGGGCGCGGCGCGCAACCUUGGUAUACCUUGGAUACCUCGGUCGCCGGAACGGUCCUCGGGUACGGGCGGUGCCUGUCGAACCCGCGAAUUGGUCCUGGAUAGUGCAACACGGUGACCUGUAGCUCACUUGAUCAGUGAGUGUGGUUUGUGUGGGGAAUAAACUCGCCAGCUGGUUAGAAAUCGAUUCGAAUCGCCAUCGCUCCUGGAUAGUGAGCACUUGACAUGAGCCCUGUCCUCGUAGUAAGGACUAUGGAACACUUGGGUUAUAAUGAUGAAUAGUUUUAAGAAAUGCUAUGAUGAGGUACUAUCAUAGUCUCAUACUUGCUUGUAAUAGUGCAGGUGCAAACCUAGAUAAUAGGUAAUGAUACUUUCAACUUGAGCAAAUUAAAAGAAGAAAAGAUUUAUGUAAGUUAGGGUAAUAAAACCUUGCGGUCUUUGCAAAAUGGUUGUCAGCUACCCCACUAAAUAGCCUUCAUAAUCCUUGAUGAGUCUUUAUUUUAAGUUUAUGACGGGUAAGUCUAGCUGAGUACCUUCUCGUACUUAGGGUUCUAUUCCCAUGUUGUUUUGCAGAUGGUCAAAUGUACUAUGGUUAUUGCAUCCUCUGUCUGUACCCAGCUAUGGGUGAUGACUAGACCAUGGGCGAUGGUCACUCCGUCUCUUCUUUUGCUUUUGUGGGAAUGACCGAACUAUGGCACUGUAUCAGACUUAUCGUGUGUGUUGUAAUCUCAAACUAUGAAGCUUCCGCUACUUGAAGAACUUGGUUUGUAAUAACUUUAAGCACUCCGAUGUAUUUUAUGAAUGUUGUAAUCUGGAUGUACUUGUGGAUGGCGACCGCUAAACUUAUUACGAUCUUGGCUGUUAUGUGAUGUGUGGAUUGAAAUCCAUCGAGAUUUCACGGACUACCGGGAUUAUAUGGGCUUAAGCGUGAUAGUUCGACUAUGCAAAUGGUCACUAUUAGGCUUAAUCUCUUAUAAUUUGGUCGGUUCUGUUACAGAGGCCGCGUCCAAAGCUCGGGAGGAGGCCCUGUCCUACAAGAAUGUUAUUGCCGACUUGGACAAGGAGAAGGGCCUUCUCAAGACCGACCUAGACUCCCUCUGGGACUCCUUUCAAAGGAUGAAUGUGGCGUACGUGGACAGUGAGGUCGCCAGGGGGGCCGUGGAGUAAGCAAAGAAGAAGGCCCUCGAAGACCUCGAGGCAGAGCAGGCUCGAUCCCGCAGCCUCUCUGAUGACGUCGACCGUCUGAAGGGAGAGCUGUUGGAGAAGAGUGGAGCUAUUGCUCAAGCUGGUAAGGCGAUUGAGGAUCUUCGAGUCGCCAAUACUGAGCUGGCACGCUCCAACAGGGAGAUCGAGAUGGCCAAUACUAAAUUGGUUGGCGAGAACACGGCCCUGGAGGAGAGCAUCCGUGGUAUGUUUCUAUUGUCGAGUUUACUUUUCAAGGUGUGCUUGGUUUUUUCUAAAGUUUUUUACGUUGGCAUUCACAGGGCUUAAGGACGAACUCUUGGCCGCCCAAGUCGAGGCCCGCAAUGCUAAGGUCCAGCUCGAGGCGGAGGUUGCUUUGAACCGUCGAGUGCGGACGGCGAUAAGUGAUCUCUCGACCUCUUGGGAGAUCAAGCCUAUGGACGAGUCGAAGGAGGACGCUAGAGGCGACGCGCUGGUCGACCAGCUGUGCUACUUAGGCGCGACGCUGAGAGAUCGGGUGCGGGAUGCCAUCCACAUCGGGGUGAAGUGGGCAAUGGCGGUCGUCUGCUCAGGCUUCUCCUACGACAUGGAGGUGGUGUCCCACGGCUUCGUCACCGACAUCUCUAAGACCGACGCGGAGAACGAAGAGAGGCUCCACUCCUUGAUCGAUGACGCGGAGGUUCCUGAAGAGAGGCUGGCCAAGCUAUUUGAGCCUGAGGUGCUUCCCCCUGAGACUAGCUCGGGCGCAGGCGAGGGUGGUGAGGACCGUGCUGUGGACUAAGGCCUGCGAGCCUGCUCCGGGUGCCUAGGGCCCCUUGUAUAGUACUUUGUUAAUUCUGUUUUCAAGUGACACAGUGUCUUUAAGUGGUUAUUAUAUGUUUGUCUAUCUUUUGUCACGAGGCUUCUUUUUAUUCCUUUUUGCGCCUAUGUUUGUUUUUUCUCACUUGGUCUUUUGUUCGAGGCGGUCUCGAUUGCCUCAAGGGUGAGGAGGCGAGUAGAGUUUCCAUAGCCCGGGGGCGUAGGAAGUUCUCAGGCUCAUCGCUUCUAGGCCCUUUAAGGGGCUCGAGGUGCCUUUACUACUCAACCGUGUGAGUUUACUAAUAGGAAUGAAGGGAUUACUAAGUUUUUUUCGACGUUUGGGGGGGGUCGCCCCCCUUGUUAGCCUCCGAGGGAGUGUUGACUAUGAUGGGUCGUAGUCGAUACUCCCUUACAUCGUUGAGACUUGUGGAGAAGUAAAUCGCUCGAGAGAAAGACUUCAUUUAUUCGUACAUUUAUUUACAAGGCCUUGGUACAAAGCGUACGUAGGAACGUAAAGCUUUGAAAUUCUAGGGGUAGAAUCGACGUAGCUGUUCGAUGUUCCAUGCGUUGGUGAAGACUGCCCCCUUUUCGUCCGCAAGCUUGUAUGUCCCUGGCUUCAAGACCUCGGCCACCAUGUAUGGGCCCUCCCAUGGUGGGGUCAGCUUGUGGCGUCCUUGGUUGCUUUGUCGUCGUCGUAGAACGAGAUCUCCCACAUUCAAGUCCCUCCUGCGCACGUGCUUGUCGUGGUAGCGUCGAAGCUUCUGCUGGUAUCUAGCAGAGUUGAUGAGGGCCAUGUCUCGAGCUUCUUCGAGUUGGUUGACCGCGCUUUCUUGAGAUUCUUUAUUUGAUUGUUCGUUGUACGCUUUGAGUCGAGGGGACCCAUACUCGAGGUCUGUGGGGAGGACGGCCUCAGAGCCGUAGACCAUGAAGAAUGGGGUGUAUUUUGUGGCCCUGCUCAGUGUUGUCCUUAGGCUCCAUAGGACCGAGGAAAGCUCCUCGACCCACUUCUUGCCGAAUUUCUUCAAUCGAUUGUAGAUCCUUGGCUUGAGCCCCUGCAAGAUCAUGCCAUUGGCAUGCUCGACCUGGCCGUUAGUUCGAGGAUGGGCGACUGCGGACCAGUUCACACGGAUGUGAUGCUGAUCGCAGAAGUCCAAGAACUUCUUGCCCGUGAACUGAGUGCCGUUGUCGGUGAUGAUGACGUUGGGGAUCCCAAAUCAGUGGAUGAUGUCGGUGAAGAAAAGGACGGCCUGUUCGGAGCAGAUGUUGGUGAUGGGUCGAGCCUCGAUCCAUUUGGAGAACUUGUCGAUAGCCACCAGCAAGUGGGUGUACCCUCCUUUUGCCUUUUGUAGAGGCCCUACUAAGUCGAGCCCCCACACCGCAAACGGCCAUGUGAUGGGGAUCAUCUGAAGGGCGUGGGCGGGCAAAUGCGUCUGUUUGGCGUAGAACUGGCACCCGUGGCAUGAGCGUACGAGCUCGAUGGAAUCAGCUACGGCUGUUGGCCAGUAGAAGCCUUGUCGAAAGGCGUUCCAUACAAGGGUCCGUGGAGCAGCAUGGUGGCCACAAGCUCCCGAGUGUAGGUCCUCGAGGAGUUUCCGGCCUUCUUCCAUGGUGAUGCAACGCUGCAAGACCCCCGUCGGACUUCGUCGAUAUAGCUCAUUGUUCUCGCCAUAGAUCACAUACGACUUGGCCCGUCGAGCGACACGGCGGGCCUCAGAUCGAUCUUCCGGUAGCUCGCAGCGGAUCAGGCAGUCGAGGAACGGCGUGCGCCAGUCGAACGGUCAACCGGGCCGUUGCUCCACCUCCAUUACCUCGGCUGCCAUCAGUAGUGCGUCGACGGUGUCGGCUUGCUGGGCAGGAGUGGCGUCGACGCCAGCCCCUGAGCCCAGGUCGACGGAUGGCUCGUGAAGAUCCCUUGAGAACGCGUCAGGUGGUAUCGUGCCUCGGAUCGAUGCGAUCUUGGUGAGUUCGUCAGCUGCCUCAUUGUAGCGUCGGGCGAUGUGGACGAGUUCGAGGCCACGGAAUUUGUCCUCGAGUUGACGGACUUCCUUGCAGUAUGCCUCCAUUUUCGGGUCAUGGCAGCUUGAGGUCUUCAUUACUUGGUCGAUGACGAGUUGGGAGUCGCCUCGGACGUCGAGGCGUCGGACUCCUAGCUCGAUGGCGAUUUUGAGACCGUUGACGAGGGCCUCGUAUUCUGCGAUGUUGUUGGAUGCGACAAAGUGAAUUCUGAUGAUGUACCUCAUAUGAACGCCUAGGGGCGAGAUGAACAGCAGGCCGGCCCCAGCCCCCGUCUUCAUAAGAGACCCGUCGAAGUACAUCGUCCACAGCUCCGACUGGACCUGAGUUGGGGGGAGUUGGGAGUCUGUCCAUUCCACGACGAAAUCCACCAGGGCCUGCGAUUUGAUAGCCUUACGGGGCGCAUAAGUGAGAGUCUCACUCAUGAGCUCAACCGACCAUUUGGCUAUUCUUCCCGUGGCCUCCCUAUUUUGGAUUAUCUCGCCCAAGGGGAAGGACGAGACCACCGUGAUGGGGUGGCCAAGGAAAUAGUGUUGCAGCUUGCGUCGGGCGAGGAUUACAGCGUAUAUUAGCUUCUGGAUUUGAGGGGAACGUGUCUUGGUCUCCGAGAGCACCUCGCUGAUGAAAUAGACCGGUCUCUGGACUGGCGACGCAUGCCCCUCCUCCUGCCUCUCGACAACCACAGCUGCGCUGACGACCUGAGUCGUGGAGGCGACGUAAAGGAGCAGUGGUUCUGCAGGUUGAGGCGGGACCAGGACCGGUGCUGAAGUCAGCGUUUUCUUCAAGUUUUCGAGGGCUUCCUCAGCCUCGGGAGUCCAAGAGAAACGCUCGACUUUCUUCAGGAGCUGAUAUAAUGGUAAGGCCUUUUCUCCUAACCUCGAGAUGAAACGGCUCAGCGCCGCUAGGCAUCCCGUGAUUCUCUGCACACCCUUGAUGUCUCGAAUCGGGCCCAUUCUUGUGAUGGUCGAGACUUUCUCGUGGUUGGCCUCGAUGCCACGCUGGGAAACAAUGUAACCCAGGAGCAUGCCUCGAGGUGCGCCGAAAACGUAUUUCUCGAGAUUGAUCUUGAUGUGGUUGGCGCGUAAGCAGCUGAAAGCGAUUUCGAGAUCCUGGAUCAGGUCUCCUCGCCGCUUUGAUUUGACGAUGAUGUCGUCGACAUAGGCCUCGACCGUCGACCCUAUGUGCUUGCCAAACACGUGGAGCAUGCAGCGUUGAUAUGUAGCUCCCGCGUUUCGAAGCCCAAACGGCAUGGUUACAUAACAAUACAUCCCAAAAGGUGUGAUAAAAGACGUUGCGAGCUGGUCGGACUCUUUCAUUUUUAUUUGGUGGUAACCAGAAUAUGCAUCAAGGAAAGAAAGGGUUUCGCAUCCUGCAGUAGAAUCAACAAUUUGAUCAAUACGUGGUAAAGGAAAAGGAACAUUCGGACAUGCUUUAUUUAAACUCGUAUAAUCGACACACAUCCUCAUUUUCCCAUUCUUUUUCUUAACUAGUACAGGGUUUGCUCACCAGUCGUGAUGAUGAACCUCCUUGAUGAAUCCGGCCAUCAAAAGCUUGUGGAUCUCCUCACCAAUGAUCUUGCGCUUCUCCUCGUCGAAUCGGCGCAACCGUUGCUUCACUGGCUUGGAAUCGGCUCGAAUUUCCAAGGAGUGCUCGGCGACUUCCCUCGGUAUGCCUGGCAUGUCCGAGGGACUCCAUGCAAACAUGUCAGCGUUUGCACGGAGAAAGUCGACGAGCACAGCUUCCUAUUUGGGGUCGAGGUCGGCACUGAUCGUCAGCACCUUGCCGUCGAAGUUGUUAGGGUCGAGCGGGAUCUUCUUGGUUCCUUCUGCUGGCUCGAAGCUGCCCGCGUGGCGCUUGGGCUCUGGAGCCUUAGUGGCCAGGGCCUCGAGCAUUGCGACGAGCUCGGUGGAGUUCUCGAGCGCCUCCCCAUACUCGACGCACUCAAUGUCGCACUCGUAAGCGUGCUCGAAGGAGGAGCUGACGGUGAUGACACCUCUGGGACCGGGCAUCUUCAGCUUCAAGUAGGUAUAGUUGGGUAUAGCCAUGAACUUGGCGUAGCCCGGGCGCCCGAUGAUGGCGUGGUACGUGCGUCGGAACCCGACCACCUCAAAGGUGAGGGUUUCCUUCCUGAAGUUGGCCACCGUGCCAAAGAAGACCGGUAAGUCGAUUCGACCCACUGGCAGCGCCUUUUUCCCUGGCACGACGCCAUGGAAACUGCCGGCGCUUGGUUGGAGUCGUCCCCUGUCGAUGCCGAGGAGGUCGAGGGUCUCGAGGUAUAUGAUGUUGAGGCUGCUCCCGCCAUCCAUUAGCACCUUUGAAAGCUGGGUGUUGACGAUGAUGGGGUCGACGACGAGCGGGUAGACGCCUGGGGCGACUACCUUGUCCGGGUGAUUUCUCGAUCAAAAGUGAUGGGAGUGCUCGACCAGCUGAGGUACUGGGGCACCGCCAUUCUCGCCGCGAAGACCUCAUGUCGUUCCCUUUUGCGCUGCCUUGUGGUCAACUGCGUCGAGGGCCCACCAUAAAUCAUGUAGCAGUCGUGGACGGCUGGGAAGCCGUCGUCAUCUUUGUUGUCCUCCUUGUUGCCGCCCUUCUCCUUCUUUGAGUCGUCACGCGCAUCCUUUCUGAACCCCAGACCAUCGAAAUGCUUUCUCAGCAUACGACAGUCCUUGAGCUCGUGGUUGGCACCUCCCUUAUUGUCGAGGGUAUCAACAAGGGGUACCCUCACCAAUGCGUAUAACCAGGCCAUCCGUACGCACGCGCGGCCAUCGACGGUCGCAGCCUCGAAGACGGAAAUGCCAUCGAGCGAAUCAGUCAGGGCUCGAGCGACCACUGUCGUCGAAUACGGAAGCGGGCUCGAGCGAACCGAGAGGCAUCGAGCGCAAGGACACUGUCUGCCGCCUGACGCGCGCACGAGAGCCAGGGCAUUUAAUGCACCUGACGCUUCCCCACCUAACACACGGGUCACGGGAGGCUUCUGUCCCAUCGUUCUUUUUGCAGCCUUCCCACCGAACGAUCAAGGGCGUGUUAGGACGCAGGGAACAAGGAUGGAACGUCUAAUCGGGACCCCCUCGAGACCUCCAAGGUCAGCGCUCCAGAUAUCAGCACAUUACACGGCGUCCGACCCUCGACCGAACAGGGUCCCUUCCUAGGGGCAAGUUGGGCGUCGACUGACAACACCACAGCUACCCCGCCGGAUCCGCCGCCAUACCGUACAAGCAUGCGACCUCAGAACCAGCGCGAGGCGGCGGGCAGGGCCGAACGCAGGAGCACGCGUAAUCAUCACCGGGCUAUCAAGAUGGGACGGCUCGAGGCCAUGCCGUACGGAAGCCUCGAGUAGGUCAGCGCUCCAUGCGGCUAUCGACCCCUACUCUAACAUCUACGCAUGUACCCUGGGUCUCUCCUUGGAGCUAUAAAAGGAGAGACUCAGGAAUAGAACGGGCAUCACGACACAAGACCAUACUCAUAUGUAGUAGAGCUCCACAUUCCAUUCCACGCUUGUAUUCGCCCCUGUACAAGCACUUAGGUGCAAGAUAGUAUAAACUCUCUCCCCCCGCUGGACGUAGGGCUUUCUCUUGCCCGAACCAGGAUAAAUCUCUGUGUCUUCUUGCAUCACCAUCCGGGAAAGGGAGCACGCAUACAAAUUUACUCGUUGGUGUGACCCCCCCCCGGGGGAAAACACCGACAGUUGGCGCGCCAGGUAGGGGUCCUGCGUGUUUUUCAUCGAUUUCCCACUCCUUUCCGGAUGGCUACUCUUGCCUCGCCGUUUCCGCGCUCCACGGUGAUUUGGUUUGGGAGCCUCGAGUUCAUGUCUACGGGCUCCGGCUACGACAUGAUCUUGCUCUCAGUCAAAGGACCAGGAGGAGCCCGCGUUACGCCAGCACGGUUGAAGGCCCCGAGACGCCCUCACCACCACGCCUCCCCGCCUAAGAAGAGGUGCGGACAGCACCACCGCGGCCCCUCUGCUUCAGCACGACCAACAACUCGUGCGAGGCAGGGCGUAGGCCACAAGUCGGCGGCACCAUGGGACGGAGCAACAAGCGCGACGACUCAGCACCGCGUGACGACGGGAGGUGACACGUCUCGCGCGCUCUCCCCCACCGCUGCUAGGCUACUUCCACACGGGUUGUUCACUCCAAGAGCGGCACUGCCGUUCGGAUUGGACAACGCCGCGGCGUCGCUCGCCAGGACGAUAUGCCCAAACGCCCAGACGUACGUUGAAAGACCAAUGGUCCUCCCACGUAGCUCUGAAGCGCGGCGGUCGGCGUCCGAGCUGCCGGACCUUUCCCGAGUACAAGGCCUCCGUCGUCUAGGCCCCGGACGAUACUCGAUCACCUCCCUCAGGCAACGAUUGCUGGAGGAAGGACGUGGGUGUUUCUACGCCGCCGAACCGGACUCCGACUCCGAGACGGACAGCUAUGACCCUAUGAGGGAAUGCUAUCACAUCGACGGGGCGGUAGAAACUACUGACGAGACCCGGGAUGCUGCUGCGGGAGGUCGAGCUCCCGCGGCGCGAGAAGACCCCAGGACGCCUGGGAACGACGGACAGGUCGACCCCCCCUCCUCAUGAAGACAGAACCGCACAGCUCGCGCAGCUGCGGGAGCUCAAGAUGAAGCUCGACGAAGACCGCGAGCGCCUCGUCCUGCUCGAGCAAAUCCUCGAGCAAGACCUGCCCUACCCGCCGGGCGGAAGUGUCCGCAGACGCGCUCGAGAGGUACAUCGACAGAUCGUCGGCGACUCAGAGCCAGAGCAACCUGUCAGCCGUUUCCCUCGAGUGGGCCAGAAUGUAGUGGCAGCGACGAUGCUGCUACGUAACAUGCCAGAGCCGUCGAAUUCCCAGGCCCGACGCAUUCGAGAUGAGGUACAGACAUUGCUCCAGGUGGCGGCGGUUCAACAAGCCGAAAGUUCGGCGUCUCGACGGCGAGGAGCUGCCACAGAGAAGCGCGACGAACAGCCUCUAAACGAAGAGGAGGUGUCAGUCCAACAACAACCUCCCCCUCGAGGUAGAAAGACCGCUCUCAUCCUCCCUGUCGAAGGUCAACGUCGACACGACGCACGGCACGACAUCAAAGAAAAUCGACGCCGCCGGCACGGAGACGCGGAAGAGCGCGGUUAUAGCGCGCAUCGCGGUGGGAGAUACGACAACGACGAGGACCGGGUGGCCCCCGAGCCACCAGGCCCACGGGUGUUCAGCAGGGCGAUCCGCAGCACGCCCCUGCCCAAUCCAUUUUGACCCCCGACCAGCAUCGCGAAGUACAAUGGAGAGACCAAACCAGAGUUGUGGCUGGCCGACUUCAGGCUGGCCUGUCAGCUAGGUGGCGCUCGAGGUGAUGAUCGAGCCAUCAUCAGACAGCUACCCCUUUUCCUCUCCGACACCGCCCGUCGAUGGCUCGAGGAACUCCCUGCCAAUCAGAUCCACAACUGGGUUGAUCUGGUCAGAGUCUUCGAGGGUAACUUCAAAGGGACCUACAUACGACCAGGGAACUCGUGGGACCUCAGCAAGUGCAAGCAGAAGUCAUGAGAAACUCUUCGGGAGUAUGCUCGGCGCUUCUCGAAGUAGCGCACUGAGCUGCCGCACAUCCCUGACCAUGACAUCAUCUUGGCGUUUGUCUCGGGCACCACCAGUCGAGACUUGGUGCGGGAAUUAGGUCGCAAUCGACCUCAGACCGUCGACGAGCUGAUGGACGUAGUAGCCAACUACGCGGCAGGGGAGGAGGCAGUCGGCGCCUUCUUCAGCUCGGAAGGAAGGAAAGGCAAGCAGCCCAUCAACAAAGAUGGGACCCCCAGUCGAGGCCUCAAGAAAAACAAAAAGAAGCAGAAAGUGCGGCAGUUCCACCGGGAAGAUUCCGAUGACAACCUUGUCGCCGCCAUGGAUCGAAAGAAGCCUCGAGGCCCUCCGGAUGGAGGCAUCUUUGACAAGAUGUUGGAGGAGCCGUGCCCUUACCAUAAGGGAGGCGCCAACCACAAGCUCAAGGACUGUCGUAUGCUGAGAAAGCAUUUCGACGGUCAGGGGUUCAAAAAAGAUACGCGUGAUGACUCCAAGAAAGAGAAGGCUGGCAGCAAGGAGGACAACAAAGAUGACGACGGCUUCCCUGCCAUCCACGACUGCUACAUGAUCUAUGGCGGGCCCUCGACUCAGUUGACCACGAGGCAGCGCAAAAGGGAGCGUCGCGAAGUCUUUGCAGCAAGAAUGGCGGUGCCCCAAUACCUUAGCUGGUCAAGCACUCCUAUCACUUUCGACCGAGAAGACCACCCCGACAAGGUAGUCGCCCCAGGCGUCUACCCGCUCGUCGUCGACCCCAUCAUCGUCAACACCCGGCUCUCGAAAGUGCUGAUGGAUGGCGGUAGCAGCCUCAACAUCAUCUACCUCGAGACCCUUGACCUCCUCGGCAUAGAUAGAGGGAAGCUCCAACCAAGUGCCGGCGGGUUCCAUGGCGUCGUGCCAGGAAAAAAGGCGCUGCCAGUAGGUCGGAUUGACUUACCGGUCUGCUUCGGCACGGCGGUCAACUUCAGGAAGGAGACCCUCACCUUCGAGGUGGUUGGGUUUUGAGGCACGUACCACGCCAUCAUCGGGCACCCGGGCUACGCCAAGUUCAUGGCUAUACCCAACUACACCUAUUUGAAGCUGAAGAUGCCCGGUCCCAAAGGUGUCAUCACUGUCAGUUCCUCUUUCGAGCACGCGUACGAGUGCGACGUCGAGUGCGUCGAGUACGGGGAGGCGGUCGAGAACUCCACCGAGCUCGUCGCGAAGCUCGAGACCCUGGCCGCUGAGGCUCCAGAGCCUAAGCGCCACGCGGGCAGCUUCGAGGCGGCGGAAGGAACCAAGAAGAUCCCACUCGACCCCAACAACUCCGACGGCAAAGUGCUGACGAUCAGCACCGACCUCGACCCCAAAUAGGAAGCUGUGCUCGUCGACUUUCUCCGUGCAAAUGCCGACAUGUUUGCAUGGAGUCCCUCGGACAUGCCAGGCAUACCGAGGGAAGUCGCCGAGCACUCCUUGGAGAUUCGAGCCGGUUCCAAGCCAGUGAAGCAGCGGUUGCGCUGAUUCGACGAGGAGAAGCGCAAGAUCAUUGGCGAGGAAGUCCACAAGCUUUUGACGGCCGGAUUCAUCAAGGAGGUUCAUCAUCCUGAUUGGUUAGCAAACCCUGUAUUAGUUAAGAAAAAGAAUGGGAAAAUGAGGAUGUGUGUCGAUUAUACUAGUCUGAAUAAAUCAUGUCCAAAAGUUCCCUUUCCAUUGCCACGCAUUGAUCAGAUUGUCGAUUCUACCGCGGGAUGUGAAACCCUUUCUUUCCUUGAUGCAUAUUCUGGUGACCACCAAAUAAAAAUGAAGGAGUCCGACCAGCUCGCGACCUCUUUCAUCACGCCUUUUGGGAUGUAUUGCUACGUGACCAUGCCAUUCGGGCUUCGAAACGCGGGAGCCACGUAUCAACGUUGCAUGCUCCACGUGUUUGGCGAACAUAUAGGGUCCACGGUCGAGGCCUACGUCGACGACAUUGUCGUCAAGUCAAAGCGACGAGGAGACCUGAUCCAGGACCUCGAGAUUGCCUUUACCUGCCUACGCACCAGCCGGAUCAAGCUCAAUCCCGAGAAGUGCGUUUUCGGUGUGCCUCGAGGCAUGCUCCUAGGUUACAUCGUUUCGCAGCGCGGCAUCGAGGCCAACCCCGAGAAAGUCUCGGCCAUCAUGAAAAUGGGGCCGAUCCGAGACAUCAAGGGUGUAUAGAGAGUCACGGGGUGCCUGGCGGCUCUGAGCCGUUUCAUCUCGAGACUAGGAGAAAAGGCAUUACCAUUAUAUCGACUCCUAAAGAAGGUCGAGCGUUUUUCUUGGACCCCCGAGGCCGAGGAAGCACUCGAAAGGCUGAAGAAGACGCUGACCUCGGCCCCAGUCCUGGUUCCACCUCAACUUGCGGAGCCGAUGCUCCUCUACGUCGCGUCGACGACCCAGGUCGUCAGCGCGGCGGUGGUGGUCGAAAGACAAGAGGAGGGUCAUGCGCUGCCGGUCCAAAGGCCAGUCUAUUUCGUCAGCGAGGUGCUUUCGGAGACCAAGACACGUUAUCCCCAAAUCCAGAAGCUGAUCUACGCCAUAAUCCUUGCCCGCCGCAAGCUGCAGCAUUACUUCCUCGGUCACCCCAUCACGGUGGUUUCGUCUUUCCCUUUAGGAGAAAUAAUCCAGAGCAAAGAGGCCACGGGAAGAAUAGCAAAAUGGUCGGUCGAGCUCAUGAGUGAGACUCUCACUUACGUGCCUCGGAAGGCCAUCAAAUCGCAAGCCCUGGUAGACUUCGUCGCGGAAUGGACGGACUCCCAGCUUCCCCCGACUCAGGUCCAGGCGGAGCUGUGGACAAUGUAUUUCGACGGGUCACUCAUGAAAACUGGGGCCGGGGCCGGCCUGCUGUUCAUCUCACCCUUAGGCGUCCACAUGAGGUAUGUAAUCAGGAUUCAUUUUGCCGCAUCAAACAAUGUCGCAGAAUAUGAGGCCCUGGUCAACGGUCUCAAGAUCGCUAUCGAGUUAGGAGUCCGACGCCUCGACGUCCGAGGAGACUCCCAACUCGUCAUCGACCAAGUAAUGAAAACCUCGAGCUGCCACGACCCAAAAAUGGAAGCGUACUGCAAGGAGGUCCGCCGACUCGAAGACAGGUUCCACGGUCUCGAGCUUGUCCGUGUCGCUCGACGCUACAACGAGGCAGCCGACGAACUCGCCAAGAUCGCAUCGACCAGAGGCACGGUGCCGCCUGAUGCAUUCUCAAAAGAUCUUCAUGAGCCAUCCGUCGACCUAGGCACGGGGGCUGGCGUCGACGCCACCACCGCCCAACCGACCAACGCUGUUGAUACGCUCUUGAUGGUGGAAGAAAUGAUGGAGAUAGAACGACGACCAGGCCGACCAUUCGAUUGGCGCACACCGUUCCUCGACUGCCUUAUCCGCGGCGAGUUGCCAGAAGACAGGUCAGAAGCUCGUCGUAUCGCUCGGCGGGCCAAAUCAUAUGUGAUCUAUGGUGAAGACAACGAGCUAUAUCGACGGAGCCCGACGGGGGUCUUGCAACGUUGCAUCACUGUGGAAGAAGGCCGAAAACUCCUCAAUGACCUGCACUCGGGGGCUUGCGGUCACCACGCCGCUCCACGGACCCUUGUAGGGAACGCUUUUCGACAAGGCUUCUACUGGCCAACGGCCGUGGCGGACGCCAUCGAGCUCGUAAGAUCAUGUCACGGGUGUCAGUUCUACGCCAAGCAGACGCAUCUGCCUGCCCACGCUCUUCAGAUGAUCCCCAUUACCAGGCCGUUUGCGGUGUGGGGGCUCGAUUUAGUAGGACCUCUACAAAAGGCAAAAGGAGGAUUCACCCAUUUGCUGGUGGCCAUUGACAAGUUCUCCAAAUGGAUCGAGGCUCGACCCAUCACUGUGGCAGAACCCCCUAAGUGUUUGGGCCCACCGGCACCUGCCAUUGUCCUAAGGACCUCUGACGGUGAUGCCGGGAGUCCUCCCACUUCAGAAGUCCGAUGAGCAUUGCUGGGCGCUCAUUCCACUGCUACCUGUGGCGUACCAAGCUGGCUCGUCCUGACCACUGGUAAUGGUCAAACAACGAGAACUGUUUCUUCUCGCCCUUACAGGAUAGCAAGUGGCCACCUUAACACCAGGAUCAUUCGUUGCGAAGAUAAAGCAGUAACUCAACGACACAAGACCAAAAUAAUAUUUCAGAGUGAAACAGCGGAAGUAUUACAUAACUUAAUUUACAAAAGGAGUUUUUCCAAAUAGUAGAGUGUUAUUACAAGCCUGGUCCAGCGGAGCAACUGAAACUUUAGUAUAGACAGAACAAAUUUACAGACCCUGCCCAUGGGUCACGCUCACUCUUCUUCGUCGUCAACCUCGACGACGGUCACACAACAGGGUCCGAAACAAGUCGGCUCCUGUGCUUCACCUGCAACAGGGGUAUUGAAACCCUGAGUACGGGAGCACUCAACAAGACUUACCCGAUGGGAAAAAAAGAGAACUUAGGGAUGCAGGCUUAGGGUAGACAAGGGGUGGCUGAGCAAGGAGCCAAAGUGUUUUGCGUAAAAAGCUUACUAGUAGUGCAUCCUUAUUUUCAAGUUUUACCCACGAAUUCCUCCCUCGCAGAGGCCGAGGAGUUCGAGGACAGUCUAACUGGUUGUUCCUCACAGACGAAUCCGUGAGUUCCUAGUCCUAUCAUAAAGUAUUAUUUAUCGAUGGCCAUAGCUUCAUGUCGCUAUGAGUCCGGGAAUUGGGAUCCGAACCUCAUGGGACAUUUUCCCCUUUCUCAUGUUAUCAUUCAGUUGCAUAUUUAACUACGAUGAGGGUCGAAGGAAUUGAGUCUCCCAAUCGGGGAGCAACGACGAUUCGAAUCGCUUAGCAAUCCAGCUGGAGUUCCUAACCACCCGACAUAUGUAGAACCAAAUCUUGCAUAUAUCAACCCAAAUCAAGCUCUCCCCAAAUUUGACCAGGUUCGCGGCAUCCGAGAGCACAGUACUCCACCAUCCUACAGCCGAUCUAGAUGUUUUCCGGUCAUCUCAGAUCCGUAAGGUGGGUACACACUACUCUCGCCAUCUUUCCACUCCCAGUGCGCGAGUAGCUGUUCGCGUCGAGGGAUCACAAGACUGGGCUUACCGAGGGCAAGCGGUUAGUACUAUAAAUUCUCAACCCAGCAGUCCAUCAACGGAACGGUCCUUAAUCGACACAGUCGGAGACACUACUUUAAGACUCCAUUCUUAGAGCAAGUCCACCGACCGGUCUCAAAUUGAAACAUCAUUGAUCAUAAGUGUAUCCCACAACAACCCUUCAAACUUUCUUGUUUGAAAACCUAUCUAGUAGCAGGGCUAAGCAUCGCUACGCAGUUUUAAAAUAAAACAGGUGUCAAGGACAGGAUAACAGAUGUCAAGGUAGUAAAUGCAGCAAGUAGGUUAACCCAAUUCUCAACUACCUAAUGCAGCAUUUUCAAUUCAUGAGUGAUAAAAGAUUUAAAAUAUCCAAGGAGGGGUUAAUGCAUCCGGGGCUUGCCUUGGUUGCAGGGCAGAGAGGGACCCUCGGAGACUUCCCAAGUCUCGGAUCCUACUUCUUCGAAUGGAGCACCGACCUCGGGGUUCGGUUCAACGGGCGCUCCUUCAGUCACGGACACUAUACGCAAAAUGAUGAAUGCUUAUGAUAUGCGUAUGGCAGUUAUGCAAGAUGGACCGAAUUAAGUACGAUUUGUCUUUUUAAUGCAAUACAGAAUUGUCACUAAAUAAAGUUGUUUAACAAUUUACUGUUUUUACCCAAGAGAUUGCAUCAGUAAAUUAAAACUCCUUUUAAUUCCUAAUUAUCCUGAAUUAACUAAUUAUUAAUCCUAUUUACCUUAAUCAAUUCUUAAUUAACUACUAAUGACAGUAAUUAAGCAUUAAGGCUAAACAAUAAUUAAGUGCCAAGGUCAUUAGGGUUAAUGACCUCAGGUCAUCACACAAUCCCAAAAUCACUCAACCCUAAUUAUGAGGAUUUAAUUAAUCACUAUCUACUUAUUUUGGAAUUAUUAUUUAAGUGCUAAAUAAGGGUUUAUUAAUAUUUUAAACAAACAUUAUCCAAAUGCCACCAAAUUUUGGGUGGAGCCAGGGAAUAAUAUCCAGAGGCUCCCCACAAUUUUUGGUGAUUUUUGGACACCCCAAUAAAUUACUAAAAUUCAUCAAAGUUUUAUUUGCUAAUUAAAAGAGCCAAUUUUUUUAUAUCCUUGCAAACUAUUAGAAAGCAGAACCUAGUAUUUUUCUUGGAUCCUACAUAUUUCAGAGAGUUUGUACAAAAAUUCUCAUUAUUUUUGGAUCAGCACAGAAUUCACCAUUCAAAUUCAAACAUUAAGCACUUUUAAACAAAAAGAAAAAAAAGAAAAGGGCACUGUGCCACGCUGGCGGCCCGCUGGGAUCCGGCCCAAGUUGGCCCGAGAGUGCUCUCCCGCGCGGAUCGCGCGCGCGCUCUCUUUUACGCGGCCACUGACGGGCGGGUCCCGCCCGUUAGAGGCGUCUUCAACCUCCCACCACGGCUCCGGUGAGCUCCGGCUCCGCGCCGGUGAGCUCCCGGCCUGCGCGGCGGGGUGGGUUAGCAUCUCUGGUGUCUCACGCAACCUCUAGGACACACGAGACCACCUCUACUCCCUCCUACCCUCCCUGUCCACGCUCAUGGCGGAUGGCCGCCGCGGCCGAGCCAACGCCGGCCGCUUCAGGCGAGUAGAGCGUGAAGUAAGCGGCGCAACAGCACCAGAAGCUCACCGUGACUUCAACGAAGCAAGAAACAGCAGCGGGGAGGCGCGGGGUGAAGCUGGCCACGGUGAAGUGCUCCCGGCGGCGCUUUGGCCGGAGUUGGAAGGAAAUGGCUCGGUAGAGGGCGAGGGUGGGUUAUAGCUUGUGCGUGGGGGUGCAACCGGUGGCGGAGCUCAAGGCGGAGUCGCUGGGGUGCUCAAAUCGCGUGGAAAGGCAACGGAGAGGACGAAUUUUGGCGGCGGAUGGUGGUGGUCGGCGGUGAGGUUCAAAGGAAGAAAAAGAAACACUCCGGCCGUCCGAGGCUUUAUCCAAGCGGCGGAACAGGGGAUGUGGAUGAGGCCGUCCGCGCGAAGCACAGCAGCAAGCAGCUGCGUGGCCAGCUGCGUGGCGUCGCGCGCGGAGGCGGCUCUGCCGCGGCGGCAGAGCAACCCCCUGCCAAACACUGUAGCAGGCCACAUCCAUUCAGUUUGUCUUUUUGCGAAAUCCGACCAAAAUUUGAACUAAAGUCAAAUUUCCACCAAAACAAAAGUUGUGCCAAAUUUUGUAAGCUACAAAUCAUAUUUAGGUGUCCCAAGCUGAUUCUCAAAGGAAAAAGGUUAAUUUUGCCAGGCAGUUUGAAAAUCAACUCAAUUCAAAGGAAAUUCAAAUUUUUGAAUUGGGGCAAAUCAUGAUUUCCAAAAUUACUUUUGAUUUGGCAUAACAACUUGAAAAACUCCCAACAUGAAAGUUGCUCAAAUUUUUGUGCUCUACAACUUUCAUGUUGACCACUUUUCAAAAUUCCAAAUGGAUUUUGAAUUGGGGGUUUAAGUUGGAAAAGGGGACACUUUUCGGAAAUCUGUAUUUUCAAAAUUACUUUGAAUCUUGUAUUGAAACCUCAAAAACUCAAAACACCAAAGUUGUACAUCUUGCCAAGAGCUACAACUUUGCUUUUGAACUCAACCUCAAAUUUUGCUUAGUUUUUGACUUAUGCAAAAGGGGACAAAUCUAGGAUCCAGAAAUCAGGGUUUUCCCCCCCUUAGCUUUUCGGAAAAAAAAUCCACCCUAGGGUUUUUAGCAACCACACAAGCAUCAACAUCCCACAUAAACACACUCUACCUCCCUAAGCUCAAGCAAUAAAAAUAAACUUGUUUUAAGUUGAUGCAUACUAAUGUACUUUAACAAAUAUGAUUUGCAAUGCUCGUGAUGACAUGAUCCAUUUUUAGUAACCGUAACAUCAGGGAUGUUACAAUCACCAACAUCCGCUCCGAGCAGGCCGUCCUUUUCUUCACCGACAUUAUCCAUCGGUUUGGGAUCCCCAAUGUCAUCAUCACCGACAACGACACCCAAUUCACCGGCAAAAAGUUCUUGGACUUCUGCGAUCGGCAUCACAUCCGUGUGAACUGGUCUGCAGUAGCCCACCCUCGAACUAACGGCCAAGUCGAGCGUGCCAACGACAUGAUUUUGCAAGGACUCAAGCCAAGGAUCUACAAUCGAUUGAAGAAAUUCGGCAAGAAAUGGGUCGAGGAGCUUUCCUCAGUCCUAUGGAGCCUUAGGACAACACCAAGCAGGGCCACAAAAUACACCCCGUUCUUCAUGGUCUACGGCUCUGAAGCUAUCCUGCCCACAGACCUCGAGUAUGGGUUACCUCGACUCAAGGCCUACAACGAGCAAUCGAACAAAGAGACUCAAGAAAACGCGGUCGACCAACUUGAGGAGGCUAGAGACAUGGCCCUCCUCAACUCUGCCAGAUAUCAGCAAAGGCUUCGAUGCUACCACGACAAGCAUGUGCGCAAGAGGGACCUCAACGUGGGUGACCUAGUCCUACGACGCCGGCAAAGCAAUCAGGGACGCCACAAGCUGACUCCGCCUUGGGAAGGUCCGUACGUGGUAGCCAAGGUCCUGAAGCCGGGAACGUACAAGCUGGCGGACGAAAAGGGGGCAAUUCUCACCAACGCAUGGAACAUCGAACAGCUACGUCGAUUCUACCCCUAGAAGUUCUAAACUUAUGUUCCUGCUUACGUUUUGUACCAAGACUUUGUAAACGAAUGAAUGAAUAAAUAAAGUCUUUCCCUCGAAACAAUUCUUCUUUCUUUGCGCCGAGAAGAUUAAUAAAUCACGAUCUCGACGUUAGAAGGGGGCGCCGACUAUGACCCAUCAUAGUCAGCACCCCCUCGGGGGCUACCAGGGGGACGACACCCCCCCCGAGUAUCGAAAAAACCGAGAAGUUUUCUUUUCUUACGUAGUAAACCUUGCACGGUUCGAGUUGCUAAGGCACCUCGAGCCCCUCAAAGGCCGAGGGACAACGAGCUGGAGAACUCCUACGCCCCCGGGCUACGGAAACUCUACUCGCUUCCCCACCAUUGAAGUGAUCGAGGUGGUCUUUUACGAAAAAUCGAGCAAGGGAUACAAACGUAGGCGCAAAGAGAGACGAAAGCAUCAAGCGGAAAGACUAAAUAAGCGUCUGACAAUUACGAAAGUGAUACAGCAUCAGUUAACCACAGAAUUCACAAAGUAUUGUACAAGGGGCCUCAGGCGCCCUGAGCAGGCUCGCAGGCCUUAGUCCGCGGCACGAUCCUCACCGCCCUCGCCUCCGCCCGAGCUAGCCUCAGGACGGAGCACCUCAGGCUCGAAAAGCUUGGCCAACCUUUCCCCAGGAGCCUCCGCGUCGUCGAUCAAGGCAUGGAGCCUCUCCUCGUUCUCCGCAUCGGUCUUAGAGAUGUCGGUGACGAAGCCAUGGGACACCACCUCCAUGUCGUAGGAGAAGCCCGAGCAGACAACCGCCAUCGCCCGCUUCACCCCGAUAUGGAGGGCGUCCCGCACCCGAUCUCGCAGCGUCACGCCUAUGUAGCACAACUGGUCGACCAGGGCGUCACCUCGAGCGUCCUCCCUCGACUCAUCCAUAGGCUCGACCUCCCAAGAGGUCGAGAGAUCACUUAUCGCCGUCCGUACUCGACGGUUCAAAGCAACCUCCGCCUCGAGCUGAGCCUUGGCGUUGCGAGCCUCGGCUUGGGCGGCCAGGAGCUCGUCCUUGAGCCCUGUAAAAGCCAAUACAAAGAAACCUUAGGAAAAACUAAGCACACCUCGGAAAAAGAAAUCUGAUAGAGGAAACAUACCGCGUACGGUCUCCUCGAGGGCCGUGUUCUCGCCGACCAGCCUGGUGUUGGCCCCCUCGAUCUCUUUGUUGGAGCGUGCCAGCUCAGUGUUGGCAACGCGGAGAUCCUCGAUCGCCUUGCCAGCCUGAGCAAUGGCCCCACUCUUCUCCAGCAAUUCUCCCUUCAGACACUCGAUGUCGUUAGAGAGACUGCGGGAUCGAGCCCGCUCUGCCUCGAGAUCUUCGAGGGCUUUCUUCUUGGCUUCCUCCGCGGCGCCCCUGGCGACCUCGCUGUUCACGUGCUCCACCUUCAUCUUUCAGAAGGACUCUCGGAGAGAGUCCAGGUUGGAUUUAAGGAGGCCCUUCUCCUUGUCCAGAUCCACGAUAACGCUCUUGUAGGACAGGGCCUCCUCCCGGGCUCUGGACGCGGCUUCCUCGACCGUAAGAGCCCGCUCCCGUAGCUGCAUCGUCUCCUCCUCCGCCUUCUUCGAGGCCUCUCGGGCCUCAGCCAGGGCAGCCUCCCUCGCCUUCUUCUCCUCCUCGAGCGCUAUGAGAUCUUUGUAAGCUUUAAGGAGCUUUUCCUGCGACUCGAGGAGUUGAUCCUUGAGGAGGGGGAGCUGCUCCCAACCGCCCCUCGUGGCGUGUAUGAAGCUGGACUUGAUGCGGGAGGUCUCUUUCAUAUCCUGCGAAUCAAGAGUCGGAUGGAUUAGAAUACAGAAACCUGAAAGCACCAUGAGGAUUGGAGUUCGAGAAACACUUACGAAAUAAGCCGGGCCGAGCCCGUUGUUGAUAACGUCCGAGAGGAGCCCCACCACAUGCUUCAUCCAAAGGCGGAGCUCCUCGACGUGUUCCCACUUCUCCGCUUCCUUCCGAUCGUCGAGGAAGAUGUCGGGCUCAGACGGGUCGUGGGAGGCCCGGAUACGGAUGCGGUCGGGGCACCAGUGCUCCAUCUCCCGGUCAGCCCGCGCCUUAACGCCGCGGAUGAGGCCCUCGACGGUCUCGAGGGAGCCCCCAUGGCGCAGGAACAGGUCGACGAGGCAUGGGAACCGUCCGUCGUCGUCCACCGUCUUCCAGGUUCCAUCCUUGGUCCCCGAUGCCCCAAUUUCAUCCUCCUCGGAAGGAAAGCGGUCCUCCCACGCCCGACGUUCCCGGAGGAACCCUGGAGCGAUCCCGUCCAUGCCGUAAAUUGACCUCUUGAUAUCGGACUCGGCGUCGGGAGGCGUGCGCUUCAGGCAGGCGAGCGCCACCACUCCGUCCGCUCGCCCCGGCUCUGCCCGGAUCGCAGCCGGUGCCCCCGGGAGGAGCCACGCCGGGGUUGGGGGGCCGUACACCGGCAGGUCCUCCUCCUCGCCGAGCUCUUGCGGCUCCGGUAGCACUGGCUGGGCCGAACCUUGGGGCGGAGGCUCGAGCGGUCCCUCCUCUUGGCCCGCCUGCCGCUGCUGCAGUUGCUGCUGCGGUGGUUGCUGCUGUUGUCGCUGUUGCUGCUGCUGCUGUUGCUGUUGCUGCUGCUGCUGUUGUUGUUGCUGCUGCUGCUGUGCCUCAUGCUCCUGUGGCCGCCGCGCCGCCUCGUGCUCCCGCUGUUCAUCCUCCUCCCUCUUCUUCCUCUGCUCCUCGAGGGUGCGGAGGCCGGCGGGCCAGGGAGUCGAUCCCGCGACGUUGGGGGUCGACGCUUCCUCCUCCAUAGGGCGAGCGCCCCUAGACGCUUCGUUACCAUCGGACGUAUCGCUGAUGGUGAUGGGUUCCCCCUCGACCCCCAAUCGGGGGGGCUCGGGGGCUCCCUCUGACGCUUGCGUCUGGGGCGCCUCAUCACGAGUCGGCGGCAACGGAGUAGGCGCGGGACGAGACGGAGCCCUCUCGACGCCGGCUGGAGGUUGGGAGCUGGAGGAGCCUACGAAACAAAGGGUAAGGGUCAGAUGUUAUGAUAACCGACACAGGAACAUCGCAACGCCCAGAAAUAAACUACGAACCUGGUUCCUUGGAGGCGGCACCCGUUCUGAGCUUCUUUGCCAUGGACGGUUGGGCCUGCUCAAGGGUCCGCUUCAGCCUGAGAAAAGGUUGGCAUAUGAAGAAAGGUGGAAGAAUAGGAAGACAAAAACCGCAACAUCAAAAAGGCUUACCCCACAGGGAGAACGGCUCGCCUUCCGCCACCCCGACCAGUGGGCCUCGAGCCACCCCGCGUCGGGGCUCCAGGCCCCUCGAGGGGAGGCACUGGCUUAGGCGCAUCGGUCCCCGCCUGGCGGGCGCCGGGACUGGCGCUCCUACGGCCGGCAUCUCCUUUCUCAGAGGCCGCGGCGCGACCACGAGUUAGUGGCCCCGACGCCUGGGGCCUAGCCAGACUGCUCUCCCUGGGCACCGGGGGAGGGCGCGGUGCGUCUUGGCCCGCCUUGGGCGCGGGAGGGGUGUCGGCCCGGGGGCGACGAGAUCCGCUCGGACCCUCCUCUGGUGCCUCCGUCCGGGGGGCGUCGACGUCACCUCGAGGCGGGCCCUCGAGAAUCCGAUCGAGGCGCGACGCCAUCCCCUCGGAGUCAUUGCUAUCCUCGUCAUCAUCGUCAUCAUCGUUAGGAGAUUCUUCCUCAGGCUCCCCCCUCUGCCUGGAUUUGGCUCGACGCGCCUCUAAUGCUUGGCGGUCGAGGUUUUUCUUCUUCUCCCCCUUCUUUGCAGAGUCCUUGGCAGACUUUAGCUUUUCGGCAGAUUGGCGCCGUUUGUCACGAUCGACCUCGUCCUCCUUUACCGGAGGCCUCGAGGACCGGACAUCAAUCCGACCCUGCCAAAACUAAGGUAGACUUAGAAAAAAGAGAGGGGAGAAAGGAAACCCAGAAUCGAGGCUGCGCGCAAGAAGAAGGCGUACCAGAUCGAUCGAGCCUGCGUCAGGUCUCAUGGGGAAGCCGUUAACAUGCUCCGGCUGAAAAUCACCGGCAAUUGCAGCCCUGACUCGGGCCACGACUUCGUCGUCCGCCGGAGCCUCGUUGGACAUCCGACACGCCUCAAGGUCCCGAGAUGAGACACUAGGGCCCAUCUCGUCCAUCCUCAACGGUCGAGACAUCAAAGGGAGAACUCUCCGGUGAUGGACGGCCGAGAGGACGAGAGCGGCGGUCAAACCCUCCUGGCGAAGCUUCUUCAGGGCGUCGAGGAGGGGGUCGAGCCGAGAUUGAUGAGCUUGGAUGACGCCGUACGUCCAAUCCGCUAGACGCUCCAUGAUCAGACGGCCCGAGUAGGAAGGCAGGAGGUUGUCAUCGUUCCGCAGAUAAAACCACUGGGAGUCCCAGCCGGCGUGGUUGGUCGAUAACCCUACCGGGAUGUACUCCCGCGGCCUGUCCGUCUUCCCCGUCUUCUACACCAGAUUGAGGCAUCCCGCCCGCACGGGUUUCCUUACGCCCGUGGUUCCGGUGGGGGCAUGGAAAAGCUCGCCCCUGUAGAGGUGGAGCCACAGCUCCCAGUGCGGCAUCAUCCCCAAGUAGCCCUCACAUACCGCGGCGAAGACCGCCGCUACGGUGAUGGCAUUCGGAGAGAAGUGCUGGAGCUCCACCCCAUAAUGGAAGCAGAGGGCCCGCAUGAAGCGGCUCGGGGGCGCGCCCAGACCGUGGCGGUGGAACUUGGCAAACGACACCACGUAGCCCUCGGGCGGCUGAGGCCUCCUGUGACUCGCUGGCGGCGCGAUCCACUCUGGCGACGAUAGCGAGGUACGGCGGCGCAGCAGUCCCUCUUUCUCAAGCUCUAACAACCGGCGCUCCGUCAUCGACGACGGGCGCCAGUCGUCGGCGGCGACGAGUCUUACAGGCAUCUCGGCUGGAGGGACGGUAGAUUCACUACAGCUCAAGGAGGCGUGUGCGCGUGAGACGGCGAGAAAGCAAAGGCAACGAGAGAAUAAAAGCGAGAAGGCGGAAGGGAGAGGAACGGCGGUGACGCCACGACGUAUUUAUAGGCAGCAGUCCGCCAACGGACAGAUCCGAGAAAUAAGGUAACUCCCUCCCAUAAACGCGCUGUCUAACGGUCCUUUCUCUCCACACAGGCCGGACGCUCCGAAUUCCACGCCGAUACAGUGUCGCAACGUCACUUACCUCAAAAGGUGCGCCCAACGGGCAGAAAGACGAACCGGCACAGCAGUUUCCUUACUUUGUAAGCCAAGGUAUGCGCCCAGGAUAGUCUCGAGAGGUCGAUGGCUGGCCCGUCGAAAGGGUUCGACAGCCGAUCUCGAGCACCAAGAGUCAGGGAUCCCCAGCGAGCGGUCAAAAAUCGAGGCCCGCCUCGAGGACUCGCUGGCGAUGUCCAAGGUAGGGUCGAGACAGUCGAGAGGAAUCCCCCCGAAGGGAGGCAUCGAGCCGCUGGACUCUAUCGAAUGAGACCGGUAUCCCCGACCACGUCGACCCCGCUUUAUGAGGACGCCUCUGGGCUACAGCUGACCCCCUCGAAAGGGGCACAGGUUCUCACUUGGACUACCCGCUAGGAACUCAAUCUGGGGUGGAAGACGCUCGCUCUAUCGAGAGUACGUCGGAACCUCCACGCAAGGCAAAGCCGAACAGAACCUUCCACCACUGGUGUUGACAGCGUUUCUGCAAUUUUGGCAAAAUAACCCUCGAAGGAGUUGAAUACUCCCUCGAGGGCUCGGGGGCUACCCCCGCGGGGUCGCUCGCGCGCCCCCGUGGAAGCUCGACCGUAAAAACGAAAGUCUCCACUCGAGCGCCAGCGCUCGAAUGAAGACUCGGGGGCUACUGUCGAGGGUAUCAACAAGGGGUACCCUCACCAAUGCUUAUAACCAGGCCAUCCGUACGCACGCGCGGCCAUCGACGGUCGCAGCCUCGAAGACGGAAAUGUCGUCGAGCGAAUCGGUCAGGGCUCGAGCGACCACUGCCGUCGAAUACAGAAGCGGGCUCGAGCGAACCGAGAGGCAUCGAGCGCAAGGACACUGUCCGCCGCCUGACACGCGCACGAGAGCCAGGGCAUUUAAUGCACCUGAUGCUUCCCCACCUAACACACGGGUCACGGGAGGCUUCUGUCCCAUCGUUCUUUUUGCAGCCUUCCCACCAAAUGAUCAAGGGCGUGUCAGGACGCAGGGAACAAGGAUGGAGCGUCUAAUCGGGACCCCCUCGAGACCUCCAAGGUCAGCGCUCCAGAUAUCAGCACAUUACACGACGUCCGACCCUCGACCGAACAGGGUCCCUUCCUAGGGGCAAGUUGGGCGUCGACUGACAACACCACAGCUACCCCGCCGGAUCCGCCGCCAUACCGUACAAGCAUGCGACCUCAGAACCAGCGCGAGGUGGCGGGCAGGGCCGAACGCAGGAGCACGCGUAAUCAUCACCGGGCUAUCAAGAUGGGACGGCUCGAGGCCAUGCCGUACGGAAGCCUCGAGUAGGUCAGCGCUCCAUGCGGCUAUCGACCCCUACUCUAACAUCUACGCAUGUACCCUGGGUCUCUCCUUGGAGCUAUAAAAGGAGAGACUCAGGAAUAGAACGGGCAUCACGACACAAGACCAUACUCAUACGUAGUAGAGCUCCACAUUCCAUUCCACGCUUGUAUUCGCCCCUGUACAAGCACUUAGGUGCAAGAUAAUAUAAACUCUCUCCCCCCGCUGGACGUAGGGCUUUCUCUUGCCCGAACCAGGAUAAAUCUCUGUGUCUUCUUGCAUCACCAUCCGGGAAAGGGAGCACGCAUACAAAUUUACUCGUUGGUGUGACCCCCCCGGGGGAAAACACCGACACUUAUGGUAAGGGCAUGACUCUUCUAGCAUCUUGUCGAAAAUGCCUCCAUUUGGAGGGCCUCGAGGCUUCUUGCAUUCCGUGACGGCGACGAGAUCGUCGUCGAGGUCUUCCUGCUUGAACUGCCGCGCUCUCUGCUUCUUCUUGUUUUUCUUGGGCCCUCGACUGGGGGUCCCAUCUUCAUCGGCGGGUUGCUUGCCUUUUCUUCCUUCACAACUGAAGAAAGCGCCGACUGCUUCCUCCCCUACUGCGUAGUUUGCCACUACGUCCAUCAACUCAUCGACGGUCUGAGGGCGAUUCCGGCCCAAUUCCCGUACCAGGUCUCCACUGGUGGUACCAGAGACAAAGGCCAGGAUGACGUCGUGGUCGGGGAUGUGUGGCAGCUCGGUGCGCUGCUUCGAGAAGCGUCGAGCAUACUCUCGAAGAGUUUCUCCUGACUUCUGCUUGCACUUGCUGAGGUCCCACGAGUUUCCGGGCCGUAUGUAGGUCCCUUUGAAAUUACCCUCGAAAACUCUAACUAAAUCGACCCAAUCGUGGAUUUGAUUAGCUGGAAGCUCCUCGAGCCACCGACGGGCAGUAUCAGAAAGGAAAAGCGGUAGCUGUCUGAUGAUGGCUCGAUCGUCACCUCGAGCGCCUCCCAACUGACAAGCCAACCUGAAGUCUGCCAGCCACAGCUCUGGUUUGGUUUCACCGUUGUAUUUCACAAUGCUGGUCGGGGGUCGGAACGGACUGGGCAGGGGUGUGCUGCGGAUUGCCCUGCUGAACACACGUGGGCCUGGUGGCUCGGGGGCCAUUCGGUCCUCGUCGCUGUCGUACCUCCCGCCACGAUGUGCGCUGUAACCGCGCUCUUCCGCGUCCCCAUGCCGGCGGCGUCGAUUUUCUUCGAUGUCAUGUCGUGUGUCGUGUCGACGCUGAUUGUCGACAGGGAGAACGAGCGUGGUCUUUCUUCCUCGAGGGGGUGGCAGUUGAUGGAUAGAUACCUCCUUUUCGUUUUGGGGUGGCUCAUCGCGCUUUUCAGUGGCAGCUCCCCGUCGACGAGAAGCCGAGCUUUCGGCUUGUUGAACUGCCGCCACCUGGAGCAGAGUCUGUACCUCGUCUAGAAUACGUCGAGCUUGAGAGUUCGAUGGCUCUAGCAUGUUGCGCAGCUGCAUUGUCGCUGCCACUACAUUCUGGCCUGCUCGAGGGAAAUGGCUGACAGGCUGCUCUGGCUCUGCGUCUCCGACGAUUUCUCGGUGUACCUCUCGAGCGCGUCUGCGGACACUUCCGCCAGGCGGGUAAGGCAAGUCUUGCUCGAGGAUUUGCUCGAGCAGAACGAGGCGCUCACGAUCCUCAUCAAGCUUGGUCUUGAGCUCUCGUAACUGCGCGAGUUGUGCGGCCCUGUCUUCCUGUGGAAGCGGGUCGACCUGUCCGUCGUUCUCAGGCGUCCUGGGAUCUUCUCUCGCCGCAGGGGCUCGACCGCCGGCAGCCGCAUCCUGCGUCUCGUCGGUAGUUUCUACCGCCCUGUCGACGUGAUAGCAUUCCCUUGUAGGGUCGUAGCUAUCGGUCUCGGAGUCGGAGUCCGGCUCGGCGGCGUAGUAACAUCCACGUCCUUCCUCCAGCAGCCGCUACCUGAGCGAGGUGAUCGUGUAUCGUCCAGGACCUAGGCGGCGGAGACCUAGUACCCAGGAGAGGUCCGGCAGCUCGGACGUCGGCGGCCGUGCUUCAGUGUCAUGUGGAAGGACCAUUGGUCUUUCCACGUAUGUUUGGGCGUUUGGGUAUAUCGCCCUGGCGAGCGACGUCGCGGCGUUGUCCAACCCGAAUGGCAAUGCCCUUCUUGGGGUAAACAACCCAUGUGGAAGCAGCCUAGCGGUGGGGGAGAGCGCUCGGGGCGCGUCACCUCUGGUCGUCGUAUGGUGUCGGGCCGGCAUGCCCGCGGUUCCAGCACACGGCGCGGCCGGCUCCUGUGCUACCUCCUGCCUAGCACGAACUGCCGGUAGUGACGAGGCAGAGGGAUGACGAUGGUGCUGCCCAUGCCUCUUCUUGGGCGGGGAGGCGUGAUGUCGAGGGCGUCUCGGGGCCCUCGUUCACACUUGCGCAACGCGGGCUCCUCCCGGUCCUCUGAUUGAGAGCAAGACCAUGUCGUAGCCGGAGCCAGUCGACAUGAACUCAAGGCUCCCAAACCAGAUCACCGUGGAGCACGGAAUCGACGAGGCGAGAGUGGCCAUCUGGAAAGGAGUGGGAAAUCAAUGAAAAACACGCAGGACCCCUACCUGGCGCGCCAACUGUCGGUGUUUUUCCCACGGGGGGUCACACCAACGAGUAAAUUUGUAUGCGUGCUCCCUUUCCCAGAUGGUGAUGCAAAAAGACACACAAGGAUUUAUCCUGGUUCGGGCAAGAGAAGGCCCUACGUCCAGCGGGGGGGAGAGUUUGUAUUAUUUUACACCUAAGUGCUUGUACACGGGUGAAUACAAGCGUGGUAUGGAGUGAAAUGGAGUAUGGGAGUUCUACUGCGUAUGGGUGUAGUGUUGCGUGGUCGUGUAUGUCUAUUCCCGGGUCUCCCCUUUUAUAACUCCAAGGAGAGACCUAGAGUACAUGUAUAAGUGUCAGAGUAGGGGUCGAUGGAGGCAUGGCGCGCUGACCUACUCGAGGCCUCCGUACUGGCGUGGUCUUGAGCCGUCCCGUCUUGGCAGCUGGAUGAUGAUUACGCGUGCCCCCGUAUCCUGCUCUGUGCGCCGUCUCAGGCUGGUUCACCAGUCACACGCCUGUACGGUAUAGCGGCAGAUCCGGCGGGGUGGCUGCGGUGUUGUCAGUCGACGCCCAACUCUUCCCCAGGAAGGAAUCAUGUCUGGUCGAGGGUCACACGCCGUGCAGUGCCUUGUUGUCCAAAGCGUUGACCUUGGGUGUCUCGAGGGGGUCCCGAUUGGACGCUCCAUCCCUGCUUUCCGUUUCCUGGUACGCUCUGGGUUGUUUGGUGGGGAAAGCUGCAAAAAGAAUGAUGGGACGGGUGCCUGUUCCCUAUCACGCUUCCCGUGACCAGCGUGUUAGGUGGGAAAGCGACAAGCGCAUUAAAUGCCCUAGCUCCCGUGCGCGCGUCAGGCGGCGGACAGUGUCCUUGCGCUCGACGCCUCUCGAUUCGCUCGAGCCUAUUUCCGUAUUCGACGGUAAUUAGUGAUCGACCCCUGAGUGGUUCGCUCGACGUCCUUUCCGUCUUCGAGGCUGUGGCUGUCGAUGACCGCACGGCUUAUUAGAACGUCGAGUUGAGGGCCUCAAUCUGUGCAUGAGUAAUCUCGUCAUGUGCAUCAGUUAGGGUACCCCUUACUGAUACCCUCGACAAAUAGUUUGUUUCGCAAGUUGGCCACGGGAUCUAUCUCGUGGAAGAUUCUAGAUACACGUGUGACCCCUAUAUAAACAGACCCCUGACGUCAGCUUUCAUCACCAAUUCAUUCUUUCCUCCCUCAUUUAGAGCUUUGCUUGGUCCCUCACUCCAAUGGCCGGUAGCAGCAACCCCGAUUGGAAGAUCGUCCCAUAUGGGAUUGAUCUUAAUAAGAAGCCAAAAGUAGAUCCAGACUCCAAGGCGUUAAUGCCAAUCAACAGCGAGCGGCAGCUAGCAGCCUUUCCACCACGCCAGCGCAGUGCCAGCCAUUCUUACUAUGCUCAACCAGUCCUCACCGCGCCGCCACAACCCCUUCUCAAGGGACCACCGGUGAAGCUGGGCGCGCUCGUCAAGGUGCCUACCGGCACUAAGGUCCUACCGCCGAAGCCUAAUGAGAGGGUGGUAGGCGUGAAGACCAACAGGAGUGGUGAAAUCAGCAGCGUCCGGUACACGAUAGAGGAGGAACACCCUUACUUCGAGGGAGUACGAGCGGCGAAGGUCUAAUUCAUCCCGCCAAAGGACGCCCCGAAGCACGUGCUUAACUCUUUUGAGUCGCCGCCUAAGCGCCGUAAAACCAUAGUUGAUCUAGAGAAAGAGUUCCAUGAGAGGGAUGGAGUGAUCCUAGAGCUCCAGUCGUCUGUCAGCUUCCUAAAUAGGCAGGUCGCGAACCUGAACACAACUACGCUCAACCUUAGACGCGACCUCACUAAGGCCACUGAUAGGGUGAAGGAGCUAGACAUCACAGAGCUGCUUAGUUUGAUCUUGAGGCACCUGUAUCUUAGUUCAUUCAUUAUUAGAUUCGUUUUAGAUUCAUUAUUAGAUAAAAUUCAUUAGUCAGUUGACUUAUUGUAAUAAAUGCCUCAAGGAAAAAUAAAUAAAGAUUGCUUUAUUAUUAUGCCUCGUGUGUCUCCACUUUGUUUUAUGCAAGAGAACAGAAAACAAGUAUGGGGGAGAUCCCUGACAAGAUGAACGAACUUCAACCGCACCACUCCACUCAGGUACACGCUCUACACGCUUUAUCUCUAAACAUGAUAAAAAUAUUGUUAAUCUCACUUUAUGAUAUUUCCUGAAAACCUACAAUUAUUGACAAAUUUAUUUUUUAAAACCCUGUGCUACUCAAGUCAUUGUGGAAUGUGAGAUUGUAGAAUAUGAGUACCUUAUUCUUGAUAUCUUUGUCACUUGGAGAGUUUCUUUCAAAAACUUUAAAAAUAUUGCUACCAUCCUCAGUGUUUUAUAUGCUCUAAAGAUCAAGACAUUUUUAUUCACAAAGAUUCACUCUUCCGAAGUAUUAUUGCGUUAGAGGCAUGGGCUAUGCAAAAAUAUGAAAUUCAAGGAAAUAAAAAGGGGCAAGUGCUCGGAAACCUCAUGGAAAAAAAUGAACAAGUGUCUGACAGUAGAAUUAGGGGUACCUUGAUAUCCACCUGAAAAAAAUGAGUUGAUAAAAAUAUGAUGAAAAGAAAAUGAUAGCCCAUGGUCCAUCUAAUAAGCAAUAUAACAGUAAUAGUUGACAAGUUUUUAAUUUUUCAAAGUCUUGAUCUAAGAGUAUGGCAUUCCUCUCCUCGGAUCAUGUUUUGACUAGGCAAUAUAUGCGAGGUAAGUAUGCUUAAGAAUUGUUGCAAAUCAAAACAAGCCUCAGUGAGAUCUAUAAAAUAAUAAUAAUAAUAAUAAAAUAGUAAUAAAUAAUAUGAGUGAUAUGAGGGGACCUAUGAGGACAAAGGUCAGCUAAGUUUUUUUUUCAAAAAUAUACAAAAAAACUCCAAGUGACAGGGUUGGGAAGAAGAAAGGAUCUCUAUUCCCUAACUACAGUACAUGGUGGACAUUUUACUACACCCUGUAGGUAUGAAAAGAAUGCUUUACAAUGUUUAACCCCAAGUGAUUUUGUAAACCAUCCUUUUCUCGAGGACGAGAAAAAGCCUAGGUAUGGGGAAGUUUGUUGACGGUCCUAAACCCUAAAUUUAAUCGUCAAAUACACAAGGAAAAGGAUCCAUAUGCAAAUACCACCUAGAAUUAGGGUUUGGUUUGCCAUAAUUCCAUGAGUUUUGGUGUUUAUCUGUUUUUGCAGGGGGUUAUCAGGAAAUAUGGAGGAAAGGCCCACACGUUGGGUUUACAUAGAGAUAUUAACAUGUGCGCCAAUUUUCCUCGAUCUAGAACACUCCAGAAGCCACGGGAAGGAGCGCCCUAAACCCUAGGGUGCCCGCCCUAGCUCAGCAGCCAAUCAGGCUGAGUCUUGCGGAUUAUGCUCCACCACCUUUGGGGAUCAAUGAAAACCAUGCAAUUAAGGUUGGUUUGAUCCGACAGUCCACGUUCAUUUGGGAGGUCUAUAUAAGCAAGGCCCCUGGCCCCUGGAGGAAGGCAAUCCCAUUAUUCAUUUGCGUAUUUUCUAGAGAGGAUUCGUAGAGAGAGGUUCCUCUAGGGUUCCAAUCUCCUAGGCCUUAGCAUUCAAUGUGAGAUUAGAAUUUAUUCUUCUAGAUUGAGAGAAAUAGUGUGGAGGUGUAGAUUGGAGGAAGCCCGGCAUAUUGGUGUCUUCUCCAAGUUGUACCUACAGGAUCAAGUCUCCUAACUCGAGGCUUACUCCUAGGAUUCUUCGGUAUUUUGACUUCUAAAUUCUACUAAGUUAUUUGUUCUUAUUGUUUUUUGGUUUGUGAGUUUCCUUUAAUCUCUUCGUGUGGAGUUUAGAGUAAUCAUCGCUAGCGUAAACAUUGUGUUUGGGCUAGGAUACUCAUAGAUACCCCCUGUCUAGCCAGACCAUGGUAGUAGUGAGGAACGUGACAAUUCUGUAGCUACCUUUGUAGCCCAUAAUUCCAUUAGCAGGAUCGGUAGGGUUUAUAGGUGCGGGUCAAACAUCCUUUGUGCUGUCUAGAUUCUGUAAGCCUCCCCAAUAGAGCAGUAGAUCAUCCUUACCAAUGUUAGAACGAGGGUGCAGUCGUAGUCUUCUGUAUACAUCGCUCACAUCAAAUCACUUUGGUUGUAGCCUAAAGGUUAGUAGCAAUAGAUUUGGUUAGUCAGAUGCACGCUUUCUCCUAGUGGUAAAAUAUAAAUACGAUACUCUGGAUAACCUCCCGGGUGAAGUGCUCACCGAUAUUCGUGCACUUGCGGAUCAGUUCCUGAUUGCGUAACCAAAUAACAACAAUAGGCUAGGUCAUAAAUCACCUACUGUUCCAUUGGGUUCGAUAUUAAACCGGGUUGAUCUUGGUGAAGUGCUAAUUAGUAUAUAUUUGUGCUCUUGCGGAUAAUCUCAUUAUAAUCAAUAUUUAGGGUGCAGUUAAUUUAUACCAACAAUGUGGUUUGCUGAAGUGGUUUCCCUUCCAACACCAAUCUAAGUGUACUACUCUCAAGAUUCACCACAACGACAUCUAAAAUAUUUAUGAUAAGCAUACGUGUGUAUAACCACCCUUUCAACAACUUUAGGAAUAGAGAGCAUGAGGGGGUUGAAGAUUUCAUGUGGAGUAAUGUUAGAGAGACUAAGUGAAUCAGGAUAUUUUUCAUAUGACCAAGGAACUGAUGUGGUGUUCAUGAAGUAGCUUCCUUGGUCAUUGAAGCCUCCAUCAUUUUCUAAUUCCAAGGGUGACUCGAUACGUGUGUCCAAAAAUUCCCUUGGUUCAUCUCUUGAAUUGAUCUUAUCUAAGGUCUUGUCCAUCCAUUUAGUGGCAAUAGCACAUAGGUUUUAAUGCUCUCUAGCCAUGGAUGUUGCUCUUUUUGAUCUUCUAUAUGGUCUUGAUGGUUCCUAUGCAUGGGAUAUCUAGAUGGAUUUCUAGAAUCAUUAGGAGGUUUAGGAGAAAGAUCAUAGAGCAGGCCAUAGUCAUCAAGGAUGGGUUUAGAGAUGGGUUCGUAUUAUAUAUCCAAUAUGGGCAUAGGAGGGGAGAGGAUAAGAGAAACUUCUAGAUGGCUUCACUCUCCUUCUAUGGCAUCACUUGACAUACCAUCCUUGAGUCUUUCGAGUUGUCCUUCGAAGAGAUUGUAUUUGAAAAUGUUUCUAAGAGAUCUUUUUUUAAGAUUCAAACUAUGUGUACUAAAAGAUCUCUUAUGAAGCUAGAAGUUUAAACUCCUCCCAAAAUCACUAGAAAGGAUUUCUAAAGGUACAAUUACUUCUUCCCUUAGAAAAUUUUGGGGUACUGCUAGUUUGGGACGGAUAGUCAAAUCAUGGGAUUGGAAUGUUUGCAAAGUGGCUAUAAAAUCUUCAUCUUCUAGUUUGGGGGAUGAUUCCUUCUCUACCUCUAGGAUUUCAUCAUGAAGGCUAGUGCAAGGAGUGUGUCCACUAUAGCUAAGGAUAAAGCUCACUUCACUAAUUGAUAAAGAAAGGAAAACUCCUCCAAAGACGGUAUUAUCAAUGCCAAUAUAAAGAUGUUGAAGAAGAAUAGAGUCUUGUAGGUCUAACUAAAUUUAUAGGAAGAUUAAAAGAUUCCCUAAGUGUAGCCAAAAGUUCAUUACCUACUUGAUCAGAAGAUAGGACCUUGGGUAUGUUGGGUAUUCUUAACGUCAUUACCAAAAGUAGACUUAGUUUUCUAAUUCUGAUAACGGCGCCAAAAAUGCCAAACCUAUCACUCAUACCACUUAAGCCAAGUUGUCAUCCCCAGCAUGACAUGAGAGACGCGGUAUUGAAAUAUGCAAUUGCUCAUCUAAAUAAAUAACAAAUGGGAUCUGCAAGUGCACAGAUUAAUACCGAUGUAGCAUUUUAACCGGGAAGUAUUCCAGGUAUCGUUAUUUAUAUUUUUACCACUGGGAAGGGAUUGCUAAACAUCAAUGUUGAUUAUAGAAUGGAAUAUAGAAUUGAGUAUCUAUCAUUGCAUGUAUAAUUGAGAACAUUUAUCUAUCUCUUUCAUACAGGGAUAUGUGUCACAUAAAGGAUAUAUAAAGUAAUGAAUAGUGACAAAGAUAAUUAAUCUGAUCAGCAUAACUUAGCCACAUAAUAAAUAUGAUAAGCACCUCAAUUAGAUAUUCUAGCAAGUCAUUAGCAUGGAAUUACGAUGAACUACAAGAAUAUUUCCUAAGUUAUUCUUAACUAUAUAGUCUAGCAUAUCAUAGUUAGUGCAAUUAUACUUAGCAAUCAUUGUGAGACAGGACUACGCCCAUAGUGAUAUUAGCAAGGAAUAUGAGAAACAUCGUAAUCACUCCCCUGUAAUAAUGUUGCUCUGCCAGCCCAAUACACGAGAGGGGGACUAUAUAAGAAUCAAUGGAGCUCUCAAUACCACAAACUACCCCGCGAUCUGGUUUAUAGGGUACAAUCGCAGAUAAAUAUGGUAUAAGCACCACGCCUACACAAUAUCUAUCAUUUACCCAUGGAUCUGAUGGAUAAAUGCUAUACGAUCCUAAACAUGUAUAUAAUUCCAAUCUAACUAAGCCAAGUAUAAAACUAUGAUAAACUAAGAACAAUAUGAUUGUGAAUAUAAACAAGUAGAGCAAAGUCAUAAUUAAUAUAUUGAAGUAGAACAAAGUCAUAUUCAUAAUAUUGAAGAACAAAGAUGAACAAUUGAAGAACAAUAGAGAAUUACCAAGAAUCCUCUUGACAGAUCUGGAAACCAAUCGAAGAUUGACUCCUUCUAGUUCUAAUCCUAUGUAGAUAUGCUUAUCUAGAUGUCUAAUUGUUGUGGUGGCUCUAGGCUUGAUCAGAGGUUUCUUCUCCCUUGAUGAAUAAUGAAUUGGGGUUCAGAGGUCCUCUCCUCCAGGGGCCAGGGGGUCUGGUUUUAUAGUCCUUCCAAGUGAUUAUGGGCCAUUGGAUCAAACCGACAUUGAUUGAACGGUUAUCCUUGAUCCUUUAGGUCGGUGGAGCAUAAUCCUGAAAGAGAGUCCAGAUUGAACUCCAGCAGGGGGCGGGCGCCCUGGUCCCUAGGGCGGGCGCCCUAGGCCAGGCUCCGUUCUACCUCCGCUUCGAUCUCGUGGCUUCUGGAGUCUUCUAGAUGUAAGAUAAUUGCACAGCAUGUUAAUAUCUCUAUGUAAUCCCAACGUGUGGGCCUUUCUUCCAUAUUUCCUGAUAACACCCUGCAGUAAUAGACAAACACGAAAACUCGUGGAAUUCUGUCAGAUAAAACCCUAAGUCUGGAUGUUGGUUGCAUUUGGAUUCUUUUCUUUGUUUAUUUGAUACUUAAGGACCGUCAACAAACUCCCCCAAGCUUACCUCUUGCUCAUCCAUGAGCAAGGAUAAUCUCAGCAAUGGAUCAGAAGUUGUUGUAAUGCCUUUAAAAGUUGACAGUACACAUGCUUAUAAAUAAGAUCUCAUCUCUGAGUUAGAGUAAACUGUCAAGACAUUAAAACUUAUUCAUUUUACCUUUCACCAUGGAACUUGUAACCGUCACUUCUAUCUUGAGUAGUUAAGUGCCAUGUCUCUUAUUCUUGAUCAGCUAUAGCUCUGGACUUUUUGCAGAUUUUCAAAUAAACUCAGAGAUUCCUUGUGUGAUUCUCUCAGAUCUCUCUUUUGUGGUAUUUUUGGAUCCUUACCAAGGCAGUAUUUGUGGUAUAAAGCAUAGUGACAUUGCCUUCUCUCUCACCCUAGUCUAAUAAGGCUUUAAUAUCUGGAGCUCAUAGGUGGGAGAUAAAGUAUACAUACUCACAAGACAUUUAUUGUAUAGUCAAACCAUGGAUCCAACGAAACAAGUCAAUAAGUCAAAUCAAGAUGUGCAUGUGUGGCGAAUGAAUGGCGUAUGGUGAUGAUGGUGAUAACAAUGGUGAAAGUCUAAUUCUAUUUUUGCUCCUUAAGGGGAUACAUACCUUCCUUGCUCUUUUUGAAACUUUUUGACGAGAAUGAGAUGCUCUAUAUUUUCUUUUUCUUUCCUCUUAGGUGGGUAUCUUGUACCUCCAAUUCUACUGUCGGACACUUGUCCAUUUUUACCUCUCGUCUCACUUUUUCUUUUCUUCGAGUUUCUGGGCACUUGCCCCUUUUUAUUUCCUCGUAUUUUUUCUCUUUUUUUAGAGCACUCAUCUCAUGAAAUAAUAUAGCAAGUGGUAGUAACCAAGAUAACUCAAGCAUUUAUUUCACAGGGGAAAAAUAAAUAUUUUUGGCUAUUCUCUCCCAGAUUAGGAGUAGAAUAUUUUUGGGUGGUUUUGGAGAUGGUAAUGAGUGGAUAUAUGUGGAUGGUACUUCCAGAGUAGAAGCAGCAUGUGUGAGUGAACGUGCAAGUGAAUCUUGAUUUUAACCACAUGACAAGCUCCUAAGGGUCUACACAACUUGACCACACUCAAUGCUCAUAAGUACUAAAUUAAAUGUGUGGCUCAAAGUCUAGCAAGCAUGUAUAUAUGGCUGUGGUAGGAAUUUAGACUCUCAUCAUAUAGGAACUCAUCAUGCAAUAUUUAAAGAUUUUCAAAGAUAACAUUCUUAAGAAUUCUAGCAUCUCUAGGAACAGAUAAACAGCAGCUCAACUUCCCCAUAUCAUAUCCGUUAACAACUUAGACGUCAGAUCAAGUUUUCUUCCCACAAGUUUAGGUUUAGAGCAAGCUUUAAAUUAUAACAGUUAUGUGUAAGCUUGAGAGAAAACUUAUAUUUGAAAAUUAGGCAGAGCAACUAUUCAUCAUAUCCAUGCUAUAUUUUUAUUAUUAAGAUUUAGUUUAGCAUAACCACUUUAUUUAUUUAUUAAACACACUAAGCAAAAGAGAUAUAUAUAAGCACAAAAUAUUUCUUUGGUUUUCCAUAGUUACGUAUUUUUAUAUUUUAGUAUAGUAUAAGUAUAAAGAUAGAUAGAAAUACUUAGCGGGAUAAAUGGGGGUGCUCUCCCCCAAGCAGAAUUUUGAUGUAAUUUCUUCUGAUGUAGCUAGCAGGUGGCAGAGGUGUAUUUGAAAGUCGGUAGUACCCUGACAGCGAUUAGAAUGUCCUCCGUCUGCUAGUCUUCUUGAUUCUUAAAUUCUGUGGAGCUCAAAUAGACAACAAAGCUUGUGGAACUAGUUAAGUGUUAGCAUAAAUAUCUAGCCUUUAUCAUGUUGAGCCUUCUCAAUAAAUGUUACUCUUUAUUUUUAUAUUUUCAUUUUACAAAGCAGAAAAGAAAUAUUUGUUUUAUUUUUUAUGCCACCACAGUGAAUGUACUUUUGGGUUUUAUGCCACUCGUAUACUCACAUAGGGCUUACUAAUUUUAACAUUUUUAUUUUAUUUUUAGGAUAGUAUGAAUAUGAUUAACUAAGUAAACUAUUUUAAAUAAUUGAAAGGGAAAGGAUAACUACCAAGUUUACCUCUUGGCAAGGCGUUUGGUGUUUUUAAGUCCUCCGAACGGGACUCUUCGUUUUCUAGUUGUCCUGGGAUUCAUUGGAUGGCGGAGUCGGUGCUUCCAGCGGCGCCUCCUCUUCAUCUAUAGUUAACUUCUCUUUCCACACCUGACUCGGUGCUACGGUCUCCUCUAGAUAAUUCUGUUUAAACUGUAUGUCUUCUGACCUUAUCACUUCUCCUUCGUAGUCUGCCCAUCUGUCCUUGAUGAUUUCCCUCCUCUAGUUGCGGUUGCGUCGUUUUCUUCUUGUCCUGACCUGCUUAGAGUCUUCAACGAUAUAGUUAGGGUCAGUAAAAUAGCGGUGUACCUUCUCUGAGGGAAAGUGCAUAUGGACUUCUCCAGUUCCAAUGUAGAUGAUUGCUUUAACGGUGCUCAGGAAUGGUCUUCCAAGGAUGAUGGGUGGAUCAUACUCAUCUUCUCCCAUGUCAAUAACCUGAAAGUCUGUGUAGACAAAAUGAUCGUCUAUUUUGACAGGGACAUCAGUUAAUAUACCUUUAACCUCUCGAAAUGUCUGAUCUGCCAUCUGGAGCUGAAUGUAUGUUGGUUUUAAGGGCAUGGUUCCGAAUAAGAGCCGAUAGGUGACUGCGGCCAUUAUGUUGACGCCUGAUCCAGUGUCGCAAGUCGUCUUGUAAAAGUUGUAUCCAUUUAUAGAGCAAUAGAUGCUUGGCAUUCCUGGGUCGUCCUUCUUGGUCAGAAACGGUGACUUAAGUCGAUGAUCUUGACCUCCUUGAACUACAGUGACCAUCUUAGCUGACUCGGUCCACACUUGCUUAUUCCUGUUCCUCCUGUUGGUCCUUUUCCUUGAUUCAUGUCGAGAUUGCUCUGGGAUUUAUGUAGUCUUGUUCUUGAAGGAAAACAUCUCCUUCCUCCUUUUGAUGUAGAAACUGAUCUUGGCAGCACUAGCGUAGAUGACAACUCCCGAGGUGUUUAAGAAUGGCCUCCCUAGGAUGAUGGGUGCCCUCUCAUCAUUAUCGGUCUCUAUCACCACGAAGUCUGCUGGGGCGUACAAGGUACCAACUCGGACACAAAGGUUCUUUAAUAUUCCAUUUGGGAAACUUAUCGUCUGAUCUGCAAACUGCAAACACAUGGUUGUUUCUGAUAAAGGAUAUGUAAAGAAUUUUUCAUAGAAUACCUUGGGCAUAAUGUUGACACUAGAGCCAAAGUCGCAGAGUGCUUCUGGGAAGUCCACCAUGCCGAUGGAGAUCGGGAUGACGGGGCGUCCUAGACAGCCUCUCUUGACCGGCAGAAGGUCAGUAGUAACUUCAGUGACGGGGUUACUCCAGUAGUUACCUGCAUCAAACAUGUCUACAAGAUUUGCAGAUUCUAAUCUUUCCGGUUGUGAUGGUAUACUGUUGACACUUCUUAACGCAACCACCGGAUAUCGGCGACGGCGCCAGAAGUGCCCUGGUAGGGUAACUCUAUUUACUAUUGGAUAAUUCCGCAAGCGCACAGAAUGUACCGCUGUAGCACUUCACCAAGGAGUAUUCCAAGGUAUCGUAAUUUAUAUUUUCCCAAGGGAAAGCGGCUAAGUGUGUUUAACAAAAGGGGAAUGAGAUUCCUUGAGUUAUCUAGUAUCAACUAGUGAAUAAGGGUGGUAAAUAAUGAAUAGGAAGGGUAGUGGUGAAUCCAAGGUCCUAUGCUAAAGGUGAAUGGUAGAGUUAGCUAGGUGGGAGGACAACGAGUGAGUAAAGGACUCCUAUGUAUCUAACUUGACUUCUGUGACUUACUUUAAUAGAUAAUUGUCUUAACUACGCUAGAGCCUUACUAACUGUGUGCGAGGGAUAGCCGAGCUGGUAAGACGCUUAGAAGGUUUUUCACCUAACCCCUUACCGAAAGCGACUAUUGGGCUUAUGGACGCCUUACCUUUUAAGAACUAGCCUGUACGUGAGGAGAACCUAAUGCCGCCCACGAUCUGUCACCUACUAGGGAGUGCGCUCCUACUUUCCGUUCAAGCCAGCGGUAAUCAAAGGUAAUCUUAAGUAUGAGCACCACGCUCACACUUAAUCCUACAACGCUAACUAGUUGCAGCUAGCUAGAGCUCCUAUACAAGAUAGGACGAUGAUGCACACACAGGAGUGGUUACAGGUCACUAACUUCACUAAGACAACUAUAUUACUAAAGUAAAUGCACAACAAGACUAAAAGACUUGCACUAAGUAAGAACUCAGUAAAGUAAAGUAAGAAUAAUAUAUUAAUAAAAGGAAAGUCUUACAAAAGUAGAAAGGUACAAGAGCUAUACCAGACUCUCCAGAAGACGACUCCGGAGACCCCGAGCUUCGCUCGACUCGACUCUAACUCCCACUCUAGACUAACUACUACUCUACUUGUAUGCUUGGAACUUGUAAUGCACUUGGCCUUGGAAUUGCACACUUGAAAUGAAGGAUGGAGGCUGCCUUUUAUAGAGGGAGAUGGAGUAGGGUUACUCCAUCGCCACGUCAUCGAUCCGCGUGACAUCUUCUCUCCACCCUUGGAUCAAACCGACCUCACAACCGCCAUUUGAUCAACGGAAGGGGCAAAUCAACAUGUGGGACAUGUGGGGAAGGUCGGUGGGAGGCCACCGACCCUGGAACCGCCUUUGAUGUGGGGUCGGGCGACCCCACUUCUGGGCCUCUGGGCCCACCAGCAGUGUCCACAGGGGUCCCUUAUGUCGGUGGACUAGGUGGCACACCUGGGUCCCACCAAAGAGGGGUCGGGCGACCCCCUCCCUGUGGGCCCAGGGUGUCACCUGUUGUCCCCUCGAUCUCCUCUUGAUGAUUCUGAUGUUGGCUUUGUCAAAUAAUGUCUUGAAUUUGUUGUUCCUGCAUAAACAAGCUAAGAGUACAAGUGGAACUAGUUAUGGAUAAAAUAUGUUCAUGUCAUGUCGUUUCCCCUUGCAACCGAGGCAUGUUGACGGUGUUUUGUAUGUGGAUUUCUAUGGUAUAUCCACCGUCAACAAGAUCCCCCAAGCUUAACCUUUGCUCGUCCCGAGCAAACAAUCAAACUUAGCCUCGGUGGAUCAGGUAUUGUUACUAUGUUCACAUUUCAAGAGUACCAUGUGUACAACAAAGUUCUUCUCUUUGCAUGAAAAAUUUAGCUAUGUAAACUUACCCCUAUUACCUUAGUCCCUUAUGGGGCUUAUGGCUUUUCCUUUGUCUUAGGUGGUUGAGAGAUAGAACAGUUUGACUUCAGCACUAACUUUCUCAUUCUUAGCAAGUUUCAUAUCAGAGGUUUUGUGAUAUUUUCAAAAGAAAGCUUAAAUGUUCCUCUUAUGGUUCUCUCAUGUCACUCAAAUGGUGUAUGAUUCCUCACCAAGGCAUAUGGUAAGAGUUGCCUUCUCUAUUUCAUCCUAUUUCUAAAAGGCUUAUGUGGAGUUCAAGGUAGGGAUGAAAGGAGAUAGCAUACUUACUUUGCAUGUAUUGCGAAGUCAAAGCUCGGAUCCUUGAAGAGAAGUGUCAUACUCCCAGAUCAAGAUGUGCAAGUGUGAUAUAUGGUGGACUAGGUUGCUCCUUUAUUUGAUAGACUCUCUAUGUAUUGAGACAUGGCUAGCAUUUUUUCUUCUUCUUUUUUUUAUAUAUAUGAGCUUUCAUGUGCUCAAUUUUCUUUUUCUGUGGACUUGCACAUGUCCAUCUUUUUAUUUCAUUUUGCCUAGCCUUUUGAUGUCUCAUUUACCAAAUAAUGCUUAGAGAGAUGUUCUAACAUUUAGAGUAUGGAGCAACCUAUUUAGUGGAUGCGAAAUACAUGUGGUUGCGUACUUCCAGUGUAGAAGCAGCAUAUAUAUAUGUGGUGUGUACGUGAUCUUGAUCUUAGGAGCAUGAAAAGUCUCUUAACAAGGGUCAACAAGACUUGACGACACUCAACACAAAGCAAAUAGCUUAUGUGGAAAGGUUGCAAUUAUGUAAAGUAGAUAUGGCUGUGGUAGGAAUUCAUCACCAUUGAGGAACAAUUAAGGUUUUGAUCAUUUUAAGAAUAAAUCUCUGAUAAUCAUGCAUGCUUAGAAAAAUAUUAUAGUAGCUCUUGCCUUACUAUCUCAUGUCCCACAACAACUUAGACUUAGUUCUAGCACUUGCAACCCACAAAGUUUUUAGGUUCAUGGCAGUUUAAGUGAGCUAAGUGAUCCAUACUUAGAGAAAUACUAAGUUGUAUACUAGGCACUAGAGAAACAUUAACAAGCAACUAGUCAUAAUUUCCAUGAGGGAUAUAAACAUACAUGAAGCAUAUAUGCUAAAGGGAAAUGCUAAUAAAUAUUUUUUUAAGUAAGAAUGAUAAAAUGCAUGAAAAUAAAUAGGAUAGAAUACUUACCUUAGUGGGGGAGAGGAUCUCCACCAAGCUAGAUCUUCGCUCACUGUGGUGGCGGGAAAUUCUGGUACCAUCCAGCCCAGCGUUGUGCGUCUUCCUCUCGCACACGUCGGAUAUGUUGGCCGUUUUGUAACGCCAGUUGCAAUGUUGCUUCUUGCCCAAUCUGCAAUUCGCCCAUGUCAUUAAUGAGACUGUCCAUACCUGUGGGCUGGUGACGCCUAGCCCUGUCCCUUGGGCGUGGAGUGCGUUGUGGAGGUAGACCCAUGGAGUCUGAAGCAUCCACUGACAUCGCUUCAUCGCCCUCUUCAACGUCAUGGUGCGAGGAUCCUCCUUGCUCCAUCUGGGCGGCUUGCAUCAUCCUUCUUGUCACCCUGCGUGUCCCUGCAACAUCUGGUCUUGCCACUCGGGCUAGUCUAAUGGUAAGUGUGCGGACCCCAUACAACCGGCGCCUCGCACAUGGGAGAGGAAUUUCGGUUGUAUAGCCCGGAUAAAUCAUUUUAAGUUCACCAUUUGGAUCUCUUAUGAGCAUGUUAGCAUUGAUAAAUAAGUUCUCAUCUACCACUCCUCUAACAUAGCCAAUGUCUUCAAAAUAAUGUGAUUCAAGUAAUCCAAAAGUAUCGGCUAUUCGAGUAAUAAAGGAUGUGAAAUAGAUGGGCUUCCCAUACUCAAUAGAGUUAAGCCAAUAGUUCACUAGCAGUUUCACAGGGGAGACCUUGAUUUUACUAACCAUGGCAUAGAGAAUUUUAAGUUCAUCAUCAAUUAAAGUAUCAGUUCCCAUGCCAGGAUCUAGAGUGCACAUGAUCCAGAAGUGAAGAAAGCGCAAGGUUGGAUUAUGGAUUUCAAUGGGAGUAGGAUUUGAACAAUCAUUAGAGCCAGAAAUUGCUUUCCAGAAUCUAAUUUUAUCGAACAUUCUAGUGGCAUGAUCUAGAUCAAGUUCACAUUCAUGUUCACACCCUAAAGCAGUGUUUAGCAAACUCCAAUUUAAUUGAUGUUCUUGCUCACACAUGCGAAAAGAUAUUCCAUUAUUUGUGAGUUUUAGGGUGCAUAGAAAUUCCUUAGCAAGCAAUUCUUUUCCAAAUUCAAGCACUUGCCAAAAACUACUCCAACCAAUUGCUCUAAACACCUUAUCGAAUUCAACAUCCAUACCUGUGCGGGCCAAAAGGUCCGGAUCGAUGAUGCUAGUGUGUAGGAAGAGACCCUCUCGGAUGAUGUAUUACCUUUGCAACUCUUCUUGGCUUAACAUGAGGCCGCUCUCGGGCUCUCUCAUCCUUGAUGGAGGCUCGUAGGGUACGAUCCCAUGGUAACCUUCUUCUUCCUCCCUUCCAUGAGCAUGGUGAGAGCCUUGAGAAGAGCUCUCACCCUUUGCUUUCUUGAACUUGCCGAAGAUAUGCUUCUUCAUCCUCCUACACAAGUGAGGCAAACCAAGCUCCUACUACUACUACUAUGCAAGGGGAAUCUUUUUGGGUUUUUGUUUUGAUGACUAUUUCUAAACUAAACUUGAGAAAUGGCUUGUAACAAAGAGAGAAGAGAAAGGAUUGUGAGCUCGAAAUGGUUCUGGUGGUUUUGGGUGUGGAAUUGAGCUCACAAUGCUGUGGUAUUUAUAGGGGGAGAAGGGCAAGUAGUGGACCCACAAUAUAGGGGUCGGCCGACCCCCCCUAGAAGCACUUUGAAUUUGAGUUUAGCUUUAUACAGGGAACCAUUCUGCAUGCUUUCAAGAUUUUGCAGAGAUGGUCCAAAAUGGGGGUCGGCCGACCCCCAUCCUAGCCCCUCCUCCACUUUAAACAUUGUGUCAUUGAUUGUCCGGAAAAGUAAAGGCUAGGUGUGGACCAAAAGUUUUCAAAUUGUUUCUGAGAUUCCCUGUUUUAGUGCUUUGUGAAAGGUAAAAGAUGAAUGGCAAAAGUGGAGACAUGUCUAAAGUGAUUCCUAUGGACCAUGGGAGCACUCAAGCAUGCCUAGGUGACCACUUUGCAGAAUUUAAGCUAGUGGAGUGGUCCCAAAAGAAUCAAAGAUGAAAGGAGCAUCUUAUGACUAAAGUAAAGGAUCAAGGGACCACUCUUUUUCAAACUUUAGCUAGUGUUACAAGCAUAGGACUCCAUUGUGAUUCAAAUGGUGGCCAGCAGGAGGCAAGUGGGGCCAAUAUGGGGGUCGGCCGACCCCCACAUUGGAGCUCCCAGAGCAUCCAAGUGCUGGGUUGGAACCUCUAUGACUAACAAGGUUGAAAUGUGGUGAAGUGGGCCCCAAGGUGGGGUCGGGCGACCCCCCUUUGGGAGCUCCAGCAGCUCAAAUUUUUAUGACAAGUUAUUCUCAAGAUUUUAUUUAUUAUGGCUAAACAUUUUGUCGAAAUAAGAUAUGCAAAAUUUAAAGUAAGAAUGCAAUUGAAAAGUGAAUAGUAGAAAUUGAAAUGCAGAAAAUAAAUAUGGGAUAACUACUGAUUUACCUUAUCAGCAAGGGCUCCAUGUUUUAGGUCCGUAGAGCAGGACCUCUCCAUCUUGUUCAUCCUUCGGGUGCAUCAGAUGGUCCCGGAGACGUGGACCUUGAUUGCACCUCUUUCUCCCGCCAUACUUGCUUGGUAUUGAUUUUUGGUUCAGCGGGUUCCUCUUCUUUCUUUUCGGCCCUUUUGGCCGACUUACCUCUCUUGUCCCUUCGGCGUCGGAUGUGGCGAGGCUUAGUCGGAGGUUCUUUGUCCUUCACCUGCAUGUUAGCUUUAUAACCAUUGAAUGGACAUUUUACCUUCCAUCCUGGGAAUUGGAGGUGAAUCUGGCCGGACCCCACAUAGAUGACUGCAUUGACCGUGUUGAGGAAUGGCCUUCCCAAGAUGAUCGAGACAUCAUUAUUGGAUCCCAUAUCCAAAAUGAUGAAGUCGGCAGGGACGUAGUCGUCUUGGACCUUUACCAGUAUGUCCCUUGCCAACCCCUCAGGGAACCUGAUCGUCUGAUCUGCCAUCUGCAAACGAACAAAUGUGGGGUGCAAAGGCCCCCCUAGCAAAUUAUCAUAAGUUACCUUGGCCAUGAUGUUGACACCCGAUCCAAGGUCGCAGAAGGCGUUGUGGAAGAUUUGCGGUCCGAUCUCACAGGUGAUGGUCGGCAGGCCUGGGUCGUCCUUCUUGGUGAUGAAGGGCGAAUCCAGAAGAUAGCUCCAGUUGGAUUGUACCGGAGGCUUACCGAACCUCGUAGUAACUAGUUUAACUCCUUCAAUUGGGUCCUCAGGUUUCCCUGGGAUCUUACCUUGCUCGAAGGAUGGGACAGCUGCUGCUAAUUGAGCUAAUUGUGUUUCUAGCAUUUUGUUAAAGCUCAACUGAUUUUUCAUAGCAGAGUUAAAGCUAUCCAACUUUUCACUUAAGUUUUUAAGGAUCUUAUCAUUAGCCAUCAUUUUCUUGUUAAUGCUAUCAUUGAUUUUAGAUUGGCCUAAGACAAGAUCUCUAAGAGAAGGUUGGUUACCAAAAGAAUUAUUGAAAUUUUGAUUGUAACUAUUACCUUGAUUACCUUGGUAGAAGGUGCGCGAGUUCCAUUGCUGUUGUUGGGGCCGGUACCCAUUGUUGUUGUUGUUGAUGAAGCUCACUUCCUCCUUUGUUUCGGGACAAUUGUUUCCCGAAUGAUCAUCUCCUCCGCACACUUCGCACCAUGAAUCAGAUUCAAUGGCCCGUGCAGUGGCGUAAGGUUGAAUGGUCUCUUGCUUGGAACUUUCUUCCAUCUUCUUCAUUAAGAGGUCCAUCUUAGCAGAGAGCAUGUCCACCUCAUUCAAGGCAUGGACACCUCUUCUCUUGGGUUGGAGGCGUUCCUCAUUCCAUCCUUGGUUUAUAACCAUCUUUUCAAUGAGGUCCUUGGCAUCCUUGACAUUGUGUUGCAAGAAUGCUCCUCCAGCGGCAGCAUCAAGGUGACUACGGGCCAAACCGGUCAGGCCAUGGUAGAAACCUUGGAUUAGGAGCCACUCCUCUAUCCCAUGAUGAGGACAGGCGCGAAUGUACUCCUGCAGACGUUCCCAUGCUUUGGGAAUCGUCUCAUCCGCUUGCUGUUGGAAGCUGGAAAUCUUUCCACGAAGGGCGCUGGUCUUGCCCAUCGGAAAGAACUUCUUGAGAAAUGCAUUGGCGCACCUCUCCCACGUGGUCACUUCACCCUUGUUGGCGUAGAACCAUUGCUUCGCCUUCCCCAAUAACGAGAAUGGGAGGAGGCGAAGACGGAUGGCGUCUGCGGCGACAUUCUUGAUGGUGAAGGUGCCGCACACCUCCAAGAAGUGUUGGAGAUGGGCAUUGGCAUCCUCGUGUGGCUUUCCACAGAAGGGAUUAGCUUGCACCAUAUUGAUAAGCGCAGGCUUCAACUCAAAAGUCGCAUCCCCCAAGUUAAGCUGCGGACCCGUGGCGACAUUGUCAGCCGACGGCGCAGAGUACUCAGAGAUGGUCUUCUGGGCCAUAGCUUCUUUGAUAACCGGUGCAGAUACUCCUUCCUCUAACGGAUUCAGGUUCGAGAUGAACCUUUGAGGUGGAACUUGACGACGUCUAGUUCUCCUCAACAGUUGCUCAGGAUCUUCAACGAAGUUUGACGGCAAUUGGAAACCGCUCAUACACUGUCAGGCUUCACAAUAAAGGAAGACAAGACAAGUGAUGGGUUAUCCCUAUCACUACUUGAUAACUAGCAAACUCUGGAUUCUCUUUUUGUUAAAACUCUUAGACAGACGCUCUCCCCGGCAACGGCGCCAGAAAUGCUUGUUGACACUUCUUAACGCAACCACCGGAUAUCGGCGAUGGCGCCAGAAGUGCCCUGGUAGGGUAACUCUACUUACUAUUGGAUAAUUCCGCAAGCGCACAGAAUGUACCGCUGUAGCACUUCACCAAGGAGUAUUCCAAGGUAUCGUAAUUUAUAUUUUCCCAAGGGAAAGCGGCUAAGUGUGUUUAACAAAAAGGGGAAUGAGAUUCCUUGAGUUAUCUAGUAUCAACUAGUGAAUAAGGGUGGUAAAUAACGAAUAGGAAGGGUAGUGGUGAAUCCAAGGUCCUAUGCUAAAGGUGAAUGGUAGAGUUAGCUAGGUGGGAGGACAACGAGUGAGUAAAGGACUCCUAUGUAUCUAACUUGACUUCUGUGACUUACUUUAAUAGAUAAUUGUCUUAACUACGCUAGAGCCUUACUAACUGUGUGCGAGGGAUAGCCGAGCUGGUAAGACGCUUAGAAGGUUUUUCACCUAACCCCUUACCGAAAGCGACUAUUGGGCUUAUGGACGCCUUACCUUUUAAGAACUAGCCUGUACGUGAGGAGAACCUAAUGUCGCCCACGAUCUGUCACCUACUAGGGAGUGCGCUCCUACUUUCCGUUCAAGCCAGCGGUAAUCAAAGGUAAUCUUAAGUAUGAGCACCACGCUCACACUUAAUCCUACAACGCUAACUAGUUGCAGCUAGCUAGAGCUCCUAUACAAGAUAGGACGAUGAUGCACACACAGGAGUGGUUACAGGUCACUAACUUCACUAAGACAACUAUAUUACUAAAGUAAAUGCACAACAAGACUAAAAGACUUGCACUAAGUAAGAACUCAGUAAAGUAAAGUAAGAAUAAUAUAUUAAUAAAAGGAAAGUCUUACAAAAGUAGAAAGGUACAAGAGCUAUACCAGACUCUCCAGAAGACGACUCCGGAGACCCCGAGCUUCGCUCGACUCGACUCUAACUCCCACUCUAGACUAACUACUACUCUACUUGUAUGCUUGGAACUUGUAAUGCACUUGGCCUUGGAAUUGCACACUUGAAAUGAAGGAUGGAGGCUGCCUUUUAUAGAGGGAGAUGGAGUAGGGGUUACUCCAUCGCCACGUCAUCGAUCCGCGUGACAUCUUCUCUCCACCCUUGGAUCAAACCGACCUCACAACCGCCAUUUGAUCAACGGCAGGGGCAAAUCAACAUGUGGGACAUGUGGGGAAGGUCGGUGGGAGGCCACCGACCCUGGAACCGCCUUUGAUGUGGGGUCGGGCGACCCCACUUCUGGGCCUCUGGGCCCACCAGCAGUGUCCACAGGGGUCCCUUAUGUCGGUGGACUAGGUGGCACACCUGGGUCCCACCAAAGAGGGGUCGGGCGACCCCCUCCCUGUGGGCCCAGGGUGUCACCUGUUGUCCCCUCGAUCUCCUCUUGAUGAUUCUGAUGUUGGCUUUGUCAAAUAAUGUCUUGAAUUUGUUGUUACUGCAUAAACAAGCUAAGAGUACAAGUGGAACUAGUUAUGGAUAAAAUAUGUUCAUGUCAUGUCGUUUCCCCUUGCAACCGAGGCAUGUUGACGGUGUUUUGUAUGUGGAUUUCUAUGGUAUAUCCACCGUCAACAUAUACCGAGGUUAGUAGCAGGAACAACAGCAGCUAUUUGAUUUAACUAAGAUUCAAUCAUCCUAUUAAAGCUAAGUUAAUUCUUGAUGGCAGUAGAGAAAUUAUCCAUUCUAUUAUUAAUAUUGUCUAGUAUUUUAUCAUUAGAUGCCAAUUUCUUAGAUAGGUUAUCCAUUAGCUUUCCUUGAUUAGACACUAACUCUCUCAGAGGUGGAAAAUUAUUAUUAUUGUUGUAAGAAUUGUUACCUUGAUAAUUACCUGAGUAGUUAGGUCUUUGUUGAUUCCAACCUUGAUUUUGUUGAGGACGGUUGUAGUAGUAGUUGUUGUUGUUAUUGUUGAUGUAGUUCACAUCCUCAAGCAUCUCAGGGCAGUGAUUGCCGGAGUGUCCAGUAUCUCCACACUCCACACAAGUCAUGUGAGAGACGUAGAUGUGCAUAACUUCUUUUUUAUCUCCAACUCUAUCAUUGAGCUUCUUCAUGUGCAGGUCUAGCUUUGCAGACAGCAUGUCUACCUCCUUGAGCUGAUGCAUACCUCCACCUUUCUUGCGUGUCUGGGUCCUCUCUUCAUUCUAGCUUUGAUUGGACACCAUCUUCUCCACAGGAGCUGUGGCUUGUGAUAUGGUGAGUGAUAGGAAUGCUCCUCCAACUGCAGCAUCCCUGGUCUCUCGGGCACUGUUGCCGAGCACAUGAUAAAACGUCUGCAUCAGUAGCCAACUCUCCAUUCCAUGAUGGGGACAUUCUAGGAUGUAGUCUUGGAAGCGCUCCCAUGCUUCUGGAACGGAUUCAUCAUGUUGUUGCUGAAAACUUGUAAUUUUCCCACGGAGAGCAUUGGUCUUGCCCAUGGGAAAGAACAUAGCCAGAAAGUUCGUGGAGCAGAGUGACCACGUAGUAUUCUUCUCCUUUGUAGCGUAGAACCACUGCUUCGCUCUCCCCAACAGUGAGAAUGGGAAGAGGCGAAGUAGUAUAGCAUCUCUGGGGACUCUGAUAUGGUGAAUGUGCUGCAAAACUGCAGGAAGUGUUGGAGAUGAGCACUAGCAUCUUCGUGUGCCUUCCCACAGAACUGGUUGGAUUGUACCGUGUUGAUAAGUGCAGGCUUGAGCUCCAAGUUGCCAUCAAUCUAUGAAGCAGGUCCAGUGCAGAUGUUGUCCGUUGUGGGAGCUGAGAACUCGCGGAUCGAUUUGUUCGCCAUGACUUCAAACUCUGAAGACAAGUUCCGGUGAUCUUCUUGAUUGGAUGAAGCUUCUUGCUGAAGUGUUGAUGAUCUUUUCUUCUUGAACUUGGCUCUUGUUUUUCUGAAUAACGCUUCGGGAUUGUCAACAAAAUUUCCUAGAAGAUGUCUUCUAUUCAUACAUUCCCCUGCAUAAGAUAAAAUAGAAAAAUAUUGGGGUAAAACUGUAUGAGAGAAUUGAUAAGCUCACUCAUAUUAGUGACGUGAAUGAUGACUCGAAAUUCUAUAUUCAUUCCAGAUUAGUAAUCAACCUUCCCCGGCAACGGCGCAAAAAAUGCUUGUUGGGUAUUCUUAACGUCAUUACCAAAAGUAGACUUAGUUUUCUAAUUCUGAUAACGGCGCUAAAAAUGCCAAUCCUAUCCCUCAUACCACUUAAGCCAAGUUGUCAUCCCCAGCAUGACAUGAGAGAUGCGGUAUUGAAAUAUGCAAUUGCUCAUCUAAACAAAUAACAAAUGGGAUCUGCAAGCGCAUUGUAACACUCCAGUGUUAUGGUUGCAUCAAUCAGAUGCAAAACAUGAGCAUCAUCAUCCAGUCAAGCAUAUCAUGAUCAAAAUCUACCUUGAGUCAUGUCAUUCUAUGCAAAAUUGUGAGUUAACUUGUUAAAUAUGCUUCUUGUGCUUGUGUUUGUUUGUACCAUGCUCAUGCUUGUGUGUUAAGUCUUGGUAAUUAGUUUAUCUAUGCUUAACUCAACCUUAGGAACAAUGCUCAUGUUGAUCACUUGUCGGUGUUUUCCCACAGGGGGUGACACCAACGAGUAAAUUUGUAUGCGUGCUGCCUUUUCCAGAUGGUGAUGCAAAAAGACACAAAGAUUUAUCCUGGUUCGGGCAAGAGAAGGCCCUACGUCUAGCGGGGGAGGAGAGUUUGUAUUAUCUUGCACCUAAGUGCUUGUACAGGGGUGAAUACAAGCGUGUAUGAACUGGGAAGGAGUGUGGAAGCUCUACUACGUAUGAGUGUUGUAUCGCAUGAUGUUGUAUUCGCUCCCGGGCCUCCCCUUUUAUAGCUCCAAGGAGAGACCUAGGGUACAUGUAUAGGCGUCAGAGUAGGGGUCGAUAGAGGUAUGGCGCGCUGACCUACUCGAGGCCUCCGUACCGACGUGGUCUCGAGCCGUCUCGUCCUGGUAGCUUGAUGAUGAUUAUGCGUGCCCCUGUAUCCCGCUCAGUGCGCCGUCUGGGACUGGUUUAUCUGUUGCAUGCCUGUACGUCAUGGCGGCAGAUAUGUCGGAGUAGUUGCGGUGUUGUCAUUCGACGCCCAACACUUCCCCAGGAAGGAAACGUGUCUGGUCGAGGGUCAGACGCCGUGUAACGCCUUGCUAGCCAGAGCGCUGACCUUGGACGUCUUGAGGGUGUCUUGAUUAGACGUCCUGACCCCGCUUCCUGCGUCCUGACACGCUCUGGAUUAUUUGGUGGGGAAGGCUGCAAAAAGAAUGAUGGGACGGGUGCCUGUUCCCUAUCACGCUUCCCGUGACUGGCGUGUUAGGUGACAACGCGACAGGCGCAUUAAAUGCCCUGGUUCCCGUGCCCGCGUCAGGCGGCGGGCGGCGUCCUUGCGCUCAACGCCUUCCGAUUCGCUCGAGCCUAUUUCCGUAUUCGACGGUAGCCGGUGCUCGAGCCCUGAUCGAUUCGCUCGAUGCCCUUUCCGUCUUCGAGGCUGCGGUCAUCGAUGACCAUACGCGUGACUGGGUAGAGCGUCGAGUUGGAGGCUUCGACUUGCGUACAGGCAAUCUUGUCAUGUACAUCAGUUAGGAUACCCCUGUUGACACCAUUUUUGGACACGUAUCCAGGAUUGGUAGAAUGUGGAUCGGCAAGACAGGGUAAUGGUCACUGGUCUGCAGAAGGGUUACCGAUGAUGAUGGUUGCCGAUGAGAAGACAGUUGGAUAUGACUAAGUCUGUGAAUGGUGAUGUGUGUAUGCCGAUGGCCGGGGUUAACCGUUGCCGAUGGGGAGUCUGCUGAUGAUAUGGAAUUAAAACUCGCAGGUUGCUGAUUAGUCCGUGGUGGUGUCCGAGUUCGUCACGGAAGGAUGGUUUUAUGUUUUCCUUAGUUAUUUAAAUCGUUUUGUAUAAGGAUUCUGUUUAAAUUUGGAAUUCGAGUUCUAGUCGUGUCUGGUUGUAGCUCUUUGAGCAGGGUAUAAAUGUAGACCCUAGGGCUUUGUAAUCAAAGAAUCUAUCAAUCAAUCAAACACCAGUUUUUUAGUCAUAUUACAGCAUCUACUAUUUCGACGACUUCGUCAUACUUUUUCUUUUUCAUUACGAGUUCUUAAGAAUUCGUCGACUUAAGCUCAGCGUGUUCUCAAGUUCCGCGUGAAUACCUCUUGGCCGUGGCAUCCGGGCGCAUCGCUCUUGUCGGGACCAAAGUAUUCAAGUUAUCACCUUUGCCGAUAGUAAGGUCAAAUCGGCUGGCACGCCUUCAUGUUUAAAUCGGGUAUUAGCCCUUUGUGUUUGCAGAUCAGCUUUUGCAUCAACACAUCUUUUGGCACGCCCAGUGGGACCUGAUUCAAGAUCAACAUGUCGACUACUGAGUUUGAUCAGGAGAACGUCAUCCCCGUGACGGAAGCCAAUCUCAAGGAUGAGCAGAAGCAAGCUAUUGUUAAAGCCAAGGAGGAUUACAAGCAGCAAUGCUUGAGGUCCUUCAGCAUGAACAGGAGCGGCGAGGUGAUCUAGAAGGACACACUGCCGAUGCCUCGGCAGGUUACUUUCGAAGCCAAUCCUGGGAAACUUCAAGAUAUGGUUGAUAAUGCUAUCAACCGUGCUUUGAUCAACCAAGCUGGUGUACUGUCCAAUACGGUUUUCAAUGCCGUGGCUAGAACUUUCAAGGAAGGACAGUUGCCACCAGAUUAUGUGGGUCCUUCUCAUCAUCAGCCAGGAUCACCGGUUGUCACAGCCCCAUCGGCUGCUAUGGCCACUGCGGGUACCCAGACUACUGUUCCCCCAAGCACGUUGGGAGUCACUAGUGCACAGUCUAAGCCGAUGACGACUAAUCCACCGUCUUCAGAUGAGCAGAUUAAGCUUACUACAGAUCUAUUGGCAUCGGCAAUGUCAGGACCAGUUCCUCCUCAUAAUUGGUGGGGUUUUGGUAUGCCUCCGGAAUACUCACUGAGGACACCUAGCACAUCUCAACCAGCUGAUAUGAGAGGCAAGGCUCCUAUGACAUCGGCACCCCCAAACAUGCCGAUGAAUCAGAGUCCCCAGUUUACUACAACUACUACUGCAAGACCUUACACUGGGAAUUCUCAAGCUCCAACUUUCCCGAUGCCUAAUGCAUCGGCAGAUUCAAUGCUGGUGCAACAGAGGUUUGUGACUCAACAAGGGUAUGUCAAUUUGAUGAUGAUACCCAAUUACCAGUCAUCGGCAGGCCCUAUGCCGAUGAAUGCUAAUAGUGGAUGGCUUGGGCAGCAAGUCUUUCCGCAAACACCCCAACAGAAUCAUCAGACUACCGGAUUUCAGCAUGGCCAGAUCUACCCCGGGUUCCAGAAUCAGGGAAUGCCCAACCAGCCAAUGAAUCUUGGGCAGCAGGUCGGCGGACAGUAGAUUGGCGGGCAACAGUUUGGUGGUCAGCAGAUGGGUGGCCAAAUGAUUAACCCAAUAUUCCAUGCAGAUCGCGCACCGCAGAGACACGUGGAAGCUUAUCAACAGGUGCCAAAUCCGCAGCCGCCCCAUCGGCAAGACGCCGAUGCUUAUUGGGCCGAUAAGAUCACUGAAGUAAUGAGAGACCAAUUUGGGAUAAAACCCAAAGUCAACACUUACUCUUAUCGGACACCGUUUCCUCCUGCGUAUGAUUUAAUCCCGCUUCCAAAUCGGUACAAAGUGCCGGAUUUUACUAAAUUUUCUGGGCAGGAUGAUACAUCGACUAUGGAGCAUGUCAACAGGUUCAUCAUCCAAUGUGGAGAAGCUGCUAACCGGGACGAGUUAAGGGUCCGGUUGUUCUCGUCAUCAUUGUCUGGAUCGGCAUUCACCUGGUUUAUAUCAUUACCUCCCAAUUUAGUGAUUACUUGGGCCGAUCUAGAGAAGCAAUUCCAUAAAUACUUCUUUUCUAGUGUCCAUGAGAAGAAGAUCACCGAUUUGGUCAAAUUGAAGCAACGCAAUGAUGAAUCGGUUGAGAGUUUCGUACAGAGGAUACGGGAAGUCAAGAACAAGUGCUAUAGCCUUGUUCUGGAUGAUCGGCAGUUAGCUGAUUUGGCUUUCCAGGGUUUGUUGCCACAUAUCAGGGACAAGUAUGCAUCUCAGGAGUUUGAAAGCUUAAGUCAUUUGGUCUAGAGAAUUCCUGAUCAAGAUAUCAAGCCUUUCGAGCCCAAGAGAGCAUGGAACAAGAAGGUAUCAUUUGUGGAUGAAGCAGCAAGCUCGGACUCUGAUGAGGAACCAGUCAUCAGCUUAGCAGAGUGGGUGAAAAACAAGAAGCCGAUUCUUGCCCCGUCGGGCAUAAAGAGCCAGAGAAGUUCGCAUUUGACAUCACCAAGGCCGAUAGGAUAUUUGAUUUUCUACUUCAGGAAGGUCAGAUCCAAUUGUCACCCAAUCAUGUAAUCCCAUCGGUUGAAGAAUUGAAAAAGAUGAAGUACUGUAAAUGGCACAAUGCAACUUCUCACGGCACCAAUGAAUGCAAAGUUUUUAGGCAGCAGCUGCAAUCGGCUAUAGAAUCUGGGAGGAUCAAAUUUGACAGCUCCAAAACUCAGAAGUCGAUGAAGACUGAUCAGCACCCUUUCCCAACAAACAUGCUGGAUGCUAAGGGAAAGGCCAUGGUCUUAACAUCAGAAGCAGCUGAAAGAAAUGCAUCGGUGGAUCCUCAGCAUCAGAUCACUAAUGCGGAUGCGAAAGGAAAAGGCUUGGUCCAGGAGGGAACUAACUCGGGGAGGCCUCCCCGAUCUAGUAUUGUGAUAACUCACAGAAGGCCUCGAGAAACUUGGCAGCAACAUGAGGACCGGUAUCGGCGCCGGCAGGAUGAAUACCAUCGGGGGGAGGAAAGACGCCGACAAGAGUGGAAUCGGCACAGGGAUCACUGGAAUUGUCCGUUCUUCAUCCAUUGUUGGGAGGAAAACAUCAAACUUCCUACUGUCAGAGGUUGUCCUGAGGUGCAAUGGUUAUGAUCAGUAUGAUAGAUCCGAUCGGCGCUAUCACAAUGAUGAUCGCCGAUUCAAUGGGCCGAUUCGAGGAAGAGCAUCCGUUCACGAUCGGCUAGGGGGCAGGCUCAGUGUGCACGACAGGCUCGGCGAUCGUGUUGAGUAUUUUCCCAAGAACCAGGAAGAACUUGAAGAGAUGGCUAAUGCUCACGUUCCCAAUGAAUUCAUAUUUUGCAGGGACGCCAACACUCAUCGGAUGGAGUCUAGAGAAAAUCAUCGCCCGUCGGUGAGGCAGCAGCAACUCCCUCCAUGGUGUCUAGAGGGGUUGACUAGGUCCCAGAAAAGGAGGCUGCAGUGUGAAAGAUGAUAAGAGUUGAACAAGGGCGAGAACUCUGGUCAGUCUAAGGAUCAACAACAGUCAGAUCCUAAUAGAAAAGGCCCAUCGGCAGAUGUCAACAUGGUAUUCAUGUUGCCGAUGGAGUUUCUUGCGCCGUCCAGUGAUGAUGAGUUGGACUUUCCCGACCAGAUAGCUCAAUUGGCUCUAGAUCCAAUGACGGCCAUCUUCGAGAAGCCUGCCGAUGAUGAGAGGCAACAUCUUAAGGCUCUGUUUGUUAAAGGAAGAGUGGAUGGUCAGCCGAUGACCAAGAUUUUGAUUGAUGGUGGGCUGCCAUCAAUACCAUGCCAUAUGCGGUGUAUCGGAAACUUGGAAAAGGAGAUCAGGAUUUCACCAAGACUGAUAUGAUGCUCAAAGACUUUGAGGCCAAUGUGUCUCCGGUUAAGGGGGCAAUAUGUGUUGAGUUGACCAUCGGCAGCAAAAUCUUGCCGACAACCUUCUUCGUGAUCAAUGGAAAAGGUGCUUAUAACUUGCUGCUGGGGAGAGAUUGGAUUCAUGCCAAUUGCUGCAUCCCGUCUACAAUGCACUAGUGCUUGGUCCAGUGGGUAGGUGACAAGAUUGAAAUCGUCCCUGGAGAUUCUUCUUAUGUCAUCGCAUCGGCAGAGGUAGACACUUACGAGAGGACUAGGUGCAUUUCAGGAGAAGUUUGGGAGAAGGAUUUUCUCAAGGUUGCCGAUUAUGAGAUUCCACCGAUCCAAGCAGUCGGUUCUGAUGAAGGUUUUUAAUGGAUAGGUUCGCCAAUGAUGGAAAAUUAGGCCAAGGAUUCACAUCGGCUGAUGAUUUGGUAGAAGUAGAUAUAGGUAGUGGUAAUAAACCUAGACCUACUUUUAUUAGUGCUAAGUUAGAUCCUGAGUGUAAGCAGCAGUUAACUGAUUUGUUAAAGGAAUAUAAAGAUUGCUUUGAUUGGGAUUAUACUGAGAUGCCUGGUUUGGACCGAUCGAUUGUUGAACAUUGGUUGCCUAUCAAGUCUGGAUUUUGGCCACAUCAACAGCCAGCUCGCCGAUGUAAUCCUAAUAUUCUUCUAGAUAUUAAGGCUGAAAUAACCAAACUUAUUGAAGCUAAAUUUAUUCGGCAGUGUUGGUACGCCGAAUGGAUUUCCAAUGUGGUUCCAGUCUACAAGAAAAAUGGGAAGCUUCGGGUUUGCAUUGAUUUCAGGAAUCUCAAUAAAGCUACACCGAUGGAUGGCUACCCAAUGCCAGUUGCCGAUCUGCUAGUUGAUGCUGCAGCUAGGCAUCGGAUUAUCAGCUUUAUGGAUGGCAAUGCAGGGUACAAUCAAAUAUUCAUGGCUGAAGAGGAUAUUCCGAAGACAGCGUUUAGGUGUCCUGGUCAUGUUGGGUUGUUUGAAUGGAUAGUCACGACCUUUGGCUUGAAAAAUGCAGAUGCCACUUAUCAGAGGGCUAUGAAUUUUAUAUUUCAUGAGUUCAUCGGCAAGCUAGUGGAAAUUUAUAUUGAUGAUGUGGUGGUUAAUUCUGGAGGCUUCACAAAGCAUCUUGCCGAUCUACGAAAGGUGUUGGAAUGCGCACGGAAGCAUGGUUUGAAAAUGAAUCCCAAUAAGUGUGCAUUUGGUGUAUCGGCAGGACAAUUUCUUGGUUUCAUGGUGCAUCAAAGGGGGAUUGAAAUUUGUCGAAGAUCCAUUGAUGCUAUUAACAAAAUAGUUGCCCCUACCAACAAGACUGAGCUCCAGUCCUUGAUCGGCAAGGUAAAUUUUAUCAGUUGUCUGGUAAAAUUUGUGCUUUCAGUCCUCUUCUUAAGCUAAAAGCCGAUCAAGAGUUUGUUUGGGGAAAGAGCAACAGUUGGCUUUAGAUGAAAUCAAGAAUUACUUGGUAAGUCCUCCAGUUCUGAUUCCACCUCAGCAAUGGAAGCCCUUCAGAUUGUAUUUGUCUACCGAUGGGAUGGUCAUCGGUUCGACUUUAAUUCAAGAAUUUGAAGGGAAAGAGCGUGUGAUUUAUUACUUAAGCAGGAGGUUGAUUGAUGCUGAGAUGAGGUAUUCGGCUAUUGAGAAGCUGUGUUUAUGCUUGUACUUCUCCUUAUUAAGUUAAGGCAUUAUUUGCUAUCGGCCGAAUGCACUGUUAUUUGCAAAGAUGAUGUCAUAUGAUACAUGUUAUCUAUGCCGAUCAUGAGUGGUAGGAUCGGUAAGUGGAUUUUGGCAUUGUCAGAAUUCGAUCUGCGGUACGAAUCGGCUAAACGGUUAAAGGACAAGUUAUGGCCAAUUUUGUGACCCAGCAUUGUGGUACAGUGGAGACCUUGGAGAUUGUACCUUGGACGCUCUUCUUUGAUGGAUCCACGUGUGACCGGGGGGCAGGAAUCAGCAUAGUGUUAAUUUCCCCUCGGGGAAGAAAAUAUGAGUUCUCCUUACCGAUUGUUGCCACGUCGACAAACAAUCAGGCUGAGUAUCAAGCCCUAAUAAAGGGGUUGGAAUUGCUGCGGGAAAUUCAUGCUGAUGUUGUUGAAGUCUUUGGGGAUUCUAUGCUGAUUAUAAAUCAUUUGGUUGGAAAUUAUGAGUGCCAAAGUGAAGUCUUGAUAACAUACCAUGAAAGGAGUAUGUAGCUGUUAAAGGAAUUCAGGGAUUUCCGAUUAGAGCAUGUUCCUCGAUUGCAUAAUGAAGAGGCCAAUCGGUUGGCUCAGCAUGCCUCGGGAUAUCAGCCUAUGAUUAAUGCAAUAUUGGCAAUCGGUGCCGAUGAUUUGAGGAGAGAGAUCAUUGAUUAUUUAAAGGAUCCAUCCAAAAAAGUUGAGAGGCGUGUUCGGUUUCAAGCCACCAAGUAUGUGCUCCUCAGAGAUAAGUUGUAUUACCGAACUAUUGAUGGGAUUCUUCUCAGGUGUCUAGGCGAUGAUGAGGCUAGAAGUUUGAUGGGAGAGAUCCAUGAGGGAGUGUGUGGUGCGCACCAGUCGCCUUUUAAGAUGAAGUGGAUGAUUAGGAGAAAUGGGUAUUAUUGGCCGACCAUACUCGAGGAUUGCUUUAAGUAUUUCAAAGGGUGUCAAGGAUGUCAAGAGUUUGGCAAUAUUCAAAGAGCACCUGCAUCGGCUAUGAAUCCUAUUAUCAAGCCUUGGCCGUUCCGAGGGUGGGCUAUUGAUUUGAUCGGUCAGAUUUAUCUGCCGUCCAGCAAGGGGCAUAAGUUCAUCUUGGUUGCCACCGAUUAUUUCACUAAGUGGGUUGAAGCUAUUCAUUUGAAGAAAGUUACAUCGGCCAAUAUGAUUGAUUUUGUGAAAGAGCAUAUUAUCUACCGAUUUGGAAUUCCUCAAACCAUCACUACCGAUCUGGGUACUAUGUUCACAUCGGGGGAAUUUGAUGAAUUCGCAAUCGGUAUGGGGAUUAAAGUAUUAAACUCUUCUCCUUACUAUGCUCAAGCUAAUGGGCAGGCUGAGGCAUCUUGUCGAGGGUAUCAACAAGUGGUACCCUCACCAAUGCGUAUAACGAGGCCAUCCGUACGCACGCGCGGCCAUCGACGGCCAUGCGUAUGCGCAGCCUUCGACGUCCACAACCUCGAAGACGGAAAUAGCGUCGAGCGAAUCGGUCAGGGCUCGAGCGACAGCUGCCGUCGAAUACGGAAGCGGGCUCGAGCGAACCGAGAGGCGUCGAGCGCAAGGACACUGUCCGCCGCCUGACGCGCGCACGAGAGCCAGGGCAUUUAAUGCACCUGACGCUUCCCCACCUAACACACGGGUCACGGGAGGCUUCUGUCCCAUCGUUCUUUUUGCAGCCUUCCCACCGAAUGACCCAGGGCAUGUCAGGACGCGGGAAACAAGGAUGGAACGUCUAAUCGGGAUCCCCUCGAGACACCCAAGGUCAGCGCUCUAGAUAUCAGCAUAUUACACGGCGUCCGACACUCGACCGAACAGGGUCCCUUCCUAGGGACAAGUUGGGCGUCGACUGACAACACCACAACUACCCCGCCGGAUCUGCCGCCAUACCGUACAAGCGUGCGACCUCAGAACCAGCGCGAGGCGGCGGGCAGGGCAGAACGCAGGAGCACGCGUAAUCAUCACCGGGCUAUCAAGAUGGGACGGCUCGAGGCCAUGUCGUACGGAAGCCUCGAGUAGGUCAGCGCUCCAUGCGGCUAUCGACCCCUACUCUAACAUCUACGCAUGUACCCUAGGUCUCUCCUUGGAACUAUAAAAGGAGGGACUCAGGAAUAGAACGAAAAAACACAAGACCACGCUCAUACGUAGUAGAGCUCCACACUUCAUACCACGCUUGUAUUCGCCCCUGUACAAGCACUUAGGUGCAAGAUAAUACAAACUCUCUCCCCCCGCUGGACGUAGGGCCUUCUCUUGCCCGAACCAGGAUAAAUCUCUGUGUCUUCUUGCAUCACCAUCCGGGAAAGGGAGCACGCAUACAAAUUUACUCGUUGGUGUGACCCCCCGGGGGAAAAAACACCGACAGUUGGCGCGCCAGAUAGGGGUCCUGCGUGUUUUUCAUCGAUUUCCCACUCCUUUCCGGAUGGCUACUCUUGCCUCGCCGUUUCCGCGCUCCAUGGUGAUUUGGUUUGGGAGCCUCGAGUUCAUGUCUACGGGCUCCGGCUACGACAUGAUCUUGCUCUCAGUCAAAGGACCAGGAGGAGCCCGCGUUACGCCAGCACGGUUGAAGGCCCUGAGACGCCCUCACCACCACGCCUCCCCGCCUAAGAAGAGGCGCGGACAGCACCGCCACGGCCCCUCUGCUUCAGCACGACCAGCAACUCGUGCGAGGCAGGACGUACGCCACAAGUCGGCAGGACCGUGUGACGGAGCAACAAGCGCGACGACUCAGCACCGCGCGACGACGGGAGGGGACGCAUCUCGCGCGCUCUCCCCCACCGCAGCUAGGCUACUUCCACAUGGGUUGUUCUCUCCAAGAGCGGCACUGCCGUUCGGAUUGGUCAACGCCGCGGCGUCGCUCGCCAGGGUGAUAUGCCCAAACGCCCAGACGUACGUAGAAAGACCAAUGGUCCUCCCACGUAGCUCUGAAGCGCGGCGGUCGGCGUCCGAGCUGCCGGACCUUUCCCGAGUACAAGGCCUCCGUCGUCUAGGCCCCGGACGAUACUCGAUCACCUCCCUCAGGCAACGAUUGUUGGAGGAAGGACGUGGGUGUUUCUACGCCGCCGAACCGAACUCCGACUCCGAGACAGAUAGCUAUGACCCUACGAGGGAAUGCUAUCACAUCGACGGGGCGGUAGAAACUACUGACGAGACACGGGAUGCUGCUGCGGGUGGUCGAGCCCCCGCGGCACGAGAAGACCCCAGGACGCCUGGGAACGACGGACAGGUCGACCCCCCUCCUCAGGAAGACAGAACCGCGCAGCUCGCGCAGCUGCAGGAGCUCAAGAUGAAGCUCGACGAAGACCGCGAGCGCCUCGUCCUGCUCGAGCAAAUCCUCGAGCAAGACCUGCCCUACCCGCCGGGCGGAAGUGUCCGCAGACGCGCUCGAGAGGUACAUCGACAGAUCGUCGGCGAUUCAGAGCCAGAGCAACCUGUCAGCCGUUUCCCUCGAGCAGGCCAGAAUGUAGUGGCAGCGACGAUGCUGCUACGUAACAUGCCAGAGCCGUCGAAUUCCCAGGCCCGACGCAUUCGAGAUGAGGUACAGACAUUGCUCCAGGUGGCGGCGGUUCAACAAGCCGAAAGUUCGGCGUCUCGACGGCGAGGAGCUGCCACAGAGAAGCGCGACGAACAGCCUCUAAACGAAGAGGAGGUGUCAGUCCAACAACAACCUCCCCCUCGAGGUAGAAAGACCGCUCUCAUCCUCCCCGUCGACGAUCAACGUCGACACGACGCGCGGCACGACAUCAAAGAAAAUCGACGCCGCCGGCACGGAGACGCGGAAGAGCGCGGUUAUAGCGCGCAUCGCGGUGGGAGAUACGACAGCGACGAGGACCGGGUGGCCCCCGAGCCACCAGGCCCACGGGUGUUCAGCAGGGCGAUCCGCAGCACGCCCCUGCCCAAUCCAUUUCGACCCCCGACCAGCAUCGUGAAGUACAAUGAAGAGACCAAACCAGAGUUGUGGCUGGCCGACUUUAGGCUGGCCUGUCAGCUAGGUGGCGCUCGAGGUGAUGAUCGAGCCAUCAUCAGACAGCUACCCCUUUUUCUCUCCGACACCGCCCGUCGAUGGCUCGAGGAACUCCCUGCCAAUCAGAUCCACAACUGGGUUGAUCUGGUCAGAGUCUUCGAGGGUAACUUCAAAGGGACCUACAUACGGCCAGGGAACUCGUGGGACCUCAGCAAGUGCAAGCAGAAGUCGGGAGAAACUCUUCAGGAGUAUGCUCGACGCUUCUCGAAGCAGCGCACUGAGCUGCCGCACAUCCCUAACCACGACGUCAUCUUGGCGUUUGUUUCGGGCACCACCAGUCGAGACUUGGUGCGGGAAUUAGGUCGCAAUCGACCUCAGAUCGUCGACGAGCUGAUGGACGUAGUAGCCAACUACGCGGCAGGGGAGGAGGCAGUCGGCGCCUUCUUCAGCUCAGAAGGAAGGAAAGGCAAGCAGCCCAUCGAUGAAGAUGGGACCCCCAGUCGAGGCCUCAAGAAAAACAAAAAGAAGCAGAAAGUGCGGCAGUUCCACCGGGAAGAUUCCGAUGACAACCUUGUCGCCGCCAUGGAUCGAAAGAAGCCUCGAGGCCCUCCGGAUGGAGGCAUCUUUGACAAGAUGUUGGAGGAGCCGUGCCCUUACCAUAAGGGAGGCGCCAACCACAAGCUCAAGGACUGUCGUAUGCUGAGAAAGCAUUUCGACGGUCUGGGGUUCAAAAAAGAUGCGCGUGAUGACUCCAAGAAAGAGAAGGCUGACAGCAAGGAGGACAACAAAGAUGACGACGGCUUCCCCGCCGUCCACGACUGCUACAUGAUCUAUGGCGGGCCCUCGACUCAAUUGACCACGAGGCAGCGCAAAAGGGAGCGUCGCGAAGUCUUUGCAGCAAGAAUGGCGGUGCCCCAAUACCUUAGCUGGUCAAGCACUCCUAUCACUUUCGACCAAGAAGACCACCCCGACAAGGUAGUCGCCCCAGGCGUCUACCCGCUCGUCGUCGACCCCAUCAUCAUCAACACCCGGCUCUCGAAAGUGCUGAUGGAUGGCGGUAGCAGCCUCAACAUCAUCUACCUCGAGACCCUUGACCUCCUCGGCAUAGAUAGAGGGAAGCUCCAACCAAGUGCCGGCGGGUUCCAUGGCAUCGUGCCAGGAAAAAAGGCGCUGCCAGUAGGUCGAAUUGACUUACCGGUCUGCUUCGGCACGGCGGCCAACUUCAGGAAGGAGACCCUCACCUUCGAGGUGGUUGGGUUUCGAGGCACGUACCACGCCAUCAUCGGGCGCCCGGGCUACGCCAAGUUCAUGGCUAUACCCAACUACACCUACUUGAAGCUGAAGAUGCCCGGUCCCAAAGGUGUCAUCACUGUCAGUUCCUCCUUCGAGCACGCGUACGAGUGCGACGUCGAGUGCGUCGAGUACGUGGAGGCGGUCGAGAACUCCACCGAGCUCGUCGCGAAGCUCGAGGCCCUGGCCGCUGAGGCUCCAGAGCCUAAGCGCCACGCGGGCAGCUUCGAGGCGGCGGAAGGAACCAAGAAGAUCCCGCUCGACCCCAACAACUCCGACGGCAAAGUGCUGACGAUCAGCACCGACCUCGACCCCAAAUAGGAAACUGUGCUCGUCGACUUUCUCCGUGCAAAUGCCAACAUGUUUGCAUGGAGUCCCUCAGACAUGCCAGGCAUACCGAGGGAAGUCGCCGAGCACUCCUUGGAGAUUCGAGCCGGUUCCAAGCCAGUGAAGCAGCGGUUGCGCCGAUUCGACGAGGAGAAGCGCAAGAUCAUUGGCGAGGAAGUCCACAAGGUUUUGACGGCCGGAUUCAUCAAGGAGGUUUAUCAUCCUAACUGGUUAGCAAACCCUGUAUUAGUUAAGAAAAAGAAUGGGAAAAUGAGGAUGUGUGUCGAUUAUACUAGUCUGAAUAAAGCAUGUCCAAAAGUUCCCUUUCCAUUGCCACGCAUUGAUCAGAUUGUCGAUUCUACCGCGGGAUGUGAAACCCUUUCUUUCCUUGAUGCAUAUUCUGGUUACCACCAAAUAAAAAUGAAGGAGUCCGACCAGCUCGCGACCUCUUUCAUCACGCCUUUUGGGAUGUAUUGCUACGUGACCAUGCCAUUUGGGCUUCGAAACGCGGGAGCCACGUAUCAACGUUGCAUGCUCCACGUGUUUGGCGAACAUAUAGGGUCCACGGUCGAGGCCUACGUCGACGACAUUGUCGUCAAGUCAAAGCGACGAGGAGACCUGAUCCAGGACCUCGAGAUUGCCUUUAGCUGCCUACGCACCAGCCGGAUCAAGCUCAAUCCCGAGAAGUGCGUUUUCGGUGUGCCUCGAGGCAUGCUCCUAGGUUACAUCGUUUCGCAGCGCGGCAUCGAGGCCAACCCCGAGAAAGUCUCGGCCAUCACGAAAAUGGGGCCGAUCCGAGACAUCAAGGGUGUACAGAGAGUCACGGGGUGCCUGGCGGCUCUGAGCCGUUUCAUCUCGAGACUAGGAGAAAAGGCAUUACCAUUAUUUCGACUCUUAAAGAAGGUCGAGCGUUUUUCUUGGACCCCCGAGGCCGAGGAAGCACUCGAAAGGCUGAAGAAGACGCUGACCUCGGCACCAGUCCUGGUUCCACCUCAACCUGCAGAGCCGCUGCUCCUCUACGUCGCGUCGACGACCCAGGUCGUCAGCGCGGCGGUGGUGGUCGAAAGACAAGAGGAGGGUCAUGCGCUGCCGGUCCAAAGGCCAGUCUAUUUCGUCAGCGAAGUGCUUUCGGAGACCAAGACGCGUUAUCCCCAAAUCCAGAAGCUGAUCUACGCCGUAAUCCUUGCCCGCCGCAAGCUGCAGCAUUACUUCCUCGGUCACCCCAUCACGGUGGUUUCGUCUUUCCCUUUAGGAGAAAUAAUCCAGAGCAAAGAGGCCACGGGAAGAAUAGCAAAAUGGUCGGUCGAGCUCAUGAGUGAGACUCUCACUUACGCGCCUCGGAAGGCCAUCAAAUCGCAAGCCCUGGUAGACUUCGUCGCGGAAUGGACGGACUCCCAGCUUCCCCCGACUCAGGUCCAGGCGGAGCUGUGGACAAUGUAUUUCGACGGGUCACUCAUGAAAACUGGGGCCGGGGCCGGCCUGCUGUUCAUCUCACCCUUAGGCGUCCACAUGAGGUAUGUAAUCAGGAUUCAUUUUGCCGCAUCUAACAAUGUCGCAGAAUAUGAGGCCCUGGUCAACGGUCUCAAGAUCGCUAUCGAGUUAGGAGUCCGACGCCUCGACGUCCGAGGUGACUCCCAACUCGUCAUCGACCAAGUAAUGAAAACCUCGAGCUGCCACGACCCAAAAAUGGAAGCGUACUGCAAGGAGGUCCGCCGACUCGAAGACAGGUUCCACGGUCUCGAGCUUGUCCAUGUCGCUCGACGCUACAACGAGGCAGCCGACGAACUCGCCAAGAUCGCAUCGACCAGAGGCACGGUGCCGCCUGAUGCAUUUUCAAAAGAUCUUCACGAGCCAUCCGUCGACCUAGGCACGGGGGCUGGCGUCGACGCCACCACCGCCCAACCAACCAAUGCUGUCGAUACGCUCUUGAUGGUGGAAGAAAUGAUGGAGAUAGAACGACGACCAGGUCGACCAUUCGAUUGGCGCACACCGUUCCUCGACUGCCUUAUCCACGGCGAGUUGCCAGAAGACAGCUCAGAAGCUCGUCGUAUCGCUCGGCGGGCCAAAUCAUAUGUGAUCUAUGGCGAAGACAACGAGCUAUAUCGACGGAGCCCGACGGGGGUCUUACAACGUUGCAUCACUGUGGAAGAAGGCCGAAAACUCCUCGAUGACCUGCACUCGGGGGCUUGCGGUCACCACGCCGCUCCACGGACCCUUGUAGGGAACGCUUUUCGACAAGGCUUCUACUGGCCAACGGCCGUGGCGGACGCCAUCGAGCUCGUACGAUCAUGUCACGGGUGUCAGUUCUACGCCAAGCAGACGCAUCUGCCUGCCCACGCUCUUCAGAUGAUCCCCAUUACCUGGCCGUUUGUGGUUGUUGAUGCAAAACUGAUCUGCAAACACAAAGGGCUAAUACCCGAUUCAAACGUUAAGGUGUGCCAGCCGAUUUGACCUUACUAUCGGCAAAGGUGAUAACUCGAAUACUUUAGUCCUGACAACAGCGAUGCGCCCGGAUGUCACGGCUAAGAGGUACUCACACGGAACUCGAGAACACACCGAGCUUAAGUCGACGAAUUCCUAAGAACUCGUAAUAAAAGGAAAAAAGUAUGACGAAGUCGUCGAAAAGUAAAUGCUGGAAUAUGAGUAAAAACGUGUGUUUGAUUUCUUGAUUGAUUAUCUAUUACAAGGCCCUAGGGUCUAUAUUUAUACCCUGCUCAAAGAGCUACAACCAGACACUAUUAGAAUUCGAAUUCCAAAUUACACGGAAUCCGUAUACAAAACGACGCAAAUAAUUAAGGAAAUAACAAAACUAUCCCUCGUGACAAACCGAAACUCCUCCGCAUAACGACCGGCCGCUUCCGGACUCCCUCUUUGCAUCAUCGGCAGACCUUUUGCCAUAGGUAUCGGCAGACUUUCUUAUCUAGCCAUCGGCACCAUAUUACUGCCUGUGGACUUAGUCACAUUCAACUUCUCCCUCAUCGGCAACCAUCCUCAUCGGCAACCCACUUUGUAAACAUCGUACUGCCACCUUAUCCUGCCAUCCUAGACACGUGCCCAAAAACGGUGUCAACACAUGCCCCCCAGUUUCGGAGUAUAAAACUAUUAAUGCUCCGAAAUUCUCUGCAGUAAUGAUGCCUUCUCCCGCAAUUAAUGCUCCUAAUCUGGUAACCGACAACCUCAAUCUGAACAACUCUGAUCCUAUUCCUCCGCAGAUUCCUCGAAAUCCCCAACCUCCUAAACGGGCAUUUUUCUCAGUCGUACAUCGGCAACAAUACCGUUACAAAGAUCUGCCGAUGUUCUGACCAGGAUAUUCGCACAAACGGUUACUCCCCCUCUAUCCGCCCAUCGGCAAUAUGACCGUUAUAGAAUAUUACCGAUGGACCGAUCAGGAGAUCUCGCACAGUAAAAUAUCUUCAGAUAAUGACCGGUUCCCGUCAAAUCACCUGCACAAUCCCUGGAUUACCGUGCGAACAGUUACCAUAUCCACCUGAGUACCCUCGGAUUUCUCGGAUGCGGCAAGGAGAUAAGUCGGAUUUGCCCUUGCCCAUUUUGUCCUAUAAAUAGUUCCUUCUUGGGUACUCCUUCCCCAUCACACCAUUCUACUAUCCAACUUUACUUUUCCAGCGGCGGCGCCACCAAAAACUCCCAUGGUCUCCUACAAGUACCCCUCUUCACCAACUCCGGCGCCUUCAAACGCUUCCUUCGCAGCAAGAUGGCCGUCGGGUUCGUCGUCCCUGAGGUCAAAUCUCCACCCCGUCUUCUGUAUCUUUCUUCAUAUCCCUGUUCACUCGCAAUUCAUUUUACUGAACAUCUUCCUUUUCUUUCCUUUUUGUAUUUCUUUUUACGCCCAAAAUCACUAGGAAUUGUCCAACAAAAUUGUCAUCCCCACCGAUAAACCACACCUUCAAUGCCUCGGCCCUCUAGGGAACCCAGAUCCAACUGACCUUAUCAACGCAGAAACCAACAGGAUCCCCUUCAGAGCCGAAAAUUUUUCCUUAGAUCUGUGGAAGGACACCUUCCGCUCUUGGCCCAGCCCAACUGUAGGGUGGAAAGACUGGUUCUUGAGGGUCAGCAACUCUAAUGAAGUUCAGUGGGGUGAAAGGAAUCUAGCCCAAUGCAUUAGAUUAUCCAUUGCCGAUAUGCAUAGGAACGAGUCACUGCUGAUAGCUGCAUCCUACUUUUGGUCAGACACCCUCAAUGCUUUUGCCUUUGGCCACGACCCUGCUUCUCCUACUCUUGCCGAUGUAGCCAUGCUUACUGGUCUUGAUAUAUCUUCUGCCGAUAGCACCCACUUCUUUGAUACUGCCCCUAGUGCCAAAGUGGAGACUCGCGCUAUCGGCGGUUGGUCGGGGUACAUUCAGAAGUACCGUGGGAAAGGAUCUGUCACCAUAAAGGAACAAACCACCUUUCUGAACAUGUGGCUGGACAAGUUUGUAUUCUGUGGUCGAUCGGCAGGACCGACUUCUGUCUACCUAUCGGCAGCAGAAAGACUGGCUAACGGUGGCCGAUUCCCUCUCUGCCGAUACUUGCUUGGCGCUGCUUACCACCUUCUCCAUCGAGUAGCCCAGAAACUUCUGCUCGGCCAAUCCACUGGCAACUUGGGAGGCCCCUGGUGGUUUGUCAACAUGUGGCUCAAUCUGCAUCUGCACAAGCGUCUCAACUUCAACCUGUUCACACAGCGUUUCCCAAGAGAUAUAGCUGAAAACCAUGUACUGGGUGAAGAGGAAUCGGCAACACGCACCCCCUUGAACUUUGGCGAAGCUGUCAUAGUUCUGCCUGGUUCAGGGGGUAAUCCGGAUCAGAUCGGUCGAUUCUUCCAGACUCUGUAUGAGGGUUUGACCAGAGACGAACGACCAUGGUUGGCUUAUGAUGACCCAGAUAGCAUGCUCCCUCUGACCUUCAAUCCAUUCGAUGAAGCUCUCGACAGGGACAAUGAGGUGAUGAUGGCAAUUGUGACUCCCAGAAUCAUUCCAGAGAAUUUCUUUGGCAGCACAAAAACCUCCCCUCAAACUUACGAAUUUUACAAUCCAUCGGCAUUAGCUCGCCAGUUAGCUUUCGGCCAGUUGCCGAUUGCACUUCCUUAUGCCGAUGUGAUAAAACCCAGAGAAACUAUCAACAACCUUCUUGAGUGGACUCGAGCAGCCCAACUACCACCAAACGCCGAUAUAGAUGUAGAUCUAUCAGAAUGGGUUCCGGCUGCUUUUAUCACUCAGGCAUACAAGUCAUGGUGGGCAGAAUGGAAAGAGCAUCUAUUCUGUAGAUCGGCACUUUCAUACCGCGGCAUGAUUGACUCCGAAUACGAAGUUCCCGAUGACACUAUAAGUAACUCAAACCAACGUUUCAUUUUCUCAAUAUUACCUCCAUCGGCAGCUUACCCUUGUAUUCCUUUUGCAGGUUGAUAAUAUUCCUCCAUUGGUUAGCAGGAGUGGCAGGCCGAUCGGCUUGUUUCCAUCAGGCCCGAUUUCCUCAAUCGGCCACAAUGCUCCCACUCUAGCUUCCAUCGUGCAUCGGGGUGUACGCCUCAGGAAAGUCACCACCAGAAGAACCCAGACAUCACCAACGGUUGCUGCUCCCACUCUCGCACGGGCUUUCAAGGCAAUUUGUCAAAUCUUUUCCUUUAUGCUGACUAUCUUUAUAUUGGCUAUAUUUAUGCUUAUAAACUCUUGUUCAUUAUUGCAGCAAACCGGCGCAUCGGCGAAAGCCAGGUGUGAGAGUACCGAUGCCCCCCAGUCUAGCCAACCCAAGAGAAAGGGCACCACGGGUGCUAAGACUGGAACAAAGCGCCAGAAGGUAGCAACUCCCCCUCCUCCUCCGGUAUCUCCAAUUCCGGUGGAGUGUUCUCCUUCUUCUCCAGAAGCCCAGCCACAGCAAGCACCAUCUCCCCCACCUAUGCAGGAAGCACCACAGAUAGAAGAACCCCAACAGGAAGGAUCUCAAACAGAAGAUAUAUCAGCUGACAUGGGUGAACAAACAACUGGUCCGACGGGUCCAGUUAUACCAUCAGCAGUUCUCCCGAUUCAGACAACCGUUGUCCCUCCUCCAGGUAACAUACUUUAACAUCUUCGCUACCGAUGAACUUAUUCUUAUUUAGUCUCACAACUCCUUUUGUCUUCUUUCAGUUGAUAUCGUUCCAUCGGCAAUCUCAGCCGACCAACCUGUAGCUCCAUCGGCACUUCUCAGUCAAAGGCAAGAGAUCGCCUUGAAGCAAGUAAGUCACCGUUUACCGUUAGUACUAUUUGCCGAUUCUCUGAGUAUGAGCUAAUUUUGCUUUCCUUCCUAGGAACAAGAUUCUCCCGACAGCCUGUUCUCCUUCGCCAUCGAUCUCUCUGAAGAAGAAGGUGAAGAAGCAAGCUCUUCUCAGACGGUCGGCAUCACAUCGGCAGAGAUCAGGGUCAGGCUGGAAGAAUUGUCAGCUCUCCUUCACCAGGACACAGCGCAAUUGGUUGAUGAUUCCGACCCUACCAAGACCCUGUUCAGAACUCUCAGAGGCCAAAUCCCAGCCGAUGUUGAAGAAAUCCUGUUCCAAGCCGCUCAUCUGGAGAGUCGCCAGCUGCAGUACCAAAGAGCUUCUCGGCGGCUUGCCGAUAGAGCCGCUCAGACUCAACUCUUCGAUGAAAUGAGGAGAGAGAAGCUUUUGACCGAUGAGAAGCACAAGAACAUCGGUAUCCUGAGAUCUUCUGGAGACGCGCUGAAGCAGAAGAUAUCCGAUCUAUCGGCAAGAAAAGAAUCCCUGUUGGCGGAGCUCAAGGAAGUAGAGAACGCUCUGUCCCAAGCCCAACAGGAAGACAGCCAAUUGCCAGAGACCAUCAGGCUUCUUGAGCACGAGCGAAAUGCUCAUGGUCGCAAAGCACUUCAACUGAAGAAGAAGCUGAGGCCGAUAGAAGGUUCUGCCGAUGAUGACAUCAAGGAGAUAGAAGCAGCCAACCAAAUUCGGCUACGCGCUAUAUCGGCAAUCCAGACGCUGCUUAACACAUAGAGUUUCCAUCGGCAUUGUAUCUGCGCUUUCCUGCUUCCUCAGCUUUUAGUCUAGCCGAUAGGACUGUUAUCGGCGCCUAAACUUUUGAAACACCAAGUCUUGUCCCCAAGCAUUUGGAUCCAGCCGAUAUGAGUGUUAUCGGCACCUAAACUUCUAUGCAUCGACCCAUAUACUAGGGUAGUACUUCUUUAAAUAUUUGCCGUUUAAUGCUCUGGGAAAUUCAAUUCCUUCGAGGGUUUCUAGAAUGUAGGCAUUACCAGGAGCCGAUCGACUUAUCCGAUAAGGACCCUCCCAAUUAGGAGACCACUUUCCAAACUUCGAACUUUUGGUCCCAAUUGGUAAAAUUAAUUUCCAUACCAAAUCCCCAUCGGCAAACUCUUUAGCCUUCACUUUCUUAUCAUACCAUCUAGCAACUCUCUUCUUAUUUUCUUCUAUACUCAUUAAAGCUUUUAACCGAUGCCCUGCUAGAUCGUCCAAUUCAUCGGUCAUCAAAGUGGCAUAACCAUCGGAAGUUAAUUGAUCUUGAAAAGAUAAUCGCCUAGAUCCAGCCUUAAUUUCCCAAGGCAACACUGCAUCAUGUCCAUACACCAAUUGAUAGGGUGAUACCUUGGUCGAUCCAUGACAAGCCAUCCGAUAAGACCACAAUGCUUCAUUUAAUAAUGUAUGCCACCGCUUAGGAUUUUCUUCAAUCUUUCGUUUAAUAAGUUUGAUAAUUCCUUUGUUAGACGCUUCGGCCUGCCCAUUGGCUUGAGCAUAAUAAGGAGAAGAAUUCAACACUUUAAUUCCCAUACCGAUUGCGAAUUCAUCGAACUCCCCCGAUGUGAACAUGGUGCCCUGAUCGGUAGUAAUCGUUUGGGGAAUCCCAAAUCGGUAAAUAAUAUGCUUCUUCACAAAAUCAAUCAUAUUGGCCGAUGUGACUUUCUUCAAAGGAAUAGCUUCAAUCCACUUAGUGAAAUAGUCAGUGGCAACUAGAAUGAACUUAUGCCCUUUGCUAGAUGGUGGAUAAAUCUGGCCGAUCAGAUCGAUGGCCCAUCCCCGGAACGGCCAAGGCUUUAUUAUAGGAUUCAUAGCCGAUGCGGGUGCUCUCUGGAUAUUACCAAACUUUUGACAACCUUGACAUCCCUUGAAAUAUUUAAAACAAUCCUCAAGUAUGGUUGGCCAAAAAUAUCUAUUCCUUCGAAUCAUCCACUUCAUCUUAAAAGCUGACUGAUGCGCUCCACACACUCCUUCAUGGAUUUCCCCCAUCAAACUUCUAGCUUCAUCAUCACCCAAGCAUCGGAGAAGAAUUCCGUCGAUAGUCCGAUAAUACAAUUCAUUUUCAAGGAGCACAUACUUGGUUGCUUGAAAUCGAACCCGUCUUUCAACUUUUUUGGAUGGAUCUUUUAGAUAAUCAAUAAUUUCUUUCCUCCAAUCACCGGCACCGACUGCCGAUGUCACAUUAAUCAUUGGCUGAUAUCCCGAGGCAUGCUGAGCUAACCGAUUAGCGUCUUCAUUAUGCAAUCGGGGAACAUGCUCCAAUCAGAAAUCCUUGAAUUCCUUUAACAGUUGCAUACUUCUCUCGAAAUAAGUUAUGAGAACUUCACUUCGGCAUUCAUAGCUUCCGGCCAAUUGAUUUAUAACCAACAUAGAAUCCCCGAAUAUCUCAACAGCAUCAGCACGAACUUCUCUUAACAACUCCAAUCCCUUGAUCAGAGCCUGAUACUCAGCCUGAUUAUUUGUUGAUGUGGCAACAAUCGGCAAGGAAAACUCAUAUUUCCUCCCCUUAGGGGAAACUAAUACAACGCCGAUUCCUGCCCCCCGGUCACAGGUAGAUCCAUCAAAGAAGAGCGUCCAGGGUACAAUUUCCAAGGUUUCCACUAGACCGCAAUGCUGAGUCACAAAAUCGGCCAUAAUCUGCCCUUUGACUGCCUUAGCCGAUUCGUAACGCAAAUCAAACUCCGACAGCGCUAAAAUCCAUUUACCGAUCCUACCACUCAUAAUCGGCAUAGAUAGCAUGUAUCGGACCACGUCAUCUUUGCAAACAACAGUGCAUUCGGCCGAUAACAGGUAAUGUCUCAGCUUGAUACAUGAAAAAUAUAAGCAUAAGCAUAGUUUCUCAAUGGCCGAAUACCUGGUUUCAGCAUCAAUCAACCUCCUACUCAAAUAAUAAAUUACCCUUUCUUUCCUUUCAAAUUCUUGAACUAAAGCUGAACCGAUAACCGAUCCAUCGGUAGAUAAAUACAAUCUGAAGGGCUUCCCUUGUUGAGGUGGAACUAGAACUGGAGGAUUUACUAGAUACUUCUUGAUUUCAUCCAGAGCCAACUGCUGUUCUUCUCCCCAAAUAAACUCUUGAUCGGCUUUCAAUUUAAGAAGAGGACUGAAAGCACGAAUCCUACCAGACAAAUUCGAUAUAAAUCUCCUGAUAAAAUUUACCUUGCCGAUCAAGGAUUGGAGCUCGGUUUUGUUGGUAGGGGCCACUAUUUUAUUGAUGGCAUCAAUAGAUCUUCGACUGAUUUCAAUACCCCUCUGAUGUACCAUGAAACCAAGAAACUGCCCUGCCGAUACACCAAAUGCACACUUGUUGGGAUUCAUCUUCAAUCCAUGCUUCCUUGUGCACUCUAACACUUUUUGUAAAUCGGCAAGAUGCUUUGAGAAAUCUCCAGACAUAAUUACCACAUCAUCAAUAUAAAUCUCCACGAGCUUGCCGAUGAACUCAUGAAAUAUAAAAUUCAUAGCCCUUUGAUAAGUAGCACCAGCAUUCUUCAACCCAAAAGUCAUGACUAUCCAUUCAAAUAGCCCAACAUGACCAGGACACCUGAAUGCGGUUUUUGGAAUAUCCUCCUCCGCCAUGAAUAUUUGAUUGUAACCUGCAUUACCAUCCAUGAAGCUAAUGACCCGAUGGCCGGCCGCAGCAUCAACCAGUAGAUCGGCGACAGGCAUUGGGUAUCCAUCCAUCGGCGUAGCUUUAUUGAGAUUCCUGAAAUCAAUGCACACCCGAAGCUUCCCGUUCUUCUUGUAAACCGGAACAACAUUGGAAAUCCACUCGGCAUACCGACACUGCCGAAUAAACUUAGCUUCAAUAAGUUUGGUGAUUUCGGCCUUAAUAUCAGGUAGAAUGUUAGGAUUACAUCGGCGGGCUGGUUGCUGAUGUGGCCGAAAUCCAGACUUGAUGGGUAACCGAUGUUCAACAAUUGACCGGUCUAAACCAGGCAUCUCGGUAUAAUCCCAAGCAAAGCAAUCUUUAUAUUCCUUUAACAAACUAAUCAAUUGUUGCUUACUCUCAGGAUCUAAUUUAGCACUAAUAAAAGUAGGCCUAGACUUAUCACCACUACCUAUAUCUACUUCUACCAAAUCAUCGGCCGAUGUGAAUCCCUGGCCUAAUUUUCCAUCAUCGGCGAAUCUAUCCAUUAAAAACCGUCGUCAGAACCGACUGCUUGGAUCGGUGGAAUCUCAUAAUCGGCAACUUUAAGAAAAUCUUUCUCCCAAACUUCUCCUGAAAUGCACCUGGUCCUUUCGUAAGUAUCCGCUUCUGCCGAUGCGAUAACAUAAUAAGAAUCUCCUGGGACAAUCUCAAUCUUGUCACCUACCCACUGAACCAAGCAUUGAUGCAUUGUAGAUGGGAUGCAACAAUUAGCAUGAAUCCAAUCUCUUCCCAAUAAUAAGUUGUAAGCACCUUUUCCGCUGAUCACGAAAAAAGUUGUCGGCAAGGUUUUGCUGCCGAUGGUCAACUCUGCACAUAUCGCCCCCUUGACUGGAGACACGUUUCCUUCAAAGUCUUUCAGCAUCAUAUCUUGAUCCCCUUUCCCAAGCUUCCGAUAUACUGCAUACGGCAUAAUAUUAAUAGCAGCUCCACCAUCAACUAGGAUUUUGGUCAUUGGCUGCCCAUCAACCCUUCCUUUGAGGAACAGAGCUUUAAGAUGCUGCCUCUCGUCAUCGGCAGGUUUCUCAAAGAUAGCCGUCAUCGGAUCCAGAGCCAACUGAGCUAUCUGAUCAGAAAAUUCCAACUCAUCAUCACUGGCUGGUGCAAGAAACUCCAUCGGCAACAUGAAGACCAUGUUGACGCCUGCCGAUGGACCUUCCCUCUUAGUGUCUGACGGCUGCCGACUUCCAGAGUUCUCUCCCUUGUUUAGCUCUUCUUGCCUUUCACGUUGCAAUCUCCUUUUCUGUGUCUUGGUUAAUCCUCCAGGGCACCAUGGAGGAAGUGGCCUUUGCCUUGCCGUCGGGCGUCGGUUCUCCCUUGACUCCAUACGAUGCGUGUUAGCAUCCCUGCAAAAUAUGAAUUCAUCGGGAACCCGCGCAUCAGCCAUUUCCUCGAGCUCUUCUUGGUUCCUGGGAAAAUACUGGACACGGUCACUAAGUCUGUUGUGCCCACUAAAUCUGCCCCCCAGCCGGUCAUGAACUGACACCCUUCCUCUGAUCGGCCCAUUAACUCGCCGUUCAUCAUCAUGAUAAUGCCGAUCGAUCCUAUCGUACCAAUCAUAACCGUUGCACUCAGGGCAGUCUCUGACAUUAGGAAGCUUGAUAUUUUCCUCCCAACAAUGGAUGAAGAAUGGACAAUUCCAAUGAUCCCUGUGCCGAUUCCACUCCUGUCGGCGUCUUUCUUCUUCCCGUCGAUAAUCUUCCUGCUGGCGCCGAUACCGAUCUUCCCGUUGUUGCCAUUUCUCUCGAGGCCUUCUAUGAGUUAUGACGAUACCAGACCGAGGAGGCCUUCCUGAGCUAGUUCCUUCCUGGACCAAGCCCUUACUUCUUGCAUCAGCAGUAUUAACUUGAUGCUGAGGAUCUACCGAUGCACUCUUCUCAGCUGUCUCCGAUGUUAAGACCUUAGCCUUCCCCUUAGCAUCCAACAUGUUUGUCGAGAAAGGAUGUUGGUCUAUCUUCAUCGGCUUCUGGGCUUUGGAACUGUCAAACUUGAUUCUCCCUGACUCUAUAGCCGAUUGCAGCUGCUGUCUGAAUACUUUGCACUCGUUGGUGUCAUGGGAAGUUGCAUUAUGCCACUUGCAAUAUCUCAUCCUUUUCAACUCUUCUGCCGAUGGGAUCACAUGGUUAGGUGACAGUUUGAUCUGACCUUCCUGAAGUAGAAAGUCAAAUAUCCUAUCAGCCUUAGCGGUGUCAAAAGCAAACUUCUCUGGUUCCUUCUGCCCAAAAGGACAAGACAUCGGCUUCUUGUUUUUUACCCACUCUGCCAAGCCGAUUACUGGUUCUUCAUCAGAAUCUGAGCUUGUUGCUUCAUCGACAAAUGACACUUUCUUAUUCCAUGCUCUCUUAGGCUCGAAAGGCUUGAUGUCUUGAUCAGAAAUCCUCUGCACCAAAUGACUUAAACUUUCGAACUCCUGAGAGGCAUACUUAUCCCUGAUAUGUGGCAACAAACCCUGGAAAGCCAAAUCGGCUAGCUGCCGAUCAUCCAGAACCAGGCUAUAGCACUUAUUCUUGACCUCUCGUAUCCUCUGCACAAAUCCCUCAACCGACUCAUCAUUACGUUGCUUCAACUUGACCAAGUCGGUGAUCUUCUUCUCAUGAACCCCCGAGAAGAAGUAUUUGUGGAAUUGCUUCUCUAGAUCGGCCCAAGUAAUUACUGAGUUGGGAGGUAAUGAAAUGAACCAAGUAAAGGCCGAUCCAGACAAUGAUGAUGAAAAUAGACGAACCCUCAAUUCGUCCCUGUUACCAGCCUCUCCACAUUGAAUGAUGAACCUGUUGACAUGCUCCAUGGUUGACGUGUCGUCCUGCCCGGAAAACUUUGUAAAAUCCGGUACCUUGUACCGAUGUGGAAGCGGGAUCAAAUCAUACGCGGGAGGAUACGGUGUCCGAUAAGAAUAAGUGUUGACUUUGGGUUUUAUCCCAAAUUGUUCCCUCAUUACUUCAGCAAUCUUAUCGGCCCAAUAUGCAUCGGCAUCUUGCCGAUGAGGCGGCUGCGGAUCUGGCACUUGGUGGCGGACCUCCACGUGUCUGUUCGGGACGUGAUCUGCACGGAACAUUGUAUUGAUCACCUGUCCUCCAAUCUGCGGACCACCAAACUGCUGUCCACCGAUUGGCUGCCCUCCGAGUUACUGUCCAAAAUUCAUUGGCUGGUUGGGAAUCCCCUGACCUUGGAACCCGGGAUAGACCUGCCCUUGCUGGAACCCUGUAGUCUGGUAACUCUGCUGGGGCGACUGUGGAAAGGCUUGCUGUCCAAGCCAUCCAUUAUUAGCGUUCAUCGGCAUAGGUGCUGCCGAUGAUUAGUAAUUGGGUACCGUCGUUGAAUUGACAUACCCCGACUGGGCCAUAGACCUCUGUUGCAUCAGCAUUGACUCUGCCGAUGCGUUGGGCAUCUGGAACAUUGAAUCUUGAGGAUUUCCAGUGUGAGGCCUUGCAGUAGUAGUUGUGGUAUACCGAGGACUCUGGUUCACCGGCGCAUUGGGAGGUGCCGAUGUCAUAGGAGUUUUGCCCCUCAUGUCAGUUAUUUGUGAUGUUCCCGGUGUCAACUCUGGAGGCAUACCGUAACCCCACCAGUUGGGAGGAAGAGUCAACCCUGACAUUGCCGAUGCCAACAUAUUUGUUGUCAGUUUAUGCUGCCCAACUGAAAUUUGUGGGUUGGUUGUCAUCGGCAUAGAUAGUGCACCAGUAGUCCCCGAUGUACUUGGAGGGACGGCAGAUUGUGCACUUGUAUUCGUCAAGGCAGCCGAUGGAGCCGUGACCUCUGGUGCCGUUGGCUGAUGAUGGGAAGGGCCCACAUAAUCUGGUGGGAUUUGUCCUUCCUUGAAAGUUCUUGCCACGGCAUUGAAAACCGUAUUAGACAGUACACCAACUUGGUUAAUCAACGCUCGAUUGAUGGCAUUGUCAACCAUAUCUUGAAGCUUGCCAGGAUUGGCGUCAAAGGUAACCUGCCGUGGUGCCGGCAGUGCAUCUUUCUGAACCACUUCGCCGCUCCUAUUUAUGCUGAAAGACCUCAGGCAUUGCUGCUUGAACUCUUCCAUGGCUUGGGCGAUAGCUUGCUUCUGCUCAUCCUUGAGGUUGGCCUCCGUCACGGGGAUGACGUUCUCUUGAUCGAGGUCAGAGAUCGACAUGUUGAUCUUGAUCUUGAAUCCUGUCCCACCAGGCGUGCCAAAAGAUGUGUUGAUGCAAAACUGAUCUGCAAACACAAAGGGCUAAUACCCGAUUCAAACAUUAAGGCGUGCCAGCCGAUUUGACCUUACUAUCGGCAAAGGUGAUAACUCGAAUACUUUAGUCCUGACAACAGCGAUGCGCCCGGAUGUCACGGCUAAGAGGUACUCACGCGGAACUCGAGAACACGCCGAGCUUAAGUCGACGAAUUCCUAAGAACUUGUAAUAAAAGGAAAAAAGUAUGACGAAGUCGUCGAAAGGUAAAUGCUGGAAUAUGAGUAAAAACGUGUGUUUGAUUUCUUGAUUGAUUAUCUAUUACAAGGCCCUAGGGUCUAUAUUUAUACCCUGCUCAAAGAGCUACAACCAGACACGAUUAGAAUUCGAAUUCCAAAUUACACGGAAUCCGUAUACAAAACGACGCAAAUAAUUAAGGAAAUAACAAAACUAUCCCUCGUGACAAACCGAAACUCCUCCGCAUAACGACCGGCAGCUUCCGGACUCCCUCUUUGCAUCAUCGGCAGACCUUUUGCCAUAGGUAUCGGCAGACUUUCUUAUCUAGCCAUCGGCACCAUAUUACUGCCUGUGGACUUAGUCACAUUCAACUUCUCCCUCAUCGGCAACCAUCCUCAUCGGCAACCCACUUUGUAAACAUCGUACUGCCACCUUAUCCUGCCAUCCUAGACACGUGCCCAAAAACGGUGUCAACAGCGGUGUGGGGGCUCGAUUUAGUAGGACCUCUACAAAAGGCGAAAGGAGGAUUCACCCAUUUGCUGGUGGCCAUUGACAAGUUCUCCAAAUGGAUCGAGGCUCGACCCAUCACCAACAUCCGCUCCGAGCAGGCCGUCCUUUUCUUCACCGACAUUAUCCAUCGGUUUGGGAUCCCCAAUGUCAUCAUCACCGACAACGGCACCCAGUUCACCGACAAAAAGUUCUUGGACUUCUGCGAUCGGCAUCACAUCUGUGUGAACUGGUCUGCAGUAGCCCACCCUCGAACUAACGGCCAAGUCGAGCGUGCCAACGGCAUGAUUUUGCAAGGACUCAAGCCAAGGAUCUACAAUCGAUUGAAGAAAUUCAGCAAAAAAUGGGUCGAGGAACUUUCCUCAGUCCUAUGGAGCCUUAGAACAACACCAAGCAGGGCCACAAAAUACACCCCGUUCUUCAUGGUCUACGGCUUCGAGGCUAUCCUCCCCACAGACCUCGAGUAUGGGUCACCUCGACUCAAGGCCUACAACGAACAAUCGAACAAAGAGACUCAAGAAAACGCGGUCGACCAACUUGAGGAGGCUAGAGACAUGGCCCUCCUCAACUCUGCCAGAUAUCAGCAAAGGCUUCGACACUACCACGACAAGCAUGUGCGCAAGAGGGACCUCAACGUGGGGGACCUAGUCCUACGACGCCGGCAAAGCAAUCAGGGACGCCACAAGCUGACUCCGCCUUGGGAAGGUCCGUACGUGGUAGCCGAGGUCCUGAAGCCGGGAACGUACAAGCUGGCGGACGAAAAGGGGGCAAUUCUCACCAACGCAUGGAACAUCGAACAGCUACGUCGAUUCUACCCCUAGAAGUUCCAAACUUAUGUUCCUGCUUACGUUUUGUACCAAGACUUUGUAAGCGAAUGAAUGAAUAAAUAAAGUCUUUCCCUCGAAACAAUUCUUCUUUCUUUGCGCCGAGAAGAUUAAUAAGUCACGAUCUCGACGUUAGAAGGGGGCGCCGACUAUGACCCAUCAUAGUCAGCACCCCCUCGGGGGCUACCAGGGGGACGACACCCCCCCCCCCCGAGUAUCGAAAAAACCAAGAAGUUUUCCUUUCUUACGUAGUAAACCUUGCACGGUUCAAGUAGCUAAGGCACCUCGAGCCCCUCAAAGGCCGAGGGACAACGAGCUGGAGAACUCCUACGCCCCCGGGCUACGGAAACUCUACUCGCUUCCCCACCAUUGAAGUGAUCGAGGUGGUCUUUUACGAAAAAUCGAGCAAGGGAUACAAACGUAGGCGCAAAGAGAAACGAAAGCAUCAAGCGGAAAGACAAAAUAAGCAUCUAACAAUUACGAAAGUGAUACAGCAUCAGUUAACCACAGAAUUAACAAAGUAUUGUACAAGGGGCCUCAGGCGCCCUGAGCAGGCUCGCAGGCCUCAGUCCGCGGCACGAUCCUCACCGCCCUCGCCUCCGCCCGAGCUAGCCUCAGGAGGGAGCACCUCAGGCUCGAAAAGCUUGGCCAACCUUUCCCCAGGAGCCUCCGCGUCGUCGAUCAAGGCAUGGAGCCUCUCCUCGUUCUCCGCGUCGGUCUUGGAGAUGUCGGUGACGAAGCCAUGGGACACCACCUCCAUGUCGUAGGAGAAGCCCGAGCAGACAACCGCCAUCGCCCGCUUCACCUCGAUGUGGAGGGCGUCCCGCACCCGAUCUCGCAGCGUCGCACCUAUGUAGCACAACUGGUCGACCAGGGCGUCGCCUCGAGCGUCCUCCCUCGACUCAUCCAUAGGCUCGACCUCCCAAGAGGUCGAGAGAUCACUUAUCGCCGUCCGUACUCGACGGUUCAAAGCAACCUCCGCCUCGAGCUGAGCCUUGGCGUUGCGAGCCUCGGCUUGGGCGGCCAGGAGUUCGUCCUUGAGCCCUAUAAAAGCCAAUACAAAGAGACCUUAGGAAAAACUAAGCACACCUCGGAAAAAGGAAUCUGAUAGAGGAAACAUACCGCGUACGGUCUCCUCGAGGGCCGUGUUCUCGCCGACCAGCCUGGUGUUGGCCCCCUCGAUCUCUUUGUUGGAGCGUGCCAGCUCGGUGUUGGCAACGCGGAGAUCCUCGAUCGCCUUGCCAGCCUGAGCAAUGGCACCACUCUUCUCCAGCAACUCUCCCUUCAGACGCUCGACGUCGUUAGAAAGACUGCGGGAUCGAGCCCGCUCCGCCUCGAGAUCUUCGAGGGCCUUCUUCUUGGCUUCCUCCGCGGCGCCCCUGGCGACCUCGCCGUUCACAUGCUCCACCUUCAUCUUUCAGAAGGACUCUCAGAGAGAGUCCAGGUUGGAUUUAAGGAGGCCCUUCUCCUUGUCCAGAUCCGCGAUAACGCUCUUGUAGGACAGGGCCUCCUCCCGGGCUCUGGACGCAGCUUCCUCGACCGUAAGAGCCCGCUCCCGUAGCUGCAUCGUCUCCUCCUCCGCCUUCUUCGAGGCCUCUCGGGCCUCAGCCAAGGCAGCCUCCCUCGCCUUCUUCUCCUCCUCGAGUGCUAUGAGAUCUUUGUAAGCUUUAAGGAGCUUUUCCUGCGACUCGAGGAGUUGAUCCUUGAGGAGGGGGAGCUGCUCCCAACCGCCCCUCGUGGCAUGUAUGAAGCUAGACUUGAUGCGGGAGGUCUCUUUCAUAUCCUGCGAAUCAAGAGUCGGAUGGAUUAGAAUACAGAAACCAGAAAGCACCAUGAGGAUUGGAGUUCGAGAAACACUUAUGAAAUAAGCCGGGCCAAGCCCGUUGUUGAUAAUGUCCGAGAGGAGCCCCACCACAUGCUUCAUCCAAAGGCGGAGCUCCUCGACGUGUUCCCACUUCUCCGCCUCCUUCCGAUCGUCGAGGAAGAUGUCGGGCUCAGACGGGUCGUGGGAGGCCCGGAUACGGAUGUGAUCGGUGCACCAGUGCUCCAUCUCCCGGUCAGCCCGCGCCUUAACGCCGCGGAUGAGGCCCUCGACGGUCUCGAGGGAGCCACCAUGGCGCAGGAACAGGUCGACGAGGCAUGGGAACCGUCCGUCGUCGUCCACCGUCUUCCAGGUUCCAUCCUUGGUCCCCGGUGCCCCAAUUUCAUCCUCCUCGGAAGGAAAGCGGUCCUCCCACGCCCGACGUUCCCGGAGGAACCCUGGGGUGAUCCCGUCCAUGCCAUAAAUUGUCCUCUUGAUAUCGGACUCGGGGUCGGGGGGCGUGCGCUUCAGGCAGGCGAGCGCCACCACUCCAUCCGCUCGCCCCGGCUCUGCCCGGAUCGCGGCAGGCGCCCCCGGGAGGAGCCACGCCGGGGUUGGGGGGCCAUACACCGGCAGGUCCUCCUCCUCGCCGAGCUCUUGCGGCUCCGGUGGCACUGGCUGGGCCGGACCUUGGGGCGGAGGCUCGAGCGGUCCCUCCUCUUGGCCCGCCUGCUGCUGUUGCUGUUGCCGCUGCGGUGGUUGUUGCUGCUGCUGCUGCGGCUGCUCCUGCGGUUGUUGCUGUUGCUGCUACCGCUGUUGCUGCUCCUGAUGUUGCUGUUCCUCCUGCUGUUGUUGCUGUUGCUGCGUGUUGAUGCAAAACUGAUCUGCAAACACAAAGGGCUAAUACCCGAUUCAAACGUUAAGGCGUGCCAGCCGAUUUGACCUUACUAUCGGCAAAGGUGAUAACUCGAAUACUUUAGUCCUGACAACAGCGAUGCGCCCGGAUGUCACGGCUAAGAGGUACUCACGCGGAACUUAAGGAUACGCCGAGCUUGAGUCGACGAAUUCCUAAGAACUCGUAACAAAAAGAAAACGUAUGACGAAGUCGUCGAAAAGUAAAUGCUAGAAUAUGAGUAAAAACGUGUGUUUGAUUGAUUGAUAGAUGUCCUGAUUACAAGGUCUUAGGGCUUAUAUUUAUACCCUGCUCAAAGAGCUGCGACCAGACAUGAUUAGAAUUCGAAUUCCAAAUUACACGGAACCCGUAUACAAAACGAUACGAAUAACAUAAGGAAAUAAUAAAACCAUCCUUCGUGACAAACCGAAACUCCUCCACAUGACAACUGGCAGCUUCCGGACUCCUCCUUCGCGUCAUCGGCAAUCCCCUCGCCAUAGUCAUCGGCAGACCCUUUUACUUGGUCAUCGGCACCAUAUUACUGUCUGAGGACUUAGUCACAUUCAACCUUUCCCUCAUCGGCAACCAUCCUUACCAGCAACCCGCAUCGUACUGCCACCCUGUCCUGCCAUCCUGGACACGUGCCCAAAAAUGGUGUCAACACAUGCCCCCCAGUUUCGGAGUAUAAAACUAUUAAUGCUCCGAAAUUCUCUGCAGUAAUGAUGUCUUCUCCGCAAUUAAUGCUCCUAAUCUGGUAACCGACAACCUCAAUCUGGGCAACUCUGAUCCUAAUCCUCCGCAGAUCCCUCGAAAUCCACAACUUCCCAAACGGGCAUCUCUCUUAGUCGUACAUCGGCAACAAUACCGUUACAAAGAUCUGCCGAUGUUCUGCCCAGGAUAUUCGCAAAAACGGUUACUUCCCCUCUAUCCGCCCAUCGGCAGGACGACCGUUAUAGAAUAUCACCGAUGGACCGACCAGGAGAUCGCGCACAGUAAAAUAUCUUUAGAUAAUGACCGCUUCCUGUCAAAUCACCUGCACAAUCCCUGGAUUAUCGUGCGAACAGUUACCAUAUCCACUUGAGUACCCUCGGGUUUCUCGGAUGCGGCAAAGAAAUAAGUCAGAUUUGCCCUUGUCCAUCUUGCCCUAUAAAUAGUUCCUUCUUGGGUACUCCUCCCCCAUUACAUCAUUCUGCCAUCCAACUUCACUUUUCCAGCGGCGGCGCCAUUCUCAAUCCUCAAGAUCUCCGACAAGCAUUCUUCUUCAUCAACUCCGGCGUCUUCCAGCGUCCCCUUCACGACAAGAUGGCCGUUGGCUUCGUCGUCCCUGAGGUCAGACUUCCAUCUCAUCUGCCGUACCUUUUUCCUGCAUUCCUGUUCAUCUGCGAUUUACCUUACCGAAUAUUUCCUUCUCCUUUUUCUUUGUAUCUUUAUUCCCCAAAACACCAGGAGUUAUCCAACAAAAUUGUCAUUCCUACCGAUCAACCACAUCUUCAAUGCCUCGGCCCUCUAGGGGAUCCAGAUCCAACCGACCUUAUCAACGCAGAAACCAACAGGAUUCCCUUUAGAGCUGAAAACUUUGCUCUAGAUCUAUGGAAGGACACCUUUCGCUCUUGGCCUAGCCCUACUGUAGGGUAGAAAGACUGGUUCUUAAGGGUCAGCAACUCUUAUGAAGUUCAAUGGGGUGAGAGGAAAUUAGCUCAAUGCAUUAGGCUGUCCAUUGCCGAUAUGCAUAGGAACGAGUCAUUGCUGAUAGCCGCAUCUUACUUUUGGUCAGACACUCUCAACGCUUUUGUUUUUGGCCACGGCCCUGCUUCUCCUACCCUUGCCGAUGUAGCCAUGCUUACUGGGUUGGACAUAUCUUCUGCCGAUAGCACCCACUUUUUUGAUACCGCCCCCAGUGCCAAAGUGGAGACUCGCGCUAUCGGCGGCUGGUCAGGGUACAUCCAGAAGUACCGCGGGAGAGGGCCUGUCACCAUAAAGGAACAAACCACCUUCCUGAACAUGUGGCUAGACAAGUUUGUAUUCUGUGGUCGAUCGGCAGGACCGACUUCUGUCUAUCUAUCGGCAGCAGAAAGACUGGCUAGCGGUGGUCAAUUUCCUCUCGGCCGUUAUUUGCUCGGCGCUGUUUAUCACCUUCUUCAUCAGAUAGUCCAGAAACUCCUGCUCGGCCAACCUAUCGGCAACUUGGGAGGUCCUUGGUGGUUUAUUAAUAUGUGGCUCAAUCUGCACCUGCACAAGCGCCUCGAUCUCAACUUGUUCUCUCAGCACUUCCCAAGAGAUAUAGCCGAGAACCAUGUGUUGGGUGAAGAGGAAUCGGCAACACGUGCCCCCCUGAACUUUGGCGAAGCUGUUAUAGUUUUACCCGGUUCAGGGAACACUCCGGAUCAGAUCGGCCGAUUCUUCGAAACGCUGUAUGAGGGUCUGGCCAGAGAUGAACGACCAUGGCUGGCUUAUGACGACCCAGAUAGCAUGCUCCCUCUGACCUUCAAUCCGUUCGACGAAGCUCUUGAUAGGGACAAUGAGGUGAUGAUGGCAAUCGUGACUCCCAGAGCCAUACCAGUGAACUUCUUCGGCAGCACGAAAACUUCUCCCCAAACUUAUGAAUUUUAUAAUCCAUCGGCAUUAGCUCGCCAGCUAGCUUUCGGCCAAUUGCCGAUCGCACUUCCUUAUGCCGAUGUAAUAAAGCCCAGAGAACCCAUCGCUAACCUCCGCGAGUGGACUCGAGUAGCCCAGCUACCACCAAAUGCCGAUACAGAUGCAGAUCUGUCAGAAUGGGUUCCAGCUGCCUUUAUCACUCAAGCAUACAAGCUAUGGUGGGCAGAAUGGAAGGAGAAUCUUUUCUGCAGAUCGGCCCUCUCAUACCGCAGCAUGAUCGACCCCGAAUACGAAGUCCCUGACGACACUGUAAGUAUUUUAAACCGAUGUCUCAUUUUCCAAUACUAUUCCCAUCGGUAACUUACCCCUGUAUUCUUUUUGCAGAUUGACAACACCCCCCCAUCGGUUAGCAGGAGUGGCAAGCCGAUCGACUUAUUCCCAUCAGGCCCGAUCUCCUCAAUCGGCCACAAUGCUCCCACUCUGGCUUCCAUCGUGCACCGGGGCGCGCGUCUCAAGAAAGUUACCACCAGGAAAACUCAGACAUCACCAACGGUAACUGCUUCCACUCUGGCGCAAGCUUUCAAGGCAAUCUGUUAAACCCCUUUUUUAUUUAUGCUGACUAUCUUUAUAUCGGUUAUCUGUGCUCAUAAACUCUUUAUCGUUGUUGCAGCAAACUGGUGCAUCGGCAAAAGCCAAACGCCAAGGUGCCGAUCCCCCCCAGUCUAGCCAGCCAAAGAGGAAAGGCGUCCAAGGUGCUAAGACUGGAACAAAGCGUCAGAAAGUGGCAACUCCUCCUCCUCCUCCGGUGUCUCCAAUCCCGGUGGAAUCUUCCCCUUCUCCUCCAGAAGUCCAGGCACAGCAAGCACCAUCUCCUCAAUCAAUACAGGAAGCACCACAGAUGGAAGAACCUCAGCAAGAAGAACCUCAAACGGCAGGUACGUCAGCUGACAUAGGUGAACAAACAACUGGCCCGGCAGGUCCAGUUAUAUCAUCGGCGGUUUCCUCAAUUCAAACAACUGUUGUUCCUCUUCCGGGUAACAUAUCCCAACAAUACUCCUACCGAUAAACUUAUUUUCAUUGAUUCUUAUAAUCCUUCCUGUCCUCUUUCAGGCGAUAUCGUUCUAUCGGCAACAUUUGCCGAUCAACCUGCAGCUCCAUCGGCCUCUCUGAGUCAACGGCAGGAAAUCGCCUUGAAGCAAGUAAGUCAUCCACUUUUCCAUCGGUAUCAUCUGCCGAAGUUUUGACCAUAAAAUUGACCUAUUUCAUUUUCAUUUUCAGGAACAAGAUUCUCCCGACAGCUUGUUCUCCUUCGCUAUUGAUAUCUUCGAAGAAGAAGGCGAGGAAGCAAGCUCCUCUCGGGCAGUUGGAAUUGUAUCGGCAGAAACCAGAGCUAGGCUGGAGGAGCUAUCGGCCAUACUUCAUCAAGACACAACUCAACUGGUCGACGAUUCUGACCCAGCCAAGGCCCUGUUCAAGACUCUUAGAGGCCAAAUUCCUGCCGAUGCCGAAGAAACACUCUUCCACGCUGCACAUCUAGAAAGCCGCCAGCUACAGUACCAGAGAGCUACUCGACGCCUUGCCGACAGAGCUGCUCAAAUCCAGCUCUCUGAGGAGAUGAUGAAAGAAAAACGCUUAGCCGAUGAGAAACAUAAGAACAUCGGCAUCUUAAAGUCCUCAGGUGAUGCACUGAAGCAGAAAAUGUCUGAUCUAUCGGCAAAAAGAGAAGCUCUGCUGGCUGAACUCAAGCAAGUAGAAGACGCCCUGUCCCAAGCCCAGCAAGAAGACAGUCAACUGCCGGAGACCAUCAAGCAUCUUGAACAGGAACGAAACGUCCAUGGUCGUAAAGCGCUGCAACUGAAGAGGAAGCUGAAGCCAAUUGAAGGUUCUGCCGAUGACGAUAUCAAAGAGAUAGAGACAGCCAACCAGAUUCGGCUGCGCGCCAUAUCUGCAAUCCAAGCGCUGCUGAACAUCUGAAGCUUUCAUCGGCGACACACCUUUGUUUCUCCGUUUUUAGCUUUUAGUCUAGCCGAUAAGACUGUUAUCGGCAUCUUUUGAAACAUUAAGUCUGCCCUUGAACAUUUAAAUUCAGCCGAUAGGAGUGUUAUCGGCACUUAACCUUUUAUGCAUCGAUCCAUAUGCUGGGGUAGUACUUCUUCAAAUAUUUGCCAUUUAACGCUCUGGGAAAUUCAACUCCUUCGAGAGUUUCUAGAAUAUAGGCAUUACCAGGAGCUGAGCGUUUUAUCCGAUAAGGACCUUCCCAAUUAGGAGACCACUUCCCAAACUUUGAACUUUUAGUCCCGACUGGCAAAAUCAACUUCCAUACCAAAUCCCCAUCGGCAAACUCCUUAGCCUUCAACUUUUUAUCAUACCAUCUGGCAACUCUCUUCUUAUUUUCUUCUAUACUCAUUAAAGCCUUUAACCGAUGCCCUGCUAAAUCAUCUAACUCAUCGGUCAUUAAAGUGGCAUAAUCAUCGGCAGCCAAUUGAUCUUGAAAAGAUAAUCGCCUAGAUCCAGCCUUAAUCGCCCAAGGCAAAACUGCGUCAUGUCCAUACACCAAUUGAUAAGGUGACACCUUGGUUGAUCCAUGACAAGCCAUCCGAUAAGACCACAGUGCUUCAUUCAACAAUGUAUGCCACCGCCUAGGAUUUUCUUCAAUCUUUCGUUUAAUAAGCUUGAUAAUUCCCUUGUUAGACGCUUCGGCCUGCCCAUUGGCUUGAGCAUAAUAAGGAGAAGAAUUCAACACUUUAAUUCCCAUACCGAUUGCGAAUUCAUCGAACUCCCCCGACGUGAACAUGGUGCCCUGAUCGGUAGUAAUCGUUUGGGGAAUCCCAAAUCGGUAAAUAAUAUGCUCCUUCACAAAAUCAAUCAUAUUGGCCGAUGUGACUUUCUUCAAAGGAAUAGCCUCGACCCACUUGGUGAAAUAGUCAGUGGCAACUAGAAUGAAUUUAUGCCCUUUGCUAGAUGGUGGAUAAAUCUGGCCGAUCAGAUCGAUGGCCCAUCCCCGGAACGGCCAAGGUUUUAUUAUAGGAUUCAUAGCCGAUGCGGGUGCUCUCUGGAUAUUACCGAACUUUUGACAACCUUGACAUCCCUUGAAAUAUUUAAAACAAUCUUCAAGUAUGGUUGGCCAAAAAUAUCCAUUCCUUCGAAUCAUCCACUUCAUCUUAAAAGCUGACUGAUGCGCUCCACACACUCCUUCAUGGAUUUCUCCCAUCAAACUUCUGGCUUCAUCAUCACCCAAGCAUCGGAGAAGAAUUCCGUCGAUAGUUCGAUAAUACAAUUCAUUUUCAAGGAUCACAUACUUGGUUGCUUGAAAUCGAACCCGUCUUUCAACUUUUUUGGAUGGAUCUUUUAGAUAAUCAAUAAUUUCUUCCCUCCAAUCACCGGCACUGACCGCCGAUGUCGCAUUAAUCAUUGGCUGAUAUCCCGAGGCAUGCUGGGCUAACCGAUUAGCGUCUUCAUUAUGCAAUCGGGGAACAUGCUCCAAUCGGAAGUUCUUGAAUUCUUUUAACAGUUGCAUACCUCUCUCGAAAUAGGUUAUGAGAACUUCACUUCGGCAUUCAUAGCUUCUGACCAAUUGAUUUAUAACCAACAUGGAAUCUCCGAAUACUUCAACAGCAUCAGCACGAACUUCUCUUAACAACUCCAAUCCCUUGAUCAGAGCUUGAUACUCAGCCUGAUUAUUUGUUGAUGUAGCAACAAUCGGCAAGGAAAACUCAUACUUCCUCCCUUUAGGAGAAACUAAUACAAUACCGAUUCCUGCUCCUCGGUCACAGGUAGAUCCAUCAAAGAAGAGCGUCCAGGGUGCAAUUUCCAAGGUCUCCACUAGACCGCAAUGCUGAGUCACAAGAUCGGCCAUAACCUGCCCUUUGACCGCCUUAGUCGAUUCGUAACGCAAAUCGAACUCCGACAGCGCCAAAAUCCACUUACCGAUCCUACCACUCAUAAUCGGCAUAGAUAGCAUGUAUCGGACCACGUCAUCUUUGCAAACAACAGCACAUUCGGCUGACAACAGAUAAUGUCUUAGCUUGAUACAUGAGAAAUAUAAGCACAAGCACAGCUUCUCUAUGGCCGAAUACCUGGUUUCAGCAUCAAUCAACCUCCUGCUCAGAUAAUAAAUUACUCUCUCCUUCCCUUCAAAUUCUUGAACUAAAGCUGAACCGAUAACCGAUCCAUCGGUAGAUAAAUAUAAUUUGAAGGGUUUCCCUUGUUGGGGUGGAACUAAAACUGGAGGAUUCACUAGAUACUUUUUGAUCUCAUCCAGAGCCAACUGCUGUUCUUCUCCCCAAACAAACUCCUGAUCGGCUUUUAAUUUAAGAAGGGGACUGAAAGCACGAAUUCUCCCAGAUAAAUUCGAUACAAAUCUUCUGAUAAAAUUCACCUUGCCGAUCAAGGAUUGGAGCUCGGUUUUAUUGGUAGGGGCCACUAUUUUAUUGAUGGCAUCAAUAGAUCUUCGACUAAUCUCAAUACCCCUCUGAUGUACCAUAAAACCAAGAAACUGCCCUGCCGAUACGCCAAAUGCACACUUGUUGGGAUUCAUCUUCAAUCCAUGCUUCCUGGUGCACUCCAACACUUUUCGUAAAUUGGCAAGAUGCUUUGAAAAAUCUCCAGACUUAACCACCACAUCAUCAAUAUAAAUUUCUACGAUUUUGCCGAUGAACUCAUGAAAUAUGAAAUUCAUAGCCCUUUGAUAAGUAGCACCAGCAUUCUUUAACCCAAAAGUCAUGACUAUCCAUUCAAACAAUCCAACAUGACCAGGACACCUGAAUGCGGUUUUUGGAAUAUCCUCCUCUGCCAUGAAUAUUUGAUUGUAACCCGCAUUACCAUCCAUGAAACUGAUGACCCGAUGGCCAGCCGCAGCAUCAACCAGUAGAUCGGCAACAGGCAUUGGGUAUCCAUCCAUCGGCGUAGCUUUAUUGAGAUUCCUGAAAUCAAUGCACACUCGAAGCUUCCCGUUCUUUUUGUAAACCGGAACAACAUUGGAAAUCCAUUCGGCAUACCGACACUGCCGAAUAAACUUAGCUUCAAUAAGUUUAGUGAUUUCGGCCUUAAUAUCAGGUAGAAUGUUAGGAUUACAUCGGCGGGCUGGUUGCUGAUGUGGCCGAAAUCCAGACUUGAUGGGUAACCGAUGUUCAACAAUUGAUCGGUCUAAACCAGGCAUCUCCGUAUAAUCCCAAGCAAAGCAAUCUUUAUAUUCCUUUAACAAACUAGUUAACUGCCGUUUAAACUUAGGAUCUAAUUUAGCACUAAUAAAAGUAGGCCUAGGCCUAUCACCACUACCUAUAUCUACUUCUACCAAAUCGUCGGCCGAUGUGAAUCCUUGGCCUAAUUUUCCAUCAUCGGCGAAUCUAUCCAUUAAAAACCGUCGUCAGAACCGACUGCUUGGAUCGGUGGAAUCUCAUAAUCGGCAACUUUGAGAAAAUCUUUCUCCCAAACUUCUCCUGAAAUGCACCUAGUCUUUUCAUAAGUAUCCGCUUCUGCCGAUGCGAUAACAUAAGAAGAAUCCCCUGGGACGAUCUCAAUCUUGUCACCUACCCACUGAACCAAGCACUGAUGCAUUGUAGAUGGGACACAACAAUUGGCAUGAAUCCAAUCUCUCCCCAAUAAUAAAUUGUAGGCACCUUUUCCGCUGAUCACGAAAAAGGUUGUCGGCAAGGUUUUGCUGCCGAUAGUCAGCUCUGCACAUAUCGCCCCCUUGACCGGAGACACGUUUCCCUCAAAGUCUUUGAGCAUCAUAUCGGUCUUGGUCAAAUCUUGAUCCCCUUUCCCAAGCUUCCGAUAUACUGCAUACGGCAUAAUAUUGAUAGCAGCUCCACCAUCAACUAGGAUCUUGGUCAUUGGCUGCCCAUCAACCCUUCCUUUGAGGAACAAAGCUUUAAGAUGCUGCCUCUCGUUAUCGGCAGGUUUCUCAAAGAUAGCCGUCAUCGGAUCCAGAGCCAACUGAGCUAUCUGAUCAGAAAAUCCCAACUCAUCAUCACUGGCUGGUGCAAGAAACUCCAUCGGCAACAUGAAUACCAUGUUGACGCCUGCCGAUGGACCUUCCUUCUUAGUGUCUGCCGGCUGCCGACUUUCAGAACUCUCUCCUUUAUUUAACUCCUCUUGCCUUUCUCGUUGCAACCUCCUUUUCUGUGUCUUGGUUAAUCCUUGAGGGCACCAUGGAGGAAGUGGCCUUUGCCUUACUGCCGGGCGUCGGUUCUCCCUUGACUCCAUACGAUGUGUGUUAGCAUCUCUGCAAAAUAUGAACUCAUCGGGAACCCGCGCAUUAGCCAUUUCCUCAAGCUCUUCCUGGUUCCUGGGAAAAUACUGGACACGGUCACCGAGCCGAUCGCGAACACUAAGCCUGCCCCCCAGCCGAUCAUGAGCUGACGCUCUUCCUCUGAUUGGCCCAUUAAAUCGCCGUUCAUCAUCAUGAUAACGCCGAUCGUUCCUGUCGUACCGAUCAUAACCGUUGCAUUCAGGGCAGUCUCUGACAGUAGGAAGCUUGAUAUUUUCCUCCCAACAAUGGAUGAAGAAUGGGCAAUUCCAAUGAUCCCUGUGCCGAUUCCACUCCUGUCGGCGUCUCUCUUCUUCCCGUUGAUAAUCUUCCUGCUGGCGCCGGUACCGAUCUUCCCGUUGUUGCCAUCUCUCUCGAGGCCUUCUAUGAGUUAUGACAAUACCAGAUCGAGGAAUUCUUCCUGAGCUAGCUCCUUCCUGGACCAAGCCCUUACUUCUUGCAUCGGCGGUAGUAACUUGAUGCUGAGGAUCUACCGAUGCACUCUUCUCAGCUGUCUCCGACGUUAAGACCUUAGCCUUCCCCUUAGCAUCCAACAUGUUCGUCGGGAAAGGAUGUUGGUCUAUCUUCAUCGGCUUCUGGGCUUUGGAACUAUCAAACUUGAUUCUCCCCGAUUCUAUAGCCGAUUGCAGCUGUUGUCUGAAUACUUUGCACUCAUUGGUAUCAUGUGAAGUUGCAUUAUGCCACUUGCAAUAUCUCAUCCUCUUCAACUCUUCUGCCGACGGGAUCACAUGGUUAGGUGACAGUUUGAUUUGACCUUCCUGAAGUAGAAAGUCAAAUAUCCUAUCGGCUUUGGCGGUGUCAAAGGCAAACUUCUCUGGUUCUUUCUGCCCAAAAGGACAAGACAUCGGCUUCUUGUUUUUUACCCACUCUGCCAAACCGAUUACUGGUUCCUCGUCGGAAUCUGAGCUUGUUGCUUCGUCAACAAAUGACACUUUCUUAUUCCACGCCCUCUUAGGCUCGAAAGGCUUGAUGUCUUGAUCAGAUAUCCUCUGCACCAAAUGACUUAAACUCUCGAACUCUUGAGAUGCAUACUUAUCCCUGAUAUGUGGCAACAAACCCUGGAAAGCCAAAUCGGCUAGCUGCCGAUCAUCCAGAACCAGGCUAUAGCAUUUAUUCUUGACCUCUCGUAUCCUCUGCACAAAUCCCUCAACCGACUCGUCAUUACGUUGCCUCAACUUAACCAAGUCGGUGAUCUUCUUCUCAUGAACCCCUGAGAAGAAGUAUCUGUGGAAUUGCUUCUCUAGAUCGGCCCAAGUAAUUACUGAGUUGGGAGGUAACGAUAUAAACCAAGUAAAGGCCGAUCCAGACAGUGAUGACGAAAAUAGACGAACCCUUAAUUCGUCCCUGUUACCAGCUUCUCCACAUUGAAUAAUGAACCUGUUGACAUGCUCCAUGGUUGACGUGUCGUCCUGUCCGGAAAACUUUGUAAAAUCCGGUACCUUGUACCGAUGUGGAAGCGGGAUCAAAUCAUACGCUGGAGGAUACGGUGUCCGGUAAGAAUAAGUGUUGACUUUGGGUUUUAUCCCAAAUUGUUCCUUCAUUACUUCAGCAAUCUUAUCGGCCCAAUAAGCAUCGACAUCUUGCCGAUGAGGCAGCUGCGGAUCCGGCACUUGGUGGCGAACCUCCACGUGUCUGUUUGGGACCUGACCUGUAUGGAACAUCGUAUUGGUCACCUGUCCUCCAAUCUGCGGACUACCAAACUGCUGUCCACCGACUGGCUGUCCUCCGAGUUGCUGUCCAAAAUUUAUUGGCUGGUUGGACAUUCCCUGACCUUGGAACCCGGGAUAAACUUGCCCUUGCUGGAACCCCGUAGUCUGAUAACCCUGCUGGGGCGACUGUGGAAAGGCUUGCUGUCCAAGCCAUCCAUUAUUAGCGUUCAUCGGCAUAGGUGCUGCCGAUGAUUGGUAAUUGGGUAUCGUCGUUGAAUUGACAUACCCCGACUGGGCCAUAGGCCUCUGUUGCAUCAGCAUUGACUCUGCCGAUGCGUUGGGCAUCUGGAACAUUGAAUCUUGAGGAUUUCCAGUGUGAGGCCUUGCAGUAGUAGUUGUGGUAUACCGAGGACUCUGGUUCACCGGCACAUUGGAAGGUACCGACGUCAUAGGAGUUUUGCCCCUCAUGUCAGUUGUCUGUGAUGUUCCCGGCGUCAACUCUGGAGGCAUACCAUAACCCCACCAGUUGGGGGGAAGAUUUAACCCUGACAUUGCCGAUGCCAACAUAUCUGUCGUCAGUUUAUGCUGCCCAACUGAAAUUUGGGGGUUGGUUGCCAUCGGCAUAGAUAGUGCACCGGUAGUCCCCAAUGUACUUGGAGGAACGGCAGACUGUGCACUUGCACUCGUCAAGGCAGCCGAUGGAGCCGUGACCUCUGGUGCCGUGGGUUGAUGAUGGGAAGGGCCCACAUAAUCCGGCGGGAUUUGUCCUUCCUUGAAAGUUCUUGCCACGGCGUUGAACACCGUGUUAGACAGUACACCAGCUUGGUUGAUCAGCGCUCGAUUGAUGGCAUUGUCAACCAUGUCUUGAAGCUUGCCAGGAUUAGCGUCGAAGGUGACCUGCCGUGGUGCCGGCAGUGCAUCUUUCUGGACUACUUCGCCGCUUCUGUUUAUGCUGAAAGACUUCAGGCACUGCUGCUUGAACUCUUCCAUGGCUUGGGCAAUAGCUUGCUUCUGCUCAUCCUUAAGGUUAGCUUCCGUCACGGGGAUGACGUUGUCUUGAUCGAGGUCAGAGAUCGACAUGCUGAUCUUGAUCUUGAAUCGGUCCCACUGGGCGUGCCAAAAGAUGUGUUGAUGCAAAACUGAUCUGCAAACACAAAGGGCUAAUACCCGAUUCAAACGUUAAGGCGUGCCAGCCGAUUUGACCUUACUAUCGGCAAAGGUGAUAACUCGAAUACUUUAGUCCUGACAACAGCGAUGCGCCCGGAUGUCACGGCUAAGAGGUACUCACGCGGAACUUAAGGAUACGCCGAGCUUGAGUCGACGAAUUCCUAAGAACUCGUAACAAAAAGAAAACGUAUGACGAAGUCGUCGAAAAGUAAAUGCUAGAAUAUGAGUAAAAACGUGUGUUUGAUUGAUUGAUUGAUUCCCCGUUUACAAGGUCUUAGGGCUUAUAUUUAUACCCUGCUCAAAGAGCUGCGACCAGACACGAUUAGAAUUCGAAUUCCAAAUUACACGGAACCCGUAUACAAAACGAAUAACAUAAGGAAAUAAUAAAACCAUCCUUCGUGACAAACCGAAACUCCUCCACAUGACAACUGGCAGCUUCCGGACUCCUCCUUCGCGUCAUCGGCAAUCCCCUCGCCAUAGUCAUCGGCAGACCCUUUUACUUGGUCAUCGGCACCAUAUUACUGUCUGAGGACUUAGUCACAUUCAACCUUUCCCUCAUCGGCAACCAUCCUUACCAGCAACCCGCAUCGUACUGCCACCCUGUCCUGCCAUCCUGGACACGUGCCCAAAAAUGGUGUCAACACUGCGCCUCAUAUUCCUGCGGCUGCCGCGCCGCCUCGCGCUCCCGCUGUUCAUCCUCCUCCCUCUUCUUCUUCUGCUCCUCGAGGGUGCGGAGGCCGGCGGGCCAGGGAGUCGAUCCCGCGACGUUGGGGGUCGACGCUUCCUCCUCCAUAGGGCGAGCGCCCCCAGACGCUUCGUUACCAUCGGACGUAUCGCUGAUGGUGAUGGGUUCCCCCUCGACCCCCAAUCGAGGGGGCUCGGGGGCUCCCUCUGACGCUUGCGUCUGGGGCGCCUCAUCACGAGUCGGCGGCGACGGAGUAGGCGCGGGACGAGACGGAGCCCUCUCGACGCCGGCUGGAAGUUGGGAGCUAGAGGAGCCUACGAAACAAAGGGUAAGGGUCAGACGUUAUGAUAACCGACACAAGAACAUCGCAACGCCUAGAAAUAAACUACGAACCUGGUUCCUUGGAGGCGGCACCCGUUUUGAGCCUCUUUGCCAUGGAUGGUUGGGCCUGCUCAAGGGUCCACUUUAGCCUGAGAAAAGGUUGGCAUAUGAGGAAAGGUGGAAGAAUGGGAAGACAAAAACCGCAACAUCAAAAAGGCUUACCCCACAGGGAGAACGGCUCGCCUCCCGCCACCCCGACCAGUGGGCCUCGAGCCACCCCGCGUUAGGGCUCCAGGCCCCUCGAGGGCAGGCACUGGCUUAGGCGCGUCGGUCCCCGCCUGGCGGGCGCCGGGACUGGCGCUCCUACGGCCGGCAUCUCCUUUCUCAGAGGCCGCGGCGCGACCACGAGUUAGUGGCCCCGACGCCUGGGGCCUAGCCAGACCUCUCUCCCUGGGCACCGGGGGAGGGCGCGGUGCGUCUUGGCCCGCCUUGGGCGCGGGAGGGGUGUCGGCCCGGGGGCGACGAGAUCCGCUCGGACCCUCCUCUGGCGCCUCCGUCCGGGGGGCGUCGACGUCACCUCGAGGCGGGCCCUCGAGAAUCCGAUCGAGGCGCGACGCCAUCCCCUCGGAGUCGUCGCUGUCCUUGUCGUCAUCGUCAUCAUCGUUAGGGGAUUCUUCCUCAGGCUCCCCCCUCUGCCUGGAUUUGGCUCGACGCGCCUCUAAUGCUUGGCGGUCGAGGUUCUUCUUCUUCUCCCCCUUCUUUGCAGAGUCCUUGGCAGACUUUAGCUUUUCGGCAGAUUGGCGCCGUUUGUCACGAUCGACCUCGUCCUCCUUUACCGGAGGCCUCGAGGACCGGACAUCAAUCCGACCCUGCCAAAACUAAGGUAGACUUAGAAAAAAGAGAGGGGAGAAAGGAAACCCAGAAUCGAGGCUGCGCGCAAGAAGAAAGCGUACCAGAUCGAUCGAGCCCGCGUCAGGUCUCAUGGGGAAGCCGUUAACGUGCUCCGGCUGAAAAUCACCGGCAAUUGCAGCCCUGGCUCGGGCCGCGACUUCGUCGUCCGCCGGAGCCUCGUUGGACAUCCGACACGCCUCGAGGUCCCGGGAUGAGACGCCAAGGCCCAUCUCGUCCAUCCUCAACGGUCGAGACAUCAAAGGGAGAACUCUCCGGUGAUGGACGGCCGAGAGGACGAGAGCGGCGGUCAAACCCUCCUGGUGAAGCUUCUUCAGGGCGUCGAGGAGGGGGUCGAGCCGAGAUUGAUGAGCUUGGACGACGCCGUAUGUCCAAUCCGCUGGACGCUCCAUGAUCAGACGGCCCGAGUAGGAAGGCAGGAGGUUGUCAUCGUUCCGCAGGUAAAACCACUGGGAGUCCCAGCCGGCGUGGUUGGUCGAUAACCCUACCGGGAUGUACUCCCGCGGCCUGUCCGUCUUCCCCGUCUUCUGCACCAGAUUGAGGCAUCCCGCCCGCACGGGCUUCCUUACGCCUGUGGUUCUGGUGGGGGCAUGGAAAAGCUCGCCCCUGUAGAGGUGGAGCCACAGCUCCCAGUGCGGCAUCAUCCCCAAGUAGCCCUCACACACGGCGGCGAACAUCGCCGCUACGGUGAUGGCGUUCGGAGAGAAGUGCUGGAGCUCCACCCCAUAAUGGAAGCAGAGGUCCCGCAUGAAGCGGCUCGGGGGCGCGCCCAGACCGUGGCGGUGGAACUUGGCGAACGACACCACGUAGCCCUCGGGCGGCUGAGGCCCCCUGUGACUCGCCGGCGGCGCGAUCCACUCUGGCGACGAUAGCGAGGUACGGCGGCGCAGCAGUCCCUCUUUCUCAAGCUCUAACAACCGGCGCUCCGUCAUCGACGACGGGCGCCAGUCGUCGGCGGCGAGGAGUCUUACAGGCAUCUCGGCUGGAGGGACGGUAGAUUAACUACAGCUCGAGGAGGCGUGUGCGCGUGAGACGGCGAGAAAGCAAAGGCAACGAGAGAAUAAAAGCGAGAAGGCGGAAGGGAGAGGAACGGCGGCGACGCCACGACGUAUUUAUAGGCAGCGGUCCGCCAACGGACAGAUCUGAGAAAUAAGGUAACUCCCUCCCAUAAAUGCGCCGUCUAACGGUCCUUUCUCUCCUCACAGGCCGGACGCUCCGAAUUCCCCGCCGAUACAGUGUCGCAACGUCACUUACCUCAAAAGGUGCGCCCAACGGGCAGAAAGACGAACCGGCACGGCAGUUUCCUUACUUCGUAAGCCAAGGUAUGCGCCCACGAUAGUCUCGAGAGGUCGAUGGCUGGCCCAUCGAAAGGGUUCGACAGCCGAUCUCGAGCACCAAGAGUCAGGGAUCCCCAGCGAGUGGUCGAAAAUCGAGGCCCGCCUCGAGGACUCGCUGGCGAUGUCCAAGGUAGGGUCGAGACAGUCGAGAGGAAUCCCCCCGAAGGGAGGCAUCGAGCCGCUGGACUCUAUCGAAUGAGACCGGUAUCCCCGACCACGUCGACCCUGCUUUAUGAGGACGCCUCCGGGCUACAGCUGACCCCCUCGAAAGGGGCACAGGUUCUCACUUGGACUACCCGCUAGGAACUCAAUCUGGGGUGGAAGACGCUCGCUCUAUCGAGAGUACGUCGAAACCUCCACGCAAGGCAAAGCCGAACAGAACCUUCCACCACGGGUGUUGACAGCGUUUCUGCAAAUUUGGCAAAAUAACCCUCGAAGGAGUUGAAUCCUCCCUCGAGGGCUCGGGGGCUACCCCCGCGGGGUCGCUCGCGCACCACCGUGGAAGCUCGACCGUAAAAACGAAAGUCUCCACUCGAGCGCCAGCGCUCGAAUGAAGACUCGGGGGCUACUGUCGAGGGUAUCAACAAGGGGUACCCUCACCAAUGCGUAUAACGAGGCCAUCCGUACGCACGCGCGGCCAUCGACGGCCAUGCGUAUGCGCAGCCUUCGACGUCCACAACCUCGAACACAGAAAUAGCGUCGAGCGAAUCGGUCAGGGCUCGAGCGACAGCUGCCGUCGAAUACGGAAGCGGGCUCGAGCGAACCGAGAGGCGUCGAGCGCAAGGACACUGUCCGCCGCCUGACGCGCGCACGAGAGCCAGGGCAUUUAAUGCACCUGACGCUUCCCCACCUAACACACGGGUCAUGGGAGGCUUCUGUCCCAUCGUUCUUUUUGCAGCCUUCCCACCGAACGACCCAGGGCGUGUCAGGACGCGGGAAACAAGGAUGGAACGUCUAAUCGGGAUCCCCUCGAGACACCCAAGGUCAGCGCUCCAGAUAUCAGCAUAUUACACGGCGUCCGACCCUCGACCGAACAGGGUCCCUUCCUAGGGACAAGUUGGGCGUCGACUGACAACACCACAACUACCCCGCCGGAUCUGCCGCCAUACCGUACAAGCGUGCGACCUCAGAACCAGCGCGAGGCGGCGGGCAGGGCAGAACGCAGGAGCACGCGUAAUCAUCAUCGGGCUAUCAAGAUGGGACGGCUCGAGGCCAUGUCGUACGGAAGCCUCGAGUAGGUCAGCGCUCCAUGCGGCUAUCGACCCCUACUCUAACAUCUACGCAUGUACCCUAGGUCUCUCCUUGGAACUAUAAAAGGAGGGACUCAGGAAUAGAACGAAAAAAACACAAGACCACGCUCAUACGUAGUAGAGCUCCACACUUCAUACCACGCUUGUAUUCGCCCCUGUACAAGCACUUAGGUGCAAGAUAAUACAAACUCUCUCCCCCCGCUGGACGUAGGGCCUUCUCUUGCCCGAACCAGGAUAAAUCUCUGUGUCUUCUUGCAUCACCAUCUGGGAAAGGGAGCACGCAUACAAAUUUACUCGUUGGUGUGACCCCCCGGGGGAAAAAACACCGACACAUCUAACAAAGGGAUUAUCAAGCUUAUUAAACGAAAAAUUGAAGAAAAUCCUAGGAGGUGGCACACUUUGUUAAACGAAGCUCUAUGGUCGUACCGAAUGGCUUGUCAUGGAUCGACCAAGGUUUCACCUUAUCAGUUGGUGUAUGGGCAUGAUGUAGUGUUACCUUGGGAAAUUAAGACUUGGUCUAGGCGACUAUCUUUUCAAGAUCAGUUGGCUGCCGAUGAUUAUGCUACUUUGAUGACAGACGAGUUGGAUGAUCUAGCAGGGCAUCGGCUGAAGGCUUUGAUGAGUACAGAAGAGAAUAAGAAGAGAGUUGCCAGAUGGUAUGAUAAGAAGGUAAAAGCUAAGGAGUUUGCCGAUGGAGACUUAGUAUGGAAGUUAAUCCUACCGAUCGGUACUAAAAGUUCAAAGUUUGGGAAGUGGUCUCCCAAUUGGAAGGGUCCCUAUCGGAUAAGUCGAUCGGCUCCUGGUAAUGCCUAUAUUUUAGAGACUCUCGAAGGAGUUGAGUUUCCCAGAGCAUUAAAUGGCAAAUAUCUAAAGAAGUAUUACCCAGCAUAUGGGUCGAGGCAUGAAAGUUAAGUGCCGAUAACAUUCCUAUCUGCUGGAUCAAAAUGUAUCUGGGGGUAAAACUCAGUGUUUUAAAGGGUGCCGAUAACAGUCCUAUCGGCUAGACCAAAUAUCAAGAAAGCUGGAAAGCAGAGAGAGGCGAGUAUGUUGCCGAUGAAGAGCUCACAUGUUUUGCAGCGCCUGGAUGGCCGAUAUGGCACGAAGGCAGAUUUGGUUGGCUGCUUCUAUCUCUUUGACGUCUUCAUCAGCAGAACUUCUAUCGGCUUCAACUUCUUCUUCAACUGUAGUGCUUUACGACCAUGGACAUUUCGCUCUUGCUCAAGAAGCUUGAUCCUCUACUUGCUUGAGUUCUGCCAGUAGGGCUUCUCUUUUGGCCGAUAGAUCAGAGAUCUUGUGCUUCAGAGCAUCUCCUGAGGACUUUAAGAUGCCGAUGUCUUUGUGCUUCUCAUCGGCAAGGAGUUUCACCUUCAUCAUCUCCUCAGAGAGUUGGGCAUGAGCCGCUCUGUCGGCAAGACAUUGGGCAGCUCUCUGGUACUGUAGCUGACGGCUCUCUAGAUGUGCAGCUUGGAAGAGGACUUCUUCAGCAUCGGUAGGAAUUUGACCUCUCAGGAUCUUGAAUAAAGCCUUGGCCGGAUCGAAGUCAUCAACUAGUUGGGCCGUGUCUUGAUGGAGGAGAGCCGACAGUUCUUCCAGCUUUGCCCUGAUCUCUGCCGAUGUAAUCCCAACUGCCUGGGAGGAACUUGCUUCCUCACCUUCACCUUCGGAGAUGUCAAUGGCAAAGGAGAACAGCCUGUCGGGAGAGUCCUGUUCCUGAAAAAGAAAUAAAAUGAGUCAUUCCAUGGUCAAGCAUUGACAAAUAAUACUGAUGCAGAUUGGAAGGCUUACUUGCUUUAGGGCAAUCUCUCGCCUCUGACUGGAAGAUGCCGAUGGCACUACAGGCUGAUCGGCCGGGGUUGCCGAUGGGACUAUGUCAGCUAAAAAUUGGCCGAAGGAAUUGUGAGAACAGGAAAGUAGGAUUCAUCGGCAAUGGCUUCGUAAAGAUCUAUUACCUUGAGGAGGUGUAGUGCUCGUCUGGAUUGAGGAAACUACCGAUGCUAUGAUUGAGCCUGCUGGAUCGGUAGUCUGCUCACUCACAUCAGCCGAUGUGUCUUCCGGCUGAGGUACUUCUGGCUGAGGCUCUACUGGUUGGGGUACUUCUUGCAGCUGAGGGGGAGAUGGUGCUUGUUGCAUUUGGGCUUCUGGAGAGGAAGGAGAAGAUUCCACUGGGAUUGGAGAUACCGGGGGAGGAGAAGGCGUUGCUACUCUUUAGCGCUUUGCUUGUGCUCCGGUGUUCUUGGCACCCUUUCUCUUCGGUUGACUAGACUGGGGGGCAUCGGCACUUUUGCUUCUGGUCUUUGCCGAUGCGCCGGUAUGCUGGUGCAGAGAGGAAAAUUUGUGAGUACAAGUAUAACAGAUGCAGAAGUGAAAUCGGUAUGAAUAGGUUUUACAAUUACCUUGAAGGCCUGUGCUAAGGUGGAAGCAGCCACUGAUGGGGAUGUCUUUGUACGCUUGGUGGUGACUUUCUUGAGGCGUACACCCUGAUGCAUUAUGGCAGCCAAGGUAGGUGCAUUGUUGCCAAUGGAGGAGAUCGGACCUGAUGGGAACAGAUCAAUCGGCUUGCCGCUCCUACUGACCGAUGGGGGAGUGUCAUCAACCUGCAACAUAACCCAGAAAGUAAGUUACCAAUGAAAUGAGGAUAAAAAGAUUAGAGCAUUAGUUUGGAGGUACUUACGGUGUCAUCGGGGACUUUGUACUGAGGAUCGAUCAUGCCAUGGUAUGUGAGGGCCGAUCUGCAGAACAAAUGUUCCUUCCACUCCUCCCACCAUUGCUUGUACACCUGGGUAAUGAAGAGGGCCGGAACCCACUCUAAUAGAUCUGCAUCUGUAUCGGCAUUCAGUGACAGCUGGGCUACUCGGAUCCACUCGAGCAGGCUAGUGAUGGCUUCCCUGGGUUUUAUCACAUCGGCAGAAUAGAGUGCAAUCGGCAGUUGGCCGAAAGCUAGUUGACGGGCUAGUGCCGAUGGGAUGUAAAACUCAUAGGUUUGGUUGGAGGUUUUCCCACUGCCGAAGAGGUUUACUGGUAUAGCUCUGGGGGUGAUCAGUGCCAUCAUCACUUCGUGGUCCUUGUUGAGAGCAUCGUUAAACGGAUGGAAAACCAAAGGAAACAUGGUGUCUGGAUCUUCAUAAGGCAUCCAUGCUCGUUGUUCUCUGGUCAGGCCUUCAUACAGGGUUUGGAAGAAUCGGCUGACUUGAUCUACAUUGCCCCCUGUAUCAGGCAGAACUAUGGCGGCCUCGCCAAAAUUUAGAGGAGGGCGAGUUGCCGAUUCUUCAUCAUCCAGUUCAUAGUCCUCGGCUAUAUCCCUGGGAAAACGCUGUGCGAGGCGCUUGUGCAUGUGGAGGCUGAGCCACAUGUUGAUAAACCACCAGGGACCCCCCAAGUUGCCGAUGGACUGGCCGAGUAGGAGUUUCCUGGUCACUUGAUGAAGGAGGUGGUAGGCCGCGCCAAGUAGGUAUCGGCCGAGGGGAAAUCUGCCACCAUUGGCUAAUCAUUCUGCUGCUGCUAGGAAGACGGAAGUUGGUCCUGCCGAUCGGCCGCAAAACACAAAUUUGUCCACCCACAUGUUCAGGAAGCUGGUCUGUUCUUUUAUGUUGACAGGGCCUGUUCGUCUGUAUUUUUGGAUGUACCCUGACCAACCGCCGAUGGCACGAGUUUCUACCUUAGCACUGGGUUUGGUGUCGAAGAAGUGAGUGCUAUCGGCAGAAGAUACAUCUAGGCCGGUGAGCAUAACUACAUCGGCAAGUGUAGGGGAAGCAGGGCCGUGGCCGAAAGACAAAGGCAUUGAGUGUGUCUGACCAGAAAUAUGAUGCAGCUAUCAACAGUGACUCAUUCCUAUGCAUAUCGGCAAUGGACAACCUGAUGCAUUGGUCUAGUUUUCUCUCACCCCACUAGACUUCGUUUGAAUGGCUGACUCUCAAAAACCAAUCCUUCCAUCCCAUGGUAGGACUGGGCCAAGAACGGAAGGUAUCCGUUGGUUUCUGCAUUGAGAAAGUCGGUUGGAUCUGGAUUCCCUAACGGACCGAGACAUUGGAGGUGUGGUUGAUCAGUGGGGAUGACAAUUUUUUUGGACAGAUCCUAAUGGUUUUGGGUAUAAAAAGAAGAACAAAAGAAGAAAAAGAGGGAUAUUCAGCAAAAUAAAUCGCGAAUAAACAUGGAUGAGGUAAAGGUACAAGAAAUAAGGUGAUGAACUGACCUCAGGGUUGGUGAAGUUGAUGGCCAUUUUCUCGCGAGGAAGGAGAUUGAAGACUUCGAGAUUGGUGGAGAGAAGUCUUCACUGGAGUUCUUGGAGCUCUCGAACAGCGCCGCCGCUAGAAAAGUAGAGUUGGGGCUGUAGAAUGAUGUGAUGAGGAAGGAGUACCCGAGAAGGAACUAUUUAUAGGAAAAAAUGGGCAAGGGCAAAUCUGACUUAUCACUUCGCCGUAUCUGUGAAAUCUGAGGGUGCUCAGGAAGAUAUGGUAACUGUUCGCAUGGUAAUCAAGGGAUUGCACGAGCGAUUUGACAGGAAGCGGUCGUGAUUUGGAGAUAUUUUACUGUGCGAGAUUUCCUGGUCGGUCCAUCAGCAGCGCCUUGUAACUGUAAUAUUGCUGAUAGGCGAAUAGAGUGGAAAUGUCUGUUGGGGGGGAUAAGAUACGUCACUGUACGGGGCCUCCUAGUCAGUCCAUCGGCAAUUCUUUGUAACGGUAACGUUGCCGAUAGGCGAUUAAAGUGGAGAUGUCCGUUUAAGAGGUUGAGGAUUUCGAGGGAUCUGCGGAGGAAUCAAACCAGGGUUGUUUAGAUUGAGGCUGUCGGUUGCCAAAUUGGGAGAAUUAAUUGCGGAAAGGCAUCAUUACUGUAGAGAAUUUCGGAGCAUUAAUGAUUUUAUACUCCGAAAUUGGGGGGCAUGUGUUGACACCGUUUUUGGACACGUAUCUAGGAUUGGUAAAAUGUGGAUCGGCAAGACAGGGUAAUGGUCACUGGUCUGCAGAAGGGUUACCGAUGAGGAUGGUUGCCGAUGAGAAGACAGUUGGAUAUGACUAAGUCUGUGAAUGGUGAUGUGUGUAUGCCGAUGGCCGAGGUUAACCGUUGCCGAUGGGGAGUCUGCUGAUGAUAUGGAAGGAAAACUCGCAGGUUGCCGAUUAGUCCGUGGUGGUGUCCCAGUUCGUCACGGAAGGAUGGUUUUAUGUUUUCCUUAGUUAUUUACAUCGUUUUGUAUACGGAUUCUGUUUAAAUUUGGAAUUCGAGUUCUAGUCGUGUCUGGUUGUAGCUCUUUGAGCACGGUAUAAAUGUAGACCCUAGGGCUUUGUAAUCAAAGAAUCUAUAAAUCAAUCAAACACCAGUUUUUUACUCAUAUUCCAGCAUCUACUAUUUCGACGACUUCGUCAUACUUUUUCUUUUUCAUUAUGAGUUCUUAAGAAUUCAUCGACUUAAGCUCGGCGUGUUCUCAAGUUCCGCGUGAAUACCUCUUGGCCGUGGCAUCCGGGUGCAUCGCUGUUGUCGGGACCAAAGUAUUCAAGUUAUCACCUUUGCCGAUAGUAAGGUCAAAUCAGCUGGCACGCCUUAACGUUUAAAUCUGGUAUUAGCCCUUUGUGUUUGCAGAUCAGCUUUUGCAUCAACAGCCCCUUACUGAUAUCCUCGACAGUAGCCCCUGAGUCUCCAUUUGAGCGCUGGCGCUCGAGUGGAGGCUGUAUUUUCGUGGUCGGGUUUCCGUGGGGCGCGCAAGCGACCCCGCGAGGGUAGCCCCCGAGCCCUCGGAGGAGUUAUUUGACUCCUUCGACGGUUAUAUCGCCCGAUUUAUAGAAACGCUAUCGACACCUGUGGUGGAAAGUUCUGAUUGGCUCGUUUUGUGCAGGGGUUUCGACGUACUCUCGAUAGAGCGAGCGUCAUCCACCCUAGAUUGAGCUCCUAACAGGUAGUCCAAGUGAGAACCUGUGCCCCUUUCGAGGGGGCCAGCUGUAGCUCGGAGGCGUUCUCAUAAAGCGGGGUCGACGCGGUCGGGGAUGCUGGUCUCGUUCGAUAGAGUCCAGUGGCUCAAUGCCUCCCGUCGGGGGAUUCCUCUUGACUGUCUCGACCCUACCUCGGACAUCCCCAGUGAGCUCUCGAGGCGGGCCUCGAUUUUCGACCACUCGCUGGGCAUCCCUGACUAUGGUGCUCAAGAUCGGCUGUCGAACCCUUUCGGCGGGUCAGCCUGCGACCUCUCGAGGCUUUCGUGGGUGCGUACCUUGGCUUACAAGGGAAGGAAGAGGCCGUGGCGGCUCGCCUUUCUGCCCGUUGGGCGCGUCUUUUCAGGGAGGAGCAGUUGCGACACUGUAUCGGCGCAGAAUUCGUAGCGCCCCGUCUGUGAGAGGAAAAGGACCGUUAGGCGGCGCAUUUAUGGGGGGACUUACCUCAUUUAUCGGAUCUGUCCGUUGGUGGUCGUCGUCUAUAAAUAUCCUGUAGCCUGGUUGCUGUUCCCCCUUCCGCCUUCUGCCUCCAUUCUUGCCUUAGCUCCCUUGCCAUCUCACGCGCACGCACCCCUUCGAGUAGCAGCGAAUCCGCCUUCCUUCCACCCAAAGAUGCCUGUGAGACUCGUCGCCGCCGACGAAUGGCGCCCGUCAUCGAUGACGGAGCGCCGGUUGCUGGAGCUCGAGAGGGAGGGACUCCUGCGCCACCGCACAUCGUUGUCGUCGCCGGAGUGGAUUGCACCGCCGGCGGACCACCGGGAGCCCAGGCUGCCCAAGGGCUACGUGGUUUCGUUCGCCAAGUUCCAUCGCCACGGCUUGGGCGCCCCCCCGAGUCGCUUCAUGCGGGCGCUCUGCCACCACUACGGGGUGGAGCUUCAGCACUUCUCCCCAAAUGCCAUCACCGUCGCGGCGGUCUUCGCCGCGGUGUGUGAGUGCUAUUUGGGGAUGAUGCCCCACUGGGAUCUGUGGCUCCACCUCUACAGGGGCGAGCUCUUCAACGCCCCCACCGGGACCACAGGCGUGAGGAAACCCGUACGGGCGGGGUGCCUCAACCUUGUGCUGAAGACGGGGAAGACAGAGAGGCCACGCGAGUACAUCCCGGUGGGAUUGUCAUCGAACCAUGCCGGAUGGGACUCCCAGUGGUUCUACCUGAGGAACGACGAUGGUCUCCUUCCGACCUACACCGGCCGCCUGAUCACGGAGCGCCCGGAGAACUGGACGUACGGCGUCGUCCAAGUUCAUCAGUCGCGGCUUGACCCCCUCCUCGACGCCUUGAAGAAACUACGUGUGGAGGGUCUGUCCGCCGCUCUCGUCCUCUCGGCCGUCCAUCAUCGGAGUAUUCUCUCGUUGAUGUCUCUGCCACUGAGGAUGGAUGAGAUGGGUCCCGGCGUUUCGUCCCGAGACCUCGAGGCGUGCCGGAUGUCCAACGAGGCUCCGGCGGACGACGAGGUCGUGGCCCGGGUCAGGGCGGCCGUCGCCGGCGACUUCUGGCCAGAGCACGUCAACGGCUUCCCCAUGAGGCCUGAUGUGGCUUGUAAGUUCUUUCUUUGCGUAUGGCUUUGAUUCUGGAUUUCCUUCAACCCCCUUUUUAAGCCCAUCCUUGCUCUCGCAGAGACCGAUCGACGUUCGGUCCUCGAGGCCUCCAGUAAAGGAGGACGGGGUCGACCGUGACAAGCGGCGCCAGUCCGCUGAGAAACAGAAGUCCGCCAAGGACUCAGAGAAGAAAGAGAAGAAGAAUCUCGACCGCCAAUCGUUAGAGGCACGUCGAGCCAAGGCCAGGCAAAGGGGGGAGCCUGAAGAAGAAUCCCCUAGCGAGGAUGACGGCGGUGACAGCGAUGACAGCAGCGACGACUCUGAGGGGAUGGUGUCCCGGCUUGACAGGAUCCUUGAGGGUCCGCCUCGUGCCGACGCUGAUGUCCCGCGAACGGGAGCGCCAAAGGAGGGACCAGGCGGGUCUCUUGAGAGGUAGCUGAGGGAGUCGUCCCCCCGCCGCUCCCGUGCCGAUGUCCCUCCCGCACCGGCUCAUAGCCGGUCCGUCCCGCACCCCCAACCUCCCCCUGCGCCAAAGGCGGGCAACCGGGCCAAGCCCUAGGCGACGGGGCCAUUGACCCGUGGCCGUGCUGCGGCCUCCGGCAAGGGGGAAACAAGCCGUAGGAGCGCUAGCCUUGGCGCUCGCCAGGGGGGAGACGCCGAGCAGAGGCCGGCGCCCGCUCGUGAGGGGCCUGGAGCCUUGACGCGGGGUGGUUCGAGGCCCACCAGUCGAGGUACCGGUCGGCGAGCCGUCCUCCCUGUGGGGUAAGGUCUUCGACACUAUGAUUUUCAUCUUCCCAAGUCAUCGUGUUCUAUUCAUGUAAUAGCUUCUUUCAUGCCCGUUCAGGUUGAAGCGGACGCUCGAGCAGGCCCAACCCUCGUUGGCCAAAAGGCUCAAAGUGGGAGCGGCCUCCAAGGAUUCAAGUUAGCAGCUUAUUCCCGUUGUUAUGGGAUUUGUGUUGCUCUUAUGUCGACCACCAUGAUGACUGACCUUUGUUUUGCGUUUUAUAGGCUCCUCCGACCCUCGACCACCAACUAGCGCCGAGAACGCCCCGCCCCGUCCCCUGGUGGGUGAGUCCGCCCCGUCGUCGCCAAAGCGGGUCGAGGCACCUCACCAUCAAGGGUAGGAGGGAGCCCCCGAGCCCCCCCGAUCUGGGGUCGAGGGGGAUCCUAUCACCAUAAGUGAUGGGUCUGGCGGCGACGGGACUUCGAGGGAUGCCUGUCCUAUGGACGAGGAGGCCCAGACUUCUCUCGUCACGAGACGGACGCCGUGGUCUGCCGGGCUUCGCUCCAUCGAGGAGCAGAGGAAGAAAGAGGAGGAGGAGCGUGAGCAGGAGACGCGGCAGCAGCCACAGGAGCAGGACCGUCAACAGGAGCCGUAGGAGCUCCAGGAGCAGCAGUAGCAGGGAGCCAGCAGCUGGCGGAACCGCUUGAUCCGCCCCAACCAGAGCCGGUAGCGCCACAGGAGCCUGGAAACCAGGAGGAGGGCUUGCCAGUUUUUGGUCCUCCGACCCCGGCGUGGCUCCGUCCGGGGGCGCCUGCCGCGAUCCCAGCAGAGUUGGGGCAGGCGGACGGCCUGGUGGUGCUCGCCUGCAUGAUGCAUACUCCAGUCGACCCGAGUCUGAGAUCAGGAGGACGAUCUACAGUAUGGAUGGAAUCGCUUCGGGGUUCCUCCAGGGGCGUCGAUCAUGGGAGGAGCGCGUCCCCGCCGAGGAAGAUGAGAUCGGGACGUCGGGUGGCAGUGGCGGCAGCGAGACUGGGACGUGGAAGAUGGUGGAUGACGACGGGCGGUUCCCUUCUCUCGUCGACCUGUUCCUGCGCCACGGGGGGUCUCUCAAAACCGUCGAGAAGCUCGUCCGAGGCGUCAAGGCGUGCGCCGACCGGGAGAUGGAGAACUGGUGUCCCGACCGGAUCCGCAUCCGGGCUUCCACCGAUUCGUCCGAACCCAAUAUCUUUUUGGACGACCGGAAGGAGGCCGAGAAGUGGGAGCACAUUGAGGAGCUUCGCCUGUGGAUGCAGCACACGGUGGGGCUCCUGUCUGACGUGGUUAACAAUAGGCUCGCUCCGGCUUACUUUGUAAGUGUUUUUUCAGUCCUUAAUCCUUAUAGAACAUUUGGUAUUGUGUUCUAACUGCUCGACCACCGGCUCGGAGGACCUAAAAGAGACCUCCCGCAUUAAGUCGAGCUUCAUCCACGCCAUGAGAGGCGGCUCGGAGCAACUCCCCAUCCUCAAGCAUAAACUCCUGGAGUCGCAGGAGAAGCUCCUCAAGGCCUACAAGGAGCUCUUGGCACUCGAGGAGGAGAAGAAGGAGAGGGAGGCUGCUCUGGUCGAGGCUCAGGAGGUCACGACGAGAGCUAUGGAAGAGGCUAUGCUCCUGAGGGAGCGAGCCAUGAUGGUCGAAGAAGUCGCAUCCAAAGCCCGAGAGGAGGCCCUGUCCUAUAAGAACGUCGUUGCUGACCUGGACAAGGAGAAGGGCCUCCUCAAGACUGACCUAGACUCCAUCCGAGAAUCCUUCCAGAGGAUGAAGGCGGAGUGUGUGAACAGCGAGAUCGCCAGGAGCGCCGCGGAGGAGGCAAAGAAGAAGGCCCUCGAAGACCUCGAGGCGGAGCGGGCUCGAUCCCACAACCUUUCUGACGACGUCGAUCGUCUGAAGAGAGUGCUGCUGGAAAAUGAUUGGGCCAUCGUGCAAGCCAGCAAGGCGAUCGAAGAUCUGCGUGUCGCCAACACCGAGCUGGCGUGCUCCAACAGGGAGGUCGAGAGGGCCAACACCAACUUGGUUGGCGAGAACACGACUCUGGAGGAGAGCAUCCGUGGUACGUUUCUAUUGUAAAGUUUCUUUUUUGAGGUGUGCUUGGUGUUAUAUAAUUUCUUCAUGUUGGUCCUUGCAGGACUCAAGGAUGAGCUGCUGGCCGCCAAAGUCGAGGCCCGCUCCAUCAAGACCCAGCUUGAGGGGGAGGUCACCUUGAACGGACGUCUACGGACUGCGAUAAGCGACCUCUCGGCCUCCUGGGAGCUCGAGCCUAUUGACGAGUCGAGGGAGGAGGCUCGAGGCAACGCACUCGUCGACCAGCUAUGCUACCUUGGAGCUACGCUGAGGGACUGGGUGCAGGAUGCUCUUCACGUCGCAGUGAAGCGGGCGAUGGCGGUAGUCUGCUCGUGCUUUUCUUAUGACAUGGAGGUGGUGUCCUACGGCUUCGUCACCGACAUCUCCAAGACUGACGCGGAGAACGAGGAGAGGCUCCACGCCUUGAUCGACGACGCAGAGGUUCCUGGGGAGAGGUUGGCUAAGUUGUUCGAGCCAGAAGUACUUCCUCCUGAGACUAGCUCAGGCGCGGGCGAGGAUGGUGAGGGCCGAGACGCGGACUACGGCUUCGUGAACGAGGCUGAGAAAAAGGUGCAAAUCAUACAGCAGCAUAUGAAGGCGGCACAAUCGCGACAAAAGAGUUAUGCUGGUAAGAGAAGAAGGCCGCUCGAAUUCAAUAUAUGUGACUAUGUUUACCUCAAGGUUACGCCAUUGAAGAAAGUUCAGCGUUUCCGAGUUCGAAGCAAGCUUGCACCCAGAUAUGUGGGACCGUAUCAGAUACUAGAAAGAAAAGGCCCUGUAGCCUACAAGAUUCAGUUACCUGAAGAGUUGAGUUCAAUCUUCCCAGUCUUCCAUGUGUCGCAGCUACGGAAAUGUUUGAAAGUACCCGAGCAGGGGAUUGAACCCCGACGAAUCAAGAUAAAGGCAGAUUUGGAAUACAAGGAACAACCAGUGGGUAUCAUAGAUACCAAGGAGCGGGUAACCCGGAAUAGAGUUGUCAAGACUUACAAGGUGGUGUGGAGUCAUCACGACAAUAGAGAUGCAACCUGGGAAUCCGAGGAUUACCUAAAAACAGUUUAUCCAAAAUUUCAUAAGAAAUGGUUAGUAACCCAAAAUCUCGGGACGAGAUUUCCCUAAGGGGGGAAGGGCUGUAACACCCUAGGUGUUAAGCAUGCACUUAGUCUCAUAAACUCAUCCAUAAGCAUUAUCAUCAAGCAUAGCAUUGCAUGAACAUGUCCUUCAUUCAAUUGUGAUUUUAUGUGCUUUGUUUUAUGUGAAUUAAAUAUGGUAAAAAUAUUAUGCUUACUUCUAAAUUUCUUGAAAUGCCCAAAUUAGGUUGAAAUAUGUGUUAGAAGAUUUAAGAGGAAUUUUAUGAAAUCUUUGGAGCUAUAAGAAUUGAGAAAUGGAAUUUAUACAAAAAUUCCUAAAAUGAAUUUAUUAAAAACCUAGAACUAGUUUUAAUUUGUGAUUCAAAUUCUAUUUGGAAUUUGGCUUUGCUUAUUAAGACAACGUUGUAGGGAAUUUUAUGGGGAACAAUUCUUCUUUUUACUCCAACCCCUAAAAAGAUUUGUAAAAGCUUCAAAAAGCCUCAUUUAAGCUUUUGGGAAAAUAAUUUCAAAAAAAAAGAAUAGAAAAAGGGGCAGGCGCUGCUGGGCCGACCCGCCUCCCUUUCGGCCCAGCGAGACAGCGUGGCUCGGUUUCCCCUCCCUCUCUCUCCCGCGCGCGGACGCCCGCCUUCGUCCACCCGACGCCGGCCACGUGGCGUGUAACAUCCCUGAUGUUACGGUUACUAAAAACGGAUCAUGUCAUCAUAAGCAUUGCAAACCAUAAUUGUUAAAGCACAGUAGUAUGCAUCAACUUAAAAUAAGCUUACUUUGAUUGCUUGAGCUUAGGGAAGUAGAGUGUGCUUCUGUGGUGUGUUGUUGCUUGUGUGGUUGCUAAAACCCUAGGGUAAAAGAUUUCCGAGAAAAUGGGGGGGGAAAACCCUGAUUUCUGGAUCCUAGAUUUGUCCCCUUUUGCUUAAGUCAAAAACUAAGCAAAAUUUGAGGUUGAGUUCAAAAGCAAAGUUGUAGCUCUUGGCAAGAUGUACAACUUUGGUGUUUUGAGUUUUUGAAGUUUCAAUACAAAAUUCAAAGUAAUUUUGAAAAUACAGAUUUCCAGAAAGUGUCCCCUUUUCCAACUUAAAUCCCCAAUUCAAAAUCCAUUUGGAAUUUUUAAAAGUGGUCAACAUGAAAGUUGUAGAGCACAAAAAGUUGAGCAACUUUCAUGUUGGGAGUUUUUCAAGUUGUUAUACAAAAUCAAAAGUAAUUUUGGAAAUUCUGUUUUGCCCCAAUUCAAAAAUUUGGAAUUUCUUUGAUUUGAGUUUGAUUUUCAAACUGUUUGGCCAAAUUCACCCUGUUACACUAAAAAUCAGCUCUGGUCACCAAAACAUGAUUUGUAGCUUACAAAAUUUGGAACAACUUUUGUUUUGACACAAAUUUGACUCCAGUUCAAAUUUCGGCUGAAUUUUACAAAGUUCAGAAAAGAGGGGAUAAGGGUCUGCUACAGUGACCCGAUAGGGAUCACUGGCUCCCUGUCCAGCGCGGCCGCCGUGCGCGCAGCACCGCGAGCGCCCGUGCGGGCACGCAGCUGCCUGCUUGCCUGCGUCGCCAGGCAACGUGGACGCCCUGGGCUCAUCUCCUUCUCCCCUUUGAGCACCAGCGUAGGCGCCGCCGCGCGUUUCCUCCGUCCUGAGCCAGAGAACCCCGACGAGCUCCCUUCUUCAAUUCACCAUAACCACUCCUUCCCGAGCCAAAUUGAGCAACCCAGCGUCUUCGCCACCUUCUUGCGAACCCAGUGCACCCCUAAGCUCCCUCUCUAACCCCCUCAAGCGCCCGAGCUCCUCCCUCCUCUCCAACUCCGGCCGAGACCGCCGCCGCGGAGCUCUUCCCGUGGCCACGGUGUUCCAGUGAGUAUCACACCCCGCUGGCGACUGUUUCAAGUUCCUUCCGUGCCCCGGUUGCUCAUGCUCUCGCUCCUUCUCCUUGAAUGUGAGCAGGAUCGCCGGAAUAAGUUUGCCGGAGCCAGAGCUCCCGCCCGACGACACUGCUUCCGUCGCCAGCGGCUUCAGCUGCUUCUCCGAGCCUUGCAGCGUGAGCACCACCCUCCCCAACCCCUAUGGAAGCUCGCUCGGCCGUCGGCUUGCACUCUAUCGGGCCCUAGCGGCCGGCCGAGGGUCGGCCAUGGCGGCUGCCCGCCCUUCUCGUGACCGAGGUGGAAGAAGUAGGGUAGAGCGUGGGUAGGGGGUGUCCACGGUGUCGCGGAGUUGAAGUGAAGCCGAUGCGCACGCGCACUCCGGCCGAGACCCUCGCCAACGGCGGCCGGAGCUGUGGCCGAACCGCCGUGCGCGGUGAGGACGCAGCUGACGGGUGGGGUCGCCCCGUCAGCGUCCCGCAGAGAGAGGGCCUGACGAGCGGGACCCGCUCGUCAGUGACCGCUCAGAGAGAGAGGGGCAGCGCGCGCAGCGCGGGUGCGGGCCGAGCGCGUGUGGGCCGGCCUGCGGCCCAGUUCCCAGACAGCCCACUGCACUGUGUUUCUUUUCUUUUUCCUUUUUGAUUAAAAUUGCUUGAUGUUUGAAAUUAUGUGAUUAAUUGUGUGCUAAUCCAAAAAUGAUGAAAGUUUUUGUAUAGGUUCCAUAAGGUGGGUAGAACAUAAGAAAAAUAGUGGAUUCUGUUUUCUGGUAGUUUGCAUGUUUGUAAAAAUUUGCUCUUUUAAUUAAUGAAUAAAACUUCUAGGAAUUUUAAUAAUUUAUUUGUAUGUCCAAAAAUCACCGGAAAUUGUGGGGAGCCUCUGAAUAUUAUUCCCUGGCUCCACACAAAAUUUGAUGACAUUUGGAUAAUGUUUGAUUAGAAUACUAAUAAACCCUUAUUUAGUACUUAAGUAAUAAUUCCAAAACCAUUAAAUAAUAAUUAAUUAAAUUCUCAUGAUUAGGGUUGAGUGAUUUUGGGAUUGUGUGAUGACCUGAGGUCAUUAACUCUAAUGACCUCUGGCAGUUAAUUAUUGUUUAGCCUUAAUGCUUAAUUACUGUCAUUAGUAAUUAAUUAAAAAUUAAUUAAGGUAAAUAGGUUUAAUAAUUACUUAAUUUAAGAUAAUUAUGAAUUAAGUAAAGUCUUAGUUUACAGAUGCAACCUCUUAAGUAAAAAUAGUAAGUUAUUAAACAACUUUAUUUAUUAAUUGUUCUGCACUGCAUUGGGUGGGCAAAUUGUACUUAAUUCGGUCCAUCUUGCAUAAUUGCCAUACGCAUAUCAUAAGCAUUCAUCAUCUUGCGUAUAGCGUCCGUGACCGAAGGAGCGCCUGUUGAACCGAACCCCGAGGUCGGUGCUCCGUUCGAGGAAGUCGGAUCCGAGACUUGGGAAGUCUCCGAGGGUCCCUCUCUGCCCUGCAACCAAGGCAAGCCCCGGAUGCAUUAACCCCUCCUUGGAUGUUUUAAAUCUUUUAUCACUUAUGAAUUGAAAAUGCUGCAUUAGAUAGUUGAGAAUUGGGUUAACCUACUUGCUGCAUUUACUACCUUGAUAUCUGUUAUCCUGUCCUUGACACCUGUUUUAUUUUAAAACUGCGUAGCGAUGCUUAGCCCUGCUACUAGAUAGGUUUUCAAACAAGAAAGUUUGAAGGGUUGUUGUGGGAUACACUUAUGAUCAAUGAUGUUUCAAUUUGAGACCGGUCGGUGGACUUGCUCUAAGAAUGGAGUCUUAAAGUAGUGUCUCCGACUGUGUUGAUUAAGGACCGUUCCGUUGAUGGCCUGCUGGGUUGAGAAUUUAUAGUACUAGCCACUUGCCUUCGGUAAGCCCAGUCCUGUGAUCCCUCGACGCGAACAGCUACUCGCGCACUGGGAGUGGAAAGAUGGCGAGAGUAGUGUGUACCCACCUUACGGAUCUGAGAUGACCGGAAAACAUCUAGAUCGGCUGUAGGAUGGUGGAGUACUGUACUCUCGGGUGCCGCGAACCUGGUCAAAUUUGGGGAGAGCUUGAUUUGGGUUGACAUAUGCAAGAUUUGGUUCUACAUAUGUCGGGUGGUUAGGAACUCCAGCUGGAUUGCUAAGCGAUUCGAAUCGUCGUUGCUCCCCGAUUGGGAGACUCAAUUCCUUCGACCCUCAUCGUAGUUAAAUAUGCAACUAAGUGAUAAAAUGAGAAAAGGGAAAAUGUCUCAUGAGGUUCGGAUCCCAAUUCCCGGACUCAUAGCGACAUGAAGCUAUGACCAUCAAUAAAUAAUACUUAAUGAUAGGACUAGGAACUCACGGAUUCGUCUGUGGGGAACAACCAGUUAGACUAUCCUCGAAUUCCUCUGCCUCUGCGAGGGAGGAAUUCGGAGUAAAACCUGAAAAUAAGGAUGCACUACUAGUAAGCUUUUACGCAAAACACUUUGGCUCCUUGCUCAGCCACCCCUUGUCUACCCUAAGCCUGCAUCCCUAAAUUCUCCUCUUUUUCCCGUCGGAUAAGUCUUGUUGAGUACUCCCGUACUCAGGGUUUCAAUACCCCUGUUGCAGGUGAAGUUCAGGAGCCGACUUGUUUCGGACCCUGUUGUGUGACCGUCGUCGAGGUUGACGACGAAGAAGAGUGAGCGCGACCCAUGGGCAGGGUCUGUAAAUUUGUUCUGUCUGUACUAAAGUUUCAGUUGCUCCGCUGGACCAGACUUGUAAUAACACUCUACUAUUUGGAAGAACUCCUUUUAUAGAUUAAGUUAUGUAAUACUUCCGCUGUUUUACUCUGAAAUAUUAUUUUGGUCUUGUGUCGUUGAGUUACUGCUUUAUCUUCGCAACGAAUGAUCCUGGUGUUAAGGUGGCCACUUGCUAUCCUGUAAGGGCGAGAAGAAACAGUUCUCGUUGUUUGACCAUUACCAGUGGUCAGGACGAGCCAGCUUGGUACGCCACAGGUAGCAGUGGAAUGAGCGCCCAGCAAUGCUCAUCGGACUUCUAAAGUGGGAGGACUCCCGGCAUCACCGUCAGAGGUCCUUAGGACAAUGGCAGGUGUCGGUGGGCCCAAACACUUAGGAGGUUCUGCCACAGCUGGUAUCAGAGCAUUCGUUGCUAAGAUGACUGCUGAACCUUUUGAAAAUCAUCAAAAAAAUUCGUUUGGAACUAAUACUAUGAACCUGCUUAUUUUGAGUCCAAGUGCUUAGUCCUAACCUACCCCUGUCUAUAGGUUUUCUUAGAAUUUUUGAAGUGGUUUGGAGGAGCAACCUAAGGUAUUGCCCUAUGUUGUAAAAGUUUAAAGUAAUAUCGUUACGAAUUGUUAGUAGGAAUCGUAAGUUCGUGCAUGCAUCAUGAUGUAUUAACUGAUUAAGUUCCUUCCUCCUUGUUGGGUUGAGCGAAUAGAAUCAAUCCUAUUCUUGCUAACCUUUAAGGUCUCUCUUACUAAUCUAAACUUACCCUCUACAGGAUGGCUCGUCAGAAGCAGACCCCGCGUAAGCGGACUGGUCCAAAAGGAGUUCCCCGACAUCAGCUAGCUCCACGCAGUGAUCAAGCCAGUAGUAGCCGCACACCGCCUCAACAGGAGGUGGACAGGUUGUCCGCCGAGUUGACUGAGGUGAUGAGAGAGAGAAUGUACAAUGUUAUGGAGAUUGGCAAACUUAAAGCUCAACUGGCCAAAGAAAAACGAGCUACAGAAAAUUGUGAAGCUAUGUUGUCCCGGAUGGUGGAGGAGCGGAAUGCAGCCAUUGCCCGAGAGGAAGAAGCUAGGAGCACCCAUAGGCAUGAGCUAACUAGGAUGAACGCAAAGUUGGGCAAGGCAAAGUAUCUUAAGGAUUUGUAUGUGAAGAUGGCGGCCACGGUCACCGCACAACGGGAUGUCGCGUGGCAACGAGAGGACCAGCUCCAGCUGGAGAAACUGGAGCUGGCACAUCACUUAGAUACAGUCAAUGAUCUGGCUAUGCAAUAUCGUGAUAUUGCGUUUGAUCUGUAUCAUCAACUCCACCCACCUCCCGGCGAAGGAGAAAUGGAUACGGAUGGCGAGCUGGCAGACGAUGGAGAACCCGAUCCAGGCCUCAGUGAUGAAGAGGAGUCCGACCCCGAUGACCACAACCCAGGGGGUAAUCAAGAUGAUGACAAUGACGACCCGGGCUACAGUUCUGGCCACACCGAUUAGUUCGGUGAAACCGAGGGCAACGUCGUUGUAGGGGUCUUAGCUUGCCGUAGUGGGGUUCGGGUUUGUAAUAUAAGUUCUCUUUUGGUUUGAAAAGUUGUACCUGUUUACUUUUGGUGUGUAUCUAACUAAUGUUUAAUAAGUGAAUGUAAGAUAUGUUCUGUGUUAUGAAUUCUGCGUGGUAACAGGUAUCUACGAUUCUUGUAACAGAUGCCGAUGCGUACUCGCGGAUCCAAUGGAGCUGGGACAUCCCAGGGAGGGGAUGAUAUCCCCAACCCUCCACCUGCUCCACCUUCUUUGGCUGACGCCAUUGCUGUCUUGCUAAGUGCCACAACUGACAAUGCUCGCUUGCUGCGCGAGCUAGCACAGCGUCAAACACACUCUGCUCCAAACAUCAGAGCACCGCGCAACGGGGACGGAGAGACUCGGUAUGUAGAUUUUACCGAGACCAGGCCCCCGGUGUUCACUAAGGCCGAUGAGCCUUUAGAAGCGGAUGACUGGCUCCGAACUAUGGAGCAUAAGUUCAGUUUAAUUCAGUGUUCAGAAACUCAGAAACCCUUAUUUGCAGCUCAGCAACUUCGGGGAGCUGCAGGUGCCUGGUGGGAGAACUUCUUAGCUAUUCAAGCUCCCGGACACCAAGUUACCUGGACGGAGUUUAGGGACGCGUUUCGCGCCCACUACAUCCCCGAAGGGCUCAUGGCCAUGAAGGCCGAAGAGUUUCUCGCCUUGCAGCAAGGCGAUAAAAGUGUUAUGGAAUACGUGGCAAGGUUUAAUCAUCUCUCUCAAUAUGCCACGGAUCAUGUGAACACUGACAGAAAGAGGAAAGCCUGUUUCAUGCGUGGUCUAAAUACUAAACUUCAGACCAUGAUGACCACUUGCCAAAAUGCUACUUUCUAUGAGGCGGUAAAUAUUGCUAUCGCCUCAGAGGAAAAGAAUAGGAAACAUAAGGAAGCCAAGAAGAAGGCUGCUUCCUCUUCUUUCUCUGGUCGCGGUCAAAAGCGCCAGAGGAUCAUUUAUCAUCCACAGGGCCACGGACGUUUCCAAGCGCCGUCAUAUUAUCGUGGUCCUUUCUCCCCUCCACAGUACAGACCCGGGCAGCAGGUAUAUUCUCGACCUACUGCCCUCGCUUUUGCACCACGCCAGCCGAACGCCCCGGGUGUUCGCCCUACUGCUCCGCCCAGCCACAAUUACCCUUGCUUCAAUUGUGGUAAACCUGGGCAUUUCUCUAAAGAGUGCCCUUUUCCCCGUCAAACCAACCCUACCUUUCCAAGGCCACCUAUGGGCCAACCCCAGCCGGGUCAGUUCAGAACUGGGGUUCAAAAAGGGCAACAGGUACAGAAAGGUAGACCGGUAAAGAAGACAGGGCAAGUCUUCCAUACUGAAGUGGAGACAAUUCCAGAGGGUGAACCAGUGAUGAUGGGUACGUUUCCUGUUGCGAAGCAUCCUGCUUUAAUGCUCUUUGAUUCUGGUGCAUCCCAUACAUUUAUCAAUCGCACCUUUGUGUUAAAGCAUGGCAUACCCAUUGGGGAAACACAAGAUCAUUUUUAUAUACAGUCGCCAGGAGGACGGCUGAUGUCUAAAGAAAUGGUUCACCAAGUACCCAUUGAAUUUGGUGGGCACAAUUUUCCUACUAGUAUGAUUGUUCUUAAGGACCAAGAAAUUGAUGUCAUUUUAGGCAUGAACUGGAUGGCGCAACGAGGGGUUGUGCUAGACACUUUGCACCGAACCAUUAAAAUCCCAUUGCCCAAUGAGAGUUCUUAUUUGCUAAUCCAAUUAGUUACUCCCAAACGGACAAUUGGGCAAGUUCAUGCCGCUAAUGUGUCUGAAGUUAAAGAUAUCCCGGUAGUUCACGAUUUCCCGGAUGUAUUUCCUGAAGAUUUACCAGGUCUGCCUCCGGACCGGGAUGUACAAUUUAGUAUAGAAUUGAAACCAGGAACGGCCCCAAUAUCUCGAAGGGCCUACAGAAUGGCACCGAAAGAGCUGGCCGAAUUAAAAACCCAAUUACAAGAGUUGUUGCAGAAGGGUUUUAUUCAGCCUAGUUCUUCUCCAUGGGGUUGCCCAGCCUUGUUUGUGAAGAAAAAGGAUCAGACAUUAAGGCUGUGUGUUGACUAUCGUCCUCUGAAUGAGGUAACGAUUAAAAACAAGUACCCAUUGCCCCGCAUUGACUUAUUGUUUGACCAGUUAGCUGGGGCCAAAGUGUUCUCAAAAAUUGAUUUGAGAUCAGGGUACCAUCAAAUUAAAAUUAGGCCGGAAGAUUUGCCCAAGACUGCUUUCACAACCCGUUACGGGUUGUAUGAAUACUUGGUGAUGUCUUUUGGGUUGACUAACGCACCGGCCCAUUUUAUGUACCUGAUGAACUCUGUCUUCAUGCCAGAACUAGAUAAAUUUGUGGUCGUCUUCAUCGAUGACAUCUUGAUUUACUCCAAAACUAAGAAGGAGCAUGCUGAACACUUGAGAAUCGUGCUGACCCGUCUCAGGGAGCACCAGCUAUAUGCCAAAUUCAGCAAAUGUGAGUUCUGGCUGGACAAAGUUCAUUUCCUGGGUCAUGUAUUAUCAGCGGAAGGAGUCGCUGUAGACCCAGGCAAGGUAGAAGAUGUAUUGAAUUGGAAACCCCCGACUACGGUACAUGAGGUCCGUAGUUUUCUGGGCAUGGCGGGAUAUUACCGUCGUUUUAUCCCGGACUUUUCCAGAGUCGCCAAACCAAUCACAACCUUGCUCAAAAGUCAAACAAAAUUUGUUUGGUCACCCCAAUGUGAGCAAGCUUUUCAGACUCUGAAAAGGUUGUUGACAACUGCACCUGUCUUAGCCCAGCCAGAUAUUGAAAAACCCUUUGAUGUAUAUUGUGACGCAUCAGGAAUCGGGUUAGGCUGUGUGCUGAUGCAGGAGGGUCGCGUAAUUGCAUAUGCUUCCAGGCAACUCAAACCUCAUGAAGAGAAUUACCCGACCCAUGAUCUCGAACUAGCCGCCGUGGUACAUGCAUUGAAGAUCUGGCGUCAUUAUUUGUUGGGAAACACAUGUCAUCUAUAUACAGAUCACAAAAGCUUGAAGUAUAUCUUUACUCAAGCUGAGCUUAAUAUGCGCCAGCGAAGGUGGCUAGAACUAAUCAAAGAUUACGACCUUGAGGUGCAUUAUCACCCUGGCAAGGCAAAUGUAGUAGCGGAUGCCCUCAGUCGUAAGGCUCACUGUAAUUGCUUAACAGUGAAGCCUAGGGAUAUAACUUUGUGCCAAGAGCUAGAGAACAUGGGAAUAGAAAUGAUUUCCCAAGGAAGCCUUUCCAAUUUAAAGAUUGAUUUCAAUCUCGAGGCUCAAAUCAUAAAGGCACAAAAAGAAAACAAAGGCAUGAGACAUCUUAAAGAGAAGGUUUUUAAUAGAGCACUCACAGACUUUAAGGUGGAUGAUGCGGGAGUAAUCUGGUUCAAGAACCGGUUAGUGGUUCCAAAGGUACCUGAGCUACGUCAGCAAAUCCUGGAUGAAGCUCAUGCCACGAGGUAUUCCAUUCAUCCGGGAAGCAAUAAGAUGUAUCAGGACCUGAAGCAAAGGUUUUGGUGGACAAAAAUGAAGAUAGAAAUAGCUCGCUAUGUGGCCCAAUGUGACACCUGUCGAAAGGUCAAAGCCAUUCAUCUCAAAUCCGCUGGGGAGUUGCAACCUUUGCCUAUCCCCGCAUGGAAAUGGGAUGACAUAAGUAUGGAUUUCAUAGUAGGAUUGCCCAAGACGGCCAAGGGCUUUGAUUCCAUUUGGGUCAUAGUAGAUCGUCUCACCAAAACAGCACAUUUUCUGCCGGUAAAGCUAUUGUAUCCUGCCUCCACCUAUGCUAAGAUUUAUUUUGACCGUAUUCUAAGUCUGCAUGGAGUGCCAAAGACAAUAGUGUCAGAUAGAGGCACACAAUUUGUCUCCCAAUUCUGGAGAUGUUUACAUGAGUCCUUGGGCACUAAGCUUUUAUACAGCACAGCCUACCACCCUCAAACCGGUGGGCAAACUGAAAGGGUAAAUCAAACCCUAGAAGAUCUAUUAAGAUCUUGUGCCCUGAAUUUUCCAGAUAAGUGGGAUGACUGCUUGCCUCUAGCAGAAUUUUCCUACAAUAAUAGCUAUCAAGAGAGUAUCAAAAUGGCUCCCUUUGAGGCACUGUAUGGUCGCCGAUGUCGAACUCCGUUACACUGGUCAGAACCUGGAGAAAGAUGGUUCUUCGGAGUUGAUUUAGUGAAAGAGACUGAGAACAAAGUAAAACAAAUCCAAAAUAACUUGAAAGUUGCUCAGUCCCGACAGAAAAGUUACGCUGAUAAAAGACGUCGACCAUUAAAGUUCGCCAAAGGUGAUCAUGUGUAUUUGAAAGUAUCCCCAAUGAAAGGAGUAAACCGUUUUGGUGUUAAAGGCAAGUUAGCGCCUCGUUACAUUGGUCCAUUUCCAAUUAUUGACCGAUGUGGGCAAGUCGCUUACCGCCUUAAACUGCCCGAACGAUUAUCCGGGGUACAUAAUGUGUUCCAUGUGUCUCAACUGAAAAAGUGUCUUCGGGUACCAGAUCGAGUUCAAGAUAUUGAAGAUGUAAAGCUUGAACCAGAUCUAACUUAUUCGGAAUAUCCUAUCCGAGUACUGGAUCAAAAAGCUAGAGUUACUCGAAGGACAACCACUAAAUGGUAUAAAGUACAGUGGAGCCAGCACUCUGAAGAAGAAGCCACAUGGGAAUCUGAAGAUUACUUGUUAGAGAAUUUUCCUGAAUUCUAUGCAUCUCUUCAGGACAAUAUAUGAUAACCAGAGAAUGUACUCUAGUGAAGAAAAAGAGUUACCAAAGCCAUGUACUUAAUGUACCUAUAUGCAUAUAGUGAAGUAUUUUCCCCAACUCCUUGCCUUAUGGAAAAGUUGAAGAUGAAAGAGUUUUGACAAAUUUCCUUUUCCAUUACUUACCCUAAGGUUUUAAAUCUCGGGGACGAGAUUUCUUUAAGGGGGAAGGGCUGUAACAUCCCUGAUGUUACGGUUACUAAAAACGGAUCAUGUCAUCAUAAGCAUUGCAAACCAUAAUUGUUAAAGCACAGUAGUAUGCAUCAACUUAAAAUAAGCUUACUUUGAUUGCUUGAGCUUAGGGAAGUAGAGUGUGCUUCUGUGGUGUGUUGUUGCUUGUGUGGUUGCUAAAACCCUAGGGUAAAAGAUCUCCGAGAAAAUGGGGUGGGAAAACCCUGAUUUCUGGAUCCUAGAUUUGUCCCCUUUUGCUUAAGUCAAAAACUAAGCAAAAUUUGAGGUUGAGUUCAAAAGCAAAGUUGUAGCUCUUGGCAAGAUGUACAACUUUGGUGUUUUGAGUUUUUGAAGUUUCAAUACAAAAUUCAAAGUAAUUUUGAAAAUACAGAUUUCUAGAAAGUGUCCCCUUUUCCAAUUUAAACCCCCAAUUCAAAAUCCAUUUGGAAUUUUUAAAAGUGGUCAACAUGAAAGUUGUAGAGCACAAAAAGUUGAGCAACUUUCAUGUUGGGAGUUUUUCAAGUUGUUAUACAAAAUCAAAAGUAAUUUUGGAAAUUCUGUUUUGCCCCAAUUCAAAAAUUUGGAAUUUCUUUGAUUUGAGUUUGAUUUUCAAACUGUUUGGCCAAAUUCACCCUGUUACACUAAAAAUCAGCUCUGGUCACCAAAACAUGAUAUGUAGCUUACAAAAUUUGGAACAACUUUUGUUUUGACACAAAUUUGACUCCAGUUCAAAUUUCGGCUGAAUUUUACAAAGUUCAGAAAAGAGGGGAUAAGGGUCUGCUACAGUGACCCGAUAGGGAUCACUGGCUCCCUGUCCAGCGCGGCCGCCGUGCGCGCAGCACCGCGAGCGCCCGUGCGGGCACGCAGCUGCCUGCUUGCCUGCGUCGCCAGGCAACGUGGACGCCCUGGGCUCAUCUCCUUCUCCCCUUUGAGCACCAGCGUAGGCGCCGCCGCGCGUUUCCUCCGUCCUGAGCCAGAGAACCCCGACGAGCUCCCUUCUUCAAUUCACCAUAACCACUCCUUCCCGAGCCAAAUUGAGCAACCCAGCGUCUUCGCCACCUUCUUGCGAACCCAGUGCACCCCUAAGCUCCCUCUCUAACCCCCUCAAGCGCCCGAGCUCCUCCCUCUUCUCCAACUCCGGCCGAGACCGCCGCCGCGGAGCUCUUCCCGUGGCCACGGUGUUCCAGUGAGUAUCACACCCCGCUGGCGACUGUUUCAAGUUCCUUCCGUGCCCCGGUUGCUCAUGCUCUCGCUCCUUCUCCUUGAAUGUGAGCAGGAUCGCCGGAAUAAGUUUGCCGGAGCCAGAGCUCCCGCCCGACGACACUGCUUCCGUCGCCAGCGGCUUCAGCUGCUUCUCCGAGCCUUGCAGCGUGAGCACCACCCUCCCCAACCCCUAUGGAAGCUCGCUCGGCCGUCGGCUUGCACUCUAUCGGGCCCUAGCGGCCGGCCGAGGGUCGGCCAUGGCGGCUGCCCGCCCUUCUCGUGACCGAGGUGGAAGAAGUAGGGUAGAGCGUGGGUAGGGGGUGUCCACGGUGUCGCGGAGUUGAAGUGAAGCCGAUGCGCACGCGCACUCCGGCCGAGACCCUCGCCAACGGCGGCCGGAGCUGUGGCCGAACCGCCGUGCGCGGUGAGGACGCAGCUGACGGGUGGGGUCGCCCCGUCAGCGUCCCGCAGAGAGAGGGCCUGACGAGCGGGACCCGCUCGUCAGUGACCGCUCAGAGAGAGAGGGGCAGCGCGCGCAGCGCGGGUGCGGGCCGAGCGCGUGUGGGCCGGCCUGCGGCCCAGUUCCCAGACAGCCCACUGCACUGUGUUUCUUUUCUUUUUCCUUUUUGAUUAAAAUUGCUUGAUGUUUGAAAUUAUGUGAUUAAUUGUGUGCUAAUCCAAAAAUGAUGAAAGUUUUUGUAUAGGUUCCAUAAGGUGGGUAGAACAUAAGAAAAAUAGUGGAUUCUGUUUUCUGGUAGUUUGCAUGUUUGUAAAAAUUUGCUCUUUUAAUUAAUGAAUAAAACUUCUAGGAAUUUUAAUAAUUUAUUUGUAUGUCCAAAAAUCACCAGAAAUUGUGGGGAGCCUCUGAAUAUUAUUCCCUGGCUCCACACAAAAUUUGAUGACAUUUGGAUAAUGUUUGAUUAGAAUACUAAUAAACCCUUAUUUAGUACUUAAGUAAUAAUUCCAAAACCAUUAAAUAAUAAUUAAUUAAAUUCUCAUGAUUAGGGUUGAGUGAUUUUGGGAUUGUGUGAUGACCUGAGGUCAUUAACUCUAAUGACCUCUGGCAGUUAAUUAUUGUUUAGCCUUAAUGCUUAAUUACUGUCAUUAGUAAUUAAUUAAAAAUUAAUUAAGGUAAAUAGGUUUAAUAAUUACUUAAUUUAAGAUAAUUAUGAAUUAAGUAAAGUCUUAGUUUACAGAUGCAACCUCUUAAGUAAAAAUAGUAAGUUAUUAAACAACUUUAUUUAUUAAUUGUUCUGCACUGCAUUGGGUGGGCAAAUUGUACUUAAUUCGGUCCAUCUUGCAUAAUUGCCAUACGCAUAUCAUAAGCAUUCAUCAUCUUGCGUAUAGCGUCCGUGACCGAAGGAGCGCCUGUUGAACCGAACCCCGAGGUCGGUGCUCCGUUCGAGGAAGUCGGAUCCGAGACUUGGGAAGUCUCCGAGGGUCCCUCUCUGCCCUGCAACCAAGGCAAGCCCCGGAUGCAUUAACCCCUCCUUGGAUGUUUUAAAUCUUUUAUCACUUAUGAAUUGAAAAUGCUGCAUUAGAUAGUUGAGAAUUGGGUUAACCUACUUGCUGCAUUUACUACCUUGAUAUCUGUUAUCCUGUCCUUGACACCUGUUUUAUUUUAAAACUGCGUAGCGAUGCUUAGCCCUGCUACUAGAUAGGUUUUCAAACAAGAAAGUUUGAAGGGUUGUUGUGGGAUACACUUAUGAUCAAUGAUGUUUCAAUUUGAGACCGGUCGGUGGACUUGCUCUAAGAAUGGAGUCUUAAAGUAGUGUCUCCGACUGUGUUGAUUAAGGACCGUUCCGUUGAUGGCCUGCUGGGUUGAGAAUUUAUAGUACUAGCCACUUGCCUACGGUAAGCCCAGUCCUGUGAUCCCUCGACGCGAACAGCUACUCGCGCACUGGGAGUGGAAAGAUGGCGAGAGUAGUGUGUACCCACCUUACGGAUCUGAGAUGACCGGAAAACAUCUAAAUCGGCUGUAGGAUGGUGGAGUACUGUACUCUCGGGUGCCGCGAACCUGGUCAAAUUUGGGGAGAGCUUGCUUUGGGUUGACAUAUGCAAGAUUUGGUUCUACAUAUGUCGGGUGGUUAGGAACUCCAGCUGGAUUGCUAAGCGAUUCGAAUCGUCGUUGCUCCCCGAUUGGGAGACUCAAUUCCUUCGACCCUCAUCGUAGUUAAAUAUGCAACUAAGUGAUAAAAUGAGAAAAGGGAAAAUGUCUCAUGAGGUUCGGAUCCCAAUUCCCGGACUCAUAGCGACAUGAAGCUAUGACCAUCAAUAAAUAAUACUUAAUGAUAGGACUAGGAACUCACGGAUUCGUCUGUGGGGAACAACCAGUUAGACUAUCCUCGAAUUCCUCUGCCUCUGCGAGGGAGGAAUUCGGAGUAAAACCUGAAAAUAAGGAUGCACUACUAGUAAGCUUUUACGCAAAACGCUUUGGCUCCUUGCUCAGCCACCCCUUGUCUACCCUAAGCCUGCAUCCCUAAAUUCUCCUCUUUUUCCCGUCGGAUAAGUCUUGUUGAGUACUCCCGUACUCAGGGUUUCAAUACCCCUGUUGCAGGUGAAGUUCAGGAGCCGACUUGUUUCGGACCCUGUUGUGUGACCGUCGUCGAGGUUGACGACGAAGAAGAGUGAGCGCGACCCAUGGGCAGGGUCUGUAAAUUUGUUCUGUCUGUACUAAAGUUUCAGUUGCUCCGCUGGACCAGACUUGUAAUAACACUCUACUAUUUGGAAGAACUCCUUUUAUAGAUUAAGUUAUGUAAUACUUCCGCUGUUUUACUCUGAAAUAUUAUUUUGGUCUUGUGUCGUUGAGUUACUGCUUUAUCUUCGCAACGAAUGAUCCUGGUGUUAAGGUGGCCACUUGCUAUCCUGUAAGGGCGAGAAGAAACAGUUCUCGUUGUUUGACCAUUACCAGUGGUCAGGACGAGCCAGCUUGGUACGCCACAGGUAGCAGUGGAAUGAGUGCCCAGCAAUGCUCAUCGGACUUCUAAAGUGGGAGGACUCCCGGCAUCACCGUCAGAGGUCCUUAGGACAAUGGCAGGUGUCGGUGGGCCCAAACACUUAGGAGGUUCUGCCACAUGGCGGCCGUACGUCGGUGUCAUGGACGCGCCCCGGCUGACUGGCCUUAACCUGGUCAGAACGCCGCCCCGCGCCCCCUAGGCCACUCCAUUCUGUCCCCUCCCCGCUCCCCACUCCUUCCUCCGCUCGCGAGCGCCGCAGCCGUAGCAGCUCCGCCGCAGCGCCAUCGCCGGAGAGCUCCGCCGCUCACCGCCGGCCACACCAGUGACCUAUCCUCGGCGCCGAAACCACCACUGCACUCAUCUUUACCGUGGUAAGCUUCUGCGCACGCUCUACCGAGGUGAGACACCGCCGCAUGCCGUGAAUCGCUCGCCGGAGUUUCCAUGACCUCGUCGGAGUGCUCCGCUGCGUCGUACCUUGCUCGUUUCUGUCUCGUUUCGCUUGCUUUUAGCCGCGUUAGGUCCGUAGCUCGACGGGGAAGCCUCGACGGAACUCCGCGCGCGCUCUAGCGCACCGGAGCGGCCUGGCCACGGCGAGCAGCGCCGCCGUGCCGCCAUGCAUGCUCGCGAGGGUGCUCCGGGCGUCUUCCGGCCGAUCCAAGAGCACCCUUGGGUGCGCCGCGCUGCGGGGAGCAUGAUGGUGCUCACCCCGUGGCCGGGGACCUCACCGCCGACGAGAUCCGCUCGUCGGAGGUGCCCUCCCUCUCGGUCACGCUAACCAGUGGGGUCGGGGACCCACUGUCAGUCGCAGGAGGGACAGAGAUGGGUAGAGAUCUGGGUGUCUUUAGUGUUCUUCAUCCCGAUUUCGAAUUGGUUUUCAGAAAAUAAUUUCCAGAAAAUAGUUUAAAUGAUAUAAAAUCCAUAUCUUGAGAUAUAUAGCUCCAAAAUGGAUGAAAUAAAUUUUGAUGUGUUCUAUAAUCUCAGAUCUAUAGUUUGGUGUGGUUGCAUGUCAUGUUUGAACAACUUUUCUGUAAAAAUAUAUUUAAUCCAUGUUUUUGCAAAAAAUUGGAAAAUGUAUAGUAAUUAAAGUGUAGCUCAGAAAAAUAUGAAACUUGUUUUGGUGGCUUUGCAUGGAUGAUUAGGCUCUGGGAAAAAUAUGAUACACACUAUUUGUUGUAUGAAUUAAUUUAGGGUGAUUUAAAUGCCUGCAUGACAGUGGUUUAUGAUUUUUAAUAAAUAACUGGAUCAUGCAAUUAAUCUGGAAAUUUUUGUGGGUAUUUCUUAUGUUAACAAGUUAAUUAUAAAAAUAUGAAAUCUGUUGUUUGACACUUAUACCACAGUAGGGUAUUUAUACUUGCUUAUAUAGAUCUAUCUUGUGAUUUUUGUAGCUCAAAAUAAAUGUCCAAAUAUUAUGAGAAAUUUAAGAUAGAGUUUAUGAUUGAUUGGUAGUCUCCUGUAAUUUUUAUGGAAUUUAUUGAUAAACAGACAUAUAUGCUACUGUUGUAGGCCUAAAAGUGGAUAGAUAAAUUAUGAAUUGUUAUACAUAGAUUAAAUAAAGUAAGAGGAUGUUUGGUGUAUCUUUGAAGCAUCAUGUGAGCUUGCUGGUUAACCUUGACGGCAACUUGUAGAAGAGAAUGUAAUAAAUGUUUAGUUCGAUUACAUGUUCUUGGAUGAUGUUGACUACCUUAUAAAAGUGACCACUUAUAUCAUCUAUGCAUCAUGUCAUGGUCAUCUGGUAUCCACUUGUAUAAGCAUUGCACCCCGGGCAUCUCGCACUCCACUCAUGGGCACACAUGCAUCAUAUAGACUCGCAGGAGAACGAGGUGGGACCUGAGGAGCAGGAGGAGCUCAAGGAGCAGGAACCUCUAGGAGGACCGGAGCUCGGAGAAGAGCUACAGGAGUGCCCGGACCACAAACCGAGCACGUUUGAGAAAGGCAAGCCCCAGAGCAUUCUAAGUCUCCCUAUUCUCGCUAACUUAAAUGAUAUAUUAUGCUUAUUCUACUAUGUUGCAUUUAAGUGAUAGGAAUUGCUUGAUACCGUUGAUGCAUAAGUACUCCUUGAUAUCACCACUUGUUUAUCUACCUUGUCCUAUGUAGAUAGGCACGGAGUCCAUGCUUAGUUUGCUUAGUCCGGUAGAAGUCGGGUGAUUUCCUGUCAGCUGCGAGAUAUAGGUGGACACAUGUUUGAUUAGCUGUAAUUGCUAUGGGGAAGAAUAACCAAGUGUGGAAAAGAAUUUGAGACCAGGCAGGGUCUUGUGGUGGGUUGAUCAUAGUGCCCCUGCCUGUGUCGAUUAAGGACCGAUCGUUGACGGCCCUCUUGUCAUGUUGAACGCAUGCCCCACACUUAGCUGGAAGGAUAAGUCGUUCCGACCACGAAGCCUGAACACUAUCCGGGCUGGGAGUCGAGCCGCCAUGCGCUGUAUUGGUGAUGGUUGAGGAGAACGACGAUGGCGCGGCGCGCAACCUUGGUAUACCUUGGAUACCUCGGUCACCGGAACGGUCCUCGGGUACUAGCGGUGCCUGCCGAUCCCGCAAUUUGGCCUUGGAUAGUGUAACACGGUGAUCUGUAGCUCACUUGAUCAGUGAGUGUGAUUUGUGUGGGGAAUAACUCGACAGCUGGUCAGAAAUCGAUUCGAAUCGCCAUCGCUCCUGGAUAGUGAGCACUUGACAUGAGCUUCAUCCUCGUAGUAAGGAUUAUGGAACACUUGGGUUAUGAUGAUAAAUGAUUUAUGAAUGCUAUGAUGAGGUACCAUCAUAUUACUACACUUGCUUGUAAUAGUACAGGUGCAAACCUAGAUAAUAGGUAAUGAUAUUAUCAAACUUGAGCUAAUUAAAAGAAGAAUGGUCUCUAGACUAUGUUUAGGGGAAUAAUGCUUUUAUGCAAAAAGUCUCAGGUACCCCACCAUACAGCCUUCAUGAUCCUUGAAGAGUCUUUAUUUUUGGUUUAUGACGGGUAAGUCUAGCUGAGUACAUUCUCGUACUCAGGGUUCUAUUCCCAUGUUGUUUUGUAGAUGGUCAAAUGUACUAUGGUUAUUGCAUCCUCUGCUUGUACCUAGCAAUGGGCGAUGACUAGACCAAGGGCGAUGGUCACUCUAUCUUCUCUUUUGCUUUUGUGGGAAUGACCAAACUAUGGUACUGUAUCAAACUGAAUUUGUGUGUGUGUUACUUUCACUAUGAAGCUUCCGCUACUUGAGAACUUGGUUUGUAAUAAUUUUAAGUACUCCGAUGUAUUUGUUGAAUGUUGUGCACUGGAUGUAAUUGUGAAUGGUGACCGCUGAACUUAUUACGAUCUUGGCUGUAUGUACGAGUUGUGGUUUGAAAUCCUUUGAGAUUUCACGGACUACCGGGAUUAUAUGGGCUUAAGCUCGAUGGUUUGACUGUGCAUAUGGUCACUAUUAAGCUUAAUCUCUUAUAAUUUGGACGGUUCUGUUACAGCAAUAAGAUGUAUCAGGACUUGAAGUAGAGAUUUUGUUGGACGAAGAUGAAAAUAGAAAUAGCCCGCUAUGUAGCCCAAUGUGACACUUGUCGAAAAGUCAAAGCCAUUCAUCUCAAAUCUGCUGGAGAAUUGCAACCCUUGCCUAUCCUAGCAUGGAAAUGGGAUGAUAUUAGCAUGGAUUUCAUAGUGGGAUUGCCCAAGAUGGCAAAGGGUUUUGAUUCCAUUUGGGUUAUCAUUGAUCGUCUUACCAAGUAUGCGCAUUUUCUGCCGGUAAAAGCAAUCUACACUGCUGACACUUAUGCUAAGAUUUAUUUUGAUCGUAUAUUAAGUCUGCAUGGGGUGCCAAAGACGAUAGUGUUUGAUAGAGGCACACAAUUUGUCUCCUAGUUUUGGAAAUGUUUGCACAAAUCCUUAGGCACCAAGCUUCUCUACAGUUCAGCUUACCACCCCAAACAGGUGGGCAAACCAAACGAGUGAAUCAAACAUUAGAAGAUCUAUUGAGGUCAUGUGCCCUAAAUUUUUUAGACAAGUUGGAUGACUGCCUGCCUCUAGCAGAAUUCUCAUUUAACAAUAGCUAUCAAGAAAGCAUUAAAAUGGCUCCAUUCGAGGCAUUCUAUGGCCGUCGAUGUCAAACUCCCUUACACUGGUCUAAAUCCAGUGAAAGAUGGUUCUUUGGGGUUGACUUGGUGAAGGAAACUAAGGACAAAGUCUAACAAAUUAAAAAAAACUUGAAAGUUGCUCAAUCUCGACAAAAGAGCUAUGCUGAUAGAAGACGUCGACCCUUAAGAUUUACUAAAGGUGACCAUGUGUAUUUAAAGAUAUCCCCAAUGAAAGGAGUGAAUCAUUUUGGGUUUAAAGGCAAGUUAUCACCUCGCUACAUUGGUCCAUUUCCAAUCAUCGACCGGUGUGGACAGGUAGCUUACCGCCUCAAAUUACCUAAACAAUUAUCCGAGGUACACAAUGUGUUUCAUGUAUCCCAAUUGUGUCCAAGAUUUUGAAGAUGUGGAACUUGAACCGGAUCUGACUUAUGUAGGAUAUCCCAUCCGAGUAUUGGACCAAAAGGAUAGAGUUACCCGAAGAACAACUACCAAGUGGUACAAGGUGCAAUGGAGUCAGCAUUCUGAGGAAGAAGCCACAUGGGAAUCCGAAGACUAUCUGAUGAAGAACUUUCCUGAGUUUCACGCUACUCUUUAAAACAAUAGCUAAUAAAAAGAAAAUGUACUCUAUGGUGGAUAAAUCUGUAAUCAAAGGCAUGUACCUAAUGUACGUAUAUGUCUACAACGAGAUGUUCUUCCCCAACCGUUUGUCUUGUGAAAAAGCUAAUGAUAGAUUAGCUUGACACAUUUCCUUUUCCAUUACUUAUCCUAAGGUUUUAAAUCUCGGGGACGAGAUUUCUUUAAGGGGGAAGUGUUGUAACAUCCCUGAUGUUACGGAUACUAAAACUGGAUCAUGUCAUCAUAAGCAUUGCUUAGCAUACUGGUUGAGCACAUCCUGAUGCAUCAACUUAAAACAAGUUUAAUAUGGUUGCUUGUCCUUAGGGGACUAAAGUGUGCUUAUGUUGUGAAAUGAUGUUUGUAUGGCAGUGCAAUCCUUAGUGUGGGGAGGGGGUUCCGAGGAAAGGUGGGAGGAAACCCUAAUUUCAAAACCCUAGUUUUUGCCCCUUUUGUGCAACUUCAAAACUAAGCAAAAUUUGGGGAUAAGUUCAAAAGCAAAGUUGUAGAUCUUGACAAGAUGCACAACUUUGGUGUUUUGAGUUUUUGAAGUUUCAAUACAAAAUUCAAAGUUUUUUUUGAAAAUACAGAUUUCCAGAAAUUGUCCCCUUUUCCAAUUUGAAUCCCUAAUUCAAAAUCUAGUUAGAAUCUUGAAAAGUGAUCAAAAUGAAAGUUGUACAGCCCAUCAAAAUGAACAACUUGUAUUUGGGGAAUUUUUCAAGUUGUUGAGAAAAAUCAAAAAGUAAUUCUGGAAUUUCUAUUCUGCCCCAAUUCAAAUUGAAUCCCCCCAAAUUAGAAUUUUGAAUUUCAAAUUGUUUUCCUCAAAUUCAUGCCUUUCCACUCAAAAUCAGCUUUGGACCCUUAAAGAGGUUUUGUAGCAUCCAAAAUUUUGAAAAACUUUUGUUUUGGCAGAAAGUUGACUUCAGUUCUAAUUUUUGGAGUAAUUUGCACAAAACAAAAAAGUGGAUAUGGCUCGCUACACUGACCUGAUGAGGAUCACUGUUGACGGUCCUUAAGUACCAAAUUUAAUUAUCAAAUAAACAAAGAAAAGGAUCCAAAUGAAAUCAACAUCCAGACUUAGGGUUUUAUCUGACAGAAUUCCACGAGUUUUGGUGUUUGUCUAUUUCUGCAGGGGGUUAUCAGGAAAUACGGAAGAAAGGCCCACACGUCGGGAUUACAUAGAGAUAUUAACGUGCCGCGCAAUUAUCUUACAUCUAGAAGACUCCAGAAGCCACGGGAAGGAAGCGGAGGCCGAACGGGGCCAGAGGUAGGGCGCCCGCCCUGACUUGGGGCCCAAUCAGGACUCUUUCUCUCGGGAGAUCUCCACCGACCUAAAGGAUCAAGAAUAACCGUUCAAUCAAUGUCGGUUUGAUCCGACGGCCCAAGUUCACUUGAGGGGACUAUAUAACCAGACCCCCUAGCCCCUGGAGGAGGCUCCCCUUGAUCAUUAUUCAUUAUUCAUAGAUAGAGCAAAAGCUAGGGUUUAGAGAUGAGAGCUCUCCUCUCUUCUCUAAACUAGAGUAGAUCUAGAUAGUAGCGAGAUGGAGAGCGAAGGAGGAUUAGAGGAGAGGCCGGCCUGUCGGUUCUUCCUCUGGUUGUACUUCAUCAUGAUCAAGCUCUAAUCAAGCUUGCUCAUGGGAUGACUCUGGUAAUCUACUUCUAAUUCAUUAUGCAAUUACUAAUCAUGUAUGUUCUGGUUCACAACUCUUUUGAGUACUUCUAAUCUAUAGGACGCUAUAGGUUAGAGUUGUAGUAUAGGUGUAAGCAUGGUGCUUAGACCUAGAUUACUUGUGGAUAUCCCCUGUCUAGUUGGAUCGUGUGGUAGGCCGCGUAGGUGACAGUUACGUUGGUCCUCUGUAGUCCACCUCUCGUUAGCAGGACGGGUAGGGUUUAUCGGCCUAAGGAUAAGCAUCCUUUGUGGUGUACUCUUAUCACGUGGUUCGUCCCAGACAUAGACAUACCCCUUUGAAGUAGAGAAAUCAUAGUUAUCCUCUCUAUUCUGCUACCAUCGCCCAUAUACUAGAAUUGCUCUACUCUCUAUUCCCAUAUUAUCACCUAUUGUUAUCUUACCUUUAAUAUUGUUCUUAUUCAAUUCUACCAUCUUUCCUAUUUACACCUAUCUAUCUAUCUUGGUUAAGUUAGAGCGUAGUUGGUUCUCCCGUUUCCCUGUGGAUACGAUAAACCUUUAACCGGGUAAAAGCUUCAACGGUAUCCGUGCGCUUGUGGAUUAUCUGUGUGCGUACAAAUACCAUAGUACACUCUAGUGCCAUGCUGGGGAUGACAACCUAGUAUUCAAGUGGUGUUAGCAAGUGUCAACAAGCAUUUUUGGCGCCGUUGCCGGGGAGACGGUUGCUGAGGUUACUACGAACUAGCUUAAUCAUUUUCUAAAAAAAUUAUUAUAUAUAUAUUUUUCCUUUUAUCUUUUACUUAUCUCUGCUAUUCUUUCCUCUUAUCUAAUCCUUGAUCUCUGGUCUAUCAUGAAUUCAAACAUGUCUAUCUACGAAUUUCAUAGACCUACGGGCACACAUCUCGAACCAGCAAAAUCUUCAAAGCCUAUCAUAGCAUCUAGUUUUGAGAUAGACCCCGAAUACAUAGAAUUUUGUUCAAAAACAACCUUUCUCAAGAGAAGGUGAGGAAAACCCAUACACACACCUAAGAGAGUUUUAUCGAGUCUGUGACCUCCUUCGCAUAGAAGGCAUGUCCGAUGAGACCCUUAAAUGGAAGCUCUUUCCGUUCUCUUUAACAGGAAAAGCUAGACAUUGGUACAAACUCAAAGUAGGGAGUGUUCAUGGAGAUUGGAAGGAGUUAUAUAGUAGUUUUCUUUCUAAAUAUUUUCCAAUCUCCAAAGUGGUGGAACUUCGGCGUGAGAUUCUUUCUUUUAGACAACUAGAAGAAGAAUCUCUUGGCAAAUCAUGGACCGCUUUAUUAACCUUACUCUCACUAGCCCAAAGCUUUCUAUUCCAUAAGAAGUUCUUCUAAUUCACUUUUUUGAGGGCCUUAGUAGAGAAAAUAAGCAAACCCUUCAUGCGGCCUCUGGAGGAUCUUUCCACCACCUAUUCGCUAGUGAAGCUUGGAAUUUGAUUGAUUUAUUAAGUGGAAAGUCUCCUAGCUUUUAUAUCCCUGAGAAAGAGACAGAACCAGUUCCUAGACAAGAAGAAGAAGUUUCGAUAGCUAGAUCACAACCACUUCAAUUCCAAACUUUAGCUAUCGAUCCUAAACCAUCAAUACCCCAAAAUUCUCCAAGGGAGGAAGGAAUUCCGACCUUAAAUCUUUCAGAUGCUGAUGGUUUAGACUUCUGGUUCCAUAAGAGACCUUCAAGCAGGGAUAAUUCAAAUCCUCGCAAUAAUGGUUCUCUUAGAGAAUGUCCUGGUUCCUGUUAUGAAGAAGCUGAGGAUGACAUAUCAAGUGAAGGAGAGCUAAGCCAUAUUGAAAAUUCUAUCAGCUCCCCUUUCCUGAUCACAAGUUCCAAAUGGCUAGAAUGUGUAGAAUGGAUGGAUAAGGAAGAAGCCUUAAUGGAUUCUGACUUUGGCUCAAUUUCAAAUGAUGAGUUCUUGACUCCAUUUGAAGAUGAGAUUCAUCCAACCAUAGAAGAGGACAUAGGUGAGAGAAACUCCAAAUUCAGAUUGGAGACGAAGAUAACAUUAAUGAGCAUGGAAUUUAUUUCAUAGCCACUUCAUUCACUCCAUGCUCAUAUGCAACAUCUUCCCAAUCUAUUGGUCUCUCCAACAUCACCACAUUUGAGAUCUCCAACCCCCUCUUCCUUUCUAUUUAUAAAAACUUUAAAAGGGCGGUUGUCGAUGCAUAUGUCUAUAAUAAAUAUUGCAGAUCUCGUUGAGUUGAUCUUGAUUUAGGUCAGCGUUGGAAGGGAAACCACUUCGCCGACAUAAAUUGAUGGUUUCCCAAGGACAAGCUUGGUGUCCUAAAAUAAGCACUGAUCAGAUCAUAACAUGAGUUUUUAAUUAUUUGCAACAUUACCUUGUGUAUUGAGCAUAUAAGGAUAAUUGUAAAAAUAUUCCUUCGGGUAUUCUUGUCACUAACCUUUCCAGGAUUGGAACAAGAAGAUCAGAAGAAUGACAAGCAAGUACAAGGUAUGUCCAACCAAUCAUCAUGCAACACUGAAUUAAUUUCAUCCAAACUUGAAUUCUGCAAAAAUUCAAGCUUGGGGGAGUACGUUACAUAAAAACAUCCUUUGCCAUGUUGCUAUGUUGGUUGUCCCAACCUUUAAGACAUGCUCAAUUUGUUAAAUACUAAUCACACUACUUCAUCUUCACUUAAGUAGAUCUCUAUAAAUGCUGCCAUGUUACCUUUGUCUAUUUACUAGUAAGUGUUAGUUUGAAAGUAUUGCACAUACUUCUAUUGGCUUUUAAAUUAAGCAUGGUGCUUAGGUUAAAUAGCCUUCCUUAAUCUGAUUAGACAUGGAGUCUAGUUUGGUUACUGAACUAAAAACUGCUUGAGUAGAUAUUGGUAUAUUUUGUCGGACUAACCCCUGCAGGAAAACUUUCAAUAUCGACCUGGGAAGUCCUGAGAUAAACUCACAUUAGAGAUAAAGAGAGUGACACAUGAAGUUUAACAAUUUGCACAAGAAGGACAUAGCUCAUUCAUCAUACAGAGAUGAUCCAUGGAAGGAGACAAAGUACAUAAACAAGAUACACAACCACUACGAAAGGAAAGCUUCCACAAGGUGAUACUAUACCAUCACUCUUCAAGUAAGGUAACAUCUUAAGAUAUCUGACUAUCACUUUUAGAAGCUUCUCCUUGGUUCUGGCGUUCAUAUAAAUAAAAGAGACAAACAUGUAUGAUUUACAACUCUAGAUUAACCAACCCAACUGAUUCAACAUGUUUAGUCCUUUAAUCCUUGUUCUUAGUACUACCUCCAUGAUCCCACACUCCUAAUCAUAUGAGCUAAAAUGUUACACAUUCAAUCAUUAAGAGAUAUAAAGAAAAAGACAUAUACGUAGAUAGAUUAUCUUUCCAUAAGGUUAAGCGAUCUGAUCUGACAAAUGUUAUAAGUGCUACACUCAUGAACUUUUCAUCCAUCAACUUUGUCUUGCUCACUAUGCUUAGGGUUAGAGAAGAACUAAUACACUUUAGGUUCUGUUGGUGUUUUCCACCAACAGGACCCAUGCACUUGAUCUCUGCCUUGUCUCUAUGAGCAGGUACACUUCGAGCAAAACACGGAGGAGUUUUAUAACUCUUAGACUCUACCAAGUGAAGGACCUGGAUCUACGAGCAAAAACACACUGAGUAGGAUACUGCCAACGCUGCACUUCGAACUGCUGGGCAAACAAAGAGGUGCAGACGUCAAGGUCCGCACCUGAAUCAAAUGACGCACCUGAAGAAUGAACACGGUGAGAAGUCUUGUUAAGAAGACUUAAAACAUUGAACCCUCGCCGAAAGGUAAGAUCGGUAGUUAUCCAUAUUCAUCCUUUCUGCAUUCCCUUUUCCCUUUAAUUAUUUAUUUUCCUUAAAUAGAUUAUUAGUUAUUCAUGCUGUUUUGAAAAUAAAAUAAAAUUUUUAAAAAAAUACUAAGCCCCAUGUGAGUAUACGAGUGGCAUAAAACCCAUAAGUACCUUCACUGUGGUGGCAUAAAAAUAAAAUAAAUAUUUCUUUUCUGCUUUAUAAAAUAAAAAUAUAAAAACAGGGAGUAAUAUUUAUUGGGGAAGCUCAACAUGAUGAAGGCUAGAUAUUUAUGCUAACACUUAAUUAGUUCCACAAGCUUUGUUGUCUAUUUGAGCUCCACAGAAUUUAAGAAUCAAGAAGUGUCGGUGUUUUCCCCACCGGGGGUCACACUAACGAGUAAAUUUGUAUGCAUGCUCCCUUUCCCAGAUGGUGAUGCAAGAAGACACAGAGAUUUAUCCUGGUUCGGGCAAGAGAAGGCCCUACGUCUAGCGGGGGGGAGAGAGUUUGUAUUAUCUUGCACCGAAGUGCUUGUACAGGUGUGAAUACAAGCGUGGUAUGAAGUGUGUGAGUUCUACUGCGUAUGGGUGUCGUGUUGUCCCUGAUCUAUUCCUGAGUCCCUCCUUUUAUAGUGCCAAGGAGAGGCCCAAGGUACAUGUAUAGGCGUCAGAAUAGGAGUUGAUAGCAGUAUGGAGCGCUGACCCACUCGAUGCUUCCAUACCAGCAUAGCCUCGAGCCGUCCCAUCUUAAUAGCCCGGUGAUGAUUACGCGUGCCUCUGCAUUCUGCUCUGUGCGCCGUCUUGGAUUGGCUCAACGGAUGCAUGUUUGUACGAUCCGGCGGCAAAUCCGAAGGAGUGGUUGGGAUGUAGUCAGUCGACGCCCAAUCCGUCCCCUGGAAGGAUCCCUGUCUGGUAGAGGGUCAGAUGCCGUACAUCAUGCUGAUAUCCGGAGCGCUGACUUUAGACGUCUCGAGGGGGUCCCGAUUAGACGUCUCAUCCUUAUUUCCCGCGCCCUGUCAUGCCCUGGGUCGUUCGGCGGGAAGGCUGCAAAAAGAUCGAUGGGACGGAAGCCUGUUCCCUAUCACGCCUCCCGUGACCUGUGUGUUAGAUGGGGAAGCGUCAGGCGCAUUAAAUGCUCCGACCCGCGUGCGCGCGUCAGGCGGCGGGCGGCGUCCUUGCGCUCGACACCCCCCGAUUCGCGUGAGCCUGUUCCGUAUUCGACGGUAUCCGGCGCUCGACGCCAGAUCGAUUCGCUCGACGCUACUUCCGUCUUCGAGGUUGUGGCCGUUGAUGGCGGCGCAUACGUAAGACUAGAGCGUCGAAUUGAGGGCCUCGACCUGCGUACGGGCAAUCUCAUAAUGCGCAUCGCUGAGGGUACCCCUUACUGAUACCCUCGACAGUAGCCCCCGAGCCUCCAUUUGAGCGCUAGCGCUCGAGUGGAGGCUUUGUUUUGCGGUCGAAUUUCCGUGGGGGCGCGCGAGCGACCCGCGGAGGUAGCCCCCGAGCCCUCGGAGGAGUCUUUGACUCCUUCGAGGGUUAUGUUGUUUAAUUCGCAGAAGCGCUUCCGACACCAGUGGUGGAAGGUUCUCAUUGGCUCGUUUUGCCCGGGGGUUUCGACGUACUCUCGGUAGAGAGAGCGUCUUCCACCCCAGAUUGAGUUCCUGGCGGGUAGUCCAAGUGAGAACCUGUGCCCCUUUCGAGGGGGUCAGCUGUAGCCUGGAGGCGUUCUCAUAAAGCGGGAUCGACAUGGUCGGGGAUACCAGUCUCAUUCGAUAGAGUCCGGCGGCUCGAUGCCUCCCGUCGGGGGGAUUCCUCUCGACUGUCUCGACCCUACCUUGGAUAUCGCCAGCGAGCCCUCGAUGCGGGCCUCGAUCUUCGACCGCUCGCUGGGGAUCCCUGACUCUGGUGCUCGAGAUCGGCUGUCGAACCCUUUCGGCGGGCCAGCCAUCGACCUCUCGAGACUCUCGCGGGUAUGCCCCUUGGCUUACAAGGGAAGGAAGUGGCCGUGGCGGUUCGCCUUUCUGCCCGUGGGGCGCGCCUUUUUAGGUGGGUGACGUUGUGACACUGCGUCGGCGUGGAAUUCGGAGCGCCCCGUCUGUGUGGGGAUAGAGAUGGUUAGGUGGCGCAUUUAAGGGAGGGAGUUACCUUGUUUCUCGGAUCUGUCCGUUGGCGGACUGCUGCCUAUAAAUACGUCAUAUCGCCGCCGCCGUUCUUCUUCCUUCCACCUUCUCACUUUCAUCCUCUUAUUGCCUUUGCUCUCUCGCUGCCUCACGCGCGCGUGUACCCCCUCGAGCGGCAGCGGGUCCAUCGUCCCUCCAACCAAGAUGCCUGUGAGACUCGUCGCCGCCGACGACUGGCGCCCGUCAUCCAUGACGGAGCGCCGGUUGCUAGAGCUGGAGAAUGAGGGACUCUUGCGCCGCCGCACCUCGCUGUCGUCGCCAGAGUGGAUCGCGCCGCCGGCGAAUCACAGGGAGCCCCAGCCGUCCGAGGGCUAUGUGGUGUCGUUCGCCAAGUUCCAUCGCCACGGCUUGGGCGCUCCCCCGAGCCACUUCAUGUGGGCCCUCUACUUCCACUAUGGGGUGGAGCUCCAGCAUUUCUCCCCGAACGCCAUCACCGUCGCGGCGGUCUUCGCUGCAAUGUGUGAGGGCUAUCUGGGGAUGAUGCCCCACUGGGAUCUGUGGCUCCACCUCUACAGGGGCGAGCUUUUCAACGCCCCCACCGGAACCACUGGCGUGAGGAAGCACGUGCGGGCCGGGUGCCUCAACCUGGUGUUGAAGACGAAGAAGACGGAGAGGCCGCGCGAGUACAUCCCGGUGGGGCUGUCAUCGAACCAUGCUGGGUGGGACUCCCAGUGGUUCUACUUGAGGAACGACGACGGUCUCUUCACCGCUUACACGGGCCGUCUGAUUACAGAGCGCCCCGACAACUGGACGUACGGCGUCGUCCAGGAGCACCAGUUGCGGCUCGACCCCCUCCUCGACGCCAUGAAGAAGCUGCGCCUGGAGGGACUCUCCGCCGCUCUCGUCCUCUCGGCCGUCCAUCGCCGAAGGGUCCUCCCUUUGAUGUCUCGGCCGUUGAGGAUGGACGAGAUGGGGCCAGGCGUCUCGUCCCGGGACCUCGAGGCUUGCCGGAUGUCUAACGAGGCUCUGGCCGACGAGGAGACUGCCGCUCGAGUUAUGGCGGCCAUCGCUGGUGACUUUAAAUCGAAGCACGUCAACAACUUCCCCAUGAGGCCCGACGAAGGCUCGAUCGACCUAGUACGCUCUUUUCUCACACAUAGCUCUGAUUCUGGAUUUCCCUCGAUUCUUUGUUUUCUUUUUUAACCUUUCCUUUAUUCUGGCAGGGACGUAUUGAUGUCCGGUCCUCGAGGCCCCCUGUGAGGGAGGACGAGGUCGAUCGGGACAGGCGGCGCCAGUCCGCCGAAAAGCUAAAGUCCGCCAAGGACUCCGCAAAGAAAGGGGAGAAGAAGAAGAACCUCGACCGCCAAGCAUUGGAGGCACGUCGAGCCAAAUCCAGGCAUAGGGGGGAGCCUGAGGAAGAAUCCCCCAGCGACAACGACGAUGAUGACGAGGGCAGCGACGACUCCGAUGGGAUGGCGUCGCGUCUUGACCGGAUCCUCGAGGGCCCACCUCGAGGUGACAUCGACGUCCCCCGGACGGAGACUCCGAUGGAGGGCCCGAGCGGAUCUCACCGCCCGCGGGCCAUCACGCCCCCUGCGCCUACGGCCAGUCAGGUCGCGCCGCGCCCUCCCCUUAUGCUCAGGGGGAGUGGCCAUGCUAGGCUCCAGGCAACGGGGCCUCUGACCCGCGGUCGGGCCGCGGCCUCCGAGAAGGGAGAGGCCGACCGCAGGAGUGCUAGCCCCGGCGCUCGUCAAGCGGGAGCCGUUGCGCCAAGGCCAGCGCCUGCCCUAGAGGGGCCUGGAGCCUCGGCGCGAGGUGGCCUGAGGCCCACCGGUCGGGGCGCUGGGAGGCGAGCUGUUCUUCCCGUGGGGUAAGCUCUUUUUGGUGUUGCGGCUUUUGUCUUCCUGCUCGUCUGCCUUUCCUCACAUGCCCAUCUUUUCCCAGGUUAAAGCGGACCCUCGAGCAGGCCCAGCCGUCCAUGGCGAAGAAGCUCAAAGUGGGAGCUGCCUCCAAGGAACCAGGUUCGUAGUUCAUUUCUGAGCCUUGUGAUGUUCUUGUGUCGGUUACUAUAAAGUCUGACCCUUACCCUAUGCUUCGUAGGCUCCUCCGACCUCCAACCUCCAGUAGGCGCUGAGAAUGCUCCGCCUCGUUCCGAGCCUACUCCGUCGCUGCCGGCGUGUGGUGAGGCGCCCCAGACGCAAGUGCCGGAGGGAGCCCCCGAGCCCCCUCGAUCGGGGGUCGAGGGGGAACCCAUCACCAUCAGUGAUACGUCUGAUGGUAACGAAACACCUGGAGGCGCCCGCCCUAUGGAGGAGGAAGCGUCGACCUCUCACGUCGCGGGACUAACUCCAUGGCCCACUGGCCUCCGCGCUCUCGAGGAGCAGAGGAAGAAGAGGGAGGAAGAUGAAGAGCGGGAGCGUGAGGCGGCGCGGCAGCCACAGGAGUAGGGCCGCGGGCAAGAGCCGCAGGAGCAUGAGGCGCAACAACAGCAACAACAGCAGCAACAGCAACAGCAGCAGCAACAGCAACAGCAGCAGCAGCAGCCGGGGGGCCAAGAGGAGGGACUGCUCGAGCCCCCGCCCCAAGGUCCGGCCCAGCCAGUACCGCCGGAGCCGCAAGGGCCCGGCGAGCAGGAAGAGGAUCUGCUGGUGUACGGCCCCCCAACCCCAGCGUGGCUCCUCCCAGGGGCACCUGCCGCGAUCCGGGCAGAGCCGGGGUGAGCGGAUGGAGUGGUGGCGCUCGCCUGCAUGAUGCGCACCCCCACCGACCCCGAGUCCGAGAUCAAGAGGACGAUCUACAGCAUGGACGGGAUCGCCCCAGGGUUCCUCCGGGAGCGUCGGGCAUGGGAGGACCACUUUCCCUCCGAGGAGGAUGAGAUCGGGACGUCGGGGACCAAGGACGGAACUUGGAAGACGGUGGACGACGACGGGCGGUUCCCAUGCCUCGUCGACCUGUUCCUACGCCAUGGGGGCUCCCUCGAGACCGUCGAGGACCUCAUCUGCGGCGUCAAGGCACGGGCCGACCGGGAGAUGGAGCACUGGUUCCCUGAUCGGAUCCGCAUCCGGGCCUCCCACGACCCGUCCGAGCCGAACAUCUUCCUGGAUGACCGGAAGGAGGCGAAAAAGUGGGAACACGUCGAGGAGCUCCGCCUUUGGAUGAAGCAUGUGGUGGGGCUCCUGGCAGACGUCAUUAACAACGGGCUCGGGCCGGCUUACUUCGUGAGUGUUUUUUCGAUCUUCAAUCCUUAUGAAACCUUUCAGUUUUGUGCUCUAACCGUUCGAUCCUUGGUUCGCAGGAUAUGAAGGAGACCUCCCGCAUCAAGUCUAGUUUCAUACACGCCACGAGAGGCGGCUGGGAGCAGCUCCCCCUCCUCAAGGAUCAACUCCUCGAGUCGCAGGAAAAGCUCCUUCAAGCUUAUAAGGAUCUCAUAGCGCUCGGGGAGGAGAAGAAGGCGAGGGAGGCUGCCUUGGCCAAGGUUCGAGAGGCCUCGAAGAAGGCGGAGGAGGAGACGAUGAUGCUGUGGGAGCGGGCUCUUACGGUCGAGGAGGCCGCGUCCAAAGCCCGGGAGGAGGUCCUGUCUUACAAGAGCGUUAUCGCAGAUCUGGACAAGGAGAAGGGCCUUCUUAAAACCGACCUGGACUCCCUUGGAGAGUCCUUCCAAAGGAUGAAGGUGGAGCACGUGAACGGCGAGAUCGCCAGGAGCGCCGCGGAGGAAACCAAGAAGAAGGCCCUCGUAGAUCUCGAGGCGGAGCGGGCUCAAUCCCGCAGGCUCUCUGACGACGUUGAACGUCUGAAGGGAGAGCUGCUGGAGAAGAGCGGGGCCAUUGUUCAGGCUGGCAAGGCGAUCGAGGAUCUCCGCGUUGCCAACACCAAGCUGGCACGCUCCAACAGAGAGAUCGAGAGGGCCAACACCAGGCUGGUCGGCGAAAACACGGCCCUAGAGGAGACCGUACGCGGUACGUUUCCUCUAUCAGAUUUCUUUUUUCGAGGUGUGCUUGGUUUUUCCUAAGGUCUCUUGUACUGGCCUUUACAGGGCUCAAGGACGAACUCCUGGCCGCCCAAGCCGAGGCUCGCAACGCCAAGGCUCAGCUCGAGGCGGAGGUUGCUUUGAACCGUCGAGUGCGGACGGCGAUAAGUGAUCUCUCGAUCUCUUGGGAGGUCGAGCCUAUGGAUGAGUCGAGGGAGGGUGCUCGAGGCGACGCCCUGGUCGACCAGUUGUGCUACAUAGGCGCGACGCUGCGAGAUCGGGUGCGCGAUGCCCUCCACAUCGGUGUGAAGCGGGCGAUGGCGGUUGUCUGCUCGGGCUUCUCCUACGACAUGGAGGUGGUGUCUCAUGGCUUCGUCACCGACAUCUCCAAGACCGGCGCGGAGAACGAGGAGAGGUUCCAUGCCUUGAUCGACGACGCGGAGGCUCCUGGGGAAAGGUUGGCUAAGCUUUUUGAGCCUGAGGUGCUCCCUCCUGAGGCUAGCUCGGGCGGAGGCGAGGGCGGUGAGGAUCGUGCCGCGGACUGAGGCCUGCGAGCCUGCUCAGGGCGCCUGGGGCCCCUUGUAUGAUACUUUGUUAAUUCUAUUGCUAAGCGACAUAGUAUCUUUUUGUAAUCGUUGAAUGUUUAUAUGUCUUUCCGCUCGAGGUUCUUUUGUUCCUCCUUGUUCCUACGUUUGUAUUCCUUGUUCGAUCUUUCGUCAAAAACAACCUCGAUCACCUCAAGGGUGAGGAAGUGAGUAGAGUUUCCAUAGCCCGGGGGCGUAGGAGUUCUCAGGCUUGUUGUCCCUCGGCCUUUGAGGGGCUCGAGGUGCCUUGGCUACUCGAAUCGUGCAAGGUUUACUAAGUAAGAAAAAAGAAAAUUUCUUGGCUUUUUUGACGCACGGGGUGGGGGUCGUCCCCCUGGUAGCCCCCGAGGGGGUGUUUACUAUGAUGGGUCAUAGUCGGCUCCCCCUUCUAACAUCGAGAUCAUGACUUGUAAAUCUUUUGGCGCAAAAAGAAGUUGCUCGAGGGAAAGACUUUAUUUAUUCAUGCAUUCGUUUACAAAGUCUUGGUACAAAAUGUACGUAGGAACGUAAGUUUGGAACUUCUAGGGGUAGAAUCGACGUAGCUGUUCGAUGUUCCAUGCGUUGGUGAAGAUUGCCCCUUUUUCAUCCGCCAACUUGUACGUUCCUGGCUUCAGGACCUCGGCCACCACGUAUGGGCCUUCCCAAGGUGGAAUCAGCUUGUGGCGUCCUUGAUUGCUUUGCCGGCGUCGUAGGACUAGGUCGCCCACGAUGAGGUCCCUCUUGCGCACAUGCUUGUCGUGGUAGCGUCGAAGUUUCUGCUGAUAUCUGGUAGAGUUGAGGAGGGCCAUGUCUCAAGCCUCCUCGAGUUGGUCGACCGCGUUUUCUUGAGCCUCUUUGUUUGAUAGCUCGUUGUAGGCCUUGAGUCGAGGUGACCCGUACUCGAGGUCUGUGGGGAGGACAGCCUCAGAGCCGUAGACCAUGAAGAACGGGGUGUACUUUGUGGCCCUGCUUGGCGUUGUCCUCAAACUCCAUAGGACCGAGGGAAGCUCCUCGACCCACUUCUUGCCGAAUUUCUUCAGACGAUUGUAGAUUCUUGGUUUGAGCCCCUGCAAGAUCAUGCCAUUGGCAUGCUCGACCUGGCCGUUAGUUCGAGGGUGAGCCACCGCGGACCAGUUCACACGGAUGUGAUGCUGAUCGCAGAAAUCUAAGAACAUUUUGCCGGUGAACUGGGUGCCGUUGUCGGUGAUGAUGACGUUGGGGAUCCCAAACCAAUGGAUGAUGUCGGUGAAGAAAAGGACAGCCUGCUCGGAGCGGAUGUUGGUGAUGGGUCGAGCCUCGAUCCAUUUGGAGAACUUGUCAAUGGCCACCAGCAAAUGGGUGUACGCUCUUUCGCCUUUUGUAGAGGUCCUACUAAAUCGAGCCCCCACACCGCAAACGGCCAGGUGAUGGGGAUCAUCUGAAGAGCGUGGGCGGGCAGAUGCGUCUGUUUGGCGUAGAACUGGCACCCAUGACACGAGCGUACGAGCUCGAUGGCAUCCGCCACGGCUGUGGGCCAGUAGAAGCCUUGUCGAGGAGUUUUCGGCCUUCUUCCACGGUGAUGCAACGCUGUAAGACCCCCGUCGGGCUUCGUCGAUAUAGCUCAUUGUCUUCGCCAUAGAUCACAUAUGACUUGGCCCGUCGAGCGAUACGACGGGCCUCUGACCGAUCUUCCGGCAGCUCGCAGCGGAUUAGGCAGUCGAGGAAUGGUGUGCGCCAGUCGAACGGUCGACCGGGUCGCUGUUCCACCUCCAUCACCUCUGCUGAGGUCAGCAGCGUGUCGACGUUGUCGGUUGGCUAGGCGGGAGCGGCGUCGACGCCAGCCCCCGAGCCCAAGUCGACGGAUGGUGUGUGGAGAUCUCUCGAGAGCGCGUCAGGUGGUACCGUGCCUCGGGUCGACGCGAUUUUGGCAAGUUCGUCAGCUGCUUCGUUGUAGCGUCGGGCGAUGUGCACGAGCUCGAGGCCAUGGAACUUGUCCUCGAGUCGACGGACUUCUUUGCAGUACGCCUCCAUUUUCCGGUCGUGGCAGCUCGAAGUUUUCAUUACCUGGUCGAUGACGAGUUGGGAGUCACCUCAGACAUCGAGGCGUCGGACUCCUAGCUCGAUGGCAAUCUUGAGACCGUUGACGAGGGCCUCGUAUUCCGCGACGUUGUUGGAUGCGGCAAAGUGAAUCCUGAUGACAUACCUCAUAUGGACGCCCAAGGGUGAGAUGAACAACAGACCAGCCCCGGCCCCCGUUUUCAUGAGUGACCCGUCGAAAUACAUCGUCCACAGUUCCGCCUGGACCUGGGUCGGGGGGAGCUGGGAGUCUGUCCAUUCCGCGAUGAAGUCCACUAGGGCUUGAGAUUUGAUGGCCUUGCGAGGCGCGUAAGUGAGAGUCUCACUCAUGAGUUCGACUGACCACUUAGCUAUUCUUCCCGUGGCCUCCUUGCUCCGGAUUAUCUCGCCCAAAGGGAAAGACGAGACCACCGUGAUGGGGUGGCCGAGAAAGUAAUGCUGCAGCUUGCGGCGGGCAAGGAUUACGGCGUAGAUCAGCUUCUGGAUUUGGGGGUAAUGCGCCUUGGCCUCCGAAAGCACCUCGCUGACGAAAUAGACUGGCCUUUGGACCGGCAGCGUAUGACCGUCCUCCUGUCUUUCAACCACCACUGCCGCACUGACGACCUGGGUCGUCGAUGUGACGUAGAGGAGUAGCGGCUCUGCAGGUUGAGGUGGGACCAGGACUGGUGCCGAGGUCAGCGUUUUCUUCAGUCUUUCUUGAGCUUCCUCGGCCUUGGGGGUCCAAGAAAAGCGCUCGACCUUCUUCAGGAGUCGGUACAGCAGUAACGCCUUUUCUCCUAGUCUCGAGAUGAAACGGCUCAGAGCCGCCAGGCAUCCCGUGACUCUCUGCACACCCUUGAUGUCUCGGAUCGGCCCCAUUCUUGUAAUGGCCGAGACUUUCUCGGGGUUGGCCUCGAUGUCGCGCUGCGAAACGAUGUAUCCUAGGAGCAUGCCUCGAGGCACGCCGAAAACGCAUUUCUCGGGAUUGAGCUUGAUCUGGUUGGUGCGCAAGCAACUAAAAGCGAUCUCAAGAUCCUGGAUCAGGUCCCCUCGCCAUUUUGACUUGACGACAAUGUCAUCGACGUAGGCCUCGACCGUUGACCCUAUGUGUUCGCCAAAUACGUGGAGCAUGCAACGUUGGUACGUGGCUCCCGCGUUUCGAAGCCCAAAUGGCAUGGUCACGUAGCAAUACAUCCCAAAAGGUGUGAUGAAAGAGGUCGCGAGCUGGUCGGACUCUUUCAUUUUUAUUUGAUGAUAACCAGAAUAUGCAUCAAGGAAAGAAAGGGUUUCACAUCCCGUGGUAGAAUCGACAAUCUGAUCAAUACGUGGCAAAGGAAAAGGAACUUUCGGACAUGCUUUAUUUAGACUAGUAUAAUCGACACACAUCCUCAUUUUCCCAUUCUUUUUCUUGACUAACACAAGGUUUGCUAACCAGUCGGGAUGAUGAACCUCCUUGAUGAAUCCGGCCGUCAAAAGCUUGUGGAUCUCCUCGCCAAUGAUCUUGCGCUUCUCCUCGUCGAAUCGGUGCAACCGUUGCUUCACUGGCUUGGAACCGGCUCGAAUCUCCAAGGAGUGCUCGGCGACUUCCCUCGGUAUGCCUGGCAUGUCCGAAGAACUCCAUGCAAACAUGUCGGCAUUUGCACGGAGAAAGUCGACGAGCACAGCUUCCUAUUUGGGGUCGAGGUCGGCGCUGAUCGUCAGCACCUUACCGUCGGAGUUGUUGGGGUCGAGUGGGACCUUCUUGGUUCCUUCUGCCGCCUCGAAGCUGCCCGCGUGGCGCUUGGGCUCUGGGGCCUCAGCGGCCAGGGCCUCGAGCUUCGCGACGAGCUCGGUGGAGUUUUCGACCGCCUCCCCAUACUCGACGCACUUGACGUCGCACUCGUAUGCGUGCUGGAAGGAGGAGCUGACGGUGAUGACGCCUUUGGGGUCGGGCAUCUUCAGCUUCAAGUAGGUGUAGUUGGGUAUAGCCAUGAAUUUGGCGUAGCCCGAGCGCCCGAUGAUGGCGUGGUAUGUGCCCCGGAAUCCGACCACCUCAAAAGUGAGGGUCUCCUUCCUGAAGUUGGCUGCCGUGCCAAAGCAGACUGGUAGGUCGAUUCGACCUACUGGCAGUGCCUUUUUUACCUGGCACGACGCCAUGGAAACCUCCGGCGCUUGGCUGGAGGCGUCCCCUAUCGAUGCCGAGGAGGUCGAGGGUCUCGAGGUAGAUGAUGUUGAGGCUGCUGCCUCCGUCCAUUAGCACCUUGGAGAGCCGGGUGUUGAUGAUGAUUGGGUCGACGACGAGCAGGUAGACGCCUGGGGCGACUACCUUGUCGGGGUGGUCCUCUCGAUCGAAGUAAUGGGGGUGUUCGACCAGUUGAGGUACUGGGGCACCGCCAUUCUUGCCGCGAAGACCUCUCGGCGUUUCCUUUUGCGCUGCCUCGCGGUCAAUUGUGUCGAAGGCCCACCAUAGAUCAUGUAGCAGUCGUGGACGGUGGGGAAGCCGUCGUCGUCCUUGUUGCCCUCUUUGUCACCGCCCUUGUCCUUCUUCGAGUCGUCACGCUCAUCCCUUUUGAGCCCUAGACUGUCGAAAUGCCUUUUCAGCAUUCGACAGUCCUUGAGCUUGUGGUUGGCGCCUCCCUUAUGGUAAGGGCAUGGUUCUUCGAGCAUCUUGUCGAAGAUACCUCCGUCUGGGGGGCCUCUAGGCUUCUUCCGCUCCAUAGCAGCGACGAGAUCGUCGUCGAAGUUCUCCUGCUUGUACUGCCGCACUUUCUGCUUGAGCCCCCGACUGGGGGUUCCAUCUUCAUCGACGGGCCGCUUGCCUUUCCCCCCUUCACAGCUGAAGAAGGCGCCGACUGCCUCCUCCCCUGCCGCGUAGUUUGCUACUAAGUCCAUCAGCUCAUCGACGGUCUGAGGGCGAUUUCAGCCCAGUUCCCACACUAAGUCUCGACUGGUGGUACCAGAGACAAAAGCCAGGAUGACGUCAUGGUCAGGGAUGUGCGGAAGCUCAGUGCGCUGCUUCGAGAAGCGUCGAGCGUACUCUCGAAGAGUUUCUCCUGACUUCUGCUUGCAUUUGCUGAGGUCCCACGAGUUCCCGGGCCGUAUGUAGGUCCCUUUGAAAUUUCCCUCGAAAACUUUUACCAAGUCGACCCAGUCGUGAAUCUGAUUUGCUGGAAGUUCUUCGAGCCAUCGGCGGGCGGUGUCGGAGAAGAAGAGGGGUAGCUGUCUAAUGAUGGCUCGAUCAUCACCUCGAGCACCACCUAGCUGACAGGCCAGCCUGAAAUCGGCCAGCCAUAACUCUGGUUUGGUCUCUCCAUUGUAUUUCGCGAUGCUGGUCGGGGGUCGGAAUGGACUGGGCAGGGGCGUGCUGCGGAUCGCCCUGCUGAACACCCGUGGGCCCGGUGGCUCGGGGGCCACCCGGUCCUCGUCGCUGUCGUUCCUCCCGCCGCGAUGCGUGCUGUAACCGCGCUCUUCCGCGUCUCCGUGCCGGCGGCGUCGAUUUUCUUCGAUGUCAUGCCGUGCGUCGUGUCGACGCUGAUUGUCGAUGGGGAGAACAAGAGUGGUCUUUCUGCCUUGAGGUGGAGGCUGUUGAUGGACUGAUACCUCCUUUUCAUUUCGAGGUUGCUCGUCGUGCUUUUCUGUGGCAGCCCCUCACCGUCAAGAAGCUGAGCUUUCGGCCUGUUGAACUGCCGCCACCUGGAGCAGUGUCUGUACCUCGUCUCGAAUGCGUCGAGCCUGGGAGUUCGACGGCUCUGGCAUGUUGCGCAGCAGCAUCGUCGCCGCCACUACGUUUUGGCUUGCUCGAGGGAAGCGGCUGACGGGCUGCUCUGGCUCUGCGUCUCCGACGAUCUGUCGAUGUACCUCUCGAGCUCGUCUGCGAACACUUCCGCCUGGCGGAUACGGCAAGUCUUGCUCAAGGAUUUGCUCAAGCAGAACGAGGCGCUCUCGGUCUUCGUCGAGCUUCAUCUCGAGCUCUCGCAGCUGCGCUAGCUGUGCAGCCUUGUCUUCCUGUGGAGGGGGGUAGACUUGUCCGUCAUUCCCUGGCGUUCUGGGGUCUUCUCGCGCGGCGGGGGCUCGACCGCCCGCGGCAGCAUCCCGCGUCUCGUCGGUAGUUUCUACUGCCCCGUCGAUGUGAUAGCACUCCCUCGUAGGGUCGUAGCUAUCAGUCUCGAAGUCGUAGUCUGGCUCGGCAGCGUAGAAGCAUCCGCGUCCCUCCUCCAGCAGUCGUUGCCUGAGUGAGGUGAUCGUGUAUCGCCCAGGGCCUAAGCGGCGGAGGCCUCGCACCCGGGAGAGAUCCGGCAGUUCGGACGUCGGCCGUAGUGUCUCAGAGUCACGAGGGAGGACCAUUGGUCUCUCUACGUACGUCUGAGCAUUUGGGCAUAUUGUUCUGGCGAGCGAUGCCGCGGCGUUGUCCAAUCCGAAUGGCAGUGCCCUUCUUGGAGUGAACAACCCGUGUGGAAGUAGCUUAGCAGCGGUGGGAGAGGGUGCGCGAGACGCGUCCCCUCCCGUUGUCACGCGGUGCUGAGCCGUCGUGUCCGCAGCUCCGGCACAUGGUAUCGCCGGCUCGCGGUCCGCCUCCUGCCUCGCGCGAGUUGCCGGUCGUGAUGAGGCAGAGGGGCGGCGGUGGUGUUGUCCACGCCUCUUCUUGGGUGGGGAGGCGUGGUGGCGAGGGCAUCUCGGGGCCCUCAACCGUGCUGGCGCAACACGGGCUCCUCCCGGUCCUUUGACUGAGAGCAAGAUCAUGUCGUAGCCCGAGCCCGUGGACAUGAACUCGAGACUCCCAAACCAAAUCACCGUGGAGCGUGGAAUCGGCGAGGCAAGAGCUGCCAUCUGGAAAGGAGUGGGAAACUGAUGAAAAACACGCAGGACCCCUACCUGGCGCGCCAACUGUCGGUGUUUUCCCCACCGGGGGUCACACCAACGAGUAAAUUUGUAUGCGUGCUCCCUUUCCCAGAUGGUGAUGCAAGAAGACACAGAGAUUUAUCCUGGUUCGGGCAAGAGAAGGCCCUACGUCCAGCGGGGGGGAGAGAGUUUGUAUUAUCUUGCACCGAAGUGCUUGUACAGGGGUGAAUACAAGCGUGGUAUGAAGUGUGUGAGUUCUACUGCGUAUGGGUGUCGUGUUGUCCCUGAUCUAUUCCUGAGUCCCUCCUUUUAUAGUGCCAAGGAGAGGCCCAAGGUACAUGUAUAGGCGUCAGAAUAGGAGUUGAUAGCAGUAUGGAGCGCUGACCCACUCGAUGCUUCCGUACCAGCAUAGCCUCGAGCCGUCCCGUCUUAAUAGCCCGGUGAUGAUUACGCGUGCCUCUGCAUUCUGCUCUGCGCGCCAUCUUGGAUUGGCUCGACGGAUGCAUGCUUGUACGAUCCGGCGGCAAAUCCGGAGGAGUGGUUGGGAUGUAGUCAGUCGACGCCCAAUCCGUCCCCUGGAAGGAUCCCUGUCUGGUAGAGGGUCAGAUGUCGUACAUCAUGCUGAUAUCCGGAGCGCUGACUUUAGACGUCUCGAGGGGGUCCCGAUUAGACGUCCCAUCCUUGUUUCCCGCGCCCUGUCAUGCCCUGGGUCGUUCGGCGGGAAGGCUGCAAAAAGAUCGAUGGGACAGAAGCCUGUUCCCUAUCACGUCUCCCGUGACCUGUGUGUUGGAUGGGGAAGCGUCAGGCGCAUUAAAUGCUCCGACCCGCGUGCGCGCGUCAGGCGGCGGGCGGCGUCCUUGCGCUCGACACCCCCCGAUUCGCGUGAGCCUGUUCCGUAUUCGACGGUAUCCGGCGCUCGACGCCAGAUCGAUUCGCUCGACGCUACUUCCGUCUUCGAGGUUGCGGCCGUUGAUGGCGGCGCAUACGUAAGACUAGAGCAUCGAAUUGAGGGCCUCGACCUGCGUACGGGCAAUCUUAUAAUGCGCAUCACUGAGAGUACCCCUUACUGGUACCCUCGACAAGAAGACUAGCACGCGGAGGACAUUCUAAUCACUGUCAGAAUGCUGCUGACUUUCAAAUACACCUCUGCCACCUGCUAGCUACAUCAAGAGAAAUUACAUCAAAAUUCAGCUUGGGAGAGAGCACCCCCAUUUAUCUCGCUAAGUAUUUCUACCUAUCUUUAUACUUAUAUUAUGUUAGAAUAUUAAAAUACAUAAACUAUGAAAAACCAAAUAAAAAUUUUGUGUUUAUAUAUAUAUAUAUAUCUUUUGCUUAGUGUGUUUAAUAAAUAAAUAAAGUGGCUAUGCUAAUCUGAAUCUUAAUAAUAAAACUCUAGCAUGGAUAUGAUGAAUAUUUGCUCUGCCUAAUUUGUAAAUUUGAAGUUCUCUCUCAAGUUUAGACAUAACUGUUAUAAUUUAAAGCUUGCUCUAGAUCUAAACUUGUGGGAUGAAAACUUGAUCUGAAAUCUAAGUUGUUAACGGAUAUGAUAUGGGAAGGUUGAACUGCUGUUUAUCUGUUCCUAGAGAUGCUAGAAUUUUGGAGAAUUUUAUCUUUAAAAAUCUUUAAAAUGUUGCAUGAUGAGUUCCUGUAUGAUGAGAGUUUAAAAUCCUACCACAGCCACAUAUACAUGCUUAUUAGACUAUGAACCAUACAUUUACUUUUUACUGCUUAUGAGCAUUGAGUGUAGUCAAGCUGUGUAGACCCUUAGGAGCUUGUCAUGCGGUUAAAAUCAAGAUUCACUUGCACGUUCACUCAUAUAUGCUGCUUCUACUCCAGAAGUACGCAUCCACAUACAUCCACUCCUUUCCAUCUCGAGAUUCACCCAAAAUUAUUCUACUCCUAUCCGGGAGAGAAUAGCCAAAAACAUUAUCCCAUUCCUGUUUUUCCUUGUGAAAUAAAUGCUCAAGCUAUUUUGGUUACUACCACUUGCUACAUUAUUCCAGAAGGGUGAGUGCUCUGAAAAAAAAAGAAAAACACGAGGAAAUAAAAAUGGGCAAGUGCCCGGAACCUCGAAAGAAAAAAGAAAAAGUGACACGAGAGGUAAAAAUGGACAAGUGUCUGACAGUAGAAUUAGGGGUACAAGAUACCCACCCGAAAGAAAAGAAAAAUAAAAUAUAGAGCAUCUCAUUCUCCUCAAAAAGCUUUAAAGUGCAAGAAAGAUAUGUAUCCUCUCAAAAGAGCAAAAGUAGAAUUAGACUUUCACCAUUGUUUUCACCAUUAUCACUAUCAUCACCAUACACCAUUCAUUCGCCACACAUGCACAUCUUGAUUUAACUUAUUGACUUGUUUCUCUGGAUCCAUGGUUUGUCUAUGCAAUAAAUGUCUUGUAAGUAUGUAUUAGCUGUCUCCCACCUAUGAGCUCCAGAUAUCAAAACCUUAUUAGAGUAGGGUGAGAGAGAAGGCAAUGUCACUAUGCCUCAUACCACAAAUACCACAUACUUUGAGAGAAGGCAUAUACCAUCACUGCCUUGGUAAGGAUUCAGAAAUACCACAAAAGAGAGAAUUGAGAGAGUCAUACAAGGAAUCUCUGAGUUUUAUUUGAAAAUCUGUAAAAACUCCAGAGCUAUAGUUGAUCAAAGAACAAGAGACAUGGUGCUUGACUUGACCGUUCUAUCUUUUAACUGCUCAAGACACAAGUGACGGUUGCAAGCCCCAUGGUGAAAGGUAAUAUGAGUAAGUUUUAAAUCUUAACAACUUACCUUAACCUAGAGAUGAGAUCUUGUUUGAAUGCAUGAGUACCUUUAAGGCAUAAAACCACUGCAAAAACUCUUGAGUCCAUCCUUGCUCAGGGACGAGCAAGAGGUAAGCUUGGGGGAGUUGUUGACGGUCCUUAAGUACCAAAUAUAAUCAUCAAAUAAACAAAGAAAAGGAUUCAAAUGAAAUCAAAAUCUAGACUUAGGUUUUUAUCUGACAGAAUUCUAUGAGUUUUGGUGUUUGUCUAUUUUUGCAGGGGGUUAUUAGGAAAUACGGAAGAAAGGCCCGCACGUCGGGAUUACAUAGAGAUAUUAACGUGUCGCGCAAUUAUCUUACAUCUAGAAGACUCCAGCCGAACGGGGCCAGAGGCAGGGUGCCCGCCCUCCUGCCCUGGGCGCCCGCCUUGACUUAGAGCCCAAUCAGGACUCUUUCUCUCCGGAGAUCUCCACCGACCUAAAGGAUCAAGAAUAACCGUUCAAUCAAUGUCGGUUUGAUCCGACGGCCCAGGUUCACUUGAGGGGACUAUAUAACCAGACCCCCUAGCCCCUGGAGGAGGCAACCCCUUGAUCAUUAUUCAUUAUUCGUAGACAGAGCAAAAGCUAGGGUUUAGAGAUGAGAGCUCUCCUCUCUUCUCUAAACUAGAGUAGAUCUAGAUAGUAGCGAGAUGGAGAGCGAAGGAGGAUUAGAGGAGAGGCCGGCCUGUCGGUUCUUCCUCCGGUUGUACUUCGUCAUGAUCAAGCUCUAAUCAAGCCUGCUCAUGGGAUGACUCUGGUAAUCUACUUUUAAUUCAUUAUGCAAUUACUAAUCAUGUAUGUUCUAGUUCACAACUCUUUUGAGUACUUCUAAUCUAUAGGACGCUAUAGGUUAGAGUUGUAGUAUAAUUAUAAGCGUGGUGCUUACACCUAGAUUACUUGUGGAUAUCCCCUGUCUAGCUGGAUCGUGUGGUAGGCCGCGUAGGUGACAAUUACGUUGGUCCUCUGUAGUCCACCUCUCGUUAGCAGGACGGGUAGGGUUUAUCGGCCUAAGGAUAAGCAUCCUUUGUGGUGUACUCUUAUCACGUGGUUCGUCCCAGACAUAGACAUACCCCUUUGAAGUAGAGAAACCAUAGUUAUCCUCUCUAUUCUGCAACCAUCGCCCAUAUACUAGAAUUGCUCUACUCUCUAUUCCCAUAUUAUCACCUAUUGUUAUCUUACCUUUAAUAUUAUUCUUAUUCAAUUCUACCAUCUUUCCUAUUUCCACCUAUCUAUCUAUCUUGGUUAAGUUAGAGCGUAGUUGAUUCUCCCGUUUCCCUGUGGAUACGAUAAAACCUUUAACCGGAUAAAAGCUUCAACGGUAUCCGUGCGCUUGCGGAUUAUCUGUGUGCGUAUAAAUACCAUAGCACACUCUAGUGCCAUGCUGGGGAUGACAACCUAGUAUUCAAGUGGUGUUAGCAAGUGUCAACAGCUACUACUGACCUUCUGAAGGUCAAGAGAGGCGAUCCAGGAUGCCCCGUCAUCCCGAUCUCCAUCGGCAUGGUGGACUUCCCAGAAGCACUCUGUGACUUUGGCUCUAGUGUCAACAUUGUGCCGAGGGUACUCUAUUAAAAAUUCUUUACAUAUCCUUUAUUAAAACAACCAUGUGUUUGCAGUUUGCAGAUGAGACGAUCAGUUUUCCAAAAGGAAUAUUGAGGAACCUUUGCGUCCGAGUUGGUACCUUAUACGCCCUAGCAGACUUCGUGGUGAUAGAGACCGAUAAUGAUGAGAGGGCACCCAUCAUCUUAGGGAGGCCAUUCUUGAACACCUCGGGAGCUGUCAUCUACGCUAGUGCUGCCAAGAUCAGUUUCUACAUCGAAGGGAGGAAGGAGACAUUUUCCUUCAAGAACAAGACUACACAAAUCCCAGAUCAAUCCAGACGUGAAUCAAGGAAGAGGACCAACAGGAGGAAUAGGAACAAGCAAGUGUGGACCGAGUCAGCUAAGAUGGUCACUGCAGUUCAAGGAGGUCAAGAUCAUCAACUUAAGUCACCAUUUUUUACCAAGAAGGAUGACCCUGGAAUGCCAAGAAUCUAUUGCUCCAUAAAUGGAUACAACUUCUACAAGACGACUUGCGACACCGGAUCGGGCGUCAACAUAACGGCCGCAGUCACCUAUCGGCUCUUGUUCGGAAACAUGCCCUUAAAACCAAUAUACAUUCAGCUCCAGAUGGCAGAUCAAACAUUUCGAGAGGUUAAAGGUAUAGUAACUGAUGUCCGUAUCAAAAUAGACGAUCAUUUUGUCUACACAGACUUUCAGGUCAUUGACAUGGGAGAAGACGAGUACGAUCCACCCAUCAUCCUUGGAAGACCGUUCCUCAGCACCGUUAAAGCAAUCAUCUACAUUGGAACCGGAGAAGUCCAUAUGCACUUCCCCUUAGAAAAGGUACGCCGAUAUUUUACUGACCCUAACUAUAUCGUUGAAGACUCUAAGCAGGUCAGGACAAGAAAACGACGCAACUGCAACCAGAGGAGGGAAAUCAUCAAGGACGGAUGGGCAGACUAUGAAGGAGAAGUGAUAAGGUCAGAAGACAUACAGUUUAAACAGAAUUAUCCAGAGGAGACUGUAGCACCGAGUCAGGAAUGGAAAGAGAAGAUAACUAUACAUGAAGAGGAUGCGCUGCCGGAAGUACCGACUCCGCCACCCAACGAAUCCCAGGACAACUGAGAAAACAGAGAGUCCCGUUCGGAGGACUUAAAAACACCGAACGCCUUGCCAAGAGGUAAACUUGGUAGUUAUCCUUUCCCUUUCAAUUAUUUUAAACAGUUGAGUCAAUCAUGUUUAUACUAUCCUAAAAAGAAAAUAAAAAUGUUAAAAAACAGUAAGCCCCAUGCGAGUAUACGAGUGGCAUAAAACCCAUAAGUACAAUCACUGUGGUGGCAUAAAAAUAAAAUAAAUAUUUCUUUUUCUGCUUUAUAAAAUGAAAAUAUAAAAAUAGGGAGUAAUAGUUAUUGAGGAGGCUCAAUAUGAUGAAGGCUAAAUAUUUAUGCUAACACUUAAUCAGUUCCACAAAGCUUUCUUGUCUCUUUGAGCUCCAUAGAAUUUAAGAAUCAAGAAGACUAGUAGACGGAGGUCAUUCUAAUCGCUGUCAAAAUACUGCCGACUUUCAAAUACACCUCUGCCACCUGCUAGCUACAUCAAAAGAAAUUACGUCAAAAUUCAGCUUGGGGGAGAGCACCCCCAUUUAUCCCGCUAAGUAUUUCUAUCUAUCUUUAUACUUAUACUAUAUUAAAAUAUAGAUAUACAUAACUAUGGAAAACCAAAUAAAGAUUUUGUGCUUAUAUAUAUCUUUUGCUUAGUGUGUUUAAUAAAUAAAUAAAGUGGCUAUGCUAAACUGAAUCUUAAUAAUAAAACUCUAGCAUGGAUAUGAUGAAUAGUUGCUCUGCCUAAUUUUCAAAAUUGAAGUUCUCUCUCAAGUUUAGACAUAACUGUUAUAAUUUAAAGCUUGCUCUAAACCUAAACUUGUGGAAAGAAAACUUGAUCUGAAGUCUAAGUUGUUAAUAGAUAUGAUAUGGGAAGGUUGAGCUGCCGUUUAUCUGUUCCUAGAGAUGCUGGAAUUCUGGAGAAUUUUAUCUUUGAAAAAUCUUUAAAAUAUGGCAUGAUGAGUUCCUGUAUGAUGAGAGUUUGAAUUCCUACCACAGCCAUAUAUACAAGCUUGCUAGACUUUGAGCAACACAUUUACUUUUUACUGUUUAUGAGCAUUGAGUGUGGUCAAGCUGUGCAGACCCUUAGGAGCUUGUCAUGUGGUUAAAUCAAGAUUCACUUGCACGUUCACUGAUACAUGCUGCUUCUAUUCCGGAAGUAUGCAUCCACAUAUAUCCACCCAUUUCCAUCUCCAGAACCACCCCAAAAAUAUUCUACUCCUAAUCCGGGAGAGAAUAGCCAAAAAUAUUUAUAUUUUCCCCUAUGAAAUAAAUGCUCGAGUUAUCUUGUUACUACCACUUGCUAUAUUAUUUCAAGAAAUGAGUGCUCUAAAAAAAAGAAGAAUAAAAGAUACGAGGAAAUAAAAAGGGGCAAGUGCUCGGAACCUCGAAAGAAAAGAAAAAGUGAGACGAGAGGUAAAAAUGGACAAGUGUCCGACAGUAGAAUUAGGGGUACAAGAUACCCACCUGAGAGAAAAUGAAAUAUAGAGCAUUUCAUUCUCCUCAAAAUGUUUCAAACAGCAAGAAAGGUAUGUAUCCUCUCAAAGAGCAAAAGAUUUAGACUUUCACCAUUGUUAUCACCAUCAUCACCAUAUACCAUUCAUUCGCCACACAUGCACAUCUUGAUUGGACUUAUUGAUUUGUUUCUUUGGAUCCAUGGUUUGACUAUACAAUAAAUGUCUUGUGAGUAUGUAUACUUUAUCUCCCACCUAUGAGCUCCAGAUAUUAAAGCCUUAUUAGAGUAGGAUGAGAGAGAAGGCAAUGUCACUAUGCCUUAUACCACAAAUACUACAUACUUUUUGAGAGAAGGCAUAUACUAUCACUGCCUGGGUAAGGAUCCAGAAAUACCACAGAAGAGAGAUCUAAGAGAGUCAUACAAGGAAUCUCUGAGUUUUAUUUGAAAAUCUGCAAAAACUUCAGAGCUAUAACUGAUCAAGAAUAAGAGACAUGGCACGUCACUAGACCGUUCUAUCUUUUAACUACUCAAGACAAAAGAGACGGUUACAAGUCCCAUGGUGAAAGGUAAAAUAAGUAAGUUUUAAGUCUUGACAGUUUACUCUAACUCAUAGAUGAGAUCUUAUUUAGAAGCAUGUGUACCGUCAACUUUUAAAGGUAUUGCAACAACUUCUGAUCCAUCGCUUAGAUUAUCCUUGCUCAGGGACAAGCAAGAGGUAAGCUUGGGGGAGUUUGUUGACGGUCCUUAAGUAUCAAAUUUAAUUAUCAAAUAAACAAAGAAAAGGAUCCAAAUGAAAUCAACAUCCAGACUUAGGGUUUUAUCUGACAGAAUUCUAUGAGUUUUGGUGUUUGUCUAUUUCUGUAGGAGGUUAUCAGGAAAUACGGAAGAAAGGCCCACAUGUCGGGAUUACAUAGAGAUAUCAACAUGCCGCGCAAUUAUCUUACAUCUAGAAGACUCCAGAAGCCACGGAAACGAAGCGGAGGCGAAACAGGGCCUGGCCCUGGGCGCCCGCCCAGGAGACUAGGGCGCCCGCCCCCUGUUAGAGUCCAAUCAGGACACUCUUUCGGGAUUACGCUCCACCGACCUAAAGGAUCAAGGAUAACCGUUCAAUCAAUGUCGGUUUGAUCCAACGGCCCAUAUUCACUUGGAGGGACUAUAAAACCAGACCCCCUGGCCCCUAUAGGAGAGAGCCUCUCAACCCUAAUUCAUUAUUCCUCAAGGGAGAAGAAGCCUCUGAUCAAGCCUAGAGCCACCACAACAAUUAGACAUCUAGAUUAGCAUAGCUAUAUAGGAUUAGAACUAGAAGGAGUCAAUCUUCGAUUGGUUUCCAGAUCUGUUAAGAGGAUUCUUGGUAAUUCUCUAGUUGUUCUUCUAAUUGUUCAUCUUUGUUCUUCAAUAUUAUGAAUAUGACUUUGUUCUACUUCAAUAUAUUGCUUAUGACUUUGCUCUACUUGUUUAUAUUCAAGAUUAUAUUGUUCUUAGUCUAUCAUAGUUAUAUACUUGGCUUAGUUAGAUUUCAUCUACAUACAUGUUUAGAAUCGUAUAGCGUUUCUCCAUCAGAUCCAUGGGUAAAUGAUAGAUAUUGUGCAGGCGUGUUGCUUAUAACGUAUUUAUCUGCGAUUGUACCCAAUAUGCCAGAUCACGGGGUAGUUCGUGAUAGUGACAGCUUCAUUGAUUCUUAUAUAGUCCCCCUCUCGUGUAUUGGGCUGGCAGAGCAACAUUAUUAUAGGGGAGUUAUUGCUAUGUUUCUCAUAUUCCUUGCUAAUAUCACUAUGCAUGGGCGUAGUCUUGUCUCACAAUGAUUGCUAAGUGUGCUUGCACUAACUAUGAUAUGCUAGACUAUAUAGUUGAGAAUAACUUAGGAAAUAUUCCUGUAGUUCGUUCUAAUUCCAUGCUAAUGACUUGCUAGAAUAUCUAAUUGAGGUGCUUAUCAUAUUUAUUACGUGGCUAAGUUAUGCUGAUCAGAUUAAUUACCUUUGUCACUAUUCAUUACUUUAUAUCCUUUAUGUGACACUUACCCCAGUAUGAAAGAGUUAGAUAGUUGUUCUCAAUUAUACAUGCAAUGAUAGAUACUCAAUCUCAUAUUCCAUUCUAUAAUCAACAUUGAUGAUUGCUAAUCCCUUCCCAAUGGUAAAAAUAUAAAUAACGAUACCUGGAAUACUUCUCGGUUAAAAUGCUACAUCGGUAUUAAUCUGUGCGCUUGCAGAUCCCAUUCAUUAUUUAUUUAGAUGAGCAAUUGCAUAUUUCAAUACCGCGUCUCUCAUGUCAUGCUGGGGAUGACAACUUGGCUUAAGUGGUAUGAGGGAUAGGUUUUGCAUUUUUGCAACCGUUAUCAGCAUUAGAAAACUAAGUCUACUUUUGGUAAUGAUGUUAAGAAUACCCAACAAUCACGAGCUCCGGUCCCGCGUGGCCGCAGGGCAUGCAGCGCCGUGCACGCGUCCUCGCCGCCACACAGCUGCUUGCUGGCCACGUCACCGCGCAACAUGGAUGCCCGCGACCCCUUCACCUCGUCCUCUUAAGCGCCCGCGCGGCCGACCUUGAGUUCCCUUGCUUCGGCGACCGAAAACACACGACGACACCCCACCGCCCAAUACGCCCAGUGUGUUUCCCCUCUGACCAAAUUGAGCUCUCCAACAUCUCCGCCACCCCAUUGCGAACCCAGCGUACGCCCAGGAACACUCCCUGCCCCUCUCAAUCACCCGGACUUCCUCUUCUUCUGCAACUCCGACCGACUUCCACCGUGAGCUCCCUUCCUCGUGGUCAGGCCAUUCCACAAGGUAUCAAGCCAUGGUAAGAGAUGUUAGAGCUUCACCGUGCUGUCCCGUAGCUCAUGUGCUCGAUUCUUGGUCUUACGCACGUGCAGGUCCACCGGAACGACCCCGCCGAGCCCAGAGCGCCCGCCCGAAGACACUGCCGCCGUCGCUAGCACCCUCUGCUGCCUCUCCCGCCGUGGUGACAUGAGCACAAUGGUCCUUGCUCUACCCUGAAGCUACCCAAUGUUGACGGUCCUUAAGUAUCAAAUUUAAUCAUCAAAUAAACAAAGAAAAGGAUCCAAACACAACCGACACCCGGACUUAGGGUUUUAUCUGAUAGAAUUCCACGAGUUUUGGUGUUUGUAUAUUUCUACAGGGGGUUAUCAGGAAAUACGGAAGAAAGGCCCACACAUCGGGUUUGCAUAGAGAUAUUAACGUGUCGUGCAAUUAUCCAACAUCUAGAAGAGUCCAGAAGCCACAGGAACGAACGGGAGACCGAACGGGCCCGGGGGCAGGGCGCCCGGCCUCCCCCCUUGGGCGCCCGCCCUGGCCUGAGGGCCAAUCAUCUUCAUCUUCGCGGAUCAUGCUCCACCGACCUAAAGGAUCUGAUAGCCCAUAUUCACUUGGAAGGACUAUAUAAGCAGACCCCCUGGCCCGUGGAGGAGAGCACCUAUCUGAAACCCUAAUUCAUUUAUCCAUCUUGGGAGAAGAAGCCUCUGAUCAAGCCCUAGAGCCACCACAUCAAUAGAUCUCUAGUUUAGCAUAGCUACAUAGGAUUAGAACUAGAAGGAGUUAAUCUUCGAUUGGUUUCUGGAUCUGUCAAGAGGAUUCUUGGUAAUUCCUCUACUGUUCAAUUGUUCAUCAUUGUUCUUCAAUAUUAUGAAUAUGACUUUAUUCUACUUCAAUAUAUUGAUUAUGACUUUGCUCUACUUGUUUAUAUUUGCAAUUAUAUUGUUCUUAGUUUAUCAUAGUUAUAUGCUUGGCUUAGUUAGAUUGGAAUUAUAUACAUGUUUAGGAUCGUAUAGCGUUUAUCCAUGUGUACAGUGGGUAAAUGAUAAGUAUUGUGUAGGCGUGGUGCCUAUACCGUAUUUAUCUGCGAUUGUACCCUAUAUACCGGAUCGCGGGGUAGUUCGUGGUAGCGACAGCUCCAUUUAUUCUUAUAUAGUCCCCCUCUCGUGUAUAGGCAGAGCAACAUUAUAACAGGGUAGUGAUUGCUAUGUUUCUCAUCUUUCUUGAUAAUAUCACUAUGCAUGGGUGUAGUCCUGUCUCGCAAUGAUUGCCAAGUAUAAUUGCACUAACUAUGAUAUGCUAGACUUUAUAGUUAAGAAUAACAUAGGAAAUAUUCUUGUAAUACGUCCUAAUUCCAUGCUAAUGACUUGCUAGAAUAUCUAUUGAGGUGCUUAUCAUAUUUAUAUGUGGCUAGUUAUGUUGAUCAGAUUAAUUAUCUUUGUCACCAUUCAUACUUUAUCUAUCUUUUAUGUGACACUUAUCCCUGUAUGAAAGAGAUAGAUAAAUGCUCUCAAUUAUACAUGCAAUGAUAGAUACUCAAUUCUAUAUUCCAUUCCAUAAUCAACAUUGAUGAUUAGAAAUCCCUUCCCAGUGGUAAAAAUAUAAAUAACGAUACCUGAAAUACUUCCCGGUUAAAAUGCUACAUCGGUAUUAAUCUGUGCGCUUGUAGAUCUCAUUUAUUAUUCAUUCAGAAGAGCAAUUGCAUAUUUCAAUACCGCGUCUCUCAUGUCAUGCUGGGGAUGACAACUUGGAUUAAGUGGCAUGAGGGAUAGGUUUGGCAUUUUUGGCGCCGUUAUCAGAAAUAGAAAACUAAGUCUACUUUUGGUAGUGACUUUAAGAAUGCCCAACAAGCAUUUCUGGCGCCAUUGCCGGGGAAGGUUGAUUACUAAUUAGGAAUGAAUAUGGAAUUUUGAGUCAUCAUUCGCAUCACUAAUAUGAUUGAGAUUAUCAAUUCUCUGAUACAGUUUUACCAUCUAUUUUACUUUAUGCACGGUGAUGUAUGAAUAGAAGACAUCUUCCAGGAAAUUUUGUUGCCAACCCCGAAGCAUUAUUCAGAAAAACAAGAGCCAAGCUCAAGAAGGCAUCGUCAACACUUCAGCACGAAGCUUCAUCCAACCAAGAUGAUCGCCAAAGUUUCAUCUGGAAUUUGUCUUCAGAAUACGAAGUCAUGGCGAACAAAUCGAUCCGUGAGUUCUCAGCUCCCACUACGGACAACAUCCGUACUGGACCUGCUGCAGAGAUUGACGGCAACUUUGAGCUCAAGCCUAGACUUAUCAACAUGGUGCAAUCCAACCAGUUCUGUGGGAAGGCACACGAAGAUGCUAGUGCUCAUCUCCAACACUUCCUGAGAUUUGCAGCACAUUCACCAUAUCAGGAGUCCCUAGAGAUGCUAUACUACUUCGCCUCUUCCCAUUCUCACUGUUGGGGAGAGCGAAGCUGUGGUUCUACACUACAAAGGAGAAUAAUACUACGUGGGCACUCCGCUCCACAAACUUUCUGGCUAAGUUCUUUCCUAUGGGCAAGACCAAUGCUCUCCCUAGGGAAAUUUCAAGUUUUCAGCAACAACAUGAUGAAUCCGUUCCAGAAGCAUGGGAGCGCUUCCAAGACUACAUCCUAGAAUGUCCCCAUCAUGGAAUGGAGAGCUGGCUACUCAUGCAGACAUUUUAUCAUGGGCUCAGCAAUAGUGCCCGUGAGACCAUGGAUGCUGCAACUGGAGGAGCAUUCCUAUACUCACCAUACCACAAGCCACAGCUCUUGUGGAGAAGAUGGCGUCCAAUCAAGGCUGGAAUGAAGAAAGAACCUAGACACGCAGAGAGGUGGAGGUAUGCACCAACUCAAGGAGGUAGACAUGCUGUCUGCUAAGCUAGACCUGCUCAUGAAGAAGCUCGAUGAUAGAGCUGGAGAUAAGAAAGAAGUUAUGCACAUCUACGACUCUCACAUGACUUGUGAGGAGUGUGUUAAUAUUGGACACUCAGGCAAUCUCUGCCCUGAGAUGCUUGAGGAUGUCAACUACAUCAACAACAACAACAGCAACAACAACUAUUACAACCGUCCUCAACAAAAUCAAGGUUCGAAUCAACAGAGGCCUAACUACCUAGGUAAUUAUCAAGGUAACAAUUCUUACAAUAAUAAAAAUUUUCCACCUCUGAGAGAGUUAAUGUCUAAUCAAGGAAAGCUAAUGGAUAAUCUAUCUAAGAAAUUGGCAUCUAAUGAUAAAAUGUUAGAAAAUAUAAAUAAUAGAAUGAAUAAAUUCUCUACUACCAUCAGGAAUCAACUUAGCUUUAAUAAAAAGAUUGAAUCUCAGUUAAAUCAAAUAGCUGCUGCUGUUCCUGCUACUAACCCCAGUAUACCAUCACAACCAGAAGGAUUAGAAUCUGCAAAUCUUGUAGACAUGUUUGAUGCAGGUAACUACUGGAGUAACCCCGUCACGGAAGUUACUACUGACCUUCUGCCAGUCAAGAGAGGCGAUCCAGGACGCCCCGUCAUCCCGAUCUCCAUCGGCAUGGUGGACUUCCUAGAAGCACUCUGCGACUUUGGCUCUAGUGUCAACAUUAUGCCAAGGGUACUCUAUGAAAAAUUCUUUACAUAUCCUUUAUUAGAAACAACUAUGUGUUUGCAGUUUGCAGAUCGGGCGUUAAGUUUCACAAAGGGAAUUUUGAAGAAUCUCUGUGUCCGAGUUGGUACCUUGUACGCCCCAGCAGACUUCAUGGUGAUAGAGACCAGUAAUGAUGAGAGGGCACCCGUCAUCUUAGGGUGGCCAUUUCUAAACACCUCGGGAGCUGUCAUCUAUGCUAGUGCUGCCAAGAUCAGUUUCUACAUCAAAGGGAGGAAGGAGACGUUUUCUUUCAAGAACAAGACUGCACAAAUCCCAGAGCAACCCCGACAUGAACCAAAGAAGAGGACCAACAGGAGGAACAAGAACAAGCAAGUGUGGACCGAGUCAGCUAAGAUGGUCACUGCAGUUCAAGGAGGUCAAGACCGUCGACUCAAGUCACCGUUCCUAGCCAAGAAGGACGACCCAGAUAUGCCAAGCAUCCAUUGCUCCAUCAAUGGGUACAACUUCUACAAGACACUUUGCGACACUGAAUCGGGCAUCAACAUAAUGGCCGCAGUCACCUAUGUAACACCCUAGGUGUUAAGCAUGCAUUUAGCCCUAUCACAACAUGCAUAAGCAUUUUCAUCAAGCAUAGCAUCAUGAGCAUGUCAUUCAUCCCAAAACAUGAUUUUAUGUGCUUUAUUUCAUGUGUUUUAAUUAUGCUAAAAUAUGAUGCUUGCUUCCAAAAAUGUGAAAUAUUUAAACUAGGUUGAUUUAUGUGUAAGAAGAAUUUAGAGUAUUUUUGUGUAAUUUUUGGAGCUAUGGAAUUUGAGAAAUGGAAUUUAUACAAGAUUUCCAAAUUGAAUUUAUUUAAAAACCUAGAACUAAGUUUUAAUUUGUAAUUCAAAUUCUAUUUGGAAUUUGGUCUUGCUUAUUAAAGCAAAGUUGUAGAGUUUUUGCUUUGGAACAACUUUGUUUUUGGGAGCAAGAGGUGAAAAUGAUUUUAAAUUGGUCCAAAUGAAUUUAGAAAGAAUUUGGAGAAAAGGAAUUAAAAAAAAGGAAAGGGGCAGGCGCUGCUGGGCCAACCCCGCUUCCCUUUCGGCCCAACGAGCGGCCCGGCCUGCCUCCCCCUUCCCCUCUCUCCCGCGUGCGCGGCGCCCGCCUCGCUCCACCCGGCGCCGGCCACGUGGCGGCCGUACGCCGGCAUUGGACGCGCCGCGGCCGGCCUCCAACCCCCCCUGGUCGGGACGCCGGCUCGGGCUCCCAGGCCAUUUCCUCCGUUCUGUCCCCCGCGCCCUCCUUCUCCUUCCUCCCUUCGCUCGCACCGCGCAGCAGCAGCAGCUCCUCCGCACGCCAUUGCCGGAGAAAGCCCCGCCGCUCGCCGCCGACCGCACCAGAGCCUCAAGGUCACCGCCGAGAGCACCAGCGCCUUCGUCAUCGUUAGGGUAAGCUUGUGCGCGCGUUCUAUCGAGGUGAGAGUCCGUCGAGCGCCGUGAAUAGCUCGCCGGAGUUACACCGAGCUCGCCGGAGUACUCCGCCGCGACGGAUCUUGUGUUUCUCUGCCUCUUUUCGCUGGUUCUUGGGUGCGCUAGGUCGGUAGGGUGGUGAGGAAGCUCGGAGAGGCGUUUGCGCACGCUCUACCGCGCCGGAGCGGCCUGGCCACGGCGAGCAGCGCCGCCGUGCCGCCAUGCAUGCUCGUCGGAGGUGUUCCGGUCAUCCUCCGGCCAAUCCAAGGGUACCGUUGGGUGCGCCUCGCUGCGGGGAGCACGUUGGUGCUUACCCCGUGGCGGGAGACCUCACCGCCGGCGAGAUCUGCUCGUUGGAGGUGAGCUCCCUCUCGGUCUCGCUGACCGGUGGGGUCGGGGACCCACUGUCAGUCGCAGGGGGACCCCGGUGGGUGUAGAUCUGGGUGUGCGUAGCCUUUUUCGUCGGUUUUCUUGAAUAAAUGAUUUCCAAAAAUUGAUUCAAAACUUGAAAAAUUCAUAUCUUGAGUUCUACAGCUCCAAAUUGGAUGAAAUAAAUUUUAGUGUGCUCUAUAUUUCCAGAUCUACAGUUUGAUGUAAUUGCAUGUCAUGUUUGAGUAACUUUUCUGAAUAAAUAUAUUUAAUCCAUGUUUUUGCUAAACUUGGAGAAUGCAUAGUAAAUAAAAUAUGGUUCAGAAAAAUGUGAAACUUGAUUUGUUGGCUCUGCAUAUAUGUUUACUCACUGGGAAAAUAUUGCUACAUAUUAUUUGGUGUAUAGAUGAAUUUAAGGUAAUUUAAAUGCUUGCAUGGUAGUGAUUUAUGAUUUUUAAUAAUUAAUUGGAUCAUGCAAUAAAUCUGGAAAAUUUUGUGGGUGUUUCUUAUGAUAUUAGACAAAUUGUAAAAAUAUGAAAUCUGUUAUUUGACACUUAUAUCAUAGUAGAGUGAUUAUACUUACCCUAUGAAUUAAUCUUGUGAUUUUUGUGGCUCAAAAUAAGUAUCCAAAAAUUAUGAAAAAUUUACAGUAGACUUUAUGCGUAGCUGGUAGUCUCCUGUAAUUUUUGUGGAAUUUAUUGAUGAACAGAAUUGCAUGUGAUUUUUAAUGGGCCUAGAAAUGAAUAAAGAAAAUUUUGAAUUGUUGUGUAUAUAGGUUGAAUAGAAUAGGUUGGGUUUGGUGUAUCUUUGAAGCAUCAUGUGGGUUGCUGGUUGCAUUUGAAAAAUAAUUGUAGAAGAGAAUGCAAUAGAUGUUUGAUUCAAUUGUUUGUUCUUGGAUGAUGUUGACUACCUUGUAAUGAGCAUGACCGAGUACAUUACAUAUGCAUCAUGUCAUGACUCCUUUGGUACUUUCUCAUACAAGCAUCCACUCGGGCAUCUCGCACUCCACUAAUAAGCACCCAUGCAUCAUACAGGCUUGCAGGAGAACGAAGUGGGAACCGAGGAACCCGAGGAGAUUCAGGAGCAGGAACCUCCGGAAGCACAGGAACCCGGAGAGAAGCUGCAGGAGUGUCCGGAUCACGGACCCAGCACGUUUGAGAAAGGCAAGCCCCGGAGCAUUCUAAGUCUCCCUAUUCUCGCUAACUUAUAUGAUGCGCUAUAAUUGUUCUACUAUAUUGCAUCUAAGUGAUAGGAUUUGAUUGAUGCCGUUGAUGCAUAUGUACUCCUUGUUAUCCCUACUCGUUCACCUACCUUGUCCUAUGUAGAUAGGCACGGAGUCUAUGCUUAGCUUGCUUAGUCCGGUAGAAGUCGGGUGAUUUCCUGUCACCUGCGAGAAAUAGGUGGAUACCUGCUUGAUUAAGCAUUGGUUGCUUGGGGAAAAGAAUAACCAAGUAUGGAAUGUAACUGGAGACCGGGCAGGGUCUUAUGGUGGGUUGACCAUAGUGCCCCAGCCUGCGUUGAUUAAGGACCGAUCGUUGACGGCCCUCUUGUCAUGUUGAACGCAUGCCCCACACUUAGCUGGAAGGAUAAGUCGUUCCGACCGCGAAGCCUGAACACUAUCCGGGCCGGGCAUCGAGCCGCCAUGCGCUGUAUUGGUGAUGGUUGAGGAGAACGACGAGGGCGCGGCGCGCAACCUUGGUAUACCUUGGAUACCUCGAUCGCCGGAACGGUCCUCGGGUACUGGCGGUGCCUGCCGAACCCGCGAAUUGGUCCUGGAUAGUGUAAUAUAGUGAUCUGUAGCUCACUUGAUCAGUGAGUGUGGUUUGUGUGGGGAAUACCUCGCCAGCUGGUUAGAAAUCGAUUUGAAUCGCCAUCGCUCCUGGAUAGUGAGCACUUGACAUGAGCUUCGUCCUCGUAGUAAGGACUAUGGAACACUUGGGUUAUGUUGAUGAAUGGUUUUAAGAAAUGCUAUGAUGAGGUACUAUCAUAGCCUUAUACUCGCUUGUAAUAGUGCAGGUGCAAACCUAGAUGAUAGGUAAUGAUACUUUCAACUUGAGCAAAUUAAAAGAAGAAAGACUUAUGUAGGUUAUGAUAGUAAAAUCCUGCGGUUUUGCAAAAUGGUUGUCAGCUACCCCACUAUAUAGCCUUCAUGAUCCUUGAUGAGUCUUUAUUUUAAGUUUAUGACGGGUAAGUCUAGCUCUGUACCUUCUCGUACUCAGGGUUCUACUCCCAUGUUGUUUUGCAGAUGGUCAAAUGUACUAUGGUUAUUGCAUCCUCUGUCUGUACCCAGCCAUGGGUGAUGACUAGACCAAGGGCGAUGGUAACUCCGUCUUCUCUUUUGCUUUUGUGGGAAUGACCGAACUAUGGCACUGUAUCAGACUAAGCGUGUGUGUUGUAUUUUCGAACUACGAAGCUUCUGCUACUUGAAGAACUUGGUUUGUAAUAACUUUAAAAACUCCGAUGUAUUUUAUGAAUGUUGAAAUCUGGAUGUAUUGUGAAUGGCGACCGCUAAACUUAUUACGAUCUUGGCUGUUGUGUGAUAUGUGGUUUGAAAUCCUUCGAGAUUUCACGGACUACCGGGAUUAUAUGGGCUUAAGCGUGAUGGUUUGACUAUGCAAAUGGUCACUGUUAGGCUUAAUCUCUUAUAAUUUGGUCGGUUCUGUUACAGCUGGCAUCGGAGCAAGGUUUAGCGAGUUACUGUUCAUAAGUACGUUGUAAACAAAAUCUAAACCGGUCUAAUAAAGGAUUUUAUUAAUUAAUAAUGAUCAAAGUGUUAAACUAAGUUUUGGAAAACUAUCUAGUGUGCCAUGGUCAUAUCCUUUAUGCCCAGUUAAGGACUCUAAGGUGGCUAGUUAAGUACUGACUUGGGGGUUAAUGCAUCAUAUUUUUAUUUCGUCGCUCAUACGGCGUGCAAUAGUAUGAGUACCAUUCAUUUGAGUGGUAAUGUAUGGAUCUAUUUUUCCUCUACGUCAUGGUAAGUGGGAGCUGUGAGAGCAUGAUCGGAUACACCGCCGGUCUAGGGGAGUGUUGUUAGGUACUGUGUCAUGCACACAUGUUUUUGGUGUGUCUUGGAAACAGUACCGCAUGUUGGGAAUUCCGUCCUAAGAGGCGAUGCCGUCAUUAGGGCGAUGAUAUGGGUAGCAACACAUCACAUGCAUGGACGGGUGUCAGUGUAUGUGAAGUGCAUAGUUUUAAAUUUUGUUUUGCAUUAGCAUACUGUGGGUUGGCUGAAAUGAGUUUUCUGCAGGUACCCUAACCACGUUCUCUCUUAGAACGCUAGUUACGUUAUGAGAGAACGUUGUGUGCCACCGCAUAUACCGCUUAGUGUUAACCUUUGUUUCUAAGUUUGUGAGAUCGUAAGUUCGUGCAUGCAUCAUGUUCAUGUCAUAUCAUUGCUUACUUUCCACCUUAAUUUAAUCUGUCCCAAUUCUAAAUAAAAUAAUUAAAAGUAAUCCUCGCUCUUACCGACGGUAUUCCAUUUGCAGCAGAUGGCACGCACUAGGCUCACCGCUCGCAAGUCCACUGGUGGGCGGGCCCCUCGCCAUCCGUUGGCAGCUAGGAGCUCGCAACAUAAGAGCAAGUUCCUGGCGGAGUUUGGGAUGCCCACUUUGCUUUGGAGGGUACUCAGUUCGAUGGGGUAUCCCGAAGCAAGGGAGCCUCGCUACUAUUGGGAUAAGGAGCCGCUUGGUGACGAGACCCUGGUGGGGAUCGAGGCAGUUGUCCCUACCAGUGGAGGAGACCCUGCUUGGGGUCGCUGGGUGUACGAGUCCCGAGGUGUCACGCCUUUCCACGAUGCCAGCAGGGCAGCUUUCGCAGUUCUGAGGGACCUCUUGGAGAGGUUUCCACAGGAGCUGGCCCACGCCUUCGCUGGGGUGUUUCCCCGGGGUGACCCCUACACUUCGGUGUGGGAUCGUCCGAGGUGAGCGCUCUAGAAAGGAGUGCGGCUGAAGACCAGCACAGUGACAGCGCAGCUAUGAGUGCCAUGUACGCCUUGAUGAAGACCUAUGGAGGCCUGGAGCGUUGUUUGGGUCGCUUGUCCGGGUCUCUUCUCACCGUCCAGGAUGAGAAGCGUCAGUUGCAGCGUGAGUUCGACUCUGAGGUUGAGAGGCUGCAGGCAGAGUUGGCCCGUGUGACCAGAGAGAGAGACCAGGCAGUCCAGAAGAACAGCGAGCUGAGUCAGGACCUGCUUGCAGGGCGAGAGCAGAGGGACAGGGUGACUACUGCUCACAGGAACUGCGAGCGCAUGCUAGUCCAUGUGCUUGGACAGAGGAAUGAAGCCUGGCACGAGGAGGACACUUUGAGGGCCCGACAGCUAGAGCUAGAGCAGCAGCUAGCUAAUGCUGAGGAGUACAAUGAGAACUUGCAUGAGGAGAUCCACCAGCUGCAUAACCAGCUCCACCCUCACCACCUGCCUGGAGCAGCUGAGCUAGAUUCUGAGGACGAGAUGGACGCAGAUCCCGAGAUAGGAGCAGCUGCUAGUGGAGAUGAGGAUGAGGAUGGCUCCGGCCUGGGCAGUGACCAUAGCGAGUAGAUACUAGGGCUCUAGAGCUAGUCCUUCUUCUUGUGUUGUUGUAUGUUGCAUGGCAUGUCGUGUACUUUAGGGUCUGGGCUAUGUAAGACUUAUAAGUUAAUGCUGAAAGUCCAGUAUAUGUAUGCUGGCAAGUUGGAUGUACGCGAACCUUGUUGCGUAAAUGUUAAGUAAUCUGUUAGUGAUUUUGUGCGUAGAUGAUGAAUUGUUGUGCCUCUGUUUAUUGUGCGAAUUUAUUCCCUCAGUAAAUUCAGUACGGCACGAUUCUACACAUUUCUACCGUUGAUAACAACUCCUAACAAAUGCUUAUCAUUGAUGUAUGCAGAUGGUGCAAACACGUGGCGGGGGUAACAGCAAUCCGGGCCUUGGAGCAGGUACAUCCGGAGGUGGGGCUCAACGGAAUGAGGACAGAGCACCAACACUGCCAUCACCACCGCCUCCUCCGUACACUACGAACGUGUUUUUCGCGCAGUUUCUGGGGAGCCAACGCAACAUGGAACAGAUGCAGCGCAACAUGGAAGAGGCUCUGCGCAACAUAGCUGACAACACCCGUCGUGGGGAUAAUCAGGGUGGCCGAGAGGUCAACCAGUACAGUUCGUUCAAGGACUUCAUGGAUACCAAGCCACCAAUCUUCAAAGAGGCUUUGGAACCGCUUGAGGCAGAUGAGUGGAUCAACACCAUGGAGCAGAAGUUUCGUCUUCUCCGAAUGACAAAAGAACUUAAGGCUGAGUAUGCGGCACAUCAGUUGCAAGGACCCGCUGGGAUUUGGUGGUCCCAUCACCGUACAACCUACCCAGAGGGAACCCCAAUUACCUAGAACCGUUUCACCACAGCUUUCCGGGGAAACUACAUUCCUUCGGAUGUGGUUGAAAUGAAGGUUGGGGAGUUCAUGAGGCUGUCCCAGGGGACGAAAUCGGUGAAGGAGUAUCUACAUGCUUUCAAUAAUCUCGCUCGCUAUGCCCCUGAGUUUGUAAACACGGAGGCUAAGAAGAUUGCUAGUUUCCAGAGGGGCUUGAAUCCAAAGAUGCUGAAGACCAUGGGUACAGGGGCCAGGGCUACCUUCAAUGCUUACAUCAGUGACUGUCUCACCCAGGAGAACAACAACAACAACUACUACAUUGCAUCCAAGUCACGUAAGAGGGCUUUUGAAGCCGGAUCAUCUCAGUCCAGGGCACCAGUGGCAGGGAGACAGCAGUAUCGUCCUCCUGCCCCAGGUGCUAGGUUCCGACCGCCGCAGAGAAGGAACACCAGGCAUCCAACACAGCAGAAGCCGUACAAGGUGGCGAUAGCCAAUGCCAAGCCAAAGGCAGUUCAAGCUGCAACACCUGCCGUCAACAAUGCGCCCAAGGGUCCAUGCUAUAACUGCCUCAAGAUGGGGCACUUUGCUAAGGAAUGUCCCUACCCCAAGAGGCAGCAGCCAACCUAUCCAGCUCGUGUGCACCAUACCUCGAUCGAGGAGAUCCUGGAAGGAGAACCGGUAACAGCUGGUAUGUUUCCUGUCGACCAGCAUCUUGCAGUUGUUUUGUUUGAUUCUGGAUCAUCGCAUUCAUUCAUGAGCCAAGCAUUUGCACAAAAGCAUAGUCAACCAGUUAGAGAUCUAGGUUAUGGCUACCACAUCAGCUCAGCAGGGGCAGAUGUGUUGACCAAUAGAGUGGUCCGAGGGGCAACCCUGGAUAUAAGUGGCCAAGUUUUUCGGGUAAAUCUAGUGGUCAUGCCUGGGUUAGUUUUGGAUGUUAUCAUGGGCAUGAACUGGAUGAGAGAAUGGGGUGCUGUCAUAGAUACUGGGAAGAGAAUGUUAUCCCUUAGAGAACCGCAGAGCAAUCGCUCUUUUCAAGUACCUCUGCCCCGUCGUCUUGACUUUGCUAGCAUCUCUUGUGCUACGCACGUGGUUCCAUUACCAUAGAUCCCAGUAGUCUGUGAGUUCCCUAAUGUUUUCCCUAAGGAAUUACCAGGACUUCCCCCAGAUAGGGAAGUAGAGUUUGCAAUUGAGUUGAUCCCAGGUACAGCACCAAUAUCUAGAUGGCCGUACCGGAUGCCACCAAACGAACUCGCUGAGUUGAAGAAUCAACUAAAAGAGCUACUGGAUAAAGAGUUCAUCCGGCCAAGCUCGUCAGAGUGGGGUUGUCCAGUGUUGUUUGUGAAGAAGGAUCAAUCGUUGCGCAUGUGCGUGGACUAUCGUCCACUCAAUGCAGUGACAAUCAAGAAUAAGUAUCCCUUGCCAAGGAUCGAUAUCCUGUUUGAUCAGUUGUCCAAGGCAAAAGUGUUUUCCAAGACCCAUUUGAGGUCUGGGUAUCAUCAAAUCAAGAUUCGUCCACAGGAUAUCCCGAAGACUGCUUUUUCCACCAGAUAUGGGUUGUAUGAGUACCUUGUCAUGUCCUUUGGGUUGACAAAUGCUCCUGCAUACUUUAUGUAUCUGAUGAAUUUAGUCUUUAUGCCAGAAUUGGAUAAGUUUGUUGUGGUGUUUAUCGAUGAUAUUCUGGUUUAUUCCGAAAAUGAGCAAGAUCACGCCGAACAUCUGAGAAUCGUGCUGACACGAUUACGAGAGCAUCAGUUAUAUUCCAAGUUCAGCAAGUGUGAGUUCUGGUUGAAGAAAGUUCCUUUCCUAGGGCACAUUCUGUCGGAAGAAGGGAUUGCUGUGGAUCCAUCAAAAGUGCAGGAAGUCAUGGACUGGAAGACACCAACUUCUGUCUCGGAAGUUAGAAGUUUUCUUGGUCUGGCCGGGUAUUAUCGCCGAUUCAUACCUGACUUCUCCAAGAUUGCUAAGCCAAUGACAAGUUUGCUGCAAAAGGAUCAUAAGUUUGUCUGGACGGAAGGGUCUGAGUUAGCCUUCCGCACCUUGCGAAAGUUGCUAACCACUGCUCCUGUUCUGGCACAACCUAAUAUCGAAAAGCCUUUUGAUGUGUUUUGCGACGCAUCGAAGAGUGGCCUGGGGUGUGUGUUGAUGCAAGAUGGCAGGGUGAUAGCUUAUGCUUCCCGACAGUUGAGAAAGCACGAAGUCAACUACCCAACUCACGACCUCGAGUUAGCAGCAGUGGUACACGCUUUGAAGAUUUGGAGACAUUAUCUGCUGGGAAAUAAGUGUCACAUUUAUACCGAUCAUAAGAGUUUGAAGUACAUCUUCACUCAGUCCGAGCUAAAUAUGAGGCAACGACGGUGGUUAGAGCUAAUCAAGGACUAUGAUCUGGAAGUUCACUAUCAUCCGGGCAAGGCUAAUGUAGUAGCAGAUGCGUUGAGUCGUAAACCGCACUAUCAAGUGGUUCAACCGUUGUUUGAAGAUGGGUUCAAUCUCAUGCAUCCUGAGGUCUUAUGUCACAUACAACUCAGUUGUUCACUCGAGAGUCAAGUCAUUGAAGGACAGAAAACAGACAAGGGUAUUUUCCACAUCAAGGAGAAGAUCAAAGAUGACCCAAAAACUCAAUUUCGCGUUGAUGAGAAAGGGGUACUGUGGUUUGAACAUCGGUUAGUAGUCCCGAAGGAUCGAGAAUUGAAGAAUUGCAUCAUGGAUGAAGCCCAUCUCUCUAAGCUUUCUAUUCAUCCUGGCAGUAGCAAAAUGUAUCAAGAUCUAAGACCCCACUUUUGGUGGACCAAGAUGAAGAAGGAAAUAGCCGCAUCUGUAGCCCGUUGCGACACGUGUUGCAGAGUUAAGGCCAUCCAUAUGAAACCUGCAGGUCUGUUGCAACCGUUAUCAGUUCCAGAGUGGAAAUGGGAAGAGGUCAGUAUGGACUUUAUCACAGGAUUACCGACCACGAGGAAGGGGAAUGACUCGAUUUGGGUGAUCAUAGAUCGAUUAACCAAGUCGGCUCAUUUCAUUCCAGUCAAGAACACAUACAGACCUCCUGAGUAUGCCGAUAUAUAUAUAUGGCUGAGAUUUUUAAGUUGCAUGGUAUUCCCAAAACCAUCAUAUCAGAUAGAGGACCACAGUUCACCGCUCACUUCUGGGAGCGAAUGCAUAAGAAUUUGGGAACCAGUCUGAUAAGAAGGACGGCGUACCAUCCCCAGACUUCAGGACAAACGGAGAGGCUAAACCAAGUAUUGGAAGAUAUGCUGAGGGCCUGUGUGCUAUCAUCCAAGUGAUCAUGGGAGUCAUGGUUACCUCUGGCUGAAUUCUCAUACAAUAACAGUUAUCAAGAGAGCAUCAAGAUGGCCCCGUUCGAAGCUUUGUAUGGUCGGAGAUGUAGAACUCCAUUGAACUGGGUUGAACCUGGUGAGAGAAGAUACUAUGGUAUCGACUUCGUGAAUGAGGUAGAGAAGAAGGUACAAAUCAUACAGCAGCAUAUGCGCGCAGCGCAAUCCCGACAAAAGAGUUAUGCUGAUAAGAGAAGAAGGCCACUUGAAUUCAAAGUAGGUGACUAUGUGUACCUCAAGGUUACGCCAAUGAAGAAGGUUCAGCGUUUCCGAGUUCGAAGCAAGCUUGCACCCAGAUAUGUGGGACCGUAUCAAAUACUAGAGAGGAAAGGCCCAGUGGCCUACAAGAUUCAGUUACCUGAAGAGUUGAGCUCGAUCUUUCCGGUCUUCCAUGUGUCGCAACUACGGAAAUGUUUGAAGGUACCUGAGCAAAGAAUUGAACCUUGAGGGAUCAAAAUAAAAACAGAUUUAGAGUAUAAGGAGCAACCAGUGGGAAUUGUGGAUACCAAGGAAUGGGUAACCCGAAACAGAAUUGUCAGAACUUAUAAGGUGGUGUGGAGUCAUCAUGACGAUAGGGAUGCCACCUGGGAAACAGAGGAUUACUUGAAAACAGUUUAUCCAAAAUUUCAUAAGAAAUGGUUAGUAACCCAAAAUCUCGGGACGAGAUUUCCCUAAGGGGGAAGGGCUGUAACACCCUAGGUGUUAAGCAUGCAUUUAGCCCUAUCACAACAUGCAUAAGCAUUUUCAUCAAGCAUAGCAUCAUGAGCAUGUCAUUCAUCCCAAAACAUGAUUUUAUGUGCUUUAUUUCAUGUGUUUUAAUUAUGCUAAAAUAUGAUGCUUGCUUCCAAAAAUGUGAAAUAUUCAAACUAGGUUGAUUUAUGUGUAAGAAGAAUUUAGAUUAUUUUUGUGUAAUUUUUGGAGCUAUGGAAUUUGAGAAAUGGAAUUUAUACAAGAUUUCCAAAUUGAAUUUAUUUAAAAACCUAGAACUAAGUUUUAAUUUGUAAUUCAAAUUCUAUUUGGAAUUUGGUCCUGCUUAUUAAAGCAAAGUUGUAGAGUUUUUGUUUUGGAACAACUUUGUUUUCGGGAGCAAGAGGUGAAAAUGAUUUUAAAUUGGUCCAACUGAAUUUAGAAUGAAUUUGGAGAAAAGAAAUUUAAAAAAAAGGAAAGGGGCAGGCGCUGCUGGGCCAACCCCGCUUCCCUUUCGGCCCAGCGAGCGGCCCAGCCUGCCUCCCCCUUCCCCUCUCUCCCGCGCGCGCGGCGCCCGCCUCGCUCCACCCGGUGCCGGCCACGUGGCGACCGUACGCCGGCGUUGGACGCGCCGCGGCCGGCCUCCAACCCCCUCCUGGUCGGGACGCCGGCUCGGGCUCCCAGGCUAUUUCCUCCGUUUUGUCCCCCGCGCCCUCCUUCUCCUUCCUCCCUCCGCUCGCACCGCGCAGCAGCAGCAGCUCCUCCGCGCGCCAAUGCCGGAGAAAGCCCCGCCGCUCGCCGCCGACCGCACCAGAGCCUCAAGCUCACCGCCGAGAGCACCAGCGCCUUCGUCAUCGUUAGGGUAUGCUUGUGCGCGCGUUCUACCGAGGUGAGAGUCCGUCGAGCACCGUGAAUAGCUCGCCGGAGUUACCCCGAGCUCGCCGGAGUACUCCGCCGCGACGGAUCUUGUGUUUCUCUGCCUCUUUUCGCUGGUUCUUGGGUGCGCUAGGUCGGUAGGGUGGUGAGGAAGCUCGGAGAGGCGUUUGCGCACGCUCUACCGCGCCGGAGCGGCCUGGCCACAGCGAGCAGCGCCGCCGUGCCGCCAUGCAUGCUCGUCGGAGGUGUUCCAGUCAUCCUCCGGCCAAUCCAAGGGUACCGUUGGGUGCGCCUCGCUGCGGGGAGCACGUUGGUGCUUACCCCGUGGCCGGAGACCUCACCGCCGGCGAGAUCUGCUCGUCGGAGGUGAGCUCCCUCUCGGUCUCGCUGACCGGUGGGGUCGGGGACCCACUGUCAGUCGCAGGGGGACCCCGGUGGGUGUAGAUCUGGGUGUGCGUAGCCUUUUUCGUCGGUUUUCUUGAAUAAAUGAUUUGCAGAAAUUGAUUCAAAACUUGUAAAAUUCAUAUCUUGAGUUCUACAGCUCCAAAUUGGAUGAAAUAAAUUUUGGUGUGCUCUAUAUUUCCAGAUCUACAGUUUGAUGUAAUUGCAUGUCAUGUUUGAGUAACUUUUCUGAAUGAAUAUAUUUAAUCCAUGUUUUUGCUAAACUUGGAGAAUGCAUAGUAAAUAAAAUAUGGUUCAGAAAAAUGUGAAACUUGAUUUGUUGGCUCUGCAUGUAUGUUUACUCACUGGGAAAAUAUUGCUACAUAUUAUUUGGUGUAUAGAUGAAUUUAAGGUAAUUUAAAUGCUUGCAUGGCAGUGAUUUAUGAUUUUUAAUAAUUAAUUGGAUCAUGCAAUAAAUAUGGAAAAUUUUGUGGGUGUUUCUUAUGAUAUUAGAUAAAUUGUAAAAAUAUGAAAUCUGUUGUUUGACACUUAUAUCACAGUAGAGUGAUUAUACUUACCCUAUGAAUUAAUCUUGUGAUUUUUGUGGCUCAAAAUAAGUAUCCAAAAAUUAUGAAAAUUUACAGUAGACUUUAUGCGUAGCUGGUAGUCUCCUGUAAUUUUUGUGGAAUUUAUUGAUGAACAGAAUUGCAUGUGAUUUUUAGUGGGCCUAGAAAUGAAUAAAGAAAAUUUUGAAUUGUUGUGUAUAUAGGUUGAAUAGAAUAGGUUGGGUUUGGUGUAUCUUUGAAGCAUCAUGUGGGUUGCUGGUUGCAUUUGAAAAAUAAUUGUAGAAGAGAAUGCAAUAGAUGUUUAAUUCAAUUGUUUGUUCUUGGAUGUUGUUGACUACCUUGUAAUGAGCAUGAUCGAGUACAUUACAUAUGCAUCAUGUCAUGACUCCUUUGGUACUUUCUCAAACAAGCAUCCACUCGGGCAUCUCGCACUCCACUCAUAAGCACCCAUGCAUCAUACAGGCUCGCAGGAGAACGAAGUGGGACCCGAGGAACCCGAGGAGAUUCAGGAGCAGGAACCUCCGGAAGCACAGGAACCCGGAGAUGAGCUGCAGGAGUGUCCGGAUCACCGACCCAGCACGUUUGAGAAAGGCAAGCCCCAGAGCAUUCUAAGUCUCCCUAUUCUCGCUAACUUAUAUGAUGCGCUAUAAUUGUUCUACUAUAUUGCAUCUAAGUGAUAGGAUUUGAUUGAUGCCGUUGAUGCAUAUGUACUCCUUGUUAUCCCUACUCGUUCACCUACCUUGUCCUAUGUAGAUAGGUACGGAGUCUAUGCUUAGCUUGCUUAGUCCGGUAGAAGUCGGGUGAUUUCCUGUCACCUGCGAGAAAUAGGUGGAUACCUGCUUGAUUAAGCAUUGGUUGCUUGGGGAAAAGAAUAACCAAGUAUGGAAUGUAACUGGAGACCGGGCAGGGUCUUAUGGUGGGUUGACCAUAGUGCCCCUGCCUGCGUCGAUUAAGGACCAAUCGUUGACGGCCCUCUUAUCAUGUUGAACGCAUGCCCCACACUUAGCUGGAAGGAUAAGUCGUUCCGACCGUGAAGCCUGAACACUAUCCGGGCCGGGCAUCGAGCCGCCAUGCGCUGUAUUGGUGAUGGUUGAGGAGAACGACGAGGGCGCGGCACGCAACCUUGGUAUACCUUGGAUACCUCGGUCGUCGGAACGGUCCUCGGGUACUGGCGGUGCCUGCCGAACCAGCGAAUUGGUCCUGGAUAGUGUAAUACAGUGAUCUGUAGCUCACUUGAUUAGUGAGUGUGGUUUGUGUGGGGAAUACCUCGCCAGCUGGUUAGAAAUCGAUUCGAAUCGCCAUCGCUCCUGGAUAGUGAGCACUUGACAUGAGCUUCGUCCUCGUAGUAAGGACUAUGGAACACUUGGGUUAUGUUGAUGAAUGGUUUUAAGAAAUGCUAUGAUGAGGUACUAUCAUAGCCUUAUACUCGCUUGUAAUAGUGCAGGUGCAAACCUAGAUGAUAGGUAAUGAUACUUUCAACUUGAGUAAAUUAAAAGAAGAAAGACUUAUGUAGGUUAUGAUAGUAAAAUCCUGCGGUUUUGCAAAAUGGUUGUCAGCUACCCCACUAUAUAGCCUUCAUGAUCCUUGAUGAGUCUUUAUUUUAAGUUUAUGACGGGUAAGUCUAGCUGAGUACCUUCUCGUACUCAGGGUUCUACUCCCAUGUUGUUUUGCAGAUGGUCAAAUGUACUAUGGUUAUUGCAUCCUCUGUCUGUACCUAGCCAUGGGUGAUGACUAGACCAAGGGCGAUGGUCACUCCGUCUUCUCUUUUGCUUUUGUGGGAAUGACCGAACUAUGGCACUGUAUCAGACUAAGCGUGUGUGUUGUAUUUUCGAACUACGAAGCUUCCGCUACUUGAAGAACUUGGUUUGUAAUAACUUUAAGAACUCCGAUGUAUUUUAUGAAUGUUGAAAUCUGGAUGUAUUGUGAAUGGCGACCGCUAAACUUAUUACGAUCUUGGCUGUUGUGCGAUAUGUGGUUUGAAAUCCUUCGAGAUUUCACGGACUACCGGGAUUAUAUGGGCUUAAGCGUGAUGGUUUGACUAUGCAAAUGGUCACUGUUAGGCUUAAUCUCUUAUAAUUUGGUCGGUUCUGUUACAGCCUAUCGGCUCUUGUUCGGAACCAUGCCCCUAAAAUCGACAUACAUUCAGCUCCAGAUGGCAAAUCAGACAUUCCGAAAGGUUGAAGGUAUAGUAACUAAUAUCCCUGUCAAAAUAGACGAUCAUUUUUUCCAUACAGACUUUUAGGUUAUUGACAUGGGAGAAGACGAGUACGAUCCACCCAUCAUCCUUGGGAGACCGUUCCUCAGUAUCGUUAAAGCAAUCAUCUACAUUGGAACUAGAGAAGUCCACAAGCACUUUCCCUCAGAGAAGGUACGCCGCUACUUUACUGACCUUAAUUAUAUAGUUGAAGACUCUAAGCAGGUCAGGACAAGAUGAAGACGACACAACCGCAACCAGAGGAGGCAAAUCAUUAAGGACGGAUGGGCAGACUACGAAGGAGAAGUGGUAAGAUCUGAAGACAUACAGCUUGAACAGAAAUAUCAAGUGGAGACCGUAGCACCGAGUCAGGUGUGGAGAGAAAAGAUAGUUGUACACGAAGAUGAGGCGCCGCCGGAAGCACCGACUACGCCAUCCAACGAAUCCCAGGACAACUAAGAAAACAGAUAGUCCCGUUCGGAGGACUUAAAAACACCGAGCGCCUUGACAAGAGAUAAACUUGGUAGUUAUCCUUUUCCUUUAAAUUAUUUCAAAUAGUUUGCUUAGUUAAUCAUGUUCAUACUAUCCUAAAAGGAAAAUAAAAAUAUUAAAAAUAGUAAGCCCCAUGUGAGUAUACGAGUGGCAUAAAACUCAUAAGUACAUUCACUGUGGUGGCAUAAAAAUAAAAUAAAUAUUUUUUCUGCUCUAUACAAAUGAAGAUAUAAAAAUAAGAUUGUGAUCCUACCAAAGAGAGUAACAUUUAUUGAGGAGGCUCAACAUGAUAAAGGCUAGAUAUUUAUGCUAACACUUAAUCAGUUCCACAAAGCUUUGUUGUCUAUUUGUGCUCCACAGAAUUCAAGGAUCAAGAAGACUAGCAGACGGAGGACAUCCUAAUCGCUGUCAGGGUGCUGCCGACUUUGAAAUACACCUCUACCACCUACUAGCUACAUCAGAAGAAAUUACGUCAAAAUUCAGCUUGGGGGAGAGCACCCCCAUUUAUCUCGCUACGUAUUUCUAUCUACAUUUAUACUUAUACUAUUAAAGUAUAAAUAUACAUAAUCAUGAAAAACCAAAUAAAGAUUUUGUGCUUAUAUAUAUAUCUUUUGCUUAGUGUGAUUAAUAAAUAAAUAAAGUGGCUAUGCUAAACUGAAUCUUAAUAAAACUCUAGCAUGGAUAUGAUGAAUAGUUGCUCUGCCUAUUUUCCAAAUUUGAGUUCUCUCUCAAGUUUAGACAUAACUGUUAUAAUUUAAAGCUUGCUCUAAACCUAAACUUGUGGGAAAAGAAGUGGAUCUGAAGUCUAAGUUGUUAACGGGUAUGAUAUGAGAAGGUUGAGCUGUUGUUUAUCUAUUCCUAGAUACGCUAGAAUUAUGGAGAAUUUUAUCUUUGAAAAUCUUUAAACUAUCACAUGAUGAGUUCCUGUAUGAUGAUAGUUUAAAUUCCUACCACAGCCAUAUAUACAUGCUUGCUAGACUUUGAGCCACACAUUUACUUUUUACUGCUUAUGAGCAUUGAGUGUGGUCAAGCUAUGUAGACCCUUAGGAGCUUGUUAUGUGGUUAAAUCAAGAUUCACUUGCACAUUCACUCACACAUACUGCUUCUACUCCGGAAGUACGCAUCCACAUAUAUCCACACAUUUCCAUCUCCAGAACCACCCAAAAAUAUUCUACUCCUAAUCCGGGAGAGAAUAGCCAAAAACAUUCUUGGGUUUCUCUGUGAAAUAAAUGCUCAAGUUAUCUUGAUUACUACCACUUGCUAUAUUAUUUCAGGAGAUGAGUGUUGAUAUUUGGUAGCGCCAUCGGGAAAUGAUCCGCAAGCGCACGGAUAUCGGUGAGCAUUUCACCCGAGAGGUUAUCUAGAGUAUCGUAUUUAUAUUUUUACCACUGGGAGAAAGCGUGCAUCUGACUAACCAAAUCUAUUGCUACUACCCUUUAGGCUAUAAAGAAUGUUUCUCGAUGUGAGUGAUGUAUAGAGAAGACUGCAACCGUAGUCUCGUUCUAACCUUGGUAAGGAUGAUCUACUGUUCUAUUGGGGAGGCUAACGGAAUCUGGACACCACAGAGGAUGUUCAACGCGCACCUAUAAACCCUACCCGUCCUUCUAACAAGAUGUGGGCUCUAAAGGUAACUCGGAAAUGUCACGUUCCUCACUACUACCACGGUCCAGCUAGUCAGGAGAUAUCUAUGAGUACCCUAGCCCAAACACCAUGUUUACGCUAGCAAUGAUUACUCUAAACUCAACCGGAGGAGACUAAAGUAAACUCAUAAACCAAAGAACAAUAAAAUAAGAACUUACUAGAAUUUAGAAGUUGAAUUACUGAAGAAUCCUAAGAGCAAGCCUCGGGUUAGGAGAACAUGAUCCCACAGGUACAACCUCAGAGUAGACACCGAAAGGCCGGGCUUCCUCCGAACUACACCUCCACUCUAUCUCUCUCAAUCUAGUAGAACAUAGAAGAACUAAUUCUACUCUCAUAUUGGAUGCUAGGCCCUAAGUCUAUUUAGAGGAGAGGUAUUCCUUCGAGGGCUCCUCUCAACUCUAUGAUGAACUUGUUCUCCUCCAGGGGCCAGGGGGUCUGCUUAUAUACUCCCCUCAGGUGAACGUGGGCCGUCAGAUCAAACCGACAUUGAUUGAACGAUUAUCCUUGAUCCUUUAGGUCGGUGGAGCGUAAUCCCCAAAGCGAGUCCUGAUUGGACUCUGGGACAGGGCGGGCGCCCAAGGGGGAGGGCAGGCUCCCUGCCCCCAGGCCCGUUCGCCUUACCGUUCGUUCCCGUGGCUUCUGGAGUCUUCUAGAUAACAUUGCGUGGCAUGUUAAUAUCUCUAUGUAAACCCGACGUGUGGGCCUUUCCUCCAUAUUUCCUGAUAACCCCCUACAGAAAUAGACAAACACCAAAACUCAUGGAAUUCUGUCAGAUAAAACCCUAAGUCUAUGUGUUGGUUGCAUUUGGAUCCUUUUCUUUAUUUAUUUGAUGAUUAUAUUUGAUACUUAAGGACCGUCAACAACUCCCCCAAGCUUACCUCUUGCUCGUCCCUGAGCAAGGAUGGACUCAAGAGUUUCUGCAGUGGUUUCAUGCCUUAAAAGUACACAUGCGUUCAAGCAAGACCUCAUCUCUGAGUUAGAGUAAACUGUUAAGACUUAAAACUUACUCAUUUUACCUUUCACCAUGGGGCUUGUAACCGUAACUUGUGUCUUGAGCAGUUAAAAGAUAGAACGGUCAAGUCAAGCGCUAUGUCUCUUAUUCUUGAUCAGUUAUAGCUCUGGAGUUUUUGUAGAUUUUCAAAAUAAAACUCAGAGAUUCCUUGUAUGACUCUCUCUAGUCUCUCUUUUGUGUUUUUUCUAGAUCCUUUCCAAGGUUGUAUUGGUAUAUGCCUUCUCUCAAAGUAUGUGGUAUUUUUGGUAUGGGGCAUAGUGAUAUUGCCUUCUCUCUCACCCUACUCUAAUAAGGUUUUGAUAUCUAGAGCUCAUAGGUGGGAGACAGAUAAUACAUACUUACAAGACAUUUAUUGCAUAGUCAAAACAUGGAUCCAGAGAAAACAAGUCAAUAAGUCAAAUCAAGAUGUGCAUGUGUGGCGAAUGAAUGGUGUAUGGUGAUGAUGGUGAUAAUGGUGAAAGCGAUGGUGAAAGUCUAAUUCUACGUUUGCUCUUUUAAGGGGAUACAUACCUUUCUUGCACUUUUGAAGCUUUUUUUGAGGGGAAUGAGAUGCUCUAUAUUUUCUUUUUCUUUUUCUCUUAGGUGGGUAUCUUUGUACCCCUAAUUCUACAGUCGGACACUCGUCCAGUUUUACCUCUCGUCUCACUCUUUCUUUUCUUCGAGGUUCCGGGCACUUGCCCCUUUUUAUUUCCUCGUAUCCUCUUUUUUUUAGAGCACUCAUCUCCUUAAAUAAUAUAGCAAGUGGUAGUAACCAAGAUAACUGGAGCAUUUAUUUCACAGGGAAAUACAGAAAUGUUUUUGGCUAUUCUCUCCUGGAUUAGGAGUAGAAUACUUUUGGGUGGCUCUGGAGAUGGAAAUGAGUGGAUAUAUGUGGAUGCGUACUUCUGGAAUAGAAGUAGCAUAUAUGAGUGAACGUGCAAGUGAAUCUUGAUUUUAACCACAUGACAAGCUCCUAAGGGUCUACACAGCUUGACCACACUCAAUGCUCAUAAGCAGUAACAAGUAAAUGUGUGGCUCAAAGUCUAAUAAGCAUGUAUAUAUGGCUGUGGUAGGAUUUUAAAUUCUCAUCAUACAGGAACUCAUCAUGUGUUAUUUUAAAGAUUUUCAAAGAUAAAAUUCUCCAGAAUUCUAGCAUCUCUAGGAAUAAAUAGCAGCUCAACCUAUCCAUAUCAUAUCCGUUAACGACUCAGACUUUAGAUCAAGUACUCUUCCCACAAGUUUAGGUUUAGGGUUUAAAUUAUAACAGUUAUGCCUAAACUUGAGAGAGAUUUCAAUUUUAAGAACUAGUCAUGGCAGAGCAACUAUUCAUCAUUUCCAUGUGGGAGGUUAUCAUGAGGGUUCAUAGCAAACUUUAUUUAUUUAUUUAUUUAGCAAACUAAGCAAAGAUAUAUAUAUAAAAGCACAAAAUCUUUAUUUGGGUUUUCAUGAUUAUGCAUCUUUUUAUUAUUUGAGUAAAGUAUAAACGCGAGUAGAAACACUUAGCUGGAUAAAUGAGGGUGCUCUCCCCCAAGCUAGAUUUUGACGUAAUUUCUUCUGAUGUAGCUUGCAGGUGGCAGAGGUGUAUUUGAAUGACGGCAGCACCCUAACAGCGAUUAGGAUGUCCUCUAUCUGCUAGUCUUAUUUAAUCCUUGAAUUAUGUGGAGCUCAAAUAGACAACAAAGCUUUGUGGAACAGAUUAGGAGUUAGCAUAAAUAUCUAGCCUUUAUCAUGUUGAUCCUCCUCAGUAAAUGUUAUUUAUUUAGCAGGAUCAUGCACUUAUUAUUUUUAUAUUUUUAUUGUAAGAUGAAAACAUAUUUAUUUUAUGCCACCAUAGUGAAUGUACCUAUGGGUUUUAUGCCAUGAGCAUACUCACAUGGGGCUUACUAUUUUUUAACAUUUUUAUUUUCUUUUCGAGACGAUAUGAACCUAAUUAACUAAGCAAACUAUUUUAAAUAGGAAAAAGGAUAACUACCAUGUUUACCUCUUCGUAGGCAUUCGGUGUUUUUGAGUCCUCCGAACGGGAUUCUCCGUUUUCUCAAUCGUCGUGGGAUUUGCUGGGUGGCUGUUGACGGUCCUUAAUGCUCACAUUUAACCAUCAACUAAUCAUAGAAAAGUAUCCAAAUGCAACCAACACCCAGACUUAGGGUUUUAUGUGACAUAAUUCCACGAGUUUUGGUGUUUGUCUAUUUCUGCAGGGGGUUAUCAGGAAAUAUGGAAGAAAGGGCCACAUGUCGGGAUUACAUAGAGAUAUUAACAUUCUGCACAAUUUUCUACCAUAUAGAAGACUCCAGAAGCCACGGAAACGAACGGGAAGGCGAUCGGGCUCGGAGGCAGGGCGCCCGCCCUACUCUCCUGGGCGCCCGCCCACCUUCUGAGUCCAAUCAGGACUCUCUUUUGGGAUCGUGCUCCACCGACCUAAGGGAUCAAGGAAAACCAUGCGAUUAAUGUCGGUUUGAUCCGACGGCCCAGAUUCAUCUGAAAAGACUAUAUAAGCAAGGCCCCCUGGCCCCUGGAGAGCAUACCUCUUCUACAGAAUCAAAGUUAGGGUUUCAAUUCUUCAUCCAAGUAGAGAGGAUCCCUCUAGUUCAUCUAGUUCUACCUCUAGUUCAUCUAGUUCUAGUUCUAGUUCAUAUAGUUCUAGUUCUAGUUGUAGUUAGUUCUAGUUGUAAUCUUGAAAAUAGGAAGAGAGAAGAGGAGAGCGGAGGAGGAGGAGCUGGAUCUGUCGAAUCUUCCUCAACAUUGUACUUUUGCAGCAACUGGUUCGUUCUUCAUCGUUCUCUAGGUUCUUCAAUUCAUAAUUCCUGGGUUCUUUAAUUACUUUUAUUUACAUUCAAGUUAUUUAUUGGAUUCCCGCUUGCAUCAAGUGCUCUAAUCUUUGCAACAUUAGAGUAGUAAUUAAUAGAUUAGACGUGGUGUUUAGUCUUGCAAUUACCUGGAAUGGCACCCAAUCCUGCGGAUUGUUGUGGUAGCCCUAGGGUAGUGACAGCCCUAAUGGUCGACGCAUUCCACCUCGUUCGGAUCGGUGUUUGUAGGACCGUAGUCAGAGCUUCCUAGCCCCCUUCUCAUCUCUUUCUGUGGUUAGUGUUCUGAUGUCCCGAAAUAAAUAAUAUUUGAAGUAAUUCUUGAUUCUUAGAUCAAUUAGAGAACUCUCAGGAAACUUCCUCUCUUCCCACCAAAAAUAAUUAUAUAGUUAUCCUAGGACGAUCUUGAAUCUUAAUUAGUACACUCAAGUUCCCUGUGGAAAAAUCGAUACUCUGGAAUACUCCCGGGUGAAAGCUACAUCGAUAUCCGUGCACUUGCGGAUUUUCUGUUUGCGUUUAAAAUACCCAACAGUGGCGUAGUCGGUGGUUCCGUUGGCGCCUCCCCUUCGUGUAUAACUAUCUUCUCUUUCUGACUCGGUGCUAUGGUCUCCCCAGGAUAGUUCUAUUCAAGUUGUAUGUCUUCAGACCUUACCACUUCUCCUUGGUAGUCUACCCAUCCGUCCUUGAUGAUUUGCCUUCUCUGGUUGCGUUAUCUUCUUGUCCUUUAGGUACAUCAUUUGAUUAGGUGUGGACCUUGACGUCUGCACCUCUUGAUACGGAGUCACCCAUGUUCUUUGUUUGCUCAACAGUUCGAAGUGCGGUGUUGGCAAUAUCCUGCUCAGUGUGUUUGCGCUCGUAGAUCCAGGUCCUUCACUUCUUGGAGUUUGGGAGUUGUAAAACUCCUCCAUGUUUUGCUUGAAGUGUACCUGUUCAUAGAGACAAUGCAGAGAUCAAGUGCAUGGGCCCUGUUGGUCGAAAACACGAACAAAACCAAAAGUGUAUUGUUCUUCUCUAACCUUAAGCAUAGUGAGCAAGACAAAGUUGAUAGGAUCAAGAGUGUAGUAUUUGAAACAUUUGUCAGAUCAGAUGGCUCAACCUAAUGGAAAGAUAAUCUAUCUAUAUUUAUGUUUUGUUUAUAUCUUCCAAAGAUUGAAUGUGCACCAUAUUAGCUUAUAUGAUUAGAAGUGUGGGAUCACGAAGGUAGUACUAAGAACAAAGAUUAAAGGACUAAACAUGUUGAAUUAAUUGGGUUGAUUAAUUUGGAGCUACAAAUCAUACAUGUUUGUCUCUUUUAUUCAUGUGAAUGCCAGAACCAAGGAGAAACUUAUAAAAGUGAUAGUCAAGUACAUUAAGAUGUUACCUUAAUUGAAGAGUGAUGGUAUAGUAUCACCUUGUGGAAGCUUUCCUCUCUUAGCGGUUGUGCAUCGUGUUUGUGGCACCCUCCAAGGAUCAUCUCUUUAUGAUGAAUGAGCUAUGUCCUUCUUGUGCAAAUUGUUAAACUUCAUGUGUCUCCUUUAUCUCCAAUGAGUUUGUAUCUCAGGACUUCUCAGGUUGAUAUUGAAAGUUUUCCUGCAGGGGUUAGUCCAACAAAAUAUCCCAUAUGUACUAUAGCAUACUAUCGGCUCAAAAAUCAACCUAGACACCUUGUCUAAUUUGAUUUAGGAGGGCAUUUUAACCUAAGCACCAUGCUUAAUUUAAAAAUCCUUUGGAAGUAAGAUCAUCAUUCCUAAACUAAGCACCAUGUUUAACUAAGAGAUAAGUGAAACUACUCCAAACCUAGACAUAUACUAAAGCAAAUAAAGGUAGCAUGAGAGCAUUUAUAGAGAUCUACUCAAGUGGAGAUGAAGUAGUGUGAUUAGUAUUUAACAAAUUGAGCAUGUCUGAAAGGUAAGGACAACCAACAUAGCAACAUGGCAAAUGAUGUUUUUAUGUAAAGUACUCCCCCAAGCUUGAAUUUUGCAAAAUUCAAGUUUGGAUGAAUUUAAUUCAAUGUUGUGUGAUGGUUGGUUGGACAUACCUUGCACUUGUCAUUCCUCGGAUCUUCUUGCUCCAAUCCUAGAAAGGUUAGUGACACGAAUACCUGAAGGAAUAUUUCUACAAUUAUCUUUAUAUGCUCAAUACACAAGGCAAUGUUGCAAAUAAUUAAAAGUUCAUGUUACGAUCUGAUAAGUGCUUGUUUUAGGACACUAAGCUUAUCCUUGGGAAACCAUCAAUCAACUCAACGAGAUCUGCAAUAUUUAUUACAGACAUAUGCAUCGACAAGCGCUCUUUUAAAGUUGUUAUAAUUAGAAAGGAAGAGGGGGUUGGAGAUCUUAAAUGUGGCAGGUUGGAGAGACCAAUUGAAUGGGGAGUUGUUUUAUAUGAGCAAGGACUUGAUGAGGUAUUUAUGAAAUAACUUCCAUGCUCACUGUUGUUUCUUUCAUUCUCAAACUCCAAGGAUGAUUCUUCAUAAAUGCUUAGAAUUCCUCUAGGAUUGUCUCUCAAGUUUGUUUUAUCCAUCCAUUCAAUGGUGAUAGCAUAUGGAUUUUUAAUGCCCUCUAGCCAUUGAUGUUGCUCUUCUCGAUCCUCCUUGUUGUCUUGGUGACUCUUAUGAAUGGGAUGUCUAGAGAGAUUCAUAGGAUCAUCGGGAGGUUCAAGAGAAAGAGCAUAGUAGAAAUUAUUAGGCUCAAGGAUGGGUUGGAUAGCCGAAUCAUGGGAUUGGAAUGUUUGGAAAUCGGCUAUUGAAACUUCCUCUCCUUGUCUAGGAGAUGAUUCCUUCUCUAUCUCAAAGAUUUUUCUAUGAAGACUAGUACAAGAAGGAUGUCCAUGAAUGAAGACAUACCUUGCUUUACUAACAGAUAAAGAAAGAAAAACUCUACCAAAGGUUAUAUGAUUAAGACCAAUGUGAAAAUAUCGAGAAAAAAACAUGGCCUUGUAGGGCUAGGUCUAAACCAGAAUUUAUAGAAAGAUUAAAAGAUUCCCUAGGUAUAGCUAAAAGUUCAUUAUCUUCUUGAUUAAAAGAUAUGAUCUCACCUAUAGAAAAGGGUUGGUUUUGACCUAUUGCAAUCAACUCCGGACACAGAUCAUAAUUAGGGGCAGGACUUGUUGACUCCCAUGGUCUAUGGCUGGUCUCCGAAGGUGCAAAGAAUUCAAUAAUAGGUAUGGAAUUUGAGUUAUCCAUAAAGAUGGAAAAAAUAAAAAGAUAAAAGAAUAAAAGAAUAAAAGUAUAAUACAAGAUAAUAGCAAAACUAAAAGUUAUCUCAGCAAACCGUCUUUCUCCCCGGCAACGGCGCUAGAAAUGCUUGUUGAUAUUUGGUAAUGCCAUCAGGAAAUGAUCCGCAAGUGCACGGAUAUCGGUGAGCAUUUCACCCGGGAGGUUAUCCAGAGUAUCGUAUUUAUAUUUUUACUACUGGGAGAAAGCGUGCAGCUGACUAACCAAAUCUAUUGCUACUACCCUUUAGGCUACAAAGAAUGUUUCUCGAUGUGAGUGAUGUAUAGAGAAGACUACAACCGUAGUCUUGUUCUAACCUUGGUAAGGAUGAUCUACUGUUCUAUUGGGGAGGCUAACGGAAUCUAGACACCACAGAGGAUGUUCAACCCGCACCUAUAAACCCUACCCGUCCUGCUAACAAGAUGUGGGCUGCAAAGAUAACUCAGAAAUGUCACGUUCAUCGCUACUACCACGGUCCAGCUAGUCAGGGGAUAUCUAUGAGUACCCUAGCCCAAACAUCACGUUUACGAUAGCAAUGAUUACUCUAAACUCAACCAGAAGAGAUUAAAGUAAACUCAUAAACCAAAGAACAAUAAAAAAAUAACUUACUAGAAUUUAGAAGUCGAAUUAGUGAAGAAUCCUAGGAGCAAGCCUCGGGUUAGGAGAACUUGAUCCCGUAGGUACAACCUCGGAGUAGACACCGAUAGGCCGGGCUUCCUCCGAUCUACACGUCCACUAUAUCUCUCUCAAUCUAGUAGAACUUAGAAGAACUAAUUCUACUCUCACAUUGGAUGCUAGGCCCUAAGUCUAUUUAGAGGAGAGGUAUUCCUUCGAGGGCUCCUCUCAACUCUAUGAUGAACUUGUUCUCCUCUAGGGGCCAGGGGGUCUGCUUAUAUAGUCCCCUCAGGUGAACGUGGGCCGUCGGAUCAAACCGACAUUGAUUGAAUGGUUAUCCUUGAUCCUUUAGGUCGGUGGAGCGUAAUCCCCGAAGCGAGUCCUGAUUGGACUCUAGGACAGGGCGAGCGCCCAAGGGGGGAGGGCGGGCGCCCUGCCCCCAGGCCCAUUCGCCUUCCCGUUCGUUCCCGUGGCUUCUGGAGUCUUCUAGAUAACAGAAAUUUGCACGGCACGUUAACAUCUCUAUGUAAACCCGACGUGUGGGCCUUUCCUCCAUAUUUCCUGAUAACCCCCUGCAGAAAUAGACAAGCACCAAAACUCGUGCAAUUCUGUCGGAUAAAAUCCUAAGUCUAGGUGUUGGUUGCAUUUGGAUCCUUUUCUUUAUUUAUUUGAUGAUUAUAUUUGAUACUUAAGGACCGUCAACAAUGAGUGCUCUAAAAAAAGAGAAAAGAUACGAGGAAAUAAAAAGGGGCAAGUGCCCGGAACCUCAAAAGAAAAAGUGAGAUGAGAGGUAAAAAUGGACAAGUGUCCGACAGUAGAAUUAUGGGUGCAGAAUACCCACCUGAGAGGAAAGAAAAAGAAAAUAUAGAGCAUCUCAUUCUCCUCAAAAGUUUCAAAAGAGCAAGAAAGGUAUGUAUCCCCUCAAAAGAGCAAAAGUAGAAUUAGACUUUCACCAUUGUUAUCACCAUCAUUACCAUACACCAUUCAUUCGCCACACAUGCACAUCUUGAUUUGACUUAUUGACUUGUUUCUUUAGAUCCAUGGUUUGACUAUGCAAUAAAUGUCUUGUAAGUAUGUAUACUUAUCUCCCACCUAUGAGCUCUAGAUAUCAAAGCCUUAUUAGAGUAGGGUGAGGGAGAAGGCAAUGUCACUAUGCCUUAUACCUCAAAUACUACAUACUUUGAGAGAGAAGGCAUAUACCAUUACUGCCUUGGUAAGGAUCAAGAAAUACCACAAAAGAGAGAACUGAGAGAGUCAUACAAGGAAUCUCUGAAUUUUAUUUGAAAAUCUGCAAAAAACUCCAGAGUUAUAGCUGAUCAGGAAUAAGAGACAUGGCACUUGACUAGACCGUUCUAUCUUUUAACUGCUCAAGAUAGAAGUGAAGGUUACAAGUCCCAUGGUGAAAGGUAGAAUAAGUAAGUUUUAAGUCUUGACGGUUUACUCUAACUCAAAGAUGAGACCUCAUUUGAAAGCAUGUGUACCGUCAACUUUUAAAGGUAUUACAGCAACUUCUAAUGCAUCACUGAGAUUAUCCUUGCUCAGGGAUGAGCAAGAGUUAAGCUUGGGGGAGUUUGUUGACGGUCCUUAAGUAACGAAUUUAAUCAUCAAAUAAACAAAGAAAAGGAUCCAAACGCAACCGACACCCAGACUUAGGGUUUUAUCUGACAGAAUUCCACGAGUUUUGGUGUUUGUUUAUUUCUAUAGGGGUUAUCAGGAAAUACGGAAGAAAGGCCCACACGUCGGGUUUACAUAGAGAUAUUAACGUGUCGUGCAAUUAUCCAACAUCUAGAAGAGUCUAGAGGCCACGGUAACGAACGGGAGACCGAAUGGGCCCAGGGGCAGGGCGCCUGCCCUCCCCCUUGGGCGCCCACCCUGGCCUGAGGGCCAAUCACGUUCAACUUCGCGGAUCAUGCUCCACCAACCUAAAGGAUCAAGGAAAACCGUGCGAUUAAUGUCGGUUUGAUCCGACGGCCCAUAUUCAUUUGGAAGGAGUAUAUAAGCAGACCCCCUGGCCCCUGGAGGAGAGCACCUCUCUGAAACCCUAAUUUAUUUAUCCAUCUUGGGAGAAGAAGCCUCUGAUCAAGCCCUAGAGCCACCACAUCAAUAGAUCUCUAGUUUAGCAUAUCUACAUAGGAUUAGAACUAGAAGGAGUUAAUCUUCGAUUGGUUUCUGGAUCUGUCAAAAGGAUUCUUGGUAAUUCCUCUACUGUUCUUUAAUUGUUCAUCAUUGUUCUUCAAUAUUAUGAAUAUGACUUUAUUCUACUUCAAUAUAUUGAUUAUGACUUUGCUCUACUUGUUUAUAUUUGCAAUUAUAUUGUUCUUAGUUUAUCAUAGUUAUAUGCUUGGCUUAGUUAGAUUGGAAUUAUAUACAUGUUUAGGAUCGUAUAGCGUUUAUCCAUGUGUACAGUGGGUAAAUGAUAAGUAUUGUGUAGGCGUGGUGCCUAUGCCUUAUUUAUCUGCGAUUGUACCCUAUAUACCGGAUCGCGGGGUAGUUCGUGGUAUUGACAGCUCCAUUGAUUCUUAUAUAGUCCCCCUCUCGUGUAUAGGGCUGGCAGAGCAACAUUAUUACAGGGGAGUGAUUGCUAUGUUUCUCAUCUUUCUUGAUAAUAUCACUAUGCGUGGGCGUAGUCCUGUCUCUCAAUGAUUGCCAAGUAAAUUGCACUAACUAUGAUAUGCUAGACAUAGUUAAGAAUAGCUUAGGAAAUAUUCUUGUAGUACAUCCUAAUUAGAUGCUAAUGACUUGCUAGAAUAUCUAUUAAGGUGCUUAUCAUAUUUGUAUGUGGCUAGUUAUGCUGAUCAGAUUAAUUAUCUUUGUCACCAUUCAUACUUUAUCUAUCUUUUAUGUGACACUUAUCCCUGUAUGAAAGAGAUAGAUAAAUGCUCUCAAUUAUACAUGCAAUGAUAGAUACUCAAUUCUAUAUUCCAUUCCAUAAUCAACAUUGAUGAUUAGAAAUCCCUUCCCAGUGGUAAAAAUAUAAAUAACGAUAUCUCGAAUACUUCCCGGUUAAAAUGCUACAUCGGUAUUAAUCUGUGUGCUUGCAUAUCUCAUUUAUUAUUCAUUUAGAAGAGCAAUUGCAUAUUUCAAUACCGCGUCUCUCAUGUCAUGCUGGGGAUGACAACUUGGCUUAAGUGGCAUGAGGGAUAGGUUUGGCAUUUUUGGCGCCGUUAUCAGAAAUAGAAAACUAAGUCUACUUUUGGUAGUGACGUUAAGAAUGCUCAACACCCAUCGCGCUAUUUAGUGCUCUACCGAGCCCUCGCGGCCAGCCUAUGGGCGACCGACGCGGCCGUCCGCCAUGCUUGUGAUUAAGGUAGAUGAGGGCAGUAGAGCGUGCACGGGUGCUAGCAAUGGAGUCGUAGAGUUGAGGCGAGGCCGCUGCGCAUCUUAGCGUGGGCUAGGACCCCCGCUAACGGCGACCGGAAGCACGGCCAAGCCGCCGGCAGCGUGGGAGACGAAGCUGACAGCGGGGGGCCGCUGUCAGCGACGUCGUGAGAGGGAGGGCGCGCACGGCGUGCGGGCCGAGUUGCUGGGCCGCCCAUGGCACAGUGUCGUUUUCCUUUUUCCUUUUUGUGCAAAUUUGAGUUAUGUUUUAUUUUGUGUAGAAAAUUAUGUGCUGAUCCAAAAAUAGUGAAAAUAUUUGGGUAUGUUCUAUGCAGUGAGCAGAACAUAGGAAAAAUGUUAAAUUCCAUUUUCUGAUACAUUGAACCUCUACAAAAAUUGUAUCCUUUAUUUAGUAAAUAAAACUUCCAUGAAUUUUAGGAAUUUAUUAAUAUGUCCAAAAAUCACCAAAAUUUGUGAGAUGUCUCUGAAUAUUAUUUCAUGGCUUCACACAAAAUUUGGUGGCAUUAGGAUAAUGUUUGAAUAAAAUAUUAAUAUACCCUUAGUUAGUAAUUACGUAAUAACCAUAAAAUAAUUAGAUAAUAAUUAGCUUAAUUUUCAAAUUAGUAUUUGAGUGAUUUUGGGAUUGUGUGAUGACUUGAAGUCAUUAACCUUAAUGACCUUUGACAUUCAAUUAUUGUUUGGUAUUAAUGAUUAAUUAUUGUCAUUAAUGCUUAAUUAAAGAUUAAUUAAGAUAAAAAGGAUUAAUAAUUAGUUAAUUAAGAAUAACUAUAAAUUAAGAAGGUCUUAGUUUACUAAUGCAACCUCUUGGGUAACAACACUAAAGUGAUAAACAACCUUAACUACUAUUUAACCUGUCUUUUCACCGAGAAGGAAAAUUGUACUCAACACGGUCCUUCUUUUGUGUUGUCAUAAGCAUAUCAUGAGCAUACAUUAUUUUUCGUAUAGUGCACGUGACCGAGGGAAUGACCAUUGAAGCGAACCCCGAAAUUGGUGUUCCGCUCAAAGAUGUUGGAUCCAAGACUUGGGAAGUCUUCGAGGAACCCACUCAGUUCUGCAACCAAGGCAAGCCCCGGAUGCAUUAACCCUUCCUUGAAUAUUUUAAAUCUUUCAUCACUUAUGAAUCAAAAUGCUGCAUUACGUAGUCAGGAAUUGGGAUAACCAAUUGUUGCAUUUACCACCUUGAUAUUUGUUAUCUUGUCCUUGGCACCUGUUUUAUUUUAAAAUUGUGUAGUGAUGCUUAGCCCUGCUUAUUAGAUAGGUUUUCAAUUAAGAAAGUUUGAAGGGUUGUUGUGGAAUACUUUUAUUGUCAAUGAUGUUUCAACUUGAGACCGGUCGGUGGACUUCCUUUAAGAAUGGAGUCUUAAAAUAGUGUCUCCAACUGUGUCGAUUAAGGACCGGUCCGUUGAUGGCCUAUUGGGUUGAGAAUUUAUAGUACUGGCCACCUGCUCUCGUUAAGCCCGGUCUUGUGAUUCCUCGACGAGAGCGGCUACUCACGCACUGGGCGUGGAGCAAUGGCGAGAUUAGUGUGUACAUUCCUGGCAAAAAUGGGCUGGACGGUGGAGUACUGUGCUCUCAGGUGCUGCGAACCCGGUCAGAUAUUGGGAAAGCAAAAUUUGGGUUGACAUAUGCAAGAUUCGGUUCUACAUAUGUCGGAUGGUUAGGAACUCCAGCUGGAUUGCUAAGUGGUUCGAAUCGUCGUUGCUCCUCGAUUGGAAGACUCAAUUCCUUUGACCAUCAUCGUAGUUAAAUAUGCAACUAAGUGGUGAAAUGGGAAAAGGGAAUGUCUCAUGGAGUUUGGAUACCAAUUCCCGGACUCAGAGUGACAUGAAGCUUUGGCCGUCGAAUGAACAACAUAGUUAUUAAGGACUAUGAAAUUACAGACUUGUCUGUAAAAAGCAAAUAGAUAGACUGACCUCAAAUUCCUUGGCCUCUCGAGGUGAGCAAUUCGUGGCUAAAACUUGAAAGUAAGGAUACACUAUUAGUAAGCUUUCAUGCAAAACAAUCUGGUUCCUUGCUUAGCCACGCCUUGUCUACCCUAAGCCUGCAUUCUUAAGUUCUCAUCUUUUCCUGUUGGGUAAGUCUUGUUGAGUACUCCACUACUCAGGGUUUUAUAACCCCUAUUGCAGGUGAUGUUCAGGUGCCGACUUGUUUCGGACCCUGUUGUGUGACCGUCGUCGAGGUUGACGAUGAAGAAGAGGGAGCGUGACCCGUGGGUAGGGUCUAUAAGUUUGUAAUCUUUGUAAUAUGGUUUAAGUUGCUCCAUUGGACCUGGCUUGUAAUAACACUUUACCUAAAUCCUACUUUGAUGAACCGCUUUUGUAAAUUAAAUUAUGUAAUACUUCUGUUGUUUUACUCUGAAAUGCUACUUUGGUCAUAUACUGUUGGAGAUACUGCAAUAUCUUUGCAAUGAAUGAUCCUGGUGUUAAGGUGGUCACUUGCUAUCCUAUAAGGGCGAGAAGAAGAAAUUCUCUUUAAUUGACCAUUGCUAGUGGUCAGGACGAGCUCAGUUAUUAUGCCACAGGUAGCAGUGGAAUGGGCAUCGUGUGAUGCUCAUCGAGCUUAUAGAGUAGAUGGAUCCCCGGCAUCACCGUCAGAGGUCCUUGGGACAAUGAUAGGUGUUGGUGAGCGCAACUACUUAGGAGGUUCUGCCACACAAUCCCAAUGAUCUUUAUGCCGAUUCCAUUCUUCCUGAUGCCUCUCUUCUUGCUGACGUCGAAACCGAUCCUCACGCUGUUGCCAAUUCUCUCUUUGUAGCCUAUGGGUGAUCACGACACCAGAUCAAGGAGGCCUUUCAGAAGUGCUACUUUCUUCGAAAAUACCUUCUCCUUUUGCGUCAUUGGUAGUUACCUGAUGUUGGGGAUCCACCGAUGCGUUCUCCUCGGCAAUUUCUGAUGUCAGGAUCUUAGUCUUAUCCUCAUCAUCCAACAUGUUAGUGGGAAAAGGGUACUGAUCAAUUUUCAUUGGCUUCUGAGUUUUAGAGCCAUUAAAUUUAACUCUCCUAGAUUUUAUAGCCGAUUGCAACUAUUGCCUGAACACUUUACAUUUAUUUGUAUUAUGUGAAGUUGCAUUAUACCAUUUGCAAUACUUGAUCUUCUUCAACACUUUUGCCGAUGGAAUCACAUGGUUUGGUGAUAAUUUAAUCUGGUCCUCUUGUAACAAGAGGUCGAAUAUACUAUCGGCUUUUGUGACAUAAAAAGCAAACAUUUCUAGUUCUUUCUGACGAAAAGGACAAGAUAUCGGCUUCUUUUUUCACCCACUCAGCUAUGUGUUAGCAAAUCUAAACGCACACAGGCUAGAGUAAGAUGUGACAAGUAUCAACAAAUUGUGGCGCCUAACCAGCACUGAUUAAAUGCAAGCCUAAGCUAUUACUAGGAUAGGGUGUCAGGCUACCCUGAGCAAUGGCUCGAGAAAUGCUAAGCAACGCUAAACUCUAGCAGUGACGCAAGACGUACAAAGGGUAACUCUCCAAGCGCAAAGGUACCACUGUAGCACUUCAACCGUGGUGAGUAUCCAUGUGUCGUAAUUUAUAGUUCGCUCACAGGAAGCGGACUAAGACUCUCUUAAUAAAUAUUUGGAUGGAUAUCCGUGGUUUGUGUCUACUCAAUCUAAGUUCACUAGUGCUAAUAGGGGGGUAAGAAUAGCAAGAUAGAAUAAUAGAUAAGUCAGAUAAAGGUAAUUAAAAAUAAUUGGUAGUGAGCUAGUUAGUUGGGAGGACAACGAGUGAGUAAGGACUCCUAUGUAUCUAACUCUACUUCUAUGUUCUAAUCCUGAUCAAUGUAAAUGACUAAAAUAGACUAGUAUCCAAAUAGUCUUGUGUGGUGGAAGUCGACUGCAAAGGAGGCCAAAACUCCUAUGCAAGCAGACUUUUGUCUUAUGGCGCCUACAGACCGUACCCGACAUGAAUAGAACCUACUGGGAAGCAGAGGUCUGUCAUGCUUCGCCGCCACCUGCUAACACGUUUGAUACGGUGGCAUCCACUAAUAAGCGCUAGCCUAAGCACCUCGCUUACACUAGUCUUAUAACUUCAACUAUCACGUAAAUAGCCAAAGCCCCUAAUGGUAGUGGAACACACACAAGGUGUUGAAGACACUAAUCUAACUAAGGCAGCUACACUAAUAAGACUAAGACAGAACACUACUACAAGUAUAGUAAUGCACUAAGCAAUACUCAAAGUAAAGACUUGAAGCAAAUACUUAGUAAAGUAAAGAAAGACUAUAUUGAUAUAGAGAAUGUAAUACAAGAGAAAAGGUACAAGAGCUAUACCAGACUCUCCAAAAGAUAGCUCUAGAGACCGAGCUUCGCUCGACUCGACGCUAACUCCCACUCUAGACUAGACUACACUACACUUGAUCUCCCAAGUGUGAUUUGGAAAUGAAAAUGAGAGAUGGAAGAUGCGAGGUGGAGGACCCCUCCUUAUAUAGAGGUGAGAGAGGGGGUGCCAUGUUAGCGAUCCGCGUGCUCCUUCCUUCUCCACCCUUGGAUGCACCGACCUCCCAACCGCCUUAGAUGGACGGUUGGAGCAUUGCCACACAUGAGGAAGGUCGGUGGGAGUGAACCGACUCCAGAUGGGGCCCACAUGUAGGUCGGUCGACCUUCCCUAUGGCUGAUAGUGGGUCCCACUGACAUUCUAGAAGGUCCUUAGGUCGGUGGGAGGCUAGGCUAGGUGGCAUCACCCAAUUGGUCGGUUGGUCGAUCGACCUUUGGUGCCCCUGGCCCACCACAGGCCUCCUAGUGGUGUCCCCACUUGUCAUGUGAAGUGUUGUCCAAAAUUGAGUCUAGUUGCACACUUGCUUGCUUCCAUGUAGGCCUAAGGAUCCAUGUGCUAAGUGUUUAAACCGUUGAGGGCAAGCACACUUGGAUCCAAGGGUUGAAAUUGACUCCUUGGAGUAUGCCAUGGCUCAUGCUAUGGAGGGGAGCCCCUGGUGGGCCCAAUCCUUGGUCGACCGACCUAGGUUAUGGGGCCCUCAGGGCUCAUUUCCUUCUUCCCUGCAUUGAACAAGCUACGAGUACAAGUGGAACUUUAUUAGUGAUAAAUAUGUUCAUGUGAUGCUUAUCUUCCUUCAAUCGAGGACUGUUGAUGGGCUUUUGAGUAUAUAGAACUGGGUCUUAUUUCCCGUCAACAAGAUGCCCCAAGCUUGACCUUUGCUCGUCCCGAGCAAACAUUCAAGACUUGGUUCGAUUGGAUUAGGUAUUAUCACUAAGUUAACCUCUUGAUAGUACUAAGUGCACAACAAAGAACUUCUCCUUGAAUGGAAAACAUAGCAAUGCUAACACACUAAUGUUACUUUAGCACCCAUGGGGCUUAUAGCAUUAACUCAGUCUUGGGAUGUUGAGAGAUAGAAUAGCUUUGAUUGGACAUCUACUUUUCUUAUUCCUUAGCAAGUUUCAUGCCAGAGGUUUUUUUGUUAAGUUUUUCAAAAGAAAUCUUAAUGUUCCUCAUAUGGUUUCUCUCAAGUCACUCUACUGGUGUAUAAAUCCUUACCGAGGCAUAUGAGUAAGUUGCCUUCUCUAUGUAAUCCUACUAUAAUAAAGGCUUAUGUGGAGCUCAAGGUAGGAACAAGGUGAUGGCGUAGUUACAUUGCAUAUGUUGUGAAGUCAAACCUUGGAUCCUUGGAAGAAGAGUAGUGUCUGUUGACGGUCCUUAUGUAUCAAAUUUAAUUAUCAAAUAAACAAAGAAAAGGAUCCAAAUGAAACCAACACCUAGACUUAGGGUUUUAUCUGACAGAAUUCCACGAGUUUUGGUGUUUGUCUAUUUCUGCAGGGGAUUAUCAGGAAAUAAGGAAGAAAAGCCCACAUGUCAGGAUUACAUAGGGAUAUCAACACACCGCGCAAUUUUCUACCAUCUAGAAGACUCCAGAAGCCACGGGAAGAAAGCAGAGGCCGAAAGCGGCCAGGCCCAGGGCGCCCGCCCUCCUUCCCUGGGCGCCCGCCCUGACCUGGACUCCGUUCGGGACUCUCUUCACACACGAUGUUCCACCAACCAAAUGGAUCAAGGAUGAUGUAGUACCACAUCGCCUAUCGACCCAAAAAUGAAUAGAGGAGGGGGACUAUAUAAGGAGACCCCCCUGGCCCCUGGAGAAGACAAGAAGUUAUCAUAGAGAUUGAGGGGUGCCCUCGAAGGAAAACAUCUUCUCUAAAUAAUAUUUUUUUUAGGCUUAGCAACCAAUGUGAGUAGAAAUAGAUCUUCUAGUUUCUACAAGAUUGAGAGAGAUAGAGUGGAGGUGUAGAUCGGAGGAAGGCGGCCUGUCGGUGUCUACUCCGAGGUUGUACCUACGGGAUCAAGUCUUCUAACCCGAGGCUUGCUCCUAAGAUUCUUUAGUAAUUCGACUUCUAAUUCUAGUAAGUUCUUGUUUUAUUGUUCUUUGGUUUAUGAGUUUACUUUAAUCCUCUUCCGGUUUAGUAUUAGAGUAAUCAUUGCUAGCGUAAACUUGGUGUUUAGGCUAGGGUACUCAUAGAUAUCCCCUGACUAGCUGGACCGUGGUAGUAGCGAGGAACAUGACAUUUCCGAGUUACCUUUGUAUCCCAUAUCUUGUUUGCAGGAAGGGUAGGGUUUAUAGGUGGGGGUCGAACAUCCUUUGUGGUGUCUAGAUUCCAUAAGCUUCCCCAAUAGAACAGUAGAUCAUCCUUACCAAGGUUAGAACGAGACUACGGUUGCAGUCUUCUCUAUACAUCACUCACAUCGAGAAACAUUCUUUGUAGCCUAAAGGGGUAGUAGCAAUAGAUUUGGUUAGUCAGAUGCACCCUUUCUCCCAGUGGUAAAAAUAUAAAUACGAUACUCUGGAAAACCUCCCGGGUGAAAUGCUCACCGAUAUCCGUGUGCUUGCAGAUCAUUUCCUUAUUGCGUUACCAAAUAUCAACAAGCAUUUCUGGCGCCGUUGCCGGGGAGAAAGACGGUUUGCUGAGAUAACUUUGAGUCUUGCUAUUAUCUUGUAUUAUACUUUUAUUCUUUUCUCUUUUUAUCUUUAUGGAUAACUUAAAUUCCAUACCUAUUAUUGAAUUCUUUGCACCUUCGGAGACCAGCCAUAGACCAUGGGAGUCAACAAGUCCUGCCCCUAAUUAUGAUCUGUGUCCGGAGUUGAUUGCAAUAGGUCAAAACCAACCCUUAUCUAUAGCUGAGGUCCUAUCUUUUAAUCAAGAAGAUAAUGCACUUUUAGCUACACCAAGGGAAUCUGUUAAUCUUUCUAUAAAUUCUGGUUUAGACCUAGCCCUACAAGACCAUGUUUUUCCUAGAUAUUUUCACAUUGGUCUUAAUCAUAUAACCUUUGGUAGAGUCUUUCUUCCUUUAUCUAUUAGUAAAGGAAGGUAUGUCUUCAUUUGUGGACAUCCUUCUUGCACUAGUCUUCAUAAAAAUAUCUUAGAGAUAGAGAAGGAAUCAUCUCCCAGACAAGGAAAGGAAGUUUCAAUAGCUGAUUUCCAAACAUUUCAAUCUCAUAAUACGGCUAUCCAACCCAUCCUUGAGCCUAAUAAUCUCUACUAUGCUCUUUCUCUUGAACCUCCCGAUAAUCCUAUGAAUCUCUCUAGACAUCCCAUGAAUAAGAAGGAGGAUCGAGAAGAGCAACAUCAAUGGCUAGAGGGCAUUAAAAAUCCAUGUGCUAUCACCAUUGAAUGGAUGGAUAAAACAAACUUGAGAGACAAUCCUAGAGGAAUUUUAAGCAUUCAUGAAGAAUCAUCCUUGGAGUUUGAGAAUGAGAGAAACAACAGUGAGCAUGGAAGUUAUUUCAUAAAUACCUUACCAAGUCCUUGCUCAUAUAAAACAUCUCCCCAAUCAAUUGGUCUCUCCAUCCUUACCACAUUUGAGAUCUCCAACCCCCUUUUCCUUUCUAUUUAUAAACACUUUAAAAGGGUGGUUGUCGAUGCAUAUGUCUAUAAUAAAUAUUGCAGAUCUCGUUGAGUUCAUCUUGAUAUAGGUCAGCGUCGGAGGGGAAACCACUUCACCAACAUAACUUGAUGGUUUCCCAAGGAUAAGCUUAGCGUCCCUAAACAAGCACUUAUCAGAUCGUAACAUGAACUUUUAAUUAUUUGCAACAUUGCCUUAUUGAGCAUAUUGAGAUAAUUAUAGAAAUAUUCCUUCGGGUAUUCUUGCCACUAACCUUUCUAGGAUUGGAGCAAGAAGAUCGGAUGAAUGACAAGCACAAGGUAUGUCCAACCAACCAUCAUACAACAUUGAAUUAAAUUCAUCCAAACUUGAAUUUCGCAAAAUUCAAGCUUGGGGGAGUACUUUACAUAAAAACAUCCUUUGCCAUGUUGCUAUGUUGGUUGUCCCUACCUUUGAGAGAUGCUCAAUUUGUUAAGUACUAAUCACACUACUUCAUCUCCACUUGAGUAGAUCUCUAUAAAUGCUGUCAUGCUACCUUUGUCUAUUUACUAGCAAGUGUUGGUUUGGAAGUACUCGACAUACUUCCAUUGGCAUUUAAAUUAAGCAUGGUGCUUAGGUUAAAUAGCCUUCCUUAAUCUGAUUAGACAUGGAGUCUAGUUUGGUUACGGAACUAAAAAAACUGCUUGAGUAGAUAUUGGUAUAUUUUGUGGGACUAACCCCUGCAGGAAAACUUUCAAUAUCAACCUGGGAAGUCCUGAGAUAAACUCACAUUGGAGAUGAAGAAAGUGACACAUGAAGUUUAAUAAUUUGCACAAGAAAGACGUAGCUCAUAAGAGAUGAUUCAUGGAGGGUGCCACAAACACGAUGCACAACCGCUAAGGAAAGCUUCCACAAGGUGAUACUAUACCAUCACUCUUCAAGUAAGGUAACACCUUAAGGUACUGGACUAUCGCUUUUAUAAGCUUCUCCUUGGUUCUAGCAUACACAUGAAUAAAAGAGACAAACAUGUAUGAUUUGUAGCUCCAAAUUAACCAACCCGAUUAAUUCAACAUGUUUAGUCCUUUAAUCUUUGUUCUUAGUACUACCUUCGUGAUCCCACGCUCUUAAUCAUAUAAGCUAAAGUAUUGCACAUUCAAUCUUUGGGAGAUAUAAACAAAACAUAAAUAUAGAUAGAUUAUCUUUCCAUUAGGUUGAGCCAUCUGAUCUGACAAAUGUUUUAAAUGCUACACUCAUGAUCUUAUUAUCCAUCAACUUUGUCUUGCUCACUAUGCUUAAGGUUAGAGAAGAACAAAUACACUUUUGGUUCUGUUGGUGUUUUCCACCAACAGGGCCCAUGCACUUGAUCUCUGCCUUGUCUCUAUGAAUAGGUACACUUCAAACAAAACAUGGAGGAGUUUUACAACUCCGAGAUUGCACCAAGUGAAGAACCGGGAUCUACGAGCACAAACACAAUGGAGAUCAGACACUUAGUUUCCCAAAGGAAAUAUUGAAGAACCUCUGUGUCCGAGUUGGUACCUUGUACGCUCUAGCAAACUUCGUGGUGAUAGAGACUGGUAGUGAGGAGAGGGUACCCAUCAUCUUAGGGAGGCCAUUCCUAAAUACCAGAGCUGACAUCUACGCUAAUGCUGCCAAGAUCAGUUUCUACAUCAAGGGGAAGAAGGAGACUUUCUUUCAAGAACAAGACUACACAAAUUUCAGAGCAAUCCCGACAUGAACCAAGGAAGAGGACCAAUAGGAGGAACAGGAACAAGCAAAUGUGGACGGAGUCAACUAAGAUGGUCACUGCAGCUCAAGGAGGUCAAGAUCGUCGACUCAAGUCACCUUUCCUGAUCAAGAAGGACGACCCUGGUGUUCCAAGCAUUGAGUGCACAAUCAAUGGAUACUCUUUUCAGAAGACACUCUACGACACCAGAUCUGACGUCAACAUAAUGGCCGUAGUCACUUAUCAGCUCCUGCAUGGAACCAUGCCCCUACAACCAACAUACAUUCAGCUCCAGAUGAUUUUCAGGUCAUUGGCAUGGGAGAAGACGAGUACGAUCCACCCACCAUCAUUGGAAGACCAUUCCUCGACACCAUCAAAGCCAUCAUUUAUAUUGGAACCGGAGAAGUCCACAUGCACUUUCCUCUGAAGAAGGCGACGCAACCGCAACCAGAGGAGGCAAAUCAUCAAGGAUGGAUGGGCAGACUACGAAGGAGAAGUAGUAAGGUCUGAAGACAUACAGCUUGAACAGAAUUGUCCCGAGGAGACCGUAGCAUCGAGUCAGGUGUGGAAAGAGAAGAUAGUUAUACAAGAAGAGGAGGCGCCGCCGGAAUCACCGACUACGCCACCUAGCGAAUCCCAGGACGACUGAGAAAACGGAGAGUCCCGUUCGGAGGACUUAAAAAUACCGAACGCCUUGCCAAGAGGUAAACUUGGUAGUUAUCCUUUUCCAUUCAAUAGUUUGCUUAGUUAAUCAGGUUUAUGCUAUCUUGAAAAGAAAAUAAAAAUGUUAAAAAAAUAGUAAGCCCCAUGUGAGUAUGCUCAUGGCGUAAAACCCAUAAGGACAUUCACUGUGGUGGCAUAAAAAUAAAAUAAUUAAGUUUUCAUCUUACAAUAAAAAUAUAAAAAUAAUAAGUGCAUGAUCCUGCUAAAUAAGUAACAUUUAUUGAGGAGGUUCAACAUGAUAAAGGCUAGAUAUUUAUGCUAACACUUAACUAGUUCCACAAAGCUUUGUUGUCUAUUUGAGCUCCACAUAAUUCAAGGAUCAAAGAAGACUAGCAGACGGAGGACAUCCUAAUCGCUGUCAGGGUGUUGCCGACAUUCAAAUACACCUCCACCACCUGCUAGCUACAUCAGAAGAAAUUACGUCAAAAUCCAUCUUGGGGGAGAGCACCCCCAUUUAUCCAGCUAAGUGUUUUUACUCGCGUUUAUAUUUUACUCAAAUAAUAAAAAGAUGCAUAAUCAUGAAAACCCAACUAAAGAUUUUGUGCUUUUAUAUAUAUAUAUAUAUCUUUUCUUAGUUUGCUAAAUGAAUAAAUAAAUAAAGUUUGCUAUGAACCCUCAAGAUAAACUCUAGCAUGGAAAUAAUGAAUAGUUGCUCUGCCAUGACUAGUUCUUAAAAUUGAAAUCUCUCUCAAGUUUAGGCAUGACUGUUAUGAAGUAAGAUUUGCUCUAAACCUGAACUUGUGGGAAGAGUACUUGAUCUAAAGUCUAAGUUGUUAACGGAUAUGAUAUGGGAAGGUUGAGGUGCUAUUUAUCUGUUCCUAGAGAUGCUAGAAUUCUGGAGAAUUUUAUCUUUGAAAAACCUUUAAAAUAUUACAUGAUGAGUUCCUGUAUGAUGAGAGUUUAAGAUGCUACCACAACGAUAUAGACAUGCUUAUUAGACUUUGAGCCACACAUUUACUUUUUACUCCUUAUGAGCAUUAUGUGUGGUCAAGCUAUGUAGACCCUUAGGAGUUUGUCAUGUGGUUAAAAUCAAGAUUCACUUGCACGUUCACUCAUAUAUGCUACUUCUACUCCGGAAGUAGCAUCCACAUACAUCCACUCAUUUCCAUCUCCAGAUUCACCCAAAAGAAUUCUACUCCUAAUCCGGGAGAGAAUAGCCAAAAACAUUAUCCUAUCCCUAUUAUUCUCUGUGAAAUAAAUGCUCCAGUUAUUUUGGUUACUACCACUUGCUACAUUAUUUCAGGAGAUGAGUGCUCUAAAAAAGGGAGAAAAAAAGAGAAAAAAAAUACGAGGAAAUAAAAAGGGGCAAGUGCCCGGAACCUCGAAGAAAAGAAAAAGUGAGACGAGAGGUAAAAAUGGACAAGUGUCCGACAGUAGAAUUAGGGGUACAAGAUACCCACCUGAGAGAAAAGAAAAAAAAGAAAAGAAAAUAUAGAGCAUCUCAUUCUCCCCAAAAAGCUUCAAAGUGCAAGAAAGGUAUGUAUUCCCUCAAAAGAGCAAAAGUAGAAUUAGACUUCCACCAUUAUUAUCACCAUCAUCACCAUACACCAUUCAUUCACCACACAUGCACAUCUUGAUUUGAUUUAUUGACUUGUUUCUCUGGAUCCAUGGUUUGACUAUGCAAUAAAUGUCUUGUAAGUAUGUAUUAGUUGUCUCCCACCUAUGAGCUCCAGAUAUCAGAACCUUAUUAGAGUAGGGUGAGAGAGAAGGCAAUAUCACUACGCCUCAUACCAAAAAUACCACAUACUUUGAGAGAAGGCAUAUACCACUACUACCUUGGUAAGGAUCCAGAAAUACCACAAAAGAGAGACUAGAGAGAGUCAUACAAGGAAACUCUGAGUUUUAUUUGAAAAUCUGCAAAAAACUCCAGAGCUAUAGCUGAUCAAGAAUAAGAGACAUGGCACUUGACUUGACCGUUCUAUCUUUUAACUGCUCAAGACACAAGUGACGGUUACAAGCCCCAUGGUGAAAGGUAAAAUGAGUAAGUUUUAAGUCUUAACAGUUUAUUCUAACUCAGAGAUGAGAUCUUGCUUGAAUGCGUGUGUACUUUUAAGGCAUGAAACCACUGCAGAAACUCUUGAGUUCAUCCUUGCUCAGGGACGAGCAAGAGGUAAGCUUGGGGGAGUUGUUGACGGUCCUUAAGUAUCAAAUUUAAUUAUCAAAUAAACAAAGAAAAGGAUCCAAAUGAAACCAACACCUAGACUUAGGGUUUUAUCUGACAGAAUUCCACGAGUUUUGGUGUUUGUCUAUUUUUGCAGGGGGUUAUCAGGAAAUAAGGAAGAAAGGCCCACAUGUCAGGAUUACAUAGGGAUAUCAACGCACCGCGCAAUUUUCUACCAUCUAGAAGACUCCAGAAGCCACGGGAAGAAAGCAGAGGCCGAAAGGGGCCAGGCCCAGGGCGCCUGCCCUCCUUCCCUGGGCGCCCGCCCUGACCUGGACUACGUUCGGGACUCUCUUCGCACACGAUGUUCCACCGACCUAAUGGAUCAAGGAUAAUGUAGUACCACAUCGCCUACCGACCCAAAAACGCAUAGAGGAGGGGGACUAUAUAAGGAGACCCCCCUGGCCCCUGGAGAAGACAAGAAGUUAUCAUAGAGAUUGAGGGGUGCCCUCGAAGGAAAACCUCUUCUCUAAAUAAUAUUUCUUUUUAGGCUUAGCAACCAAUGUGAGUAGAAAUAGAUCUUCUAGUUUCUACUAGAUUGAGAGAGAUAGAGUGGAGGUGUAGAUCGGAGGAAGGCCGGCCUGUCGGUGUCUACUCCAAGGUUUUACCUGCGGGAUAAAGUCUUCUAACCCGAGGCUUGCUCCUAAGAUUCUUCGGUAAUUCGACUUCUAAUUCUAGUAAGUUCUUGCUUUAUUGUUCUUUGGUUUAUGAGUUUACUUUAAUCCUCUUCCGGUUGAGUAUUAGAGUAAUCAUUGCUAGCGUAAACAUGGUGUUUAGGCUAGGGUACUCAUAGAUAUCCCAUGACUAGCUGGACCGUGGUAGUAGUGAGGAACGUGACAUUUCCGAGAUACCUUUGUAUCCCAUAUCUUGUUAGCAGGAAGGGUAGGGUUUUUAGGUGCGGGUCGAACAUCCUUUGUGGUGUCUAGGUUCCGUAAGCUUCCGCAAUAGAACAGUAGAUCAUCCUUACCAAGGUUAGAACGAGACUACAGUUGCAGUCUUCUCUAUACAUCACUCACAUCGAGAAACAUUCUUUGUAGCCUAAAGGGGUAGUAGCAAUAGAUUUGGUUAGUCAGAUGCACCCUUUCUCCCAGUGGUAAAAAUAUAAAUACGAUACUCUGGAAAACCUCCCGGGUGAAAUGCUCACCGAUAUCCGUGCGCUUGCGGAUCAUUUCCUUAUUGCGUUACCAAAUAUUAACAGUGUCGUGCUCGAGAUCAAGAUAUAUGUGGAAAGGUGGUAUGAUUAUGAUAGCUAGAUGGCUCCUUUAUUUGAUUGUGCUCUCUCUAUUUUUUCUAUUGAGACAAGGCUAGAAUUUCUCUCUCUCUUUUUCAAGGACUUGAUGAUGUCCUUCCUAAUAAGAUGAUUAUUUUUCUAUAGCCUUUGCUUUGUGUCUCAUCUAACAUUUAGCUAUUAGAGAGGGAUUCUACACUUAGAGCAUGGAGCAUCUAUAUUUGGUGGAAUGGAAUGGAAUGGUAUGGAAUGUUGCAUACUCCUAGUGUAGGAGCAGCAGAUGUAUGUGGAUGGUGUGGAUCUUGAUCUCAUUGAGCAUGACACAACUCUAAACCAAGGGUCAACAAGAGUUGACAACUCUCAACACAAGCAAGCAGCCUAUGUGCUGGGUUUCUAUCAUGUAGAGCGUAUAUGGCUUGUGGUAGGAAAUUAACACCAUUGAGGAACAAUUAAGUUUUUAUUCAUCUUUUAAAAAAAUAAAUUCUCUGGCAAUCAUGCAUGCUUAGAAAAUUAGUAUAGAUCUCUUAUCUUAGCUAUAUCAUGUCUCACAACAACUUAGACUUUGUUUUUGCACUUGCAACCCACUAAGUGUUCAAGUUCAUGAUGAUUAAGAAUGCUAAGUAGUCCAUGCUUAGAGAAAUGCUAAGUUGUAAACAAGUACUAGAAAGACAUUAACUAGCAAUUUCAUCAUCAUUUCCAUAGGUAGGAUAACACACAUGAAGCAUAUAUACAAAAAGGAAAUAAAGCUAAUAAUUUUUUUAUUAUUAUGCAAGAAGGAAAAAAACAAAAUGCAAUAAAGCCAGAAUUAAAUUAGGGGGUUUGGAAACUUACCUUGGAUAAACUUACCUUAGUGGGGGAGAGAAUCUCCCCCAGCUUGCCUUCUUGCUCACGGGGGUGGUUGAUACCCAAACCACUAGUCCCAUCGGUACUCGCUCUCAACUUGGAGGCUUUGGGCCAUGUCCAAGUUCUCUUGCAUGAGCUGCAAGGUAGUCUGCUGUCCGAUGUUGAUGUUCUCCAUAUUGCUGAUGAGUGUCUCCAUUUCGGACGGUGGUUGGUGCCUCCCCCUACCACAAGGGCGAGGGGUGCGCGUUGCUGAAGACAUCCUGGAGUGAUGAGGUGUUUUCGUGUGCAUGGAGAUCACCUCAUCCUCCUCUUGUGGUGUAGCAUAAGAGGGACCAGCUUGUUGUUGAGCAGCACGGGACUAUGCUCUCAUCAUCCUGUCUGUCUCUGCAACAGGGUUGGCUCUAUUCUCUCUUCCUAGCCUCAGAGUUAGUGAUGAAGCAUUAUACAACCAAAGGUCCUCAUCAAGGAGAGAGACCUCAAUAAGAUGGUUCCCAUAAAUCAUUUUAAGACCAUUUUUGGGAUCUCUCUUAAUCAAAUUAGCACUCUUAAACAUCUGCUCACCUAAGAGAUAUCUAUCAUCCUGGAUGUACUCUACUUCAUUUAUUUCAAGCAAACCCAUAGAUUCAGCAAUUCUGGUGAUAAGUGAAGUAAAGCAUAUGGGCAUGCUAGGUGCAAUGGAGGAAAUCUAGAAAGUUACUAGCCACUUGACAGGUGAAAAUCUGAUUUUAUUUACCAUGGCAUAAAGCAUUUGCAAUUCUUUAAAGCCUAUAUCAUCCACACUAGUACCAGGGAAGUGAGUGAUUAUGAUCCAAAAGUACAUGAAUCUUAAAGUUGGGUUAUGGAUUUGGAUAGGUCUACGAAUAGAUGGAUUAUUGGAGCAAGUAAUCAACUUCCAGAACUUGGCUAAGUCAAAAUUUCGCAAAGCAUGAUCUUUGUCUAGCUCACAAUCUUGAUCAAAGCCUAGACAUGUACUCAAUUCACUCCAAGUUUAACUCUAAUCUUUGUUGAACAUGUGAAAACUUACUCCUGCAUCAUUUGAUUUUAGUGUGGCAAGAAAUUCUUAAGAGAGUAAUUUUAUACCGAAUUUAGGAACUUGCCAAAAUCCUCCCCAACCAAUGGCAUAAAAGAUGGUAGGAAAGUUGUUGCUCAUACCUGAUUGGUCCAAGAGUUGCUCGUCAAAGACAGUGGUGUGGCUGAAGCCGCAAGUGCGAAGGGUGUAGAGCUUCCCUAGCUCUUCAUGAGUGAGCAAGAGGUUGUCGUGGGGCUCCAGUAUCCUAUUAGCGGGGAUAAAGGGAACAAGUGUGUGCAGUUGUUCCUCCUCCACUCUCUCAUGGCUCGUACUCUCGUAGUAGUGAGAGCUCGAGGAUGAGCCAUCACCGUUCCUCUUUUUUGUGCGCUUGGCAGAGAUGAUUUUCUUCAUGCUAGCUUCACUAGUGAACAAACAAGACCAAGCUUCCUACUAUACUACUAUGCAGAUGGGAAAUAUUUUCGGGUUUAUAUCUACUACUACACUAAGCUUGAAAAGGCUUGGAACACUAAAGAGAAGAUAGAAGGCCAAGUGAGCUCGAGAUGAUUCUAUUGGUUGUGGUGUGGAAUUGAGCUCACAUUGGGGUGCCACUUAUAGGGUUGAAAGUGUAACACCCUAGGUGUUAAGCAUGCAUUUAGCCCUAUCACAACAUGCAUAAGCAUUUUCAUCAAGCAUAGCAUCAUGAGCAUGUCAUUCAUCCCAAAACAUGAUUUUAUGUGCUUUAUUUCAUUUGUUUUAAUUAUGCUAAAAUAUGAUGCUUGCUUCCAAAAAUGUGAAAUAUUCAAACUAGGUUGAUUUAUGUGUAAGAAGAAUUUAGAGUAUUUUUGUGUAAUUUUUGGAGCUAUGGAAUUUGAGAAAUGGAAUUUAUACAAGAUUUCCAAAUUGAAUUUAUUUAAAAACCUAGAACUAAGUUUUAAUUUGUAAUUCAAAUUCUAUUUGGAAUUUGGUCUUGCUUAUUAAAGCAAAGUUGUAGAGUUUUUGUUUUGGAACAACUUUGUUUUUGGGAGCAAGAGGUGAAAAUGAUUUUAAAUUGGUCCAAAUGAAUUUAGAAAGAAUUUGGAGAAAAGAAAUUCAAAAAAAAAGGAAAGGGGCAGGCGCUGCUGGGCCAACCCCGCUUCCCUUUCGGCCCAGCGAGCGGCCCGGCCUGCCUCCCCCUUCCCCUCUCUCCCGCGCGGGCGGCGCCCGCCUCGCUCCACCCGGCGCCGGCCACGUGGCGGCCGUACGCCGGCGUUGGACGCGCCGCGGCCGGCCUCCAACCCCCCCUGGUCGGGACGCCGGCUCGGGCUCCCAGGCCAUUUCCUCCGUUCUGUCCCGUGCGCCCUCCUUCUCCUUCCUCCCUCCGCUCGCACCGCGCAGCAGCAGCAGCUCCUCCGUACGCCAUUGCCGGAGAAAGCCCCGCCGCUCGGCGCCGACCGCACCAGAGCCUCAAGCUCACCGCCGAGAGCACCAGCGCCUUCGUCAUCAUUAGGGUAAGCUUGUGCGCGCGUUCUACCGAGGUGAGAGUCCGUCGAGCGCCGUGAAUAGCUCGCCGGAGUACUCCGCCGCGACGGAUCUUGUGUUUCUCUGCCUCUUUUCGCUGGUUCUUGGGUGCGCUAGGUCGGUAGGGUGGUGAGGAAGCUCGGAGAGGCGUUUGCGCACGCUCUACCGCGCCGGAGCGGCCUGGCCACGGCGAGCAGCGCCACCGUGCUGCCAUGCAUGCUCGUCGGAGGUGUUCCGGUCAUCCUCCGGCCAAUCCAAGGGUACCGUAGGGUGCGCCUCGCUGCGGGGAGCACGUUGGUGCUUACCCCGUGGCCGGAGACCUCACCGCCGGCGAGAUCUGCUCGUCGGAGGUGAGCUCCCUCUCGGUCUCGCUGACCGGUGGGGUCGGGGACCCACUGUCAGUCGUAGGGGGACCCCGGUGGGUGUAGAUCUGGGUGUGCGUAGCCUUUUUCGUCGGUUUUCUUGAAUAAAUGACUUCUAGAAAUUGAUUCAAAACUUGUAAAAUUCAUAUCUUGAGGUCUACAGCUCCAAAUUGGAUGAAAUAAAUUUUGGUGUGCUCUAUAUUUAAUCCAUGUUUUUGCUAAACUUGGAGAAUGCAUAGUAAAUAAAAUAUGGUUCAGAAAAAUGUGAAACUUGAUUUGUUGGCUCUGCAUGUAUGUUUACUCACUGGGAAAAUAUUGCUACAUAUUAUUUGGUGUAUAGAUGAAUUUAAGGUAAUUUAAAUACUUGCAUGUCAGUGAUUUAUGAUUUUUAAUAAUUAAUUGGAUCAUGCAAUAAAUAUAGAAAAUUUUGUGGGUGUUUCUUAUGAUAUUAGACAAAUUGUAAAAAUAUGAAAUCUGUUGUUUGACACUUAUAUCACAGUAGAGUGAUUAUACUUACCCUAUGAAUUAAUCUUGUGAUUUUUGUGGCUCAAAAUAAGUAUCCAAAAAUUAUGAAAAAUUUACAGUAGACUUUAUGCGUAGCUGGUAGUCUCCUGUAAUUUUUGUGGAAUUUAUUGAUGAACAGAAUUGCAUGUGAUUUUUAAUGGGCCUAGAAAUGAAUAAAGAAAAUUUUGAAUUGUUGUGUAUAUAGGUUGGGUUUGGUGUAUCUUUGAAGCAUCAUGUGGGUUGCUGGUUGCAUUUGAAAAAUAAUUGUAGAAGAGAAUGCAAUAGAUGUUUGAUUCAAUUGUUUGUUCUUGGAUGAUGUUGACUACCUUGUAAUGAGCAUGACCGAGUACAUUACAUAUGCAUCAUGUCAUGACUCCUUUGGUACUUUCUCAUACAAGCAUCCACUCCGGGAUCUCGCAGUCCACUCAUAAGCACCCAUGCAUCAUACAGGCUCGCAGGAGAACGAAGUGGGACCCGAGGAACCCGAGGAGAUUCAGGAGCAGGAACCUCCGGGAGCACAGGAACCCGGAGAGGAGCUGCAGGAGUGUCCGGAUCACCGACCCAGCACGUUUGAGAAAGGCAAGCCCCGGAGCAUUCUAAGUCUCCCUAUUCUCGCUAACUUAUAUGAUGCGCUAUAAUUGUUCUACUAUAUUGCAUCUAAGUGAUAGGAUUUGAUUGAUGUCGUUGAUGCAUAUGUACUCCUUGUUAUCCCUACUCGUUCACCUACCUUGUCCUAUGUAGAUAGGCACGGAGUCUAUGCUUAGCUUGCUUAGUCCGGUAGAAGUCGGGUGAUUUCCUGUCACCUGCGAGAAAUAGGUGGAUACCUGCUUGAUUAAGCAUUGGUUGCUUGGGGAAAAGAAUAACCAAGUAUGGAAUGUAACUGGAGACCGGGCAGGGUCUUAUGGUGGGUUGACCAUAGUGCCCCUGCCUGCGUCGAUUAAGGACCGAUCGUUGACGGCCCUCUUGUCAUGUUGAACGCAUGCCCCACACUUAGCUGGAAGGAUAAGUCAUUCCGACCGCGAAGCCUGAACACUAUCCGGGCCGGGCAUCGAGCCGCCAUGCGCUGUAUUGGUGAUGGUUGAGGAGAACGACGAGGGCGCGGCGCGCAACCUUGGUAUACCUUGGAUACCUCGGUCGCCGGAACGGUCCUCGGGUACUGGCGGUGCCUGCCGAACCCGCGAAUUGGUCCUGGAUAGUGUAAUACGGUGAUCUGUAGCUCACUUGAUCUGUGAGUGUGGUUUGUGUGGGGAAUACCUCGCCAGCUGGUUAGAAAUCGAUUCGAAUCGCAAUCGCUCCUGGAUAAUGAGCACUUGACAUGAGCUUCGUCCUCGUAGUAAGGACUAUGGAACACUUGGGUUAUGUUGAUGAAUGGUUUUAAGAAAUGCUAUGAUGAGGUACUAUCAUAGCCUUAUACUCGCUUGUAAUAGUGCAGGUGCAAACCUAGAUGAUAGGUAAUGAUACUUUCAACUUGAGCAAAUUAAAAGAAGAAAGACUUAUGUAGGUUAUGAUAGUAAAAUCCUGCGGUUUUGCAAAAUGGUUGUCAGCUACCCCACUAUAUAGCCUUCAUGAUCCUUGAUGAGUCUUUAUUUUAAGUUUAUGAUGGGUAAGUCUAGCUGAGUACCUUCUCGUACUCAGGGUUCUACUCCCAUGUUGUUUUGCAGAUGGUCAAGUGUACUAUGGUUAUUGCAUCCUCUAUCUAUACCCAGCCAUGGGUGAUGACUAGACCAAGGGCGAUGGUCACUCCGUCUUCUCUUUUGCUUUUGUGGGAAUGACCGAACUAUGGCACUGUAUCAGACUAAGCGUGUGUGUUGUAUUUUCGAACUACGAAGCUUCCGCUACUUGAAGAACUUGGUUUGUAAUAACUUUAAGAACUCCGAUUUAUUUUAUGAAUGUUGAAAUCUGGAUCUAUUGUGAAUGGCGACCGCUAAACUUAUUACGAUCUUGGCUGUUGUGCGGUAUGUGGUUUGAAAUCCUUCGAGAUUUCACAGACUACCGGGAUUAUAUGGGCUUAAGCGUGAUGGUUUGACUAUGCAAAUGGUCACUGUUAGGCUUAAUCUCUUAUAAUUUGGUCGGUUCUGUUACAGCUGGCAUCGGAGCAAGGUUUAGCGAGUUACUGUUCAUAAGUACGUUCUAAACAAAAUCUAAACCGGUCUAAUAAAGGAUUUUAUUAAUUAAUAAUGAUCAAGGUGUUAAACUAAGUUUUGGAAAACUAUCUAGUGUGCCAUGGUCAUAUCAUUUAUGCCCAGUUAAGGACUCUAAGGUGGCUAGUUAAGUACUGACUUGGGGGUUAAUGCAUCAUAUUUUUAUUUCGUCGCUCAUACGGCGUGCAAUAGUAUGAGUACCAUUCAUUUGAGUGGUAAUGUAUGGAUCUAUUUUUCCUCUACGUCAUGGUAAGUGGGAGCUGUGAGAGCAUGAUCGGAUACACCGCCGGUCUAGGGGAGUGUUGUUAGGUACUGUGUCAUGCACACAUGUUUUGGUGUGUCUUGGAAACAGUACCGCAUGUUGGGAAUUCCGUCCUGAGAGGCGAUGCCAUCAUUAGGGCGAUGAUAUGGGUAGCAACACAUCACAUGCAUGGACGGGUGUCAGUGUAUGUGAAGUGCAUAGUUUUAAAUUUUGUUUUGCAUUAGCAUACUGUGGGUGGGCUGAAAUGAGUUUUCUGCAGGUACCCUAACCACGUUCUCGCUUAGAACACUAGUUACGUUAUGAGAGAACGUUGUGUGCCACCGCAUAUACCGCUUAGUGUUAACCUUUGUUUCUAAGUUUGUGAGAUCGUAAGUUCGUGCAUGCAUCAUGUUCAUGUCAUAUCAUUGCUUACUUUCCCCCUUAAUUUAAUCUGUCCCAAUUCUAAAUAAAAUAAUUAAAUGUAAUCCUCGCUCUUACCCACGGUAUUCCAUUUGCAGCAGAUGGCACGCACUAGGCUCACCGCUCGCAAGUCCACUGGUGGGCGGGCCCCACACCAUCCGUUGGCAGCUAGGAGCUCGCGACAUAAGAGCAAGUUCCUGGAGGAGUUUGGGAUGCCCACUUUGCUUUGGAGGGUACUCAGUUCGAUGGGGUAUCCCGAAGGAAGGGAGCCUCGCUACUAUUGGGAUAAGGAGCCGCUUGGUGACGAGACCCUGGUGGGGAUCGAGGCAGUUGUCCCUACUAGUGGAGGAGACCCUGCUUGGGGUGGCUGGGUGUACGAGUCCCGAGGUGUCACGCCUUUCCAUGGUGCUAGCAGGGCAGCUUUCGCAGUUCGGAGGGACCUCAUGGAGAGGUUUCCACAGGAGCUGGCCCACGCCUUCGCUGGGGUGUUUCCCCGGGGUGACCCCUACACUUCGGUGUGGGAUCAGUCCAAGGUGAGCGCUCUAGAAAGGAGUGCGGCUGAGGACCAACACAGUGACAGCGCAGCUAUGAGUGCCAUGUACGCCUUGAUGAAGACCUAUGGAGGCCUGGAGCGUUGUUUGGGUCGCUUGUCCGGGUCUCUUCUCACCGUCCAGGAUGAGAAGCGUCAGUUGCAGCGUGAGUUCGACUCUGAGGUUGAGAGGCUGCAGGCAGAGUUGGCCCGUGUGACCAGAGAGAGAGACCAGGCAGUCCAGAAGAACAACGAGCUGAGUCAGGACCUGCUUGCAGUGCGAGAGCAGAGGGACAGGGUGACUACUGUUCACAGGAACUACGAGCGCAUGCUAGUCCAUGUGCUUGGACAGAGGAAUGAAGCCUGGCACGAGGAGGACACUUUGAGGGCCCGACAGCUAGAGCUAGAGCAGCAGCUAGCUAAUGCUGAGGAGUACAAUGAGAACUUGCAUGAGGAGAUCCACCAGCUGCAUAACCAGCUCCACCCUCACCACCUGCCUGGAGCAGCUGAGCUAGACUCUGAGGACGAGAUGGAUGCGGAUCCCAAGAUAGGAGCAGCUGCUAGUGGAGAUGAGGAUGAGGAUGGCUCCGACAUGGACAGUGACCAUAGCGAGUAGAUACUAGGGCUCUAGAGCUAGUCCUUCUUCUUGUGUUGUUGUAUGUUGCAUGGCAUGUCAUGUACUUUUGGAUCUGGGCUAUGUAAGACUUAUAAGUUAAUGCUGAAAGUCCAGUAUAUGUAUGCUGGCAAGUUGGAUGUACGCGAACCUUGUUGUGUAAAUGUUAAGUAAUCUGUUAGUGAUGUUGUGCGUAGAUGAUGAAUUGUUGUGCCUCUGUUUGCUGUGCGAAUUUAUUCCCUCAGUAAAUUCAGUACGGCACGAUUCUACACAUGGCUUAUCAUUGACUUAUGCAGAUGGUGCAAACACAUGGCUGGGGUAACAGCAAUCCGGGCCUUGGAGCAGGUACAUCCGGAGGUGGGGCUCAACGGAAUGAGGACAGAGCACCAACACCGCCACCACCACCGCCUCCUCCGUACACUGCGGACGUGUUUUUCGCGCAGUUUCUGGGGAGCCAACGCAACAUGGAACAGAUGCAGCGCAACAUGGAAGAGGCUCUGCGCAACAUAGCUGACAACACCCGUCGUGGGGAUAAUCAGGGUGGCCGAGAGGUCAACCAGUACAGUUCGUUCAAGGACUUCAUGGAUACCAAGCCACCAAUCUUCAAGAGGCUUUGGAACUGCUUGAGGCAGAUGAGUGGAUCAACACCAUGGAGCAGAAGUUUCGUCUUCUCCGAAUGACAGAAGAACUUAAGGCUGAGUAUGCGGCACAUCAGUUGCAAGGACCCGCUGGGAUUUGGUGGUCCCAUCACUGUACAACCUACCCAGAGGGAACCCCAAUUACCUGGAACCGUUUCACCACAGCUUUUCGGGGAAAUUACAUUCCUCUGGGUGUGGUUGAAAUGAAGGUUGGGGAGUUCAUGAGGCUGUCCCAGGGGACGAAAUCGGUGAAGGAGUAUCUACAUGCUUUCAAUAAUCUCGCUCGCUAUGCCCCUGAGUUUGUAAACAUGGAGGCUAAGAAGAUUGCUAGUUUCCAGAGGGGCUUGAAUCCAAAGAUGCUGAAGACCAUGGGUACAGGGGCCAGGGCUACCUUCAAUGCUUACAUCAGUGACUGUCUCACCCAGGAGAACAACAACAACAACUACAGUGCAUCCAAGUCACGUAAGAGGGCUUUUGAAGCCGGAUCAUCUCAGUCCAGGGCACCAGUGGCAGGGCGACAGCAGUAUCGUCCUCCUGCACCAGAUGCUAGGUUCCGACCGCCGCAGAGAAGGAACACCGGGCAUCCAACACAGCAGAAGCCGUACAAGGUGGCGAUAGCCCCGGCCAAGCCAAAGGCAGUUCAAGCUGCAGCACCUGCCGUCAACAAUGCGCCCAAGGGUCCGUGCUAUAACUGCCACAAGAUGGGGCACUUUGCUAAGGAAUGUCCCUACCCCAACAGGCAGCAGCCAACCUAUCCAGCUCGUGUGCACCAUACCUCGAUCGAGGAGAUCCCGGAAGGGGAACCGGUAACAGCUGGUAUGUUUCCUGUCAACCAACAUCUUGCAGUUGUUUUGUUUGAUUCUGGAUCAUCGCCUUCAUUCAUGAGCCAAGCAUUUGCACAAAAGCAUAGUCAACUAGUUACAGAUCUGGGUUAUGGCUACCGCAUCAGCUCAGCAGGGGCAGAUGUGUUGACCAAUAGAGUGGUCCGAGGGGCAACCCUGGAUAUAAGUGGCCGAGUUUUUUGGGUAAAUCUAGUGGUCAUGCCUGGGUUAGUUUUGGAUGUUAUCAUGGGCAUGAACUGGAUGAGAGAAUGGGGUGCUGUCAUAGAUACUGGGAAGAGAAUGUUAUCCCUCAGAGAACCACAGAGCAAUCGCUCUUUUCAAGUACCUCUGCCCCGUCGUCUUGACUUUGCUAGCAUCUCUUGUGCUACGCGCGUGGUUCCAUUACCACAGAUCCCAGUAGUCUGUGAGUUCCCUGAUGUUUUCCCUGAGGAAUUACCAGGACUUCCUCCAGAUAGGGAAGUAGAGUUUGCUCAGUUGUCCAAGGCAAAAGUGUUUUCCAAGACCCAUUUGAGGUCUGGGUAUCAUCAAAUCAAGAUUCGUCCGCAGGAUAUCCCGAAGACUGCUUUUUCCACCAGAUAUGGGUUGUAUGAGUACCUUGUCAUGUCCUUUGGGUUGACAAAUGCUCCUGCAUACUUUAUGUAUCUGAUGAAUUCAGUCUUUAUGCCAGAAUUGGAUAAGUUUGUUGUGGUGUUUAUCGAUGAUAUUCUGGUUUAUUCCGAAAAUGAGCAAGAUCACGCCGAACAUCUGAGAAUCGUGCUGACACGAUUACGAGAGCAUCAGUUAUAUGCCAAGUUCAGCAAGUGUGAGUUCUGGUUGAAGAAAGUUCCUUUCCUAGGGCACAUUCUGUCGGAAGAAGGGAUUGCUGUGGAUCCGUCAAAAGUGCAGGAAGUCAUGGACUGGAAGGCACCAACUUCUGUCUCGGAAGUUAGAAGUUUUCUUGGUCUGGCCGGGUAUUAUCGCUGAUUCAUACCUGACUUCUCCAAGAUUGCUAAGCCAAUGACAAGUUUGCUGCAAAAGGAUCAUAAGUUUGUCUGGACGGAAGGGUGUGAGUUAGCCUUCCGCACCUUGUGAAAGUUGCUAACCACUGCUCCCGUUCUGGCACAACCUAAUAUCGAAAAGCCUUUUGAUGUGUUUUGCGACGCAUCGAAGAGUGGCCUGGGGUGUGUGUUGAUGCAAGAUGGCAGGGUGAUAGCUUAUGCUUCCCGACAGUUGAGAAAGCACGAAGUCAACUACCCAACUCACGACCUCGAGUUAGCAGCAGUGGUACACGCUUUGAAGAUUUGGAGACAUUAUCUGCUGGGAAAUAAGUGUCACAUUUAUACCGAUCAUAAGAGUUUGAAGUACAUCUUCACUCAGUCCGAGCUAAAUAUGAGGCAACGAUGGUGGUUAGAGCUAAUCAAGGACUAUGAUCUGGUAGUUCACUAUCAUCCGGGCAAGGCUAAUGUAGUAGCAGAUGCGUUGAGUCGUAAACCGCACUAUCAAGUGGUUCAACCGUUGUUUGAAGAUGGGUUCAAUCUCAUGCAUCCUGAGGUCUUAUGUCACAUACAACUCAGUUGUUCACUUGAGAGUCAAGUCAUUGAAGGACAGAAAACAGACAAGGGUAUUUUCCACAUCAAGGAGAAGAUCAAAGAUGACCCAAAAACUAAAUUUUGCGUUGUUGAGAAAGGGGUACUGUGGUUUGAACAUCGGUUAGUAGUCCCGAAGGAUCGAGAAUUGAAGAAUCGCAUCAUGGAUGAAGCCCAUCUCUCUAAGCUUUCUAUUCAUCCUGGCAGUAGCAAAAUGUAUCAAGAUCUAAGACCCCACUUUUGGUGGACCAAGAUGAAGAAGGAAAUAGCCGCAUAUGUAGCCCGUUGCGACACGUGUUGCAGAGUUAAGGCCAUCCAUAUGAAACCUGCAGGUCUGUUGCAACCGUUAUCAGUUCCAGAGUGGAAAUGGGAAGAGGUCAGUAUGGACUUUAUCACAGGAUUACCGACCACGAGGAAGGGGAAUGACUCGAUUUGGGUGAUCAUAGAUCGAUUAACCAAGUCGGCUCAUUUCAUUCCAGUCAAGAACACAUACAGACCUCCCGAGUAUGCCGAUAUAUAUAUGGCUGAGAUUGUUAAGUUGCAUGGUAUUCCCAAAACCAUCAUAUCACAUAGAGGACCACAGUUCACCGCUCACUUCUGGGAGCGAAUGCAUAAGAAUUUGGGAACCAGUCUGAUAAGAAGCACGGCGUACCAUCCCCAGACUUCAGGACAAACGGAGAGGCUAAACCAAGUAUUGGAAGAUAUGCUGAGGGCCUGUGUGCUAUCAUCCAAGGGAUCAUGGGAGUCAUGGUUACCUCUAGCUGAAUUCUCCUACAAUAACAGUUAUCAAGAGAGCAUCAAGAUGGCCCCGUUCGAAGCUUUGUAUGGUCGGAGAUGUAGAACUCCGUUGAACUGGGUUGAACCUGGUGAGAGAAGAUACUAUGGUAUCGACUUCAUGAAUGAGGCAGAGAAGAAGGUACAAAUCAUACAGCAGCAUAUGCGCGCAGCGCAAUCCCGACAAAAGAGUUAUGCUGAUAAGAGAAGAAGGCCACUUGAAUUCAAAGUAGGUGACUAUGUGUACCUCAAGGUUACGCCAAUGAAGAAGGUUCAGCGUUUCCGAGUUCGAAGCAAGCUUGCACCCAGAUAUGUGGGAACGUAUCAAAUACUAGAGAGGAAAGGCCCAGUGGCCUACAAGACUCAGUUACCUGAAGAGUUGAGCUCGAUCUUUCCGGUCUUCCAUGUGUCGCAACUACGGAAAUGUUUGAAGGUACCUGAGCAAAGAAUUGAACCUUGAGGGAUCAAAAUAAAAACAGAUUUAGAGUAUAAGGAGCAACCAGUGGGAAUUGUGGAUACCAAGGAACGGGUAACCCGAAACAGAAUUGUCAGAACUUAUAAGGUGGUGUGGAGUCAUCAUGACGAUAGGGAUGCCACCUAGGAAACAGAGGAUUACUUGAAAACAGUUUAUCCAAAAUUUCAUAAGAAAUGGUUAGUAACCCAAAAUCUCGGGACGAGAUUUCCCUAAGGGGGGAAGGGCUGUAACACCCUAGGUGUUAAGCAUGCAUUUAGCCCUAUCACAACAUGCAUAAGCAUUUUCAUCAAGCAUAGCAUCAUGAGCAUGUCAUUCAUCCCAAAACAUGAUUUUAUGUGCUUUAUUUCAUGUGUUUUAAUUAUGCUAAAAUAUGAUGCUUGCUUCAAAAAAUUUGAAAUAUUCAAACUAGGUUGAUUUAUGUGUAUGAAGAAUUUAGAGUAUUUUUGUGUAAUUUUUGGAGCUAUGGAAUUUGAGAAAUGGAAUUUAUACAAGAUUUCCAAAUUGAAUUUAUUUAAAAACCUAGAACUAAGUUUUAAUUUGUAAUUCAAAUUCUAUUUGGAAUUUGGUCUUGCUUAUUAAAGCAAAGUUGUAGAGUUUUUGUUUUGGAACAACUUUGUUUUUGGGAGCAAGAGGUGAAAAUGAUUUUAAAUUGGUCUAAAUGAAUUUAGAAAGAAUUUGGAGAAAAGAAAUUCAAAAAAAAGGAAAGGGGUAGGCGCUGCUGGGCCAACCCCGCUUCCCUUUCGGCCCAGCGAGCGGCCCGGCCUGCCUCCCCCUUCCCCUCUCUCCCGCGCUCGCGGCGCCCGCCUCGCUCCACCCGGCGCCGGCCACGUGGCGGCCGUACGCCGGCGUUGGACGCGCCGCGGCCGGCCUCCAACCCCCCCUGGUCGGGACGCCGGCUCGGGCUCCCAGGCCAUUUCCUCCGUUCUGUCCCCCGCGUCCUCCUUCUCCUUCCUCCCUCCGCUCGCACCGCGCAGCAGCAGCAGCUCCUCCGCGCGCCAUUGCCGGAGAAAGCCCCGCGGCUCGCCGCCGACCGCACCAGAGCCUCAAGCUCACCGCCGAGAGCACCAGCGCCUUCGUUAUCGUUAGGGUAAGCUUGUGCGCGCGUUCUACCGUGGUGAGAGUCCGUCGAGCGCCGUGAAUAGCUCGCCGGAGUUACCCCGAGCUCGCCGGAGUACUCCGCCGUGACGGAUCUUGUGUUUCUCUGCCUCUUUUCGCUGGUUCUUGGGUGCGCUAGGUCGGUAGGGUGGUGAGGAAGCUCGGAGAGGCGUUUGCGCACGCUCUACCGCGCCGGAGCGGCCUGGCCACGGCGAGCAGCGCCGCCGUGCCGCCAUGCAUGCUCGUCGGAGGUGUUCCGGUCAUCCUCCGGCCAAUCCAAGGGUACCGUUGGGUGCGCCUCGUUGCGGGGAGCACGUUGGUGCUUACCCCGUGGCCGGAGACCUCACCGCCGGCGAGAUCUGCUCGUCGGUGGUGAGCUCCCUCUCGGUCUCGCUGACCGGUGGGGUCGGGGACCCACUGUUAGUCGCAGGGGGACCCCGGUGGGUGUAGAUCUGGGUGUGCGUAGCCUUUUUCGUCGGUUUUCUUGAAUAAAUGAUUUCCAGAAAUUGAUUCAAAACUUGUAAAAUUCGUAUCUUGAGUUCUACAGCUCCAAAUUGGAUGAAAUAAAUUUUGGUGUGCUCUAUAUUUCUAGAUCUACAGUUUGAUGUAAUUGCAUGUCAUGUUUGAGUAACUUUUCUGAAUGAAUAUAUUUAAUCCAUGUUUUUGCUAAACUUGGAGAAUGCAUAGUAAAUAAAAUAUGGUUCAGAAAAAUGUGAAACUUGAUUUGUUGGCUCUGCAUGUAUGUUUACUCACUGGGAAAAUAUUGCUACAUAUUAUUUGGUGUAUAGAUGAAUUUAAGGUAAUUUAAAUGCUUGCAUGGCAGUGAUUUAUGAUUUUUAAUAAUUAAUUGGAUCAUGCAAUAAAUCUGGAAAAUUUUGUGAGUGUUUCUUAUGAUAUUAGACAAAUUGUAAAAAUAUGAAAUCUGUUGUUUGACACUUAUAUCAUAGUAGAGUGAUUAUACUUACCCUAUGAAUUAAUCUUGUGAUUUUUGUGGCUCAAAAUAAGAAUCCAAAAAUUAUGAAAAAUUUACAGUAGACUUUAUGCGUAGCUGGUAGUCUCCUGUGAUUUUUGUGGAAUUUAUUGAUGAACAGAAUUGCAUGGGAUUUUUAAUGGGCCUAGAAAUGAAUAAAGAAAAUUUUGAAUUGUUGUGUAUAUAGGUUGAAUAGAAUAGGUUGGGUUUGGUGUAUCUUUGAAGCAUCAUGUGGGUUGCUGGUUGCAUUUGAAAAAUAAUUGUAGAAGAGAAUGCAAUAGAUGUUUGAUUCAAUUGUUUGUUCUUGGAUGAUGUUGACUACCUUGUAAUGAGCAUGACCGAGUACAUUACAUAUGCAUCAUGUCAUGACUCCUUUGGUACUUUCUCAUACAAGCAUCCACUCGGGCAUCUCGCACUCCACUCAUAAGCACCCAUGCAUCAUACAGGCUCGCAGGAGAAUGAAGUGGGACCCGAGGAACCCGAGGAGAUUCAGGAGCAGGAACCUCCGGAAGCACAGGAACCCGGAGAAUUCUAAGUCUCCCUAUUCUCGCUAACUUAUAUGAUGCGCUAUAAUUGUUCUACUAUAUUGCAUCUAAGUGAUAGGAUUUGAUUGAUGCCGUUGAUGCAUAUGUACUCCUUGUUAUCCCUACUCGUUCACCUACCUUGUCCUAUGUAGAUAGGCACGGAGUCUAUGCUUAGCUUGCUUAGUCCGGUAGAAGUCGGGUGAUUUCCUGUCACCUGCGAGAAAUAGGUGGAUACCUGCUUGAUUAAGCAUUGGUUGCUUGGGGAAAAGAAUAACCAAGUAUGGAAUGUAACUGGAGACCGGGCAGGGUCUUAUGGUGGGUUGACCAUAGUGCCACUGCCUGCGUCGAUUAAGGACCGAUCGUUGACGGCCCUCUUGUCAUGUUGAACGCAUGCCCCACACUUAGCUGGAAGGAUAAGUCGUUCCGACCGCGAAGCCUGAACACUAUCCGGGCCGGGCAUCGAGCCGCCAUGCGCUGUAUUGGUGAUGGUUGAGGAGAACGACGAGGGCGCGGCGUGCAACCUUGGUAUACCUUGGAUACCUCGGUCGCCGGAACGGUCCUCGGGUACUGGCGGUGCCUGCCGAACCCGCGAAUUGGUCCUGGAUAGUGUAAUACGGUGAUCUGUAGCUCACUUGAUCAGUGAGUGUGGUUUGUGUGGGGAAUACCUCGCCAGCUGGUUAGAAAUCGAUUCGAAUCGCCAUCGCUCCUAGAUAGUGAGCACUUGACAUGAGCUUCGUCCUCGUAGUAAGGACUGUGGAACACUUGGGUUAUGUUGAUGAAUGGUUUUAAGAAAUGCUAUGAUGAGGUACUAUCAUAGCCUUAUACUCGCUUGUAAUAGUGCAGGUGCAAAACUAGAUGAUAGGUAAUGAUACUUUCAACUUGAGCAAAUUAAAAGAAGAAAGACUUAUGUAGGUUAUGAUAGUAAAAUCCUGCGGUUUUGCAAAAUGGUUGUCAGCUACCCCACUAUAUAGCCUUCAUGAUCCUUGAUGAGUCUUUAUUUUAAGUUUAUGACGGGUAAGUCUAGCUGAGUACCUUCUCGUACUCAGGGUUCUACUCCCAUGUUGUUUUGCAGAUGGUCAAAUGUACUAUGGUUAUUGCAUCCUCUAUCUGUACCCAGCCAUGGGUGAUGACUAGACCAAGGGCGAUGGUCACUCCGUCUUCUCUUUUGCUUUUGUGGGAAUGACCGAACUAUGGCACUGUAUCAGACUAAGCGUGUGUGUUGUAUUUUCGAACUACGAAGCUUCCGCUACUUGAAGAACUUGGUUUGUAAUAACUUUAAGAACUCCGAUGUAUUUUAUGAAUGUUGAAAUCUGGAUGUAUUGUGAAUGGCGACCGCUAAACUUAUUACGAUCUUGGCUGUUGUGCGAUAUGUGGUUUGAAAUCCUUCCAGAUUUCACGGACUACCGGGAUUAUAUGGGCUUAAGCGUGAUGGUUUGACUAUGCAAAUGGUCACUGUUAGGCUUAAUCUCUUAUAAUUUGGUCGGUUCUGUUACAGAAAGGGCAUGGCAAGUCCCCCUGAUGAGGUCAGGCCCGAUCUUUCGAGAGGUAAUUGGUAAAUUCGAUUUGUGGAGAACUCGACGUUGGCGAUCCAGCUUCAAAUCAGCACGGUUCGAAUACUGCAACCAUUAUACGACUACUCCGUUGGUUAUCAACUAAGCACAACUUUAUUGACCUCGCCAAGAAAGCUUUUCCUACAAGCGAAUCGAAGAACACAAGUAAGAAAGUAUAAACACGCAAUCUGAAAUUGCAGAUAUGAAUGACGUGAAUAUUCAGUGUGGGUUCAAGAACUCGGUUCCAAAGGACUAAUCAACACAGUGGAGGAGAUCAAGAACGGGGACCCUGGAUCAUUGUAAAAGGAUUUGUCACCACAGUUACAAUGAACGAUUCAGUUUUUCGAUGGAAAACUAAACUCUAACAAAACACAACUCUAAACAGCGGCGGCUGUGUGGAAUAUAAAGGAGAAGCGACCUAGGGUUGGAGGCGACCAGGGGGAGGUGCCCACAACACGGGCUUAAGGCCCGAAUUCGAUAUGACCGCAGUCACUUAUCAGCUCCUGCAUGGAACCAUAACCAACAUACAUUCAGCUCCAGAUGAUUUUCAGGUCAUUGACAUGGGAGAAGAUGAGUACGAUCCACCCAUCAUCCUUGGGAGACCGUUGCUCGGCACCGUUAAAGCAAUCAUCUACAUUGGAACCGGAGAAGUUCACAUGCACUUCCCCUCUGAGAAGGUAUGCCGCUGUUUUACUGACCCUAACUAUAUAGUUGAAAACUCUAAGGAGGUCAGGACAACAAGAAGACAACCCAACCGCAACCAGAGGAGGCAAAUCAUCAAGGACGGAUGGGUAGACUACGAAGGAGAAUUAAUAAGGUCUGAAGACAUACAGCUUGAACAGAACUGUCCUGAGGAGACUGUAGCACAGAGUCAGGUGUGGAGAGAGAAGAUAGUUAUACACGAAGAGGAGACGCCGCCAGAACCACCGACUACGCCAUCCAGCGAAUCCCAGGACGACUGAGAAAAUGGAGAGUCCCGUUCGGAGGACUUAAAAACACCGAACGCCUUGCCAAGAGGUAAAUUUGGUAGUUAUCCUUUUCCCUUCAAUUAUUUAAAAUAGUUUGCUUACUUAAUCAGGUUCAUACAAUAUUGAAAAGAAAAUAAAAAUGUUAAAAAUAGUAAGCCCCAUGUGAGUAGACUUGUGGUUUAAAAACCCAUAGGUAUAUUGACAAUGGUGGCAUAAAAUAAAUAUGUUUUCAUCUUACAAUAAAAAUAUAAAUAAUAAGUGCAUGAUUGAAAGCCCAAGUUUGGUUUUGGUAAUUAAUGACACCAAGUUGCUAAUGCCUUGUGUUUAAGUGAUUUGAGUUAGGCAUAGCAACACAUGUGAUGAAGGUGCAUGGAGGCAUGGAAAGGUGGCCACAUGAUCACAAAGGGAUGAAGCAUGAAGAGAAGAUCAUGGUGAUAGACGAGGAGCAAAGUUAUCAAGGCAAAGGUAUAAACAUAGGGUUUUACUUUUGCCGGUCUAAGAUGAGUAGAGAAGUGAUUGACCGGGUUUAGGAUAUAUAGCCGACUAUCAAGAGGGGAAAUCACGGUCAUCUCUCGAAUCAAGUGCUACUAGGUCCAUAUCUUGAGCAUAUGCAUUAGGAUCUAGUAAAGUGCUAACUUAACUCCUUUGGGAAAAUGUUUGUGAAAAGCUAACACACUUGCACUUUGAUGGUGGACACUUGUUGGUGUUAGCACUUUUACAAAGGAGGUGGAGUUCCUAGGGUUGAGAGGGGUGCUAACACAUUCGGCGCUUUUGAGAAAAAUAAGUGUUUAUUUUCUAUUUGCGCUGGUGGGAAAUUUUGGAGAAGUCGCGGGAGUGUUUUCUCACUUAGAAACACUCACAGGACGCUGAGUGCGGAGGCACCGGACGCUGGCCUCAGCGUCCGGUGUGCUUGACCCUGCUAGGGUUGAGCACCGAACGCACUCUGGUAGCGUCCGGUGGUUAGCGUCCGGUGUGAGGGGUUUUUGUAACCCUCUCUGCGCACGAGUCCGGUGAGCACCGGACCGUCCGGUGCCCAGCGUCCGGUGAGGUCGCGAGUUUGUCACCCUCUCUGCGCACGAGUCCGGUGAGCACCGGACCGUCCGGUGUGGACUUGCAUAGCGUCCGGUGUGUUGCAGGUAGCCGUUAGAAACUGACGCGCGAGAUUCAAAGAGGACAUGUGGCCAACUCCAGUGCACCGGACGCAGGGGGUCGAGCGUCCGGUGCUCACUUAGUAGCGUCCGGUGCCCCCGUUUUCAGCCCAGUGAAAACAGCCAACGGCUAGUUUCUUUGAGGGGCUUAUAAAUAGUUGGUGGCCGGCUUUGGGAGGUUCCCUCUUGCACAUUUGAUACUUGAGACAUACAUUGAGCUAGAGAACACUCCCUCCACUCAUCUCCUUGCUUGAUUGCUAAUCCUAGUGAGAUUGAGUGAGAUUCAAGUGCAUUGCUUUGAGAGUUGCAUUUAGUGGCACUUGAUUCUUGAGUUUGCUGCGGAUUUCUUGUUACUCUUGGGUGUUUCCCGACGCCCUAGACGGCUUGGAGCAGCGGUGGUGUUGAGCUCGUGAUUGGAGAUUGUUUCGAGCCUCACCAAGUGAUUUGUGAGGGGUUCUCGAGCCUUCCCCGCGGGAGAUCGCAAAUUGGUUACUCUAGUGGAUUGCUCGUGGCUUGGAGGAUCCCCAUCUUGUGAGUGGAUGUGCGGCACCCGCUGAGGGUUUGGCUUUGGAUUGCCAAUUAGCUCGUGAUCCAUCAAGUGGAUGUAUCGCCACAACGAGGAGUAGCUUGCCGGGAAGCAAGUGAACCUCGGUAAAAAAUCUUGUGUCAUCUCUUGCCGAGGUCUCUCUUGUAAUUGUGUACGUGAUUGAUUGGAUAUAUCUCAUCUCUACAACGUCGGUAUAACAAUCACUCUCCUCUCUUUACAUACUUGCUUACCUUGCUAGUUGUGUAGCUUGUUUAGCUUAGUUCUCUUGUUGUUGUGCUUUAGUGUUUAGCCUUGUACUAGUUUGACUUACUGAAUUGUUUCUCUGGAUCCAUGGUUUGACUAUGCAAUAAAUGUCUUGUAAGUAUGUAUUCUCUGUCUCCCACCUAUGAGCUCCAGAUAUCAAAACCUUAUUAGAGUAGGGUGAGAGAGAAGGCAAUAUCACUAUGCCCCAUACCAAAAAUACCACAUACUUUGAGAGAAGGCAUAUAUCAUUACUGCCUUGCAAAUGAUCCAGAAAUACCACAAAAGAGAGAUUUGAGAAAGUCAUACAAGGAAUCUCUGAGUUUUAUUUGAAAAUCUACAAAAACUCCAGAGCUAUAGCUGAUCAAAGAACAAGAGACAUGGCGCUUAACUUGACCGUUCUAUCUUUUAACUGCUCAAGACACAAGUGACGGUUACAAGCCCCAUGGUGAAAGGUAAAAUGAGUAAGCUUUAAGUCUUAACACUUUACUCUAACUCAGAGAUGAGAUCUUACUUUUAAGGCAUGAAACCAUUGUAGAAACUCUUGAGUUCAUCCUUGCCCAGGGACGAGCAAGAGGUAAGCUUGGGGGAGUUGUUGACGGUCCUUAAGUAUCAAAUAUAAUCAUCAAAUAAAUAAAGAAAAGGAUCCAAAUGCAACCAACACCCAGACUUAGGGUUUUAUCUGACAGAAUUCCACGAGUUUUGGUGUUUGUCUAUUUCUGCAGGGGGUUAUCUGGAAAUACGGAAGAAAGACCCACACGUCGGGAUUACAUAGAGAUAUUAACGUGCCGCGCAAUUUUCUAUCAUCUAGAAGACUCCAGAAGCCACGGGAACGAACGAGAGGCCGAACGGGCCCAGGGGCAUGGCGCCCGCCCUGACCUGGAUUUGAUUCAGAACUCUCUUCGCGGACCAAACUCCACCGACCUAAAGGAUCAAGGAUAACCGUCCAAUCAAUGUCGGUUUGAUCCAAUGGCUCACGUUCACUUGAGGGGACUAUAAAACCAGACUCCCUGGCCCUAGAGGAGACAAGUUCAUCAUAGAGUUGAGAGGAGCCCUCGAAGGAAUACCUCUCCUCUAAAUAAAUAUUUAUUUUAGGCUUAGCAUCAAAUGUGAGUAGAAUUAGAUCUUCUAGUUUCUACUAGAUUGAGAGAUAUAGAGUGGAGGUGUAGAUCGAAGGAAGCCCGACCUGUCGGUGUCUACUCCGAGGUUGUACCUGUGGGAUCAAGUCUUCUAACCUGAGGCUUGCUCCUAGGAUUCUUUAGUAAUUUGACUUCUAAAUCUAGUAAGUUCUUGUUCUAGCUGGACUGUGGUAGUAGCGAGGAACGUGACAUUUCUGAGUUGGUGGCCGGCUUUGGGAGGUUCCCUCUUGCACAUUUGAUACUUGAGACAUACAUUGAGCUAGAGAACACUCCCUCCACUCAUCUCCUUGCUUGAUUGCUAAUCCUAGUGAGAUUGAGUGAGAUUCAAGUGCAUUGCUUUGAGAGUUGCAUUUAGUGGCACUUGAUUCUUGAGUUUGCUGCAGAUUUCUUGUUACUCUUGGGUGUUUCCCGAUGCCCUAGACGGCUUGGAGCAGCGGUGGUGUUGAGCUCGUGAUUGGAGAUUGUUUCGAGCCUCACCAAGUGAUUUGUGAGGGGUUCUUGAGCCUUCCCCGCGGGAGAUCGCAAAUUGGUUACUCUAGUGGAUUGCUCGUGGCUUGGAGGAUCCCUAUCUUGUGAGUGGAUGUGCGGCACCCGCUGAGGGUUUGGCUUUGGAUUGCCAAUUAGCUCGUGAUCCAUCAAGUGGGUGUAUCGCCACAACGAGGAGUAGCUUGCCGGGAAGCAAGUGAACCUCGGUAAAAAAUCUUGUGUCAUCUCUUGCCGAGGUCUCUCUUGUAAUUGUGUACGUGAUUGAUUGGAUAUAUCUCAUCUCUACAACGUCGGUAUAACAAUCACUCGCCUCUCUUUACAUACUUGCUUACCUUGCUAGUUGUGUAGCUUGUUUAGCUUAGUUCUCUUGUUGUUGUGCUUUAGUGUUUAGCCUUGUACUAGUUUGUAUAGGUGGCUUGCAUAGCUUAGUUAAGCUAGUGCUAGAAUUGCUUCGCUAUUUUUUUUACUAUCUCACUUGCUUAGUGAAGUUUGUAGAAUUUGUAAAUAGGCUAUUCACCCCCCUCUAGCCAUUUGGACCUUUCAAGUGGUAUCGGAGCCGAGGCACCGUUUCUUUGAGGCUUAACAACCUACGGUGAAGAAAUGGCUCUUAGUUUGCAUAUCAACAACACUAAGAAGGCACCUUACUUUGAUGGCACCAAUUAUGCUUAUUGGAAGGUCAAGAUGACCGCCCAUCUCAAGUCAAUCAAUGGAGAAGUUUGGAAGGUGACCGAAACAAAGUUUGAGGUUGCAAAUGAGAAUGCACCAACACCGGUUGAAGAAAAGAAGCUUCAAUGCAAUGACAUUGCAAUAAGUGCUCUUCAUGAAGCUCUUGAUGACAAGACCUUUGAGCAAAUCAAGAACAUUGAGGUUGCUCAUGAUGCAUGGGCAAAGCUAGAAGAAACAUUUGAGGGCACCAAGGGAACCAAGACCGCCAAAGCAUACAUCCUCCAAGAAAAGUUCUCAAGCUUCAAGAUGCAAGAAGAUGAAAGUGUGCCGGAGAUGUUUCACCGGUUGCAAGUCAUUGUGAAUGAACUCAAGGCACUUGGGGAAGAAGUAAAAGAUAGUCAAUUCUCUAUGAAGUUCUUGAGAAGCUUGCCUAAGAGAUUUGACACAUUGAUCACCGUGCUAGUCAAGACAACACUUAGUGAAUCAACUCCCCAACAAGUCUUCCAAGAGGUGAUGACCGAUGAUGCUUAUAGGGAAGAUGAUGAGAAGGAUGAGUUGAUCAAGAAGAAGAAGAAGGAUGGUGAGAAGAAAGAUGAUGAGAAGAAGAAAAGUGUGGCAUUCAAGGCCACCACAUCCAAGGGCAAAGCCAAGCAAGAAUCAUCAAGUGAAGAAGAAGCAAGCUCUUGUGAUAGUGAUGAAGAUGAGGAGAUGGCUCUUCUUGUCAAAAGAUUUGGAAAGUUUAUGAAGAAGAAGGGAUAUCGGGCAAGAAGGAAGAAAAGCUCCUCCAAGAAGAAUGACCAUUCCAUGAGGUGCUUUAGAUGCCAUAGCAAGGAUCAUCUCAUCGCCAAGUGUCCUUAUGAUAGUGAUGAUGAAGAUGCUAUCAAGAAGGAGAGAAAGAAGCAAAAGAAGAAGCAAGAAAAGAAGGAAGGCUCAAACAAAAAGAAGGGUGAUGCCCAUGUUGCAACUUGGGAUAGUGAUGACACCUCAAGUGAUGAUGAGAGCACCAAGAAGAAGGCGCAUGCUAGCAUUGCAAUUCAAGGAAAGAGCUCCAUCUUCGACACUCCAUCAUGCUUCAUGGCUAAGGCCACUAAGGUAUCAUCCGAUGAUGAGAGUGACCAUGAUAGUGAUAGUGAUAGUGAUGAUGAUGGACCAACUAAAGAUGAACUAAUCACUAUGCUAGAAGAUUGCACUCAUCACUAUAAAGAAACUAGAAAGGAGUGCAAGGCCUUGCUUAAGGAUAAGAAAACCCUUGAGCAAGAACUUGAUGAGCUUAGAGCAUCUUAUGAGAGUCUGAAGGAAGACCAUAAGAAGCUUCAAAAGGCUCACACUAAGCUUGAAGAAGCUCAUUCCUCUCUAGUCAACAAAUGCGAAAAUGAGCCAACUAAAAUGGAAAAAGCUAAAACUUGCAACAUAGGCCUAACUUGUGAUAUCUUAUGCAAGCCUAUUGUUAUUGCUUCUACUAACCCUUCAUGUAGCACAUCUACAUCAUCCUCAUCUAGUAGUGAUGGUUUCACAUGUGACACCACACUAAAAGUUGAGAAUGAAAUUCUUAAGAAGGAGGUGAAAGAGCUCAAUCACACCUUAGCCAAGGCUUAUGGUGGUGAGGACCGCUUGCUUAUGUGCUUGGGGCUUGGGUAGCCAAAGAGCUUCUCUGUACAAAGAGGGAUUGGGCUAUAACCCCAAGAAAGGUAAAGCCGCUUUUGCUCCUCACAAGACUAGUUUUGUGAAGAACAAUGGCCGGUAUUGCAAAGCUUGCAAGCAAGUUGGUCACCUAGAGCAACAAUGCAUGAACAAGAAACCCAAAGCUCAUGUAUCCUCAAUUAAGCUAAAUUCUUUCUAUGUGCUUAUCAAGGAUACAAAAGGUGUUCAUGCUAAGUUCAUUGGUGCACCAUGGAUGGGCUCAAAGAAGAAAGCCAUUUGGGUACCAAAGAGCUUAGUUGCUAACCUUGGAGGACCCAAUCAAGUUUGGGUACCUAAAAAGAAUUGAUCUUGUCUUGUAGGUCAAUUACAAAGCUGGAGGAAGGCAUUGGGUGCUUGAUAGUGGGUGCACUCAAAAUAUGACCGGGGAGUCUUGUAUGUUCAAAUCAAUUGAUACUAGUCAAAAUGGUGGCUUUGAUUCAAUUACCUUCGGUAACAACAAGAAAGGCAAGGUCAAGGGGCUUGGUAAAAUUGCUAUCUCAAAUGACAUGAGGAUAUCAAAUGUGUUGCUAGUUGAAAGCCUUGAUUUCAAUCUCUUGUCAAUUGCACAACUUUGUGACCUUGGUUUCAAGUGCAUCUUUGGUAGUGAUGAUGUUGAGGUGGUUAGUGUUGAUGGAUCAAACUUGAUAUUCAAAGGAUUUAGGCAUGGUAGCUUAUACUUGGUUGAUUUCAAAGAUAGUGACACCCAAUUGACAUCAUGCCUAAUUAGCAAAUCAAGUUUGGGUUGGUUGUGGCAUAGAAGGCUUGGUCAUGUUGGAAUGAAACAAUUGAACAAACUGUUGAGGCAUGACUUAGUUAGAGGCUUGAAGGAUGUCACCUUUGAGAAGGAUAAACCAUGUAGUGCUUGUCAAGCCGGAAAGCAAGUUGGAAAUGCACAUCCUAAGAAAAGUGAAAUGAGCUCAUCAAAGGCAUUUGAGCUAUUGCACAUGGAUUUAUUUGGGCCAACAACAUACACUAGCAUUGGUGGCAACAAGUAUGGAUUUGUGAUAGUAGAUGACUACACUAGAUACACUUGGGUGUUCUUUCUCUAUGACAAGAGUGAUGUUUGUGAUCUAUUCAAGUCUUUUGUCAAGAGGGUGCAAAAUGAGUUUGAAACCACUAUCAAGAAGAUUACAAGUGACAAUGGUAGUGAAUUCAAGAACACAAGAAUUGAGGAAUUGUGUGAUGAUCUUGGCAUUGGACAUCAAUUCUCUCCAACAUACACACCUCAAUCCAAUGGUGUAGUUGAAAGGAAGAAUAGAACCUUGAUUGACAUGGCUAGAUCAAUGCUUAGUGAAUACAAUGUUAGCCAUUCAUUUUGGAGUGAAGCCAUCAACACGGCUUGCUAUUGUAGCAACCGUCUCUAUUGCCAUGGAAAGCUUGGGAAGACACCAUAUGAGCUAUUGAAUGGAAGAAAGCCCAACAUUGCAUACUUUAGAGUGUUUGGUUGCAAAUGCUACAUUCUUAAGAAGGGCACUAGAUUGAGUAAGUUUGAGAAGAAAUGUGAUGAAGGGUUCUUACUUAGUUAUUCCACCACAAGCAAGGCAUAUAGAGUAUGGAACUUGGCAAGUGGCACAUUGGAAGAAGUCCAUGAUGUUGAGUUUGAUGAAACCGAGGGAUCUCAAAAUGAAGCUCAAAAUCUUGAUGAUGUGAGGGGAGAUCAAUUGGCAAAUGAAAUGAAGAACAUGGAUGUAGGUGACAUAAGGCCAAGGCAAGUUGAUGAUGAUAGUGAUAUUCACAUGAUCAAUCAAGAAGUACAAAUUGAUACAAAUCAAGCAAGUACUAGUGGCUCUCAUGAUGAUGAUCAAAAUCAAAAUCAAGCUAGUGGAAGCAAUCAACUCCCAAUACUCCAACCUACAAGCAUAGCAAGAGAUCAUCCAUUAGAUCAAGUCAUUGGUGGUAUUCAAAGUGGUGUUCAAACAAGAUCAAGACUAGCAUCCUUUUGUGAGCACUACUCAUUUGUCUCGUUUGAGGAACCAAAGAAGAUAGAAGAUGCAUUGAGAGAUUCGGAUUGGGUAAAUGCCAUGCAUGAAGAAUUGAACAACUUCACAAGAAACCAAGUGUGGGAGCUUGUUGAGAGGCCAAAGAACUACAAUGUGAUUGGUACCAAGUGGGUCUUUAGAAACAAGCAAGAUCAAGAUGGUGUGGUUGUGAGAAACAAAGCAAGAUUAGUAGCACAAGGCUACACUCAAGUAGAAGGUCUUGACUUUGGAGAGACAUAUGCACCGGUUGCAAGAUUGGAGGCAAUUAGAAUAUUAUUAGCCUGUGCUUGUACCCACAACAUCAAGCUCUAUCAAAUGGAUGUGAAGAGUGCAUUUCUCAAUGGAUACAUCAAUGAGUUGGUUUAUGUUGAACAACCUCCCGGUUUUAAUGAUGACAAGAAACCCAACCAUGUUUACAAGCUCAAGAAGGCAUUGUAUGGUUUGAAGCAAGCACCUAGAGCAUGGUAUGAGAGAUUGAGAGAUUUCCUUCUCUCUAAAGGGUUCAAGAUGGGAAAGGUUGACACUACCCUCUUCACCAAGAAGCUAGGCAAUGACUUGUUUGUGUUGCAAAUCUAUGUUGAUGAUAUCAUCUUUGGAUCAACCAAUCAAGACUUUUGUGAAGAGUUUGGAAAACUGAUGGCAAAUGAAUUUGAGAUGUCCAUGAUUGGAGAGCUUAGUUACUUCCUUGGUCUUCAAAUCAAGCAAAUGAAGAAUGGCACUUUUGUAAGUCAAGGAAAGUACAUCAAGGACAUGAUCAAGAAGUUUGGGUUGCAAGAAGCUAAACCAAUGAGCACACCUAUGGGCACAAAUGAUCAAUUAGGAAGUGAUGCUAGUGGCAACAUGGUAGAUCAAAAGCUAUAUCGGUCCAUGAUUGGAAGUUUGCUCUAUGUCACCGCAUCAAGGCCGGAUGUAAUGUUUAGUGUGUGCAAAUGUGCAAGAUACCAAGCUUCACCUAGAGAAAGUCACUUGAAGGCAACCAAAAGAAUAUUGAGGUAUCUUAAGGGCACUCAUGAUGUUGGAUUAUGGUAUCCCAAGGGGUCUAACUUUGAGUUGAUUGGAUAUUCGGACUCCGACUAUGGUGGAUGCAAGAUUGAUAGAAUGAGCACAAGUGGCACUUGUUACUUGCUAGGAAGGUCUCUAGUUUCAUGGUCAUCAAAGAAACCAAAUAGUGUUGCACUAUCAACCGCCGAGGCCGAAUACAUUAGUGCCGGUAGUUGUUGUGCACAAUUGCUUUGGAUGAAAGCUACCUUGAAUGACUUUGGAAUCAAAUUCAAGAAUGUGCCUUUGCUAUGUGACAAUGAGAGUGCAAUCAAGAUGACACAAAAUCCGGUUCAACAUUCAAGAACCAAGCACAUUGACAUAAGGCAUCACUUCAUAAGAGAUCAUCAACAAAAGGGUGAUAUUAGCAUUGAAAGCAUUAGCACCGAAGAUCAACUAGCCGACAUCUUCACAAAGCCACUUGAUGAGAAGAGAUUUUGCAAGUUGAGGAAUGAGUUGAACAUACUUGACUUCUCUAACUUGAGAUGAGUGCACCCCCACAUUUCUAUAUGACAUACCACUCCUCCAACAAUGCAAGGUAAAGUUGGUUGACAUAGCAUUCAUGCUUGCUAAGGACAUGAUUAGAACAUAUAGACAUGUUUGCAUGAUAAUAGGCUCAUUCAUGAAAAUCAAAAGAUUUUGAUGUAUGUAUGGUACCACUAUUGCUUCUAUGUUUGAUUGAUCUAGUGGUAGCAUAUGACAUGUUUGUGAGCUUGCAAGCCUAGUGUUGAAUCUAGAAUAUGAGCUUAUGAUGUGUAAUUCAACAUGGUCAAGAUAACCCUUAUACUUUAUGAGGUGUGAAAAAGCUUGUCCUUGGAUCAAACCGAAUUACAUGUUUGAGGCAAGUGAUCUAGAUUGAACCAUAAUUUGACCCUCACAUUGAUUGACUUAAUUCUCACUAGUUUUUGAACCUUUGUGGGCAUUGAUGACAAAGGGGGAGAGAAACAAAGAUAAAGUCAAGAUAAAGUCAAAAAGGGGAAGAGAAACAAAGAUAGGGAGAGAAAACACCUUUAAACUUGAGCACACAAAUAGGGGGAGCAAGCUCAUGAACCAUUUGUUGCAUUUGUAUGUGCACUAACAUAAUGAGUUGUUGCAUUGCAAGUUUAAAUUCACGACUCUUGUUUGAUUGGUGCUUGCUAGAAAUAGAACUUGAAUGAUGCUUUGAAUUCUAGCAUAAAGUUUUAUUUUCAUGUGGUAUCUAGACAUAUAAUGUGAUCUCACGAGGUAUAUUGAGUUUUUGAUGUAUGUCUAGCUACAUUGGUGCUAAGGAUGGUAUAUUGGCAACUCCGAUUGGUAUCACGCUUCAAAGGUCCAUUCUAUAUACCUUAGCAUCAUUUUGGUAGUAAUAAUUCUCCCAAAACUCUAAUUUAUGCAUAUGUGCAAACUUGAACCAAACUCAUGGAAGCACAUAUGUAGGGAGAGCUAGUCCUAGUGAUUGACCGGGUUUAGGAUAUAUAGCCGACUAUCAAGAGGGGAAAUCACGGUCAUCUCUCGAAUCAAGUGCUACUAGGUCCAUAUCUUGAGCAUAUGCAUUAGGAUCUAGUAAAGUGCUAACUUAACUCCUUUGGGAAAAUGUUUGUGAAAAGCUAACACACUUGCACUUUGAUGGUGGACACUUGUUGGUGUUAGCACUUUUACAAAGGAGGUGGAGUUCCUAGGGUUGAGAGGGGUGUGGGUUCCUAGGGUUGGAGUUCGACGCUUUUGAGAAAAAUAAGUGUUUAUUUUCUAUUUGCGCCGGUGGGAAAUUUUGGAGAAGUCGCGGGAGUGUUUUCUCACUGAGAAACACUCACCGGACGCUGAGUGCGGAGGCACCGGACGCUGGCCUCAGCGUCCGGUGUGCUUGACCCUGCUAGGGUUGAGCACCGGACGCACUCUGGUAGCGUCCGGUGGUUAGCGUCCGGUGUGAGGUGUUUUUGUAACCCUCUCUGCGCACGAGUCCGGUGAGCACCGGACCGUCCGGUGCCUAGCGUCCGGUGAGGUCGCGAGUUUGUCACCCUCUCUGCGCACGAGUCCGGUGAGCACCGGACCGUCCGGUGUGGACUUGCAGAGCGUCCGGUGUGUUGCAGGUAGCCGUUAGAAACUGACGCGCGAGAUUCAAAGAGGACACGUGGCCAACUCCAGUGCACCGGACGCAGGGGGUCGAGCGUCCGGUGCUCACUUAGUAGCGUUCGGUGCCGCCGUUUUCAGCCCAGUGAAAACAGCCAACGGCUAGUUUCUUUGAGGGGCUUAUAAAUAGUUGGUGGCCGGCUUUGGGAGGUUCCCUCUUGCACAUUUGAUUACUUGAGACAUACAUUGAGCUAGAGAACACUCCCUCCACUCAUCUCCUUGCUUGAUUGCUAAUCCUAGUGAGAUUGAGUGAGAUUCAAGUGCAUUGCUUUGAGAGUUGCAUUUAGUGGCACUUGAUUCUUGAGUUUGCUGCGGAUUUCUUGUUACUCUUGGGUGUUUCCCGACGCCCUAGACGGCUUGGAGCAGCGGUGGUGUUGAGCUCGUGAUUGGAGAUUGUUUCGAGCCUCACCAAGUGAUUUGUGAGGGGUUCUUGAGCCUUCCCCGCGGGAGAUCGCAAAUUGGUUACUCUAGUGGAUUGCUCAUGGCUUGGAGGAUCCCCAUCUUGUGAGUGGAUGUGCGGCACCCGCUGAGGGUUUGGCUUUGGAUUGCCAAUUAGCUCAUGAUCCAUCAAGUGGGUGUAUCGCCACAACGAGGAGUAGCUUGCCGGGAAGCAAGUGAACCUCGGUAAAAAAUCUUGUGUCAUCUCUUGCCGAGGUCUCUCUUGUAAUUGUGUACGUGAUUGAUUGGAUAUAUCUCAUCUCUACAACGUCGGUAUAACAAUCACUCUCCUCUCUUUACAUACUUGCUUACCUUGCUAGUUGUGUAGCUUGUUUAGCUUAGUUCUCUUGUUGUUGUGCUUUAGUGUUUAGCCUUGUACUAGUUUGUAUAGGUGGCUUGCAUAGCUUAGUUAAGCUAGUGCUAGAAUUGCUUCGCUAUUUGUUUUACUAACUCACUUGCUUAGUGAAGUUUGUAGAAUUUGUAAAUAGGCUAUUCACCCCCCUCUAGCCAUUUGGACCUUUCAAUGAUCCUGCUAAAUAAAAUUUAUUAGGAGGAAGCUCAAUAUGAUAAAGGCAAAGAGAUUUUAUGCUAUCACUUAACCAGUUCCACAAAGCUUUGUUGUCUAUUUGAGCUCCACAGAAUUCAUGGAUCAAAGAAGACUAGCAGACGGAGGACAUCCAAAUCGCUGUCAGGGUGCUGCCGACAUUCAAAUACACCUCGGUCACCUGCUAGCUACAUCAGAAGAAAUUACGUCAAAAUCCAGCUUGGGGGAGAGCACCCCCAUUUAUCUAGCUAAGUGGUUCUACUCGCGUUUAUACUUUACUCAAAUAAUAAAAAGAUGAAAACCCAAAUAAAGAUUUUGUGCUUUUAUAUAUAUCCUUGCUUAGUUUGCUAAAUAAAUAAAGUUUGCUAUGAACCCUUAUGAUAAGCUCUCACAUGGAAAUGAUGAAUAGUUGCUUUUCCAUGACUAGUUCAUAAAUUUGAAAUCUCUCUCAAGUUUAGGCAUAACUUAUAAUUUAAAUCUGCUCUAAACCUGAACUUGUGGGAAGAGUACUUGAUCUAAAGUCUAAGUUGUUAACGGAUAUGAUAUGGGAAGGUUGAGCUGCUGUUUAUCUGUUCCUAGAGAUGCUAGAAUUCUGGAGAAUUUUAUCUUUAAAAAUCUAUAAAAUAACACAUGAUGAGUUCCUUUAUGAUGAGAGUUUAAAAUCCUACCACAGCCAUAUAUACAUGCUUAUUAGACUUUGAGCCACACAUUUACUUUUUACUACUUAUGAGCAUUGAGUGUGGUCAAGCUGUGUAGACCCUUAGGAGCUUGUCAUGUGGUUAAAAUCAAGACUCACUUGCACGUUCACUCGUAUAUGCUGCUUCUACUCCGAAAGUACGCAUCCACAUAUAUCCACUCAUUUCCAUCCCCAGAUUCACCCAAAAGUAUUCUACUCCUAAUCUAGGACGGAAUAGCCAAAAAGAUUAUCCUAUCCCUGUUACUCCCUAUGAAAAAAUGCUCGAGUUAUCUUGGUUACUACCACUUGCUAUAUUAUUUCAGGAGAUGAGUGCUCUAAAAAAAAGAGGAUACGACGAAAUAAAAAGGGGCAAGUGCCCGGAACCUCGAAGAAAAGAAAAAGUGAGACGAGAGGUAAAAAUGGACAAGUGUCCGACGGUAGAAUUAGGGGUACAGGAUACCCACCUGAGAGGAAAGAAAAAGAAAAUAUAGAGCAUCUCAUUCUCCUCAAAAAGCUUCAAAGUGCAAGAAAGGUAUGUAUCCCCUAAAAAGAGCAAAAGUAGAAUUAGACUUUCACCAUUGUUAUCACCAUCAUCACCAUACACCAUUCACUCACCACACAUGCACAUCUUGAUUUGACUUAUUGAAUUGUUUCUCUGGAUCCAUGGUUUGACUAUGCAAUAAAUGUCUUGUAAGUAUGUAUUAUCUGUCUCCCACCUAUGAGCUCCAGAUAUCAAAACCUUAUUAGAGUAGGGUGAGAGAGAAGGCAAUAUCACUAUGCCCCAUACCAAAAAUACCACAUACUUUGAGAGAAGGCAUAUAUCAUUACUGCCUUGGAAAUGAUCCAGAAAUACCACAAAAGAGAGAUUUGAGAAAGUCAUACAAGGAAUCUCUGAGUUUUAUUUGAAAAUCUACAAAAACUCCAGAGCUAUAGCUGAUCAAAGAACAAGAGACAUGGCGCUUAACUUGACCGUUCUAUCUUUUAACUGCUCAAGACACAAGUGACGGUUACAAGCCCCAUGGUGAAAGGUAAAAUGAGUAAGCUUUAAGUCUUAACACUUUACUCUAACUCAGAGAUGAGAUCUUACUUUUAAGGCAUGAAACCAUUGUAGAAACUCUUGAGUUCAUCCUUGCCCAGGGACGAGCAAGAGGUAAGCUUGGGGGAGUUGUUGACGGUCCUUAAGUAUCAAAUAUAAUCAUCAAAUAAAUAAAGAAAAGGAUCCAAAUGCAACCAACACCCAGACUUAGGGUUUUAUCUGACAGAAUUCCACGAGUUUUGGUGUUUGUCUAUUUCUGCAGGGGGUUAUCUGGAAAUACGGAAGAAAGACCCACACGUCGGGAUUACAUAGAGAUAUUAACGUGCCGCGCAAUUUUCUAUCAUCUAGAAGACUCCAGAAGCCACGGGAACGAACGGGAGGCCGAACGGGCCCAGGGGCAUGGCGCCCGCCCUGACCUGGAUUCGAUUCAGAACUCUCUUCGCGGACCAAACUCCACCGACCUAAAGGAUCAAGGAUAACCGUCCAAUCAAUGUCGGUUUGAUCCAAUGGCUCACGUUCACUUGAGGGGACUAUAAAACCAGACUCCCUGGCCCUGGAGGAGACAAGUUCAUCAUAGAGUUGAGAGGAGCCCUCGAAGGAAUACCUCUCCUCUAAAUAAAUAUUUAUUUUAGGCUUAGCAUCUAAUGUGAGUAGAAUUAGAUCUUCUAGUUUCUACUAGAUUGAGAGAUAUAGAGUGGAGGUGUAGAUCGAAGGAAGCCCGGCCUGUCGGUGUCUACUCCGAGGUUGUACCUGUGGGAUCAAGUCUUCUAACCUGAGGCUUGCUCCUAGGAUUCUUUAGUAAUUUGACUUCUAAAUCUAGUAAGUUCUUGUUUUAGUGUUCUUUGGUUUAUGAGUUUACUUUAAUAUCUUCCGGUUGAGUAUUAGAGUAAUCAUUGCUAGCGUAAACGUGGUGUUUAGGCUAGGGUACUCAUAGAUAUCCCCUGACUAGCUGGACUGUGGUAGUAGCGAGGAACGUGACAUUUCUGAGUUACCUUUGCAUCCCACAUCUCGAUAGCAGGACGGGUAGGUUUAUAGGUGUGGGUCGAACAUCCUUUGUGGUGUCUAGAUUCCGUAAGCUUCCCCAAUAGAAUAGUAGAUCAUCCUUACCAAGGUUAGAACGAGACUACGGUUGCAGUCUUCUCUAUACAUCGCUCACAUCGAGAAACAUUCUUUGUAGCCUAAAGGGAUAGUAGCAAUAGAUUUGGUUAGUCAGAUGCACCCUUUCUCCCAUUGGUAAAAAUAUAAAUACGAUACUCUGGAAAACCUCCCGGGUGAAAUGCUCACCAAUAUUCGUGCGCUUGCGGAUCAUUUUCUAAUUGCGUGACCAAAUAUCAACAAUCAUGUGUGAUGCUAGCGAUUAUGCUGUUGGGGUGGUCCUCGGCCAAACCAAGGACAAAAAUCAUCAAGCGAUCGCUUACGCUAGCAAGACUUUGACAGGACCUCAGCUUAACUAUGCCACUACUAAAAAAGAGGUCCUCGCUAUAGUCUUUGCUAUCGAUAAGUUUAGACCCUAUUUGGUGGGAGCAAAGAUAAUUGUUUAUACGGAUCAUGCUGCUCUCAAAUAUUUGCUCACCAAAAAGGAUGCUAAACCUCAUCUACUCUGAUGGAUCUUGUUGUUACAAGAGUUUGAUAUUGAGAUAAAAGAUAAGAAAGGAGUAGAAAAUACUGUUGCAGAUCAUCUUUCGUGUAUGCAAGUCACUAACAUGCAGAAACAGGAGAUUAACGACUUCCUACGCGACGACAUGCUCCUGAUGAUCAACGACAAGAAACCAUGGUAUGCAAAUAUUGUUAACUUUAUGGUUUCAGGGUACGUACCCUAGGCAAAUCAAAGAAGAAGCUUGAAUAUGAAAGUCGACGCCACCUGUGGGACGACCCCUACCUAUACCGGGUUUGUGCUGAUGGACUGCUACGAAGAUGUGUGCCCACCUUAGAGGGUGCACAAAUCAUCGAGAUGUGUCACGCUUCACUAUACGGAUGUCACUAUGGAGUAUUUUGCACAUAGUCCAAAAUCUCGACAUGCAGCUUCUACUAGCCUACAAUGUAUGAAGACACGAAGAAGUUCAUCCACAGAUGCCGUUAGUGCCAGCUAUAAGGCAACAUCAGUGCAUGCAACGCCAUGCCACUUCACUUCCAUCUCCAAGUCAAAAUUUUUGACGUCUGGGAAAUUGAGUUUAUGGGGCCAUUCAAGAAAUCAGGCGACUGCGAGCACAUCCUUGUAGCAGUUGACUACGUAUCAAAAUGGGUAGAAGAAUUAUCGUGUCGAGCAGUAGAUGCCAAGCAUGCAAGAAAGAUGUUUCACAAGAUCAUCUUUCCUCAUUUUGGGACACCAAUAAUGGUGAUAAGUGACGGAGGGUCGCACUUCAUUGAUAAAGCCUUCAGAACAUUUUUGCGAGAUUUGGGCAUCCGUCACAAUGUUGCUACUCCUUAUCAUCCCCAAACCAGUGGGCAGGCCGAAACUUCCAAUAAGUAGAUCAAGAACAUACUCAAAAAACGGUGAACGAAAUGGGAACGGGUUGGAAAGGUAAGCUCCCUAAUGCACUCUGGGCAUACAGGAUAGCUUACUAAACUCCCAUCGGGAUGUCACCUUAUCAGUUGGUCUAUGGCAAAAGCUGUCAUUUGCCUAUUGAGCUUGAACAUAGAGCUCACUAGGCAAUCAAGACUUGGAAUAUGGACAUUAAGGCCGCUAGAUGAAACAGGCAAAGACAAGUCGUAGAAUUAGAAGAAUGACGAGAAAAAGCCUAUCACAGUGCCAAGCUCUACAAAGAAAGAACAAAAAGAUGGCACGAUAAAAGAUCUUACAUAAAGAAUUCAAGAUCGGCGACAAAGUCCUGCUCUUCAACUCGAGAGUCAAAUUGUUUGGGAAAGGAAAGCUCAGGAGCAAAUGGGACGGACCUUACACAGUGAUCGAGGUGGCGCUGCAUGGAGCUGUCACAAUAAAGGACGACAGUGGCAACAUCCAUAAGCUAAAUGGCAAACGUCUCAAGGUAUUUCUCGAACCCGAACCCCAUUCCUUUGAUGAAAUAAAUUUAGUUUCUUUUAAAGAAUACACAAAAGGAAUGUGUUAAAAAAAGUAAUAUAAUAUCUUUUGUUGUUGUAUUUAUUUUACAUUAAAUAAAGCCUCUUGAUUUAUGCAUUUAUGUUUGACCCAAAAUGCCCCUAUGAUCUUGUAUAUCUUGUUUAAAAUCUGUUUUGAUCAUAGCAUCUUCUCAUCAUAAAUGGAUGAUAGUGCAAUCUCUUGAGUUUUAGAAAGUUUUAUUCAAAAUUCAAAAAAUAUUCUCUUUACCAUCCCGCCAAUACACUGUGAAUCAACAUUGAUCGUAAGUGGGAUCACGAUUAGGGAAACAAAUAACGCGAGCUGCCAAAAAACGGAGGCCGACUAGUGGCCCUAGGGGUUCAGGUGCACCUGGGUGUGGCCUCACCCCUGGCCCAGCCAAUUGGCCCUAAUCUUUUUUCGUACCUCCCUCUGAUCCCUCCAGUAUUGUGUUACCGCCUACGAUCAAGUUUGAUUCCUUAUUUAGGUGCGCUGAAGAACCUACAUAAGCAGCCCCCAGGCCUCUCAAUUCUUCACACCAAACCUUUCUCUUCUCCCUCUCACCAAGUGUCCUAAGCUCUCCCAAGAUCCAAGGCAAGAAUGUCUAGCUACGCCCUCUCCCUGAUCUAAGCCCCUGGCUCCUUCACAAACCUAGACAUCGUCCCCUUUAUAGAGAGUUCCUUUGUGGAGGAAGAAGCACAGGCGGCAGUCGAGGCACCACUAGCCUAUCUCCCACCAAGCUAGGACUUUAGCCCAAGACUGAAGUCAACUGCCCGCUACCGCACCAUCAAGGAUGGCGCACAGAAGAAGAAGCCCACUGAUGUUCGUCCAACCAUCGGUGCACUAGGACUGAAGAAGAAGACUCUUGGUGGUGGUGGACUUAGCAAUGUAGCUAUUGUCAUGCCUUCGUCUUCCGAAGAGCCAUCUCUAUCGUCUUCCGUUUAUGAUAAUCGCUCAUAUAUAAUUAGAGGGAUACGCAAACCCGACGGAUGGUAUGCGAAGGGGUUUUUCUGUAAGGACGAAGCUUCGGCUAGCAAAGCCGCGCCCUUAGCAGAAACCUUAGGCGCUAAACGCAAGUUCGUUAGGACUGUCAUCAGGGGACAGCCUAAAGGUUUCUUUAGCAAUAGUGAGGAUGAGCAGCUGCGCAAAGGGCUAACCAUCGCCUCACUCCGUGCAAGCAAUAGGAGCACCCACGCUAGUGUAGAGGGAGCUCAUGAUCGCAUAGCCAAGGCUCAUCUUAGCGUCAAAGGACUUAAGGACGAAUUAGAUGAGAUGCGCCAUGGAUAUGAUUGAAGAGAUUAUGGAAGUUUUCAUGGAUGAUUUCUCUGUUUAUGGAAAAACUUUUGAUAGUUGUCUUGAAAACUUAGACAAGGUUUUGUAAAGAUGUGAUGAAAAGCACUUAGUCCUUAAUUGGGAAAAAUGUCAUUUUAUGGAUAGGAAGGAAUAGUGCUGGGACACCUAGUGUUUGAAACAGGUAUUGAGGUAGACAAAGCUAAAAUUGAAGUAAUUGAACAACUACCUCCACCUGUGAAUGUAAAAGGAAUUCAAAGCUUUCUUGGCCAUGCUGGUUUUUAUUGGAGAUUCAUAAAAGAUUUUUCAUUAAUUGCUAGACCACUUAAUCUUUUGCUAGCCAAGGAUGCUCCUUUCGAAUUUGAUGAUGCCUGUUUAACAACUUUUGAAUUAUUAAAGAAUGCACUCAUCACUGCACCAAUCAUUCAACCCCCCUGAUUGGUCUUUACCUUUUGAAAUUAUGUGUGAUGCUAGUGAUUAUGCUGUGGGGGUAGUUUUGGGACAAACUAAAGACAAAAAGAAGCAUCAUGCAAUUGCUUAUACCAGUAAAACUUUGAUAGGAGCUCAACUUAAUUAUGCAACCACUGAAAAAGAGCUCCUGGCUGUUGUCUUUGCCAUUAAAAAAUUUAUAUCUUAUUUAGUUCGAGCUAAAAUAAUUGUUUAUACUGAUCAUGCUGCACUGAAAUAUCUACUCACUAAGAAAGAUGCUAAACCUUGAUUAAUUAGAUGGAUCUUGUUACUCCAAGAAUUUGACUCAGAAAUAAAAGAUAAAAAGGAGUAGAGAAUUCUAUUGUUGAUCACUUGUCUAGAAUGCACUUUAAGAAUCCACAGGAACCACCCAUCAAUGAUUCACUCCGGGACGACAUGCUCUACGGAAUCAACAGGUCUGACCCCUGGUAUGUAGAUAUUGUUAAUUUUAUGGUUUCAGGGAAUGUACCGCCACGAGCGAACAAGAAAAUGCUUAUUCAAGAAAGUUGUUCACACAUAUGGGAUGAGCCAUUCCUCUUCCGUGUAUGCUCUGAUGGCUUACUCAGGAGUUGUGUGACCACUGAGGAAGGAUGGAAGAUCAUCGACAAAUGCCAUUCAUCGCCAUAUGGAGGUCAUUAUUGAACAUUCCAUACACAUUCAAAGAUCUGGUAGUGUGGAUUCUAUUGGCCUACAAUGUAUGAAGACACGAAGCAAUAUAUCCAAAGAUGUGGGCCAUGUCAAUGACACGGAAACAUAAACACAAGGGAUGCCAUGCCACUCACCAACAAUCUUCAGAUAGAACUCUUUAAUGUCUGGAGAAUUGACUAUAUGGGACCAUUUCCCCCAUCAAAGAAGUGUGAGUUCAUCUUGGUGGCGGUUGACUAUGUGUCCAAGUGGGUAGAGGCACUACCAUGCAAGCAUGCUGACAACAUAAGUUCAAAAAGUAUGUUUGAGGAAAUCAUAUUUCCAAGAUUUGGAGUCCCCAGAGUAGUGAUAAGUGAUGGAGGAUCGCAUUUCAUUGACAAACGGUUCGAGCAUUAUCUAUCAAGACAUGGAAUCCGCCACAACAUUGCUACCCCCUAUCAUCCUGGGACAAGUGGCUAGGUAGAGACUUUCAGCAAGCAAAUCAAGAACAUUCUUCAGAAAACAGUAAAUGAGAUGGGAACAGCAUGGAAGGACAAAUUACGUGAUGCACUCUGUGCAUACUGGACAGCAUACAAGACCCCAAUUGGGAUGUCUCUAUACCAAUUGGUGUACGAGAAGACUCACCACCUACCUGUUGAACUACAGUUCAAACCACACUGGGCCAUAAGGAAAUGGAAUAUGGACCUAGAUGUUGUUGGAGAUCAUAGAAGGAUGCAAUUAUCAGAAUUGGAAGAGUGGCGAGAGAAAGCAUAUCACAAUUCAAAGAUCUACAAAGAUAGAGUCAAAAGAUGGCAUGACAAGAGAAUCAAAAAGAAGGAGUUCUCUCCUAGAGAUAAGGUAUUACUUUUUAAUUCCAGGGUGAAACUCUUCGGGCAUGGAAAACUCUGGAGCAAAUGGGAAGGACGGUACAAGGUAAUCAAUUCAUCAUCCCACGGAGCAAUCACACUUCAAAAUGACGAAGGUACGUUAUUCAAGGUAAAUGGUCAACGUCUUAAAUUAUUUUUAGAGCCCAAUAAAGAAUUAGAGGAAAUAGACAUGAUCCAUUUUUACCUUCAAUGGAGAAUUAAAGCCCGACCAUUUUAAUUUGACGUUUUUGGGCCACGUAUAUAUUUUUCGGGAUAUCAAACCUUCUAGAAACACACACGAGAGAUCGGGCCAGCGGAGGAUCCCAGGCCAGGGCAGGCGCCCUACCCCUAUCUCCUCUUGCUGCCACUUGUUUCGUUAGGAUCUCCACGUCCAUCCCUAUCUAGAAAACCCUAUGAAUAGUUUGUUUCACAAGUUGGCCACGGGAUCUAUCUCGUGGAAGAUUCUAGAUACACCUGUGACCCCUAUAUAAACAGACCCCUGACGUCAGCUUUCAUCACCAAUUCAUUCUUUCCUCCCUCAUUUAGAGCUUUGCUUAGUCCCUCACUCCAAUGGCCGGUAGCAGCAACCCCGAUUGGAAGAUCGUCCCAUAUGGGAUUGAUCUUAAUAAGAAGCCAAAAGUAGAUCCAGACUCCAAGGCGUUAGUGCCAAUCAACAGCGAGCGGCAGCUAGCAGCCUUUCCACCACGCCAGCGCAGUGCCAGCCAUUCUUACUAUGCUCAACCAGUCCUCACCGCGCUGCCGCAACCCCUUCUCAAGGGACCACCGGUGAAGCUGGGCGCACUCGUCAAGGUGCCUACCGGCACUAAGGUCCUACCGCCGAAGCCCAAUGAGAGGGUGGUAGGCGUGAAGACCAACAGGAGUGGUGAAAUCAGCAGCGUCCGGUACAAGACAGAGGAGGAACACCCUUACUUCGAGGGAGUACGAGCGGUGAAGGUCUGAUUCAUCCUGCCAAAGGACGCCCGAAGCAUGUGCUUAACUCUUUUGAGUCGCCGCCUAAGCGCCGUAAAACCAUAGUUGAUCUAGAGAAAGAGUUCCAUGCGAGGGAUGGAGUGAUCCUAGAGCUCCAGUCGUCUGUUAGCUUCCUAAAUAUGCAGGUCGCGAACCUGAACACAACUACGCUCAACCUUAGACGCGACCUCACUAAGGCCACUGAUAGGGUGAAGGAGCUAGACAUCACAAAGCUGCUUAGUUAGAUCUUGAGGCACCUGUAUCUUAGUUCAUUCAUUAUUAGAUUCGUUUUAGAUUCAUUAUUAGAUAAAAUUCAUUAGUCAGUUGAUUUAUUGUAAUAAAUGCCUCAAGGAAAAAUAAAUAAAGAUUGCUUUAUUAUUAUGCCUCGUGUGUCUCCACUUUGUUGUUAUGCAAGAGAAUAGAAAACAAGUAUGGGGGAGAUCCCUGACAAGACGAACGAACUUCAACCGCACCACUCCACUCAGGUACACGCUCUACACGCUUUAUUCAUACACAUACAUAUACAUCUUAUUCAUACGCUCUACACGCUUUAUCUCUAAACAUGAUAAAAAUAUUGUUAAUCUCACUUUAUGAUAUUUCCUGAAAACCUACAAUUAUUGACAAAUUUAUUUUUAAAACCCUGUGCUACUCAAGUCAUUGUGGAAUGUGAGAUCGUAGAAUAUGAGUACCUUAUUCUUGAUAUCUUUGCCACUUGGAGAGUUUCUUUCAAAAACUUUAAAAAUAUUGCUACCAUCCUCAGUGUUUUAUAUGCUCUAAAGAUCAAGACAUUUUUAUUCAGAAAGAUUCACUCUUCCGAAGUAUUAUUGCGUUAGAGGCAUGGGCUAUGCAAAAAUAUGAAAUUCAAGGAAAUAAAAAGGGGCAAGUGCCCGGAAACCUCAUGGAAAAAAUGAACAAGUGUCCGACAAUAGAAUUAGGGGUACCUCGGUAUCCACCUGAAAAAAAUGAGAUGAUAAAAAAAUGAUGAAAAGAAAAUGAUAGCCCAUGGUCUCUCUAAUAAGCAAUAUAACAGUAAUAGUUGGCAAGUUUUUAAUUUUUCAAAGUCUUGAUAUAAGAGUAUGGCAUUCCUCUCCUCGGAUCUUGUUUUGACUGGGCAAUAUAUGCGAGGUAAGUAUGCUUAAGAAUUGUUGCAAAUCAAAACAAGCCUCAGUGAGAUCUAUAAAAUAAUAAUAAUAAUAAAAUAAUAAUAAAUAAUAUGAGUGAUAUGAGGGGACCUAUGAGGACAAAGGUCAGCUAAGUUUAUUUUCAAAAAUAUACAAAAAACUCCAAGUGACAGGGUUGGGAAGAAGAAAGGAUCUCUAUUCCCUGACUACAGUACACGGUGGACAUUUUACUACACCCUGUAGGUAUGAAAAGAAUGCUUUAUAAUGUUUAACCCCAAGUGAUUUUGUAAACCAUCCUUUUCUCAAGGACGAGAAAAAGCCUAGGUAUGGGGGAGUUUGUUGACGGUCCUUAAGUAUCAAAUUUAAUCAUCAAAUACACAAGGAAAAGGAUCCAUAUGCAAAUACCACCUAGAAUUAGGGUUUGGUUCGCCAUAAUUCCAUGAGUUUUGGUGUUUAUCUAUUUUUGCAGGGGGUUAUCAGGAAAUAUGGAGGAAAGGCCCACACAUCGGGUUUACAUAGAGAUAUUAACAUGUGCGCCAAUUUUCCUCGAUCUAGAACACUCCAGAAGCCACGGGAAGGAGCGCCCUAAACCCUAGGGUGCCCGCCCUAGCUCAGCAGCCAAUCAGGCUGAGUCUUGCGGAUUAUGCUCCACCACCUUUGGGGAUCAAUGAAAACCAUGCAAUUAAGGUUGGUUUGAUCCGACAGUCCACGUUCAUUUGGGAGGUCUAUAUAAGCAAGGCCCCUGGCCCCUGGAGGAAGGCAAUCCCAUUAUUCAUUUGCGUAUUUUCUAGAGAGGAUUCGUAGAGAGAGGUUCCUCUAGGGUUCCAAUCUCCUAGGGCUUAGCAUUCAAUGUGAGAUUAGAAUUUAUUCUUCUAGAUUGAGAGAAAUAGUGUGGAGGUGUAGGUUGGAGGAAGCCCGGCAUAUUGGUGUCUUCUCCAAGUUGUACCUACAGGAUCAAGUCUCCUAACUCGAGGCUUACUCCUAGGAUUCUUCGGUAUUUCGACUUCUAAAUUCUACUAAGUUAUUUGUUCUUAUUGUUUUUUGGUUUGUGAGUUUCCUUUAAUCUCUUCGUGUAGAGUUUAGAGUAAUCAUCGCUAGCGUAAACAUUGUGUUUGGGCUAGGAUACUCAUAGAUACCCCCUGUCUAGCAAGACCAUGGCAGUAGUGAGGAACGUGACAAUUCUGUAGCUACCUUUGUAGCCCAUAAUUCCAUUAGCAGGAUCGGUAGGGUUUAUAGGUGUGGGUCAAACAUCCUUUGUGCUGUCUAGAUUCUGUAAGCCUCCCCAAUAGAGCAGUAGAUCAUCCUUACCAAUGUUAGAACGAGGGUGCAGUCGUAGUCUUCUGUAUACAUCGCUCACAUCAAAUCACUUUGGUUGUAGCCUAAAGGUUAGUAGCAAUAGAUUUGGUUAGUCAGAUGCACGCUUUCUCCUAGUGGUAAAAUAUAAAUACGAUACUCUAGAUAACCUCCCGGAUGAAGUGCUCACCGAUAUCCGUGCACUUACGGAUCAGUUCCUGAUUGCAUUACCAAAUAACAAUAAUAGGCUAGGUCAUAAAUCACCUACUGUUCCUUUGGGCUCGAUAUUAAACCGGGUUGAUCUUGGUGAAGUGUUAAUUAGUAUGUAUCUGUGCGCUUGCGGAUAAUCUCAUUAUAAUCAAUAUUUAGGGUGCAGUUAAUUUAUACCAACAAUGUGGUUUGCUAAAGUGGUUUCCCUUCCAACACCAAUCUAAGUGUACUACUCUCAAGAUUCACCACAACGAGAUCUAAAAUAUUUAUCAUAAGCAUACGUGUGUAUAACCACCCUUUGAACAACUUUAGGAAUAGAGAGCAUGAGGGGGUUGAAGAUUUCAUGUGGAGUAAUGUUAGAGAGACUAAGUGAAUCAGGAUAUUUUUCGUACGACCAAGGAACUGAUGUGGUGUUCAUGAAGUAGCUUCAUUGGUCAUUGAAGCCUCCAUCAUUUUCUACUUCCAAGGGUGACUCGAUACGUAUGGCCAAAAAUUCCCUUGGUUCAUCUCUUGAAUUGAUCUUAUCUAAGGUCUUGUCCAUCCAUUUAGUGGCAAUAGCACAUAGGUUUUAAUGCUCUCUAGCCAUGGAUGUUGCUCUUUUUGAUCUUCUAUAUGGUCUUGAUGGUUCCUAUGCAUGGGAUAUCUAGAUGGAUUUCUAGAAUCAUUAGGAGGUUUAGGUGAAAGAUCAUAGAGCAGGCCAUAGUCAUCAAGGAUGGGUUUAGAGAUGGGUUCGUAUUAUAUAUCCAAUAUGGGCAUAGGAGGGGAGAGGAUAAGAGAAACUUCUAGAUGGCUUCACUCUCCUUCUAUGGCAUCACUUGACAUACCAUCCUUGAGUCUUUCGAGUUGUCCUUCAAAGAGAUUGUAUUUGAAAAUGUUUCUAAGAGAUCUUUUUUUAAGAUUCAAACUAUGUGUACUAAAAGAUCUCUUAUGAAGCUAGAAGUUUAAACUCCUCCCAAAAUCACUAGAACGGAUUUCAAAAGGUACAAUUACUUCUUCCCUUAGAAAAUUUUGGGGUACUGCUAGUUUGGGACGGAUAGUCAAAUCAUGGGAUUGGAAUGUUUGCAAAGUGGCUAUAAAAACUUCAUCUUCUAGUUUGGGGGAUGAUUCCUUCUCUACCUCUAGGAUUUCAUCAUGAAGGCUAGUGCAAGGAGUGUGUCCACUAUAGCUAAGGAUAAAGCUCACUUCACUAAUUGAUAAAGAAAGGAAAACUCCUCCAAAGACGGUAUUAUCAAUGCCAAUAUAAAGAUGUUGAAGAAGAAUAGAGUCUUGUAGGUCUAACUAAAUUUAUAGGAAGAUUAAAAGAUUCCCUAAGUGUAGCCAAAAGUUCAUUACCUACUUGAUCAGAAGAUAGGACCUUGGGUAUGUUGGGUAUUCUUAACGUCAUUACCAAAAGUAAACUUAGUUUUCUAAUUCUAAUAACGGCGCCAAAAAUGCCAAACCUGUCCCUCAUACCACUAAGCCAAGUUGUCAUCCCCAGCAUGACAUGAGAGACGCGGUAUUGAAAUAUGCAAUUGCUCAUCUAAAUAAAUAACAAAUGGGAUCUACAAGCGCACAGAUUAAUACCGAUGUAGCAUUUUAACCGGGAAGUAUUCCAGGUAUCGUUAUUUAUAUUUUUACCACUAGGAAGGGAUUGCUAAACAUCAAUGUUGAUUAUAGAAUGGAAUAUAGAAUUGAGUAUCUAUCAUUGCAUGUAUAAUUGAGAACAUUUAUCUAUCUCUUUCAUACAGGGAUAUGUGUCACAUAAAGGAUAUAUAAAGUAAUGAAUAGUGACAAAGAUAAUUAAUCUGAUCAGCAUAACUGAGCCACAUAAUAAAUAUGAUAAGCACCUCAAUUAGAUUUUCUAGCAAGUCAUUAGCAUGGAAUUAGGAUGAACUACAAGAAUAUUUCCUAAGUUUUUCUUAACUAUACAGUCUAGCAUAUCAUAGUUAGUGCAAUUAUACUUAGCAAUCAUUGUGAGAUAGGACUACGCCCAUAGUGAUAUUAGCAAGGAAUAUGAGAAACAUCGUAAUCACUCCCCUGUAAUAAUGUUGCUCUACCAGCCCAAUACACGAGAGGGGGACUAUAUAAUAAUCAAUUGAGCUCUCACUACCACGAACUACCCCGUGAUCUGGUAUAUAGGGUACAAUCGCAGAUAAAUACGGUAUAAGCACCACGCCUACACAAUAUCUAUCAUUUACCCAUGGAUCUGAUGGAUAAACGCUAUACGAUCCUAAACAUGUAUAUAAUUCCAAUCUAACUAAGCCAAGUAUAUAACUAUGAUAAACUAAGAACAAUAUAAUUGUGAAUACAAACAAGUAGAGCAAAGUCAUAAUCAAUAUAUUGAAGUAGAACAAAGUCAUAUUCAUAAUAUUGUAGAACAAAGAUGAACAAUUGAUGAACAAUAGAGAAUUACCAAGAAUCCUCUUGACAGAUCUGGAAACCAAUCGAAGAUUGACUCCUUCUAGUUCUAAUCCUAUGUAGCUAUGCUUAUCUAGAUGUCUAAUUGUUGUGGUGGCUCUAGGCUUGAUCAGAGGCUUCUUCUCCCUUGAUGAAUAAUGAAUUGGGGUUCAGAGGUCCUCUCCUCCAGGGGCCAGGGGGUCUGGUUUUAUAGUCCUUCCAAGUGAUUAUGGGCCAUUAGAUCAAACCGACAUUGAUUGAACGGUUAUCCUUGAUCCUUUAGGUCGGUGGAGCGUAAUCCCAAAAGAGAGUCCUGAUUGAACUCCAGCAGGGGGCGGGCACCCUGGUCCCUAGGGCGGGCGCCCUGGGCCAGGCUCCGUUCUACCUCCGCUUCGAUCUCGUGGCUUCUGGAGUCUUCUAGAUGUAAGAUAAUUGCGCAGCACGUUAAUAUCUCUAUGUAAUCCCAACGUGUCGGCCUUUCUUCCAUAUUUCCUGAUAACCCCCUGCAGUAAUAGACAAACACCAAAACUCGUGGAAUUCUGUUAGAUAAAACCCUAGGUCUGGAUGUUGGUUGCAUUUGGAUCCUUUUCUUUGUUUAUUUGAUAAUUAAAUUUGAUACUUAAGGACCGUCAACAAACUCCCCCAAGCUUACCUCUUGCUCAUCCCUGAGCAAGGAUAAUCUCAGCGAUGGAUCAGAAGUUGUUGUAAUGCCUUUAAAAGUUGACGGUACACAUGCUUAUAAAUAAGAUCUCAUCUCUGAGUUAAAGUAAACUGUCAAGACUUUAAAACUUAUUCAUUUUACCUUUCACCAUGGGACUUGUAACCGUCACUUCUAUCUUGAGUAGUUAAAAGAUAGAAUAGUCUAGUCAAGUGCCAUGUCUCUUAUUCUUGAUCAGCUAUAGCUCUGGAGUUUUUGCAGAUUUUCAAAUAAACUCAGAGAUUCCUUGUGUGAUUCUCUCAGAUCUCUCUUUUGUGGUAUUUUUGGAUCCUUACCAAGGCAGUGAUGGUAUAUGCCUUCUCUCAAAAUAUGUAGUAUUUGUGGUAUAAAGCAUAGUGACAUUGCCUUCUCUCUCACCCUACUCUAAUAAGGCUUUAAUAUCUGGAGCUCAUAGGUGGGAGAUAAAGUAUACAUACUCACAAGACAUUUAUUGUAUAUUCAAACCAUGGAUCCAAAGAAACAAGUCAAUAAGUCAAAUCAAGAUGUGCAUGUGUGGCGAAUGAAUGGCGUAUGGUGAUGAUGGUGAUAACAAUGGUGAAAGUCUAAUUCUAUUUUUGCUCCUUAAGGGGAUACAUACGUUCCUUGCUCUUUUUGAAACUUUUUGACGAGAAUGAGAUGCUCUAUAUUUUCUUUUUCUUUCCUCUUAGGUGGGUAUCUUGUACCUCCAAUUCUACUGUCGGACACUUGUCCAUUUUUACCUCUCGUCUCACUUUUUCUUUUCUUCCAGGUUUCGGGCACUUGCCCCUUUUUAUUUCCUCGUAUUUUUUCUCUUUUUUUAGAGCACUCAUCUCAUGAAAUAAUAUAGCAAGUGGUAGUAACCAAGAUAACUCGAGCAUUUAUUUCACAGGGGAAAAAUAAAUAUUUUUGGCUAUUCUCUCCCGGAUUAGGAGUAGAAUAUUUUUGGGUGGUUCUGGAGAUGGUAAUGAGUGGAUAUAUGUGGAUGGUACUUCCGGAGUAGAAGCAGCAUGUGUGAGUGAACGUGCAAGUGAAUCUUGAUUUUAACCACAUGACAAGCUCCUAAGGGUCUACACAGCUUGACCACACUCAAUGCUCAUAAGUACUAAAGUAAAUGUGUGGCUCAAAGUCUAGCAAGCAUGUAUAUAUGGAUGUGGUAGGAAUUUAGACUCUCAUCAUAUAGGAACUCAUCAUGCAAUAUUUAAAGAUUUUCAAAGAUAAUAUUCUUAAGAAUUCUAGCAUCUCUAGGAACAGAUAAACAACAGCUCAACUUGCCCAUAUCUUAUCCGUUAAGAACUUAGACAUCAGAUCAAGUUUUCUUCCCAGUUUAGGUUUAGAGCAAGCUUUAAAUUAUAACAGUUAUGUGUAAGCUUGAGAGAAAACUUAUAUUUGAAAAUUAGGCAGAGCAACUAUUCAUCAUAUCCAUGCUAUAUUUUUAUUAUUAAGAUUUAGUUUAGCAUAGCCACUUUAUUUAUUUAUUAAACACACUAAGCAAAAGAGAGAUAUAUAAGCACAAAAUCUUUAUUUGGUUUUCCAUAGUUAUGUAUUUUUAUAUUUUAGUAUAGUAUAAGUAUAAAGAUAGAUAGAAAUACUUAGCGGGAUAAAUGGGGGUGCUCUCCCCCAAGCUGAAUUUUGACGUAAUUUCUUCUGAUGUAGCUAGCAGGUGGCGAGGUGUAUUUGGAAGUCGGCAGUACCCUGACAGCGAUUAGAAUGUCCUCCGUCUGCUAGUCUUCUUGAUUCAUAAAUUUUGUGGAGCUCAAAUAGACAACAAAGCUUGUGGAACUAGUUAAGUGUUGGCAUAAAUAUCUAGCCUUUAUCAUGUUGAGCCUCCUCUAUAAAUGUUACUCUUUAUUUUUAUAUUUUCAUUUUAUAAAGCAGAAAAGAAAUAUUUAUUUUAUUUUUUAUGCCACCACAGUGAAUGUACUUAUGGGUUUUAUGCCACUCGUAUACUCACAUAGGGCUUACUAUUUUUAACAUUUUUAUUUUAUUUUAGGAUAGUAUGAACAUGAUUAACUAAGUAAACUAUUUUAAAUAAUUGAAAGUGAAAGGAUAACUACCAAGUUUACCUCUUGGCAAGGCGUUCGGUGUUUUUAAGUCCUCCGAACGGGACUCUCCGUUUUCUAGUUGUCCUGGGAUUCAUUGGAUGGCGGAGUCGGUGCUUCCAGCGGCGCCUCCUCUUCAUCUAUAGUUAACUUCUCUUUCCACACCUGACUCGGUGCUACGGUCUCCUCUAGAUAAUUUUGUUUAAACUGUAUGUCUUCUGACCUUAUCACUUCUCCUUCGUAGUCUGCCCAUCCGUCCUUGAUGAUUUCCCUCCUCUAGUUGUGGUUGCGUCGUUUUCUUCUUGUCCUGACCUGCUUAGAGUCUUCAACGAUAUAGUUAGGGUCAGUAAAAUAGCGGCGUACCUUCUCUGAGGGGAAGUGCAUAUGGACUUCUCCAGUUCCAAUGUAGAUGAUUGCUUUAACGGUGCUGAGGAAUGGUCUUCCAAGGAUGAUGGGUGGAUCAUACUCAUCUUCUCCCAUGUCAAUAACCUGAAAGUCUGUGUAGACAAAAUGAUCGUCUAUUUUGACAGGGACAUCAGUUAAUAUACCUUUAACCUCUCGAAAUGUCUGAUCUGCCAUCUGGAGCUAAAUGUAUGUUGGUUUUAAGGGCAUGGUUCCGAACAAGAGCCGAUAGGUGACUUUGGCCAUUAUGUUGACGCCUGAUCCGGUGUCGCAAGUCGUCUUGUAGAAGUUGUACCCAUUUAUGGAGCAAUAGAUGCUUAGCAUUCCUGGAUCGUCCUUCUUGGUCAGAAACGGUGACUUAAGUCGAUGAUCUUGACCUCCUUGAACUACAGUGACCAUCUUAGCUGACUCGGUCCACACUUGCUUGUUCCUGUUCCUCCUGUUGGUCCUUUUCCUUGAUUCAUGUCGAGAUUGCUCUGGGAUUUAUGUAGUCUUGUUCUUGAAGGAAAACAUCUCCUUCCUCCCUUUGAUGUAGAAACUGAUCUUGGCAGCACUAGCGUAGAUGACAACUCCUGAGGUGUUUAAGAAUGGCCUCCCUAGGAUGAUGGGUGCCCUCUCAUCAUUAUCAGUCUGUAUCACCACGAAGUCUGCUGGGGCGUACAUGUUACCAACUCGGACACAAAGGUUCUUUAAUAUUCCAUUUGGGAAACUUAUCGUCUGAUCUGCAAACUACAAACACAUGGUUGUUUCUGAUAAAGGAUAUGUAAAGAAUUUUUCAUAGAAUACCUUGGGCAUAAUGUUGACACUAGAGCCAAAGUCGCAGAGUGCUUCUGGGAAGUCCACCAUGCCGAUGGAGAUCGGGAUGACGGGGCGUCCUGGAUCACCUCUCUUGACCGGCAAAAGGUUAGUAGUAACUUCAGUGACGGGGUUACUCCAGUAGUUACCUGCAUCAAACAUGUCUACAAGAUUUACAGAUUCUAAUCUUUCUGGUUGUGAUGGUAUACCAAGGUUAGUAGCAGGAACAGCAGCAGCUAUUUGAUUUAACUAAGAUUCAAUCAUCUUAUUAAAGCUAAGUUAAUUCUUGAUGGCAGUAGAGAAAUUAUCCAUUCUAUUAUUAAUAUUUUCUAGUAUUUUAUCAUUAGAUGCCAAUUUCUUAGAUAGGUUAUCCAUUAGCUUUCCUUGAUUAGACACUAACUCUCUCAUAGGUGGAAAAUUAUUAUUAUUGUUGUAAGAAUUGUUACCUUGAUAAUUACCUGAGUAGUUAGGUCUUUGUUGAUUCCAACCUUGAUUUUGUUGAGGACGGUAGUAGUAGUAGUAGUUGUUGUUAUUGUUGAUGUAGUUCACAUCCUCAAGCAUCUCAGGGCAGUGAUUGCGUGAGUGUCCAGUAUCUCCACACUCCACACAAGUCAUGUGAGAGACGUAGAUGUGCAUAACUUCUUUCUUAUCUCCAACUCUAUCAUUGAGCUUCUUCAUGAGCAGGUCUAGCUUUGCAGACAGCAUGUCUACCUCCUUGAGCUGAUGCAUACCUCCACCUUUCUUGCGUGUCUGGGUCCUCUCUUCAUUCCAGCUUUGAUUGGACGCCAUCUUAUCCACAGGAGCUGUGGCUUGUGAUAUGGUGAGUGAUAGGAAUGCUCCUCCAACUGCAGCAUCCAUGGUCUCUCGGGCACUGUUGCCGAGCCCAUGAUAAAACGUCUGCAUCAGUAGCCAACUCUCCAUUCCAUGAUGGGGACAUUCUAGGAUAUAGUCUUGGAAGCGCUCCCAUGCUUCUGGAACGGAUUCAUCAUGUUGUUGCUGAAAACUUGUAAUUUUCCCACGGAGAGCAUUGGUCUUGCCCAUGGGAAAGAACUUAGCCAGAAAGUUCAUGGAGCAGAGUGCCCACGUAGUAUUCUUCUCCUUUGUAGCGUAGAACCACUGCUUCGCUCUCCCCAACAGUGAGAAUGGGAAGAGGCGAAGUAGUAUAGCAUCUCUGGGGACUCCUGAUAUGGUGAAUGUGCUGCAAAACUGCAGGAAGUGUUGGAGAUGAGCACUAGCAUCUUCGUGUGCCUUCCCACAGAACUAGUUGGAUUGUACCAUGUUGAUAAGUCCAGGCUUGAGCUCAAAGUUGCUAUCAAUCUCUGCAGCAGGUCCAGUGCAGAUGUUGUCCGUAGUGGGAGCUGAGAACUCGCGGAUCGAUUUGUUCGCCAUGACUUCGAACUCUGAAGACAAGUUCCGGUGAUCUUCUUGAUUGGAUGAAGCUUCUUGCUGAAGCGUUGAUGAUCUCUUCUUGAACUUGGCUCUUGUUUUUCUAAAUAACGCUUCGGGAUUGUCAACAAAAUUUCCUAGAAGAUGUCUUCUAUUCAUACAUUCCCCUGCAUAAGAUAAAAUAGAAAAAUAUCGGGGUAAAACUCUAUGAGAGAAUUGAUAACCUCAAUCAUAUUAGUGACGUGAAUGAUGACUCGAAAUUCUAUAUUCAUUCCAGAUUAGUAAUCAACCUUCCCCGGCAACGGCGCCAAAAAUGCUUGUUGUGUAUUCUUAAUGUCAUUACCAAAAGUAGACUUAGUUUUCUAAUUCUGAUAACGGCGCCAAAAAUGCCAAACCUAUCCCUCAUACCACUUAAGCCAAGUUGUCAUCCCCAGCAUGACAUGAGAGACGCGGUAUUGAAAUAUACAAUUGCUCAUCUAAAUAAAUAACAAAUGGGAUCUGCAAACACAUUGUAACACUCCAUUGUUAUGGUUGCAUCAAUCACAUGCAUAACAUGAGCAUCAUCAUCUACUCAAGCAUAUCAUGAUCAUCAUCUACCUUGAGUCAUGUCAUUCUAUGCAAAAAUGUGAGUUAACUAGUUAAAUUAUGUUUCCUAUGCUUGUGUUUGUUUGUACCAUGCUCAUGCUUGUGUGUUAAGUCUUGGUAAUUAGUUUAUCUAUGCUUAACUCAACCUUAGGAACAAUGCUCAUGUUGAUCACUUGUCGGUGUUUUCCCCACGGGGGGUCACACCAACGAGUAAAUUUGUAUGCGUGCUGCCUUUUCUAGAUGGUGAUGCAAAAAGACACAAAGAUUUAUCCUGGUUCGGGCAAGAGAAGGCCCUACGUCCAGCGGGGGAGGAGAGUUUGUAUUAUCUUGCACCUAAGUGCUUGUACAGGGGUGAAUACAAGCAUGUAUGAACUGGGAAGGAGUGUGGAAGCUCUACUACGUAUGAGUGUUGUAUCGCAUGAUGUUGUAUUCGCUCCCGGGCCUCCCCUUUUAUAGCUCCAAGGAGAGACCUAGGGUACAUGUAUAGGCGUCAGAGUAGGGGUCGAUAGAGGUAUGGCGUGCUGACCUACUCAAGGCCUCCGUACCGGCGUGGUCUCGAGCCGUCCCAUCCUGGUAGCUUGAUGAUGAUUACGCGUGCCCCUGUAUCCCACUCAGUCUGCCGUCUGGGACUGGUUUAUCUGUUGCAUGCCUGUACGUCAUGGCGGCAGAUAUGUCGGAGUAGUUGCGGUGUUGUCAUUCGACGCCCAACCCUUCCCUAGGAAGGAAACAUGUCUAGUCGAGGGUCAGACGCCGUGUAACGCCUUGCUAGCCAGAGCGCUGACCUUGGACGUCUCGAGGGGGUCUUGAUUAGACGUCCUGACCCCGCUUCCUGCGUCCUGACACGCUCUGGAUUAUUUGGUGGGGAAGGCUGCAAAAAGAAUGAUGGGACGGGUGCCUGUUCCCUAUCACGCUUCCCGUGACUGGCGUGUUAGGUAAGAACGCGACAGGCGCAUUAAAUGCCCUGGUUCCCGUGCCUGCGUCAGGCGGCGGGCGGCGUCCUUGCGCUCGACGCCUUUCGAUUCGCUCGAGCCUGUUUCCGUAUUCGACGGUAGCCGGUGCUCGAGCCCUGAUCGAUUCGCUCGACGCCCUUUCCGUCUUCGAGGCUGCGGUCAUCGAUGACCAUACGCGUGACUGGGUAGAGCGUCGAGUUGGAGGCUUCGACUUACGUACGGGCAAUCUCGUCAUGUACAUCAGUUAGGAUACCCCUGUUGACACCGUUUUUGGAAACGUAUGCAGGAUUGGUAGAAUGUGGAUCGGCAAGACAGGGUAAUGGUCACUGGUCUGCAGAAGGGUUACCGAUGAUGAUGGUUGCCGAUGAGAAGAUAGCGGGAUAUGACUAAGUCUGUGACUGGUGAUGUGUGUAUGCCGAUGGCCGGGGUUAACCGUUGCCGAUGGGGAGUCUGCUGAUGAUAUGGAAGGAAAACUCGCAGGUUGCCGAUUAGUCUGUGGUGGUGUCCCAGUUCGUCACGGAAGGAUGGUUUUAUGUUUUCCUUAGUUAUUUAAAUCGUUUUGUAUACGGAUUCUAUUUAAAUUUGGAAUUCGAGUUCUAGUCGUGUCUGGUUGUAGCUCUUUGAGCAGGGUAUAAAUGUAGACCCUAGGGAUUUGUAAUCAAAGAAUCUAUCAAUCAAUCAAACACCAGUUUUUUACUCAUAUUCCAGCAUCUACUAUUUCGACGACUUCGUCAUACUUUUUCUUUUUCAUUAUGAGUUCUUAAGAAUUCGUCGACUUAAGCUCGACGUGUUCUCAAGUUCCGCGUGAAUACCUCUUGGCCGUGGCAUCUGGGUGCAUCACUCUUGUCGGGACCAAAGUAUUCAAGUUAUCACCUUUGCCGAUAGUAAGGUCAAAUCGGCUGGCACGCCUUAACGUUUAAAUCGGGUAUUAGCCCUUUGUGUUUGCAGAUCAGCUUUUGCAUCAACACAUCUUUUGGCACGCCCAGUGGGACCUGAUUCAAGAUCAACAUGUCGACUACUGAGUUUGAUCAGGAGAACGUCAUCCCCGUGACGGAAGCCAAUCUCAAGGAUGAGCAGAAGCAAGCUAUUGUUAAAGCCAUGGAGGAUUACAAGCAGCAAUGCUUGAGGUCCUUCAGCACGAACAGGAGCGGCGAGGUGAUCCAGAAGGACGUGCUGCCGAUGCCUCGGCAGGUUACUUUCGAAGCCAAUCUUGGGAAACUUCAAGAUAUGGUUGAUAAUGCUAUCAACUGUGCUUUGAUCAACCAAGUUGGUGUACUGUCCAAUAUGGUUUUCAAUGCCGUGGCUAGAACUUUCAAGGAAGGACAGUCGCCACCAGAUUAUGUGGGCCCUUCUCAUCAUCAGCCAGGAUCACCGGUGGUCACAGCCCCAUCGGCUGCUACGGCCGCUGCGGGUACCCAGACUACUGUUCCCCCAAGCACGUUGGGAGUCACUAAUGCACAGUCUACGCCGAUGACGACAAAUCCACCGUCUUCAGAUGAGCAGAUUAAGCUUACUACAGAUCUAUUGGCAUCGGCAAGUCAGGACUGUUGACACUUGCUAACACCACUUGAAUACUAGGUUGUCAUCCCCUGCGUGGCACUAGAGUGUACUAUGGUAUUUAUACGCACACAGAUAAUCCGCAAGCGCACGGAUACCGUUGAAGCUUUUACCCGGUUAAAGGUUUUAUCGUAUCCACAGGGAAACGGGAGAACUGAUCUAUGCUCUAACUUAACCAAGAUAAGUAAAUAGGUGUGAAUAGGAAAGAUGGUAGAAUCGAAUAAGAACAAUAUUAAAGGUAAGAUAACAGUGAGUGAUAAUAUGGGAAUAAAGAGUAGAGCAAUUCUAGUAUAUGGGCGAUGGUAGCAGAAUAGAGAGGAUAACUAUGGUUUCUCUACUUCAAAGGGGUAUGUCUAUGUCUGGGACGAACCACGUGAUAAGAGUACACCACAAAGGAUGCUUAUCCAUAGGCCGAUAAACCCUACCCGUCCUGCUAACGAGAGGUGGACUACAGGGGACCAACGUAACUGUCACCUACGCGGCCUACCACACGAUCCAGCUAGUCAGGGGAUAUCCACAAGUAAUCUAGGUCUAAGCACCACGCUUACACCUAUACUACAACUCUAACCUAUAGGGUCCUAUAGAUUAGAAGUACUCAAAAGAGUUGUGAACCAGAACAUACAUGAUUAGUAAUUGCAUAAUGAAUUAGAAGUAGAUUACCAGAGUCAUCCCAUGAGCAAGCUUGAUUAGAGCUUGAUCAUGGCGAAGUACAACCGGAGGAAGAACCGACAGGCCGGCCUCUCCUCUAAUCCUCCUUCGCUCUCCAUCUCGCUACUAUCUAGAUCUACUCUAGUUUAGAGAAGAGAGGAGAGCUCUCAUCUCUAAACCCUAGCUUUUGCUCUGUCUAUGAAUAAUGAAUAAUGAUCAAGGGGUGCCUCCUCCAGGGGCCAGGGGGUCUGGUUUUAUAGUCCCCUCAAGUGAACCUGGGCCGUCGGAUCAAACUGACAUUGAUUGAAUGGUUAUUCUUGAUCGUUUAGGUCGGUGGAGCAUAAUCUACGAGAUUGAGCGUGAUUGGCCGAAAUAGGUGGGCGGGCGCCCUAAGGACUUGGGCGGGCGCCCUGUCCCUGACUCCGUUCGGUCUCCGCUUCCUUCCUGUGGCUUCUGGAGUCUUCUAGAUGUAAGAUAAUUGCGCGGCACGUUGAUAUCUCUAUGUAAUCCCGACGUGUGGGUCUUUCUUCCUUAUUUCCUGAUAACCCCCUGCAGAAAUAGACAAACACCAAAACUCGUGGAAUUCUGUCAAAUAAAACCCAAAGUCUCGAUGUUGAUUUCAUUUGGAUCCUUUUCUUUGUUUAUUUGAUAGUUAAAUUUGAUACUUAAGUACUGUCAACAAACUCCCCCAAGCUUACCUCUUGCUCAUCCCUGAGCAAGGAUAGACUCAGCUAUGGAUCAUAAGUUGUUGCAAUAUCUUUAAAAAUUGACGGUACACAUGCUUUUAAAUGAGGUCUCAUCUCUGAGUUAGAGUAAACUGUCAAGACUUAAAACUUACUUACUUUACCUUUCACCAUGGGACUUGUAACCGUCACUUCUGUCUUGAGUGGUUAAAAGAUAGAACAGUCUAGUCAAGUGCCAUGUCACUUAUUCUUGAUCAGCUAUAGCUCUGGAGUUUUUGCAGAUUUUCAAAUAAAACUCAGAGAUUCCUUUAUAUGACUCUCUCAUAUCUCUCUUUUGUGGUAUUUCUGGAUCCUUACCAAGACAGUGAUGGUAUAUGCCUUCUCUCAAAAUAUGUGGUAUUUGUGGUAUAAGGGAUAGUGACAUUGUCUUCUCUCUCACCCUACUCUAAUAAGGCUUAAAUAUCUGGAGCUCAUAGGUGGCAGAUAAAAUAUACAUACUUACAAUACAUUUAUUGUAUAGUCAAACCAUGGAUCCAAAGAAACAAAUCAAUAAGCCAAAUCAAGAUGUGCAUGUGUGGUGAAUGAAUAGUGUAUGGUGAUGAUGGUGAUAACAAUGGUGAAAGUCUAAUUCUACUUUUGCUCUUUUGAGGGGAUACAUACCUUCCUUGCUUUUUGAAACUUUAUGAGGAGAAUGAGAUGCUCUUCUUUUUCUUUUCUCUCAGAUGGGUAUCCUGUACCCCUAAUUCUACUGUCGGACACUUGUCCAUUUUUACCUCUCGUCUCACUCUUUUUAUUUUCUUUCGAGGUUCCGGACACUUGCCCCUUUUUAUUUCCUCGUUUAUUUUUUUUUUUCUUUUUUCUUCUUCUUUUUUUUGAGAGCACUCAUCUCUUGAGAUAAUAUAGCAAGUGGUAGUAGCAAGAUAACUUGAGCAUUUAUUUCACAAGGGAAAAACACAGAUAUUUUUGGCUAUUCUCUCCCGAAUUAGGAGUAGAAUAUUUUUAGGUGAUUCUGAAGAAAUGGAUGGAUAUAUGUGGAUGGUUCUUCCGGAGUAGAAGUAGCAUAUAUAUGAGUGAACGUGCAAGUGAAUCUUGAUUUAACCACAUGACAAGCUCCUAAGGGUCUACACAGCUUGACCACACUCAAUGCUCAUAAGCAGUAAAUAAUAAAUGUGUGGCUCAAAGUCUAUCAAGCAUGUAUAUAUGGCUGUGGUAGGAAUUUAAACUUUCAUCAAACAGGAACUCAUCAUGCAACAUUUUAAAGAUUUUUCAAAGAUAAAAUUCUCCAGAAUUCUAGCAUCUCUAGGAAUAGAUAAACAGCAGCUCAACCUUCCCAUAUCAUAUCCGUUAACAACUUAGAUUUCAGAUCAAGUUUUCAUCCCACAAGUUUAGAUCUAGAGCAAGCUUUAAAUUAUAACAGUUAUGUCUAAACUUGAGAGAGAACUUCAAAUUUGCAAAUUAGGCAGAGCAACUAUUCAUCAUAUCCAUGCUAGAGUUUUAUUAUUAAGAUUCAGAUUAGCAUAGCCACUUUAUUUAUUUAUUAAACACACUAAACAAAAGAUAUAUAUAUAAGCACAAAAUCUUUAUUUGGUUUUUCAUAGUUUAUGUAUUUUAAUAUUCUAUUAUAAUAUAAGUAUAAAGAUAGGUAGAAAUACUUAGCGAGAUAAAUGGGGGUGCUCUCCCCCAAGCUGAAUUUUGACGUAAUUUCUCUUGAUGUAGCUAGCAGGUGGCAGAGGUGUAUUUGAAAGUCAGCAGCAUUCUGACAGUGAUUAGAAUGUCCUCCAUCUGCUAGUCUUCUUGAUUCUUAAAUUCUGUGGAGCUCAAAUAGACAACAAAGCUUGUGGAACUAAUUAAGUGUUAGCAUAAAUAUCUAGCCUUCAUCACGUUGAGCUUCCUCAAUAAAUAUUACUCCCUGUUUUUAUAUUUUUAUUUUAUAAAGUAAAAAAGAAAUAUUUAUUUUAUUUUUAUGCCAUCACAGUGAAGGUACUUAUGGGUUUUAUGCCACUCGUAUACUCACAUGGGGCUUAGUAUUUUUUUAACAUUUUUAUUUUCUUUUCAAGAUAGCAUGAUUAACUAAUAAUCUAUUUAAGGCAAGUAAAUAAUUAAAUGGAAAAGGGAAUGCAGAAAGGAUAAAUAUGGAUAACUACCAAUCUUACCUUUCGGCGAGGGUUCAAUGUUUUAAGUCUUCUUGUCAAGACUUCUCAUCGUGUUCAUUCUUCAGGUGCGUCAUUUGAUUCAGGUGCGGACCUUGACGUCUGCACCUUUUAAUACGGUGUCACCCAUGUUCUUCGUUUGCCCAGCAGUUCGAAGUGCGGUGUUAGCAGUAUCUUGCUCAGUGUGUUUGUGCUCGUAGAGUACCUGCUCAUAGAGACAAGGCAGAGAUCAAGUGCAUGGGCCCUGUUGGUGGAAAACACCAACAGAACCAAAAGUGUAUUUGUUCUUCUCUAACCUUAAGCAUAGUGAGCAAGACAAGUUGAUGGAUGAUAAGUUCAUGAAUGUAGCACUUAUAACAUUUGUCAGAUCAGAUCGCUCAACCUUAUGGAAAGAUAAUCUAUCUAUGUAUAUGUAUUUUUCUUUAUAUCUCUUAAUGAUCGAAUGUGUAACAUUUUAGCUCAUAUGAUUAGGAGUGUGGGAUCAUGGAGGUAGUACUAAGAACAAGGAUUAAAGGACUAAACAUGUUGAAUCAGUUGGGUUGGUUAAUCUAGAGUUGUAAAUCAUACACAUUUGUCUCUUUUAUUUAUAUGAACGCCAGAACCAAGGAGAAGCUUAUAAAAGUGAUAGUCAAGUACCUUAAGAUGUUACCUUGCUCGAAGAGUGGUGGUACAGUAUCAUCUUGUGGAAGCUUUCCUUUCUUAGCGGUUGUGCGUCGUGUUUGUGGCACCCUCCAUGGAUCAUCUCUCUAUGAUGAAUGAGCUAUGUCCUUCUUGUGCAAAUUGUUAAACUUCAUGUGUCACUCUCUUCGUCUCUGAUGUGAGUUUAUCUCAGGACUUCCCAAAUCGAUAUUGAAAGUUUUUCUGCAGGGGUUAGUCCGACAAAAUAUACCAAUAUCUACUCAAGCAGUUUUUUUUAGUUCAAUAACCAAACUAGACUCCAUGUCUAAUCAGAUUAAGGAAGGCUAUUUAACCUAAGCACCAUGCUUAAUUUAAAUGCCAAUGGAAGUAUGGCGAGUACUUCCAAACCAACACUUGCUAGUAAAUAGACAAAGGUAGCAUGACAGCGUUUAUAGAGAUCUACUCAAGUGGAGAUGAAGUAGUGUGAUUAGUAUUUAACAAAUUUAGCAUGUCUCAAAGGUAGAGACAACCAACAUAGCAACAUGGCAAAGGAUGUUUUUAUGUAAAGUACUCCCCCAAGGUUGAAUUUUGCAAAAUUCAAGUUUGGAUGAAUUUAAUUCAAUGUUGUAUGAUGAAUGAUUGGACAUACCUUGUGCUUGUCAUUCAUCCAAUCUUCUUGCUCCAAUCUUAGAAAGGUUAGUGACAAGAAUACCCGAAGGAAUAUAUAUAUAUAUUUUUACAAUUAUCCUUAUAUGCUCCAUACACAAGGUAAUGUUGCAAAUAAUUAAAGGCUCAUGUUACGAUCUGAUCAAUGCUUAUUUUAAGACACUAAGCUUGUCCUUGGGAAACCAUCAGUUUAUGUUGGCGAAGUGGUUUCCCCUCCGACGCCAACCUAUAUCUAGAUCAACUCAACGAGAUCUGCAAUAUUUAUUAUAGACAUAUGCAUCGACAACCGCCCUUUUAAAGUUUUUAUAAAUAGAAAGGAAGAGGGGGUUGGAGAUCUCAAGUGUGGUGAUGUCGGAGAGACCAAUAGAUUGGGAAGAUGUUGCAUAUGAGCAUGCAGUAAACGAAGUGGCUAUGAAAUAAAUUCCAUGCUCAUUAAGGUUAUCUUCGUCUCUAAUCUGAAUGUUCGGAGUUUCUCCUGGAUUGGUCUCACCUAUGUCCUCUUUUGUAGUUGGAUGAAUCUCAUCUUCAAAGGGAGUCAAGAACUCACCAUUUGAAAUUAAGCCAAAGUCAGAACCCAUUAAGGCUUCUUCCUUAUCCAUCCAUUCUACACAUUCUAGCCAUUUAGAACUUGUGAUCAAAAUAGGGGAGGUGUUAGAAUUUUCUAUAUGGCUUAGCUCUCCUUCUAUGGCAUUACUUGACAUGCCAUCCUUAUGGUCUUCAUGACUCCUAUGGUUUGGUCGUCUUGGUGAAUUGCUAGGAUCAUCAUGAGACUGAAAAGAAGAGGGAUAAGGGGGAUCUCUAAGGUCAAGGAUGGAUUUAGAACUUGUGAACAUGGAAGGGGAGUAGAUAGAAUUGUCUAUAUGGCUUAGCUCUCCUUCACUUGAUAUGUCAUCCUCGACUUCUUCAUGAUAGGAACCAGGACAUUCUCUAAGAGAAACAUUAUUGCAAUGAUUUGAAUUAUCCCUGCUUGAAGGUCUCUUAUAGAACCAGAAGUCUAAACCAUCAGCAUCUAAAAGACUUAAGGUCGGAAUUCCUUCCUCCCUUGGAGAAUUUUGGGGUAUUGAUGGUUUAGGAUCGAUAGCUAAAGUUUGGGAUUGAAGUGGUUGUGAUCUGGCUAUCGAAACUUCUUCCUCUUGUCUAGGAACUGGUUCUUUCUCUUUCUCAGGGAUAUAAAAGCUAGGAGACUUUCCGCUCAUUAAAUCAAUCAAAUUCCAAGCUUCACUAGUGGAUAGGUGGUGGAAAGAUCCUCCAGAGGCCGCAUGAAGGGUUUGCUUAUCUUCCUUACUAAGGCCCUCAAAAAAGUGAAUUAGAAGAACUUCUUCUGGAAUAGAAAGUUUUGGGCCAGUGAGAGUAAGGUUAAUAAAGCGGUCCCAUGAUUUGCCAAGAGAUUAUUCUUCCAGUUGUCUAAAAGAAAGAAUCUCACGCCGAAGUUCCACCACUUUGGAGAUUGGAAAAUAUUUAGAAAGAAAACUACUAUAUAACUCCUUCCAAUCUCCAUGAACACUCCCUACUUUGAGUUUAUACCAAUGUCUAGCUUUUCCCGUUAAAGAGAACGGAAAGAGCUUCCAUUUAAGGGUCUCAUCGGACAUGCCUUCUAUGCGAAGGAGGUCACAGACUCGAUAAAACUCUCUUAGGUGUGUGUAUGGGUUUUCCUCACCUUUUCCUGAGAAAGGUUGUUUUUGAAUAAAUUCUAUGUAUUCGGGGUCUAUCUCAAAACUAGAUGCUAUGAUAGGCUUUGAAGAUUUUGGUGGUUCGAGAUGUGUGCCCAUAGGUCUAUGAAAUUCAUAUAUAGACAUGUUUGAAUUCAUAAUAGACCAGAGAUCAAGGAUUAGAUAAGAAGAAAGAAUAGCAGAGAUGAGGCAAAGGAUAAAAGGAAAAUAUUUUUUUUAUUUAUUUAUUUUUUAUAAAAUGAUUAAACUAGUUCGUAGUCAACUCAGCAACCGUUUCCCCGGCAACGGCGCCAAAAAUGCUUGUUGACACUUGCUAACACCACUUGAAUACUAGGUUGUCAUCCCCAGCGUGGCACUAGAGUGUACUAUGGUAUUUAUACGCACACAGAUAAUCCGCAAGCGCACGGAUACCGUUGAAGCUUUUACCCGGUUAAAGGUUUUAUCGUAUCCACGGGGAAACGGGAGAACUGAUCUACGCUCUAACUUAACCAAGAUAAGUAAAUAGGUGUGAAUAGGAAAGAUGGUAGAAUCGAAUAAGAACAAUAUUAAAGGUAAGAUAACAGUGAGUGAUAAUAUGGGAAUAGAGAGUAGAGCAAUUCUAGUAUAUGGGCGAUGGUAGCAGAAUAGAGAGGAUAACUAUGGUUUCUCUACUUUAAAGGGGUAUGUCUAUGUCUGGGAUGAACCACGUGAUAAGAGUACACCACAAAGGAUGCUUAUCCAUAGGCCGAUAAACCCUACCCGUCCUGCUAACGAGAGGUGGACUACAGGGGACCAACGUAACUGUCACCUACGCGGCCUACCACACGAUCCAGCUAGUCAGGGGAUAUCCACAAGUAAUCUAGGUCUAAGCACCACGCUUACACCUAUACUACAACUCUAACCUAUAGGGUCCUAUAGAUUAGAAGUACUCAAAAGAGUUGUGAACCAGAACAUACAUGAUUAGUAAUUGCAUAAUGAAUUAGAAGUAGAUUACCAGAGUCAUCCCAUGAGCAAGCUUGAAUAGAGCUUGAUCAUGACGAAGUACAACCGGAGGAAGAACCGACAGGCCGGCCUCUCCUCUAAUCCUCCUUCGCUCUCCAUCUCGCUACUAUCUAGAUCUACUCUAGUUUAGAGAAGAGAGGAGAGCUCUCAUCUCUAAACCCUAGCUUUUGCUCUGUCUAUGAAUAAUGAAUAAUGAUCAAGGGGUGCCUCCUCCAGGGGCCAGGGGUCUGGUUUUAUAGUCCCCUCAAGUGAACCUGGGCCGUCGGAUCAAACCGACAUUGAUUGAACGGUUAUUCUUGAUCCUUUAGGUCGGUGGAGCAUAAUCCGCGAGAUUGAGCGUGAUUGGCCGAAAUAGGUGGGCGGGCGCCCUAAGGACUUGGGCGGGCGCCCUGUCCCUGACUCCGUUCGGUCUCCGCUUCCUUCCCAUGGCUUCUGGAGUCUUCUAGAUGUAAGAUAAUUGCGCGGCACGUUAAUAUCUCUAUGUAAUCCCGACGUGUGGGCCUUUCUUCCUUAUUUCCUGAUAACCCCCUGCAGAAAUAGACAAACACCAAAACUCGUGGAAUUCUGUCAGAUAAAACCCUAAGUCUCGAUGUUGAUUUCAUUUGGAUCCUUUUCUUUGUUUAUUUGAUAGUUAAAUUUGAUACUUAAGGACCGUCAACAAGGACCAGUUCCUCCUCCUAAUUGGUUGGGUUUUGGUAUGCCUCCAGAAUACUCACUGAGGAGACCUGGCACAUCUCAACCAGCUGAUAUGAGAGGCAAGGCUCCUAUGACAUCGGCACCCCCAAACAUGCCGAUGAAUCAGAGUCCCCAGUUUACUACAACUACUACUGCAAGACCUUACACUGGGAAUUCUCAAGCUCCAACUUUCCAGAUGCCUAAUGCAUCGACAGAUUCAAUGCUGGUGCAACAGAGGUUUGUGACUCAACCAGGGUAUGUCAAUUCAAUGAUGAUACCCAAUUACCAGUCAUCGGCAGGCCCUAUGCCGAUGAAUGCUAAUAGUGGAUGGCUUGGGCAGCAAGUCUUUCCGCAAACGCCCCAACAGAAUCAUCAGACUACCGGAUUUCAGUAAGGCCAGAUCUACCCCGGGUUCCAGAAUUAGGGAAUGCCCAACCAGCCAAUGAAUCUUGGCAGCAGGUCGGCGGACAGCAGAUUGGCGGGCAACAGUUUGGUGGUCAGCAGAUGGGUGGCCAAAUGAUUAACCCAAUAUUCCAUGCAGAUCGCGCACCGCACAGACACGUGGAAGCUUAUCAACAGGUGCCAGAUCCGCAGCCGCCCCAUCAGCAAGACGCCGAUGCUUAUUGGGCCGAUAAGAUCGCUGAAGUAAUGAGAGACCAAUUUGGGAUAAAACCCAAAGUCAACACUUACUCUUAUCGGACACCGUAUCCUCCUACGUAUGAUUUAAUCCCGCUUCCAAAUCGGUACAAAGUGCCGGAUUUUACUAAAUUUUCUGGGCAGGAUGAUACAUCAACUAUGGAGCAUGUCAACAGGUUCAUCAUCCAAUGUGGAGAAGCUGCUAACCGGGACGAGUUAAGGGUCCGGUUGUUCUCAUCAUCAUUGUCUAGAUCGACAUUCACCUGGUUUAUAUCAUUACCUCCCAAUUCAGUGAUUACUUGGGCCGAUCUAGAGAAGCAAUUCCAUAAAUACUUCUUUUAUGGUGUCCACGAGAAGAAGAUCACCGAUUUGGUCAAAUUGAAGCAACGCAAUGACGAAUCGGUUGAGAGUUUCGUACAGAGGAUACGGGAAGUCAAGAACAAGUGUUAUAGCCUGGUUCUGGAUGAUCGGCAGUUAGCCGAUUUGGCUUUCCAGGGUUUGUUGCCACAUAUCAGGGACAAGUAUGGAUCUCAGGAGUUUGAAAGCUGAAGUCAUUUGGUGCAGAGAAUUCCUGAUCAAGAUAUCAUGCCUUUCGAGCCCAAGAGAGCAUGGAACAAGAAGGUAUCAUUUGUGGAUGAAGCAGCAAGCGCAGACUCUGAUGAGGAACCAGUCAUCGGCUUAGCAGAGUGGGUGCAAAACAAGAAGCCAAUGUCUUGCCCCGUCGGGCAUAAACAGCCAGAGAAGUUCGCAUUUGACAUCACCAUGGCCGAUAGGAUAUUUGAUUUUCUACUUCAGGAAGGUCAGAUCCAAUUGUCACCCAAUCAUGUAAUCCCAUCAGCUGAAGAAUUGAAAAAGAUGAAGUACUGUAAAUGGCACAAUGCAACUUGUCACGGCACCAAUGAAUGCAAAGUUUUUAGGCAGCAACUGCAAUCGGCUAUAGAAUCUAGGAGGAUCAAAUUUGACAGCUCCAAAACUUAGAAGUCGAUGAAGAUUGAUCAGCACCCUUUCCCAACAAACAUGCUGGAUGCUAAGGGAAAGGCCAAGGUCUUAACAUCAGAAGCAGCUGAAAGAAAUGCAUCGGUGGAUCCUCAGCAUCAGAUCACUACUACCGAUGCGAAAGGAAAAGGCUUGGUCCAGGAGGGAACUAACUCGGGAAGGCCUCCCCGAUCUGGUAUUGUGAUAACUCACAGAAGGCCUCGAGAAACUUGGCAGCAACGUGAGGACCGGUAUCGGCGCCGGCAGGAAGAAUACCAUCGGGAGGAGGAAAGACGCCGACAAGAGUGGAAUCGGCAUAGGGAUCACUGGAAUUGUCCGUUCUUCAUCCAUUGUUGGGAGGAAAACAUCAAACUUCCUACUGUCAGAGGUUGUCCUGAGUGAAAUGGUUAUGAUCGGUAUGAUAGAUCCGAUCGGCGCUAUCACAAUGAUGAUCGCCGAUUCAAUGGGCCGAUUCGAGGAAGAGCAUCCGUUCACGAUCGGCUAGGGGGCAGUCUCAGUGUGCACGACAGGCUCGGCGAUCGUGUUGAGUAUUUUCCUAGGAACCAGGAAGAACUUGAAGAGAUGGCUAAUGCUCGCGUUCCCGAUGAAUUCAUAUUUUGCAGGGAUGCCAACACUCAUCGGAUGGAGUCUAGAGAAAAUCAUCGCCUGUCGGUGAGGCAGCAGCAACUCCCUCCAUGGUGUCCAGAGGGGUUGACUAGGACCCAGAAAAGGAGGCUGCAGCAUGAAAGACGAGAAGAGUUGAACAAGGGCGACACUUUGUUAAACGAAGCUCUAUGGUCGUACCGAAUGGCUUGUCAUGGAUCGACCAAGGUUUCACCUUAUCAGUUGGUUUAUGGGCAUGAUGCAGUGUUACCUUGGGAAAUUAAGACUGGGUCUAGGCGACUAUCUUUUCAAGAUCAGUUGGCUACCGAUGAUUAUGCUACUUUGAUGACAGACGAGUUGGAUGAUCUAGCAGGGCAUCGGCUGAAGGCUUUGAUGAGUAUAGAAGAGAAUAAGAAGAGAGUUGCCAGAUGGUAUGAUAAGAAGGUAAAAGCUAAGGAGUUUGCCGAUGGAGACUUAGUAUGGAAGUUAAUCCUACCGAUCGGGACUAAAAGUUCAAAGUUUGGGAAGUGGUCUCCCAAUUGGGAGGGUCCCUAUCGGAUAAGUCGAUCGGCUCCUGGUAAUGCCUAUAUUUUAGAGACUCUCGAAGGAGUUGAGUUUCCCAGAGCAUUAAAUGGCAAAUAUCUAAAGAAGUAUUAACCCAGCAUAUGGGUCGAUGCAUGAAAGUUAAGUGCCGAUAACAUUCCUAUCGGCUGGAUCAAAAUGUAUCUGGGGGUAAAACUUAGUGUUUUAAAGGGUGCCGAUAACAGUCCUAUCGGCUAGACCAAAUAUCAAGAAAGCUGGAAAGCAGAGAGAGGCGAGUAUGUUGCCGAUGAAGAGCUCACAUGUUUAGCAGCGCCUGGAUGGCCGAUAUGGCACGAAGGCGGAUUUGGUUGGCUGCUUCUAUCUCUUUGACGUCUUCAUCGGCAGAACCUUCUAUCGGCUUCAACUUCUUCUUCAACUGCAGUGCUUUAUGACCAUGGACACUUCGCUCUUGCUCAAGAAGCUUGAUUGUCUCUGGCAGUUGGCUUUCUUCUUGUCGGGCUUGGGAUAAGGCAUCCUCUACUUGCUUGAGUUCUGCCAGUAGGGCUUCUCUUUUAGCCGAUAGAUCAGAGAUCUUGUGCUUCAGAGCAUCUCCUGAGGACUUUAAGAUGCCGAUGUCUUUGUGCUUCUCAUCGGCAAGGAGUUUCACCUUCAUCAUCUCCUCAGAGAGUUGGGCAUGAGCCGCUCUGUCGGCAAGACGUUGGGCAGCUCUCUGGUACUGCAGCUGACGGCUCUCCAGAUGUGCAGCUUGGAAGAGGACUUCUUCAGCAUCGGUAGGAAUUUGACCACUCAGGAUCUUGAAUAAAGCCUUGGCCGGAUCGGAGUCAUCAACUAGUUGGGCCGUGUCUUGAUGGAGGAGAGCCGACAGUUCUUCCAGCUUUCUUCAGCAUCGGUAGGAAUUUGACCACUCAGGAUCUUGAAUAAAGCCUUGGCCGGAUCGGAGUCAUCAACUAGUUGGGCCGUGUCUUGAUGGAGGAGAGCCGACAGUUCUUCCAGCUUUGCCCUGAUCUCUGCCGAUGUAAUCCCAACUGCCUGGGAGGAACUUGCUUCCUCACCUUCAUCUUCGGAGUCAAGCAUUGACAAAUAAUACUGAUGGAGAUUGGAUGGCUUACUUGCUUUAGGGCAAUCUCUCGCCUUUGACUGGAAGAUGCCGAUGGCACUACAGGCUAAUCGGCAGGGGUUACCGAUGGGACUAUGUCAGCUGAAAAUUGGCCGAAGGAAUUGUGAGAACAGGAAAGUAGGAUUCAUUGGCAAUGGCUUCGUAAAGAUGUAUUACCUUGAGGAGGUGCAGUGCUCGUCUGGACUGAGGAAACUACCGAUGCUAUGAUUGAGCCUGCUGGAUCGGUAGUCUGCUCACUCACAUCAGCCGAUGUGUCUUCCGGCUGAGGUACUUCUGGCUGAGGCUCUACUGGUUGGGGUUCUUCCACUUGGGGUACUUCUUGCAGCUGAGGGGGAGAUGGUGCUUGUUGCAUUUGGGCUUCUGGAAAGGAAGGAGAAGAUUCCACUGGGAUUGGAGAUACCGGGGGAGGAGAAGGCGUUGCUACUCUUUGGCGCUUUGCUUGUGCUCUAGUGUUCUUGGCACCAUUUCUCUUCGGUUGACUGGACUGGGGGGCAUCGGCACUUUUGCUUCUGGUCUUUGCCGAUGCGCCGGUAUGCUGGUGCAGAGAGGAAAAUUUGUGAGUACAAGUAUAACAGAUGCAGAAGUGAAAUCGGUAUGAAUAGGUUUAACAAUUACCUUGAAGGCCUGUGCUAAGGUGGAAGCAGCCACUGAUGGGGAUGCCUUUGUACGCUUGGUGGUGACUUUCUUGAGGCGUACACCCCGAUGCAUUAUGGCAGCCAAGGUAGGUGCAUUGUUGCCGAUAGAGGAGAUCGGACCUGAUGGGAACAGAUCAAUCGGCUUGCCGCUCCUACUGACCGAUGGGGGAGUGUCAUCAACCUGCAACAUAAUCCAGAAAGUAAGUUACCGAUGAAAUGAGGAUAAAAAGAUUAGAGCAUCAGUUUGGAGGUACUUACGGUGUCAUCUGGGACUUUGUACUGAGGAUCGAUCUGCAGAACAAAUGUUCCUUCCACUCCUCCCACCAUUGCUUGUACGCCUGGGUAAUGAAGAGGGCCAGAACCCACUCUGACAGAUCUGCAUCUGUAUUGGCAUUCGGUGACAGCUGGGCUACUCGGAUCCACUCGAGCAGGCUAGUGAUGGCUUCCCUGGGUUUUAUCACAUCGGCAUAACAGAGUGCAAUCGGCAGUUGGCCGAAAGCUAGUUGACGGGCUAGUGCCGAUGGGUUGUAAAACUCAUAGGUUUUGUUGGAGGUUUUCCCACUGCCGAAGAAGUUUACUAGUAUAGCUCUGGGGGUGAUCAGUGCCAUCAUCACUUCGUGGUCCUUGUUGAGAGCAUCGUUAAACGGAUGGAAAACUAAAGGAAACAUGGUGUCUGGAUCUUCAUAAGGCAUCCAUGCUCGUUGUUCUCUGGUCAGGCCUUCAUACAGGGUUUGGAAGAAUCGGCUGACUUGAUCUACAUUGCCCCCUGUACCGGGCAGAACUAUGGAGGCAUCACCAAAAUUUAGAGGAUGGCGAGUUUCCCAUUCUUCUUCAUCCAGUUCAUAGUCCUCGGCUAUAUCCCUGGGAAAACGCUGUGCAAAGAGGUUAAACUCGAGGCGCUUGUGCAUGUGGAGGCUGAGCCACAUGUUGAUAAACCACCAGGGACCCCCCAAGUUGCUGAUGGACUGGCCGAGUAGGAGUUUCCUUGUCACUUGAUGAAGGAGGUGGUAGGCCGCGCCAAGUAGGUAUCGGCCGAGGGGAAAUCGACCACCAUUGGCUAAUCAUUCUGCUGCUGCUAGGUAGACGGAAGUUGGUCCUACCGAUCGGCCACAAAACACAAAUUUGUCCAGCCACAUGUUCAGGAAGCUGGUCUGUUCUUUUAUGUUGACAAGGCCUGUUCGUCUGUAUUUUUGGAUGUACCCUGACCAACCGCCGAUGGCACGAGUUUCUACCUUAGCACUGGGUUUGGUGUCGAAGAAGUGAGUGCUAUCGGCAGAAGAUACAUCUAGGCCGGUGAGCAUAACUACAUCGGCAAGUGUAGGGGAAGCAGGGCCGUGGCCGAAAGACAAAGGCAUUGAGUGUGUCUGACCAGAAAUAUGAUGCAGCUAUCAACAGUGACUCAUUCCUAUGCAUAUCAGCAAUGGACAACCUGAUGCAUUGGUCUAGUCUUCUCUCACACCAAUGGACUUUGUUUGAAUGGCUGACUCUCAAAAACCAAUCCUUCCAUCCCAUGGUAGGACUAGGCCAAGAACGGAAGGUAUCCUUCCACAGAUUCAGAGAAAAAUUUUCAGCUCUAAAAAGGAUUCUGUUGGUUUCUGCAUUGAUAAAGUCGGUGGGAUCUGGAUUCCCUAACGGACCGAGACAUUGGAGGUGUGGUUGAUCAGUGGGGAUGACAAUUUUUUUGGACAGAUCCUAAUGGUUUUGGGUAUAAAAAGAAGAACAAAAGAAGAAAAAGAGGGAUAUUCAGCAAAAUAAAUCACGAAUAAACAUGGAUGAGGUAAAGGUACAAGAAAUAAGGUGAUGAACUGACCUCAGGGACGGUGAAGUUGAUGGCCAUUUUCUCGCGAGGAAGGAGAUUGAAGACUUCGAGAUUGGUGGAGAGAAGUCUUCACUGGAGUUCUUGGAGCUCUCGAACAGCGCCGCUGCUAGAAAAGUAGAGUUGGGGCUGUAGAAUGAUGUGAUGAGGAAGGAGUACACGAGAAGGAACUAUCUAUAGGACAAAUUGGGCAAGGGCAAAUCUAACUUAUCACUUCGCCGUAUCUGUGAAAUCCGAGGGUGCUUAGAAAGAUAUGGUAACUGUUCGCACGGUAAUCAAGGGAUUGCAUGAGCGAUUUGACAGGAAGCGGUCGUGAUUUGGAGAUAUUUUACUGUGCGAGAUUUCCUGGUCGGUCCAUCAGCAGCGCCUUGUAACUGUAAUAUUGCCGAUAGGCGAAUAGAGUGGAAAUGUCCGUUGGGGAGGAUAAGAUACGUCACUGUACGGGGCGUCCUAGUCAGUCCAUCGGCAAUUCUCUGUAACGGUAACGUUGCCGAUAGGCGAUUAAAGUGGAGAUGUCCGUUUAAGAGGUUGAGGAUUUCGAGGAAUCUGCAGAGGAAUCAAACCAGGGUUGUUUAGAUUGAGGCUGUCGGUUGCCAAAUUGGGAGAAUUAAUUGCGGAAAGGUAUCAUUACUGCAGAGAAUUUUGGAGCAUUAAUGAUUUUAUACUCCGAAAUUGGGGGGCAUGUGUUGACACCGUUUUUGGACACGUAUCCAGGAUUGGUAGAAUGUGGAUCGGCAAGACAGGGUAAUGGUCACUGGUCUGCAGAAGGGUUACCGAUGAGUAUGGUUGCCGAUGAGAAGACAACUGGAUAUGACUAAGUCUGUGAAUGGUGAUGUGUGUAUGCCGAUGGCCGGGGUUAACCGUUGCCGAUGGGGAGUCUGCUGAUGAUAUGGAAGGAAAACUCGCAGGUUGCCGAUUAGUCCGUGGUGGUGUCCCAGUUCGUCACGGAAGGAUGGUUUUAUGUUUUCCUUAGUUAUUUAAAUCGUUUUGUAUACGGAUUCUGUUUAAAUUUGGAAUUCGAGUUCUAGUCAUGUCUGGUUGUAGCUCUUUGAGCGGGGUAUAAAUGUAGACCCUAGGGCUUUGUAAUCAAAGAAUCUAUCAAUCAAUCAAACACCAGUUUUUUACUCAUAUUCCAGCAUCUACUAUUUCGACGACUUCGUCAUACUUUUUCUUUUUCAUUACGAGUUCUUAAGAUUUCGUCGACUUAAGCUCGGCGUGUUCUCAAGUUCCGCGUGAAUACCUCUUGGACGUGGCAUCCGGGCGCAUCGCUGUUGUCGGGACCAAAGUAUUCAAGUUAUCACCUUUGUCGAUAGUAAGGUCAAAUCAGCUGGCACGUGUUGACGGUGGAUAUACCAUAGAAAUCCACAUACAAAACACCGUCAACAUGCCUCGGUUGCAAGGGGAAACGACAUGACAUGAACAUAUUUUAUCCAUAACUAGUUCCACUUGUACUCUUAGCUUGUUUAUGCAGGAACAACAAAUUCAAGACAUUAUUUGACAAAGCCAACAUCAGAAUCAUCAAGAGGAGAUCGAGGGGACAACAGGUGACACCCUGGGCCCACUGGGAGGGGGUCGCCCGACCCCUCUUUGGUGGGACCCAGGUGUGCCACCUAGUCCACCGACAUAAGGGACCCCUGUGGACACUGCUGGUGGGCCCAGAGGCCCAGAAGUGGGGUCGCCCGACCCCACAUCAAAGGCGGUUCCAGGGUCGGUGGCCUCCCACCGACCUUCCCCACAUGUCCCAGAUGUUGAUUUGCCCCUGCCAUUGAUCAAAUGGCGGUUGUGAGGUCGGUUUGAUCCAAGGGUGGAGAGAAGAUGUCACGCGGAUCGAUGACGUGGCGAUGGAGUAACCCCUACUCCAUCUCCCUCUAUAAAAGGCAGCCUCCAUCCUUCAUUUCAAGUGUGCAAUUCCAAGGCCAAGUGCAUUACAAGUUCCAAGCAUACAAGUAGAGUAGUAGUUAGUCUAGAGUGGGAGUUAGAGUCGAGUCGAGCGAAGCUCGGGGUCUCCGGAGUCGUCUUCUGGAGAGUCUGGUAUAGCUCUUGUACCUUUCUACUUUUGUAAGACUUUCCUUUUAUUAAUAUAUUAUUCUUACUUUACUUUACUGAGUUCUUACUUAGUGCAAGUCUUUUAGUCUUGUUGUGCAUUUACUUUAGUAAUAUAGUUGUCUUAGUGAAGUUAGUGACCUGUAACCACUCCUGUGUGUGCAUCAUCGUCCUAUCUUGUAUAGGAGCUCUAGCUAGCUGCAACUAGUUAGCGUUGUAGGAUUAAGUGUGAGCGUGGUGCUCAUACUUAAGAUUACCUUUGAUUACCGCUGGCUUGAACGGAAAGUAGGAGCGCACUCCCUAGUAGGUGACAGAUCGUGGGCGGCAUUAGGUUCUCCUCACGUACAGGCUAGUUCUUAAAAGGUAAGGCGUCCAUAAGCCCAAUAGUCGCUUUCGGUAAGGGGUUAGGUGAAAAACCUUCUAAGCGUCUUACCAGCUCGGCUAUCCCUCGCACACAGUUAGUAAGGCUCUAUCGUAGUUAAGACAAUUAUCUAUUAAAGUAAGUCACAGAAGUCAAGUUAGAUACAUAGGAGUCCUUUACUCACUCGUUGUCCUCCCACCUAGCUAACUCUACCAUUUACCUUUAGCAUAGGACCUUGGAUUCACCACUACCCUUCCUAUUCAUUAUUUACCACCCUUAUUCACUAGUUGAUACUAGAUAACUCAAGGAAUCUCAUUCCCCUUUUUGUUAAACACACUUAGCCGCUUUCCCUUGGGAAAAUAUAAAUUACGAUACCUUGGAAUACUCCUUGGUGAAGUGCUACAGCGGUACAUUCUGUGCGCUUGCGGAAUUAUCCAAUAGUAAAUAGAGUUACCCUACCAGGGCACUUCUGGCGCCGUCGCCGAUAUCCGGUGGUUGCGUUAAGAAGUGUCAACAAGCAUUUCUGGCGCCGUUGCCGGGGAGAGCGUCUGUCUAAGAGUUUUAACAAAAAGAGAAUCCAGAGUUUGCUAGUUAUCAAGUAGUGAUAGGGAUAACCCAUCACUUGUCUUGUCUUCCUUUAUUGUGAAGCCUGACAGUGUAUGAGCGGUUUCCAAUUGCCGUCAAACUUCGUUGAAGAUCCUCAGCAACUGUUGAGGAGAACUAGACGUCGUCAAGUUCCACCUCAAAGGUUCAUCUCGAACCUGAAUCCGUUAGAGGAAGGAGUAUCUGCACCGGUUAUCAAAGAAGCUAUGGCCCAGAAGACCAUCUCUGAGUACUCUGCGCCGUCGGCUGACAAUGUCGCCACGGGUCCGCAGCUUAACUUGGGGGAUGCGACUUUUGAGUUGAAGCCUGCGCUUAUCAAUAUGGUGCAAGCUAAUCCCUUCUGUGGAAAGCCACACGAGGAUGCCAAUGCCCAUCUCCAACACUUCUUGGAGGUGUGCAGCACCUUCACCAUCAAGAAUGUCGCCGCAGACGCCAUCCGUCUUCGCCUCUUCCCAUUCUCGUUAUUGGGGAAGGCGAAGCAAUGGUUCUACGCCAACAAGGGUGAAGUGACCACGUGGGAGAGGUGCGCCAAUGCAUUUCUCAAGAAGUUCUUUCCGAUGGGCAAGACCAGCGCCCUUCGUGGAAAGAUUUCCAGCUUCCAACAGCAAGCAGAUGAGACGAUUCCCGAAGCAUGGGAACGUCUGCAGGAGUACAUUCGCGCCUGUCCUCAUCAUGGGAUAGAGGAGUGGCUCCUAAUCCAAGGUUUCUACCAUGGCCUGACCGGUUUGGCCCGUAGUCACCUUGAUGCUGCCGCUGGAGGAGCAUUCUUGCAAUGUCAAGGAUGCCAAGGACCUCAUUGAAAAGAUGGUUAUAAACCAAGGAUGGAAUGAGGAACGCCUCCAACCCAAGAGAAGAGGUGUCCAUACCUUGAAUGAGGUGGACAUGCUCUCUGCUAAGAUAGACCUCUUAAUGAAGAAGAUGGAAGAAAGUUCCAAGCAAGAGACCAUUCAACCUUACGCCACUGCACGGGCCAUUGAAUCUGAUUCAUGGUGCGAAGUGUGCGGAGGAGAUGAUCAUUCGGGAAACAAUUGUCCCGAAACAAAGGAGGAAGUGAGCUUCAUCAACAACAACAACAAUGGGUACCGGCCCCAACAACAGCAAUGGAACUCGCGCCCCUUCUACCAAGGUAAUCAAGGUAAUAGUUACAAUCAAAAUUUCAAUAAUUCUUUUGGUAACCAACCUUCUCUUAGAGAUCUUGUCUUAGGCCAAUCUAAAAUCAAUGAUAGCAUUAACAAGAAAAUGAUGGCUAAUGAUAAGAUCCUUGAAAACUUAAGUGAAAAGUUGGAUAGCUUUAACUCUGCUAUGAAAAAUCAGUUGAGCUUUAACAAAAUGCUAGAAACACAAUUAGCUCAAUUAGCAGCAGCUGUCCCAUCCUUCGAGCAAGGUAAGAUCCUAGGGAAACCUGAGGACCCAAUUGAAGGAGUUAAACUAGUUACUACGAGGUUCGGUAAGCCUCCGGUACAAUCCAACUGGAGCUAUCUUCUGGAUUCGCCCUUCAUCACCAAGAAGGACGACCCAGGCCUGCCGACCAUCACCUGUGAGAUCGGACCACAAAUCUUCCACAACGCCUUCUGCGACCUUGGAUCGGGUGUCAACAUCAUGGCCAAGGUAACUUAUGAUAAUUUGCUAGGGGGGCCUUUGCACCCCACAUUUGUUCGUUUGCAGAUGGCAGAUCAGACGAUCAGGUUCCCUGAGGGGUUGGCAAGGGACAUACUGGUAAAGGUCCAAGACGACUACGUCCCUGCCGACUUCAUCAUUUUGGAUAUGGGAUCCAAUAAUGAUGUCUCGAUCAUCUUGGGAAGGCCAUUCCUCAACACAGUCAAUGCAGUCAUCUAUGUGGGGUCCGGCCAGAUUCACCUCCAAUUCCCAGGAUGGAAGGUAAAAUGUCCAUUCAAUGGUUAUAAAGCUAACAUGCAGGUGAAGGACAAAGAACCUCCGACUAAGCCUCGCCACAUCCGACGCCGAAGGGACAAGAGAGGUAAGUCGGCCAAAAGGGCCGAAAAGAAAGAAGAGGAACCCGCUGAACCAAAAAUCAAUACCAAGCAAGUAUGGCGGGAGAAAGAGGUGCAAUCAAGGUCCACGUCUCCGGGACCAUCUGAUGCACCCGAAGAAUGAACAAGAUGGAGAGGUCCUGCUCUACGGACCUAAAACAUGGAGCCCUUGCUGAUAAGGUAAAUCAGUAGUUAUCCCAUAUUUAUUUUCUGCAUUUCAAUUUCUACUAUUCACUUUUCAAUUGCAUUCUUACUUUGAAUUUUGCAUAUCUUAUUUCGACAAAAUGUUUAGCCAUAAUAAAUAAAAUCUUGAGAAUAACUUGUCAUAAAAAUUUGAGCUGCUGGAGCUCCCAAAGGGGGGUCGCCCGACCCCACCUUGGGGCCCACUUCACCACAUUUCAACCUUGCUAGUCAUAGAGGUUCCAACCCAGCACUUGGAUGCUCUGGGAGCUCCAAUGUGGGGGUCGGCCGACCCCCAUAUUGGCCCCACUUGCCUCCUGCUGGCCACCAUUUGAAUCACAAUGGAGUCCUAUGCUUGUAACACUAGCUAAAGUUUGAAAAAGAGUGGUCCCUUGAUCCUUUACUUUAGUCAUAAGAUGCUCCUUUCAUCUUUGAUUCUUUUGGGACCACUCCACUAGCUUAAAUUCUGCAAAGUGGUCACCUAGGCAUAGGAAUCACUUUAGACAUGUCUCCACUUUUGCCAUUCAUCUUUUACCUUUCACAAAGCACUAAAACAGGGAAUCUCAGAAACAAUUUGAAAACUUUUGGUCCACACCUAGCCUUUACUUUUCCGGACAAUCAAUGACACAAUGUUUAAAGUGGAGGAGGGGCUAGGAUGGGGGUCGGCCGACCCCCAUUUUGGACCAUCUCUGCAAAAUCUUGAAAGCAUGCAGAAUGGUUCCCUGUAUAAAGCUAAACUCAAAUUCAAAGUGCUUCUAGGGGGGGUCGGCCGACCCCUAUAUUGUGGGUCCACUACUUGCCCUUCUCCCCCUAUAAAUACCACAGCAUUGUGAGCUCAACUCCACACCCAAAACCACCAAAACCAUUUCGAGCUCACAAUCCUUUCUCUUCUCUCUUUGUUACAAGCCAUUUCUCAAGUUUAGAAAUAGUCAUCAAAACAAAAACCCAAAAAGAUUCCCCUUGCAUAGUAGUAGUAGUAGGAGCUUGGUUUGCCUCACUUGUGUAGGAGGAUGAAGAAGCAUAUCUUCGGCAAGUUCAAGAAAGCAAAGGGUGAGAGCUCUUCUCAAGGCUCUCACCAUGCUCAUGGAAGGGAGGAAGAAGAAGGUUACCAUGGGAUGGUACCCUACGAGCCUCCAUCAAGGAUGAGAGAGCCCGAGAGCGGCCUCAUGUUAAGCCAAGAAAAGUUGCAAAGGUACUACAUCAUCCGAGAGGGUCUCUUCCUACACACUAGCAUCAUCGAUCCGGACCUUUUGGCCCGCACAGGUAUGGAUGUUGAACUCGAUAAGGUGUUUAGAGCAAUUGGUUGGAGUAGUUUUUGGCAAGUGCCUGAAUUUGGAAAAGAAUUGCUUGCUAAGGAAUUUCUAUGCACCCUAAAACUCACAAAUAAUGGAAUAUCUUUUCGCAUGUGUGAGCAAGAACAUCAACUAAAUUGGAGUUUGCUAAACACUGCUUUAGGGUGUGAACAUGAAUGUGAACUUGAUCUAGAUCAUGCCACUAGAAUGUUCGAUAAAUUUAGAUUCUGGAAAGCAAUUUCUGGCUCUAAUGAUUGUUCAAAUCCUACUCCCAUUGAAAUCCAUAAUCCAACCUUGCGCUUUCUUCACUUCUGGAUCAUGUGCACUCUAUAUCCUGGCAUGGGAACUGAUACUUUAAUUGAUGAUGAACUUAAAAUUCUCUGUGCCAUGGUUAGUAAAAUCAAGGUCUCCCCUGUGAAACUGCUAGUGAACUAUUGGCUUAACUCUAUUGAGUAUGGGAAGCCCAUCUAUUUCACAUCCUUUAUUACUCGAAUAGCCGAUACUUUUGGAUUACUUGAAUCACAUUAUUUUGAAGACAUUGGCUAUGUUAGAGGAGUGGUAGAUGAGAACUUCUUUAUCAAUGCUAACAUGCUCAUAAGAGAUCCAAAUGGUGAACUUAAAAUGAUUUAUCCGGGCUAUACAACCGAAAUUCCUCUCCCAUGUGCGAGGCGCCGGUUGUAUGGGGUCCGCACACUUACCAUUAGACUAGCCUGAGUGGCAAGUCCAGAUGUUGCAGGGACACGCAGGGUGACAAGAAGGAUGAUGCAAGCCGCCCAGAUGGAGCAAGGAGGAUCCUCGCACCAUGACGUUGAAGAGGGCGAUGAAGCGAUGUCAGUGGAUGCUUCAGACUCCAUGGGUCUACCUCCACAACGCACUCCACGCCCAAGGGACAGGGCUAGGCGUCACCAGCCCACAGGUAUGGACAGUCUCAUUAAUGACAUGGGCGAAUUGCAGAUUGGGCAAGAAGCAACAUUGCAGCUGGCGUUACAAAACGGCCAACAUAUCCGACGUGUGCGAGAGGAAGACGCACAACGCUGGGCUGGAUGGUACCAAAAUUUCCCGCCACCACAGUGAGCGAAGAUCUAGCUUGGGGGAGAUCCUCUCCCCCACUAAGGUAAGUAUUCUAUCCUAUUUAUUUUCAUGCAUUUUAUCAUUCUUACUUAAAAAAAAAAUAAAUAUUUAUUAGCAUUUCCCUUUAGCAUAUAUGCUUCAUGUAUGUUUAUAUCCCUCAUGGAAAUUAUGACUAGUUGCUUAUUAAUGUUUCUCUAGUGCCUAGUAUACAACUUAGUAUUUCUCUAAGUAUGGAUCACUUAGCUCACUUAAACUGCCAUGAACCUAAAAAUUUGUGGGUUGCAAGUGCUAGAACUAAGUCUAAGUUAUUGUGGGACAUGAGAUAGUAAGACAAGAGCUACUAUAAUAUUUUUCUAAGCAUGCAUGAUUAUCAGAGAUUUAUUCUUAAAAUGAUCAAAACCUUAAUUGUUCCUCAAUGGUGAUGAAUUCCUACCACAGCCAUAUCUACUUUACAUAAUUGCAACCUUUCCACAUAAGCUAUUUGCUUUGUGUUGAGUGUCGUCAAGUCUUGUUGACCCUUGUUAAGAGACUUUUCAUGCUCCUAAGAUCAAGAUCACGUACACACCACAUAUAUAUAUGCUGCUUCUACACUGGAAGUACGCAACCACAUGUAUUUCGCAUCCACUAAAUAGGUUGCUCCAUACUCUAAAUGUUAGAACAUCUCUCUAAGCAUUAUUUGGUAAAUGAGACAUCAAAAGGGCUAGGCAAAAUGAAAUAAAAAGAUGGACAUGUGCAAGUCCACAGAAAAAGAAAAUUGAGCACAUGAAAGCUCAUAUAUAUAUAAAAAAAAAGAAGAAAAAAAUGCUAGCCAUGUCUCAAUACAUAGAGAGUCUAUCAAAUAAAGGAGCAACCUAGUCCACCAUAUAUCACACUUGCACAUCUUGAUCUGGGAGUAUGACACUUCUCUUCAAGGAUCCGAGCUUUGACUUCGCAAUACAUGCAAAGUAAGUAUGCUAUCUCCUUUCAUCCCUACCUUGAACUCCACAUAAGCCUUUUAGAAAUAGGAUGAAAUAGAGAAGGCAACUCUUACCAUAUGCCUUGGUGAGGAAUCAUACACCAUUUGAGUGACAUGAGAGAACCAUAAGAGGAACAUUUAAGCUUUCUUUUGAAAAUAUCACAAAACCUCUGAUAUGAAACUUGCUAAGAAUGAGAAAGUUAGUGCUCAAGUCAAACUGUUCUGUCUCUCAACCACCUAAGACAAAGGAAAAGCCAUAAGCCCCAUAAGGGACUAAGGUAAUAGGGGUAAGUUUACAUGGCUAAAUUUUUCAUGCAAAGAGAAGAACUUUGUUGUACACAUGGUACUCUUGAAAUGUGAACAUAGUAAAAAUACCUGAUCCACCGAGGCUAAGUUUGAUUGUUUGCUCGGGACGAGCAAAGGAUAAGCUUGGGGGAUCUUGUUGACGGUGGAUAUACCAUAGAAAUCCACAUACAAAACACCGUCAACAUGCCUCGGUUGCAAGGGGAAACGACAUGACAUGAACAUAUUUUAUCCAUAACUAGUUCCACUUGUACUCUUAGCUUGUUUAUGCAGGAACAACAAAUUCAAGACAUUAUUUGACAAAGCCAACAUCAGAAUCAUCAAGAGGAGAUCGAGGGGACAACAGGUGACACCCUGGGCCCACUGGGAGGGGGUCGCCCGACCCCUCUUUGGUGGGACCCAGGUGUGCCACCUAGUCCACCGACAUAAGGGACCCCUGUGGACACUGCUGGUGGGCCCAGAGGCCCAGAAGUGGGGUCGCCCGACCCCACAUCAAAGGCGGUUCCAGGGUCGGUGGCCUCCCACCGACCUUCCCCACAUGUCCCACAUGUUGAUUUGCCCCUGCCGUUGAUCAAAUGGCGGUUGUCAGGUCGGUUUGAUCCAAGGGUGGAGAGAAGAUGUCACGCGGAUCGAUGACGUGGCGAUGGAGUAACCCCUACUCCAUCUCCCUCUAUAAAAGGCAGCCUCCAUCCUUCAUUUCAAGUGUGCAAUUCCAAGGCCAAGUGCAUUACAAGUUCCAAGCAUACAAGUAGAGUAGUAGUUAGUCUAGAGUGGGAGUUAGAGUCGAGUCGAGCGAAGCUCGGGGUCUCCGGAGUCGUCUUCUGGAGAGUCUGGUAUAGCUCUUGUACCUUUCUACUUUUGUAAGACUUUCCUUUUAUUAAUAUAUUAUUCUUACUUUACUUUACUGAGUUCUUACUUAGUGCAAGUCUUUUAGUCUUGUUGUGCAUUUACUUUAGUAAUAUAGUUGUCUUAGUGAAGUUAGUGACCUGUAACCACUCCUGUGUGUGCAUCAUCGUCCUAUCUUGUAUAGGAGCUCUAGCUAGCUGCAACUAGUUAGCGUUGUAGGAUUAAGUGUGAGCGUGGUGCUCAUACUUAAGAUUACCUUUGAUUACCGUUGGCUUGAACGGAAAGUAGGAGCGCACUCCCUAGUAGGUGACAGAUCGUGGGCGGCAUUAGGUUCUCCUCACGUACAGGCUAGUUCUUAAAAGGUAAGGCGUCCAUAAGCCCAAUAGUCGCUUUCGGUAAGGGGUUAGGUGAAAAACCUUCUAAGCGUCUUACCAGCUCGGCUAUCCCUCGCACACAGUUAGUAAGGCUCUAUCGUAGUUAAGACAAUUAUCUAUUAAAGUAAGUCACAGAAGUCAAGUUAGAUACAUAGGAGUCCUUUACUCACUCGUUGUCCUCCCACCUAGCUAACUCUACCAUUUACCUUUAGCAUAGGACCUUGGAUUCGCCACUACCCUUCCUAUUCGUUAUUUACCACCCUUAUUCACUAGUUGAUACUAGAUAACUCAAGGAAUCUCAUUCCCCUUUUUGUUAAACACACUUAGCCGCUUUCCCUUGGGAAAAUAUAAAUUACGAUACCUUGAAAUACUCCUUGGUGAAGUGCUACAGCGGUACAUUCUGUGCGCUUGCGGAAUUAUCCAAUAGUAAAUAGAGUUUCCCUACCAGGGCACUUCUGGCGCCGUCGCCGAUAUCCGGUGGUUGCGUUAAGAAGUGUCAACAGCACCCCUUAACGUUUAAAUCUGGUAUUAGCCCUUUGUGUUUGCAGAUCAGCUUUUGCAUCAACAACCCCUUACUGAUAUCCUCGACAGUGGCCCCCGAAUCUCCAUUUGAGCGCUGGCGCUCGAGUGGAGGCUGUAUUUUCGUGGUCGGGUUUCUGUGGGGGCGCGCGAGCGACCCCGCCGGGGUAGCCCCCGAGCCCUCGUAGGAGUUUUUUGACUCCUUCGAUCGUUAUAUCGCCCGAUUUACAGAAACGCUAUCGACACCUGUGGUGGAAAGUUCUGAUUGGCUCGUUUUGUGCAGGGGUUUCGACGUACUCUCGAUAGAGCGAGCGUCAUCCACCCCAGAUUGAGCUCCUAAUGGGUAGUCCAAGUGAGAACCUGUGCCCCUUUCGAGGGGGUCAGCUGUAGCCUGGAGGCGUUCUCAUAAAGCGGGGUCGACGUGGUCGGGGAUGCUGGUCUCGUUCGAUAGAGUCCAGUGGCUCGAUGCCUCCCAUCGGGGGGAUUCCUCUCGACUGUCUCGACCCUACCUCGGAGAUCCCCAGCGAGCUCUCGAGGCGGGUGUAACAGAACCGCCCAAUUUACAAGAGAUCAACUACGAAAAACUCCCGCCAAAGCAGUUGCUUUAACGUAAUCGAACUCUCAUAAACCCGGUAGUCCGUGAAAUCACGAGGGAUUUCAAACCAACCAUCUUACAAGCCAAGAUCGUAGUGAUUCAACAUAACAAGUCACAUGUUACAUCCAUUUCACAAGUAGUUUGAUAUACAUCAGAGUUCAAGAUAGUUAUUACAACUUAAGUUGAAAAGUAGCGGGAGCAAAGUAAUUUGAAACUAAUAUUGCCCUUAUUUCAAAUACAUGCCAGUAUCCAGGUCAACUCCAACAAAAGCAACAUAGAUGAGGUAACUAAGAAGGAUCAUGCCCAUGAUCUUACUCCUCUAAUAUGGUAGGAGUCAUCCAACUCUUGCAGUAGCCAUGAUACAUCACAACCUGCAACAAGUGGGAAUAAACCCUGAGUACGAGAAGGUACUCAGCUAGACUUACCCGUCAUAAACCAGAAAUAAUAUGACACCAAGGAGUAUGCAAGGCUUUAUUGGUGGAGCUAGCUUGACAACACUUUUUGCAUAAAAAGCUUAAGUUGCAAUUAAGUAAUCCUUUCAGGUAUUUAGCUCAAGUUAAUAAUCAUUAACCUAUCAUCUAGAUUAGCACCUGUACUAAAGCAAUCACUUGAUUAAGAUACAACCAUAGUACCCAUAUUUGAUGUGGCAUUUCCAACAUCAUCGUCAUACCAUAACCAUCCAAGUGUUCCAUAAACAUUACUACGAUGACGAAGCUCAAGUCAAGUGCUCACUGUCCAGGAGCGAUGGCGAAUUGAAUCGAUUUCUAACCAGCUGGCGAGUUUAUUCCCCACACAAACCACACUCACCGGCUAAAGUGAGCUACAGGUCACCAUAUUGCACUAUCCAGGACCAAUUUGCGGGUUCGGCAGGCACCGCCAGUACCCGAGGACCGUUCCGGCGACCGAGGUAUCCAAGGUAUACCAAGGUUGCGCGCCGCGCCCUCGUCGUUCUCCUCAACCAUCACCAAUACAGCGCAUGGCGGCUCGACUCCCGGCCCGGAUAGUGUUCAGGCUUCGCGGUCGGAAUGACUUAUCCUUCCAGCUAAGUGUGGGGCAUGCGUUCAACAUGACAAGAGGGCCGUCAACGAUCGGUCCUUAAUCGACACAGGCAGGGAUAGAUAGGCACCCAAGACCUCCAUGUCUUGUUACUUCUCUACCAUCGUCCCGCCCGGUCUCCAAUUAUUCAUCCUCAUCACUUGGUUAUUUUCAUGAUAGCAUAUAUAGCCAACCUUUUCAGGUGUCCACCUAUCUCGCUCAGGUGACGGGACAUCACCUGGCUUCUACCGGUCUAAGCAUAGCUAAGCAUUUAGAUUCGAUCCUGAAUCUACAUAGGGUUAUAGGUAUAUUUGCUGGACAAGGAGUGUUAUAUGCAGCAAGGGUUUCACCCAACUCCUAUACUUAAUGCAACAAUACAUAUAUAACAUAUAUUCUCAACUGCAUUCAAAAGUAGUGGGAGACUUAUAAUGCUCCGGGGCUUGCCUGGGAUUAACACUGAGUCAAUUCAGUUAGUUGCUCCGUCUUGGUGACAUCUAAGGUCACAACACUUGCUUAGUCCUUCCACCUUUGGGAGAGGUCCACCAAACACCAUCUUUGAGUUUGAUUCGACAUCAUGACCUUCACGUGAUUCAUCUAGCGCACCUAGAUGAGAUGCAAGAUGCAAGUGCAUGAAUAUAAAGAAUAAUAACACAACAUGCAUCACAUAAAAGUAUGCAAGACACAAGCAUCUAAAGUUAUUUAGCUAACAUCACACAACCAAUUAUAUAGAGCAAACAAAUCAAUCAUGACACAAGUUUAACAAGUUUACAAGUGUAUUACUUAAUCACCAUUAAAGACACGAAUCACAGUUUGCACACACCAAGUAAAGCAAUCAAGCAUUCAUGCAUUUUCAGUAAUUUUGGACAUACAUGCAGCAACUCAGUAAAUAAAUCAUAACUAGAGCUACACAGCUCCAAAAGCUAUGAAACAAGACAUUAUGGAAAUAUUAUAAAAUUAUCUACAAUUCAUCUUUAAUCAUAUUAGCAUGAUUAACAAGUUAACCAAGUCAAACAUGCAUGACCAUAUAAUCUGGUCCAGGAACUUACAGAGAACAAGCAUUUCAAGGGAUGGACUUCAUACUACUGUAACUCAUAAACCACUUAGCCAAAUGAUAUGCAACUUUACCACAAGAUAUGUUAAUAAAUUAUCUACAUCUUUUAUAUAGACAAGUUGCACAGCAAACAUCAUUUAUAUCAUGGAAUUAGUUGCAUAAAUAAAACUGCUCAUGCUGCCCAAACAGUAGGGGUAUAAUUACAAACAGAAAACUGAUAGGCAAUUCAAAGCAGCAUAACCGGAGUUGGAUACCUCCAGCCAACAUGAUUCUUAUAUUUUUGGAAAGCUUAUAAAGUUACCUACAACUUUCUUAUUAUCAUCUAAAUAUGAAUCUAGAGUUAACAAGGUCAAUUAAUCCCAUAAAGACAUCUCUGUCUAAAACAUAGACAGAAUCUGUCAUGCCACAUUAAACAGCCGUAACUUGAGUUUCACAUGUUAAUAAAUUAUGGUUAUGUACUUUAUAGAAAGCUUACUAAAUUGUGAACAACUUUGUUAUAAACAUCUAGAGCUAAAUAUACAAUUAACAAGGUCUCACAUAACAAACAAUGCCACCCUGUCUGGAUUUAGACAGAAACUGAAACAAUACUUUAAACUACUAUAACUAAACAUGUGCUUAACCAAAAAUUGUGCUACUUAUAUUUCUGGAAAGCUUAUGAAAAGUACUACAACUCAUAUAUUUUCAUCAAGGCCUGAUUCACAACUUAACUAAGCCAAACAAUACAAACAUGCAGACCUACUCACAAUAGGAGCAAAGCAACACAGGGCAUUUGUUAUUUUCAUAACUCUUAAUCUAUCAAUCCUAAAUUCAUGAAACAAAUGCCAGACAUCAAAUAUCAUAUGAAAAGCAUGUCACAAUAUUUUCACAUUUAUUCGAGCAAUACUACAGCAUUUAUGAAAAAGACAAAUAUAACAAGCAAUUAAAACCUAACUGCAUAAAUCUAUUUUUAUGACUAAAACGUCAAACUAAACCAUGCCAUAUUAUAGAUCUACUGCAUAGAGAAUUUCACAAGGAUUCCAAAAAGUCCACAUUUGCUAUUUUACGACUUUUCUACGAAUUUCUAUGCAUUUCCAAAGUUCAUCCAAGAAAUCUGCAAAAGCAAAGGAAAAGGAAAACAGAUCUUUCACCGGGGACCCUGGAGUUUCCAAGAAUCACGCAACAGCCCACAAACACUAUUCAUAUGAGUCUUGGCUUCGCAUCUGGAACCCUGAGUUGUUUUAUAUUCUAACACGAGGUCCCUUCUCUUCUUCUUUACGGACAGAGAAGCCGGCAGCCGGCAGGACGUUCGAGCUCGAGGCUCAUGGCCGAAUGGUCACAAGCUACGGUCGUGGGAGGCCUGCCCGCUCCUUGCCGCGGCCAACCAUAGCCACGCCAAUCUCCUGGCCGGCUGAGGCAGCAGCAGCGCACCAGAGGAGCAGCACCGGCGACGGCGACAGAUGGGAGAGAGCUGGAGAGAGAAGGAGGCGAGUGGAGGAUGGGAGGGCAGUGCAGAGCGUGCUGGUGUGUGUGAGGAGCGUCUGGCGUGGCUUGCUGUCCACUUUAGACGAGCAGGAGCGCGUGUCAGCCAUGGUGGGAGUGCUCUCGCGCAUGGACGCCGCGUAGGCAAUUCGUCGAGCACGUGGCAUGCGACGGUGUGGCUCAGGUGGGAGGCGAUUUUGGGCUUCUUCCUGGCCGUGUUUGAAGAUGGGCCAAAAAUGAAGUUUGCUCACCUCGGCCUGCUCUCCAACUUUGAUUAAGGGUGCUUAGUCAUUAGGCCAACAGAUUAGGAGAUAAUUAGAUGCCAAGUCACGAGUGUCAACGUAUUGACGGUGAUUAGCAAAACCAAGAAUUGAUGGUCCAAAUCAUGUCAAACUUGAUGCAACUUUUUGUAUGCUCUUCUCCAAAUAAUUAUCCACAACUUUUAUUCUUGGACCAGCUUGAGUUGCUUUACAAAAAUACGAGAACGCGGCAUGCCAACGGGUCGACGUCCGUUUAGCGAUAAAAUAACUUUUUGCUGUUUUGGGAGCUACUUUUAGAUACCCAAAUGAACUCCAAAUUUGAUGAUACUGUUGAUGCAAAAACUGAUCUGCAAACACAAAGGGCUAAUACCCGAUUCAAACGUUAAGGCGUGCCAGCCGAUUUGACCUUACUAUCGGCAAAGGUGAUAGCUCGAAUACUUUAGUCCUGACAACAGCGAUGCGCCCGGAUGUCACGGCUAAGAGGUACUCACGCGGAACUCGAGAACACGCCGAGCUUAAGUCGACGAAUUCCUAAGAACUCGUAAUAAAAGGAAAAAAAAAGGUAUGACGAAGUCGUCGAAAAGUAGAUACUGGAAUAUGAGUAAAAACGUGUAUUUGAUUGAUUUCUUGAUAUCUUGAUUACAAGGUCCUAGGGUUUAUAUUUAUACCCUGCUCAAAGAGCUACGACCAGACACGAUUAGAAUUCGAAUUCCAAAUUACACGGAACCCGUAUACAAAACGAUGCGAAUAACUAAGGAAAUAAUAAAACUAUCCUUCGUGACAAACCGAAACUCCUCCACAUGACAACUGGCAGCUUCCGGACUCCUCCUUCGCGUCAUCGGCAAUCCCCUUGCCAUAGUCAUCGGCAGACCUUUUUACCUGGUCAUCGGCACCAUAUUACUGCCUGAGGACUUAGUCACAUUCAACCUUUCCCUCAUCGGCAACCAUCCUUAUCAGCAACCCGCAUCGUACUGCCACCCUAUCCUGCCAUCCUGGACACGUGCCCAAAAAUGGUGUCAACACAUGCCCCCCAGUUUCGGAGUAUAAAACUAUUAAUGCUCCGAAAUUCUCUGCAGUAAUGAUGCCUUCUCCGCAAUUAAUGCUCCUAAUCUGGUAACCGACAACCUCAAUCUGGACAACUCUGAUCCUAAUCCUCCGCAGAUCCCUCGAAAUCCCCAACUUCCUAAACGGGCAUCUUUCUUAGUCGUACAUCGGCAACAAUACCGUUACAAAGAUCUGCCGAUGCUCUGCCCAGGAGAUUCGCAAAAACGGUUACCUCCCCUCUAUCCGCCCAUCGGCAGGAUGACCGUUAUAGAAUAUCACCGAUGGACCGACCAGGAGAUCGCGCACAGUAAAAUAUCUUUAGAUAAUGACCGCUUCCUGUCAAAUCACCUGCACAAUCCCUGGAUUACCGUGCGAACAGUUACCAUAUCCACUUGAGUACCCUCGGGCUUCUCGGAUGCGGCAAAGAAAUAAGUCAGAUUUGCCCUUGCCCAUCUUGUCCUAUAAAUAGUUCCUUCUUGGGUACUCCUCCCCCAUUACACCAUUCUGCCAUCCAACUUCACUUUUCCAGCGGCGGCGCCAUUCACAACCCUCAAGAUCUCCGACAAGCAUUCCUCUUCAUCAACUCCGGCGCCCUCUUCACGACAAGAUGGCCGUUGGCUUCGUCGUCCCUGAGGUCAGACUUCCAUCUCAUCUGCUGUACCCUUUUCUUGCAUUCCUGUUCAUCUGCGAUUCAUCUUACCGAAUAUUUUCCUUUUCCUUUUUCUUUGUAUCUUUAUUCCCCAAAACACUAGGAGUUGUCCAACAAAAUUGUCAUCCCUACCGAUCAACCACACCUUCAAUGCCUCGGCCCUCUAGGGGAUCCAGAUCCAACCGACCUUAUCAAUGCAGAAACCAACAGGAUUCCCUUUAGAGCUGAAAACUUUGCUUUAGAUCUAUGGAAAGACACCUUUCGCUCUUGGACCAGCCCUACUGUAGGGUGGAAAGAUUGGUUCUUGAGGGUCAGCAACUCUUAUGAAGUUCAAUGGGGUGAGAGGAAGUUAGCUCAAUGCAUUAGGCUGUCCAUUGCCGAUAUGCACAGGAACGAGUCAUUGCUGAUAGCUGCAUCUUACUUUUGGUCAGACACUCUCAACGCUUUUGUUUUUGGCCAUGGCCCUGCUUCUCCUACCCUUGCUGAUGUAGCCAUGCUUACUGGGUUAGAUAUAUCUUCUGCCGAUAGCACCCACUUUUUUGAUACCGCCCCCAGUGCCAAAGUGGAGACUCGCGCUAUCGGCGGUUGGUCAGGGUACAUCCAGAAGUACCGCGGGAGAGGGCCUGUCACCAUAAAGGAGCAAACCACCUUUCUGAACAUGUGGCUAGACAAGUUUGUAUUCUGUGGUCGAUCGGCAGGACCGACUUCUGUCUAUCUAUCGGCAGCAGAAAGACUGGCUAGCGGCGGCCAAUUUCCUCUCGGCCGUUAUUUGCUCGGCGCUGUUUACCACCUUCUUCAUCAGGUAGUCCAGAAACUCCUGCUCGGCCAACCCAUCGGCAACUUGGGAGGCCCUUGGUGGUUUAUUAAUAUGUGGCUCAAUCUGCACCUGCACAAGCGGCUUGAUUUCAACUUGUUCUCACAGCACUUCCCAAGAGAUAUAGCCGAGAAUCAUGUGUUGGGUGAAGAGGAAUCGGCAACGCGUGCCCCCUUGAACUUUGGCGAAGCCGUUAUAGUCUUACCCGGUUCAGGGAACAAUCCGGAUCAGAUCGGCCGAUUCUUCGAGACUCUGUAUGAGGGUCUGGCCAGAGAUGAACGACCAUGGUUGGCUUAUGACGACCCAGACAGCAUGCUCCCUCUGACCUUCAAUCCAUUUGAUGAAGCUCUUGACAGGGACAAUGAGGUGAUGAUGGCAAUCGUGACUCCCAGAGCCAUACCAGUGAAUUUCUUCGGCAGCACGAAAACCUCUCCCCAAACCUAUGAAUUUUAUAAUCCAUCGGCAUUAGCUCGCCAGCUAGCUUUCGGCCAAUUGCCGAUUGCACUUCCUUAUGCCGAUGUAAUAAAGCCCAGAGAACCCAUCGCCAACCUCCUCGAGUGGACUCGAGUAGCCCAGCUACCACCAAAUGCCGAUACAGAUGUAGAUCUGUCAGAAUGGGUUCCAGCCGCCUUUAUUACUCAGGCAUACAAGCUAUGGUGGGCAGAAUGGAAAGAGAAUCUGUUCUGCAGAUCAGCCCUCUCAUACCGCGGCAUGAUCGACCCCGAAUAUGAAGUCCCUGAUGACACUGUAAGUAUUUUAAACCGAUGUCUCAUUUUUCCAAUAUCAUUCCCAUCGGUAACUUACCCCUGUAUUCCUUUUGCAGAUUGACAACACCCCCCCAUCGGUUAGCAGGAGUGGCAAGCCGAUCGACUUAUUCCCAUCAGGCCCGAUCUCCUCAAUCGGCCAUAAUGCUCCCACUCUGGCUUCCAUCGUGCACCGGGGUGCGCGCCUCAAGAAAGUUACCACCAGGAAAACUCAGACAUCACCAACGGUAACUACUUCCACUCUGGCGCAAGCUUUCAAGGCAAUCUGUUAAAACCUUUUUCAUUUAUGCUGACUAUCUUUGUAUCGGCUAUCUGUGCUCAUAAACUCCUUUUUGUUGUUGCAGCAAACUGGUGCAUCGGCAAAAGUCAAACGCCAAGGCGCCGAUGCCCCCCAGUCUAGCCAGCCAAAGAGGAAGGGCAUCCAAGGUGCUAAGGCUGGAACAAAGCGCCAGAAAGUGGCAACUCCUCCUCCUCCUCCGGUGUUUCCAAUCCCGGUGGAAUCUUCCCCUUCUUCUCCAGACGUCCAGGCACAGCAAGUACUAUCUCCACAACCAACACAGGAAGCACCACAGAUGGAAGAACCCCAGCAGGAAGAACCUCAAACGGCAGGUAUAUCAGCUGACGUAGGUGAACAAACAACUGGCCCGGCAGGUCCAGUUAUAUCAUCGGCGGUUUCCUCGAUUCAGGCAACUGUUGUUUCUCCUCCGGGUAACAUAUCUCAACAAUACUUCUACCGAUAAACUUAUUCUCAUUUAGUCUUAUAAUCCUUCCUGUUUUCUUUCAGACGAUACCGCUCUAUCGGCAACAUUUGCCGAUCAACCUGCAGCUCCAUCGGCAUCUCUGAGUCAAAGGCAAGAAAUCGCCUUGAAGCAAGUAAGUCAUCCACUUUUCCAUCAGUAUCGUCUGCCGAAGUUUUGACCAUAAAACUGACCUAUUUCAUCUUCAUUUUCAGGAACAAGAUUCUCCCAACAGCUUGUUCUCCUUCGCCAUUGAUAUCUUCAAAGAAGAAGGCGAGGAAGCAAGCUCCUCUCGGGCAGUUGGAACUGUAUCGGCAGAAACCAGAGCUAAGCUGGAAGAGCUAUCGGCCAUACUUCAUCAAGACACAACUCAACUAGUCAACGAUUCUGACCCAGCCAAAGCCCUGUUCAAGACCCUUAGAGGCCAAAUUCCUGCCGAUGCUGAAGAAACACUCUUCCAUGCUGCACAUCUAGAAAGCCGCCAGCUACAGUACCAGAGAGCUGCUCGACGCCUUGCCGAUAGAGCCGCUCAAAUCCAGCUUUCUGAGGAGAUGAUGAAAGAAAAACUCUUAGCCGAUGAGAAACAUAAGAACAUCGGCACCUUAAAGUCCUCAGGUGAUGCACUGAAGCAGAAAGUGUCUGAUCUAUCGGCAAAAAGAGAAGCUCUACUGGCCGAACUCAAGCAAGUAGAAGACGCUCUGUCCCAAGCCCAGCAAGAAGAAAGUCAACUGCCGAAGACCAUCAAACACCUUGAACAAGAACGAAACGUCCAUGGUCGCAAAGCGCUGCAGCUGAAGAGGAAGCUGAAGCCGAUAGAAGGUUCUGCCGAUGAUGAUAUCAAAGAGAUAGAGACAGCCAAUCCGAUUCGGCUGCGUGCCAUAUCAGCAAUCCAAGCGCUGCUGAACAUCUGAAGCUUUCAUCGGCAACACACCUUUGUUUUUCCGCUUUUAGCUUUUAGUCUAGCCGAUAAGACUGUUAUCGGCAUCUUUUGAAACAUUAAGUCUGCCCCCGAACAUUUAAAUCCAGCCGAUAGGAAUGUUAUCGGCACUUAAACCUUUAUGCAUCGACCCAUAUGCUGGGGUAGUACUUCUUUAAAUAUUUGCCAUUUAAUGCUCUGGGAAAUUCAACUCCUUCGAGAGUUUCUAGAAUAUAGGCAUUACCAGGAGCUGAGUGUCUUAUCCGAUAAGGACCUUCCCAAUUAGGAGACCACUUCCCAAACUUCGAACUUUUAGUCCCGACUGGCAAAAUCAACUUCCAUACCAAAUCCCCAUCGGCAAAUUCCUUAGCCUUUACUUUUUUAUCAUACCAUCUACCAACUCUCUUCUUAUUUUCUUCUAUACUCAUUAAAGCCUUUAACCGAUGCCCUGCUAAAUCAUCUAACUCAUCGGUCAUCAAAGUGGCAUAAUCAUCGGCAGCCAAUUGACCUUGAAAAGAUAAUCGCCUAGAUCCAGCCUUAAUCUCCCAAGGCAAUACUGCAUCAUGUCCAUACACCAAUUGAUAGGGUGACACCUUGGUUGAUCCAUGACAAGCCAUCCGAUAAGACCACAGUGCUUCAUUUAACAAUAUAUGCCACCGCCUAGGAUUUUCUUCAAUCUUUCGUUUAAUAAGCUUGAUAAUUCCUUUGUUAGACACUUCGGCCUGCCCGUUGGCUUGAGCAUAGUAAGGAGAAGAAUUCAACACUUUAAUUCCCAUACCGAUUGCGAAUUCAUCGAACUCCCCCGACGUGAACAUGGUGCCCUGAUCGGUAGUAAUCGUUUGGGGAAUCCCAAAUCGGUAAAUAAUAUGCUCCUUCACAAAAUCAAUCAUAUUGGCCGAUGUGACUUUCUUCAAGGGAAUAGCUUCGACCCACUUAGUGAAAUAGUCAGUGGCAACUAGAAUGAACUUAUGCCCUUUGCUAGAUGGUGGAUAAAUCUGGCCGAUCAGAUCGAUGGCCCACCCACGGAACGGCCAAGGUUUUAUUAUAGGAUUCAUAGCCGAUGCGGGUGCUCUCUGGAUAUUACCGAACUUUUGACAACCUUGACAUCCCUUGAAAUAUUUAAAACAAUCUUCAAGUAUGGUUGGCCAAAAAUAUCCAUUCCUUCGAAUCAUCCACUUCAUCUUGAAAGCUGACUGAUGCGCUCCACACACUCCUUCAUGGAUUUCCCCCAUUAAACUUCUGGCUUCAUCAUCACCCAAGCAUCGGAGAAGAAUUCCGUCGAUAGUUCGAUAAUACAAUUCAUUUUCAAGGAGCACAUACUUGGUCGCUUGAAAUCGAACCCGUCUUUCAACUUUUUUAGAUGGAUCUUCUAGAUAGUCGAUAAUUUCUUUCCUCCAAUCACCGGCACUGACUGCCGAUGUUGCAUUAAUCAUUGGCUGAUAUCCUGAGGCAUGCUGGGCUAACCGAUUAGCGUCCUCAUUAUGCAAUCGGGGAACAUGCUCCAAUCGGAAGUUCUUGAAUUCCUUUAACAGUUGCAUACUUCUUUCGAAAUAGGUUAUGAGAACUUCACUUCAGCAUUCAUAGCUUCCGGCCAAUUGAUUUAUAACCAACAUGGAAUCCCCGAAUACUUCAACAGCAUCAGCACGAACUUCUCUUAACAACUCCAAUCCCUUGAUCAGAGCUUGAUACUCAGCCUGAUUAUUUGUUGAUGUAGCAACAAUCGGCAAGGAAAACUCAUACUUCCUCCCCUUAGGAGAAACUAACACAAUGCCGAUUCCUGCUCCCCGGUCACAGGUAGAUCCAUCAAAGAAGAGCGUCCAGGGUGCAAUUUCCAAGGUUUCCACUAGGCCGCAAUGCUGAGUCACAAAAUCGGCCAUAACCUGCCCUUUGACCGCCUUAGCCGAUUCGUAACGCAAAUCGAACUCCGACAGCGCUAAAAUCCAUUUACCGAUCCUACCACUCAUAAUCGGCAUAGAUAGCAUGUAUCGGACCACGUCAUCUUUGCAAACAACAGCACAUUCGGACGACAACAAGUAAUGUCUUAGCUUGAUACAUGAAAAAUAUAAGCAUAAGCACAGCUUCUCAAUGGCCGAAUAUCUAGUUUCAGCAUCAAUCAACCUCCUACUCAAAUAAUAAAUUACUCUCUCUUUCCCUUCAAAUUCCUGAACCAAAGCUGAGCCGAUAACCGAUCCAUCGGUAGAUAAAUAUAAUUUGAAGGGUUUCCCUUGUUGAGGUGGAACUAAAACUGGAGGAUUUACUAGAUACUUUUUGAUUUCAUCUAGAGCCAACUGCUGUUCUUCUCCCCAGACAAACUCCUGAUCGGCUUUCAAUUUUAGAAGAGGACUGAAAGCACGAAUUCUCCCAGAUAAAUUCGAUAUAAAUCUUCUGAUAAAAUUCACCUUGCCGAUCAAGGACUGGAGCUCGGUCUUAUUGGUAGGGGCCACUAUUCUAUUGAUGGCAUCAAUAGAUCUUCGACUAAUUUCAAUACCCCUCUGAUGUACCAUGAAACCAAGAAACUGCCCUGCCGAUACGCCAAAUACACACUUGUUGGGAUUCAUCUUGAAUCCAUGCUUCCUUGUGCACUCCAACACUUUUCGUAAAUCGGCAAGAUGCUCUGAGAAAUCUCCAGACUUGACCACCACAUCAUCAAUAUAAAUUUCUACGAUCUUGCCGAUGAAUUCAUGAAAUAUAAAAUUCAUAGCCCUUUGAUAAGUAGCACCAGCAUUCUUUAAUCCAAAAGUCAUGACUAUCCACUCAAAUAAUCCAACAUGACCAGGACACCUGAACGCGGUCUUUGGAAUAUCCUCCUCUGCCAUGAAUAUUUGAUUGUAACCUGCAUUACCAUCCAUGAAGCUGAUGACCCGAUGGCCAGCCGCAGCAUCAACCAGUAGAUCGGCGACAGGCAUUGGGUAUCCAUCCAUCGGCGUAGCUUUAUUGAGAUUCCUGAAAUCAAUGCACACCCGAAGCUUCCCGUUCUUCUUGUAGACCGGAACAACAUUGGAAAUCCAUUCGGCAUACCGACAUUGCCGAAUAAACUUAGCUUCAAUAAGUUUAGUGAUUUCGGCCUUAAUAUCUGGUAGAAUGUUAGGAUUACAUCGGCGGGCUGGUUGCUGAUGUGGCCGAAAUCCAGACUUGAUGGGUAACCGAUGUUCAACAAUUGAUCGGUCUAAACCAGGCAUCUCUGUAUAAUCCCAAGCAAAGCAAUCUUUAUACUCCUUUAACAAACUAGUCAAUUGUCGCUUACACUCAGGAUCUAAUUUAGCACUAAUAAAAGUAGGCCUAGGCUUAUCACCACUACCUAUAUCUACUUCUACCAAAUCAUCGGCCGAUGUGAACCCCUGGCCUAAUUUUCCAUCAUCGGCGAAUCUAUCCAUUAAAAACCGUCGUCAGAACCGACUGCUUGGAUCGGUGGAAUCUCAUAAUCGGCAACUUUGAGAAAAUCUUUCUCCCAAACUUCUCCUGAAAUGCACCUAGUCUUUUCAUAAGUAUCCGCUUCUGCCGAUGCGAUAACAUAAGAAGAAUCCCCUGGGACGAUCUCAAUCUUCUCACCUACCCACUGAACCAAGCACUGAUGCAUUGUAGAUGGGACACAACAAUUGGCAUGAAUCCAAUCUCUCCCCAAUAAUAAAUUGUAGGCACCUUUUCCGCUGAUCACGAAAAAGGUUGUCGGCAAGGUUUUGCUGCCGAUGGUCAACUCUGCACAUAUCGCCCCCUUGACCGGAGACACGUUUCCCUCAAAGUCUUUAAGCAUCAUAUCGGUCUUGGUCAAAUCUUGAUCCCCUUUCCCAAGCUUCCGAUAUACUGCAUACGGCAUAAUAUUAAUAGCAGCUCCACCAUCAACUAGGAUCUUAGUCAUUGGCUGCCCAUCAACCCUUCCUUUGAGGAACAAAGCUUUAAGAUGCUGCCUCUCGUUAUCGGCAGGUUUCUCAAAGAUAGCCGUCAUCGGAUCCAGAGCCAACUGAGCUAUCUGAUCAGAAAAUCACAACUCAUCGUCACUGGCUGGUGCAAGAAACUCCAUCGACAACAUGAAUACCAUGUUGACGCCUGCCGAUGGACCUUCAAUCUUAGUGUCUGCCGGCUGCCGACUUUCAGAACUCUCUCCUUUAUUUAACUCCUCUUGCCUUUCUCGUUGCAACCUCCUUUUCUGUGUCUUGGUUAGUCCUUGAGGGCACCAUGGAGGAAGUGGCCUUUGCCUUACUGCCGGGCGUCGGUUCUCCCUUGACUCCAUACGAUGUGUGUUAGCAUCUCUGCAAAAUAUGAACUCAUCGGGAACCCGCGCAUUAGCCAUCUCCUCAAGCUCUUCCUGGUUCCUGGGAAAAUACUGGACACGGUCACCGAGCCGAUCGCGAACACUAAGCCUGCCCCCCAGCCGAUCAUGAACUGACGCCCUUCCUCUGAUUGGCCCAUUAAAUCGCCGUUCAUCAUCAUGAUAACGCCGAUCGUUCCUAUCGUACCGAUCAUAACCGUUGCAUUCAGGGCAGUCUCUGACAGUAGGAAGCUUGAUAUUUUCCUCCCAACAAUGGAUGAAGAAUGGGCAAUUCCAAUGAUCCCUGUGCCGAUUCCACUCCUGUCGGCGUCUUUCUUCUUCCCGUUGAUAAUCUUCCUGCUGGCGCCGAUAUCGAUCUUCCCGUUGUUGCCAUCUCUCUCGAGGCCUUCUAUGAGUUAUGACAAUACCAGAUCGAGGAAGUCUUCCUGAGCUAGCUCCUUCCUGGACCAAGCCCUAACUUCUUGCAUCGGCGGUAGUAACUUGAUGCUGAGGAUCUACCGAUGCACUCUUCUCAGCUGUCUCCGACGUUAAGACCUUAGCCUUCCCCUUAGCGUCCAACAUGUUUGUCGGGAAAGGAUGUUGGUCUAUCUUCAUCGGCUUCUGGGCUUUAGAACUGUCAAACUUGAUUCUCCCCGACUCUAUAGCCGAUUGCAGCUGUUGUCUGAAUACUUUGCACUCGUUGGUGUCAUGUGAAGUUGCAUUAUGCCACUUGCAAUAUCUCAUCCUCUUCAACUCUUCUGCCGACGGGAUCACGUGGUUAGGUGACAGUUUGAUUUGACCUUCCUGAAGUAGAAAGUCAAAUAUCCUAUCGGCCUUGGCGGUGUCAAAUGCAAACUUCUCUGGUUCCUUCUGCCCAAAAGGACAAGACAUCGGCUUCUUGUUUUUUACCCACUCUGCCAAACCGAUUACUGGUUCUUCAUCGGAAUCUGAGCUUGUUGCUUCAUCAACAAACGAGACUUUCUUAUUCCAUGCCCUCUUAGGCUCGAAAGUCUUGAUGUCUUGAUCAGAUAUCCUCUGCACCAAGUGACUUAAACUUUCGAACUCCUGAGAGGCAUACUUAUCCCUGAUGUGUGGCAACAAACCCUGGAAAGCCAAAUCGGCUAGCUGCCGAUCAUCCAGAACCAGGCUAUAGCAUUUAUUCUUGACCUCUCGUAUCCUUUGCACAAACCCCUCAACCGACUCAUCAUUACGUUGUCUCAACUUGACCAAGUCGGUGAUCUUCUUCUCAUGCACCCCCGAGAAGAAGUAUCUGUGGAAUUGCUUCUCUAGAUCGGCCCAAGUAAUUACUGAAUUGGGAGGCAAUGAUAUGAACCAAGUAAAGGCCGAUCCGGACAAUGAUGAUGAAAAUAGACGAACCCUCAAUUCGUCCCUGUUACCAGCCUCUCCACACUGAAUAAUGAACCUGUUGACAUGCUCCAUGGUUGACGUGUCGUCCUGUCCGGAAAACUUUGUAAAAUCCGGUACUUUGUACCGAUGUGGAAGUGGGAUCAAAUCAUACGCUGGAGGAUACGGUGUCCGAUAAGAAUAAGUGUUGACUUUGGGUUUUAUCCCAAAUUGUUCCCUCAUUACUUCAGCAAUCUUAUCGGCCCAAUACGCAUCGGCGUCUUGCCGAUGAGGCGGCUGCGGAUCUGGCAUUUGGUGGCGAGCCUCCACGUGUCUGUUCGGGACGUGACCUGUAUGGAACAUCGUAUUGGUCACCUGUCCUCCAAUCUGCGGACUACCAAACUGCUGUCCACCGAUUGGCUGUCCUCCGAGUUGCUGUCCAAAAUUUAUUGGCUGGUUGGGAAUUCCCUGACCUUGGAACCCGGGAUAAACCUGCCCUUGCUGGAACCCCGUAGUCUGAUAACCUUGCUGGGGCGAUUGUGGAAAGGCUUGCUGUCCAAGCCAUCCAUUAUUAGCGUUCAUCGGCAUAGGUGCUGCCGAUGAUUGGUAAUUGGGUAUCGUCGUUGAAUUGACAUACCCCGACUGGGCCAUAGACCUCUGUUGCAUCAGCAUUGACUCUGCCGAUGCGUUGGGCAUCUGGAACAUUGAGUCUUGAGGAUUCCCAGUGUAAGGCCUUGCGGUAGUAGUUGUGGUAUACCGAGGACUCUGGUUCACCGGCGCAUUGGGAGGUGCCGAUGUCAUAGGAGUUUUGCCCCUCAUGUCAGUUAUCUGUGAUGUUCCCGGCGUCAACUCUGGAGGCAUACCAUAACCCCACCAGUUGGGAGGAAGAUUUAACCCUGACAUUGUCGAUGCCAACAUAUCUGUUGUCAGUUUAUGCUGCCCAACUGAAAUCUGGGGGUUGGUUGCCAUCGGCAUAGACAGUGCACCAGUAGUCCCCAAUGUACUUGGAGGGACGGCAGGCUGUGCACUUGCGUUCGUCAAGGCAGCUGAUGGAGCCGUGACCUCUGGUGCCGUUGGCUGAUGAUGGGAGGGCCCCACAUAAUCUGGCGGGAUUUGUCCUUCCUUGAAAGUUCUUGCCACGACGUUGAAAACCGUAUUAGACAGUACACCGGCUUGGUUAAUCAACGCUCGAUUGAUGGCAUUGUCAACCAUGUCUUGAAGCUUGCCAGGAUUGGCGUCAAAGGUGACCUGCCGUGGUGCCGGCAGUGCAUCUUUCUGGACCACUUCGCCGCUCCUGUUUAUGCUGAAAGACUUCAGGCAUUGCUGCUUGAACUCUUCCAUGGCUUGGGCAAUAGCUUGCUUCUGCUCAUCCUUGAGGUUGGCUUCCGUCACGGGGAUGACGUUGUCUUGAUCGAGGUCAGAGAUCGACAUGUUGAUCUUGAUCUUGAAUCGGUCCCACCGGGCGUGCCAAAAGAUGUGUUGAUGCAAAAACUGAUCUGCAAACACAAAGGGCUAAUACCCGAUUCAAACGUUAAGGCGUGCCAGCCGAUUUGACCUUACUAUCGGCAAAGGUGAUAGCUCGAAUACUUUAGUCCUGACAACAGCGAUGCGCCCGGAUGUCACGGCUAAGAGGUACUCACGCGGAACUCGAGAACACGCCGAGCUUAAGUCGACGAAUUCCUAAGAACUCGUAAUAAAAGGAAAAAAAAGGUAUGACGAAGUCGUCGAAAAGUAGAUACUGGAAUAUGAGUAAAAACGUGUAUUUGAUUGAUUUCUUGAUAUCUUGAUUACAAGGUCCUAGGGUUUAUAUUUAUACCCUGCUCAAAGAGCUACGACCAGACACGAUUAGAAUUCGAAUUCCAAAUUACACGGAACCCGUAUACAAAACGAUGCGAAUAACUAAGGAAAUAAUAAAACUAUCCUUCGUGACAAACCGAAACUCCUCCACAUGACAACUGGCAGCUUCCGGACUCCUCCUUCGCGUCAUCGGCAAUCCCCUUGCCAUAGUCAUCGGCAGACCUUUUUACCUGGUCAUCGGCACCAUAUUACUACCUGAGGACUUAGUCACAUUCAACCUUUCCCUCAUCGGCAACCAUCCUUAUCAGCAACCCGCAUCGUACUGCCACCCUAUCCUGCCAUCCUGGACACGUGCCCAAAAAUGGUGUCAACAGAUACUUGAUCCAUUGCUUUCAUCAAGAAGAGUAGUCCAACUCAUAUUAAGGAAUCUAAUUGAGUUACCAUAAGAAUUUGGAUAAUAUAAUGUCAUGAAGGAGCUAACUCACUGCUGUCACUUUCAGGGACUUAGCCAAAAUAUGGAGGUAGCAAAUCAGCACUGAAUUGAUUCUUGAGAGCUCAAUUUGAUUAGGAUAGGUACCAAACUAGCUCUUGAUCCUUAAAUAAAGUUUGUUCUACAGAAGCAAUACUACAACUUUCAUUUAGGGUCAAACCUCAUAACUGGAACAGAGGUCAACCUUUCACUUUGGUCAAAUUAGUAACCCGAUAAAGCUUCAAAUAGGAUUUUAGGCCAAUUGAAGCAUUUUCUUGACAUAAGCUCAACAUGAACCCUUCACGACUUUUGUUGUAUAAUUCAUCCAGUGUCAUAUGAGCAAGUUUGCAAGGUUUGGUUGGUGACCCAUGAUUCUAUUUCCUUAAUAGAGUCAUUCCGGCAAGGAUAUAACUUAUCAUUUCAUGUGACUUCUUGAUUCCAAACUUCACCAAACUUUUCCAUAGACCAACAUAGAUUGGGAUGGAUAUAAGACACAUGAAAAAGGUUCCAUUAGCAUCAUCCAAGCAUACCUUUUAAAAAGGCAUAUAUGCAAGCAAGGUUGCAUCCACCAAGCCCAAGUUGGGGUUUACUUUCAUAGAUUGACUUUGACCUCUAUAUUACCAUUGAACUUGUCAUGUUUGAGCUCAAACCUAGUACUUAGCAAGUGACAAACACCUAGGGUGUUACAGCCUUCCCCCCUUAAAAGAAUCUCGUCCCGAGAUUCGGUGCAAAAGACUUUCAAGGGAAGAAAACAAUGUCACGCAUUUUCCAACAUUAGCGAUAGGAGUGGGCUACUUUGCUUGGAACAUCAGAGAAGCAAACUUGGUCCAAACAUUUUAUGAUACUUGCUCUUCAUAGUAAACCUUUAUCUAGAGAAUCUCCCUUUUUGUUUGACUUUAUUGAAGCAUUGUUACUUUGGGAGGAAUCCAAGACAAACUGUUCCAUGUACUUUGUUUCUGGUUGUUUAGAGCCUAAGGAGCUACUUGUACCAUUAGCUUCUUUAGUGAAACUAAUGCAAGCCAUACGAACUUCACACCACUUCACAAGCUUCUAAGGGUUGCGCAUUAUAGUGAUUCCAGGCUCAUUCACAAGAUUUGAAAAGCAGUCCUCUACCAAAAUGGUUGGAGUGUAACUUUCCAUGCAUGCAGUUGUCCUUCUCUAAUGACAACAUUGUACUGACCACCCGAUUAAGAGAACAGUGAAUGUGAUAGCUGACUCUGUUGGUUUCAUGCCUUCCAUGAUCAUUUACUUUAAUGGGAUUCUUGUAUCCAAACAACAACAGUUAUCUGGGUUGAAUCAGAUGUAACUUCUUGGGUAACACAUAGAAGGUAACCAAGGCAUGUAAGAAUGGAUAACCACUACUGACAAAGGAUGAUAGUGGGGUCCAUAGGUCUCCAACUAUUGCAAGUGUUCAACCAACUAAAGAAAUAGUUUACCACCAAGUAGGUUAAGCAUGACCUUUCUUCAUGAUGCAGUUGCAUAAGAGUUAGGUUGACUUGUUCCAUAGAAAAACCAAUCCAAGGGAACUACUUUUGCUUUUGAGGUUUCCUUUUUAAGAUCAGUCGGUAGCUCUGAUAUUGAAAAUCUAUUGACUGACACCUUUCAAAACAUUUUUUUAUUUGCACUGGCACAAAUGGGUACAAAGAAUCUUAUUUCAGCAUAUAAGCAUUAUCUAUGCAGCAAGACAUUGCCCACAAUGUAAUCCAUGGCACCAAAACAAACACCACUUUCUACGCAAAGGAUGAUCCAUAUCAAAACUAAGAUUGUAGAUUUCUACCCCUUUUGGGUUUUGGUUCAUAUUUCACCAAUUAUCACUCACAUCCCCAUGAAAUUUGGUAGAAAUACAGAUCCAGGAGUCUUCUAACCUCUGACCAAAAUUCAGCUCAAAGAGGUACCAUUUGUGUAGGCAGAACAUAUACAUACUAAACUUGUUCGGUGCUAAAAGGGCAGCAUUCCUGACUGACAAGACAUCUCUCAACUCCACAGUUUAAUUCACUAUUUGACGAAAUAUAUCCUUUGCGAUUGUCAAUCCAUCAUUGCCUUGCUUAAGAUUAGCCUUGUUACUAGAAACCAAUCAAUUGGCUCUCGGCACUAAAAUUUCUAAAGCUCCACUCUUAACCACAACAAUUGCGGUUGACGCCUAACCAUUAGUCACCCUCAAAGCCAAGAGAUAAGGAUUCAUGAUAAAGAUGGUUGACUUUAGUUGCAUCACCAUGACGCACAUAAAGAUCAAGACUUAGGAAAACUAAAUCAUAAGCACAAUGGUGAUGAUCGAUGCUUGUUCAACAGAUAACUUCUCCAACAUUAAGUGUCGUGCGUCCUUUUGGUUCGGCAUGGAUGACCAAUGUUGCUCAUUAAAUGACCAUCAUCAUUGCAGGAAUAGUUAAAUAGUGUCACUUGUCUACCAUCUCUUGCAGUCUGUUAAUGUUUAUGUCAGUGACCUAUUCUCCAAAGGUAAUCCUCUUUGUAACUUCAUAGGAAGUUCUGGUUACUUGCACAUGAAGUAAGGAUCUUCUGAUCAAAUCUGGAUAGAUAAUUAAGGACAAACUCAUGAUGAGAAGACACAUUGGUGUAGUUCUAUAAUAGAGCCUGGCUAGUAAUCAACGAUACCAGUGCGUGCCGAGCAGCACAACCAGGUGUCGGCCGCCACAAGGGGCUCUCGGUUUCGUCACGGCACCAUCAAUCAUUAACCAAGGCACCAUUACUAAACAUACAACCCAAAGGAAAUCUCUCAUGGUAAAAAUUGAGUUGCAUAGCAGCGAGCACUAUGCAAAAGAGGGGGUAUCAACUGAGAUAGUCAUGAGAUUAGAGGUCCACAAGGAGGCGAUUCAAAGAUUAAACAUAGUACUAGAGAACAUAGAUCACAUGAUAUUAAGACGGAUAAACACCCAGAGACUCAAGAGAGUUGGAGAUAAAACGAUUGAGAUUUGAAAGAUUGAGUCAAUACAGGGAUUAGGGGAUGGAUACACAACAUUCAAGAGCUAACAACCAUGCACAAACUCAAGCUCUUUAUCAUUGGAAUCUACUUGGAGAUAACCAUGAGAUUAAAGUGACAUGAGUGCUGUUCAAAGGCUCUUCAACACUCGCAUGCUUACUAAGGACAAAAAGGUCACAACUACGACACUACCUGAUUAACAACACAUCUAUUCAUGCAUCAUGGUUUUAAGCAAACAUGUGAGAACAUCAAUCACAAUAUCUCCAACAAUCAUUACUAAGCACAAAAUUUGUAGAUAACAAGUAGUCAUCUAAAGCAACACUAGUACACAUGAACAUACAAAACAUGAUGAUAAGGUGUUUUUAUCUUUCACUUUCUUUUACUAGAAAGGUGUAUGUUUCUUCUCCAAUCGUGAAAACAAAUUUUAACCUAUGUUUAAAGGACUAAUUAUCUUAGAGAUGUGCAUCAUACUGACAGGGUGCACAGAUCAACCACAACACGGGCAAAACAAAGCUAGUCACACCUUAUCUUCAAUUAUAGCUAUUCAAGCAACAUGGAGCAAAGCAUUGUAUCUAACUGCACACAAGCAAGAUGACACACAUUGAUUCACAAGUUAUUUAUUACUAGAACAAGGGUGAGAGAAGCAUAGUUAUACAUAAGAUAACAAUCAUGAUGAUGCAUGCUUCGUCCUAUUCGUCCUCACAAAAUUGCCAGCCUAAGGUGGCAAUCACGUUCUAUGUCGGUGGCAUAACACGUACACUCUCGACAUAUAGCUAGUCGUAAUAUUCAAUUUACGCAUUCGUGGUUAGCAUACCUGCAGAAAACUCAUUUCAGCCCACCCACAGUAUGAAACAUGCAAUACAAGAUCAAAAAGCUAUGCGGCUCCACACACGUGUAUCCCCAUACUCGUAUGUGUAGUGCUACUACCCACAUCAUCGUCCUAGUGACGGCAUCGCCUCUAAGGAUGGAAUCACCCAUCAUGCGAUACCUUUUCAUAAGCACAUGUAAAAUGUGCACAUGAUCCAGUACCAAAAGCACUUCCCUAGAUCGGUGGUGUAUCCGAUCAUGCUCUCACAACUCACACUUACCGAGGCGUAGAGGAAAAAUGAUCCAUACAUUACCAUUCAAAUGAAUGGCACUCAUACUAUUGCACGCCGUAUGAGCAACGAAAUAGAAAUAUGAUGCAGAAACCCCCAAGUCAGUACUUAAAAAAGCCACCUAAGGGUCCUUAAUUGGGCAUAAAGGAAAUGACCACUGGCAUACUUAGAUAAAAACUUUUUAGAUUUGAACACACCUUUAUCUAUAAUAGCUAUACGUUGUAAAAAAACUGAUUUUAUAAAACAAAAUAUUUUUUUUUAAAUACACAUAUGACAAGUUUAAUGUUGAACCUUGCUCUGAUACCAGCUGUAACAGAACCGCCCAAUUUACAAGAGAUCAACUACGAAAAACUCCCGCCAAAGCAGUUGCUUUAACGUAAUCGAACUCUCAUAAACCCGGUAGUCCGUGAAAUCACGAGGGAUUUCAAACCAACCAUCUUACAAGCCAAGAUCGUAGUGAUUCAACAUAACAAGUCACAUGUUACAUCCAUUUCACAAGUAGUUUGAUAUACAUCAGAGUUCAAGAUAGUUAUUACAACUUAAGUUGAAAAGUAGCGGAAGCAAAGUAAUUUGAAACUAAUAUUGCCCUUAUUUCAAAUACAUGCCAGUAUCCAGGUCAACUCCAACAAAAGCAACAUAGAUGAGGUAACUAAGAAGGAUCAUGCCCAUGAUCUUACUCCUCUAAUAUGGUAGGAGUCAUCCAACUCUUGCAGUAGCCAUGAUACAUCACAACCUGCAACAAGUGGGAAUAAACCUUGAGUACGAGAAGGUACUCAGCUAGACUUACCCGUCAUAAACCAGAAAUAAUAUGACACCAAGGAGUAUGCAAGGCUUUAUUGGUGGAGCUAGCUUGACAACACUUUUUGCAUAAAAAGCUUAAGUUGCAACUAAGUAAUCCUUUCAGGUAUUUAGCUCAAGUUAAUAAUCAUUAACCUAUCAUCUAGAUUAGCACCUGUACUAAAGCAAUCACUUGAUUAAGAUACAACCAUAGUACCCAUAUUUGAUGUGGCAUUUCCAACAUCAUCAUCGUACCAUAACCAUCCAAGUGUUCCAUAAACAUUACUACGAUGACGAAGCUCAAGUCAAGUGCUCACUGUCCAGGAGCGAUGGCGAUUCGAAUCGAUUUCUAACCAGCUGGCGAGUUUAUUCCCCACACAAACCACACUCACCGGCCAAAGUGAGCUACAGGUCACCAUAUUGCACUAUCCAGGACCAAUUCGCGGGUUCGGCAGGCACCGCCAGUACCCGAGGACCGUUCCGGCGACCGAGGUAUCCAAGGUAUACCAAGGUUGCCCGCCGCGCCCUCGUCGUUCUCCUCAACCAUCACCAAUACAGCGCAUGGCGGCUCGACUCCCGGCCCGGAUAGUGUUCAGGCUUCGCGGUCGGAACGACUUAUCCUUCCAGCUAAGUGUGGGGCAUGCGUUCAACAUGACAAGAGGGCCGUCAACGAUCGGUCCUUAAUCGACACAGGCGGGGAUAGAUAGGCACCCAAGACCUCCAUGUCUUGUUACUUCUCUACCAUCGUCCCGCCCGGUCUCCAAUUAUUCAUCCUCAUCACUUGGUUAUUUUCAUGAUAGCAUAUAUAGCCAACCUUUUCAGGUGUCCACCUAUCUCGCUCAGGUGACGGGACAUCACCUGGCUUCUACCGGUCUAAGCAUAGCUAAGCAUUUAGAUUCGAUCCUGAAUCUACAUAGGGUUAUAGGUAUAUUUGCUGGACAAGGAGUGUUAUAUGCAGCAAGGGUUUCACCCAACUCCUAUACUUAAUGCAACAAUACAUAUAUAACAUAUAUUCUCAACUGCAUUCAAAAGUAGUGGGAUACUUAUAAUGCUCCGGGGCUUGCCUGGGAUUAACACUGAGUCAAUUCAGUUAGUUGCUCCGUCUUGGUGACAUCUAAGGUCACAACACUUGCUUAGUCCUUCCACCUUUGGGAGAGGUCAACCAAACACCAUCUUUGAGUUUGAUUCGACAUCAUGACCUUCACGUGAUUCAUCUAGCGCACCUAGAUGAGAUGCAAGAUGCAAGUGCAUGAAUAUAAAGAAUAAUAACACAACAUGCAUCACAUAAAAGUAUGCAAGACACAAGCAUCUAAAGUUAUUUAGCUAACAUCACACAACCAAUUAUAUAGAGCAAACAAAUCAAUCAUGACACAAGUUUAACAAGUUUACAAAUGUAUUACUUAAUCACCAUUAAAGACAUGAAUCACAGUUUGCACACACCAAGUAAAGCAAUCAAGCAUUCAUGCAUUUUCAGUAAUUUUGGACAUACAUGCAGCAACUCAGUAAAUAAAUCAUAACUAGAGCUACACAGCUCCAAAAGCUAUGAAACAAGACAUUCUGGAAAUACUAUAAAAUUAUCUACAAUUCAUCUUUAAUCAUAUUAGCAUGAUUAACAAGUUAACCAAGUCAAACAUGCAUGACCAUAUAAUCUGGUCCAGGAACUUACAGAGAACAAGCAUUUCAAGGGAUGGACUUCAUACUACUGUAACUCAUAAACCACUUAGCCAAAUGAUAUGCAACUUUACCACAAGAUAUGUUAAUAAAUUAUCUACAUCUUUUAUAUAGACAAGUUGCACAGCAAACAUCAUUUAUAUCAUGGAAUUAGUUGCAUAAAUAAAACUGCUCAUGCUGCCCAAACAGUAGGGGUAUAAUUACAAACAGAAAACUGAUAGGCAAUUCAAAGCAGCAUAACCGGAGUUGCAUACCUCCAGCCAACAUGAUUCUUAUAUUUUUGGAAAGCUUAUAAAGUUACCUACAACUUUCUUAUUAUCAUCUAAAUAUGAAUCUAGAGUUAACAAGGUCAAUUAAUCCCAUAAAGACAUCUCUGUCUAAAACAUAGACAGAAUCUGUCAUGCCACAUUAAACAGCCGUAACUUGAGUUUCACAUGUCAAUAAAUUAUUGUUAUGUACUUUAUAGAAAGCUUACUAAAUUGUGAACAACUUUGUUAUAAACAUCUAGAGCUAAAUAUACAAUUAACAAGGUCUCACAUAACAAACAAUGCCACCCUGUCUGGAUUUAGAUAGAAACUGAAACAAUACUUUAAACUACUAUAACUAAACAUGUGCUUAACCAAAAAUUGUGCUACUUAUAUUUCUGGAAAGCUUAUGAAAAGUACUACAACUCAUAUAUUUUCAUCAAGGCCUGAUUCACAACUUAACUAAGCCAAACAAUACAAACAUGCAGACCUACUCACAAUAGGAGCAAAGCAACACAGGGCAUUUGUUAUUUUCAUAACUCUUAAUCUAUCAAUCGUAAAUUCAUGAAACAAAUGCCAGACAUCAAAUAUGAUAUGAAAAGCAUGUCACAAUAUUUUCACAUUUAUUUGAGCAAUACUACAGCAUUUAUGAAAAAGACAAAUAUAACAAGCAAUUAAAACCUAACUGCAUAAAUCUAUUUUUAUGACUAAAACGUCAAACCAAACCAUGCCAUAUUAUAGAUCUACUGCAUAGAUAAUUUCACAAGGAUUCCAAAAAGUCCACAUUUGCUAUUUUACGACUUUUCUACGAAUUUCUAUGCAUUUCCAAAGUUCAUCCAAGAAAUAUGCAAAAACAAAGGAAAAGGAAAACAGAUCUUUCACCGGGGACCCUGGAGUUUCCAAGAAUCACGCAACAGCCCACAAACACUAUUCAUAUGAGUCUUGGCUUCGCAUCUGGAACCCUGAGUUGUUUUAUAUUCUAACACGAGGUCCCUUCUCUUCUUCUUUACGGACAGAGAAGCCGGCAGCCGGCAGGACGUUCGAGCUCGAGGCUCAUGGCCGAAUGGUCACAAGCUACGGUCGUGGGAGGCCUGCCCGCUCCUUGCCGCGGCCAACCAUAGCCACGCCAAUCUCCUGGCCGGCUGAGGCAGCAGCAGCGCACCAGAGGAGCAGCACCGGCGACGGCGACAGAUGGGAGAGAGCUGGAGAGAGAAGGAGGCGAGUGGAGGAUGGGAGGGCAGUGCAGAGCGUGCUGGUGUGUGUGAGGAGCGUCUGGCGUGGCUUGCUGUCCACUUUAGACGAGCAGGAGCGCGUGUCAGCCAUGGUGGGAGUGCUCUCGCGCAUGGACGCCGCGUAGGCAAUUCGUCGAGCACGUGGCAUGCGACGGUGUGGCUCAGGUGGGAGGCGAUUUUGGGCUUCUUCCUUGCCGAGUUUGAAGAUGGGUCAAAAAUGAAGUUUGCUCACCUCGGCCUGCUCUCCAACUUUGAUUAAGGGUGCUUAGUCAUUAGGCCAACAGAUUAGGAGAUAAUUAGAUGCCAAGUCACGAGUGUCAACGUAUUGACGGUGAUUAGCAAAACCAAGAAUUGAUGGUCCAAAUCAUGUCAAACUUGAUGCAACUUUUUGUAUGCUCUUCUCCAAAUAAUUAUCCACAACUUUUAUUCUUGGACCAGCUUGAGUUGCUUUACAAAAAUACGAGAACGCGGCAUGCCAACGGGUCGACGUCCGUUUAGCGAUAAAAUAACUUUUUGCUGUUUUGGGAGCUACUUUUAGAUACCCAAAUGAACUCCAAAUUUGAUGAUACUUGAUCCAUUGCUUUCAUCAAGAAGAGUAGUCCAACUCAUAUUAAGGAAUCUAAUUGAGUUACCAUAAGAAUUUGGAUAAUAUAAUGUCAUGAAGAGCUAACUCACUGCUGUCACUUUCAGGGACUUAGCCAAAAUAUGGAGGUAGCAAAUCAGCACUGAAUUGAUUUUUGAGAGCUCAAUUUGAUUAGGAUAGGUACCAAACUAGCUCUUGAUCCUUAAAUAAAGUUUGUUCUACAGAAGCAAUACUACAACUUUCAUUUAGGGUCAAACCUCAUAACUGGAACAGAGGUCAACCUUUCACUUUGGUCAAAUUAGUAACCCGAUAAAGCUCCAAAUAGGAUUUUAGGCCAAUUGAAGCAUUUUCUUGACAUAAGCUCAACAUGAACCCUUCACGACUUUUGUUGUAUAAUUCAUCCAGUGUCAUAUGAGCAAGUUUGCAAGGUUUGGUUGGUGACCCAUGAUUCUAUUUCCUUAAUAGAGUCAUUCCGGCAAGGAUAUAACUUAUCAUUUCAUGUGACUUCUUGAUUCCAAACUUCACCAAACUUUUCCAGAGACCAUCAUAGAUUGGGAUGGAUAUAAGACACAUGAAAAAGGUUCCAUUAGCAUCAUCCAAGCAUACCUUUUAAAAAGGCAUAUAUGCAAGCAAGGUUGCAUCCACCAAGCCCAAGUUGGGGUUUACUUUCAUAGAUUGACUUUGACCUCUAUAUUACCAUUGAACUUGUCAUGUUUGAGCUCAAACCUAGUACUUAGCAAGUGACAAACACCUAGGGUGUUACAGCGGGCCUCGAUUUUCGACCACUCGCUGGGCAUCCCUGACUCGGGUGCUCGAGAUCGGCUGUCGAACCCUUUCGGCGGGUCAGCCUGCGACCUCUCGAGGCUUUCGUGGGUGCGUACCUUGGCUUACAAGGGAAGGAAGAGGUCGUGGCGGUUCGCUUUUCUGCCCGUUGGGCGCGUCUUUUUAGGCGGGAGCCGUUGCAACACUAUAUCGGUGCAGAAUUCGUAGCGCCCCGUCUGUGAGAGGAAAAGGACCGUUAGGCGGCGCAUUUAUGGGGGGAGUUACCUCAUUUAUCGGAUCUGUCCGUAGGUGGUCGUUGUCUAUAAAUAUCCUGUAGCCUGGUUGUCGUUCUCCCUUUCGCCUUCUGCCUCCAUUCUUGCCUUAGCUCCCUUGCCAUCUCACGCGCACGCACCCCCUUGAGUAGCAGCGAAUCCGCCUUCCUUCCACCCAAAGAUGCCUGUGAGAUUCGUCGCCGCCGACGACUGGCGCCUGUCGUCGAUGACGGAGCGCCGGUUGCUGGAGCUCGAGAGGGAGGGACUCCUGCGCCACCGCACAUCGUUGUCGUCGCCGGAGUGGAUUGCACCGCCGGCGGACCACCGGGAGCCCAAGCCACCCAAGGGCUACGUGGUUUCGUUUGCCAAGUUCCAUCGCCAUGGCUUGGGCGCCCCCUCGAGUCGCUUCAUGCGGGCGCUCUGCCACCACUAUGGGGUGGAGCUUCAGCACUUCUCCCCAAAUGCCAUCACCAGCGCGGCGGUAUUCGCCGCGGUGUGUGAGGGCUAUUUGGGGAUGAUGCCCCACUGGGAUCUGUGGCCCCACCUCUAUAGGGGCGAGCUCUUCAACACCCCCACCGGGACCACAGGCGUGAGGAAACCCGUACGGGCGGGGUGCCUCAACCUUGUGCUGAAGACGGGGAAGACGGAGAGGCCACGCGAGUACAUCCCGGUGGGAUUGUCAUCGAACCAUGCCGGAUGGGACUCCCAGUGGUUCUACCUGAGGAACGACGAUGGUCUCCUUCCGGCCUACACCGGCCACCUGAUCACGGAGCGCCCGGAGAACCGGACGUACGGCGUCGUCCAAGUUCAUCAGUCGCGGCUCGACCCCCUCCUCGACGCCUUGAAGAAACUACGUGUGGAGGGUCUGUCCGCCGCUCUCGUCCUCUCGGCCGUCCAUCAUCGGAGGAUUCUCCCGUUGAAGUCUCGGCCGCUGAGGAUGGAUGAGAUGGGUCCCGGCGUUUCGUCCCGAUACCUCGAGGCGUGUCGGAUGUCCAACGAGGCUCCGGCAGACGACGAGGUCGCGGCCCGUGUUAGGGCGGCCGUCGCCGGCGACUUCUGGCUAGAGCACGUCAGCGGCUUCCCCAUGAGACCUGAUGUGGGCUCAAUCGACCUUGUAAGUUCUUUCCGCGACGAAAUCCACUAGGGCUUGUGACUUGAUAGCUUUACGGGGCGCAUAAGUGAGAGUCUCACUAAUGAGCUCGACCGACCAUUUGGCGAUUCUUCCCGUGGCCUCCCGAUUUUGGAUGAUCUCGCCCAAGGGGAAAGACGAGACCACUGUGAUAGGGUGGCCGAGGAAGUAAUGCUACAGCUUGCAUCGGGCGAGGAUCACGGCGUAGACUAGCUUCUGGAUUUGCGGGUAACGCGCCUUGGUCUCCGAGAGCACCUCGCUGAUGAAAUAGACCGGCCUCUGGACUGGCAGCGCAUGCCCCUCCUCCUGCCUCUCGACCACUACCGCUGCGCUGACGACCUAGGUCGUCGAGGCGACGUAUAGAAGCAGAGGUUCUGCGGGUUGAGGCGGGACUAGGACUGGUGCAGAGGUCAGCGUUUUCUUCAAGUUAUAGUGGCAACGCCUUAUCCCCCAACCUCGGCUUCUGGGGUCCAAGGGAAACGCUCAACUUUCUUCAGAAGUCGAUACAGUGGCAACGCCUUUUCCCCCAACCUCGAGAUAAAAUGACUCAGCACUGCUAAACAUCCCGUGACUCUCUGUACGCCCUUGAUGUCUCGGAUCGGCCCCAUUCUCGUGAUGGCCAAGACUUUGUCGGGAUUAGCCUCGAUGCCGCGCUGGGAAACGAUGUAACCCAGGAGCAUACCUCGAGGUACGCCGAAAACGCACUUCUCAGGGUUGAGCUUGAUCUGGUUGCCGUGUAAGCAGCUGAAAGCGAUCUUGAGGUCCUGGAUCAGGUCUCCCGGUCGCUUCGACUUGACGACGAUGUCGUCGACAUAGGCCCCGACCGACCCUAUGUGCUUGCCAAACACGUGGAGCAUGCAUCGCUGGUAUGUAGCUCCCGCAUUUCGAAGCCCGAACGGCAUGGUUACAUAACAAUACAUCCCAAAAGGUGUAAUGAAAGAUGUCGCGAGCUGAUCGGACUCUUUCAUUUUUAUUUGGUGGUAACCAGAAUACGCAUCAAGGAAAUAAAGGAUUUCACAUCCCGCAGUAGAAUCAAAAAUUUGAUCAAUACGUGGUAAUGGAAAAGGAACUUUCGGACAUGCUUUAUUUAAACUCGUAUAAUCGACACACAUCCUCAUUUUCUCAUUCUUUUUCUUAACUAGUACAGGAUUUGCUAACCAGUCGGGAUGGUGAACCUUCUUGAUGAAUCUGGCCGUCAAAAGCUUGUGGAUCUCCUCGCCAAUGAUCUUGCGCUUCUCCUCGUCGAAUCGGCGCAACCGUUGCUUCACUGGCUUGGAACCGGCUCGAAUUUCUAAGGAGUGCUCGGCGACUUCCCUCGGUAUGCCAGGCAUGUCCGAGGGACUCCAUGGAAACAUGUCGGCGUUUGCACGGAGAAAGUCGACGAGCACGGCUUCUUAUUUGGGGUCGAGGUCGGCGCUGAUCAUCAGCGCCUUGCCGUCGGAGUUGUUGGGGUCGAGCGGGAUCUUCUUCGUUCCUUCUGCCGGCUCAAAGCUGCCCGCGUGGCGUUUGGGCUCUGGAGCCUCUGCAGCCAGGGCCUCGAGCUUCGAGGCGAGCUCGGUGGAACUCUCGACGGCUUCGCCAUACUCGAUGCAUUCGACGUCGCACUCGUAUGCGUGCUCGAAGGAGGAGCUGACGGUGAUGACACCCUUGGGACCGGGCAUCUUCAACUUCAAGUAGGUGUAGUUGGGGAUAGCCAUGAAUUUGGUGUAGCCCGGGCACCCGAUGACGGCGUGGUACGUGCCCGGGAACCCCACCACCUCAAAGGUGAGGGUCUCCUUUGUGAAGUUGGCCGCUGUGCCAAAGCAGACCAGUAGGUCGAUUCGACCUACCGGCAACGCCUUCUUCCCAGGAACGACACCAUGGAAGCCUCCGGCGCUUGGUUGGAGCUGCGACCUGUUGAUGCCGAGGAGGUCGAGGGUCUUGAGGUAAAUGAUGUUCAGGCUACUGCCGCCAUCCAUCAGCACCUUUGAGAGUCUGGUGUUGAUGAUGAUGGGGUCGACGACAAGCGGGUAGACGCCAGGGGCGACCACCUUGUCGGGGUGGUCCUCCCGAUCGAAGGUGAUGGGGGUGCUCGACCAGCUGAGGUACUGGGGUACCGCCAUCUUUGCCGCAAAGACUUCACGGUGCUCUCUCUUGCGUUGCCUUGCGGUCAGCUGCGUCGAGGGCCCACCAUAGAUCAUGUAGCAGUCGUGGACGGUAGGGAAACCGUCAUCGUCUUUGUUGUUCCCCUUGUCGUCGUACUUUUCUUUCUUUGGGUCAUCGCGUGCAUCCUUCUUGAACCCCAGACCAUCGAAAUGCUUUUUCAGCAUACGGCAGUCCUCGAGCUUGUGGUUUGCCCGUCCUUUGUGGUAAGAGCAUGGCUCCUUUAGCAUCUUAUCGAAGAUGGCUCCCUCUGGAGGGCCUCAAGGCCUUUUGCGUUCCAUAGCGGCGACGAGAUCAUCGUCGAGGACUUCCCGCUAGAAUGGCCGUGUUUUCUUCUGCUUUUUGUUCUUCUUGGGCCCUCGACUGGGGCCCUCAUCAUCAUCGGCGGGCGACUUGCCUUUCCUUCCUUCACAGCUGAAGAAGGCGCCGACCGCUUCUUCCCCUGCAGCGUAGUUUGCCACUACGUCCAUCAGCUCGUCGACGGUCUGGGACGAUUCCGGCCUAAUUCCCGCACCAAGUCUCGACUGGUGGUACCAGAGACAAAGGCCAGGACGACGUCGUGGUUGGGGAUGUGCGGCAGCUCGGUGCGUUGCUUCGAGAAGCGUCGAGCGUACUCUCGAAGCGUCUCUCCUAACUUCUGCUUGCACUUGCUGAGGUCCCACGAGUUGCCGGGUUGUAUAUAGGUUCCUUUGAAGUUACCUUCAAACACCCUGACCAAAUCGACCCAAUCGUGGAUCUGGUUGGCCGGGAGCUCCUCGAGCCAUCUGCGGGCGGUGUCGGAGUGGAAGAGUGGCAGCUGUCUGAUGAUGGCUCGAUCGUCCCCUCGAGCGCCUCCCAGCUGACAGGUCAGCCUGAAAUCUGCCAGCCAAGCUCUGGCUUGGUCUCGCCGUUGUACUUUGCAAUGCUGGUCGGGGGUCGGAACGGGCUGGGCAGCGGCGUGCUGCGGAUUGCCCUACUGAACACUCGCGGUCCCGGUGGCUUUGGAGCCAUCCGGUCCUCGUCGCUGUCGUAUCUCCCGCCGCGGUGGACGCUGUAACCGCGCUCUUCUGCAUCUCCAUACCGACGGCGACGAUUCUUGUCGAUGUCGCGCCGCGCGUCGUGUCGUCGUUGGAUGUCGACGGGGAGGACGAGCGUGGUCAUUUUCCCUCGAGGGGGUGGGUGUUGAUGGACCGAUACCUCCUUUUCGUUGUGGGCUGGCUCAUCGCGCUUCUCUGUGGCCGCUCCUCGAUGUCGAGAGGCCGAGCUUUCGGCCUGCUGAACCGCUGCUACCUGGAGCAGAGUCUGUACCUCGUCUCGAAUGCGUCGGGCUUGGGAAUUUGACGGCUCGGGCAUAUUACGCAGUAGCAUUGUCGCCGCCACGACGUUCUGGCCUGCUCAAGGGAAACGACUGACAGGCUGCUCAGGCUCUCCGUCUCCGACGAUCUGCUGGUGUACCUCUCGAGCCCGUCUGCGGACACUCCCGCCGGGCGGGUAUGGCAGAUCCUGCUCAAGGAUUUGCUCGAGCAGGACGAGGCGCUCACAAUCUUCGUCAAGCUUCAUCUUGAGUUCUCGUAGCUGCGCAAGUUGCGCGGCUCUGUCUUCUUGUGAAAGGUGGGUCGACCUGUCCGUCGUUCCCAGUCGUCCUGGGGUCUUCCCUCGCUGCAGGGGCUCGACCGCCAGCAACGGCGUCCAGCGUCUCAUCGGUAGUUUCUACCGCCCCGUCGAUAUGAUAGCAUUCCCUAGUAGGGUCAUAGCUGUCGGUCUCAGAGUUGGAGUCCGGCUCAGCGGUGUAGAAACAUCCACGUCCCUCCUCCAGCAGCCGUUGCCUGAGCGAGGUGAUCGUGUAUCGCCCGGGGCCUAGGCGACGGAGGCCUCGUACCUGGGAGAAAUCCGGUAGCUCGAACGUCAGUCGCUGUGCUCCAGGGGCGCAUGGGAGGACCAUUGGUCUCUCCACAUACGUCUGGGCAUUUGGACAUAUCGCCCUGGCGAGCGACGCCGUGACAUUGUCCAGGCCGAACGGCAAUGCUCUUCUCAGGGUGAAUAGCCCAUGCGGAAGUAGCCUGGCGGUGGGGGAAAGCGCGCGGGGCGCGUCCCCUUCUGUCGUCGUGCGAUCCUCGCGGCGCUGAGCCGUCAUACCCGCGUCUUCGGCGCGCGGGGCUGUCAGCUCCCGCGUCACCUCCUGCCUGGCACGAGCUGUCAGCCGUGGCGAGGCAGAAGGGCGAUGGCUGUGCUGUCCACGCCUCUUCUUGGGCGGGGAGGCGUGGUGGCGAGGACGUCUCGGGACCCUCAACCGAGUCGGUGCAACGCGGACUCCUCCCGGUCCUUUGAUCGAGAGCAGGAUCAUGUCAUAGCCGGAGCCAGUAGACAUGAACUCAAGACUCCCAAACCAAAUCACCGUGGAGCACGGAAUCAGCGAAGCGAGAGUGGCCAUCUGGAAAGGAACGGGAAAUCGGUGAAAAACACGCAGGACCCCUACCUGGCGCGCCAACUGUCGGUGUUUUCCCCACGGGGGGUCACACCAACGAGUAAAUUUGUAUGCGUGCUCCCUUUUCCAGAUGGUGAUGCAAAAAUACACAAUGAUUUAUCCUGGUUCGGGCAAGAGAAGGCCCUACGUCCAGCAGGGGAGGAGAGUUUGUAUUAUCUUGCACCUAAGUGCUUGUACAGGGGUGAAUACAAGCGUGUAUGAACUAGGAAGGAGUGUGGAAGCUCUACUACGUAUGAGUGUUGUAUCGCAUGAUGUUGUAUUCGCUCCCGGGCCUCCCCUUUUAUAGCUCCAAGGAGAGACCUAGAGUACAUGUAUAGGCGUCAGAGUAGGGGUCGAUAGAGGUAUGGCGCGCUGACCUACUCGAGGCCUCCGUACCGGCGUGGUCUCGAGCCGUCCCGUCCUGGUAGCUUGAUGAUGAUUACGCGUGCCCCUGUAUCCUGCUCUGUGCGCUGUCUGGGACUGGUUUAUCUGUUGCAUGCCUGUACGUCAUGGCGGCAGAUAUGUCGGAGUAGUUGCGGUGUUGUCAUUCGACGCACAACACUUCCCCAGGAAGGAAACGUGUCUGGUCGAGGGUCGGACGCCGUGUAACUCCUUGCUAGCCAGAGCGCUGACCUUGGACGUCUCGAGGGGGUCUUGAUUAGACGUUCCGACCCCGCUUCUUGCGUCCUGACACGCUCUAGAUUAUUUGGUGGGGAAGGCUGCAAAAAGAAUCAUGGGACGGGUGCCUGUUCCCUAUCAUGCUUCCCGUGACUGGCGUGUUAGGUGAGAACGCGACAGACGCAUUAAAUGCCCUGGUUCCCGUGCCCGCGUCAGUCGGCGGGCGGCGUCCUUGCGCUCGACGCCUUCUGAUUCGCUCCAGCCUGUUUCUGUAUUCGACGGUAGCCGGUGCUCGAGCCCUGAUUGAUUCGCUCGAUGCCCUUUCCGUCUUCGAGGUUGCGGUCAUCGAUGACCAUACGCAUGACUGGGUAGAGCGUCGAGUUGGAGGCUUCGACUUACGUACGAGCAAUCUCGUCAUGUACAUCAGUUAGGAUACCCCUUACUGAUAUCCUCGACAUCACUUCUCCAAAAUAAUCACUUAAGUCGUACUUCAAUGUAUAGGCCCUAGAAACCUCUUUUGCCUAGGCUUUUAAAAAGUGUUUGCCACCAGUUUGCGCGAUCGAUUUUAAAAACCUCAUAUCUCUCAAUCCAGGCCGAUCUGGCUUUUGCUCUAGUUGACAAUGUUGUAGAACUCAGCUAGUACUCCAACUUUGUCAACUACACCAUCUCCUAAUUCGUUUUGGUUUGGGAGUUCAUCACUGUCGAAGUCGCUCUGUCAGACAACCAUCGCCAUGACUGAAUCCAAGCCGAGCUCGUCGACGUGGCCGACCGGCGACAGAACAACGGCGACAUUUGGCGCCCGUACGUCAUCCCUGGCCCCGCUGGUCAGCUCCCAGCGCGCGCAUGACCUCCACGGCGACGCCCCAGACGUAGUGGACGCGUCCACUUUCUGCUCCCUCUCGCUCUCUCGCCAGAAAAGCGGCCGCAGCGAGCUCACCGUCGCGAGCUCACUCCGGCGAACUCAAACGUGCUCCUCGCUGCGUCGCUGCUCACCAAAACUCGCCCACAGCUUCGCCGUGACCUGCUCUCCAUCCUCCACCCGAAAACUCGUCGUGAAACCCUCCGGUGAGCCGACAUUUCUGACUUCCCCCAAAUCGGGUCGCCGUGACCUUCUUCUCCGGUGAACUCAAUGCCGAGCUCCUCGGAGCCUCUCGUCUUCUCUGUUAGGUCCUAGAGGUAGCUUAGGUCCUUAGCGAACGUUUGCGCCACUUGUUGGACGCUCUACCGCACUCACCGUCGCCGGACACGACGCGCAGCGCCGCCGUGUUUCUGCUGGAGUUUGGCUCUCUCGUGGCCAGCUCAUUCCACACCGUUUCAAGCCUAGUCACCCACCUAGGAAGCUUCGCCGUAGUUCACUGGUGCUGUAGGAAACCCUAGGUUGCGCUCUACCGGCCUGAGAGCUCCGGCGUAAUGCCGAGCACCUCCGCUGAGCCGCCAUGGUCGACGGCAAGCCAUUUCCGGUGGCUCCGCCGUAAGAAAAAGGGGGGCCGUCUUAGGGUCUGAUUAAUCGGACCGUAACCCAGUGCCGAUAGUUUCCCGCCACCAGUUUCCCGCCUAACAACGCUAGACAGAAGAAAAGCUGACGCCAAUACUUGGGCUGCGUGCUCCCGUCCAUCUAUCCACUCGCGAAUGGCCCCACCUCAACUGGCGUGAGCUCAUGCAUGCCAUUUUGCAUGCAGUUUCUAUGAACUAAAAAAACCAUAACUCAUAAAUCAAACAUCUAAACUAAAAUUUGAUUAUACCAUUGGAUUUCUUACAAUAAAUUCUUUAAACAAGAUCCGACAUGCAUAUAUUUGAAUAAAAUUUAUUAACGAACAUUUAUAUUAUGAAGAUAGAACAUUUUUGUCGAUUGAGGAGCGACAAUGUUCAAGAUUUAGAGAAUAAUGUUCCAUCAUUAAAGGAAAAAUAUUCUCGGUUUUAAAGAACAAUAUUAUAAUUUUAGAUUCAUGAAGGUAGUUUCAUAAGAUGUAGUAAAAUAAAUAAAUACGUAACAUAAGCAAAAAAAUAAUAAAAUCUAGAGCAAAUUAUAUAGAAAAAAUCAAAACGUAUAACGGAAACAACAUAAGGAUACUUUUUAAACAUCCUAAAAUAUAUUAUAGAACAUCACAUGUGUACAAAGUGAACAUCAAUAAAUAUCACAUAGAACAUCAUUAAAUACAUUGUAGAACAUCACAUAUAUAUUACGUGAACAUCACUAAAAUAUAUCCUAAAAAUAUAUUGUUGAACAUCACAUGUGUACUAAGUAAACAUCACUAAAUACCACAUAGAACAUCAAUAAAUACAUUAUAUAAACAUCACUAAAUAUAUUAUAAAACAUCACAUGUAUAUUAAGGGAACAUCACUAAAUACAUCGUAGAACAUCACUAGAUAUAUUAUAAAACAUAAAAUGAAUAUUGCAAGAACAUCAAAAAAAAACAUCAUACAUCACAUAUAUACCACGAGACCAUAAAAAAUCAUAAAAGAUCACAUGUAUAACACGUGAACAUAAAAAACUUAUAUACUAGAUAAACAUAAAAAAACACAACAUAGAAUAUCAUAGGAAAUAAUAAAAAAAGAAAAGGUAAAAAUAUAUAAAAUGAAAAUAAAGAUAAACACAUAAAAGAGAAAAAAAUGAAACAAAUGAUGAGCGAAAAGAAUAAAAGAAAAAUAAAAUAAAAAAUUAAAGAAGGUUAAAAAUUAAAAAACAUGAAUCAAAAGAAAAUAUAAUUAGAAAAAACAAAGAAAUAAAUAAAAAAUAAAAGGAAAUAUAAACGAAAAAUAUUAAAACAACAUCAGCGUGCGAACAUAAAAAUGAUAAAAAGGGAAAAAAGAAAAAGGAAAUAAGAAAAAAAUGAAAAUAAAAAAGAUAUCUAAGAACUUAAAAAACUAACGUAACAUCUUGGAGUUAAAGAAAAAAAUAAAAAAAAGACGGCAUCUAAAAAGUAAGAAAAAGAAAGAAAAGGGAAAACAAUAAAAAAGGAAACUAAUAAACAUCAAAUUGAAAAAUGAAGAUAAUAAUAAAGAGUCACAUAAAACAAAUAAAGAAAGGAGAACAGAAGCAAGAAAAAGGGAAAAAAAGAAAUAAAAAAGGAAAGGAAAAUAAAAGAACAAAUAAAAGGAAAACAUACGUGUAUAUAUAAAAAAGAAAGAAAAUAUACAGACAUAGGCGUAUCCAGAUGCUUCCUGGUUGGAAAAUACAGGCUUGCGCUCUCCAUUGCUCGUGCACGUGGACUCCACAUGGGCCUGACGAAUACCGUGAAAACAAACGAGUGUGGUGCCUAGAAUUGUUCAGCGCGGGAAUCAUCGGACCGUGUCUCCCGUCCGAACGUUCGCACGGGAAGAUUCCCGGGAAAAGGGGGUCAAUCGGUUCGUAAGGGUCUGAGGAUCACGUUCAUGCCCAUGGUUUGGUCGGAGGCCUCGCCGUCGCGGAGAAAUCGCCGGUGAGAGUCGCCUCGGUCGUGAGGAAGACGACCCUGACAUGCGGGACCCGCUGUCAGUGACACAUCGUUUCCCUCCUUUUCUUUUAUUCAAAUCCAGGUUUUUGGCUUUCUUGCAAAAAUCAUAUCUUCCGUUUCUGAGAUCCAAAAAUUGUGAAACAAAUUUUGUGACGUUCCUUGAGAUGGCUAGUUUUUAAUAAAAAUAUAAAAUGUACCAUGUUUUCUGGGAAAAAUAAUUGUUAUGAUUUAAUCUUGUUAUUCAUGUGUAAAUUCAUGUCUCUUGAUAUGCUGCUCCUUUUGUUAUGAAAUUUUUAUGCUCAGCUCUGAGUGGUUUUAGAAUGCUAUGAUAAAUAUUUCAUGAUUUUUGGAGUAAUAUAUCAGUGAUAUGAAAUUUAUGUUGGUCCUAUGACUUGUUUUCUUAAUUAAAUCCUCAUAAAUGAUUUAUGCUUAUGCUGGUAUUCUAUUUUGGUGUCAAGCUUGUUCAUGGUAAUAGUAACAUGUAAAUAAUCUGAAAUCUGUUGUUUGACACUAUCUAAGCUAUGUUUCUUAAUUUAUGAAAUAAGCAUCUUGAUGCAUGUUAAAUGUUUAUCUUAAUUUUGGCAUGCGCAAUUGCUCUGAAAAUUUUAUGGUGAUAUCAAGAUGCUAUGCUUGUGCUGCUGUAAUUUUUGUAUAUUUUUCCGAGCACUUUUGCUGGUAUCUUGUAAAUAUGUCUUUUUAUGGAAUUAAUUUAAUAAAUGUCACUUUAUUAUGUGUUAGUGGUCAACAUGUGAUGUUUCUCGUAAUCUUAUGGUGUGUUUGUGUUUAUAAGCCAUGUGGUUGACACUAUUUAUGCUUUGACCAUGUUAUCAAAUAAUUAAUUAAAGGGGUUAAAAGUUGAUCUAGACAGCAAGGAAGUAAUCUAACCUUUGCUUGAUGAUAACUUGGUUUUCUAGAAGACUUGUCUAAAUCAAGUUGUUGUAAACUUUAUGAACUAGCUGUGGUUUAAUUUUGGGAUCAAUUGGUCCAAUAGCUUAAAAGUUAUAGCUCUUCAAAGUUGGGUUCCAGAAAUAGGUGUUCUCUGUUUUUCUGGGACAGAACCUGGAACUUUGUUUAAAUAACUUGUUUAACUUAUGAAUCUUGCUUUGAUGUCUAAAGAUGAAAUGCAGACAAUUUCAUAAGCUUUCCAGAAUAUCCUCAUUCAUGAUUUUGGAUCUGUAUAGCUCUAGUUAUGAUUUAUUCCUUGAGCUGCAGUGUUUUGUUGGUCUUUGCUGUUGUAUUAAUUUGGUAAUUGUUGAUAUUUGGGAACGCAAUAAGGAAUUGAUCCGCAAGCGCACGGAUAUCGGUGAGCACUUCACCCGGGAAAUUAUCCAGAGUAUCGUAUUUAUUUUUUUACCACUAGGAGAAAGAGUGCAUCUGACUAACCGGUCUAUUACUACUAACCUUUAGGCACAAAGAAUGUCUUUCGAUGUGAGUGAUAAAUAGAGAAGACUGCAACCGUAGUCUCCUUCUAACCUUGGUAAGGAUGAUCUACUGUUCUAAUGGGGCGGCUAACGGAAUCUAGACACCACAAAGGAUGUUCAACCCGCACCUAUAAACCCUAUCCUUCCUGCUAACGAGAUGUGAUCUACAAAGGUAGCUCGGAAAUGUCACGUUCCUCAGUACUACCACGGUCCAGCUAGUCAGGGAAUAUCUAUGAGUACCCCAGCCUAAACACCACGUUUACGCCAGCAAUGAUUACUCUAAACUCUACGCGAAGAGAUUAAAGUAAACUCAUAAACCAUAAGAACAAUAAAACAAUAACUUACUAGAAUUUAGAAGUCGAAUUAGUGAAGAAUCCUAGGAGCAAGCUUCGGGUUAGGAGAACUUGAUCCCGCAGGUACAAGCUUGGAGUAGACACCGACAAGCCGGGCUUUCUCCACUCUACACCUCCACUCUAUCUCUCUCAAUCUAGUAGAAACUAGAAGAUCUAUUUCUACCUUACAUUGAUUGCUAAGCCUAAAAAGAAAUAUUAAUUAGAGAAGAGGUUUUCCUUCGAGGGCACCCCUCAGUCUCUAUGAUAAUUUCUUCAUGUCUUCCAGGGGCCAGGGGGGCCUCGCUUAUAUAGUCCUCCCCUUCUAUGUGUUUUUGGGUCGAUAGCCGAGGUGGUACUAUGUUUUUCUUGAUCCAAUAGGUCGGUGGAAUAUCCCGAGCGAAGGAGUCCUGAAUUGGCUCCAGCAGGGUGGCGGGCGCCCAGGCUUCCAGGGCGGGCGCCCUGGGCCUGGCCCAGCUUCGCCUCCGCUUCGGUCUCGUGGCUUCUGGAGUCUUCUAGAUGAUGUAAAAUUAAGCGGUGCGUUGAUAUCUCUAUGUAAUCCCGACAUGUGGGCCUUUCUUCCUUAUUUCCUGAUAACCCCCUGCAGAAACAGAUAAACAACAAAACUCGUGGAAUUCUGUCAGAUCAAACCCUAAUUCCAGGUGAUGGUUGCAUAUUGGUCCUUUCUCAUGUUUAUUUGAUAAUUAAAAUUGAUACAUAAGAACCGUCAACAAAUACCCCCAUACUUAGGCUUUUACUCGUCCUCGAGAAAAGGAUGGUUAAGAACAAUAUUUGGGGUAAACAUUUAAAACAUUCUUUAUAUUUGCAGGGUGUUAAAAAUCCACUGUGUACCAUAGUCAGGGAUGUAUAUGGUUAAGAGUAAAGAUCCUUUCUUCUCAAUCCUGCCACUUGGAGUUUUUGUAUAUUUUUAAAAGAAAGUUAGCAUACCUUUUUAUCCUCAUAGGUUCUCUCAGAUCACUCAUUAUCUUUUGUAUAUAUAUCUCACUGAGGCUGUUUUAAUUUUGCAAAAAUUCUCAAGCAUACUUACUUUGCAUUUAUUGCUUGAUCAUAACGGGAUCCGAGGAGGGGAAUGUCAUACUCUUAGAUCAAAGACUUUAGAAAUUAAAAACUUUGUCAACUCUUGCUGGCAUAUUGCUUAUUAGAGGGACCAUGGGCUAUCAAUUUUUUUUUAAGUGGAUACCGAGGUACCCCUAAUUCUACUGCCGGACACUUGUCCAUUUUUUUCUGCGAGGUUAUCGAGCACUUGCUCCUUUUUAUUUCCCCGAAAUAUCUCUAUUUUUGCAUAGCCCAUGCCUCUAAUGCAAUAAUACUUCAGAAGAGUGAAUCUUACUGAAAUAGUGUCUUGAUCUUGGGAGCAUGAUAAAUCUCUCAACAAGGGUCUAACUCAUUUUGAACAAACUCAAUACAGAGCAGAUAGCUUUUAUAAUCAUAAUUAAUAUAUUUAUUUUCAGUUUUAUCAGGCAUAUAAAAAACUGAGGAUGGUAGCUAGGAAUUUGAAUAUUUUGAAAUAAAUUCUCCAAGCAACCAUGAUAUCAAGAAUAAGAAACUCAUACUCUACCAUCACAUAUUCCAUAUUGACUUAAGUAACACAGGGUUUUAAAAUGAUUUUAUACUAAUUGCAAGUUUUCAGGAAAUAUCACAGAUUGAGAUUAAUCAUGAUUAGAAAUAUUUUAAGCUUUUUAUUUUAUCAUGUCGGGAACAAUAUUCUGCAUAAUCUAAAAUAUAUAUAUGUGUAGAGUAAAGUGUGCAGAGUGUGUACCUGAAUCGUGGAGUGGUGUAGUCGGAGUGUGUUUAGCAUGUCGAGGGAUCUCCCCCAUACUUGUUUUCUGCUUUCUUGCACAAAAAUAAAGUAGAGACACACAAGACAUAAUAAUAAUACUCUUUAUUGAUAUUGAGGCAUUUAUUACACAAGGAAGAACAAAAUUAUUUUUGGCUAUUCUCUCCCGGAUUAGGAGUAGAAUAUUUUUGGGUGAUUCUGAAGAUGGAAAUGUAUGGAUAUAUGUGGAUGGUACUUCCGGAGUAGAAGUAGCAUGUGUGAGUGAACGUGCAAGUGAAUCUUGAUUUAACCACAUGACAAGGUCCUAAGGGUCUACACAGCUUGACCACACUCAUCAUUUUUCAUUUUUGUGGCUCGAAGUAAUAAAAAGUAAUUGUGUGGCUCGAAGUCUAGCAAGCAUGUAUAUAUGGCUGUGGUAGGAAUUUAAACUCUCAUCAUACAGGAACUCAUCAUGCAACAUUUUAAAGAUUUCCAAAGAUAAAAUUCUCCAUAAUUCUAGCAUCUCUAGAAACAGAUAAACAGCAGCUCAACCUUCCCAUAUCAAGUUUUCAUCCCACAAGUUUAGGUCUAGAGCAACCUUUAAAUUAUAACAGUUAUGUCUAAACUUGAGAGAGAACUUAAAAUGUGCAAAUUAGGCAGAGCAACUAUUUAUCAUUUCCAUGCUUGAGCUUUAUUUAGAUACAGAUUAGCAUAGCCACUUUAUUUAUUUAUUAAACACACUAAGCAAAAGACAUAUAUAUAAGCAUAAAAUCUUUAUUUGGUUUUUCAUAGUUAUGUAUAUUUAUAUUCUAAAAGAAUAUAAGUAUAGAGAUAGAUAGAUAGAAAUACUUAUCGAGAUAAAUGGGGUGCUCUCCCCCAAGCUGAAUUUUGACGUAAUUUCUCUUGAUGUAGCUAGCAGGUGGCAGAGGUGUAUUUGAAAGUCAGCAGCAUUGUGACAGCGAUUAGAAUAUCCUCCGUCUGCCAGUCUUCUUGAUUCUUAGAUUCUGUGGAGCUCAAAUAGACAACAAAGCUUGUGGAACUAAUUAAGUGUUAGCAUAAAUAUCUAGCCUUUAUCAUGUUGAGACUCCUUAAUAAUUAUUACUCCCUGUUUUUAUAUUUUUAUUUUAUAAAGCAGAAAAAUAUUUUUGUUUUAUUUUUAUGCCACCACAGUGAAUGUACUUAUGGGUUUUAUGCCACUCGUAUCCUCACAUGGGGCUUACUGUUUUUCACAUUUUUACUUUCUGUUUAGAACUUAAUUAACUAAGUGAACUACUUGAAAUAAUUGAAAGGGAAAGGAUAACUACCAAGUUUACCUCUUGGCAAGGCGUUCGGUGUUUUUAAGUCCUCCGAACGGGACUCUCCUCCUUCUCAAUUAUCCUGAGGUUCGUUGGGUGGCGUAGUCGGUACUUCCGGUAGCGCCUCCUCUUCAUGUAUAGUUAUUUUCCUUUUCCACACCUGACUUGGUGCUUCGGUCUCCUCUUGAUAAUUCUGUUUAAACUCAACGUCUUCUGACCUUACAACUUUUCCUUCGUAGUCUGCCCAUCCAUCCUUGAUGAUUUGCCUCCUCUGGUUGCGUUUGUGUCGUCUUCUUCUUGUCCUGACCUGCUUAGAAUCUUCAACUAUAUAGUUAGAAUCAUUAAAGUAAUGGCGUACCAUCUCAGAGGGGAAAUACACGUGGACUUCUCCGGUUCCAAUGUAGAUGAUAACUUGGAUAGUGUUGAGGAAUGGUCUUCCAAGGAUGAUGGGUGGAUCGUACUCGUCUUCUCCCAUAUCAAUGUUCUGAAAAUCAUCUGGAGCUAAAUAUAUAUUGGUUGUAGGGGCAUGGUUCCAUGCAGGAGCUGAUAAGUGACUGCGGCCAUUAUGUUGACGUUAGAUCCGGUGUCGUAGAGUGUUUUCUAAAAAGAGUAUCUAUUGGUUGUGCACUCGAUGAUUGGAACACCAGGGUCGUCCUUCUUGAUCAAGAAAGGUGACUUGAGUCGACGAUCUUGACCUCCUUGAGCUGCAGUGACCAUCUUAGCUGACUCGGUCUACAUUUGCUUAUUCCUGUUCCUCCUGUUGGUCCUCUUCCUUGGUUCAUGUUGGGAUUGCUCUGAAGUUUAUGUAGUCUUGUUCUUGAAGGAAAGUCUCCUUCUUCCCCUUGAUGUAGAGACUGAUCUUGGCAGCAUUAGCGUAGAUGACAGCUCUGGUGUUUAGGAAUGGCCUCCCUAAGAUAAUGGGUGCCCUCUCCUCAGUACCAGUUUCUACCACCACGAAGUUUGCUGGAGCGUACAAGGUACCAACUUGGACACAGAGGUUCUUUAAUAAUUCCUUUGGGAAACUAAGUGUCUGAUCUCCAUUGUGUUUGUGCUCGUAGAUCCCGGUUCUUCACUUAAUGGAAUCUGGGAGUUGUAAAACGCCUUCACGUUUCUCAAAAUGUGUCCUGCUCAUAGAGACAAGGCAGAGAUCCAGUGCAUGGGCUCUGUUGGUGGAAAACACCAACAGAACCAAAAGUGUAUUUGUUCUUUUCUAACCUUAAGCAUAGUGAGCAAGAGAAAGUUGAUGGAUCAUGAGUGUAGCAUUUAAAACAUUUAUUAGAUCAGAUGGCUCAACCUAAUGGAAAGAUAAUCUAUCUAUAUUUAUGUUUUGUUUUUAUCUUCCAAAUAUUGAAUGUGCAACAUAUUAGCUUAUAUGUUUAGGAGCGUGGGAUUACGAAGGUAAUACUAAGAACAAAGAUUAAGGGACUAGACAUGUUGAAUCAGUUAGGUUGGUUAAUUUAGAGUUAUAAAUCAUACAUGUUUGUCUCUUUAUUUAUGUGAACGCCAGAACCAAGGAGAAACUUAUAAAAGGAUAGUCAAGUACCUUAAGAUGUUACCUUUGAAGAGUGAUGGUACAGUAUCACCUUGUAGAAGCUUUCCUUUCUAGUGGUUGUGCAUCGUGUUUGUGGCUCCCUCCAUGGAUCAUCUCUUAUGAGCUACGUCUUUCUUGUCCAAAUUGUUAAACUUCAUGUGUCACUUUCUUUAUCUCCAAUGUGAGUUUAUCUCAGGACUUCCCAGGUUGAUAUUGAAAGUUUUCCUGCAGGGGUUAGUCCCACAAAAUAUACCAAUGUCUACACAAGCAAUUUUUAGUUCGAUAACCGAACUAGACUCCAUGUCUAAUCAGAUUAAGGAAGGCUGUUUAACCUAAACACCAUGCUUAAUUUAAAAGCCAAUAGAAGUAUGUGCAGUACUUCCAAACUAACACUUACUAGGAUAAACAAAGGUAGCGUGAUGGCAUUUAUAGAGAUCUACUUAAGUGAAGAUGAAGUAGUGUGAUUAGUAUUUAACAAAUUGAGCAUGUCUCAAAGGUAAGGACAACCAACAUAGCAACAUGGCAAAGGAUGUUUUAUGUGAAGUACUCCCCUAAGCUUGAAUUUUGCAAAAUUCAAGAUUGGAUGAAUUUAAUUCAAUGUUGCAUGUUGAUUGGUUGGGCAUACCUUGCGCUUGUCAUUCAUCCGGUCUUCUUGCUCCAAUCCUAGAAAGGUUAGUGACAAGAAUACCCGAAGGAAUAUUUCUACAAUUAUCUUAUAUGCUCAAUACACAAGGUAAUGUUGCAAGUAAUAAGAAGUUCAUGUUACAAUCUGAUAAGUGCUUGUUUUAGGACACUAAGCUUGUCCUUGGGAAACCAUCAAUUAACUCGACGAGAUCUGCAAUAUUUAUUAUAAACAUAUGCAUCGACAACCGCUCUUUUAAAGUUUUUAUAAAUAGAAAAGAAGAGAGGGUUGGAGAUCUCAAAUAUGGUGAUAGCACAUGAAUUUUUAAUGCCCUCUAGCCAUUGAUGUUGCUCUCCUCGAUCCUCCUUCUUAUGCAUGGGAUGUCUAGAGAGAUUCAUAGGAUUAUCGGGAGGUUCAAGAGAAAGAGCAUAGUAGAGAUUAUUAGGCUCAAGGAUGGGUUGGAUAGCCGAAUCAUGGGAUUGGAAAGUUUGGAAAUCGGCUAUUGAAACUUCCUCUCCUUGUAUGGGAGAUGAUUCCUUCUCUAUCUCUAUGAUUUUUCUAUGAAGACUAGUACAAGAAGGAUGUCCACAAAUGAAGACAUACCUUCCGUUACUAACUGAUAAAGAAAGAAGGACUCUACCAAAGGUUAUAUGAUUAAGACCAAUGCGAAAAUAUCUAGGAAAAACAUGGUCUUGCAAGGCUAGGUCUAAACCAGAAUUUAUAGAAAGAUUAACAUAUUCCCUAGGUGUAGCUAAAAGUGCAUUAUCUUCUUGAUUAAAAGAUAGGACCUCAGCUAUAGAAAAGGUUUGGUUUUGACCUAUUGCAAUCAACUCCGGACACAGAUCAUAAUUAGGGGCAGGACGUGUUGACUCCCAUGCUCUAUGGCUGGUCUCCGAAGGUGCAAAGAAUUUAAUAAUAGUUAUGGAAUUUGAGAUACCCAUAAAGAUAAAAAGAUAAAAGAAUAAAAGUAUAAAAGUAUAAUACAAGAUAAUAGCAAGACUCAAAGUUAUCUCAGCAAACCGUCUUUCUCCCCGGCAAUGGUGCCAGAAAUGCUUGUUGAUAUUUGGGAACGCAAUAAGGAAUUGAUCCGCCAGCGCACGGAUAUCGGUGAGCACUUCAUCCGGGAAAUUAUCCAGAGUAUCGUAUUUAUUUUUUUACCACUAGGAGAAAGAGUGCAUCUGACUAACCGGUCUAUUACUACUAACCUUUAGGCACAAAGAAUGUCUUUCGAUGUGAGUGAUAAAUAGAGAAGACUGCAACCGUAGUCUCCUUCUAACCUUGGUAAGGAUGAUCUACUGUUCUAAUGGGGAAGCUAACGGAAUCUAGACACCACAAAGGAUGUUCAACCCGCACCUAUAAACCCUAUCCUUCCUGCUAACGAGAUGUGAUCUACAAAGGUAGCUCGGAAAUGUCACGUUCCUCACUACUACCACGGUCCAGCUAGUCAGGGAAUAUCUAUGAGUACCCCAGCCUAAACACCACGUUUACGCCAGCAAUGAUUACUCUAAACUCUACGCGAAGAGAUUAAAGUAAACUCAUAAACCAUAAGAACAAUAAAACAAGAACUUACUAGAAUUUAGAAGUCGAAUUACUGAAGAAUCCUAGGAGCAAGCUUCGGGUUAGGAGAACUUGAUCCCGCAGGUACAAGCUUGGAGUACACACCGACAAGCCGGGCUUCCUCCACUCUACACCUCCACUCUAACUCUCUCAAUCUAGUAGAAACUAGAAGAUCUAUUUCUACCUUACAUUGAUUGCUAAGCCUAAAAAGAAAUAUUAAUUAGAGAAGAGGUUUUCCUUCGAGGGCACCCCUCAGUAUCUAUGAUAAUUUCUUCAUGUCUUCUAGGGGCCAGGGGGGCCUCGCUUAUAUAGUCCUCCCCUUCUAUGCGUUUUUGGGUCGAUAGCCGAGGUGGUACUAUGUUUUUCUUGAUCCAAUAGGUCGGUGGAAUAUCCCGAGCGAAGGAGUCCUGAAUUGGCUCCAGCAGGGGGGCGGGCGCCCAGGCUUCCAGGGCGGGCGCCCUGGGCCUGGCCCAGCUUCGCCUCCGCUUCGGUCUCGUGGCUUCUGGAGUCUUCUAGAUGAUGUAAAAUUACGCGGUGCGUUGAUAUCUCUAUGUAAUCCCGACAUGUGGGCCUUUCUUCCUUAUUUCCUGAUAACCCCAUGCAGAAACAGAUAAACAACAAAACUCGUGGAAUUCUGUCAGAUCAAACCCUAAUUCCAGGUGAUGGUUGCAUAUUGGUCCUUUCUCAUGUUUAUUUGAUAAUUAAAAUUGAUACUUAAGAACCGUCAACAGUAAUCUUGCUAAGUAGUUAAUCACAUUGUAUGAACUUGUUAUGAAUGUUACUCCGUAAAUGAGUGUACAGUGAGUCUAAUUAUAUUAUCAAGCAUUCAUCCUUUUGGUAUGCACACAUUCUUAUUCAUCGUGCAUGCAAUAGGUGCACCGGAAACGACCGCUACGUUCGAGCUCCAAGUGAACCCUGAUGGCCAAGAGAUCAACCCGGAGGUGGAGGUCCAGCAAGCCGGACACGAGGAGCCCGAAGAGGAGAUUGAGUGCCCGAAUCACAAGCCUGCAUCGUUCGUGAAAGGCAAGCCCCAGAGCAUCUUAAGUCUCCCACUUUAAUUUCGAAAGUUUACUUGAUUAUGGUAUAUCUAUUGAUGCAUUAAGUAUAGGAGUUAUGAUGAAACCCUUGCUACAUUUUACUCAUUCCUUGUCCAGAUAUCUUACCACUACCUGGUUAUAGAGUUAGAACCGAGUAGCGGCUUAGUCAUGCUUUAAUCGGUAGAAGUCGGGUGAUAUCCUGUCACCUGAGCGAGAUAGGGUUGUGUCGGAUCACGAUUAUCUAUAUGUGCUAUCGGGCUGAUUAAAAUGACUUAAGCCAGGCGGAGUUUUGCAAGGAUGUAGUAACGCUGUCUGUGGCAGCUAAGGACCGAUCGUUGUUCGUCCUCUUGUCAUGUUGAAUGCAUGCCUAAUACUUAGUUGGCCGGAUAACUCGUUCCGACCGCGAAACCUAGUAGUAUGACUCAGGCCGGAAGACCGGCAAGUAUAAAGUGCGCACUACCAGAGGAAGUGCGGUGUGCGGGGGACCAUUGGCGUAAGACCAAAGGCAGGUGAGUUAAAAGUCCUGACCUCCAUGGCAGAGUGGUAGCCUUGGGAGUGCGGCGCUGAUCGGAGCCGCGAUUCCUGAGUCGUACCAAAGGUGACCCGCUUGCUCUCCGACGGGGGAAGCUUGGGUGAGUGCUAGGAAUAACCCUCCAGCUGGAUAGGAAAUGAUUCGAAUCGCCGUCUCUCCUGGAUAGUGAGAACUUGACAGAGCAGCGGCAAACGUAGCAUUCACUAAGUACUAUGGUUCUUGAUAAUGAUGUUGGUGAUAGCAAGGAAGAACAUAUGAUGAACUUGAUAUGGUUAUUAUUGCUUGUAAUAAUCAAGUGAAGUGCUUUAGUCCAGGUGCUAAUCUAGUGAUAGGCUAAUGAUGAUUAAUAUGAUGCUUCUACAAUAAUGUAGCUAUCAAUUAAGCUUUUGGCAACUGUUGAGUCAAGCCAGCUCCACUUUAUACUUAGCCUUGCAUGAUCCUUGGUGUCUUUGUGUUUUACUAGACGGGUAAGUCUAGCUUAGUACAUCCUCGUACUCAGGGUUUAUUCCCACCUGUUGUAGAUGAUAUCUUUUUAUGACGGCUUCUGGAAGACCUGUCUCCAUCCCGCUGGGGAUGAGGACUAAACCGUUGGGCAUGGUUCUCUAACUACUUCGUAUCUGUUGCUUUUGGUGGAUGGUGUGAGACCCUGGCAGAAACAAGAACUUGUGAACUGAACUUUGGAAUGUGUGUUGAAGACUAUUUUGCUUCCGCUACUACAAACUUGUGUUGUAAUAACUAAGUAACUCCGAUGUGGUGCCGCUUCGAUGGCAAUGAAUUACCAUGUAACAUUCGCUGUGUUAUGUUGAAUUAUUACGAUCUUGGUUUGUUGCCAGUUGGUUUGAAAUCCUUCGCGAUUUCAAUUGACUACCGGGAUUAUAUUGGCUCAAGUUUGGAAACUUGAUUGCUAGUCGAUCGUUUCUACACUUGAACUCUUAUAAUUUGGUCGGUUCUGUGACAGUUGGUAUCGGAGCAAGUUCAGCAUUAUAAAUGCAGCGUUUGUGUAUUUAAAAAACAAAAGAGUUUUUAAAUAAAAAAAUGUGAAAAUCAACACUUAAUUAUGCCAGUGGUCGAAUCCUCCUUGCCCAUAUAAGGACUAUAGGUGGCUAUUUAAGUACUGACUUGGGGGGUUUAUUUACGCAUCUCCGGCAGUACUCAGGUAUGGAUGUGUGAUGACCGCACUAUGCUACCCUGUGGUCAAAUGGUAGAGGUAGCCUUCAUAUGUGAAUUAGCCACAUAUGUCGCUAGAUUUAAAUUAUGCAACGUCGCACCUACGCUCUGGUAAGUGUUAGCUGUGAGAGCAUGAUCGUACAAACGGCGGUCUAGGAGAGUGUUCGCGGUGGUUUUCUGGAUUGGUUACAUGUCUAACCAUGGAACCACGAAAGAAACUUAAUUGGGGAGCAUUUAAUUUCUCGGGUAGCUGUGGUGUCAUGGUUUGUGCAUGUUGGGCAUGUACAAGCAAUGUGCACUUAGUUUACAGCUUUCUUGAGUGAUAUAUUGGGAAUAGUUGGGCUGCAAUAAUGUUUUCUAUAGGUACUCUAACAGCGCACGUGUAAAUCACUAGUUAUCGUAUCGAGAGACGAAUGUAUGCCACCGUAUAUCCGUUAGAAUAUUAAUUUUCUAAGUUUGUGAGGACAUACGGUUCGUACAUGCAUCAUGUCGCAUUCAUACAUACAUUCUGUCUACUCCUUCCCUUACAAUGUCGUCCCUUUUAAUUAAAUAAAUAUUGCUUAAACUAAUCCUCUUUUACCCACGGUUAUUCCGUUCCACAGAUGGAUGUGCCCGCUUCACCUCGCCCCAGUGACACCUUUUUGAGUGAGUUUGGCACUCCUACUUUGCUCUGGAGGGUGCUACAGUCUGUAGGGUAUACUGAGCCACCUCAGUAUUCCUAGUGGGAGGUGGAUAUGAUAGGAGAGUUGCAGUGGUUUGUUGUGCAGGGAGUUGUUCCUCCACAUGGGGGCAGGCCUGCAUGGACAGGGUGGACCUGCAACUCUAAUGGGCAGACUCCAUGGGAAGCAGCUCAGGUUGCAGCCCAUUCUAUGCUGCUCAACAUCUGUCAAAGGUUUGGUGAUGAGCUGACAGGAGGGCCAGCGGCCUCCAUUCCCCAUGCUGACCCAGCAACAGUGGAGUGGAAGCAGGCUUAUGGUUGUGCGUUGGUCCGAGGUAGAGGAGAGCGAGCUGAGAGUUCCAGUCCUGCUAUGAGUGCUAUGAUGGCUGUGCUCAAGCUGUUCAGUCAGCGAGAGGACACCUAUGCCCAGGUGAUGGUGGCUGUUCGUCAGGCUCAGGAGAUGCAACAGAAGGCUGAAAAGCGUGCUCGCAAGUUUCGCAAGCAAGCUAGACUCCUAGAGCAAGCUCAGAAGGACCGCAAUGACUAGGAAGACAUUGCGGAGUACCGUAGGUAGCAGUGGGUGAAGGCCAUUAGAGAGAGAUAGAUCACAAGCAGGAUCAGAUGAGUUAGUUGGCUAGGGAGAGGGAGACAGUGCAGGAGCGCUUGGUGCAGGUCACUCGUGAGAGGGAUACUGCGCUCCGUGUGUCGGAGAACAGGUGCCGGGCUUGGGAGAUGCACCGGAAUCAGUCACUUGAGCGGGAGAACUAUCUGCAGGAUCAGAUUGAGGCUGGUCUUGUGGAGAUUCACCAUCUCAACAACUUGCUACACCCUAUUCCUCACCCUGUACCCGUGUAUCCAGAGGUGGGACCUCAAGUGAUCGUGGCCGAUGAUGAUGGUAUGGAGGUGGAUGGACCAGCAGCGGCUGCACCACCUUUGCACGAGGACGUGGAGGACGAGGAGCUUGAGCCGGUUAGCGACAAGGAUGGAGAGGCGAUCUUCGACGCUGACUCGGACGAGGAACAUGGAGUGUAGGGGGUAGUUGGUAGUUAUCCUGUGAGGAUCUUUUGUAGUAUGACUCUAAGCAGUUGUACUUUUGUAAUCAUGUUGUAAUCCGGAACCUUGAUCUUAGGCUUAUGAUCUGUACUGUGAUGGUGUAAUAAUUUUAUGGGACCAAUGUUGAUUAGCUUUAUCAUGUUCAACUGGAUAUGACGAUGUUUUUUUCGUUGUUAUGCAUUUUACGGAUAUCUGUGUCAUGUGUUGGAUUGGUGAUGCUAUUUUGUGGAAUUGAAUUAUUGUGCCUUUUAUGUAAAGUUAUUCUCUCGAAUACUUUCAGGCAUGAAUAUAAGUUAUUCUACGACAAAUCUUGUCAUCAUCAAUGCUCACUUACUGUGUCUUUACAGAUGUCUCGUGGCACUCGAGGUGCGGAGCAGCGUGCGAACAUGAACCCACCCCCUCCUCCUCCACCACCAGAUCUAGCUGAGCUGAUGCAAAUGAUGCUGGAAAAUCAGAUGAUGCUCGCUGAAACCAUCAACCGGAUGGCAAACUAGGGUGGUCGGAAUGCACCGGAUGGGCCAGCACGUAACCAGUACAGUAGCUUCAAGGGUUUCAUGGAUACGAAGCCCCCAUCUUUCAGAGAGGCUGAAGAACCCCUUCAAGCUGAGGAGUGGCUGAACACGGUGGAACAAAAGUUCCGCUUGCUUCGGCUGACCGAUGGUUUGAAGGCUGAGUAUGCAGCUCACCAACUGCAGGGUCCGGCAGGCAUAUGGUGGAAUCAGUAUCGGGAGGCUCUCCAGACAAUACUGUGCUUGACUAGAAUCUCUUCUGUGAAGCUUUCAAGGGGCAUUUCAUACCUCCUAGUGUCAUGGAGAUGAAGCAUACUGAGUUCAUGCAGAUAACUGAGGGAAACAAAACUCUGAAGGAGUAUUUGCAUGCUUUCAAUCAACUGUCUAGGUAUGCUCCGGAGUUUGUGAACACAGAGGCGAAGAAGAUCGCUAGCUUCAAGAGGGGUCUUGGCCCCAAGUUACUGAAAACUAUGGGCCGCACUAAGUGUACAACUUUCAAUGAGUUUGUCAGUGAUGCUCUCACCCAAGAGAACUACAACACUGUGUACACUGCAACCAAGACUCGCAAGAGGGCUUUUGAGGCCGGGGCUGGGGCAUCUCAGUCCAAGGCUCCAGUGGCAGCUAGGCCCCAGUAUCGUGUUCCAACUCCUAACCAGCGAUAUCGUCCCCCAGCAAAGAAGAAUCAGGCGAAGACGGGUUUCCGCAAGGGUUACUCUAUUGCUCUUCCUAGGGGCAACACGGGUCCCAGCUAUGCCAAGACUCCACCUGCCAACCAUCUGUGCUGGAACUGCAAUCAGACCGGGCACUGGCAAAGCAACUGUCCUUACCCGCCAAAGAAGGGCAACCAAGGGAACGUCCGCCAGGGGCGUGUUCACUAUACAACUGUGGAAGCAAUCACUGCUGGUGAGGUAGUUACGGCUGGUAAGUUUCUGGUCAAUCACUGUGAUGCACUUGUGCUUUUUGAUUCCGGAGCAUUGCACUCUUUUGUGAGUUCAGACUUUGUGUCUAAGCAUAACCUCAAGGCAAUUACACUUGAUAAGGGCAAUUAUUGCAUUACUGCUGCUAGAAAUGAUAUUUCUACCAAUCAAGUGGUUUUGGGGGCAACUCUGGACAUAGGAGACUAUCAGUUUCUUGUUGAUCUGGUUGUUCUACCUGGUGUGGGUAUAGAUGUAAUUCUGGGUAUGAAGUGGAUAUGUGGCAACGGAGUUCUUAUCGACACCACCACUCGCGUAGUGAUGUUGAGAGACCCGAAUACCAAAGAGGCGUUCUUAGUGCAACUUCCUCGGGAUAUUCAUAACUGUAGCACGAUGAAUGCAGUUACAUCUAGGGCCAUCAAGGAUAUUCUGGUAGUGUGUGAGUUCCUGGAUGUAUUCCCUGAUGAUUUGCCCGGGCUUCCUCCAGAUCGGGACGUGGAGUUUAAAAUUGAAUUGCUUCUAGGUACUGCUCCUAUCUCUAGAAGACCAUAUAGAAUGCCACCAAAUGAGCUAGCUGAGCUUAAGACCCAGUUGAAUGAGUUGUUAAAGAAGGGUCUUAUCCGUCCUAGUUCUUCUCCUUGGGGUUGUCCGGCUAUCUUUGUGAAGAAGAAGGAUCAGUCCUUGCGCAUGUGCGUGGACUAUCGUCCUCUGAAUGCGGUGACCAUCAAGAAUAAAUACCAUUUUCCUCACAUUGAUAUCCUGUUUGCCCAAUUGUCUAAAGCCAAGGUAUUCUCCAAGAUUGAUUUACGAUCUGGGUAUCAUCAGAUCAAGAUCCGUCCUGAAGAUGUAACUAAGACAGCUUUCUCAACGAGGUAUGGGUUGUAUGAGUAUCUCGUCAUGUCUUUUGGUCUCACAAAUGCGCCUGCUCACUUCAUGUAUCUCAUGAAUUCGGUAUUCAUGUCCGAAUUAGACAAGUUUGUGGUGGUCUUCAUUGAUGAUAUCUUGGUAUAUUCUCGCAAUGAAGAAGAGCAUGCGGAGCAUCUGCGUGUAGUGUUGUCGCGCUUGCGUGAGCAUCAGCUUUAUGCUAAGUUCAGCAAAUGCGAGUUUUGGCUGACGAAAGUACCUUUCUUGGGCCAUGUCUUAUCUCAAGAAGGUAUCUCAGUGGAUCCGGCUAAAGUGCAAGAAGUGCUGGAUUGGAAGGUUCCAACUUCGGUGCACGAGGUUCGGAGUUUUCUCGGUCUGGCUGGGUAUUAUCAUCGAUUCAUUCCGGAAUUCUCAAAAAUAUCCAAGCCAAUGACUCGCCUACUUUAGAAAGAUGAGAAGUUUGUAUGGACGCCUGAGUGUGAAGAGGCAUUCCACAAGUUGAGGACAUUGCUAACAUCAGCUCCUGUCCUAGCUCAGCCUGAUAUUGAGAAGCCCUUCGAUGUCUUUUGUGACGCGUCGGGUAUUGGUUUGGGCUGUGUGUUGAUGCAAGAAGGUCGUGUUAUCGCGUAUGCCUCACACCAACUUCGAAAGCAUGAGGUCAAUUACCCUACUCAUGACUUAGAAUUGGCUGCAGUUGUUCAUGCUUUGAAAAUCUAGAGGCACUAUUUGCUGGGUAAUCUGUGCAAUAUUUACACUGAUAAUAAGAGUCUCAAGUACAUCUUCACUCAACCUAAAUUGAACAUGCGGCAGCGAAGGUGGCUUGAGUUGAUUAAAGAUUAUAAUCUCCAAGUGCACUACCACCCGGGCAAGGCAAACGUAGUUGCGGAUGCCUUGAGUCGGAAGGCGCACUAUCAUUCGGUUCAAAUGGAAGAUCCAUUGUUGUCACAUCUUAUGCACCCGCUUGUGCUCAACCAGAUUUCUCUGGAGAGUUCUCUUCGCAAUCGAGUUAUCGAAUCGCAGCAAACAGAUGUAGGUAUCUACCAUAUAAAGAGGAAAAUGGAAGAAGAAGAAACCAAGCAUUUCCGAGUCGACGAGAAUGGAAUCCUAUGGUUCAAAGAUCGACUUGAGGUCCCAAAAGACCGUGAGCUGCAAAAUCAAAUCUUAUCUGAAGCUCAUUCAUCCAAGUUGUCUAUCCAUCCUGGUAGUAGCAAGAUGUAUCAAGAUCUAAAACCUUUGUUUUGGUGGACAAAGAUGAAAAAGGAGAUUGCUGCUUUUGUCGCUCGUUGUGACAACUGUUGUCGUGUGAAGGCCGUUCACAUGAAAGCAGGCUUACUUCAACCCUUGUCAAUUCCUGGUUGGAAAUGGGAAGAGGUCAGCAUGGAUUUCAUCGUUGGAUUCCCAACUUCUGUUAAGGGUUACGACUCUAUCUAUGUAAUUGUUGAACGUUUGACCAAGGUUGCUCGUUUUAUUCCAGUUCGAACUUAUUAUCGUCCACAUCAGUAUGCGGAGUUGUACUUCAAGCACAUUGUCCGUCAGUAUGGUGUGCCUCGAACUAUCAUCUCAGACCGUGGACUUCCCCUUUUUGGGAGUGUCUUCAUGAGAAAAUUGUUACUCACUUGGUUCGUAGUUUAGCAUAUCAUCCCCAAACUGCCAGCCAAACUGAAUGGGUCAACCAAAUCCUAGAAGACAUGUUGAGGGCAUGUGCUCUCUCCUCAAAAGGUUCUUGGGUGAAGUGGUUGUCGUUAGCUGAGUUCUCUUAUAACAACAGUUACCAAGAGAGCAUCAAGAUGGCUCCAUUUGAAGCCCUGUAUGGUCGAAAAUGUCGAACCCCGUUGAAUUGGGUGGAAUCCGGGGAACGAAGGUAUUAUGGCAUCGAUUUCGUGAACGAAGUGGAGCAGCAAGUCCGUAUCAUCCAGCAACAUUUGGAAGCUGCUCAAGAUCGUCAGAAAAGUUAUGCUGAUAAGAGAAGGAAGCCGAUUGAGUUUGCAGUCGGUGACCAUGUGUACAUCAAGGUGUCUCUGAUGAAGGGCGUACAAAGAUUCGAAGUCAAGCAAAAGCUUGCACCUCGUUAUGUGGGUCCUUAUCGGAUUCUCGAGAGAAAAGGGAACAUGGCAUACAAAGUUCAAGUACCAGUUGAGCUUCGAGCUAUUUUUCCUGUCUUCCACGUAUCACAACUGAAGAAAUGCCUUCGUGUUCCUCAGGAAUGAGUGGAAGUUCGGGACAUAAAGUUGAAAUCCGACUUGGUGUAUGAAGAAAUACCUGUAGCGGUUCUUGACCGCAAGGAAUGGGUGACACGUAAUCGGGUGGUUAAGUUCUACAAAAUAUUGUGGAGUGACCACGGGGAGGAAGAUACCACUUGGGCGGAGGACUAUUUAAAAUAAGUUUAUAAAACUUUCUUCGAAAAUCUGUAAGCUUCCAAAUCUCAGGACGAGAUUUUUGUAAGGGGGGAGGGCUGUAACACUCCAGUCUUAUGGUUGCAUCAAUCACAUGCAUGACAUGAGCAUCAUCAUCUACUCAAGCAUAUCAUGAUCAUCAUCUACCUUGAGUCAUGUCUAUGCAAAAAUGUGAGUUAACUUGUUAAAUUAUGCAUCCUAUGCUUGUGUUUGUUUGUACCAUGCUCAUGCUUGUGGGUUCAGUCUUGGUAAUUAGUUUAUCUAUGCUUAACUCAACCUUAGGAACAAUAUUCAUGUUGAUCACUUCUCCAAAAUAAUCACUUAAGUCAUACUUCCAUGUAUAGGCCAUAGAAACCUCUUUUGCUUAGGCUUUUAAAAAGUGUUUCAUAAAUUGUUUGCAUGUCAAAACUUUCUAUAGCAAAGUUGUAGCAAAUUUUAUAAGGAACAAAAGUUGUUUUAUGGCCAUCUCAUGAAAAUGACCACAUCUUGCUCAAAAAGUGCUUGCAAGGCAGUUUUGGGGUCUGUUUUGGCACUUAAACAAAUUUGGCUAAGUCCUAGCGCCACAAGUUUGCGCGAUCGAUUUUGAAAACCUCAUAUCUCUCAAUCCAGGCCGAUCUGGCUUUUGCUCUAGUUGACAAUGUUGUGGAACUCAGCUAGUACUCCAACUUUGUCAACUACACCAUCUCCUAAUUUUUUUCAGUUUGGGAGUUAAUCGCUGUCGAAGUCGCUCUGUCACACAACCAUCGCCAUGACUGAAUCGAAACCGAGCUCGUCGACGUGGCCGACCGGCGACAGAACAACAGCGACAUUUGGCGCCUGUACGUCGUCCCUGGCCCCGCUCGUCAGCUCCCAGCGCGCGCAUGACCUCCACGGUGACGCCCGGACGCAGUGGACGCGUCCACUCUCUCCUCCCUCUCGCUCUCUCGCCAGAAAAGCGGCCGCAGCGAGCUCACCGUCGCGAGCUCACUACGGCGAGCUCAAACGCUCUCCUCGCUGUGUCGCUGCUCACCAAAACAUGCCUACAGCUCCGCCGUGACCCGCUCUCUAUCCUCCACCCGCAAACUCGCCGUGAAACCCUCCGGUGAGCCGACAUUUCCGACUUCCCCCAAAUCGGGUCGCCGUGACCUUCUUCUCCGGCGAACUAAAUGCCGAGCUCCUCGGAGCCUCUCAUCUUCUCUGGUUAGGUCCUAGAGGUAGCUUAGGUCCUUAGCGAACGUUUGCGCCACUUGUUGGACGCUCUACCGCACUCACUGUCGCCGGACACGACGCGCAGCGCCGUCGUGUUUCCGCCGGAGUUCGGCUCUCUCGUGGCCAGCUCAUUCCACACUGUUUCAAGCCUAGUCACCCACCUAGGAAGCUUCGCCGUAGUUCACUGGUGCUGUAGGAAACCCUAGGUCCGCUAUUUCCGUGGCUCCGCCGUGGGGAAAAGGGGGUCAAUCGAUUCGCAAGGGCCUGGGGAUCACGUCGAUGCCCAUGGUUUGGUCGGAGGCCUCGCCGUCGCGGAGAAAUCGCCGGUGAGAGUCGCCUCGGUCGUGAGGAAGAUGACCCUGACAUGCGGGACCCGCUGCCAGUGACACAUCGUUUCCCUCCUUUUCUUCUAUUCAAAUCUAGGUUUUUGGCUUUCUUGCAAAAAUCAAAUCUUCUGUUUCUGAGAUCCAAAAAUUAUUAAACAAAUUCUAUGAUGUUCCUUGAGAUGGCUAGUAUUUAAUAAAAAUAUAAAAUGUACCAUACUUUCUAGGAAAAAUAAUUUUUAUGAUUUAAUCUUGUUAUUCAUGUGUAAAUUCAUAUCUCCUGAUAUGCUGCUCCUUUUGUUAUGAAAAUUUUAUGCUCAGCUCUGAGUGGUUUGAGAAUUCGAUGAUAAAUAUAUCAUGAUUUUUGGAGUAAUAUAUCUGUGAUAUGAAAUUUAUGUUGAUCCUAUGGCUUGUUUUCUGAAUUAAAUCCUAAUAAAUGAUUUAUGCUUAUGCUGGAAUUCUAUUUUGGUGUCAAGCUUGUUCAUGGUAAUAGUAACAUGUAAAUAAUCUGAAAUCUGUUGUUUGACACUAUCUAGGCUAUGUUUCUUAAUUUAUGAAAUAAGAACCUUGAUGCAUGUUAAAUGAUUAUCUUAAUUUUGGCAUGUGCAAUUGCUCUGGAAAUUUUAUGGUGAUAUCAAGAUGCUAUGCUUGUGCUGCUGUAAUUUUUGUAGAUUUGUCUGAGCACUUUUGCUGGUAUCUUGUAAAUAUGUCCUUUUAUGGAAUUAAUUUAAUAAAUGUCAUAUCAUUAUGUGUAAGUGGUCAACAUGUGAUGUUUCUGGUAAUCUUAUGGUGUGUUUGUGUUUAUAAUCCAUGUGGUUGACACUAUUUAUGCUUUGACCAUGUUAUCAAAUAAUUAAUUAAAGGGGUUAAAAGUUGAUCUGGACAGCAAGGAAGUAAUCUAACCUUUGCUUGAUGAUAACUUGGUUUUCUAGAAGACUUGUCUAAAUCAAGUUGUUGUAAACUUUAUGAACUAGCUGUGGUUUAAUUUUGGGAUCAAUUGGUCCAAUAGCUUAAAAGUUAUAGCUCUUCCAAGUUGGGUUCCAGAAAUAGGUGUUCUCUGUUUUUCUGUGACAGAACCUGGAACUUUGUUUAAAUGACUUGUUUAAGUUAUGAAUCUUGCUUUGAUGUCUACAGAGGAAAUGCAGAAAAUUUCAUAAGCUUUCCAGAAUGUCCUCAUCCAUGAUUGUUGGAUCUGUAUAGCUCCAGUUAUGAUUUAUUCCUUGAGCUGCACUGUUUUGUUGGUCUUUACUGUUGUAGUAAUUUGGUAAUCUUGCUAAGUAGUUAAUCAUCUUGUAUGAACUUGUUAUGAAAGUUACUCCAUAAAUCAGUGUCCAGUGAGUCUAAUUAUGUUAUCAAGCAUUCAUCCAUUUAGUAUGCACACAUUCGUAUUCAUCGUGCAUGCAAUAGGUGCACCGGAAACGACCGCUAUGUUCGAGCUCCAAGUGAACCCCGAGGGCCAAGAGAUCAACCCGGAGGUGGAGGUUUAGCAAGCCGGACACGAGGAGCCUGAAGAGGAGAUUGAGUGCCCGAAUCACGAGCUUGCAUCGUUCGUGAAAGGCAAGCCCGGAGCAUCUUAAGUCUCCCACUUAAAUUUCGAAAGUUUACUUGAUUAUGGUAUAUCUAUUGAUGCAUUAAGUAUAGGAGUUGUGAUGAAACCCUUGCUGCAUUUUACUCAUUCUUUGUCCAGAUAUCUUACCACUACCUAGUUAUAGAGUUAGGACUGAGUAGCAGCUUAGUCAUGGUUUAAUCGGUAGAAGUCAGGUGAUAUCCUGUCACCUGCGCGAGAUAGGGUUGUGUCGGAUCACGAUUAUCUAUAUGUGCUAUCGGGGAAGGAAUCUGAUUAAAAUGACUUAAGCCGGGCGGAGUUUUGCAAGGAUGUAGUAACUCUGGCAGCUAAGGACCGAUUGUUGUACGUCCUCUUGUCAUGUUGAACGCAUGCCUAACACUUAGUUGGCUGGAUAACUCGUUCCGACCGCGAAGCCUCGUAGUAUGACUCAGGCCGGAAGACCGGCAAGUAUAAAGUGCGCACUACCGGAGGAAGUGCGGUGUGCGGGGGACCAUUGGCGCAAGACCAAAGGUAGGUAAGUUAAAAGUCCUGACCUCCCUGGCAGAGUGGUAGCUCUGGGAGUGCGGCGCUGAUCGGAGCCGCAAUUCCUGAGUCGUACCAAAGGUGACCCGCUUGCUCUCCGACGGGGGAUGCUUGGGUGAGUACUAGGAAUAAUCCUCUAGCUAGAUAGGAAUCGAUUCGAAUCCCGUCUCUCCCUUUUAGUGAGAACUUGAUAGAGCAGCGGCAAACAUAGCAUUCACUAAGUACUAUGAUUCUUGAUAAUGAUGUUGGUGAUAGCAAGGAAGAACAUAUGAUGAACUUGAUAUGGUUAUUAUUGCUUGUAAUAAUCAAGUGAAGUGCUUUAGUCCAGGUGCUAAUCUAGUGAUAGGCUAAUGAUGAUUAAUAUGAUGCUUUUACAAUAAUGUAGCUAUCAAUUAAGCUUUUGGCAACUAUUGAGUCAAGCCAGCUCCACUUUAUACUUAGCCUUGCAUGAUCCUUGGUGUCUUUAUGUUUUACUAGAUGGGUAAGUCUAGCUGAGUACAUCCUCGUACUCAGGGUUUAUUCCCACCUGUUGCAGAUGAUAUCUUUUAUGACGACUUCUGCAAGACCUGUCUCAAUCCCGCUGGGGAUGAGGACUAAACCGUUGGGCAUGGUUCUCUAACUACUUCGUAUCUGUUGCUUUUGGAGGACCGUCAACAGGGUACUUACCUUCUUGAUUAGAAGAUACGACUAUAGCUAUAGAAAAGGGUUGGCUUUGACUUAUUGCAACCAAACAUGGGUGUGGCUCAUAUCUAGAUGUGAGAAUCAUGGACACUAGUGGCUCUAAGCUUGUGCUCAUGGGUGCAAGAAGUUGAUAGAUAGAAAUGUUAAAGGAUCAAGAUGCCCAAGAGGGGGGGUGAAUUGAGCUUCUCAAAAAUUUAAGCAACCUAUAAGCUCCAAUUCAACCCCUUGUGCCUAGUGUGACCUAGAGAGCUACCGGAUAAAAGUUUUGCAACCUAGUUCCAAUCCUUUUCUAGCAUGGCAAUUCUAAGAAUGUAAAAGCGCAAAGUAAAUGCUAGAAUGUAAAGGAGUAGUGAAGAAAGUGCUCGGUGAUGUUUUGCCGAGGUAUCGGAGAGUCGCCACUCUCCACUAGUCCUCGUUGGAGCACUCGCGCAAGGGUCUUGCUCCCCCUUGGUCCGCGCAAGGACCAAGUGCUCUCUACGGGCUGAUUCUUCGACACUCCGUCGCGGUGAAUCGCCCAAAACCGCUCACAAGCUUGACACGAGCCACCCACAAGAACUCCGGGCGGUCUUCGUGCCUCCAAUCACCACCGAACCAUCUAGGUGAUGGCGAUCACCAAGAGUAACAAGCAAAGAACUCUCACUUGACCCAAACAAGGCUUUAGAGAGUUGUGGAUGCACACUUGACUCUUGGAACUCACUAGAGAAGGAUUCUCUUAAGAAAACACUCAAAUCUCAAUCCUCUCUAGGCUCUUGCUACUCUCUUGCUCCACAACAAGUUUCUCUGAUGUUCAAAUGGGCAAGAGACCACUCAUGGAUGAGGUGGAGGAGUAUAAAUACUAUCCACGAAGUCCAAAGGUAAGCCAACCGUUUUCCACGGAAAACGGGGUCACCGGACGCACAUUAUGUUGCACCGGACGCACUGCACCGAGCGUCCAGUGCUCCAUAACGGCUAACUGUACUUGCUUUUGACAGGUCACCGGACGCUAACUUCCAGCGUCCGGUGCACCCUCCGGUGCUCGGGGAAGAUUUACAGGCUCCCUGCGCAUGGGACCCGACGCUACCCGGUGCGUCCGGUGCUAGCGUCCGGUGCUCAGGGCAGGUUUGCAACCUCCCUGGGUAUGGGACCGGACGCUACCCGGUGAGUCCGGUGCCAGCGUCCGGUGCCUAACCCUAAGCACGGUACUGUUCCAACGGCUAAGGACCUCACCGGACGCACUCACAGAGCGUCCAGUGCAGCGUCCGGUGCCCCCUUGGGCACCCUAACUUCGUCGAAACGCGAUCGCUCCAAAACAAAGUUUGUUCCUCUCGAUCUAAGGACUAUCUCUGAGCUGCCUAGUGCUAGGUUUACCAAGUCUGCACCACACCUAAACCUAAAGCCUUUCCUAAGUCAAGCUACUAGAUCAAAGCACCUCUUAAUAGUACGGUCAAAGGAAAACAAAGUCCUAAACUACUCUAAGUGCCCUUCUUCACCAUAUGGCACUUAGACCUAGUCUAGUCUUGACGAUGUCCAUCCAUCCUUUGAAAACCGAAAUGAUUUCCACUAUUGAGUAGGCAUGUAUGUCCCUGUUCAUCGAGUACUUAUUUACCAUGACCUUACCUAUGACUUUGCCUCUGCAAAACACACGUUAGUCAUAGUAAUCAACAAUGUCAUUAAUCACCGAAAUCACUAGGGGCCUAGAUGCUCUUUCAAUCUCCCCCUUUUUGGUGAUUGAUGGCAACCUCUAGUAUGAAAAGAGUUGAGGUUUUCAAAAUGACUUGGUUUCAAUAAGCAUGUUACAAUAAGAGCAAAGGGAUUAGUCAUGCUUAUAUCAACCAAGUCCAAUAUCCUGCAUCCAAAUAUGUGAGUGGUAUAAGACAGGAUAUAAACACAAGGCUCAUAAGUACAUCAGAGUAAAAUGUGGAAGCAAAGGUAAUAUGAGCCAAAAAACAUGACAUUAAGAUAUCACAUUAAGUACAAGUCAUGUCUCACAACCAAAGUGUAUCUCACACAAAUGCAAUGCAUAAAAGUAAACAUGAUGCAUGAUGGAGUAGCACACAAAAGUGUAUCUCAAAAGAAUAAAAGCUCCCUCUCUAGCUCCCCCUAACUCCUAACUCUCAUACUAGCCCCCCUAACUCCUAACUCUCAUACUCGCACUCUCUCCCCCUUUGGCAUCAAGCGCCAAAAACCUAAGAAGUCGGUGGAGGAGGCGAAGCAGUGGAGUCCCUCGGCACGGCCUCAAAGCGAGCUGCAUCGUCUGAACUGUCGGCCGUCGAGGCGGAGGAAGUGGAGUGACCCUCUGAAGCUGCACGUGCUGGCGAAGCGGUCCGGGUCUGCUCUGUAGGUGCGGGAGCUGUCACAGGUUGUGCGGGCUGCUCAAGUCCUGCUGACGAAGCGGGCACGGAUGCGGUCGCUGUAGCUGAAGUCUCUGGCACUGUAUACGAAGGUGCUAGCUGCUCAGACGACACUACGGACGAAGACAGACGCUCAGUGGUGGUGACUGGUGCCGUAAACGCGGCUGGAGCCUUUAGAGGUUGAGGCGUAGGGUCACCAGUCAGAGCACUAUAGGAGAAGCUGAGGUGUGGGUCUGUCGACGUGUCCAACACAAGCUGAGACGCUGACGCUGACGCUGACUGAGGUGUGAAACCAGAGCGAAGAGGUGUAAACUGAGGUACCUGCUCAAAACCAGAGGAGAUAGCACCCUGGGAGACCUGGUGCUGAGGCGUCGAGAACGGCUGGCUCUGAGCGGGUAGCUGAAGGGGCUGCUGGGACUGACUCUGAGUCUGAGGCGCUGGAGUGGGUGGCCUGACAGUCGAGGUGCCUGGGAGCUAAAUCUGUGGAAGCUGAAUCCCUGAGGCGGCCAUCAUCGCUGUCUGCUGGGCCUGGAACGCAAGCUGCUGCUCCUGAAAGGUGAGAAGCUGUUGCUGGACCUCAUCCUGCCUGGCCUGCAUGGCUGCAUUGUUGGCAGCCUGGUCCCUGUCUCUCCUCGCCUACUCCUCAGUUGCACGGCGCUGAUCUGCCCUCAUACCCUCUAAGAUAGCAAGUAAAGCUGGGUCUGAAGCACUAGAAGAGCCCCCUGCCUCGUGGUCAUGUGCUCUAGGAGGGAGGUCUGACACUGGCGGCUGAUAGUCAUCAUCCGAGUUGUCUGAGGUCAAGUCAAACUCUCCCUCUGCCUCUACAUCUGCGAAAGCCCUAAUGGCUAUGUCCUGCUGCUCCUCUGUCUCUGGUACAUCCGCUGUACUGCGAGUGCCCCUAGGAGAAGGUGGGGGCACCGGUCCACGUGGUGCACGAGGAGGAGGUGUGGCUCUGAGGUCGUGGUGUGCUCGCAGCAUCUUCCUGGGGUCGUAGUGGGGGAAGACGGUGUGUGACUCUGUCAACUCCCUCUGCAAGUGAGCUGGCAGGGGUAGUGGCCUAGCACGGUGAAUAAGCAAGGUGAUCCAAUGUGCGUACGGCAACUGACGCCGUCCCCUGAAGCUCUUUGAGAUGGUGUCCUCUAUCUUUGAGACGAUCAGAUCCCACAAGUCAAACUGCGUCUGGGAGAUGAGGUGAGCAACGAGCCACUGCUGGAUACGAGUGAAUCCAUCUCUGUAACCUGUCUGGGGGAGAAGGGUCUUCCUCAACACAAAGUCGAGGAUCCGAGCUGGUCGUGUCAAGUCUCCCACUGUCCGGCUGGAGCCCUCUCCAAAAGGUGGACGAAAACAAGGAGCCACGAAGUUAAUCGGUGGUAUCUCACCACCAUGAGGACGACGAGGAGGAUCAACGUUCCCGUAGCACAGUUGGUGAAUCCUGGUGGAGUAAGCUCGCAGCCCAAGCACCUCUCUGGCCUUCUGUGCUGUCACUCUGUAGUCUGUGCCUGUUAGAGCGUAGUGGAUGUAGCUAUGAUCUGGAGAAACCCACACUGACGCGUAGAACUCUCUGACCCAGUACUCACAAUAAGUACCAGGGAGUGCUAGCAACUCUGGGAGUCCGUGAAGGUAGGUGAAAUACUGACGAAUAUCUGCCCCAACCACGUUCCCGAGUAUCUCAAGGUCAAUCACUUUGUGCUCUCUGAACUGUGACUGUGAGCGAACCAGUGCCUCGUAAAUGUCCUCCUGGACUACUGUGUAAAACCUGGCACCGGCUCUGGGAUCCCUAGCAGCUGGGAACCAAGUAGGAAACGGGACAAAGCGUAGCUGUUGGAUCUCUCUGGCUGACACUAAGGUGAGAUCUCUGUGGAUCCUGAUUGGCCUCUGUCGUGAAGCUGGAGUGCCUCUGGCUGGUGUGGCACGAGCAGUGGACGUAGACUGGCCUAGCGUACCAGUCCGAGGAGUGGCCUGGGUACGUGCACGAGUCGACCUCCUGAGGGGCUGCUCCUGUGCCUCUGCUAGAUCCUCUGCCUAGGCCUCUGCCUCUGUGUCUGUGUCUGGAUCCUCCUGAGCUGGCUCUCUGACGUUGAUCCUGACACGCUGCCCUCCUAGCAUGAUGGUGCCUGGUGGUGAUCCAUGUCGAGCCUCGGCCUCAAGUACUGCACGCCUCUGACGUGGCGUGAGAUCUGCCCCGAUCCUCAGGGCACCUGACCGUCCACCCCUCUCAGCUGCCUCUACUGCUGCUGCAACUGCCUCUGCCACCUCUGCCUCUCUGUCGCUGGCCUUGCGCUUCUUGGUGGCCAACUUCUUUCCCUUGCCCUUCUCUGCCGCUGACAGGCGACGGGGAGGAUCACCUCCACCAUCACCCCCUGGGGAACCCCCUGCGCUGGCUGUCAGUCCACUGACAUUCUUGCAACGUGCCAUUGCAAGAACUACUGACUGAUCGAACGGCCGACAAACAACCAACUGUCAAAGGAGAUUAACGCGCUGCAGAGAAUAGACAAGAUAGGGUAUAUAUAAGAAAUCAUCAUAGCUAGAGGUGAGAAAACCCUAUAGAUCACAAGAAUAGAUGAGGAACAGUCGAGAACGGCUUACGAUCGGAGGACGAGACGCGUUCCGGAUUCAAUGUCGUGAUCGAGAUCUGCCGGAGAACGAGAAUCCAAUCCUCAAGGUGCUGCAGAUAAGGAACGGAGAAGUUUGAGGUCAAAACCUUAAUUUAAUCCAUUGAAACAUAACCUCAAACACCUUAGGGGCAGGGAUUUAAGCAACUCACCCAAAAAACCAAACUCCCUGCGAGAUUGGAUCUGCUCGCGAGGAGAUGGGAGAGAAGAGAACCUAGGGCGGAUCUGGCGCGUGGGGGAAAUCCACGGGAUCGCCUGGGGAAGAAAUCCGGUGGACGGCGGCGGCGAUUUGGCGAGGCUAGGGCACGGGCGGAGUCGGCGGUGCGUGGGGAAAAGGAGGGGUCAGCCCUGAAGCCACCCCUCAGGCGCGGGUUAAAUGCGCCCGCCGCGAGGACACCAGACGCUCUUAAUGUGGCACCGGACGCGCCCGGUGACCACCGGACUCAUGCGUAGAGAGGUAUGAAAUUCGGCAUUGCACCGGACGAUGGCCACCGGACGCUGGCUUUAGCGUCCGGUGCUUCAGGUCACGCCAGGUGAGCACCGGACGCACCUCACCGGACGCUGCAGGGACACUGUUCCUGUGUCCGGUGAGUGCAGUCUGGCACACUGACCGCACCGGACGCACGGAGGCAGCGUCCAGUGCAUUGUCCGGUGCUCCUCUGAGCACUUUUUCAACGAAGCACUACGCCCGACUUUGACCCAACCAAGUUCCAUCUUCAAAAGCACACAAAUAAACACCAAAUGGAACUGGUAUGAGUGACUUCUCUCAACCCCUCAAAUUUUCACAAAUAUUUAGCCAUAGGCUUAGUAGAUUUUUAUGAAAAUAAUUCGAGAAAUCGCCAAGGAGCAUCAUAUGGCCAUAAAGCUAGGGGUUAAAAUCACAAAGAGCUUUGAAUGCUCCCCCUAUCUAUGGACGAACACAGCGGAUGCUCAACGAAUAACCGAAAAGAAACGGUCAACCAGCAAGCAUGCAUAUGAUAUGAGUUGUAAUGCAAUACUUGAAAGUAAACUAAUGCUUGUCAAGUUUGAUCCAAGGUUAAGCUUUUUCACACACGCAAGGGGGUUAUCUUAACCAUGUUAGACAAGCCCUACAUGCAAGUUGUAUUUUAGUUUUAGUAUGCAUGAUAUGCAAAGCAAAGGUUAUUUACAAGUUUCAACACACAACUUUUACCUUUUAGUGAAGUUAGAGAGGUCAAGCACAUUAAGUUCAUUUCUUAACAUACAAAACCUAGCUUCAUCUAGGGGUUUUGUGAAGAUAUCCGCCAAUUGAUUUUCUGUUCCCACAUUCUCUAGAGAUAUGUCACCUUUGGCAACAUGAUCCCUAAAGAAGUGGUGACGGAUGUCAAUAUGUUUUGUGCGGGUGUGUUGAACCGGGUUGUUUGCAAGUUUUACGGCACUUUCGUUGUCACACAACAAAGGUACUUUGUCUAGUACUACUUCAUAGUCUAGCAAAGUUUGUUUCAUGUAGAGUAUUUGUGCACAAAAAGCACCGGCGGCAAUGUAUUCCGCUUCGGCCGUUGACAAGGCAACACUAUUUUGUUUCUUUGACAUCCAAGAGACAAGUGAUCUACCUAGGAAGUGGCACCCUCCGGAUGUGCUUUUUCUAUCAAUCCGGCACCCAGCAUAAUCCAAAUCGGAAUAGCCUACAAGUUGGAAUCUUGCAACUUUGGGAUACCACAAACCUAGGCAAGGUGUGUAUUUUAGAUACCUAAGAAUUGUCUUGACCGCAAUCAAGUGAGAUUCCAUAGGCAUUGCUUGAUAUCUAGCACACAUACACACACUAAACAUGAUAUCGGGCCUAGAUGCAGUGAGGUAGAGUAGACUUCCUAUCAUGGAGCGAUAGAGAGUCUUGUCAAUUGGGUUACCUCCCUCAUCCAAGUCGAGAUGCCCAUUUGAUGCCAUGGGAGUCUUGAUUGGCUUGCAAUCCACCAUCUUGAAUCUCUUGACAAGAUCUUGAGUGUACUUCUCUUGAGAGAUGAAGAUUCCUUCCUUCAUUUGCUUGACUUGAACGGAAGAAGGAUAGCUCACCAAUCAUGGACAUCAAAACUCCUUGGACAUUAAAUCACCAAAUUCCUUGCAAAAAUCUUCAUUAGUAGAGCCAAAGAUAAUAUCAUCAACAUAAACUUGGCAAAUGAAGAUUUCCCCAUUCAUUUUCUUGGUGAAGAGUGGUGUGUCAACUUUCCCAAUCUUGAAGCCCUUCUCAAUGAGGAAGUCCCUAAGCCUCUCAUACCAAGCUCUAGGAGCUUGCUUGAGACCAUAGAGAGCCUUGGACAACCGGUAGACAUGCUUGGGGUACCUAGGGUCUUCAAAAUCGGGGGGUUGCUCAACAUAGACAAGCUCAUUAAUAUAGCCAUUCAAAAAGGCACUUUUCACAUCUAUUUGAAAUAACUUGAUAUCAUGACUAGAUGCAUAUGCAAGUAGGAUACGGAUUGCUUCAAGUCUUGCCACCGGUGCAAAGGUUUCACCGUAGUCAAGACCUUCCACUUGUGAAAAGCCUUUUGCCACAAGUCUUGCCUUGUUGCGCACCACUUUGCCUUGAUCAUCCUUCUUGUUCUGGAAGACCCACUUUGUUCCAAUCACUCUUGCAUCUUUGGGUCGCUCUUCAAGUGUCCACACUUGGUUGCGAGAGAAGUUGUUCAACUCCUCUUGCAUGGCCAUGAUCCAAUCCGCAUCUCGAAGAGCUUCCUCUAUGGUCUUUGGUUCAUCUUCAGGAGACAGAAAAGCGUGAUGUUCAAUAAAUAAAGCAUGUCUAGAACGAGUAGUUACACCACGUGAUGGACUCCCGAUGAUGAGAUCUUGAGAGUGAUCUUGGAGGAGAUGUGAUGUUCUUCUUGGCACCACUUGAGGGGUUGGUUGGGGAGCAUCAAUAUCUUAUGCUUGUGCCACUGCUUGCUCAUGAGUGACUUGGCUGUCUUCAUGAGCAUCUCUCACAUCCUUGUCUUCAUCUUGUGGAACAUGUGAGGUGGAUGGUGGCUCAAUGACUUGCACAUCACCAUCAUCUUCUUUUGGCUUGAUGUCACCCACCGGCAUGUUCUUCAUGGCAUCCCUCAAUGGUUCACCACCUACAUCAUCAAGAUUAUCACAUGCUCCUUGGGAGCCAUUAGUUUCAUCAAAUUCAACAUCAAAUGUUUCUUCAACCAUGUUUGUGGCAUGGUUAAAGACCCUGUAUGCCUUGGACUUUGAUGAAUAGCCAACCAAGUAGCCAAUGUCACAUCUUCUUUGGAACUUUCCCAAGUGUUGGCGCUUCUUGUAGAUGUAGCAUUUGCAUCCAAACACUCUAAAGAAUGAGACAUCGGGCUUCUUCCCAUUGAGCAACUCAUAUGGUGUCUUCUCUAGGAACUUGUGAGGAAAGAGCCGGUUUGAAGCGUAGCAUGCGGUGUUGAUUGCCUCGGCCCACAUCUUCUCUGAAGUGUUGUACUCAUCUAGCAUUGUUCUUUCCAAGGUGAUCAAUGUCCAGUUCUUUCUUUCUACAACCCCAUUUUGUUGUGGUGUGUAUGUUGAGGAGAACUCAUGCUUGAUUCCCACUUCAUCACAAUAUUCUUCAAUGUUGGUGUUGUCAAACUCUUUGCCAUUGUCACUUCUAAUUUUCUUUAUCUUCACAUCAAAUUGAUUUUGGGCAUUCUUUGCAAACUUCUUGAAUAUUGAUGCAACUUCAGCCUUGUCUUGCAAGAAGAAUGUCCAAGUGUACCGGGAGAAAUCAUCAACUAUGACCAAGCAAUAUUUGUUGCCUCCAAGACUAGCAUAUGUGGUUGUUCCAAAUAAAUCCAUGUGAAGUAGCUCAAGCACUCUUGAAGUAGAGAGAUAGGCCUUGGUUGGAUGAGUGUUUGCAACUUGUUUGCCCGCUUGACAUGCACUACAAAGCUUGUCCUUCUCAAAUGUCACAUCCUUCAAGCCUCUAAUCAAUUCUUUCUUCAUCAACUUCUUGAGUGUGCCCAUUCCAACAUGUGCUAACCUUCUAUGCCACAACCACCCAAGUGUAGUCUUGGUGAAUAAGCAAGUCUUGACAUCAACUUCAUCGGAUGAGAAAUCAACUACAUAUAGCUUGUUGUGUCAGAAGCCUUUGAAUAUCACUUCAUUGUCAUCUUCCUUGGUCACAAUCACUUCCUUCUUCUUGAAUAAGCAUUCAAAUCCAAGAUCACAAAGUUGCCCAACCGAGAGCAAAUUGAAACUCAAUGAUUGCACAUAGAGCACAUUGGUGAUGGAGUUGUCAUUUGAUAUAGCAACCUUUCCUAGUCCCUUGACCUUGCCUUUAGAAUUGUCAACAAAUGUGAUCUUCUCUUGGUUGUCAACAUCUUCAUCAAGAGAGGUGAACAUCCGGGGAUCUCCGGUCAUAUGUUGAGUGCAACCACUAUCAAUUACCCAAUGUGAUCCACCGGUCUUGUAGUUCACCUACACACAAGAGAUCAAGCUUGAGAUUUAGGGACCCACAUUUGCUUAGGGCCCUUGACCUUCUCUACUAGUGGCUUUGGCACCCAAAUCUUCUUUGGCCUUUGCUUGUUGGGUGGCCCCAUGAAGCUAACCUUGACCUUUCCACUCUUGUCUUUCCUUACAAUGUAGUGAGCAUUGAAGGCAAAUGGUCUUGCAUGCUUGGGCAAGGAUGGUGGUAGUGGUGCCUUACACUCAUGAGCAAAGUGUCCUUCUUGACCACACUCAAAGCAUCUCUUUGGCUUUAGCUUGCUUGGUUGAUCAUGAGUGGCUAGUGACUUGAUGAGCUUUGUUUGAUGAGCUUUGUAUCCAAUUCCACUCUUGUCCAUCUUCAUGACGGUGUUCAUGAAAAGCUCACUUUGAAGGUCCUUCCCUUUUGUGAACUUUGCUAACCCCAUGGUUAGGUGUUCCUUCUCUUUCUUGAGCUUGUUAUUCUCUUGAGUUAGCUUUUUGAUGAUUGGGUCAUUGUUGCUAGCUAACUCAUCCAAGAUGAAUGUCUCAUCCUCUUCUUGCUUGUCAUACAUCAAACCAAGCUUGAGAUAUUAAUUUUCUUCUUUGAGUAACUUGUUCUCAUAUGCAAGCUUAUUGUCUUGAUCAAGUGACUCAAUCACAACGGUCUUGUGCUUGGCUUGGUCUUGCAACUCUUUCUUGAGCAUGACAAUUUUAUCCUUGAGCUUGAUAGUGUCCUCACAACUCUCGGCCACUACCACUUUCUUGCCCUUGCAAUCAACACAUUUUCUUGUGCUCUCCACAAGUAAGUCAUCACAAGAUGUGGCUACAUCAAGCUUAGCAACAUUGUUAGUAGCAACAUGUGUUUCAUCAAUUGCAAGUUCAUAAGCAAUCUCAAGGUUGUCAUAGUUUGCUUUUAGAGUUGUUAGUUCUUCUUUCAUUGCUCUUUAUCUAGUUCUAAGCUCAUCAUGAACACUCUCAAGUUUAUCAUGUUUUUCUUUGAGCUCUUUUAGAGAGAGUUUGAGCUCCUUGAGCUUAGUGGUCAUGAUCUCAUUUUGGUCUCUAAGCUCAUCACUAGAUUUAAGCUUUGCUAGAAGUGUGUCAUUUUCAAGUUCAAGCUUUUCAUUUUCACUUCUAGUUUUUCUUAUGACUUUUGUGUACUUGUUAAGCAAUUUUACAAGUUCAUCAUAAGAAGGUGAUUCAUAUUCACUAUCACUUUCACUACUCUCAUCCUCACUUUGUACCUUCCGGUCACCCUUAGCCAUGAGGCAUAGGUGUGUAGAGGAUGUAGAUGGUGAUGGAGCAUCGAUGGCAAUGGCGGCAACCUUCUCAUCAUCACUCUCAUUGCCGGAGGAGUCACCACUUGAGCUCUCAAUGUCGGUGAGCCAAUCACCAACAAUGUAAGCCUUGCCAUUUUUCUUCUUGUAGUGCUCCUUCUUCUUGCCACCUUUCUUCUUGUAUUGCUUCUUGUCAUUCUUCUCAUCAUCACUUGAGUCAUCUUGCUCUUUGUUCUUCUUCUUGUAUUUGUCCUUCUUGGGCUUUGGACAUUGGUGAGCAAGAUGACCAAGCUCACCACAAUUGUAGCAAUCCAUCUCGGAGAUGCGCUUCCUCUUGCUACGUGUGAAGAACUUCUUCUUCUUGGAGUCAAAGUUGACUCCAUUCUUGUUGAGCUUCUUCAACAUUUUUGUGGUUCUUCUCACCAAGAGGGACAUGGAUGCAUCAUCAUCACUUGAAGUUGAUGACUCAACUUCAAUCUUCUUGGCUUUGCCCUUGUGAGAAGCUUUGAGGGCCAAGUCCUUCUUUUCUUUCUUGGCCGAUGAGGAGCCAUCUUGGGGGUUCAUGUGCAUGUACAUCUCAUGAGCAUUGAUCUUCCCCAAUAUGGCGGUUGGUGUAGCGGUGGAAAGAUCGCCUUGAUGAAGCACCGUUACUAUGUGCCCAUAUUUCUCAAUGGGAAGCACACAUAGUAUUUUCCUUGCUACAUCCGCCGCACUCAUUUGAGUGAGCCCAAGUCCAUUAAGCUCCUCUACAAUGACAUUCAAGCGAGAAUACAUUUCAUUAGCAUUUUCUUUAGGAAGCAUCUCAAAUGUAUUAAGCUUGUUCAUCACUAGGUGAUAGCGUUCCUCGCGUUCACUCUUUGAUCCCUCAUGGAGCGCACAAAGUUCCUUCCAAAGUUCAUGGGCGGUUUUGUGGCUCCGAACGCGGUUGAACACCUCUUUGCAAAGGCCUCUAAAGAUGUGGUUUUUGGCCUUCGCAUUCCACUUCUCGUUUUCUUGCUCUUGUGGAGUAAGAGCAGUGUCCUUUGCCGGAGGGGUAAACCCUUUGGUCGCAGCUUUUAGGCACUUUAUAUCGCAUGCCUCAAGGUAUGACUCCAUCCGUAUUUUCCAAUACGGGAAGUCAUCCCCAUCGAACAUGGGUGGCGGUCUAUCCCCAUUAGACAUCUUUUCUCUAGGCGGUGAAGCCUAAAAAUGAGCACUAGGCUCUGAUACCAAUUGAAAGGAUCAAGAUGCCCAAGAGGGGGGUGAAUUGGGCUUCUCUAAAAAUUUAAGCAACCUAUAAGCUCCAAUUCAACCCCUUGUGCCUAGUGUGACCUAGAGAGCUACCGGAUAAAAGUUUUGCAACCUAGUUCCAAUCCUAUUCUAGCAUGGCAAUUCUAAGAAUGUAAAAGCACAAAGUAAAUGGUAGAAUGUAAAGGAGUAGUGAAGAAAGUGCUCGGCGAUGUUUUACCGAGGUAUCGGAGAGUCGCCACUCUCCACUAGUCCUCGUUGGAGCACCCGCGCAAGGACCAAGUGCUCUCUAUGGGCUGAUUCUUCAACACUCCGUCGCGGUGAAUCGCCCAAAACCGCUCACAAGCUUGACACGAGCCACCCACAAGAACUCCGGGCGGUCUUCGUGCCUCCAAUCACCACCGAACCGUCUAGGUGAUGGCGAUCACCAAGAGUAACAAGCAAAGAACUCUCACUUGACCCAAACAAGGCUUUAGAGAGUGGUGGAUGCACACUUGACUCUUGGAACUCACUAGAGAAGGAUUCUCUCAAGAAAACACUCAAAUCUCAAUCCUCUCUAGGCUCUUGCUACUCUCUUGCUCCACAAUAAGUUUCUCUGAUGUUCAAAUGGGCAAGAGACCUCUCAUGGAUGAGGUGGAGGAGUAUAAAUACUAUCCACAAAGUCCAAAGGUCAGCCAACCGUUUUCCACUGAAAACGGGGUCACCGGACGCACAUUAUGUUGCACCGGACGCACUGCACCGAGCGUCCGGUGCUCCAUAACGGCUAACUGUACUUGCUUCUGACAGGUCACCGAACGCUAACUUCCAGCGUCCGGUGCACCGUCCGGUGCUCGGGGCAGAUUUACAUGCUCCCUGCGCAUGGGACCGGACGCUACCCGGUGCGUCCGGUGCUAGCGUCCGGUGCUCAGGGCAGGUUUGCAACCUCCCUGGGUAUGGGACCGGACGCUACUCGGUGAGUCCGGUGCCAGCGUCCGGUGCCUAACCCUAAGCACGGUACUGUUCCAACGGCUAAGGACCUCACCGGACGCACUCAUAGAGCGUCCGGUGCAGCGUCCGGUGCCCCCUUGGGCACCCAAACUUCGUCGAAACGCGAUCGCUCCAAAACGAAGUUUGUUCCUCUCGAUCUAAGGACUAUCUCUGAGCCGCCUAGUGCUAGGUUUACCAAGUGUGCACCACACCUAAACCUAAAGCCUUGCCUAAGUCAAGCUACUAGAUCAAAGCCCCUCUUAAUAGUACGGUCAAAGGAAAAUAAAGUCCUAAACUACUCUAAGUGCCCUUCUUCACCAUAUGGCACUUAGACCUAGUCUAGUCUUGACGAUGUCCAUCCAUCCUUUGAAAACCGAAAGAUUUCCACUAUUGAGUAGGCAUGUACGUCCCUGUUCAUCGAGUACUUAUUUACCAUGACCUUACCUAUGACUUUGCCUCUGCAAAACACAUGUUAGUCAUAGUAAUCAACAAUGUAGUAAUCAACAAUGUCAUUAGUCACCGAAAUCACUAGGGGCCUAGAUGCUCUUUCAGGAAUGGAAUUUGGUUUCUGCACAAGGAUAGAAAAAAGGAAAAAGAACAUAUGAGAUUACAGAAAAAAAUAAAAAUAUAAUACAAUGUUUAUCAGGAUUUAAUGUUAUCUUAGCAGACCGUCCUUUUCCCCAGCAAUGGUGCCAAAAAUGCUUGUUGAUAUUAGAUAUGCACACAAGCGCACGGAUAUCGGUGAGCACUUCACCCACGAGAUAUUCAAGAGUAUCGUUAUUUAUAUUUUUACCACGGGGGGAAAGCGUGCAUCAGACUAACCUAAAUAUAUACUUAACACCUGGGCUUGCAAGACAUGAUAGUGAGAUAUGAGUGAUAUAGAGAGAACUCCUUCGUUAGUCUUGUUCUAACCUAUGAUAAGCUGUGUAGAUAUUGUUCUAAGGGGAGUACCUAGAGAAAAUAGACACCUCAGAGAGUCCUUAACCCUGACACCAUAAAUUCUACCUUACAUUCGGACGUGGAUUACAGAGACAGCAAGGGGAUUGUCACUUCCCCCGAUGCUACCUCAAUUCUAGCCAGAUAGUGAGUAUCUACGAGUGUUCCUAACCCAAGCACCACGCUUAUGCUACGAAUGUUUGCUCUAUUCCUUAACGCUAGCGAAUAAAGUAAACCCAUAAACCAAAGAACAAUAAUAAUAAUUACUUACUAGUAUUAGAAGUUGAAUUGCUGAAUGAUUCUAGAACCAAGCCUUGGGUUAGGAGACUUGAUCCCUCAGAUAAAUGGAAGAAGACACCGAUAGGCCGGGCUUCCUCCACUUCUAUCUCCACCCUAUACUCUCUCAACCUAUCUUGUUGCUAAAACCCUAAAGAGAUAGAUCCAUUCGAAGGACUCCUCUCUAGCUAAUUCUCUCUAGAAAAUAUGAAUUAGGGUUUCAGAAUUAGCUACUCCCCAGGUGUGGGGGUAUAAACCCCUAUACCCUUAUGGCUAGACUUGGGCCAGAAGACUUGGCCCAUCGCGAGACAGAUUUGGGGCUUGAUCCAACUGCUCGGAGUUUCACGCAAGGAAACAAGAUGUAGGGAUCAAGUAGGAUUCUAGUCGGUUAGAAUAGGAAUUGAUAUCGUACUAUCUAUGGCAAUUGUAACCGACUAGGAUUAGUUUCCAGAUCUGUAACCCUGCCCUCUAGACUAUAUAAGGAGAGGCAAGGGACCCCCUAGGACAUCUUAUCUCAACUCAACACAAUCCAAUACAAUCAGACACAGGACGUAGGUAUUACGCCCACACGACGGCCGAACCAGGAUAAAAACCUUGCCUGUGUCUUGCGUCACCAUCAAGUUCAUAGCUUGCGCACCUGUCUGCCGAUAAACUACUACCGUGGGUAUAACCCAAGGUAGACUGUCGACUAGCUUUCGUCGACAGUGGCACGUCAGGUAGGGGGUGUGCGUGUAGCUCUCCCAACGAACAAGAUGGUCAUCGUUCUAGCUUCCGCAGGCAUGCCUGAAGGUCUCACGUUCACCGUCGGGCAGAUCACUUGGACGACUCGUGGCGGCGGCCUUACGACCACAACUUCAGAAGAAACCCAGAUCCAAUCUGGGACAGCAGAGGCGUCGACUCCGAUCACGCCAACCCCUAAGACACGACCUCUGCUCCCUCGCUAUAGGGCAGAGCGAGUCGACAACUCGGAUCUUCUUUAAACCCUCGAUCGCGCCGACCACAAGCUCCUCAAAUCCUCCAACCUGGUGGAUUCGAUUUCGUGCAGACCCGAUUAGGCGGCAACAACAAAUUAUUACGACUCCCGUCGAUUAACUCGUGUCUCCAUGCAUGAACUACUGGAGACGUCCUUGACGAUAACGUCGACCCCCGCGGGACGGACCGUCAAGCUCAAAACAGCCUCCCCAGACCAGAACUGCCCUUAUGGUCUGAGCAACGCGGCUAACCAGUUUUCGCGGCAUACUCAAUCCCUAUUCGGCAAGGCGGGCUUGUCGUCGAGCCAGAAUAGGUGAGCAACCCGUCACUUUGACAACAUGGUCUCCAUCCGCACUCUGCUAGAAGACAAGUCCAGCAGUACAAGCUCCAGUACAGGAUCUGUCCCUACCGAGGUUUUACACCCCGAGGACGAAGACUAUGAUUUAGAUCUACCAUCAUCCCCCCCCGGGGUUCUCCCGCUUCCCAGUCUUUCAACCUCGGCGAGGAGACUUGGUUCUCAACGUCAGUAAUGACGAACCAGUUGUUGACGGAGAAACUGACGAACAGAGACAACAACAAGAACAGCGCAACGCCGACCGUGCCCAACGACGAGCAGACGAGGAACGACAGCUCGCCCACAUAAUCUCAGCAAUGCUUUCGACAUGGUCGGAAAUCAGUAGGUCUACAAAACACCAAGCGCCAACGUGGUCGUCACCAUGGCAAACUUAUAUCGCUUUCUCGAUACUCCGAAAUAUCAGGACAUUCGAAUCAACAUACGAGCGCAUCUGAUCGCGGCCAUGGGACAGACCGCUACUCUGCUCAAAAGGGUCCAAGCUAUUUCCUAUACGGAGGUCACGUCCGACCAGACUCAUCACAGCCGCACCUCCUCGCGUUCUGUUGGGCACCAUCGUAGCUGUUCACCCGUCAAUAAUCGAAGAAAGGACACUCGUCGCGACAAUCGUGGUUAGGAUGCACGCGGUUAUCACGAACAAAGACGCAGACAUGGUCAGGAGGUGAACCAAGACCGGGAUCUCCGACACAACAUCCCUCUUAAGGAUGUCCGCGAACGCAUCAACAGGCGCAAGGAACGAGCAGUACACGAAAACGUGCGACGCAUUGAGUACGAUGCAACACAUGCCCCCCCCCGGCCUAAGACAGUUUUCGUCACACCUUCACCAAGUCGUAUGGCCCCGCAACUUCAAGCUUGAGAAGCUCAAAAAAUACGAUGGCAAGGAGAACCCUGAAAACUGCAUCACUCUUUACGAGAUCGCAGUCCGGUCAGGAGGAGGGGACGAGCACGUCAUGGCAAAUUACUUCCCAGUCGUCCUCGACCAAGCUGGCCACCAAUGGCUCCUCGGUCUACCCGAGGACUCUUUUGGGCUUUUAUUGAUAAUUUUAUCGCUACCUUUGAGCAGCCCGGAAACAAAUACGAUCUUGAGAGGAUAAGGGAUAGGAAGAAUGAGCCCUUGCACGAUUACAUCCGACGCUUGUCGAAUAUGCGCCUCAAGAUUCCGAAGAUUUCUCACGACGAGGCCAUAUCAGCCAUCAUCAAGGGCCUACGCCUCCAUGAAGCCUUAAGAAGUAAGCUACUACACCAAAGGCCGACCACGGUCACCGAGCUCCUAGCCACGGCCAAAAACUACGCCGAUGCCGAUGACGCAGAAAAACUCAUCCGAGAAGAUGUGAGAGGAGUCGACCAGCCUCCCCAAUGGGACGACAGUCGUGGGCGCUUCGACAACCGGAAUCCUCGCCGCGGCGACAACCGCUACCACCAAGAAGGGUGGGACAGGCGUCGCGACAACCGUGACGAUUUUAGAGGCAAGCGACCUCGUGACAACGACCACGAGGUGAACACAGUCAAGCGUCCCAAUGGACGGCGAGAUUACAGGAAGACUAUAACAAGACGCUAAAAGGACCGUGCCAACUCCAUCCCAAGUCCAACCACAUGAUGGAAGAAUGUCGUGUCCUCAAAAGCAUCUACACACAGCGGGUCGCUCAGGGGGAUUAUGUCAAGAAAAACAGGAAACAGGAUAGACACGGUCAGGAAGACGAAGACGAUGACCAGGAUAGGGACCCAUGACACCAAUAUGUCAGUCCCACCGACGUGGUACACUCCAUCUUUAGAGGCAAAGUUUCCAUCGAGUCCAAACGAGAAAUAAAGCUCUUGAAGAGAGUUUGCCUUAACGUGGACUGCUCCGAUGGCCUGAUUACCGAUCCGAAAUUCCCCCCUGGUCGCACAGAGAGAUCUCCUUCAACAGGCAGGACCAGUGGGCCACCAUCCCAGAACCAGAGCGUUUCCCUCUGAUCCUGGACCCGUGCAUCAACAACAUUAGGUUCGAGCGCGUGUGUUGGGUAUUCUUAACAUCAUUACCAAAAGUAUACAGUUUUCUAAUUCUAGUAACGGUGCCAAAAAUGCCAAACCUAUCCCUCAUACCACUUAAGCCAUGUUGUCAUCCCCAGCAUGACAUGAGAGACGCGGUAUUGAAAUAUGCAAUUGCUCUUCUAAAUAGAUAAUGAAUGGGAUCUGCAAGUGCACAGAUUAAUACCGAUGUAGCAUUUUAACCGGGAAGUAUUCCAGGUAUCGUUAUUUAUAUUUUUACCACUGGGAAGGGAUUAGCAAUCAUCAAUAUUGAUUACGGAAUAGAAUAUGAGAUUGAGUAUCUAUCAUUGCAUGUAUAAUUGAGAACAUUUAUCUAACUCUUUCAUAUAGGGGUAAGUGUCACAUAAAGGAUAUAUGAACAAAGAUAAUUAAUCUGAUCAGCCACAUAUAAAUAUGAUAGGCACCUCAAUUAGAUGCUCUAGAAAGUCAUUAGCAUGGUAUUAGAACGAACUACAAGAAUAUUCCCUAAAUUAUUCUCAACUAUAUAGUCUAGCAUUAUCAUAAUUAGUGCAAGCAUACUUAGCAAUCAUUGCGAGACAAGACUACACCCAUGCAUAGUGAUAUUAGCAAGGUAAAUGAGAAACAUAGCAAUCACUCCCCUGUAAUAAUAUUGCUCUGCCAGCCCAAUACACGAGAGGGGGACUAUAAGAAUCAAUGAAGCUGUCACUAUCACGAACUACCCCACGAUCUGGCAUAUUGAGUACAAUCGUAGAUAAAUACGGUAUAAGCACCGCGCCUACACAAUAUCUAUCAUUUACCCAUGGAUCCGAUGGAUAAACUCUAUACGAUCCUAAGCAUGUAUAUAGAUCCAAUCUAACAAAGCCAAGUACAUAACUAUGAUAAACUAAGAACAAUAUAAUCUUGAAUAUAAACAAGUAGAGCAAAGUCAUAAGCAAUAUAUUGAAGUAGAACAAAGUCGUAUUCAUAAUAUUGAAGAACAAAGAUGAUUAGAAGAAUAGUUAGAAGCACAAUUAGAGAAUUACCAAGAAUCCUGUUGACAGAUCUGGAAACCAAUCAAAGAUUGACUCCUUCUAGUUCUAAUCCUAUGUAGCUAUGCUAAUCUAGAUGUCUAAUUGAUGUGGUGGCUCUAAUCUUGAUCAGAGGCUUCUUCUCCCUUGAAGAAUAAUGAAUUAGGGUUGAGAGGCUCUCUCCUCCAGGGGCCAGGAGGUCUGGUUUUAUAGUCCCUUCAAGUGAAUAUGAGCCGUUGGAUCAAACCGACAUAGAUUGAACGAUUAUCCUUGAUCCUUUAGGUCGGUGGAGAUCUUCCCCGAAACAGAGUCCUGAUUGGACUCAGCAGGAGGGCGGGCGCCCAGGGAAGGAGGGCAGGCACCCUGCCACUGGCCCCGUUCGGCCACCGCUUCCUUCCUGUGGCUUCUGGAGUCUUCUAGAUGUAAGAUAUUUGCGCGGCACGUUAAUAUCUCUAUGUAAUCCCGACGUGUGGGCCUUUCUUCUGUAUUUCCUGAUAACCCCCUGCAGAAAUAGACAAACACCAAAACUCGUGGAAUUCUGUCAGAUAAAACCCUAAGUCUAGAUGUUGAUUUCAUUUGGAUCCUUUUCUUUGUUUAUUUGAUAAUUAAAUUUGAUACUUAAGGACCAUCAACAAACUCCCCCAAGCUUACCGCUUGCUCGUCCCUCAGCAAGGAUAGACUCAGUAAUGGAUCAGAAGUUGUUGCAAUACUUAAAAAUUGACGGUACACAUGCUUUUAAAUGAGGUCUCAUCUCUGAGUUAGAGGAAACUGUCAAGACUUAAAACUUACUUAUUUUACCUUCACCAUGGGACUUGUAACCGUCAUUUCUGUCUUGAGUAGUUAAAAGAUAGAACAGUCUAGUCAAGUGCCAUGUUUCUUAUUCUUGAUCAGCUAUAGCUCUAGUGUUUUUUCAGAUUUUCAAAUAAAACUCAGAGAUUCCUUGUAUGACUCUCUCAAAUCUCUCUUUUGUGGUAUUUCUGGAUCCUUACCAAGGCAGUGAUGGUAUAUGCCUUCUCUCAAUAUAUAUGGUAUUUAUGGUAUAAAGCAUAGUGCCAUUGUCUUAUCUCUCACCCAACUCUAAUAAGGCUUUUGAUAUCUGGAGCUCAUAGGUGGGAGAUAAAGUAUACAUACUUACAAUACAUUUAUUGUAUAGUAAAACCAUGGAUCCAAAGAAACAAGUCACUAAGUCAAAUCAAGAUGUGCAUGUGUGGCGAAUGAAUGGUGUAUGGUGAUGAUGGUGAUAACAAUGGUGAAAGCCUAAUUCUACUUUUGAUCUUCGAGGGGAUACAUACCUUCCUUGCUUUCUAAAACUUUAUGAGGAGAAUGAGAUGCUCUAUAUUUUCUUUUUCUUUCCUCUCAGGUGGGUAUCUUGUACCCCUAAUUCUACUGUCGGACACUUGUCCAUUUUUACCUCUCGUCUCACUUUUUCUUUUCUUUCGAGGUUCCGGGCACUUGCCCAUUUUUAUUUCCUCGUAUACUUUUUUCUUUCUUCUUUUUUUAGAGCACUCAUCUCUUGAGAUAAUAUAGCAAGUGGUAGUAACAAGAUAACUUGAGCAUUUAUUUCAUAAGGGAAAAACAGAAAUAUCUUUGGCUAUUCUCUCCCGGAUUAGGAGUAGAAUAUUUUUGGAUGAUUCUGGAGAUGGGAAUGGGUGGAUAUAUGCGGACGGUACUUCCGGAGUAGAAGCAGCAUAUGUGAGUGAACGUGCAAGUGAAUCUUGAUUUAACCACAUGACAAGCUCCUCAGGGUCUACACAGCUUGACCACACUCAAUGCUCAUAAGCAGUAAAUAGUAAAUGUGUGGCUCAAAGUCUAGCAAGCAUGUAUAUAUGGCUGUGGUAGGAAUUUAAACUCUCAUCAUACAGGAACUCAUCAUGCAACAUUUUAAAGAUUUUCAAAGAUAAAAUUCUCCAGAAUUCUAGCAUCCCUAGGAACAGAUAAACAGCAGCUCAACCUUCCCAUAUCAUAUCCGUUAACAACUUAGACUUCAGAUCAAGUUUUUAUCCCACAAGUUUAGGUUUAGAGCAAGCUUCAAAUUGUAACAGUUAUGUCUAAACUUGAGAGAGAACUUCAAAUUUUAAAAAUUAGGUAGAGCAACUAUUCAUCAUAUCCAUGCUAAAGUUUUAUUUAGAUACAGAUUAGCAUAGCCAUUUUAUUUAUUAAACACACUAAGCAAAAGAUAUAUAUAUAUAUAAGCACAAAAUCUUUAUUUGGUUUUUCAUAGUUAUAUUUUAAUAUAGUAUAAGUAUAAAGAUAGAUAGAUAGAUAGAAAUACUUAUCGGAAUAAAUGGGGGUGCUCUCCCCCAAGCUGAAAUUUGAUGUAAUUUCUCUUGAUGUGGCUAGCAGGUGGCAGAGGUGUAUUUGGCAGCAUUCUGACAGCGAUUAGAAUGUCCUCCGUCUGCUAGUCUUCUUGAUUCUUAAAUUCAGUGGAACUCAAAUAGACAACAAAGCUUGUGGAACUGAUUAAGUGUUAGCAUAAAUAUCUAGCCUUUAUCAUGUUGAGACUCCUUAAUAAUUAUUGCUCCCAAUUUUUUUAUAUUUUCAUUUUAUAAAAUGGAAAAGAAAUAUUUAUUUUAUUUUUAUGCCACCAUAGUGAAUGUACUUAUGUAUACUCACAUGGGGCUUACUGUUUUUCACAUUUUUAUUUUCUUUUUAGGAUAGUACGAACAUGAUUAACUAAGUAAACUAGUUGAAAUAAUUGAAAGGAAAAGGACAACUACCAAGUUUACCUCUUGGCAAGGCGUUCGGUGUUUUUAAGUCCUCCGAACAGGACUCUCCGUUUUCUGAAUUGUCCUGGGAUUCAUUGAGUGGCGUAGUCGGUACUUCCGGCGGCGCCUCCUCUUCAUGUAUAGUUAUAUUCUCUUUCCAUACCUGACUCGGUGCUACGGUUUCUUUAGGAUAGUUCUGUUUAAACUGUACGUCUUCUGAUCUUACAACUUCUCCUUCGUAGUCUGCCCAUCCGUCCUUGAUGAUCUGCCUCCUCUGGUUGCGGUUGCGUCGUUUUCUUACCUGCUUAGAUUCUUCAACGAUAUAGUUAGGGUCAAUAAAAUAACGGCGUACCUUCUCUGAGGGGAAGUGCAUAUGGACUUCUCCGGUUCCAAUGUAGAUGAUUGCUUUAACGGUGCUGAGGAACGGUCUUCCAAGGAUGAUGGGUGGAUCGUAUUCAUCUUCUCCCAUGUCAAUAACUUGAAAGUCUGUGUAGACAAAAUGAUCAUCUAUUUUGACUGGGACAUCAGUUACUGUUCCUUUAACCUCUCGAAAUGUUUGAUCUGCCAUCUGGAGUUGAAUGUAUGUUGGUUUUAAGGGCAUGGUUCCGAACAAGAGCCGAUAGGUGACUGCGGCCAUUAUGUUGACGCCCGAUCCGGUGUCGCAAAACGUCUUGUAGAAGCUAUAUCCAUUUAUGGAGCAAUAGAUGCUUGGCAUUCCUGGGUCGUCCUUCCUGGUCAAAAACGGUGACUUAAGUUGGUGAUCUUGACCUCCAUGAACUGCAGUGACCAUCUUAGCUGACUCGGUCCACACUUGCUUGUUCCUGUUCUUCCUGUUGGUCCUCUUCCUUGAUUCACGUCUGGAUUGAUCUGGGAUUUGUGUAGUCUUGUUCUUGAAGGAAAACGUCUCCUUCCUCUCUUUGAUGUAGAAACUGAUCUUGGCAGCACUAGCGUAGAUGACAGCUCCCGAGGUGUUCAAGAAUGGCCUCCCUAAGAUGAUAGGUGCUCUCUCGUCAUUACCGGUCUCUAUCACCACGAAGUCUGCUAGGGCAUAUAGAGUACCAACUCGGACACAAAGGUUCUUCAAUAUUCCUUUUGGAAAACUUAUCGCCUGAUCUAUAAACUGCAAACACAUGGUUGUUUCUAAUAAAGGAUAUGUAAAGAAUUUUUCAUAGAGUACCCUGGGUAUAAUGUUGAUGCUAGAGCCAAAGUCGCAGAGUGCUUUUGGGAAGUCCACCAUGCCGAUGGAGAUCGGGAUGACGGGGCGUCCUGGAUCGCCUCUCUUGACCGACAGAAGGUCAGUAGUGAAUUCAGUGACGGGGUUACUCUACCUGCAUCAAACAUGUCUUCAGGAUUUGCAGAUUCUAAUCCUUCCGGUUGUGGUGGUAUACCGGGGUUAGUAGUAGGAACAGCAGCAGCUAUUUGAUUCAACUGAGAUUCAAUCAUUUUAUUGAAGCUAAUUUGAUUCUUGAUGGCAGUAGAGAAAUUAUCCAUUCUAUUAUUUAUAUUUUCUAGCAUUUUAUCAUUAGAUGCCAAUUUCUUAGAUAGGUUAUCCAUUAGCUUUCCUUGAUUAGACACUAACUCUCUCAGAGGUGGAAAAUUAUUAUUAUUGUUGUAUGAAUAAUUACUUUGAUAAUUACCUGAGUAGUUAGGCCUGUGUUGAUUCCAACCUUGAUUUUGUUGAGGACGGUUAUAGUAGUAGUUGUUGUUAUUGUUGAUGUAGUUCACAUCCUCAAGCAUCUCAGGGCAGUGAUUGCCUGAGUGUCCAGUGUCUCCACACUCCUCACAAGUCAUGUGAGAGUCAUAGAUGUGCAUAACUUCUUUCUUGUCUCUAGCUCUAUCGUCGAGCUUCUUCAUGAGCAGGUCUAACUUUGCAGAUAGCAUGUCUACCUCCUUGAGCUGAUGCUACCUCCACCUCUCUUGCGUGUCUGGGUCCUCUCUUCAUUCGAGCUUUGGUUGGACGCCAUCUUCUCCACAAGAGCUGUGGCUUGUGGUAUGGUGAGUGAUAGGAAUGCUCCUCCAGCUGCAGCAUCCAUGGUUUCUCGGGCACUGUUGCCGAGCCCAUGAUAAAAUGUCUGCAUCAAUAGCCAACUCUCCAUUCCAUGAUGGGGACAUUCUAGGAUGUAGUCUUGAAAGCGCUCCCAUGCUUCUGGAACAGAUUCAUCAUUUUGUUGCUGAAAACUUGUAAUUUUCCCAUGGAGAGCAUUGGUCUUGCCCAUGGGAAAGAACUUAGCCAGGAAGUUUGUUGAGCAGAGCGCCCACGUAGGAUUCUUCUCCUUUGUAGCAUAGAACCACUGCUUCGCUCUCCCCAACAAUGAGAAUGGGAAGAGGCGAAGUAGUAUAGCAUCUCUAGAAACUCCUGAUAUGGUGAAUGUGCUGCAACUCUCCACAAAGUGUUGGAGAUGAGCACUAGCAUCUUCGUGUGCCUUCCCACAGAACUGGUUGGAUGGCACCAUGUUGAUAAGUCCAGGCUUGAGCUCAAAGUUGCCGACGAUCUCUGCAGCAGGUCCAGUGCGGAUGUUGUCCGUAGUGGGAGCUGAGAACUCGUGGAUUGAUUUGUUCGCCAUGGCUUCGAACUCUGAAGACAAGUUCCGGUGAUCUUCUUGAUUGGAUGAAGCUUCUUCUGAAGUGUUGAUGAUCUUUGCUUGAGCUUGGCUCUUGUUUUUCUGAAUAAGGCUUCGGGAUUGUCAACAAAAUUUCCUGGAAGAUGUCUUCUAUUCAUACAUUCCCCUGCAUAAGAUAAAAUAGAAAAAUAUUGGGGUAAAACUGUAUAAGAGAAUAGAUAAGCUCAAUCAUAUUAGUGCUGCGAAUGAUAACUCAAAAUCCUUUAUUCAUUCCUGAUUAGUAAUCAACCUUCCCCGGCAACGUCGCCAAAAAUGCUUGUUGGGUAUUCUUAACAUCAUUACCAAAAGUAGACAGUUUUCUAAUUCUAGUAACGGUGCCAAAAAUGCCAAACCUAUCCCUCAUACCACUUAAGCCAAGUUGUCAUCCCCAACAUGACAUGAGAGACGCGGUAUUGAAAUAUGCAAUUGCUCUUCUAAAUAAAUAAUGAAUGGGAUCUACAAGCGCACAGAUUAAUACCGAUGUAGCAUUUUAACCGGGAAGUAUUCCAGGUAUCGUUAUUUAUAUUUUUACCACUGGGAAGGGAUUAGCAAUCAUCAAUAUUGAUUACAGAAUAGAAUAUGAGAUUGCGUAUCUAUCAUUGCAUGUAUAAUUGAGGACAUUUAUCAAACUCUUUUAUACAGGGGUAAGUAUCACAUAAAGGAUAUAUGAAAUAAUGAAUAGUGACCAAGAUAAUUAAUCUGAUCAGCCACAUAUAAAUAUGAUAAGCACCUCAAUUAGAUACUCUAGAAAGUCAUUAGCAUGGUAUUAGAACGAACUACAAGAAUAUUCCCUAAAUUAUUCUCAACUAUAUAGUCUAGCAUUAUCAUAAUUAGUGCAAGCAUACUUAGCAAUCAUUGCAUAGUGAUAUUAGCAAGGUAAAUGAGAAACAUAGCAAUCACUCCCCUAUAAUAAUAUUGCUCUGCCAGCCCAAUACACGAGAGGGGGACUAUAUAAGAAUCAAUGAAGCUGUGACUAUCACGAACUACCCCACGAUCUGGCAUAUUGAGUACAAUCGCAGAUAAAUACGGUAUAAGCACCGCGCCUACACAAUAUCUAUCAUUUACCCAUGGAUCCGAUGGAUAAACGCUAUGCGAUCCUAAGCAUGUAUAUAGAUCCAAUCUAACUAAGCCAAGUACAUAACUAUGAUAAACUAAGGACAAUAUAAUCUUGAAUAUAAACAAGUAGAACAAAGUCAUAAGCAAUAUAUUGAAGUAGAACAAAGUCGUAUUCAUAAUAUUGAAGAACAAAGAUGAUUAGAAGAAUAAUUAGAAGCACAAUUAGAGAAUUACUAAGAAUCCUCUUGACAGAUCUAGAAACCAAUCGAAGAUUGACUCCUUCUAGUUCUAAUCCUAUGUAGCUAUGCUAAUCUAGAUGUCUAAUUGAUGUGGUGGCUCUAAUCUUGAUCAAAGGCUUCUUCUCCCUUGAAGAAUAAUGAAUUAGGGUUGAGAGGCUCUCUCUUCCAGGGGCCAGGGGGUCUGGUUUUAUAGUCCCUUCAAGUGAAUAUGGGCCGUUGGAUCAAACCGACAUAGAUUGAACGGUUAUCCUUGAUCCUUUAGGUCGAUGGAGAUCUUCCCCGAAACAGAGUCCUGAUUGGACUCAGCAGGAGGGCGGGCGCCCUGCCUCUGGCCCCGUUCGGCCUCCGCUUCCUUUCUGUGGCUUCCGGAGUCUUCUAGAUGUAAGAUAAUUGCGCGGCACGUUAAUAUCUCUAUGUAAUCCUGACGUGUGGGCCUUUCUUCCGUAUUUCCUGAUAACCCCCUGCAGAAAUAGACAAACACCAAACUUGUGGAAUUCCAUCAGAUAAAACCCUAAGUCUAGAUGUUGAUUUCAUUUGGAUCCUUUUCUUUAUUUAUUUGAUAAUUAAAUUUGAUACUUAAGGACCGUCAACAGCGUGCUUGUUGACGGGGGUAGCUCCAUUGAUAUCCUCUUCCGCAACAGCUUGCCUGCUCUCAAGUUAACUCCGGCGCAGCUGAAACCGUACGACGCUCAGUUUUGAGGCGUCCUACCUGGUCAAAGUUCAGUACCCCUUGGCCAGAUAACGCUGCCCGUCCAGUUUGGAACACUAGACCACUUCCGCACUGAGUUCAUCAACUUUGUGGUCGCCGACUUCGACGGAACCUAUCACGCAAUUCUAGGCCGCCCUUCGCUCAUCAAGUUCAUGGCAGUUCCGCACUACUCAUACCUGGUCCUCAAGAUGCCAACCGAGAAGGGUGUUUUAACCGUCAGAGGCAAUGUCUACACCGCGUACACUUGCGAAGAGGAAAGCUUCAAGAUCACCGAGGCAAUUGAUCUCUCAAUUCGCAUGGCAGAAACUGUAGCACAAGCUUCCCAAGUUCCAUCCGACCAGCAACAACUACCAGAGCAGGAGACUCCAAGAAAGAGCUCCAAGUCCAAAGACCACAAGAAAGUACAACUGGUCGACAACAGCCCAAAGAAGACGGCCCUCAUUGGGGCUAACCUGGACGCCAAAUAGGAAGACGCGCUCGUCAGGUUUCUAAGGGACAACGCAAGCAUUUUCGCAUGGAAAACCGCAGACAUGCCCAGUGUCCCACGAAGCCUGAUCGAGCACUCCUUGAACGUCUUGAAGACCGCAAGACCUAUCAAGCAGAAGCUACGACGGUUCGCUCGUCACAAAAAGGAGGCCAUUAGGACAGAGAUUACACGGCUUUUAGCAGCCGGAUUUAUUAAAGAAGUGUAUCAUCCCGAUUGGCUCGCCAAUCCAGUCAUUGUAAGAAAAAAGAAUAAUGAAUGGAGAAUGUAUGUUGAUUACACUGAUCUCAAUAAACAUUGUCCUAAAGAUCCUUUUGGUCUCCCUCGUAUCAACGAGCUGGUCAAUUCAACGGCCGGAUGAGAACUACUCUCUUUUCCCAACUGUUACUCUGGUUAUCACCAGAUCUCGCUAAAGGAAGACGACCAGAUCAAAACCUCCUUCAUCACUCCUUUUGGUGCAUAUUGCUACACCACCAUGUCCUUUGGACUCAAAAACGCCGGAGCCACCUAUCAACAUGCUAUUCAGCAAUGCCUCCACGACGAGAUACGUGAUGACCUCGUCGAGGCUUACGUCGAUGACGUUGUCGUCAAAACUAGGGACGCGAGCACCCUGAUCGACAACAUAGACUGCACUUUUAAAGUGCUGAAUAAAUACAAGUUCACCCCAAAAAAUGCAUCUUCGGGGUUCCCUCUGGUAUACUACUCGGUAACGUCGUCAGCCACGACGGCAUACGGCCAAACCCCUCAAAAGUCAAGGCAGUCCUUGAUAUGCGACCACCUAGGAACAUCAAAGACGUCCAAAAGCUCACGGGGUGCAUGGUUGCUCUCAGCCCUUUUAUCUCUAGGCUGGGGGAAAAGGGGCUUCCUUUCUUUAAACUUCUGAAAGCGUCGGAAAGAUUCUCUUGGACAAAAGAGGCCAACACAGCGUUCACCCAACCAAAGCCUUCCUCACCACACCACCCAUACUCACCGCACCUCAACCCAACGAGGACCUGCUCCUCUAUAUAGCAGCAACUGAUCGGGUCAUUUCUACGGUGCUCGUGGUCGAGCGGGAUGAACCAGGCCACGUCUACAAAGUUCAGAGGCCCGUGUACUUCAUAAGUGAAGUCCUAAACGAAUCAAAGACUAGGUAUCCUCAGAUACAAAAACUAAUCUACACCAUCUUAAUCACCUCAAGAAAGCUGAAGCACUACUUCGAUGGCCAUCGGGUCUUGGUUACUACAAGUUUUCCGUUGGGGGACAUUUUGCGCAACAAGGACGCCAACGGCAGAAUUGUAAAGUGGGCCAUGGAAUUAUGCCCAUUUUCUUUAGAAUUCCAGAGUUGCACUACCGUAAAGUGUCAAGCCGUGGUCGACUUCAUCGCGGAAUGGACAGAUCUCAAUGCACCACCUUCUCCAGAUGUCUUUGAUCACUGGUCAAUGUUCUUCGAUGGGUCCCUAAACAUCAAUGGAGUCGGUGCUGGAAUACUUUUUAUUUCUCCAAACAAGGACAAACUUUGCUACGCCCUUAGGAUCCUUUUUCCAGCCUCCAAUAAAGUCGCCGAGUACGAAGCAUGCCUACAUGGCAUCCGAUUAGCCGUUGAACUGGGAAUCAAGCGCCUUUAUGUCUACGGCGACUCUGCCCUGGUUAUCAACCAGCUGAAUAAGGAGUGGGACACAACUCAUGAAAAGAUGGACCUGUACUGCAAAGAAAUCCGGAGGUGGGAAUCAAAUUUUUAGGGCAUAGAGUACAUCCACGUGGUCCGGGACAAGAACCAAGCAGCAGAUGCGUUGUCAAAGAUAGCAUCAUCCCGGGCCCAGAUUCCGCAAGGUGUUUUCGUUCGAGACAUCAACAUACCUAGCAUCGGAACGUACCUGGCUGAAAAGUCACACAACAAAACGCUGCUCGUGGGAAACACCGCUCCGACAACCAAUGGCAACGACUGGCGCGCUCCUUUCGUUAAGUAUCUCUUCGACGCCUCAGGAUUUCAAGACAAAACGGAGAACGAGCGCCUUAUCCGGCGCUCUAAAAAAUAUAUACUGGUAGAUAAUAGACUUAUACGAACGCAAGUUCAGAAGUCUUGUUGAAAUGCAUAUCCCAAGACGAUGGCAUCAUGUUAUUGAAAGACAUAUGUUGAUGGUUCUUAAGUAUCAAUUUUAAUUAUCAAAUAAACAAGAGAAAGGACCAAUAUGCAACCAACACCUAGAAUUAGGGUUUGAUCUGAUAGAAUUCCACGAGUUUUGUUGUUUAUCUAUUUCUGCAGAGGGUUAUCAGGAAAUAAGGAAGAAAGGCCCACAUGUCGGGAUUACAUAGAGAUAUCAACGCACCGCGUGAUUUUCUACCAUCUAGAAGACUCCAGAAGCCACGGGAAGAAAGCAGAGGCCGAAAGGGGCCAGGCCCAGGGUGCCCGCCCUGAGGACCUGGGCGCCCGCCCCCUGCUGGACUCCGUUCGGGACUCUCUUCGCACACGACGUUCCACCGACCUAAAGGAUCAAGGAUAACGUAGUACCACAUCGCCUACCGACCCAAAAAUGCAUAGAGGAGGAGGACUAUAUAAGGAGACCCCCCUGGCCCCUGGAGGAAACAAGAAGUUAUCAUAGAGUUGAGGGGUGCCCUCGAAGGAAAACCUCUUCUCUAAAUAAAAUUCCUUUUUAGGCUUAGCAACCAAUGUAAGUAGAAAUAGAUCUUCUAGUUUCUACUAGAUUGAGAGAGAUAGAGUGGAGGUGUAGAUUGGAGGAAGCCCGGCCUGUCAGUGUCUACUCCAAGCUUGUACCUGCGGGAUCAAGUUCUCCUAACCCGAAGCUUGCUCCUAGGAUUCUUCAGUAUUUCAACUUCAAAAUUCUAGUAAGUUCUUGUUUUAUUGUUCUUUUGGUUUAUGAGUUUACUUUAAUCUCUUCACGUAGAGUUUAGACUAAUCAUUGCUGGCGUAAACCCUUUGUGGUGUCUAGAUUCCGUUAGCCUCCCCAAUAGAACAGUAGAUCAUCCUUACCAAGGUUAGAAGGAGACUACGGUUGCAGUCUUCUCUAUUUAUCACUCACAUCGAGAACAUUCUUUGUUGCCUAAAGGGUUAGUAGUAAUAGACCGGUUAGUCAGAUGCACUCUUUCUUCUAGUGGUAAAAAAAUAAAUACGAUACUCUAGAUAAUUUCUCGGGUGAAGUGCUCACCGAUAUCCGUGCACUUGCGGAUCAAUUCCUUAUUGCAUUCUAAAAUAUCAACAAUCAUUUCUGGCGCCGUUGCCGGAGAUCGAAGACGGUUUGCUGAGAUAACCUUGAGUCUUACUACUAGCUUGUAUCUAUACUUUUAUUUUUUCUUAUCUUUUAUAUUCUUUCUUUAUUUUCUUUACUCAUACCUUAUGGAAAACCAAAAUUCUAAAUCGAUCCAUGAAUCUACAAUCCCUUCAGUAACUGACCUUUUACCAUGGGAAUCAUCACAGCCUAUCCAAAUAUCCCAGUAUAAGUUAAGUUCUAGGUUGAUUGCCAUGAUCCAAAACCUAUCUUUUUCGAGAAAGGAAGACGAAAAACCUUACCUUCAAAUUAGAGAUUUUGAGCAAUGAUUGUCUUCGCAUUGAAGGCAUUUCUGAUAAAACUUUACGUUGGAAGCUUUUUCCUUUUUCUUUAAGGGGAGAAGCUAGACAAUGGUACAGUCAGAAGGUAAGUCAACAACGAGGUGAAUGGGGAGUUUUACGAGCCAACUUUUGUCUAGAUUUCUAUUCCCUCGACCGUAUAGCCGACCUUAGACUCGAAGUCCUAUCUUUUAAACAAUUCCCUCGACCGUAUAGCCGACCUUAGACUCGAAUUCCUAUCUUUUAAACAAAAAGAUAAUUAAACUUUGGGAAAAUCCUAGAAACGUUUUUCUGAUCUUUUAGAAUUUGGUCCAAACCUUAAUCUUGAAGACCUUGUUCUUUUAUUUCACUUUUUUUGAGGUCUUCAAAAAAAUUACAAACAAAUGCUACACACAAUGUCUAGAGGUUCUUUCUUUCGCAUCCCUACUGAUGAAGCUAGAGUGAUCCUAGAUAGAAUCCUAGAAGCUGAGAUGGAUAAUACCCUUCAUGAUGAAACCUACGAAGCCGAAGUAGACACUUUGCCAAAUUCUUCAUCUACUUUAGCUAUCCCAAGUUCUGAGCCACAAGAGGAAGAAAUUCCACCACCGGACUUCAUGCUGGAUAUAGAAUCCGAUCUUUUUGCCGAUUUUGGAAACAUUUCAAACUACCAUUCUAUUGACAAACCCCAAAACGGCCAGUUUAGCAUUUAUUUGCCAAGUGAAUAUCAAUUGAGAGAGCUUAUCUCAGUCAUGAGUAGCGAAUGGUUGGAGGAAUCAGAGCUUUCCUCUGAUGUGAUCCGUUUGGACACACCCUCUAUAACUACACGUUGUGCUUAUAAUUCUGAUCGAUUUAAUGCUCUUUAUAAUCCUGUUGUGGGGAUCAACAUCAUGUCUGAAUCUUUUGCACUUAAACUAUUUAAAAAUCUUGUCUUAUCCCCACAACAAAGGUCAUAAAGGAACCUUCAGGACGAUUAGUCUCCAGUCUUGGAAUUAUUAAUGUCCUAGCUCUUACGGUAGAAGGCUCCAUGGUUUAUUUCAACUUUUAUAUCUUUGAUACAUGGGACUUCGACCUGUUGAUAGGACAACCUUUUAGAAGACUCCUUUAUGAAGGUCAUACUGGAAAGCUACACAUUUCUUUUGGAAACGCCCUUAAAUUCCAAAUAACAAUUUCACACUCCUUAAAUAAUAAGGCCGAGUCAUAUCUUUUGCCUGAUCCUAUGGAGGAGGUAAAGGCUGCAUCUCUUGAACUUUUAGAAGAACUAGACUUAGAAGACGAAACUCCUUUCUUCAUAGAAGAAGAAGCCGAACCUUCUGAACCUGAAUCCCUAGAUGAGUUUGUAGAAACACCUAGACCCCCCAUAGAGCUUAAAACUUUACCACCCGGUCUUACCUAUGCUUUCCUAAACAAUAAUCCAGAGUUUCCUGUGAUCAUUAGCGAUAAACUCACUCAGGAGCAAACUCUACGAUUAACGAUCAUCUUGAGUAACAUCACUCAGUUUUCGGCUACUCACUCCAAGAUCUUACAGGAAUUAGUCCUAUGAUUUGUACCCAUCGUAUUCCAACAGAUCCUUCUGUUUCACCUUCUCGAGAACCCCAACGUAGACUUAACAACACUAUAAGAGAGGUACUUAAAAAGGAAGUUAUAAAGUUGCUGCAUGCACGGAUUAUAUAUCCUGUGCCGCAUAGUGAGUGGGUGAGCCCAGUUCAAGUUGUGCCUAAAAAGGGAGGCAUGACUGUUAUUAUGAAUGAAAAGAACGAGCUAAUUCCGCAAUGCACCGUCACAGCAUGGCAGAUGUGCAUAGACUAUAGAAAACUAAAUAAAGCCACGAGAAAGGAUCACUUUCCUUUACCUUUUAUAGAUGAGAUGCUAGAGCGAUUAGUGAACCAUUCGUUCUUUUGUUUCUUAGAUGGAUAUUCAGGGUAUCACCAAAUCCCGAUCCAUCCCGAUGAUCAAAGCAAAACCACUUUUACAUGCCCAUAUGGAACUUAUGCUUACCGUAGAAUGUCUUUUGGGUUAUGUAAUGCACCAGCUUCUUUUCAAAGAUGCAUGAUGUCUAUAUUUUCUGAUAUGAUUGAAAAGAUUAUGGAAGUUUUCAUGGAUGAUUUCUCUGUUUAUGGAAAAACUUUUGAUAGUUGUCUUGAAAACUUAGACAAGGUUUUGCAAAGAUGUGAAGAAAAGCACUUAGUCCUUAAUUGGGAAAAAUGUCAUUUUAUGGUUAGAGAAGGAAUAGUGCUGGGACACUUAGUGUCUGAAAGAGGUAUUGAGGUAGACAAAGCUAAAAUUGAAGUAAUUGAACAACUACCUCCACCUGUGAAUAUAAAAGGAAUUCGAAGCUUUCUUGGCCAUGCUGGUUUUUAUCGUAGAAUCAUAAAAGAUUUUUCAUUCAUUGCUAGACCACUUACUCUUUUGCUAGCCAAGGAUGCUCCUUUCGAAUUUGAUGAUGCAUGUCUAACAUCUUUUAAUUUAUUAAAGAAAGCACUCAUCUCUACACUAAUCAUUCAACCCCCUGAUUGGUCGUUGCCUUUUGAAAUUAUGUGUGAUGCCAGUGAUUAUGCUGUGGGGGCAGUUUUGGGACAAACUAAAGAUAAGAAGCAUCAUGCAAUUGCUUAUGCCAGUAAAACUUUGACAGGAGCUCAACUUAAUUAUGCAACCACUGAAAAAGAGCUUCUGGCUGUUGUCUUUGCCAUUGAUAAGUUUAGAUCUUAUUUAGUUGGAGCUAAAAUAAUUGUUUACACUGAUCAUGCUGCACUAAAAUAUUUGCUCACUAAAAAAGAUGCUAAACCUCGCGUGAAUAUAUGGAUCUUAUUACUCCAAGAAAUUGACUUAGAAAUAAAAGAUAAAAAGGGAGUAGAAAAUUCUGUUGCAGGUCACUUGUCUAGAAUGCAUUUUAAGAGUCCACAGGAAACCCCCAUCAAUGAUUCAAUCCGGGACGACAUGCUCUACGGGAUUAACAGGUCUGACCCCUGGUAUACAGAUAUUGUUAAUUUUAUGGUUUCAGGGUAUGUACCACCAGGAGCAAACAAGAAGAAGCUUAUUCAAGAAAGUCAUUCACAUAUAUGGGAUGAGCCAUACCUCUUCCGAGUAUGCUCUGAUGGCUUACUCAGGAGAUGUGUGACCACUGAGGAAGGAUGGAAGAUCAUCGACAGAUGUCAUUCAUCACCAUAUGGAGGUCACUAUGGAGCAUUCCGUACACAUUCAAAGAUCUGGCAGUGUGGAUUCUACUGGCCUACAAUGUAUGAAGACACGAGGCAAUAUAUCAGAAGAUGUGGGCCAUGUCAAAGGCACGGAAACAUAAAUACAAGGGAUGCAAUGCCACUCACCAACAACCUUCAGAUUGAGCUCUUUGAUGUUUGGGGAAUAGACUACAUGGGUCCAUUUCCUCCAUCAAAGUAGUGUGAGUACAUCUUGGUGGCGGUUGACUAUGUCUCCAAGUGGGUAGAGGCAUUACCUUGCAAGCAUGUCGACAACAUCAGUUCAAAGAGGAUGUUUGAAGAAAUUAUAUUUCCAAGAUUUUGGAGUCCCCAGAGUAGUGAUAAGUGAUGGAGGAGCACACUUCAUCGACAAACGCUUCAAGCAAUAUCUAUCAAAACAUGGAAUCCGUCACAACGUCGCUACCCCCUAUCAUCCUCAUUCAAGUGGCCAAGCAGAGACUUCCAACAAGCAAAUCAAGAAUAUUCUUCAGAAGACAGUAAAUGAAAUGGGAACGGCGUGGAAAGACAAGUUACCCGGUGCACUCUGGGCAUACCGGACAGCAUAUAAGACCCCAAUUGGAAUGUCUCCAUAUCAAUUGGUGUACGGGAAGACUUGCCACCUACCUGUUGAACUAGAGUUCAAAGCACACUGGGCCAUAAAGAGACGGAAUAUGGACCUAGAUGUUGCUGGAGAUCAUAGAAGAAUGCAACUAUCAGAAUUGGAAGAAUGGCGAGAGAAAGCAUAUCACAAUUCGAAGAUCUACAAAGAAAGAGUCAAAAGGUGGCAUGACAAGAGAAUCAAGAAGGAGUUCACACCCGGAGAUAAGGUAUUACUUUUUAAUUCCAGGGUGAAGCUUUUCGGGCAUGGGAAACUCCGGAGCAAAUGGGAAGGACCAUUCAAGGUAAUUAAUUCAUCAUCCCACAAAGCUAUCACACUUCAAAAAGAUGAAGGUACGUUAUUCAAGGUAAAUGGUCAACGUCUUAAAUUAUUUUUAGAGCCCAAUAAAGAAUUAGAAGAAAUAGACGUAGUCCAUUUUUACCUUCCCAUGGAGAACUAGAGCCCGACCUUUUUAGUCUGAUGUUUUUGGGUCAUAUAUAUAUUUUUCUAAAUAGUUUUGCAUCUAGAAACACGCUCGAGAAAGUGGGCCCACAGAGGGGCCAGAGAGAGGGCGGGCGCCCAGAUCAGGUGGGUGGGCACCCAGCUCCUGUUCCCCCUCGGUCCCGAUUUUCUCUGCUAUGGAAAAUGCACUUAUGGUAAUCCGAAUAAUCCCUCAGAUGGAAAGUUUCGCACGCACAUCGACGGGAGCAACCCGAACAACCCCUAGAGGCACUUUUUGACCCCUAUAUAAAUAGACCCCUGACAUCAGUUUUCAAACACCAAACCACCAAGCCUUCUCUUCUUCUUCAAUUAGAGCUUGAUUAGUUCAUUGCUGCUCCAAUGGCCGAGAAGUUCCACGAUGAUUGGGAAGUCGUCCCCUUCAACCUCAACAUGGAGCCUGUGGAAGACCCCGAUGCCCGUGCUCUCGACCCGGCCAACACAGAGCGACAACUAGAAGCCAUGCCAUUAUACCAACGCAGCUCCGCCCAAUCCUACCAUGCUCAACCAGUUCUCACCGCACCGCCACAACCUCUACUCCUCAAAGGAUCAUCAUCCAAGUCGAAGACCAACAUCAAGGUGCCAACCGGCACGAAGAUCCUUCCACCUAGACCCAAUGAGAGGGUCGUUGGAGUCAAGACCAACCGGAGCGGCGAGAUCAGCAGCAUUCGCUACACUACGGAGGAGGAAAGGCCUUACUUCGAAGGGAUUAGAGCAGCCAAAGUCCAUUUCAUCCCUCCAAAGGCAGCACCAAAGCACACUCUCAAUACUUUUGAGACACCUCCCAAGCGUCGCAAAACUAUAAUGGAUAUUGAUGAGGACGUUCGCAGACUGGACAGAGUUAUCAUAGACCUCCAGUCCUCGAUUAAUUCCCUCACUAGGCAGCUCUCUAACCACAACACCGUUAUAUUAGGCCUUAGGCAUGAUCUUGCCAGUGCCAACAAGAAGAUUAAGGAAUUAGAGCGCCGCUAAGUUAUCUAGAUUAGAUCUUGAGGCAAUGCAUCUUAGUCAUUUAUCUUUAAAUUUGGUUUAGGUUUACUAUUAUUGCCAGUUUGUUACUAUUAUCAUCAGUUUGCUAUUGUCAUCAGUUUGCUACUAGUCUUUUGUAAUAAAUGCCUCAAGAUUAAUAAAGAGUAUUAUUAUUAUUAUUAUGUCUUGUGUGUCUCUACUUUAUUUUUGUGCAAGAAAGCAAAAAACAAGUAUGGGGGAGAUCCCUCAACACGCCAAACAUACUUCGACUACACCACUCCACAAUUCAGGUACACACUCUGCACACUUUACUUUACACAUACACAUAUCUUGGAUUAUGCAGAAUACUGUUUUCGACAUGAUAAAUUAAUAAGCUUAAAAUGUUUCUAAAUAUGAUUAAUCUUAUUCUGUGAUAUUUCCUAAAACUUGCAACUAUUAUAAAAUCAUUUUAAAACCCUGUGUUACUUAAGAUAGUAUGGAAUGUGAGAUGGUAGAGUAUGAGUUUCUUAUUCUUGAUAUCAUUGUUGCUUGGAGAAUUUAUUUCAAAAUCUUCAAAAUUCUAGCUACCAUCCUCAGUGUUUUAUAUGCCUGAUAAAACUGAAAAUAUUAAUUAUGAUUAAAAAAGUUAUCUACUCUGUAUUGAGUUUGUUCAAAAUGAGUUAGACCCUUGUUGAGAGAUUUAUCAUGCUCCUAAGAUCAAGACAUUUAUUUAGAAAGAUUCACUCUUCCAAAGUACUAUUGCAUUAGAGGCAUGGGCUAUGCAAAAAUAAAGAUAUUUCGAGGAAAUAAAAAGGAGCAAGUGCUCGACAACCUCGCAGAAAAAUGGUCAAGUGUCCGGCAGUAGAAUUAGGGGUACCUCAGUAUCCACUUAAAAAAAAGAGAAAAUGAUAGCCCAUGGUCCCUCUAAUAAGCAAUAUGCCAGCAAGAGUUGACAAAGUUUUUAAUUUCCAAAGUCUUUGAUCUAAGAGUAUGACAUUCCCCUCCUCGGAUCCCGUUUUGAUCAGGCAAUAAAUGCAAAGUAAGUAUGCUUGAGAAUUUUUUGCAAAUUAAAACAGCCUCAGUGAGAUAUAUAAAAGAUAAUGAGUGAUCUGAGAGACCCUAUGAGGAUAAAAAGGUAUGCUAACUUUCUUUCAAAAAUAUACAAAAACUCCAAGUGACAGGAUUGAGAAGAAAGGAUCUUUACUCUUAACCAUAUACUUCCCUGACUACAGUACACAGUGGAUUUUUUAACACCCUGAAAAAAUAAAGAAUGUUUUAAAAUGUUUUACCCCAGAUAUUGUUCUUAACCAUCCUUUUCUCGAGGACAAGUAAAAGCCUAAGUAUGGGGGUAUUUGUUGACGGUUCUUAAGUAUCAAUUUUAAUUGUCAAGUAAACAAGAGAAAGGACCAAUAUGCAACCAACACCUAGAAUUAGGGUUUGAUCUGACAGAAUUCCAUGAGUUUUGUUGUUUAUUUGUUUCUGCAGGGGGUUAUCAGGAAAUAAGGAAGAAAGGCCCACAUGUUGGGAUUACAUAGAGUUAUCAACGCAUCGCGCGAUUUUCUACUAUCUAGAAGACUCUAGAAGCCACGGGAAGAAAGCAGAGGCCGAAGGGGCCAGGCCCAGGGCGCCCGCCCUGAGGACCUGGGCGCCCGCCCCCUGCUGCACUCCGUUCGGGACUCUCUUCGCACACGAUGUUCCACCGACCUAAAGGAUCAAGGAUAACAUAGUACCACAUCGCCUACCGACCCAAAAAUGCAUAGAGGAGGAAGACUAUAUAAGGAGACCCUCCUGGCCCCUGGAGGAAACAAGAAGUUAUCAUAGAGUUGAGGGGUGCCCUCGAAGGAAAACCUCUUCUCUAAAUAAAAUUUCUUUUUAGGCUUAGCAACCAAUGUAAGUAGAAAUAGAUCUUCUAGUUUCUACUAGAUUGAGAGAGAUAGAGUGGAGGUGUAGAUUGGAGGAAGCCCGGCCUGUCGGUGUCUACUCCAAGCUUGUACCUGUGGGAUCAAGUUCUCCUAACCCGAAGCUUGCUUCUAGGAUUCUUCAGUAUUUCGAGUUCUAAAUUCUAGUAAGUUAUUGUUUUAUUGUUCUUUUGGUUUAUGAGUUUACUUUAAUCUCUUCGCGUAGAGUUUAGAGUAAUCAUUGUUGGCGUAAACGUGGUGUUUAGGCUGGGGUAGUCAUAGAUAUUCCCUGGCUAGCUAGACUGUGGUAGUAGUGAGGAACGUGACAAUUCCGAGUUACCUUGGCAGACCAUAUCUCGUUUGCAGGAAGGAUAGGUUUAUAGGUGCGGGUUGAACAUCCUUUGUGGUGUCUAGAUUCCAUUAGCCUCCCCAAUAGAACAGUAGAUCAUCCUUACCAAGGUUAGAAGGAGACUACCGUUGCAGUCUUCUCUAUUUAUCACUCACAUCGAGAACAUUCUUUGUUGCCUAAAGGGUUAGUAGUAAUAGACCGGUUAGUCAGAUGCACUCUUUCUCCUAGUGGUAAAAAAAUAAAUACGAUACUCUGGAUAAUUUCCCGGGUGAAGUGCUCACCGAUAUCCGUGCGCUUGCGGAUCAAUUCCUUAUUAUGUUCCCAAAUAUCAACAACAUACAUACUGGAUCCUGUGGUAACCACGCCGCCUCUAGAACACUGGUCGGAAAGGCUUUUCGAGUAGGUUUCUACUGGCCAACUGCAGUCGCCGACGCCGAGAAACUGGUCCGGCAUUGCGAAGGAUGCCAGUUCUUCGCCAAGCAGACCCAUGUACCUGCACAUGAAAUCCAGACAAUUCUGUCGUCCUGGCCAUUUGCAUGUUGGGGUCUUGACAUGAUCGGGCCAUUCAAGCCGGCUCCCGGCAAUUUCAAAUUCGUGUUCGUGCUAGUCGACAAGUUCUCGAAGUGGAUCGAGUACAUGCCACUGGUCAAAGCAACUUCCGAUAAGGCUGUGGAAUUCCUUAAUCAAAUCAUACACAGAUUCUGGGUUCCCAACAGCAUAAUCACCGACCUAGGCACUCAGUUCACCGGCACUACAUUUUGGGACUUCUGCGAUGACACAGGCAUAGUCAUAAAGUACGUAUCGGUAGCCCAUCCGCGAGCCAACAGUCAAGUCGAACGAGCAAAUGGAAUGAUUAUUGAUGCUCUAAAGAAAAGGCUGUACACGGAAAAUGAUAGGGCACCUGGACGGUGGAUGAAAGAGUUACCGGCUGUGGUCUGGGGUCUCCGAACACAGCCUAGCCAGAAUACGGGUGUAUCCCCCUAUUUUUUGGUUUAUGGGGCUGAGGCAGUGCUCCCAUCGGAUGUAGCCUUUGGAUCUCCCAGAGUCGAACAUUUCGACGAGUCGUCAGCAGACCUCGCCAGAGAACUCGAGAUCAACUACAAAGAAGAGAGACACCUCACUUCCUGCCUUCGAACAGCAAAGUAUCUCGAGGCCAUUAGACGAUACCACAACAGGAACAUCAAAGAUCGCUCCUUCGUGGUCGGUGAUUUGGUGCUCAAAUGGAAAACAAGCCAGGAGGGAAUGCACAAGCUAUCCACACCUUGGGAGGGACCUUUUGUGGUCGCCGAAGUUACACGCCCUAGAUCUUAUAGACUGGCGUACCCAGAUGGAACACGCCUGCCCAACUCCUGGCACAUAGAUAGAUUAUGAUGCUUCUAUCCCUAAGUUUCAGUACAUUUUACUUGUAAAUCUUUUUUGAUGAAUAAUAAUAAAGUUUGCCUUUUUUGCUAUAUACUUUUACAUAUGCAGAAUACUCGACAAGUGCCACAAUAACUUCCCAGGACAAGCUCCUCAAGGGCAAUAAACAUGACUCAGUGAUACAUCACUCAAAAAAAUUUACAGCGCUCAAAACCAUGGUUUACAUAAAUCAAAUUUUAUUAAAAACUUUAUAUACAAAGUUUACAAUAAACACCCCUCUGGGCGGUUUCUAGUCUACUCCUACAGACUACUUUACGGACCUACUGCUCGGGCUGAUCACCUGCACGGCUCUCUUGUCCCGCCGAAGGGGUCGGGGCCACCGGCACCUGGCUGGUCGAGACCGCAGGCGUCGACCGCCCAUCUCCUGCAAUCGACGCCCCCGACAACUCCCUGGCCGACUUGUCUGAUCCUGACUGAUCGGGGGGAGUUGAUGUCCCGCAGAGAUUUAUAUCGCCAAUCACCGUUGAUGAUAGGUCCAGUAGAUUGACACGAAGGUCAUCCGCUUCCCUCGGACCAACCUCCUUUGGAUAUCCCCUCUCAAGCCGGAACAAAUCGACCAGGGGGUAGUGGGCGCGUACCAUGCUGAGGACGUGCGCCCCGACAAACUCCCCGGCAUCCUUGACAAACUGCUGAAGCCAGCCCCACGCUUGCUGCGCCUUCUCGACCGGGGUCACCUUCGUCGCGCGGGGCUGGUCCUCGGGGAGUUCGGGACUGAUCAGGUCAAGUACUGGGGCAACUCCUUUCCAGAUCUUGAUGCAGUUUGUCUUCCAGGAGUCCUGUUCCUUGACCAGCUCGUCGAGGUGCUUCUUAGUGUUGACUUUAAGCACUACGAUUGAGUUUUCAAGAAAAACCAAGCAAACAGUCAGCAACAUGCUACGACAGUAUAAACAAGUGGAAUAGAAAAUUGUGUGGUCGAAAAGGACGAAAUGGCUCUUACUAGCCAACUCCCGAUUCUUGUUCUUCAGCUCCUCACCAACCUUGCGCCCGGUCUCCAGCGCACCGGCACGCUCCUGGUCGAGCCGAUCUCUCUUUUCUUAGAGGCGCUCGAUCUCCUCCUCCAGACCUGAAGCAACAAUUGUUGGUCAUCAAAACCAACCACGCGGUUAACUACAACUGCUCGGAUCAUUCGACUCAUCCUUCUUCUCAUGAUCCUUAUUGGCCCGUCGCCGAUUCAGAUCUAGCAGGCGCUCCUCCUGAGCCGCCUUCUCGGCCGCCUCCCUCUUGGCCUCCAACCGAAGGCGGUCCACCUCCGCGGUCAGGGCCUUGUUCUCGGCGACUAUACCUUCAAUUUGGUCGAAGCACCUUUUUUCGGUACUUCGCCGUUUUCAUUGCACCCUUCAAGAAAUAUACAUAUCAUACAGUGAACAAGCAGCAGUGUAUACAUAAUCCGGCCGAAUACACGACCACUCACCUUAACUUCAUCAACAAGCCGCUUAGCAGCGCGCUAUACCCUCGCCGCCUCCUCGGUCUUGGCGAGCUCCUCGUGGCCGGCCCAGUGGUCCCCACGCUGGCGAGUCUAUUUUCAAGCCCAAGUAGUUGCACCUGAAUUGGAUUCUCCUUCGUCGAGAUAUGACUAUGUAAAUACAAACUGGUCAGAAGAUCAAUAGUCAGCAUGAUGUUCAAAUUCCCAUGCAAAACUGCAGCAUUGUACAUUAUUUCGUGGUGCAUGCUGCACAUGGUGUGAAAGGUUAUUAAGUUAUCUUUCCAACGCAUCCAGCCAUGCAUCAUUUGGAAGUUCCAAGGUAGAGUUAUUGUCAAAACACUAAAAACUGCACCGAAGACCAACAGCCACGCGGGAACUCUCCAGAAAGUCAUCUCGAAGAGGCCCUUUCACAUAGUCUGCCUUAGUUUUUCUAUUUCGUACUUCUACCUAUCUAGCAAGGCUAUUGCUAGUAUAAAUACCCCCUAAGACUCAUCGUAAUCGUAGGCUUUUGAUAAUUGAAAUACAGAACCCCUUUUGUUUAGCUGUGUGCAAACAAAUAUUCAAAGAGUGAUCUCUACCCCUUGCUCUUGUGAUUUCUUCGUGGGAUUACAUAGGCGGCAACUUCAUCUGCUCCCAAUUGGUGCUCCUACUCCCUUCAAGGUAUUCCUUGAUUGAUUGUAGGUUGUGUUGGUUGGUUCUUUGAGAGUGUGGUUGGGUGAAUCCUCGAUUUAGGUCACCGGUUAAAGAUGGUGGUUGGCUUCGAGUUUUAUUUGUCAGGUUGCACUAGUUAUCACUGCUUGCAGCAAGUUAUCCGGCUGUUCUUCAGCUAGUUAUCAAUGUUCAUCCUACGUCAUGAAGAUCGGGACAACGUGUCGCAUCAUCUGGUAUCAAAGCUUUCGUUACCACGGUAGGAAUUUUAUCCCUAGCUACAUAUAUAUUUUGCAUCGUCUUAUCCACCAAAAAGCUAGUAAAAUAUAUUGCUUAGACCUUUGAUUCAACCUAUUAUUUUAUUGAGUUCAGUUAAGUUGCAGUCCAUUAGAGUCUUUGUUUUAGUUGCUGAUCAUUUAUCCUUCGUGUGUUCUUUGUGCCUCUUUUAUAUCAAAAAAAAUUCCCACAAAAAAAUCUCUAUAGCCUAUAUCAUCUUUUGUGUUAUCUUUGAUCCUAUCAAGUUAUAGUUUCUAGUUGUGCUUUGUUUCUAUCAUCAAGUUUGCAAGUAUUAUAUCUGAUCAUUGUGUUUAGUUAUAAAAAGAAAAGUGAGUCAAAAACAAUGGAUAAGAAAAAAAAUCAGAAAGGAAGUUGCAAGAUCGGUUAUGUCAAGUGCAUCAUUGCUGAAAGUUUUUGUAUUGAGUUGAACAACGAGUUUGCUAUCUCUGUUUGGUGUAAUAUUUUGGUUGGGUCUGAUUGCAACACUUGAAUCCCAAUCAUACUCCUUGUUUGCAUCAAAUCUGAAUUUUCUUUGCGCGUGUGUGUGAUCAUUUACUUCUUUCAUAUCAUGUGGUCAGCACUAGGCAGAGAACUUCUAGUUUGGAUCCUUACUUAACUUUACAACAACUAGAAUUUAGAUUGCAUUCCUUGUGUAUUACUCCCCACGAAGCUCCACAAAAAAAUCAUCGUAAUCGGUACUCUCUAUUCAUGUAUUCGCCUCGCCAUCACUUUCAGUUGCCACCACACAUUUGUUUUUUGUGUAAUCCACAUUAGAGGAAUUCAUAAGAGCUUCGGUGGUUAGACAGGUGAGUUGUGAGAGCCACCAAAUUUUUAUAGUCUACAAAUAAAAAUUAUUUGUAUUUAGCUAACCUCACAGGAAGAUGGGUGAUGGAAUAGAGGAUUGUGUCACUAUGACACAAUUUAAUGAACUCUGACAAAGCAUGGAAGAAAAGCAAGAUAGGUUGACACAAGAUCUUCAGAAUCUUAUGACUCAAAUCAGAAGGUGUCGCCAACCUCAUGAUGGUGCAAGCAACCAUGGUGAAGAUGGAGAUAUGAGUGGUAGAAGUGUUGUUAGUAGAAGCUCAAGAGAACAAGGAAGGAGGAACCAAGGUAGGGGAAGAGGUCAAGGUCGAAGAAAUCAUGAUGAUGAAGAUUCUUGAUAGGUUACCGAUAUGAAUCGGUACGAGGGUGGCCCGAUCUUCACAACAGUAGAUCAAAAGAACAAGGAUAACUUGCUGUGAACAGCGGGUAACUAGCUUUAUACCUGACAAAGAUUGGAUGCGACCAAGCGACAGGGAGAGAGGCACCAAAACCACGAAGACUUCGACUUGAUCUCCGAACGACCGCAGAACCAUAAUCCAGAACUAAUCCACACAAUACGGCGCAGCCGAACAGAAGCCGUAGAGCACGAAGUAGGGGAACCCAGAGGAUUCACUUCACAAGUCCAAGAAGAACAAGGAAGCACAAAGGUUGAGUAAGGUACUCAGCAGCGCGGCUGCAAUAUCAUGUAGUUUAUCAAAAUGAUCAAAGGUUUCUAAUAGGUUAGAGGUAGGGGAUAUUUAUACUAGGAACAACCCUCCAAGAUAGGUAAGAAAACGAAAUAGAGUUAGUGAGGGAAGACAAUGUGAAAGGUCCCCUCGGAAUGGAUUCCAGAACUGGCUUCGCGUGACUAUUGGCCUCCAGAGCAGUUUCCAAUAAACUGACCAUAACUUCUUAUUGGGAAGUCCAAAUGACAAACUGUUUCUUGGGUGUGAAACUAGACACCAAGAGCUUUCUAGCAAUUUAUUCCAUGCACCAUGAAACAUUGUAGACUGGUACAGUUUUGUACGACAAGUGGUACUAACAUUCUGUCACGACAGACUGUUGACCUUCUGAGCAGUCUUGACUAAUCCAAGCAAAACUCUUGAUUGCGGCGUCCAAAUGAGAUGAAACUUAAGGCAUUGGAAAGAAGACUCGACAAGCUUUCCAACAAGUCCUCAUGGACCUUCAUAGCUUUUAUGAGUAAAAGGUUAUGAUGAUUUCUUUGCACUGGUCCGUUCUUGACUCUACUGGUCCGUUUUGCUAGUUUGUUAGGGACUUGCACUGGUCCAUUCUUCACUCUAGUGAUCCGAUUUGCUAGUCCGUCUUCAGGGUCUGAUUCAUCCUUCUCUUCUUCUAUAUACCUGAGUACAAUUAAGGUACAACACUUAGGUAGUAUAUAAUUCUCAUUAAUAUAAAAAUGAAUCUCACAAAGUAUCGCGUGGACCUCUUGUUGUAGCCUCUUGUCAUGGCUUCUUGUAAGUUGACCCUGAUGUGUAGCAUUUGGACUUGAUCGAGCGUGCAUAGCUGGGAUGUCCUCAUCAUCCUCCCCCACUUGAAAAGGAGUCGUCCUCGACUCUAACUCUUCUAAUCCAAAGAGUUGUGCUAGGCCAUCGGUUUGUAAUAUUGUGAUAACAUCGCAAUCUUCUUGUUCCAUGAUAGCAAGGUGUUUGAAUUUAUAAUCAUAUAAACCAAGUAGUAGCCUUGUAUGUGGAAACCUAAAUGAUUUGGAAUCAAGUUUAGCUUUCACCUUGAGUGGAUGCUUGAAUGUUGAUUGCCUUGGUAUGGUCUCAUCAUCCUCCCUCCCUUCAAGAAAAGUCGUCCACGACUUUUGUUUACCUGAAAACAGCUUAGACAAAAUAUAGGGUGGUUGUACUUAAUAAUUCCAAUAAUCAUUCCUUUUGUUUUGUUCAUUUGUUCCAUUAUGAAUUAUUUUUGCAUUAUUUCCUUUUCCAUGUAAGAAACAUUCUCUCAACUUUGGUGAACCUGCAAACAGUUUAGAGGAUGGAAGCAUAAAAAUUUCUUCCAAUCCAAUCAUUUGAUUCAUGUUAUCAUGUUUUAUCUUUAGAAGAUCAAACUUUUCAUCAAAUGGAUGUUGAGAACUAAUGUUGUUCCAAAAAUUAUUGUGGCAGCAAAAUUUAUUCAAGGGUUUAGAAGUAUAAUUUUUAAACUCAAUGCUCCAAGGUGUGGAUGAACAACUUUACGGUGUAUAAGCUUUACUUUGCACAAGAUUUCUAACUUUAAGUGUAUGGUACAAACAUGCUGACAACAUGAAUUGAUCGAAACCAUAAGCACCAAGCAUUUGUUGCAUCUUAAAAGAUUUCUCACUUUGUUUAUCUCUCAACAUUUUUGAGUCUAAAUCAGCAAGCUUGUUGUUACACAAAUUGCAUGAACCUAGAAGGUAUCUACAACACGUUCUCCAAUCAAGACAAAUGUAAACUGGAAGCUAUGAGUAGUAUUCGAUGAACUCAAAGAUGUUAUGUUAGAAAUUUUCUCAAGCAUUUGCUCAAUAUUGAUAGGCAUAUUAAGCAUAGUAUAACACAAACAUUCAAGAGGAGAUAUCCUUGUAAACAAAUCAGCACAAGUAACUGACUGGAUAAGGUGUUAUUUUUGUUAUAUGAAAUGUUGCAAGGAUCAUUCAAAGCACAAAGACUCUCAUCAAUAAGAAAAUCAGCACUUGUAUCAACAUGAGUUCUAGUCAAAUCAGCACAAAUGUUUUGGUCAUGUUUUAUUGCUGAAACAGUGAUAUCACAAGUACACAGUAUGCGUUGAACAAUCAGAUUUGAUUUAUUUUUCAUGUAUUUUAAAUUCAAUGAUUCUACAUGUACCAAGGUUUGAAUCUCUGAAUUUUUAUCUUCAUUGUUAAUCUUAGAUGGUUUUGAUGAAUUAACUAAAGGGUUGAGAAAUGUGCAGCCAUCUCCAAGAUGUAUGAGCAUUGAAACAUAAUGCAUCGUACAACACAUAUGAAUGCAAAUCAUCAUGUAUAUGAACCAUAUGAAACCAUAGAAAUGAUCAUGUAUGAUUGAACUUUGGUUAUCAGCUUGCAAAAUUUCAGCACAUGGGUGAACAUGUGAAAUAAUCAAAUCAGUGCAAAGAUUUCGUGUAUGGUUAAUCCCAUUUGAACCAUAUGUACUAUCAUAAUUACUUGCCAUUUUAUUUUGCAAACUCAAAUUUGAUUUAUUUUCAAUAAAUUUUAGACUUUUUGGUGGUGCAAGUACCAAGGAUUGCACCUCUGAAAUCUUAUCGUUAUCCAUGUCAUGGUUUAGGUUUUGGGCAACACACAAUGGGUUUAGUUGAAUGGCUACCUUCUCAUUUCUCUCAACAAGUUUGGUGUUGUCUUGAGCAUCCAUCUCUUCCCUAUUCUCAUCACCAACCUACACAUUCAGAAAGACAAAACUAGAAGUAGAGAUGAGAGUGUUUGUCGGUGUUUUCCCCACGGGGGGUCACACCAACGAGUAAAUUUGUAUGUGUGCUCCCUUUUCAAGAUGGUGAUGCAAGAAGACACAAAGAUUUAUCCUGGUUCGGGCAAGAGAAGGCCCUACGUCCAGCGGGGGAGGAGAGUUUGUAUUAUCUUGCACCUAAGUGCUUGUACAAGGGUGAAUACAAGCGCGUAUGAACUGGGAUGGAGUAUGGAAACUUCACUACAUGUGGGUGGUGUGUUGCUGAUGUCUGGUCUGUUUACUCCCGGGUCUCCCCUUUUAUAUUUCCAAGGAGAGACCUAGGGUACAUGUAUAGGUGUCAGAUUAGGGGUCGAUAGAGGCAUGGCACGCUGACCUACUCGAGGCCUCCGUACCGGCAUGGCCUCGAGCCGUCCCGUCCUGGUAGCUUGAUGAUGACCACGCGUGCCCUUAUAUCCCACUCUGUACGCCGUCUUGGGCUGGUUUGUCUGCUGUACGCCUGUACGUCAUGGCGGCGAACGCGUCGGAACGGUUGUGGUGUUGUCAUUCGACGCCCAACCCUUCUCCAGGAAGAAAUCAUGUCUGGUCGAGGGUCUGUUGAUGCAAAAGCUGAUCUGCAAACACAAAGGGCUAAUACCCGAUUUAAACGUUAAGGCGUGUCAGCCGAUUUGACCUUACUAUCGGCAAGGGUGAUAACUCGAAUACUUUGGUCCCGACAACAGCGAUGCGCCCGGAUGCCACGGCCAAGAGGUAUUCACGCGGAACUUGAGAAUACGCCGAGCUUAAGUCGACGAACUCCUAAGAACUCGUAGUAAAAUGGAAAAAGUAUGAUGAAGUCAUCGAAAAAGUAGGUACUGGAAUAUGAGUAAAAACUUGUGUUUGAUUGAUUGAUAGAUUCCUUUAUUACAAGGCCCUAGGGUCUACAUUUAUACCCUGCUCAAAGAGCCACAACCAGACACAACUAGAAUUCGAAUUCCAAAUUUAAACAGAAUCCGUGUACAAAACGACUUAGAUAACUAAGGAAAACAUAAAACUAUCUUGCCGCAACAAACUAGGACACUUCUACCGAUCAAUCGGCAACCUUCAGGCUCUCCGUCCGCAUCAUCGGCAGGCCUCCUUAUCGUAACCAUCGACACAAGUUAAUAAUGGCCAUUAGCACAAACACACCGCCACCUAUGAACUUAGCCAUAUUCGGCUAUCCCUUCAUCAGCAACCAUCCUCAUCGGCAACUCAUCCUGUAGACCAAGCACUGCUGUCUUGUCUUGCCGACCUGCAUUCUACCGAUCAUGGACACGUGCCCAAAAACGGUGUCAACACAUGCCCCCCAAUUUCGGAGUAUGAAAUCAUUAAUGCUCCGAAAUUCUCCGCAGUAAUGAUGUCUUUCUGCAAUUAAUUCGCCCAAUUUGGUAACCGACAACCUCAACCUGAACAACCCUGAUCUGAUCCUUCCACAGAUUCCUCGAAAUCCUCAAUGUCCCAAAUGGACACCUCCACUUUAAUCGCUCAUCGGCAAUAUUACCGUUAUAGGAACUUGCCGAUGAACUGACCAGGACGUCCAUUUCAGUAAUGUAUCUUAUCCUCCCAAACGGCUAUCUCCACUUCAUUCGCCCAUCGGCAAUAUUACCGUUACAAGGCGCUGCCGAUGGACCGACCAGGAGAUCCCGCACAGUAAAAUAUCUCUGGAUAAUGACCGCUUCCCGUCAAAUCUCCUGUACAAUCCCUUGAUUACCGUGCGAACAGUUACCAUAUCUACCUGAGUACCCUCGGAUUUCACGGAUACAGCGAAGAGAUAAGUCAGAUUUGCCCUUGCCCGUUUUGUCCUAUAAAUAGUUCCUUCUCGGGUACUCCUUCCCCAUCACAUCAUUCCACAGCUCCAACUCCACUUUCCCGGCGGCGGCGCUGUCCAAGAGCUCCAAGAUCUCCAACGAAGCCCCUUCUUCACCAACUCUGAAGCCCUCGAUCAUCCUCUUCGCGACGAGAUGGCCAUCAACUUCACCAUCCCUAAGGUCAGUUCAUCAUCCCAUCUCAUGUAUUUCCGCCAUAUCCUGAUUCAUCUACAAUUUAUUUUACUGAGUAUUUUUUCUUUUCUCUUUUUAUUCUUGUUCUUCCUUUUAUACCCAAAACCAUUAGGAUCUGUCCAACAAAAUUGUCAUCCCCACCGAUCAACCACACCUCCAAUGUCUCGGUCCGUUAAGAAUCCAGAUCCCAUCGACUUCAUCAACGCAGAAAAAAUAGAAUCCCAUUUAGAGCCGAUAAUUUUUCUCUGGAUCUGUGGAAGGAUACUUUCCGUUCCUGGCCCAGUCCUACCGUGGGAUGGAAGGAUUAGUUCUUGAGAGUUAGCCAUUCAAAUGAAGUCCAACGGGGUGAGAGAAAACUGGACUAAUGCAUCAGGCUAUCCAUUGCCGAUAUGCAUAGAAAUGAGUCACUGCUGAUAGCUGCAUCAUAUUUUUGGUCAGACACACUCAAUGCCUUUAUGUUUGGCCAUGGCCCUGCCGCCCCAACACUUGCCGAUGUGGUCAUGCUCACUGGCUUAGAUGUAUCUUCUGCCGAUAGUACCCAUUUUUUCGACACCAAACCCAGUGCUAAGGUAGAAACUCGUUCCAUCGGCGGCUGGUCAGGGUAUAUUCAGAAAUACCGUAGGACAGGGCCCGUCAACAUAAACGAACAAACCAUCUUUCUAAACAUGUGGCUAGACAAAUUCGUAUUCUGUGGCCGAUCGGCAGGACCGACUUCUGUCUAUCUAUCGGCAGCAGAGAGACUGGCUAACGAUGGCCGAUUUCCCCUCGGCUGAUACUUGCUUGGUGCUGCCUACCAUCUCCUCCAUCAGGUAACCAAGAAACUCCUACUCGGCCAGUCCAUCGGCAACUUGGGGGGUCCCUGGUGGUUUAUCAAUAUGUGGCUCAGCCUCCACAUGCACAGGCGCCUUGAGUUCGACCUCUUUGCACAGCGCUUCCCCAGAGAUAUAGCUGAGAACCAUGAACUGGAUGAAGAGGAAUCGGCAACUCGCCCUCCCCUGAACUUCGGCGAGGCUGUCAUAGUUCUACCCUGAACUUCAGCCGAUUCUUCCAAACCCUGUAUGAAGGCUUGACCAGAGAAGAGCGAGCAUGGUUGCCAUAUGACGAUCCAGAUACCAUGUUCCCUUUAAUCUUCCACCCGUUCAACGAUGCCCUCAACAAGGAUCAUGAAGUGAUGAUGGCACUGAUCACUCCCAGAGUUAUACCGGUAAACUUCUUUGGUAGUGGGAAAACCUCUAGCCAAACUUAUGAGUUUUACAACCCAUCGGCACUAGCCCGCCAAUUAGCUUUCGGCCAGCUGCCGAUUGCACUCUGUUAUGCCGAUGUGAUAAAACCCAGGGAAGCCAUCACUAACCUCCUUGAAUGGGUUCGAGUAGCCCAACUGUCAUCAAGUGCCGAUACAGACGUAGAUUUGUCAGAGUGGGUUCCAGCCGCCUUCAUCACUCAGUCGUAUAAACAAUGGUGGGCAGAAUGGAAGGAGCACUUGUUCUGCAGAUCGGCUCUUACGUACCGCAGCAUGAUCGACCCCGAGUAUAAAGUCCCUGAUAAUAUUGUAAGCCUCUUCGAACCGAUGCUUUAAUCCUUUCAAUUUUAUUUCCAUCGGUAACUUACUUCUGUAUCACUUUGCAGGUCGACAACACCCCUCCAUCGGUCAGCAGGAGUGGCAAGCCGAUUGACCUAUUCCCAUCAGGUCCAAUCCUUCAAUCGGCAACAACGCUCCCACCCUGGCCGGCAUCAUACAUCGAGGUAUACGCCUUAAGAAAGUUACCACCACGAGAACGCAAAUAUCUCCAUCGGUUGCUGCCUCUACCUUGGCACAGGCGUUUAAGGUAUACUUUCAAUUUUUAUACUGAUAUCACUCUUAUGUCUGUUGCACUUGCAUUCACGAAUCUUCCUUUCUGUAUCAGCACACCAGCGCAUCGGCAAGGACCAAAAGCAAAGGUGCCGAUGCCCCCCAGUCCACCCAACAGAAGAGAAAAGGUGCCAAGAGUACCAGAGCACAAACAAAGCGCCAGAGAGUAGCAACUCCUUCUCCCCCUCCGGUACCUCCAAUUCUGGUGGAAUCCUCUCCUUCUUCUCUAGAAACACAGACACAGUAAGUACCAUCUCCCCCUCAACCGCAAGAAGCACCACAAGUGGAAGAACUCCGACCAGAAGAGCCCCAACCAGAAGUAUCUCAGCCAGAAGACACAUCGGCUGAUAUAAGUGACCAGACGACUGAUCCAGCAGGCUCAAUCAUAGCAUUGGUAGUUUCCUCAAUCCUGACAAGCACUGCACCUCCUCAAGGUAAUACAUCUUUACGAAGCCAUCACCGAUGAAUCCUACUUUCCUGUUCUCAUAAUUCCUUCUGCCAAUUUUCAGCUAACAUAGUCCCAUCGGCAACCCCGGCCGAUCAGCCUAUAGUUCCAUCGGCAUCUUCCAGUCAAAGGCGAGAGAUUGCCUUGAAGCAAGUAAGUCAUCCAAUCUCCAUCAAUAUUAGUUGUCAAUGCUUGACCAUGGAAUGACUCAUUUUAUCUCCUUUCAGGAACAGGAUUCUCCCGACAGCCUAUUCUCCUUCGCUAUCGACAUCUCUGAAGAUGAAGGCGAAGAAGCAAGCUCUUCUCGGGCAGUUGGGAUUACAUCGGCAGAAGUCAGGGCAAAGCUGGAAGAACUAUCGGCUCUCCUCCACCAAGACACAGCCCAGCUAGUCGAUGAUUCUAAUCCGGCCAAGGCUUUAUUCAAGACUCUGAGAGGCCAAAUCCCUGCCGAUGCCGAAGAAGUUCUCUUCCAAGCAGCACACCUAGAGAGUCGUCAACUGCAGUACCAGAGGGCUGCCCAGCGCCUUGCCGACAGAGCCGCUCGGACUCGUCUUUCUAAGGAGAUGAUGAAAGAAAAACUUCUUAUCGAUGAAAAGCAUAAGAUCAUCGGCACCUUGAAGUCCUCGGGGGAUGCACUGAAGCACAAAAUCUCCGAUCUGUCGGCCAAAAGGGAAGCCCUGUUGGCAGAACUUAAACAAGUAGAGGAUGCCCUGUCCCAAGCCAGGCAAGAAGAAAGCCAACUGUCGGAGACAAUCAAGCUUCUUGAGCAAGAGCGAAAUGUCCAUGGUCGCAAAGCACUGCAGUUGAAGAAGAAGUUGAAGCCGGUAGAAGGUUCUGCCGAUGAAGACACCAAAGAGAUAGAAGCAGCCAACCAAAUCCGCCUGCGUGCCAUAUCGGCCAUCCAAGCGCUGCUAAACAUGUGAGCCCUUCAUCGGCAACAUGCUCGUCUCUCUCUGCUUUCCAGCUUCCUUGAUGUUUAGUCUAGCUGAUAGGACUGUUAUCGCCAUCUUUUGAAACAUUAAGCCCCAGACACAUCUCGAUCCAGCCGAUAGGAGUGUUAUCGGCAUUUAAACUUUUACGCAUCGACCCAUAUGCUUGGGUAGUAUCUCUUCAGAUAUUUGCCAUUUAGUGCUCUAGGAAAUUCAACUCCUUCGAGAGUUUCUAGAAUAUAGGCAUUACCAGGAGCCGAUCGACUUAUCUGAUAGGGACCCUCCCAAUUGGGAGACCACUUCCCAAAUUUUGAACUUUUAGUCCCGAUCGGCAAGAUCAAUUUUCAUACCAAGUCUCCAUCGGCAAACCCCUUAGCCUUCACUUUCUUAUCAUACCAUCUAGCAACUCUCUUCUUAUUUUCUUCUAUACUCGUUAAAGCCUUUAGCCGAUGUCCUGCUAGAUCAUCUAACUCAUCUGUCAUCAAAGUAGCAUGAUCAUCGGCAGCCAAUUGAUCGUGAAAAGAUAGUCGCCUAGAUUCAGUCUUAAUUUCCCAAGGUAACACUGCAUCAUGUCCAUACACCAACUAAUAAGGUGAAACCUUGGUUGAUCCAUGACAAGCUAUCCGAUAGGACCAUAAAGCUUCAUUCAACAAUGUGUGCCACCGUUUAGGAUUUUCUUCAAUUUUUCAUUUGAUAAGCUUGAUAAUUCCUUUGUUAGAUGCCUCGGCCUGCCCAUUAGCUUGAGCAUAAUAAGGAGAAGAGUUUAACACUUUAAUUCCCAUACCGAUUGCGAAUUUAUCAAAUUCCCCCGAUGUGAACAUAGUACCCUGAUCGGUAGUAAUUGUCUGAGGAAUCCCAAAUCGGUAAAUAAUGUGCUCUUUCACAAAAUCAAUCAUAUUAGCCGAAGUAACUUUCUUCAAAGGAAUGGCCUCAACCUAUUUGGUGAAAUAAUCGGUGGCAACCAAGAUAAACUUAUGCCCUUUGCUAGAUGGCGGAUAAAUCUGACCGAUUAAGUCAAUAGCCCAUCCCCGGAACGGCCAAGGUUUGAUAAUAGAAUUCGUGGCCGAUGCGGGUGCUCUUUGAAUAUUGCCAAAUUUCUGACAUCCUUGACACCCCUUGAAAUAUUUAAAGCAAUCUUCAAGUAUGGUCGGCCAAUAAUACCCGUUCCUCCUAAUCAUCCACUUCAUCUUAAAAGCCGACUGAUGUGCUCCACAUACCCCUUCAUAGAUUUCUCCCAUCAAACUCUUAGCUUCAUCAUGACCUAAGCAUAGGAGAAGAAUCCCAUCAAUAGUUCGAUAAUACAAUUCAUCUUCGAGGAGCACAUACUUGGUGGCUUGAAACCGAACCCGUCUUUCGACUCUCUUAGAUGGAUCUUUUAAAUAAUCAACGAUUUCCUUUCUCCAAUCAUCGGCAUCAAUUGCUGAUAUUGUAUUAAUCAUAGGCUGAUAUCCUGAGGCAUGCUAAGCCAACCGAUUGGCCUCUUCAUUAUGCAAUCGAGGAACAUGCUCUAAUCGGAACUCUUUGAAUUCCUUUAACAGCCGGAUACUCUUUUUGUAAUAAGUUAUGAGAACUUCACUUCGGCAUUCAUAGCUUCUAGCCAAUUGAUUUAUAACUAGCAUAGAAUCCCCGAAAACCUUAACAGCAUCAGCAUGAACCUCCCUUAAUAAUUCCAAUCCCUUUAUUAAAGCUUGAUAUUCAGCCUGAUUAUUCGUCGACGUGGCAACAAUCGGUAAGGAAAACUCAUACUUCCUUCCUCGAGGGGAAAUUAAUACUAUACCGAUUCCUGCUCCCCGGUCACACGUAGAUCCAUCAAAGAAAAGCAUCCAAGGUACAAUUUCCAAAGCUUCCACUGUACCGCAAUGUUGAGUUACGAAAUCGGCCAUAAUCUGCCCUUUAACUGCCUUAGCCGAUUCAUAAUGCAGAUCGAACUCCGACAGCGCCAAAAUCCACUUACCGAUCCUUCCACUCAUAAUCGGCAUGGACAACAUGUACCGGAUCACAUCAUCCUUGCAAAUAACAGUGCAUUCGGCUGAUAACAAGUAGUGCCUCAACUUGAUACAAGAGAAAUAUAAGCACAAGCAUAGUUUCUCAAUAGUCGAAUACCUAGUCUCAGCAUCAAUCAACCUCCUGCUUAAGUAAUAAAUUACACGCUCCUUCCCUUCAAAUUCUUGAAUUAAAGCCGAACCGAUGACCAUCCCAUCGGUAGACAAAUACAAUCUGAAGGGCUUCCCAUGCUGAGGUGGAAUUAGAACUGGAGGAUUCACCAAAUAAUUCUUAAUUUCAUCCAGAGCCAUCUGUUGUACCUUUCCCCAAACAAACUCUUGAUCGGCCCUUAACUUAAGAAGAGGACUGAAAGCACGAAUUUUACCAGACAAAUUAGAUAUAAACCUUCUGAUAAAAUUUACCUUGCCGAUCAAGGACUGGAGCUCGGUCUUGUUGGUAGGGGCCACUAUCUUAUUGAUGGCAUCAAUAGAUCUUUGGCUGAUUUCAAUCCCCCAUUGGUGCACCAUGAAACCAAGAAAUUGUCUUGCCGAUACACCAAAUGCACACUUAUUGGGAUUCAUUUUCAAAGCAUGCUUCCUUGUGCACUCCAACACCUUUCGUAAAUCGGCAAGAUGCUUUGUGAAGUUUCCAGACUUAACCACCCCAUCAUCAAUAUAAAUCUCCACCAGCUUGUCGAUGAACUCAUGAAAUAUAAAAUUCAUGGCCCUUUGAUAAGUGGCACCAGCAUUCUUUAAGCCAAAGGUCAUGACUAUCCAUUCAAACAAUCCAACAUGACCAGGGCACCUGAACGCGGUCUUUGGAAUAUCCUCUUCAGCCAUGAAUAUUUGAUUGUAUCUUGCAUUGCCAUCCAUAAAGCUAAUAAUCCGAUGCCCAGCCGCAUCGUCAACUAGCAGAUCGGCAACUGGCAUUGGGUAUCCAUCCAUCGGUGUAGCUUUGUUGAGAUUCCUGAAAUCAAUGCAGACCCGCAGCUUCCCGUUCUUCUUGUAGACCGGAACAACAUUGGAAAUCCACUCGGCAUACCGACACUGCCGAAUAAACUUGGCUUCAAUAAUUUUGGUUAUCUCGGUCUUAAUAUCAGGGAGAAUAUUAGGAUUACAUCAGCGAGCCAGCUGCUGAUGUGGCCGAAAUCCAGACUUGAUAGGUAACCGAUGUUCAACAAUUGAUCGGUCCAAACCAGGCAUCUCAGUAUAAUCCCAAGCAAAGCAAUCUUUAUAUUCCUUUAACAAAUCAGUUGACUGUUGCUUACACUCAGGAUCUAACUUAGCACUAAUAAAAUUAGGUCUAGGUUUAUCACCACUACCUAUAUCUACUUCUACUAAAUCAUCGGCCGAUGUAAACCUCUGGCCUAACUUUCCAUCAUCGGCGAACCUGUCCAUUAGAAACCUUGAACCGACUGCUUGGAUCGAUGGAAUUUCAUAAUCGGCAACCUUGAGAAAAUCCUUCUCCCAAGCUUCUCCUGAAAUACACCUAGUCUUUUCAUAGGUGUCUGCCUCUGCCGAUGCAAUAACAUAUGAAGAAUCUCCUGGGACAAUUUCAAUCUUGUCACCUACCCACUGGACCAAGCACUGGUGCAUUGUAGAUGGGAUGCAACAAUUGGCAUGAAUCCAAUCUCUACCCAAUAGUAAAUCAUAUGCACCUUUUCCACUGAUCACGAAGAAAGUCGUCGGCAAGGUUUUGCUGCCGAUGGUCAACUCAACACAUACUGCCCCUUGACCGGAGACACGUUCCCUUCGAAAUCCUUUAACAUCAUAUCGGUCUUGGUCAAAUCCUGAUCUCCUUUCCCAAGUUUCCGAUACACUGCAUAAGGCAUGAUCUUAAUAGCAGCUCCACCAUCAAUGAGAAUCUUAGUCAUUGGCUGACCAUCCACUCUUCCUUUGACAAAUAAAGCCUUAAGAUGUUGUCUUUCAUUGUCGGCAGGCUUCUCGAAGAUGGCGGUCAUUGGAUCCAGAGCCAACUGAGCUAUUUGGUCGGAAAACUCCUACUCAUCAUCACUAGACGGCGCCAAGAAUUCCAACGGCAACAUAAAUACCAUGUUGACAUCUGCCGAUGGACCUUCCCCCUUGGGAUCUGAUUGCUGCUGAUCCCCAGACUGGCCAGAAUUCUCGCCUUUGCUUAGCCCUUCUCGCCUUUCAUGCUGCAGUCUUCUCUUUUGUGUUCUGGUUAACCCUUCUGGACACCAGGGAGGAAGUUGCUGCUGCCUUACCGAUGGGCGGCGAUUUUCUCCUGACUCCAUUCGGUAAGUAUUGGCAUCUCGGUAGAAGAUGAACUCAUCGGGAACCCGUGCAUUAGCCAUCUCUUCGAGUUCUUCCUAGUUCUUGGGAAAAUAUUGAACACGAUCGCAAAGCCUGUCGUGCACACUGAGCCUGCCCCCCAGCCGAUCGUGAACGGACGCUCUUCCUCUAAUCGGCCUAUUAGAUCGCCGAUUGUCGUCGUGAUAGCGCCGAUCGGAUCUAUCAUACCGAUCAUAACCGUUGCACUCAGGACAAUCUCUGACAGUGGGAAGCUUAAUAUUCUCCUCCUAAUAUUGAAUGAAGAACGGGCAAUUCUAGUGAUCUCUGUGCCGAUUCCACUCUUGCCGGCGCCUUUCUUCCUCCCGAUGGUAUUCUUCCUGCCGGCGCCGAUAUCGGUCCUCACGUUGCUGCCAAGUUUCCCGAGGCCUUCUGUGAGUUAUUACAAUACCAGAUCGGGGAGGCCUUCCCGAGUUGGCUCCUACCUGGCUUAAGCCUCUUCCCUUGGCAUCGGCAGUAGUGAUCUCAUGCUGAGGAUCCACCGAUGCACUUCUUUCAGCUGCUUCCAAUGUCAAGACCUUGGCCUUUCCCUUAGCAUCCAGCAUGUUUGUUGGGAAAGGGUGUUGAUCAAUUUUCAUCGGCUUCUGAGUUCUGGAGCUGUCAAAUUUGAUCCUCCCAGAUUCUAUAGCCGAUUGCAGCUGCUGUCUAAAAACUUUACACUCAUUAGUGUCAUGAGAAGUUGCAUUGUGCCACUUGCAAUACUUCAUCCUUUUUAAUUCUUCAGCCGAUGGGAUCACAUGAUUAGGUGACAGCUUGAUCUGACCUUCCUGGAGCAGAAAGUCAAAUAUCCUAUCGGCCUUGGUGGUGUCGAACGCGAACUUCUCUGGUUCUUUAUGUCCAAAAGGACAAGACAUCGGCUUUUUAUUUUUUACCCAUUCUGCCAAGCCGAUGACUGGUUCUUCAUCAGAGUCCGAGCUCGCCGCUUCAUCCACAAAUGAUACCUUUUUAUUCCAUGCUCUCUUGGGUUCAAACGGCUUGAUGUCUUGAUCAGAAAUUCUCUGCACCAAAUGACUUAAGCUUUCAAACUCCUGAGACGCAUAUUUGUCCCUUAUGUGCGGCAACAAACCCUGGAAAGCCAAAUCAGCUAGCUGCCGAUCAUCCAGAACCAAGCUAUAGCAUUUGUUCUUAACCACCCGUAUCCUCUGCACAAAACUUUCAACGGAUUCAUCAUUGUGCUGCCUCGAUUUGACCAAAUCGGUGAUCUUCUUCUCAUGGACACCAGAAAAGAAGUAUUUGUGGAAUUGCUUCUCUAGAUCGGCCCAUGUAACCACUGAGUUGGGAGGUAAUGAUAUAAACCAGGUAAAAGCCGAUCUAGAUAAUGAUGACGAGAAUAAACAAACCCUCAAUUCGUCCCUGUUAGCAACUUCUCCGCACUGGAUGAUGAAACUAUUGACAUGCUCCAUGGUUGACGUGUCAUCUUGCCUAGAAUACUUAGUAAAAUCCGAUACCUUGUACCGAUUCGGAAGCGGGAUCAGAUCAUAUGCGGGAGGAUACGGUGUCCGAUAAGAGUAAGUGUUGACUUUGGGUUUUAUCCCAAAUUGGUCUCUCAUUACUUCAGCAAUCUUAUCGGCCCAAUAAGCAUCGGCAUCUUGCCGAUGAGGUGGUUGCGGAUCCGGCACCUGCUGGUAAGCUUCCACGUGUCUAUGCGGCGCACGAUCUGCAUGAAACAUUGGGUUAAUCAUCUGGCCCCCAAUCUGCGGACCACCAAGCUGUUGCCUGCCAAUCUGCUGUCCGCCGACCUGCUGCCCAAUAUUCAUUGGCUGGUUAGGCAUCCCCUGAUUCUGAAACCCAGGAUAGAUCUGGCCUUACUGGAGCCCUGUAGCCUGAUGACUCUGUUGGGGUGUUUGCGGAAAGACUUGCUGCCCAAGCCAUCCACUAUUAGCAUUCAUUGGCAUGGUCCUGUCGAUGACUGGUAAUUGGGCAUGAUCAUCGGAUUGACAUACCCUAGUUGAGUCAUAAAUCUCUGUUGCAUCAGCAUUGAGUCUACCGAUGCGUUAGGCACCUGGAACGUUGGAGCUUGAGAAUUCCCAGUGUAAGGUCUUGCAGUAGUAGUCGUAGUAUACUGGGGACUCUGGUUCAUCGGCAUAUUUGGAGGUGCCGAUGCCAUAGGAGUCUUGCCUCUCAUAUCAGUUGCCUGAGAUGUGCCAGGUGUCUUCAAGUAUUCUGAGGGCAUACCAUAACCCCACCAGUUGGGAGGAGGGACCGGUCCUGACAUUGCUGAUGCCAAUAGAUCUAUAGUGAGCCUAAUAUGCUCAUCUGAAGUCGGUGGAUUGGUUGUCAUCGGCGUAGAUUGUGCAUUAGUGACUCCCAACGUACUUGGAGGAACGGUAGUCUGUAUUCCCGCAGCGACUGUAGCAGCUGGUGGAGCUAUGACCACCGGUGACCCCGGCUGGUGAUGAGAGGGGCCCACAUAAUCUGGUGGCAAUUGUCCUUCCUUGAAGGUUCUGGCUACGGCAUUGAAAACCGUAUUGGACAGCACACCAGCUUGGUUGAUUAAAGCGCAGUUGGUGGCACUAUCAACCAUCUCUUGAAGUUUACCAAGAUUAGCUUCAAAAGUAACCUGCCGAGGCGUCGGCAGUGCAUCCUUCUGGAUCACUUCGCCGCUCCUGUUUAUGAUGAAGGAUCUCAAGCACUGCUGCUUGUAAUCCUCCAUGGCUUUAGCAAUAGCUUGCUUCUGCUCAUCCUUGAGAUUGGCUUCCGUCACGGGGAUGACGUUCUCCUGAUCAAACUCAGAAGUCGACAUGUUGAUCUUUAUCUUGAAUCUGGUCCCACCGAGCGUGCCAAAAGAUGUGUUGAUGCAAAAGCUGAUCUGCAAACACAAAGGGCUAAUACCCGAUUUAAACGUUAAGGCGUGCUAGCCGAUUUGACCUUACUAUCGGCAAGGGUGAUAACUCGAAUACUUUGGUCCCGACAACAGCGAUGCGCCCGGAUGCCAUGGCUAAGAGGUAUUCACGCGGAACUUGAGAAUACGCCGAGCUUAAGUCGACGAACUCCUAAGAACUCAUAGUAAAAAGGAAAAAGUAUGACGAAGUCGUCGAAAAAGUAGGUACUGGAAUAUGAGUAAAAACUUGUGUUUGAUUGAUUCAUAGAUUCCUUGAUUACAAGGCCCUAGGUUCUACAUUUAUACCCUGAUCAAAGAGCUACAACCAGACAUGACUAGAAUUCGAAUUCUAAAAUUAAACAGAAUCCGUGUACAAAAUGACUUAAAUAACUAAGGAAAACAUAAAACUAUCCAGCCGCAACAAACUAGGACACUUCUACCGAUCAAUCGGCAACCUUCAGGCUCUCCUUCCGCAUCAUCGGCAGACCUCCUUAUCGUAACCAUCGGCACAAGUUAAUAAUGGCCAUCGGCACAAACACACCGCCACCUAUGAACCUAGCCAUAUUCGGCUAUCCCUUCAACAGCAACCAUCCUCAUCGGCAACUCAUCCUGUAGACCAAGCACUGCUGUCUUGUCUUGCCGACCUGCAUUCUACUGAUCAUGGACACGUGCCCAAAAACGGUGUCAACAGGGUCGGAUGCCGGGUAGCACCCUGCUGGCCAGAGCGCUGACCUUGGAUGUCUCGAGGGGGUCUUGAUUAGACAUUCCGACCAUGCUCCCUGCACCCUGACACGCUUUGGGUUAUUUGGUGGGGAAGGCUGCAAAAAGAAUGACGGGACGGGUGCCUGUUCACUAUCAUGCUUCCCGUGACUGGCGUGUUUGGUGAGAACGUGACAGGCGCAUUAAAUGCCCUGGUUCUCGUGCGCGCGUCAGUCAGCGGGCGGCGUCCUUGCGCUCGACGCCUCCCGAUUCGCUCGGGCCUGUUUCCGUAUUCGACGGUAGCGGGCGCUCGACCCCUGAUCGAUUCGCUCGAUGCCAUUUCCGUCUUCGAGGUCGCAGCCGUCGACGAUUGUACGCGUGAAUGUGUAGAGCGUCGAGUUGGGGGCCUCGACUUGUGUACGGGCAAUCUCGUUAUGUAUAUCAGUUAGGACACCCCUUACUGAUACCCUCGACAGUAGCCCCCGAGUCUCCAUUUGAGCGCUGGCGCUCGAGUGGAGGCUGUAUUUUCAUGGUCGAGUCUCCGUGGGGGCGCGCGAGCGACCCCGCGGGGGUAGCCCCCGAGUCCUUGGAGGAGUUUUUGACUCCUUCGAGGGCUAUAUUGCCUAAUUCGCAAAAACGCUGUCAACACCAGUGGUGGAAGGUUCUGAUUGGCUCGUUUUGUGCGGAGGUUUCGACGUACUCUCGAUAGAGCGAGCGUCAUCUAGCCCAGAUUGAGCUCCUAACUGGUAGUCCAAGUGAGAACCGGUGCCCCUUUCGAGGGGGUCAGCUGUAGCCCAGAGGCGUUCUCAUAAAGCGGGGUUGACGUGGUCGGGGAUGCUGGUCUCAUUCGAUAGAGUCCAGUGGCUCGAUGCCUCCCGUCGGGGGGAUUCCUCUCGACUGUCUCGACCCUACCUCGGACAUCCCCAGCGAGUUCUCGAGGCGGGCCUCGAUUUUUGACCACUCGCUGGGGAUCCCUGACUCUGGUGCUCGAGAUCGGCUGUCGAACCCUUUCGGCGGGUCAGCCUGCGACCUCUCUAGGCUUUUGUGGGUGCGUUCCUUGGCUUACAAGGGAAGGAAGAGGCUGUGGCAGUUCGUCUUUUUGCCCGUUGGGCGCGCCUUUUCAGGCAGGAGCCGUUGCGACACUGUACCGGCGCAGAACUCGGAGCGCCCCGUCUGUGAGAAAAAAGACCGUUAGGCGGUGCAUUUAAGGGGGGAGUUACCUCAUUUAUCGGAUCUGUCCGUUGGUGGGUUGCUGCCUAUAAAUAUCCCGUGGCAUCGCUGCCGUUCUCCCUUCCGCCUUCUGUGUUCAUUCUUGCCUUAGCCCUCUCGCCGUCUUGCUUUCUUGCCAUCUUACGCGCGCGCACCCCCUCGAGCAGCAGCGACUUCGCCCUCCUUCCGUCCAAGAUGCUUGUGAGACUCGUCGCCGCCGACGACUGGCGCCCGUCGUCGAUGACAGAACGUCGGUUGCUAGAGCUUGCGAGGGAGGGACUCCUGCGCCAGCGCACCUUGCUGUCGUCGCCGGAGUGGAUCGCGCCGCCAGCGGACCAUAGGGAGCCCAAGCCGCCCAAGGGCUACAUGGUUUCGUUCGCCAAAUUCCACCGCCACGGCCUGGUCGCUCCUCCGAGCCGCUUCAUGCGGGCGCUCUGCCACCAUUACGGGGUGGAGCUCCAGCACUUCUCCCCGAAUGCCAUCACCGUCGCGGCGGUCUUUACCGUGGUGUGUGAGGGUUAUUUGGGGAUGAUGCCCCACUGGGAGCUGUGGCUCCACCUCUACAGGGGCGAGCUCUUCAACGCCCCCGCUAGAGCCGCCGGAGUGAGGAAACCCGUGUGGGCCGGGUGCCUGAACCUGGUGCUGAAGACGGGGAAGACGGAGAAGCGACGGGAGUACAUCCCGGUGGGGUUAUCGUCGAACCACGCCGGAUGGGACUCCCAGUGGUUCUAUCUUCGGAACGACGACGGUCUCCUCCCUGCCUACACCGGCCGCCUGAUUACAGAGCGCCCGGAGAACUGGACGUAUGGCGUCGUCCAGGUCCACCAGUCGCGGCUCGACCCUCUCCUCGACGCCCUAAAGAAGCUACGCUUGGAGGGCCUGUCCGCCGCUCUCGUCCUCUCGACCGUUCAUCAUCGGAGGGUUCUCCCGCUGAUGUCUCAGCUGCUGAGGAUGGAUGAGAUGGGGCCCGGCGCUUCGUCCCGGGACCUCGAGGCGUGCCGGAUGUCCAACGAGGCUCCAUCGGAUGAUGAAGUCGCGGCCCGGGUCAGGGCAGCCGUUGCCGGCGACUUCCAGCCAGAGCACAUCAAUGGCUUCCCCAUGAGGCCCGACGCGGGCUCGAUCGAUCUGGUAUGUCCUUUUCUUGUAUACGGCUUCGAUUCUGGAUUUCCCUGGCUUCCUUUGUUAAACUUGUCUUUGUUCUCGCAGGGACCGAUUGACGUCCGGUCCUCGAGGCCUCUAGUAAAGGAGGACGAGGUCGACCGUGACAAGCGGCGCCAGUCCGCUCAGAAGCAGAAGUCCGCCAAGGACUCAGAGAAGAAGGAGAAAAAGAAGAAGAAUCUCGACCGCCAAUCGCUGGAGGCGCGUCGAGCCAAGUCCAGGCAGAGGGGGGAGCCUGAGGAAGAAUCCCCCAGUGAGGAUGACGGCGGAGACGACGAUGACGAUAGCGACGACUCCAAGGGGAUGGCGUCUCGUCUCGAGCGGAUGCUCGAGGGUCCGCCUCGAGGCGACGUCGACUCCUCACGGACGGGAGCGCCAAAGGAGGGGCCAGGCGGAUCUCACCGCGCCCGUGCUGACGACCCUCGCGCGCCCGCGCCAAGUCGGGCCCUCCCGCACCACCAACCUCCCCCUGCACCAAAGGCGGGUGGCCGGGCUAAGCCCCAGGCGACGGGGCCGUUGACCCAUGGCCGCGCCGCGGCCUCUGAGAAGGGGGAUGCUGGCCGCGAGAGCGCUAGCCCUGGCACUCGCCCGGUGGGAGAUGCUGGGCCAAGGCACGCGCCUGCCCGUGAGGGGCCCGAAGCCUCGACGCGAGGUGGCUCAAGGCCCACCGGUCGAGGUACCGGCAGGGGAGCCGUUCUCCCUGUGGGGUGAGUUCUUCGACGCCGCGAUUCUCAUCCUCCUGUUUCCUUGUGCUUUCUCGUAUAACGGUCUCCCUUACACCCAUUUCUUUUUCCUCAGGUUGAAGCGAACGCUUGAGCAGGCCCAGCCUUCAAUGGUGAAAAGGCUCAAGGUGGGAGCGGCCUCCAAGGACUCAGGUUAGUAGCUUAUUCUCAUUGUUAUGAGAUUUGUGUUGUUCUUACGUUGACCACCGUAAUGGCUGACCUUUGUUUUGUGCUCUAUAGGUUCCUCCGACCCUCAACCUCCGACCGGCGCUGAGCGUGACCCACCCUGUCCUGAGUCUGCCCCGUCCUGAGUCUGCCUCAGCCCCAAGAGCAAGAGGGAGCCCCCGAGCCUCCCCGAUCGGGGGUCGAGGGGAUCCCAUUACCAUAAGUGAUGGGUCCGGCGGCGAUGGGACCUCGAGGGAUUCCCAUUCUAUGGACGAGGAGGCCCAGACUUUUCUCGUCGCGAGACGGAUGCCCUGGCCUGCCGGGCUUCGCUCCAUCGAGGAGCAAAAGAAGAAAGAGGAGGAGGAGCGUGAGCAAGAGACGCGGCGGCAACUACAGGAGCAGGACCGUCGACAGGAGCCGCAGGAGCUCCAAGAGCAGCAGCAGCAGGGGGGCCAGCCGUCGGAGGAGCCGCUCGAGCCUCCUCCUCACAGUUCGCCCCAACCGGUACUACCGGCGCCGCAAGAGCCCGGGAACCAGGAGGAGGGUCUGCCAGUUUUCGGCCCUCCGACCCCAGCGUGGCUUCGUCCAGGGGCGCCCGCCGCGAUCCCAGCAGAGUCGGGGCGGGCGGACGACGUGGUGGCGCUCGCCUGCAUGUUGCGCACCCCCGUGGACCCUGAGUACGAGAUCAGGAGGACGAUCUACGGCGUGGACGGAAUCGCCCCGGGAUUCCUCCGGGAGCGUCGGUCGUGGGAGGACCGUAUUCCCGCCAAGGAGGACGAGGCUGGGACGUCGGGCGGAGGCGGAGGCAGCAAAACGGGCACCUAGAAGACGGUGGACGAUGACGGGCGGUUCCCCUCCCUCGUCGACUUGUUCCUGUGCCAUGGGGGGUCCCUCGAGACCGUCGAGGAGCUCAUCCGCGGCGUCAAGGCGUGGGCCGACCAGGAGAUGGAGAACUGGUGCCCCGAUCAGAUCCGCAUCCGGGCUUCCACCGAUCCGUCUGAGCCUAACAUUUUUCUGGACGAUCGGAAGGAAGCCGAGAAGUGGGAGCAUGUCGAGGAGCUCCGCCUCUGGAUGAAGCACACGGUGGGGCUCCUGUCGGAUGUUGUAAACAACGGACUCGGGCCGGCCUAUUUUGUAAGUGUUUUUCAGCUCUUAAUCCUUAUAGUGCAUUUGGUUUUGGGUUCUAACUGCUCGACCACCGGCUCGCAGGACCUGAAAGAGACCUCCCGUAUUAAGUCGAGCUUCAUCCACGCCACGAGAGGCGGCUGGGAGCAGCUCCCCAUCCUCAAGGACCAACUCCUGGAGUCACAGGAGAAACUCCUCAAAGCUUAUAAAGAUCUCGUGGCGCUUGAGGAGGAGAAGAAGGAGAGGGAGGCUGCCCUAGUCGAGGCUCGAGAGGCCUCAAGGAAGGCGGUGGAAGAGGCGACGCUACUGAGGGAGGGGGCUCUGACGGUCGAGGAGGUUGCGUCCAAAGCCCGAGAGGAGGCCCUGUCCUACAAGAACGUCGUUGCUAACCUGGACAAGGAGAAGGGCCUCCUCAAGACCGACCUAGACUCCCUCCGAGAAUCCUUCCAGAGGAUGAAGGUGGAGUAUGUGAAGAGCGAGGUCGCCAGGGGCGCCACGGAGGAGGCAAGGAAGAAGGCCCUCGAAGACCUCGAGGCGGAGCGGGCUCGAUCCCGCAGCCUUUCUGAUGACUGUUGACGGUCCUUAAGUACCAAAUAUAAUCAUCAAAUAAAUAAAGAAAAGGAUCCAAAUGCAACCAACACCUAGACUUAGGGUUUUAUCUGAUAGAAUUCCAUGAGUUUUGGUGUUUGUCUAUUUCUACAGGGGGUUAUCAGGAAACACGGAAGAAAGGCCCACAUGUCGGGAUUACAUAGAGAUAUCAACGCACCGCGCAAUUUUCUACCAUCUAGAAGACUCUAGAAGCCACGGGAAGAAAGCAGAGGCCGAAAGGGGCCAGGCCCAGGGCGCCCGCCCUAACCUAGACUCCGUUCGGGACUCUCUUCGCACACGAUGUUCCACCGACCUAAAGGAUCAAGGAUAACGUAGUACCACAUUGCCUACCGACCCAAAAAUGCAUAGAGGAGGAGGACUAUAUAAGGAGCCCCCCUGGCCUCUGGAGAAGACAAGAAGUUAUCAUAGAGUUGAGGGGUGCCCUUGAAGGAAAACAUCUUCUCUAAAUAAUAUUUCUUUUUAGGCUUAGCAACCAAUGUAAGUAGAAAUAGAUCUUCUAGUUUCUACUAGAUUGAGAGAGAUAGAGUGGAGGUGUAGAUCGGAGGAAGGCCGGCCUGUCGGUGUCUACUCCGAGUUGUACCUGCGGGAUCAAGUCUCCUAACCCGAGGCUUGCUUCUAAGAUUCUUCAGUAAUUCGACUUCUAAUUCUAGUAAGUUCUUGUUUUAUUGUUCUUUGGUUUAUGAGUUUACUUUAAUCCUCUUCCGGUUGAGUAUUAGAGUAAUCAUUGCUAGCGUAAACGUGGUGUUUAGGCUAGGGUACUCAUAGAUAUCCCCUGACUAGCUGGUCCAUGGUAGUAGCAAGGAACGUGACAUUUCCGAGUUACCUUUGUAUCCCAUAUCUUGUUAGCAGGACGGGUAGGUUUAUAGGUGCGGGUCGAACAUCCUUUGUGGUGUCUAGAUUCCGUAAGCUUCCCCAAUAGAACAGUAGAUCAUCCUUACCAAGGUUAGAAUGAGACUACGGUUGCAGUCUUCUCUAUAUAUCACUCACAUCGAGAAACAUUCUUUGUAGCCUAAAGGGAUAGUAGCAAUAGAUUUGGUUAGUCAGAUGCACCCUUUCACCCAGUGGUAAAAAUAUAAAUACGAUACUCUGGAAAAUCUCCCGGGUGAAAUGCUCACCGAUAUCCGUGCGCCUGCGGAUCAAUUCCUUAUUGCGUUACCAAAUAUCAACAAGCAUUUCUGGCGCCGUUGCCGGGGAGAAAGACGGUUUGCUGAGAUAACUUUAAGUCUUGCUAUUAUCUUGUAUUAUACUUUUAUACUUUUAUUCUUUCAUCUUUUUAUUUUUAUCCUUAUGGAUAACUUAAAUUCCAUACCUAUCAUUGAAUUCUUUGCACCUUCGGAGACCAGCCAUAGACCAUGGGAGUCAACAAGUCCUGCCCCUAAUUAUGAUCUGUGUCCGGAGUUGAUUGCAAUAGGUCAAAACCAACCCUUUUCUAUAGCUGAGGUCCUAUCUUUUAAUCAAGAAGAUAAUGCACUUUUAGUUACACCUAGGGAAUCUGUUAAUCUUUCUAUAAAUUCUGGUUUAGACCUAGCCCUACAAGACCAUGUUUUUUCUCGAUAUUUUCACAUUGGUCUUAAUCAUAUAACCUUUGGUAGAGUCUUUCUUUCUUUAUCUAUUAGUAAAGGAAGGUAUGUCUUCAUUUUGGACAUCCUUCUUGCACUAGUCUUCAUAAAAAUAUCUUAGAGAUAGAGAAGGAAUCAUCGCCCAGACAAGGAAAGGAAGUUUCAAUAGCCAAUUUCCAAACAUUCCAAUCCCAUGAUUCGGCUAUCCAACCCAUCCUUUAGCCUAAUAAUUUCUACUAUGCUCUUUCUCUUGAACCUCCAGAUAAUCCUAUGAAUCUCUCUAGACAUCCCAUUCAUAAGAGUCACCAAUACCACAAGGAGGAUUGAGAAGAGCAACAUCAAUGGCUAGAGGGCAUUAAAAAUCCAUGUGCUAUCACCAUUGAAUGGAUAGAUAAAACAAACUUAAGAGACAAUCCUAGAGGAAUUUUAAGCAUUCAUGAAGAAUCAUCCUUAGAGUUUGAGAAUGAGAGAAACAAAAGUGAGCAUGGAAGUUAUUUCAUAAAUACCUCAUCAAGUCCUUGCUCAUAUAAAACAUCUCCCCAAUCAAUUGGACUCUCUACCCUUACCACAUUUGAGAUCUCCAACCCCCUCUUCCUUUCUAUUUAUAAAAACUUUAAAAGAGCGGUUGUCGAUGCAUAUGUCUAUAAUAAAUAUUGCAGAUCUUGUUGAGUUGAUCUUGAUAUAGGUAGGUGUUGGAGGGGAAACCACUUCACCAACAUAACUUGAUGGUUUCCAAGGAUAAGCUUAGCGUCCUUAAACAAGGACUUAUCAGAUCGCAACAUGAACUUCUAAUUAUUUGCAACACUGCCUUGUGUACUGAGCAUAUAAAGAUAAUUGUAGAAAUAUUCCUUCGGGUAUUCUUGUCACUAACCUUUCUAGGAUUGGAGCAAGAAGACCGGAUGAAUGACAAGCACAAGGUAUGUCCAACCAACCAUCACACAACAUUGAAUUAAAUUCAUCCAAACUUGAAUUUUGCAAAAUUCAAGCUUGGGGAGUACUUUACAUAAAAACAUCCUCUGCCAAGUUGCUAUGUUGGUUGUCCUUACCUUUGAGACAUGCUCAAUUUGUUAAAUACUAAUCACACUACUUAAUCUCCACUUGAGUAGAUCUCUAUAAAUGCCAUCAUGCUACCUUUGUUUAUCCUAGUAAGUGUUGGUUUGGAAGUACUCGACAUACUUCCAUUGGCAUUUAAAUUAAGCAUGGUGCUUAGGUUAAAUAGCCUUCCUUAAUCUGAUUAGACAUGGAGUCUAGUUUGGUUACUGAACUAAAAACUGCUUGAGUAGAUAUUGGUAUAUUUUGUGGGACUAACCCCUGUAGGAAAACUUUCAAUAUCAACCUGGGAAGUCCUGAGAUAAACUCACAUUGGAGAUGAAGAAAGUGACACAUGAAGUUUAACGAUUUGCACAAGGAAGACAUAGCUCAUUCAUCAAAGAGAGAUGAUCCAUGGAACAAGACAAAGAGUGCCACAAACACGAUGCACAACCGCUAAGAAAGGAAAGCUUCCACAAGGUGAUACUGUACCAUCACUCUUCAAGUAUGGUAACAUCUUAAGGUACUUCACUAACACUUUUAUAAGCUUCUCCUUGGUUCUGGCAUACACAUGAAUAAAAGAGACAAACAUGUAUGAUUUGUAGCUCCAAAUUAACCAACCCAAUUAAUUCAACAUGUUUAGUCCUUUAAUCUUUGUUCUUAGUACUACCUUCGUGACCCCACACUCCUAAUCAUAUAAGCUAAAAUGUUGCACAUUCAAUCUUUGGAAGAUAUAAACAAAACAUAAAUAUAGAUAGAUUAUCUUUCCAUUAGGUUGAGCCAUCUGAUCUAACAAAUGUUUUAAAUGCUGCACUCAUGAUCCAUCAACUUUGUCUUGCUCACUAUGCUUAAGGUUAGAGAAGAACAAAUACACUUUUGGUUCUGUUGGUGUUUUCCACCAACAGGGCCCAUGCACUUGAUCUCUGCCUUGUCUCUAUGAAUAGGUACACUUCAAACAAAACAUGGAGGAGUUUUACAACUCCCAGAUUCCACCAUGUGAAGAACCGGGAUCUACGAGCACAAACACAAUGGAGAUCAGACACUUAGUUUCCCAAAUGAAAUAUUGAAGAACCUCUGUGUCCGAGUUGGUACCUUGUACGCUCCAGCAAACUUCGUGGUGAUAGAGACUGGUACUGAGGAGAGGGCACCCAUCAUCUUAGGGAGGCCAUUCCUAAACACCAGAGCUGUCAUCUACGCUAAUGCUGCCAAGAUCAGUUUCUACAUCAAGGGGAAGAAGGAGACUUUCCUUCAAGAACAAGACUACACAAAUUUCAGAGCAAUCCCGACAUGAACCAAGGAAGAGGACCAACAGGAGGAACAGGAACAAACAAAUGUGGACCGAGUCAGCUAAGAUGGUCACUGCAGCUCAAGGAGGUCAUGAUCGUCGACUCAAGUCACCUUUCUUGAUCAAGAAGGAUGACCCUGGUGUUCCAAGCAUUGAGUGCACAAUCAACAAGAUACUCUUUUUAGAAGACACUCUACGACACCGGAUCUGACGUCAACAUAAUGGCCGCAGUCAGUUAUCAGCUCCUGCAUGGAACCAUGCCCCUACAACCAACAUAUAUUCAGCUCCAGAUGAUUUUCACAUCAUUGACAAGGGAAAAGACGAGUAUGAUCCACCCAUCAUCCUUGGAAGACCAUUCCCCAACACUAUCAAAGUUAUCAUCUACAUUGGAACCGGAGAAGUCCACAUGUACUUCCCCUCUGAAAAGGUACGCCGCUAUUUUACUGACCCUAACUAUAUAGUUGAAGACUUUAAGAAGGUCAGGAUAAGAAGACGACGUAACCGCAACCAGAGGAGGCAAAUCAUCAAGAACGGAUAGGUAGACUACGAAGGAGAAGUGCUAAGGACUGAAGACAUACAGCUUGAAUAGAACCAUCCUGAGGAGACCGUAGCACCGAGUCAGAUGUGGAAAAAGAAGAUAGUUAUAACCGCCGGAACCACCGACUACGCCAUCCAGCGAAUCCCAGGACGACUGAGGAAACAAGGAGUCCCGUUCGAAGGACUUAAAAACACCGAACGCCUAGCCAAGAGGUAAACUUGGUAGUUAUCCUUUUCCCUUCAAUUAUUUUGUUUAGUUAAUCAGGUUCAUAUCAUCUCGAAAAGAAAAUAAAAAUGUUAAAAAUAGUAAGCCCCAUGUGAGUAUGCUCAUGGCAUAAAACCCAUAGGUACAUUCACUGUGGUGGCAUAAAAUAAAUAAGUUUUCAUCUUACAAUAAAAAUAUAAAAAUAAUAAGUGCAUGAUCCUGCUAAAUAAGUAACAUUUAUUGAGGAGGCUCAACAUGAUAAAGGCUAGAUUAUAUGGUAACACUUAACCAGUUCCACAGAGCUUUGUUGUCUAUUUGAGCUCCGCAGAAUUCAAGGAUCAAAGAAGACUAGCAGACAGAGGACAUCCUAAUCACUGUCAGGGUGCUACCGACUUUCAAAUACACCUCCACCACCUGCUAGCUACAUCAGAAGAAAUUACGUCAAAAUCCAGCUUGGGGGAGAGCACCCCCAUUUAUCCAGCUAAGUGUUUCUACUUGCGUUUAUACUUUACUCAAAUAAUAAAAGAUGCAUAAUCAUGAAAACCCAAAUAAAUAUUUUGUGCUUUUAUAUAUAUAUAUCUUUGCUUAGUUUGCUAAAUAAAUAAAUAAAUAAAGUUUGCUAUGAACCCUCAUGAUAAGCUCUCACAUGGAAAUGAUGAAUAGUUGCUCUGCCAUGACUAGUUCUUAAAAUUAAAAUAUCUCUCAAGUUUAGGCAUGACAGUUAUGAAGUAAGAUUUGCUCUAAACCUGAACUUGUGGGAAGAGUACUUGAUCUAAAGUCUAAGUUGUUAACGGAUAUGAUAUGGGAAGGUUGAGCUGCUGUUUAUCUGUUCCUAGAGAUGCUAGAAUUCUGGAGAAUAUUAUCUUUGAAAAUAUUUUAAAAUAUCACAUGAUGAGUUCCUAUAUGAUGAGAGUUUAAAAUCCUACCACAGCCAUAUAUACAUGCUUAUUAGACUUUGAGCCACACAUUUACUUUUUACUGCUUAUGAGCAUUGAGUGUGGUCAACCUGUGUAGACCCUUAGGAGUUUGUCAUGUGGUUAAAAUCAAGAUUCACUUGCACGUUCACUCAUACAUGCUGCUUCUACUCUGGAAGUACGCAUCCAUAUACAUCCACUCAUUUCCAUCUCCAGAUUCACCCAAAAUUAUUCUACUCCUAAUCCGGGAGAGAAUAGCCAAAAUAUUUUCCUAUCCCUAUUAUUCCCUGUGAAAUAAAUGCUCCAGUUAUUUUGGUUACUACCACUUGCUACAUUAUUUCAGGAGAUGAGUGCUCUAAAAAAAAGAGAGAAAAAAAAGGAAGAGAAAAAAAUAAUAAUACGAGGAAAUAAAAAGGGGCAAGUGCCCGGAACCUCGAAAAAGUGAGACGAGAGGUAAAAAUGGACAAGUGUCCGACAGUAGAAUUAGGGGUACAAGAUACCCACCUGAGAGGAAAGAAAAAAAGAAAAUAUAGAGCAUCUCAUUCUCCUCAAAAAGCUUCAAAGUGCAAGAAAGGUAUGUAUCCCCUUAAAAGAGCAAAAGUAAAAUUAGAUUUUCACCAUUGUUAUCACCAUCAUCACCAUACACCACUCGCCACACAUGCAUAUCUUGAUUUGACUUAUUGACUUGUUUCUCUGGAUCCAUGGUUUGACUAUGCAAUAAAUGUCUUGUAAGUAUGUAUUAGCUGUCUCCCACCUAUGAGCUCCAGAUAUCAAAACCUUAUUAGAGUAGGGUG
Molecule: long non-coding RNA, 444679 nt
Filed under: Sorghum bicolor (sorghum)
Lineage: Eukaryota; Viridiplantae; Streptophyta; Magnoliopsida; Poales; Poaceae
Description: long non-coding RNA (SBIC_LNC016116)
Rfam family: Plant small nucleolar RNA R71 (bases 398358-398464)
Source: RNAcentral